UUUUUAAUUGUGUUCUACUCCAUGAAAAGAUCAUUUGUCUCAAAGAAAAUUGGAAAAUGCACGAGUGGAUUAGAAUUGGCCUAAGCAUGAACAUGGUGACCUAAACUCUGUUUUGCACCGUGACCUAUAAUGUGGAAUCAUGCAAAAUUCAACUUGGGAUCACUUCUCAAAUGCACAAACUCGUUUCUAAUGACCAAACGCAUCUCACCAUAACACAAAACAACUUGAAGAGCGCCAAAAUCACAAUUUUCGUGCCAAUUUUUCACACGGUUUGGAUCUCAGAUUUUCUGAUUUGAUUCACACGUUUAGUAUCCAAUCUUACACGAACCUUGACCUUGAUCACUUACCUAUAAAUAGAGUAGUGUUUUUCCUUAUUUUACAAGAUUCAAUUGCCAAGAAAGCCCUGCCUCACUGAAACUCGAAAGCACAAAAAAAACUAGUUAACCGUUCCAUCGAUUCAAGCCUUUACCUUCGAGUUUAUUUGCUUAGAAAGUUUCACUGGCAUCCUCUAAAUAUUCUCCAACUAUAAAUAAGCUUUGAGACUACUUGAAUAUCUCUAACUGUUUCCACCAUCUUCAACAUUCGCCCUCGAUUUGUACAAGGUAGUUACGAGUGAAAUUACAUUUCAAACAACUUACCAUUCUCUUCGUGUUGUUCCACUGAUCAAAAGCCCUCAUCUGCCUUUUAUUUAUCUUUUGAUUUGGUCAUUUAAUUUAACUUUGAAUAACUAGGGUUCUUCACGAGUUUGAGGAAAUUCUCUCUGCUCAAAGAAAAUCAAUUGGUUUGAUGCAUAGGGACAUGAACGAUUAGUGAAGCAUAAGCUUGCACGUUUGGUGUUUGAGCUUAAAACUUCAAGUUCAUGAACCUGCAAAAUCAACCACGCGGAGGUUGAAGACAAAUCUAUAUGCACGCUUCAAAGGAAAAUUUGAAUUCUCUGGCCAAUCAGAACGUGCCACCUCUCAUAGUCGUUGCAUUUAAUUUUUUUCUAUUUUUAUUUCAUUUUUUUUCUUUUUCUUCCAAAAUUCAUUUUAAAUAGCUCCCUUAUUAUUCUUUAAUCCAAUUUUUUUUCAUAAUUUCAUAAAAAUAUUCGCUACCACAUAUAAGUUUUGCAUAAGAAUAUUAGCUCCCUUAUAAGUUUUACAUAAAAAUAUCCAACUUUUUUUGCAUAAUUUCAUUUGCUAUAGAUUUAUACAUGUUUGACCUAAUCCAUUGGCCUACUUAUGUUCCCAAGAAUUUCUUCUUGUGAGUUUUUGACUAGUUAUGCAAGGAAAACUUCUUACAAUUAAAUGGAGAUUUUAACCGGCUAUAUCCAUAAACUAAAUAAAAGAUUUUAGAAAGCUAAUAUUUUAACCAAAAGAGAGAUUUUGAUAGGAUAAUCUUAAAACCAAUGGAGAUUUCAACAGAUUGGGCUCAUAAAUCAAAUAGACAUUUAACUGAAUGAUCUCAAGAAUCAAACAGAGUUUUAACGGGUUAAUCUCAAGAACAAAAAAAAAUUCUUUAAUAAUAUUACAAAAGAGAUAAUACCCUCUUUAGUAAGUUACAAUAAUUUCAUAGCACUAGAACUCUCACAAAUAUUUUUGAAUCUCAAAUAAUUAAGGAAAUUUUGUGAAGGACAAUAAACAUAUUAAGUAGAGGAGAGUAGAAAUUAGAAAGAAUAGCUAUAGAUUUAAAUAAAAAAUGAGGAGAAACCCUCAAUUUAUAAAAGAAAAUUUUGCUUAAAAAGGAAAAAUAUCCAUGGAUGCUUUAAUGACUUAAUUGAUUUACUUCUAGUGUGUGUAUGUUGGUAUGUAUGUGUGUGUAUGUGCGUGCGUGUGUGUGUAUGCGCAUGUGUGUGUGUGUGUGUGUGUGUGUGUGUGUGUGUGUGUGUUAGUAAGUUACAAUAAUUUCAUAGCACUAGAACUCUCACAAAUAUUUUUGAAUCUCAAAUAAUUAAGGAAUUUUGUGAAGGACAAUAAACAUAUUAAGUAGAGGAGAGUAGAAAUUAGAAAGAAUAGCUAUAGAUUUAAAUAAAAAAUGAGGAGAAACCCUCAAUUUAUAAAGAAAAUUUUGCUUAAAAAGGAAAAUAUCCAUGGAUCUUUAAUGACUUAAUUGAUUUACUUCUAGUGUGUGUGUGUGUGUGUGUGUGGUGUGUGUGUGUGUGUGUGUGUGUGUGUGUGGUGUGUGUGUGUGUUGUGUGUGUGUGUGUGUUGUGUGUGUGUGUGUUGUGUGUGUGUGUGUGUGUGUGUGUGUGCGUGUGCGUGUGCGUGUGCGUGUGCUGUGCGUUGUGCGUGUGCGUGUGCGUGUGCGUGUGCGUGUGCGUGGUGCGUGUGCGUGUGCGUGUGCGUGUGCGUGUGCGUGCGUGUGCGUGUGCGUGUGCGUGUGCGUGGUGCGUGUGCUGUGUCGUGUGCGUGUGCGUGUGUGUGUGCGUGUGUGUGUGUGUGUGUGUGGUGUGUGUGUGUGUGUGAGAGAGAGAGAGAGAAGGAGAGGAGAGAGAGAGAGAGAGAGGGAAAUAGUGCAUCUUUGUGCGUGUGCAUGUGUUUGUGUGUGCGUAUGCGUGUAUGUGUGAUUUUCCUUAGUAGUUUGAGAAUUAAUCUUAUACCUUUAUAUUUAAAGGAUCACUCAGAUACUUGACCAUGCAAGUUUUCACACUUUCUCUCUUUCACGAAUUUGAAGCUUCAAGAUACUUGCUUAAUAAAUAAUUGAUUUAACACUUGAUGUGAUAUUUGAAUCUUCUGAAAGAUGAGACUUAAUAUAAAUUCUUUGAUAGAUACCAUAAUCAGAGGUUGUUGAACUAGAGAUCAUCCGAGUUUCACUGAAUACCAUUUGACAUUAGGUGUUGUAAUCAAUGAAUAUGGAUUGAUAUAUUGAUCUCACAAAAUUAUCUUAACAGAUGAAGAUUUCUCAUCAUACUAUUUGACAUAUAUCAUUGUCAUUAUUAAAAUAAUUAUGAACAUUUGACAGUUGUAAAUAAUUAUACUUGCAAAUAUAUAGAUCCACAAGCACAAACAGUGUUUCCAUGAACAAUGUAUUAAAAGUAGAAUUAUGCAUGACCAUAUCAUCAAAUAAAUAAUCAUUAUUUUGAGAAUUAAUAUACACAUGAUUAUUGGUGGCAAUAGCAAUACAUAUAAAUUAAGGGAAUAUGUGUUCAUGAAAGAUAACAUGUGGAUUAAUGAUAGUGUUAUUAUUAAUAAUGUCAUUUAAAAUAUAUAUUCAUUUAUUCCAAGUUUAUACUCCCAAAAAAUACAUUUUCUAGCCCAAUGAUUAAUUAUAUCCCUUUAAAAUGUGAUAAUACUAGCUUUAAGAAGCGAUAGUACUAGCAUGAGAAAGGUAACCAAACAUAUUUAGGUCAAGAAAGAUGAGAGGUUAUUUAAAAACCAGUUCAUAUAGUGUUUUUUUUCUUAAUAUCAAUUCUAGGUAAUCUAUUAAUGAUAACAUGUUACUAUAUCAUAUUGUUAAUAUCUAUAUAAUAUUAUUAAUAUCAACUGAGAUGUUAUGAGAUAUAUUAGUGUCUAAAGCUUGACCCUUAAGAGAUAUAGUGAGGAUGUAGAGAUUAUUGUUCAUUUCAACAUUUAUAAUCGUCUUCAAGGUAUAUUAAUCCUGUAUAAUACACGAACUGACAUAAAAGUUUAAUUUGUACUACAUAAUUUUAAUGAACUGGAAAAUCGAUAUAAUAUUAAAGUGAAAUUUGGGAAGGUAUAAAUAACUAUCGAGACACAAAAAAUUAGAUAGUUGAAUAUUUCCACAAAAAUGAGAAGAUAAAGAAUUACUAUUAGGAAAACCAACCUUGAUAGGAUUUGUUUGAAACUUCUGAAUAUAAGGGGAAACAUGAUCAGACACCCCUGGAUCCAAAAUCCAUAUGUUAUGACAAUUUAAAAUUUGACCUAAUUUGGAAACAAUAGACAUCAUAUGGAAGUUUGGAUUAACUGAUGGAUGAGUAUUUGAUAAAGAUUCAAAUUUGGAAGUUUUUGAGCAGAUUAAUGAGAUAUUUAUAUGCAUAUCUUGAUAUAGAUAGAGGAUUAUCAUAGUUUGUAUUAUGAGGAUAUUUGAUAUGCAUAAUUGGGUUGUUUGAUUUCAACAAUGGUUUUUCUAAGAUGAAGUUGAGUCUUGGUUUUGAACCCGAGGAGAAAACCUGUUUGAAAUAACAAUUGUCUAUAGUGUGGUUGGUCUUACUACAAUGGGUAAAUAAAAUGAGUGUUAUAGGCAGAUGAUUCACUGUCAUGGUACAAAUAUGUGGGGAUGAAGUAUUUUUGAACCAUGAUUAGAUACUUAUGUGAGGAUGAAGUAUUUUUGUUGAGGUAAUAGAAAAGGCAGAUGAUUCACUGCCAUGGUACAAAUAUGUGGUCAAUUGUUGAGCAAUUAAGUAAUAGUCUUGAGAAAUAGAGGGUAAGGGAUCCAUGAGUAAGAUUUGUAUUUAUAAUGUUGUUGUAAUUUAGUGGUUUUAUAAGUCCUAAUAGAUUUAGAGAGUUGGCAAAUUCCAAGGUGCAGUACAAAUGCAGGAUGGGGUGUGACGAAGGUCCUCUAAUUGACCCCAUAAAUUUUAGUAUUAAUGAAGUGUGUGGAUAAAGAGAUAUCCCUUGUUUAAUGGAUUUUAAAUUCUUAAGAAUGUCAGAAAUCCUAAAAAAUCUUUCCACAAUUCAAAUGCAAUUUCAAUGCAAAUGUUAAUUUGAUAUAUGUUGGGGUAAAAGGUUCUAGUGAUCCAAGAGAUGUACAUGUUUUUACAAUAGUAUUAAAGAUCAAAAUUAGGGUCAUGAUAAGGUAUUGAGGAAGAGUACCAUUAAUAAAUCUGACCUUGUUCUUGGAUGAUAGUACUCACUUCAUUGUUUGGCUCUAGUUGUGGUAGUUUGAGUCGUUGAGCGAGGAGUGAUAAGGAAGGCUCCAGGACUCCCACUUGGAUGAAGAAAUAAGGGCUUCGUGGAUAUUGAGAAGCAUUUGUGGGUCAUUAUUUAUUGAUAAUGUUGCAGGUUUUUGAAUUCGAUGAGGAAUGUAUUGGAUAAGUGACUCCACACACAAGAUGGGGUGGGUGAUUGUGUGGGUUUGAAAAACCAUUUCAAAAACAAAUCUUUACCAAAAAAAAAGAGUUAAAAAUAUAUCUGUGAAAAAAACACGAUAAAAGCAACAGAAAACAUAAAUUGGAAAUGCAACGAAAACAAAUAAUUGAAAAGUAAAGAGUUAAGGGAAUAGAGAAAGACAUCAGAUAUUUGUAGAGGUUCAAUAUAAUAAUGUGAUAUACUCCUCUUCCCAAGAAUUAUUUCUUAAGAGUUUCCACCAUGUUAUGAGAUUUUGCAAAGCUUUUCCCGCGAACCUCCUUACAUCAGGAUUGGAGUUUUACAAUAGCUAACUUCCGAACCAAACACUGAAUUUUAACUACGGAGACCUCUCAACCAAUAAAUUUGACCACUCAGACAAUCUUGAACUAAUUGAGAGAUUUAAAUAAAAGACUAAGCUCAAGAACUAACGGAGACCCCCCAACCAAAAAAGAUUUUAAAUGGUUUACCUCAACAACUAAACAAGAGUUUUUCAUUUGGUUUAGUUCACAACCAAAAUAAAAUUUAUCCCAAUGAAAUUUUAGAAUAUUACAUUUACGCCAGAUCUAAAACACCUCAUAGAUAUAAAACUUCACUCUCAAAAGAACUAAGACAAAAAUGAGAAAAUUGAGAGAGAGAGAGAGAGAGAGAGAGAGAGAGAGAGAGAGGUAUUUAAAAUACGAUUUCUAGUGUGUUAUGAAGUGAAUGAGAGUCCCCUAUUUAUAGGAUAUAAGUUGGCUCGAAAAGAAAAAGAUCUAUGAGCCUUUUUAAUUCUAAUAAUCAUUAAGCACGUGGCAUAAUCAAUUAUCAAGUAAAAAAAGGGAGGUUAUACAAUAGUUGAUUAUGAUGUGUUAAAAAGAGAUAAUCGUUUAGACCUAAGAGCUAAUCAAUUAUACAAUGUAAACUUCUCCCAUGUGAAACUUUUUGAACUUUUAGACAAUUAGCUAGGCACAAAACAUUUUCUAGUUUCUUAAAUAAAAAGAGAGAGGCUUUCCAAUCAAUCGAAAAUGGAUGUGUAAUUUUCCUUAUUGAGAGUUAGUCGUAUACCUCUACAGACAUAGAUCACUCAACAAAAACUCGACCAACUUUCACACUUCCUCUCUUUUCCAAAUCUGAUGCUUUUGGUUUCUUGCUACAUUAUCUUUGAUUUUAGCACUUUACUGGAAAUCAUGAAUCUUCUUCUAAUGAGACUAAAGAUAAAUCUUCAAGAUGGAUACCAAUCAUACACAUAGCUUGAUAAAAAAUCUUCAUUGCCUCCACCAAGUGCCGUUUAACAUUAGGUAUUAUCCUCUAGAGAUAAACAUUGAUAACUUGAUCUAGAAGUUCCAAUACUUGCUCAUAAAUGAAUUACCCAAACUCAUCAUCACAUAAUUAAACUAUAAUAUCUUAAUCUAUUAUUCCUCAAACACCGCAACUUAAUCACAAUUCGAAUUAUUUUUGUGUAUUAAAUAAAGGUCGUUAGACCUUAUUAAGGAUUAAUGAUCACCAAAUUAAAUAACAAAUAUUAAUUUAAAACAAGAAAGUCUAAAAUUGUGAAUCAGUAAAAGUUGAAUAUAUAUUUAAGUUUUAAAAUAAUUUAAAGAUGAAAAAUAAUUUAAAACCUAGUAGUGUUUAGUAUAUGCCUGGACUUUGAUAAAUAAAAAUGAUAAAAAUUACUAUUUUAAACUAUGAUUUAAUAAUAUUUUAAUAUGAAAGUCAACCUAACCUAGUAGUAGUAUUUUUGUUUUUGACAAAUAUACUUUAUUUAAAAUUUAAUUAAGGUUUAAAAACCGCCAAAUUAUUUUACUUUAUUUAAAACUAGAUCAAUCUAAUUCUUUUUUUUAUAUAUUUAUAUAUUAUUUUUCAAUAUUUCUAUCAAACUCUAUCUAAAUUUUAUGGCUAUUUUAAAUUAUCUAAUUAAUUAAAUUUUUUUAAGUUUUUGAUGAUGUUUCAUAUCAAUCCAAUUACUUUGAUAGAUUAGAAUAUCUAUUGUAGAUUUAAACUCAUGUUACUAUAUUUAUUGCUAUUUUAAGUGAUGAAAUUAUGGUGAUAAAGAUAAAAUUAGUUUAAGACUAGUCUUGGUAAAAAAAAAAAAACUUGAACUUGAUCUUCUUACUUCUUUUUGAAAAGAUUCUUGGAUUGGGAACACCCCUAUUAGUUAAGCUCUCAAAGCUCUUAUAUAUCCCAAUCAUGUUGAUCAGUUUGUGAAACAAGUUUGGAGGUGGAAGGAUGAUAUUUUGGUUUGAAAUAUUAAGUGGAGAAGAACUUACCUCCUUGAUUAUGAGUGGACUUGAUUGUAAAUUUCAUUUAUCUCUUUUUUAGAGAAUAAUAGACCGUGGUAGAGUUAUUUUAAGAAUGACUUUUAUUUAGCAUACUCUAUUUAGUUCAAGUAUUCUUGUUUGUGAAUUUCUUAAUGAUAGUCAAACUAUUUAUGUGGAUUUGAUUCUCCCUAUUAUCUAAAGUAGCGAGAACCCUUCUAAAGUCAUUGUGUUUUUCAAGUAGUUUCUUUAGAAUAUGAUUUCCACUAUAGAGAAUAUUUUUAAGAGGGGAAUCUCUUUGGUUUUGGGGUGUCAAUUGCCCCUUCUAUUUGGAAUUCUUUGAGUCGUCCUCUCAUCUUAUUGUGACAUGUAAAGGUAACAACUUCUGUUUGGUACGUAAUUUUUAGUUGGUUGGGUUGAUGUGUAGUUUUACCCAGAGAACUUUCAUAUCUUUUUCAAAUGUCUUAUCUGCUUAGCGGAGUACAUAGGAUCAAAGGAGCUUUUUUAUGAUUUGCCAUAUCGUUGUUUGAUCGGUAUGCAAAUCUCCUACAUAUAUACUCUUCUCAAGUAAGUUAGUGACAACAAAGGAAAUAGAAGAGACGAACAUCAUCUCACUACGCCAAAUAAGGGAAAAGAGGGCGCUUCUUUUGGCCUAUAACAGCGCUUUAAAGCGCCCUCUAAUCUGGCGCUGGCAUAGGUAAAGACAACGCUUUUUUUCCUGGUGAAAGCGCUCUCUAAAGUGGCUCUUUAAGCCCUUUAAGGGCCACUUUAGUGCAUGGACCAAGUCUGUGUGCGGUACAAAAUCCCAUCCUCCAUAAUACGUGGCUACUAAGGUAGUGAUAAAAUACAUGACAAGCAAUAUAUCCAUGUUCUUUCACAAAAAUUCCCAGCGAGUUCUUCAAAUUCUCCAUUCACUAUCACUACUAUUACGGGUUCCUAGGAAUCUCGACUCAUUGCCUCAAACCCAAGUGAUAUUGCAUCAAGAUGAAACUCGUCGAGUGUAGUAUCGCCGUUAGUGACAACUGUUUAUCUAUCAAGUCUACCACUUGUAACAUACUUUGCUACGUCGAUCAUCCUAAACUAGAGGAACAAAUUUAGGCGGUUAGAGUAUGUUUCUGACGAUCCUCAGCUUCUCGGACCCCCAAAUUAGAAAAAGUAAUGCCUAACCCACAAAAUAAACUUGUGUGACAACAUUCAUAACUCCAAACAGGCGUUCUCCACUGAGUAAAUGGAUCUCAAAGUUAAUGCUUAUUAAGAAACUACUCCACACAAGUCGAACGUAUGACUAUUUAUCCAAUCCUGCCUAUCUUAAUUGCACUCAAGUUCGGUGUUUAGAACACAUUAUCUCACCAGCUCAGAUAUCACAAAGUCAAAACAAGCAGAUUAUUAUAUACAAACAAGACAUACAUCUCAUCAAAUAUACAAAUUUUACUACACACAAAAAGUAGGCUCAAACCCCCCACUGGAGACUACUCCCCUACCAAGGCCGCCACUAAUUUCCUGUAGCGGGAAAAUUCAUCGACCAUUAGGCUAUGAAUAAAAUUCUUUAACGUCAAUAAAAACUAGAUUCGCCCACCGCGCAUAUUUGUAUCUGUUUGCCAAUUGAGGGAAAAGUGCAGAGAAAAGUACAGUCAUAUCUAGAGAAAUUCAAAAGAAAAUAAGAAGUUUUGCAAAUCUAAAACUAAUUGAAAAUGCCAUAGAAGAAUUACCGGUAAGAGGGGAUAUGGAUUACACACAGAUAAGGGAACGUGUUAUCACCCCAAAAGAUGUCUUAGGUAUCUCCUAGAGAGCGCAGCCUAUUUAUUGUAAUGCAUAAUAUUUUAUUUGUUUUUACAAAUGAUGUUGGCAUUUAAAUUAGAAUGGGGGGAUGAUAAAAGAGAUUUUCAUUAAUUUAUAUUUUUGUGUUUGACAAGACCUGCAGACUUGUGCCUACGACCAACAUUAAAAUGGGGAUCCAAAACCUCGUAGUUCGUGGGUAUCAAUUUCAACUGAAGUGAUGUUGCUUUUACAAAAUUUUAAGUUUAUACAAAGGCACUUAAAAGGCCUAGAGGAAGUUUGGAAGAGCGAGUUGUUAGUUCUUUUUGUUCUUUGGAAAAUUUUAAUCAAAAUCAUUCUGAUUCUAGAUACUUUGACAAAGUGUCUUGAUUCAGAACAUGACUUAAUUUACCAAGCAAUGCAUGAAGGCCAAGAGUUUCUAAUUUUGCUAAAAGCACUAAGUCUUCUAGAAAAAAAACAAGCAUUUAAUAAAGAUUUUUUAAAGACAGAGAGAGGGGGAGAGAUUUGAAAUGAUUUAAAGAAGUGUGUCUGAAGAUGGCAGAUGUACAAGUCACCUAAUUUUUUAAGCACAAAUUUUAAAAGUCAAGGAGUUUUGAACUAGCGAAUUCUCUGUCCAACGGGCCUGGCAAUCUAAAGACAAGAAUUGUCAUAUAGGAACCCUCAAAUUUCCCGAAUGGACUAUAUCUUUAGAAUCAUGUUAGCAAUAUCAUACUACUCAAAUAGCAAAUGAAUAUAGAAAUGGCAUCAUAGUCUAUUAAAGAUAGUCCAGCAUCUAAGUGUUACAACUCCUAUGAUUUUCCUCAUGUAUUUCAGAAUGACUUCAAAGAUAAGAUGUCAAGUUACUCACACAAGAUAUGUAAAACUAGACAGCUUCAUCAAGAUCAUGUUGCUGAUGAACUUUCAAGAAGAUCUCAAUAUUUUUAAUGCAUUAUCACAGCGAUGAAAAGUCACUUCACAACACAUUGGUUUCCUAAAGGUGGUAUUGGCAAGUCCUUGCUGCAUAAGGAAUGUUGCACUAAUUCUAAGUCCAAUGUCUCAUAUCAAAGAAUACUAGCAGAUUCCACACAAGAAUUGUCUUUUUAGUUUUUGUUCUUUCUAUUCUGUACAUUAAAGGGAUCUAUAAAACGAGCCACUAAUGACACAAAAACAGCUAUAUACAAACACAAUAGUGAUUCACCAAAGUAUGGCUCAAGUGAGCAAAUAAAAAUGGUACUUAAAUGUAAACAGAGAUUAAAGUGUGUAUCGAGAAAUGAUGAAUAAUGAUAAAUGAAUAAGACUUUAAAAAUUAGAAGUUGAGUCAGGAAUUCUAAAGAGGUAAUGUGACAGAAAUUAAGUAGUUAGUGUUAGUUUGUGAUUACGGAAGUUUUGCGCACGUACGCAGUAUAGAACUAUCUUUGCUUUUGCUUCUGUUCAAGAGAGUUGCAAUAUCAUUUAUUUGUCCUUGCUUGGGAGUAUAGAUUGAUUCAUAGCGGUCAAAACGGCCGAGUGCACGUUAUUUCACAAGCGAGUUCACAUGAUGCCUUGAUUAUGCCAAGACAUCUUCCUACGACAUAGGAUACAUGAGAAUGAAAAGCAUAGGAGAACCAUAAGUUCGCAUCGACAUGUAAUACCAAUGAGGCGAAGAGUUGGAGAUUAGUUUGCGAUGAGCGAUUAGCAGAAAUAUCUCAGUACAAACUUUCUAGUGAGAAUGUUGAACACGAUGCAUAUGCGUUGUUGUGUCAACGAAACGAUUAGCGUUUAUGUUAAGCAAUCGUAGAGGUGUGGACAUUAAGUGUUACGAACGCUUAAUAUGAGCCAAUUCUUAAGACAUAUAGUGGGGCGUGUGCAGACAAACUAUAGCGAAUACUAGUAGAUUGUCUGUAGAGAUGUGCGAUAGUAUCAGAGACAUGGUCAUGGAAGCAGAAACAGCAUAUGAAUGACUCCUUCACUGGAAAUACUUGACAUACGGGAAAUAUGAGAUUCGCUUAUAAAGGAAGAGUGGGAUCGGCGUGUAUCUACGAUGUCCAACAGUUUAGGCGGAGAUUUUGCAAAAAUCCGCGUCUUAGCCUUUAAUGAAUGGUUUGCACUAAAUUCUAUACGAGAGAGUAAUCAUUAGGUUCCCAUGAUCGGCAUGAAGAUAUAGGAGGGGAUUGGAAGGAUAUUAAGAGAGAUGGGACAACUUACAAGGCGAGGACAAGUGGAUGGUGCGCAUGGAUUAAUACAAAAACAAAUUUCGAGCAGGACAGUUAUAUAGAGGCCUUUGAGAGAAGUAUAUGUCUUUUACUCACAUGAUAGUAACAGAUCAAUAAUGCUUUUUCCUAUCUAUGGACACUAAAUGACAUGGAUAAUCCAAUUAUUCAUCAAGUACAGAGUCCCAACAUCUCCACAUGAUAUUUAACAUACAAUGCUAACAGAGUGUGUCACAUAAUCAACUUGUGACAGAAGUAUUGCAUGUUACUCAUAUAACCCAACGAAAACUAAUGACCAAUUCCAAACAUGCAAGUCGUCUAUAUAAGAACGCUCGAAACACAAUAUUUAUUUUUCAUUCGAACAAUUUUAAAUCAAUUAAAAUAUGCAUUUAAAUUAAAUCUAUGGUUGUGUAUUUCAAAAUUCGCGUUAUACACCUCAUAUCAGAAGACAACCAAAAGAAAAUGAUGACCCAUGGUAAAUUAUCAAAGGUUCAAACAAGAGUCAACAGGACCUUGAGAAAAAAAUUCAUAACAUGUUGAAUACUUUAAAAAGUAUAUUUAUUUAAUAGAAAUUAAAAAAUAUUCACUGAUAGUAUCACAUUAUAAAAUCACAGAGUAAAAGACUAAUGCAUUCAAAAAAUAAUUUUAAUUCAGAGAGAAUGAAAGAGGAAUUUAUUUAAUAAGAGAUUUUUCUCGCGGUGCUAGACUCUCAUAUUUUUUGGUUAUCAUCAAAUAUUAAAAAUCUAAUAAUGCAAUUAAUGAAAAUAACCAACAGUGAGCUUAGAUGAAAUAUCAGACAAAUACAAAGCAACACCGAGAAAGUUCCUGACUCACUAGUUUCCUCUAUCUAACUUGCUGCUUUUAUCACUAUGGAGUCCUCAAAUGCGUUGCUACGUGCGCGUUCCGCACCAACUGAAGAUUCUCAACGAGAGUCAAUAGGUCGUCGUAGUGAAACCGAUUUCAAGACACUUAGGUACCAAUGGUACUCCGCAAAACUCCCAGAGGGCCACGGACAUUAUUCAUAUUUCGAACAUAGAUGUGCAUGUGAUUUCUGAUGAGCGCCAACGCAUCACUGGAGCGAACUCAUAAGACGUAUCGAAAGUAGUGCGGUACUCCCUAUUCUCGGCCCGAGAAGCUUCACCUCGCCGACACUCUAGGCGUUCACAUGUCUACGAGAGGCCUAGGUCAAAACACCUAUGAAUAAAUUGAAAUAAUAUUAACGCUGACAUAGAAUUUAUAUAAGUAAAGAGAUAGCGUGCAAGAAGUCGAAGCAGUAUACGAAUAUUCUCAUCCUCAAUUCUGUGAUUCCUAAUCUUUCCAAGUAUAUUGAAAGAACCAGACAGUCUCUGAUAAUACUUUGACGCUAGUGGAUGCACAGUAGUCAUAGAGUCUGCCCUAUCGGGGUUUGAUCACUCUCAGAAGACAAUAUCUCAAAUCCUUCUCCGAUCUCGCCAGUAAACCAUUGUGUAGGGACUGUCAGGCCUAUGUCAACGCAAUAAUAGUAAUGAUCUCAUAAAAAGAACUAGGGAGCACAUAUUCCGAUCUCGAGAAUGUCGAACGACACGUGCAAAAUUCAUAGAUAUGAAUAACAUAUUGACGAUAGCAAGGUAUCUAUGCUGGGCAUAUGAUCUUGGUCCUUGUAUGCUUGUGAACUCUUUUGAUCUCUCAGGACCUUGAUAGAGUAGAAUUGAUUGAUACACAAUGGGACUCACGGAUCCUUUUGAGAAGAUGUACUCUAUGAAUACUCAAAAAACCAGUGAAUAUAUCAGAAACUACAAAAGUUUACGCUAAAUGAGCAUUAGUUGAGUUAUAUAUCAAAAAAAGAUUUAUCCUUGAUCAGACAAUGUCAAGCGUUAUGAGGAUUUUUGUAAAAAUUGCUCUUAUACAGUUUUGACUGUCACCAGGGGUCUUGCUUCUGAGCCAUAAAGGGUCUCUAUUAUUUAUAGUCAAAUGUGUCAUCAUUUGAUAUUUUGCACUCACUUUGAUAAAUGAAAUCCAAAAAUAGCAUAUUGUUAAUUGCUAAUGGAUGCAAUAAAAUGGCGGUGUGCAACAGGCCCAUGUAAUCACUUCUUCCUCGAUUCCUAUAUAUUUGAAGUACAUAGCAUUGUUUGAGAACAUGUUGGAAUGUUACGCAUUGGUGUAUGGAAUUCAAACAUGUUCAAAAAAUAAAAAUGACUUUAUGUGCAGAUGUCAAAGCCACCAUUAGUUUUUCGCUUAUUCCACCUUGGCCAUAACUUUUUAAGGUGCGCUUCAAAUUGAAGGUGAGAAAACAAGAAGUGGCGUGUGAAUUGUUUUGGAAAAUAAGUCGUUUUUUACGGUGGCAAGAAUAAGUAUAUACACAGGAUAUCUCUAUACAUUGUUUCACUUUAAUAAACACAAAGCUAACAUCACAAAUCCACACGCCAAGGUUAAUAUCCACCUUCAAAAAGGACUUAAUUCCACUAAUUCUUGAAGAUUAUUACAAACCAAGUUUGCUAAUGAGAAGAUUCUUCUUUAGUCCUCCCAAGAUUCUCUUUGCAGGGUGUUUUUUGCUGUGGAAAUCUAAAAUGUCGUUGCGAUAGCAGAGGUCACCAAACCCGACUUGUUAUCUUUUCAUCCAUAAAGCAAAGUGGAAUAAGAACAGAUUGAAAAGUACCAUUGAUUAUGUCAUUUUGGGGUUACGGAGUGAUAAUCCUUUAUCUAACAAAGGCUGAAGGUUGUAGCACCCUCUAUUAUCCGAUGGUUAGUCCAAAUGGGAGCUCCAUUGAAUUGCUUUGAUUCAACUAUAAUGUAUUUUUCUUUGUUGAAUAAAAAUUGUGUGAUGAGCUGUUUAGAAAUAAUGUCUUUUGGAAAAGAGAGUUUUAAACUUGUAAGGAUUUUGUACGUAAUGGACAUGUUUUUCAUACACACUAGAUAUUAGUUACUCGUCUUAAUUUAAAGUUUGUGUUAUUAGAGAAAAAUAUAACUUGAGUAAUGGAUUUUAUAGUGACCGAGAUUGCGAGUGCUUAUGCCAUAGUGGGUGAAUUUUUCUUAAUGGAGGUUUUGGAAAAGUGUUGAAGUUGUGGGAGAAAGUUGAGUAUAUUAUAGUCAUAUUCAAGUGAAGCAAGAAUACUAGAGAGAUCAGGUGUAAAGCGUCUAGCUUCUCUACUAUUUGACAGUGAUAUACGCGUAAUCUCCGCUAUUGCAGGGGAAGCAUACUUACUGCCACAAAAUAAACAUAUCAUGUAAGGACAAUACUGCUAAGAGGCCUCAGUAUGCUUUAUUUCGCCUGUCGUGAAACUGUAUAAGAGUUGGUUCAUCGUAUUAUCGCUUUCGUUUAAGUUCAUUGAAAUGAAUGGUCAAAAUCAUCUUCUCUUUGUAUAAGGCAUCUCCUUUAGCGCGUCCACUGUUGUUGUUCGAUAUGGAGCGAGAGUGCGUGCGAGUUAACCGUAGUGGGCUACAAACGGAGCGGGUCGAGGGCCGAGGGGACAAAAUGCAGUAGUAUAUUCGCAGGGCCAACAUCCGUGAAGGGACGGAGUAGUUCUAUGAGUAUAUUUUUAUAGGGACAUUGAUGAUUUAAUCAAAAGGGUCUUUGCUAAGUGUAUCCCCACAUUCGCGGAGGGACCAUGCCUAAUACCGUCUAAGGCAACAAAGAGAGGGCCAAAGAUUCAAUGUUUAUAUCAAGUUAGGGUAAUUAUGAUGAAUCUCCAUAUAUAAUCAAUUAGGUUUAAUUAGGAUGAAUCUCCAUAUUAUAUCAAUUAGGUAUUAGGAUGAAUCUCCACAAGGGUAUCCCACAAAUAAAGUGAAUACCUAGCAAAGCUACCUUUUCCGCGGAAGUAUGUGAAACCCUUACAAAAUUCAGCAACAGGUCAGAAUACCAAAUCAGAUGCAAUCGAGGAUUGCACCUAACAAAAGGAAUCACAAGUAAUAGGGUCAGGGGGGGGGGGGAGGGGGAGAUCAGUUCAGUAACUUAAAAAGAAUAAACUAAGUAGGCAAAAGCAUCUCUGAGAUGUAGUUUUUUUUGCUAGCCGCAGUCUUCUAGCGAAACAACCUCUUUUUGUUCAAUAUCAAUAGCAUGAACCUAAAAAUAUCAUAAAAUUAGUUAGGUGAAGUAUAGACAAGAAUUAACAUUUUCUAUGCAUAAAUAUCAUAUAAUUGUGUUGUAUACCUUUUUUUUAUGCAACUGACUCCGAUUUGCUGUAAUAAAAGCACUUUACCCUGUAAUAAAGAAAACAAGUUAAAAUCAUUGACAACGUACCUUUUUCACAAGUCGUCUCUUCUUUUCUGGUUGUUUAGCGUCCAGAAUCAACAGACAACAUCAUGUACUUACGCUUCAUACGUAGCCAUGGAGGUAGGUUAUAAAUCAUAAUAAUCACAGGCCAUGUACUGUGUGAGAUACUCUGCGAUACCGUGUGGGUUCAUUCCAUCAUGUAUGAUAAUGCCAACGCGAAUGUUUCUUGAUUCUUCUCCAAAUUCAGGAUAAUCAUUAUCAAUUUCAAACCACUGUGUGGGAAUCUGCCGGAUUCGAUACUUUCCAUCUAUAAUUCUUUCAUCUGCAUGCCAGGUCAAGUGCUUGAAUCGGUUUCACUACGAAAUCAUGCGUCUAAAUCUCGGAAUAAACAGGAAAAUACCACAAGACUUUGCUGAGACAAACUUGUUCUUAUUAUCGCGAGACACCGCAUUUAGAACCACUCAUUUAAGCGAUGCAUACUCAUUUCGAAACAACGCAACGCAUAUCUUGGACAUGCAUGUAUCUUAUCAUAGUACAUGCCAAUAGAAGCACAACAUCUUUUUGGUCUCAUAUGUUCGAUAUGGAAGAACAUUAUCCUCAGGGAGCAUAUUCUUUCAAAAGGGCUAAUAACUCUGUGAAACUUUUAUCGACCAUCCAUUGCCCCGGUUUAAGUUGUACAACUUUAAUACCGCAGACAAUCUUGUGAAUUUAGUGCAACCAUCAUCACAAAGGUUUCUCUGCAUCACUUACCAACCUCUCAAAAGCAUUUCGGGACAACCUGUUAAGAUCGUCUUCAGUGCUUCUGCUCUAAUCUCUUCAACUCGAUCACAAUCGUAUGUAUCUGCGGCCACAUAGUUUACGAGCAAUGUCGUACUAUCCCCCGUUCAACAUUCUCGUUACUUUUCUCACCAUGCAAAUUCAACAUGUAUAACUUCGAUCAAUUCCAUGCCUCAUUAGAUGCGAUGUCAACUGAACUACGUCACCCGUUUCCGAUCAACCAAGCAGAGCGCUCUAUUAGGUGCAAUUAGGGGCGCUGCGUCCACCCGAUAUCAUUCUAGCUGGGGCGUUCGCGUGCGCAGAGCGACAAAACUUAACGGAUUGGCGUGAUAAACCCGCAUUUCUGCGUUACCUCCUCGCACACAGCUCGAUCUGGAAGCACAUCCAUCGUCAUCUAUCCUCAUUAUCUAUUUAGAAUAAACAAAAAACAAAUUCCAGAAGAGAAACCAAAAAUGGAUGCAGAGCAAAACAAUUUCGCGUGUGAUGAGUUAGGUCUCUGGUGCAGGGCAGUUCAGUGUCGUCCAACAACAACCCGAAGAAAGAAGGCCAAACGAAUGUUGGGUUUAUUGAGUUGGAUGUUUCUCAGACAGGUUGUGGGGUGUCAUGGGGAUAUCUCUGACUUCAAUUAGCAUGAGAGAUGUAUUGUGGAGACCAUGCGAUUUAAGCAUUAGUGGUAUGCCACUAUUCUGAUACAUAGUUAGAGUGAGUAGUCGAGUCGAUAUAGUGUUUUUUACAGAAAGAUAAACAUUGACUAGAAAAAUUAUAUAUGUAGAAUGUGGUAUAUGGUCUAAAACUGAACAGCUAACGAGAAGGAUAGUCGACUCUAAUUACUCUAUCAAAUGAGACAUCCAUACCUAAACUUCUUAGUUACUAAGCUAGCCCCUAUGUGCAUGCUAGGAACUAAAUACACUCAUAAGCUCGCAUAAUGUGAGCCUUUGAUUGCGUAGAGGUGUCUUUAGAUAUUGGUCUGCCCUCCUUUUUCUCCAUCAAACAAAGUGAACAAAUUGGCCAGGGCUGAAAUUUAGAGACCCAUAAUGCCAGGUCCUUCCAUGCUAGCCAUUGCAACACAGAGUAAGAUUUGUUGAGAAUGACCUCAGAUAAAUGGUAUGAAACCAAGAAAAAUGGGAAGGACCCAAGGAAGCGGUUUGGGGGGGGGGGGGGAGAGGGGGGGCGAGUUGAGAGAAGGCAGGGAAUAGGGGGGUUGGUGGGGGGCGGGGGACGGUCAGAAGAGCGGGGAGGAGGAACCAAGCGAGGGUAAGUGGAUGAAAGAAGAAGGAUGUGGAGAGAGAGAGAGGCGAAUGACGUGUAUGGGGUUCAAAAGGGGGUCGAAGCGAGAGGCGUAACAACGAAAUAUAUUAGGAGAUGCAGGGGAAACUCGGAAGUCGAACAGAGGUCGGAAGUGGAGGAACGCGCGGGCUGCACUAGAAGUGAGCAAAAUCGGCGUGGAGCGGAGUAGAAACCCUAACGUGGAGAAAGAAAGAACGAAAUACACAGAGAGUGAGGGCUGAGGAAUAACAAAAACGGCGGCGAGCUCAGUGUUUGAUCAAUUUUUAAUGGUUUACCUAAAGGGACCUUAGGGGCGCUUGUGGAAAUAUCAAAAGCUCCCUCUGACGAAGGGGGGGCCGUGAAGGAAGGGGGGCGCUUAUGGGAAAGCCGCGUCUCGCAAGCCUUUCCAGACAAGCCGCGCUUUAUUAGAAUCUGGAAAGUGCGCACAUGGACUUAAGAGCGCUUUUUUCUAAAAGCCGCUCCUCUAAGCGGUAAGCCUUAGAGCGGCACUCUGUCUAAAAAAAGCGCGCCUGUAUUGUUGUCCCUCUAUCUCCUCCUUAUUUGUUCGCGUCACCUUAGGGAGGGCGCCGUUUAUUACAAACAGACNNNNNNNNNNNNNNNNNNNNNNNNNAGGCGCUUUUUGAAAGAAAACGGGCCCUCUAAAGUGGAAAUUAAAGGGUUUAGAGGACGCUUAUUUUGGAAAGCAACCUCUAAAGUGGGUGGUUAUUUAAAUUUUUUUUUAAAAAGCGCAUAUUUAUUUAUUAUUUUAGACAACCUGUAUAUUGAAGCAGUACACCUAAACUGUAUAAUUUGAAGCCCUUUUUCACACAUUGCAUUCAACAGCCUUAUAUUACAACAAUCCAUACAUAUAACAACAAUCCACUGAUAUAUAAUCGUUUAACUUCUAAAGAUUCUAAAUAUACAACCAAUUCAAACUUAAAAGAAAUAAACUAAGUAGCAAAAGCAUCUCUGAGAUGUAUGUUUUUUUGCUAGCCGCAGUCUGUCUUAGCAACAACCUCUUUUUUUCAAUUCAAUAGCAUGAACCUAAAAUAUCAUAAAAUUAUUAGGUGAAGAUUAGAUCAAGAAUUAACAUUUUCUAUGCAUAAAUAUCAUAUAAUUGUGUUGUAUACCUUUUUUUUAUGCAACGGACCGAUUGCUGGAUAAAAGCAUUUACCUGUAAAUAAAGAAACAAGUUGAAAUCAUUGACAUGACCUUUUUCACUCAAGUCGUCUUCUUUUCUGGUUGUUUAGGUCCAGAAUAACAGACAACAUCAUGUACUUACGCUUCAUACGUAGCCAUGGAGGUAGGUUAUAAAUCAUAAUAAUCACAGGCCAUUUACUGUGUGAGAUACUCUGCGAUACCGUUGUGGUUCAUUCCAUCAGUAGAUAAUGCCAACGCGAAUGUUUCUUUAUUCUUCUCCAAAUUCAGGAUAAGCAUUAUCAAUUUCAAACCACUGUGGUGAAUCGGACGGAUGUCGAUACUUUCCAUCUAUAAUUCUUUUCAUCUGCAUGCCAGGUCAACUGUCUUGAAUCGGUUUCACUACGAACAUGCGUCUUAAAUCUCGGAAACAGGAAAAUACCACAAGACUUUUGCUGAGACAAACUUGUUCUUAUUAUCGCGAGACACCGCAUUUAGAACACCAUUUAAGCGAUGCAUACUCAUUUCGAAACAAACGCAAUCGUUCUGGACAUGCAUGUAUCUAUCAUAGUACAUGCCAAUAGAGCACAACAUCUUUUUGGUCUCAUAUGUUCGAUGGAAGAACAUUAUCCUCAGGAAGCAUAUCUUUCAAAAGGGCUAAUAACUCUGUGAAACUUUUAUCCGACCAUCCAUUGCCCGCUUUAAGUUGUAACAACUUCAAUACCGCAGACAAUCUUGUGAAUUUAGUGCAACCAUCAUACAAAGGUUUCUCUGCAUCACUUAGCAACCUCUCAAACAUUUCGGGACAACCUGAUAGAUCUCUUCAAGUGCUUCUGCAAAUCUCUUCAACUCGAUCACAAUCGUUAUGUAUCUGCGGCCACAUAGUUUGAGCAUAGUCGUACUAUCCCCCGUUCAAACAUUCUCGUUACUUUUCUCACCAUGCAAAUUCAACAUGUAUAACUUCGAUCAAUUCCAUGCCUCAUUAGAUGCGAUGUCAACUGAACUACGUCACCCGUUUCCCAUACAACAACCCAAGCAAGGACAAUCCAUUCUUACUGGGUCUAUCGGCUGUGCGCAUACGACAAAUUACCCUCUAAAGUGCGCUGUCUAUUCCAGUUGUUCGCUCCUUAUUUUUUCGCUUCACUUUAGAGUGCGCUUUUGUAAUAAAGCGCCCUCUAAGGUGCGCUGUCUAUUCCAGUUUUUGGCGUAGUGUCUCGUAGAGAAGUACAUCGGUCAGUUUGGAUUAGAUGUGACCAAAACCACAACCCAAACUAUAUAUAAUACACUUGAUAGUGGAUUAUCUAAAUUUAUUACCGUUAUUUUUUUAAGACAAAUAUUUAAACAUAAUAUAAAAUUUAAAUUAUGAUUUUGUAAAAAUCAAAGUUUUAUUAAGGUUAACCUAAAUUCACAUACAAUACUCAAAAUUUACUAACUUUAGCAUUAAUCAAAUUGUUACAUCCUAAAUAAUUUAAAAUUAUAAUUCACAAAAUCACAAAUAUUUAAAUAUUUAAAAGGCUAAAAUAGAAGCAACCUAAUAUAAACACAUCACACUAAUGUAAAUAAGGGAUUUAACAUUUUUUUUAUAGAUUUAAUACCUGAUUUUUUGUGUGUUGUUAACGGUAUUUUAAGUAUGAUUUUGACACCGAUUUUAACACUGGUGAUAAACUGAUGUUAUAAAUGUUAAAUAUUGGUGUUAAAACUAAAAUUUGACACAUUUUUUCUCCUUCAAAGAGGUGUAAACACUUAUAAAUCGUACUUAUUUUUUCCAAAAAAAUAGGUGUUAAAGUUUAAUGCUGAGUAGUUUGAUUAAAAACCAACUUAUGACACCUAUUUUUACACUAAAAAAAUGUAAAACAUAUAUAUCAUAUCAAUUUUCUACAAAAUUGGGUGUUAAAAGUUUAACGGAGUUAUUUGGUCAGAAAUCAGCCUUUCACACCUACUUUUUUUCUUAAAUUAUGUGUAUAAAUUUUUCUUAUAAUGUUUAUACAUCGUAUGUAUCACAUCUGUUCUUUACUAAAGUUAGUAUUAUAGAUGACAUCGAGUAUGAUUUGAUUUUAAAUGAAUCAUCAAAAAAUAUUAUUCUCUAAAAUGGAUAAGAAGAAUUACAUAACAUAACUGUUUAAUCAUAAAUCAAGUUGAGGUCACAUAUGACAUAUGCAAAAAAUUUAUUAUUGUUUCAACUGAUUAAAACUAAACUCACAAAUUUUAGUUUAAAUUUAACAAAUUAUACCAAAUAGUGUAAAUCAAAGUCCAAAAACAAAAUUUAUACUAAAAAGCAAUUUUAAUUAAUAAUUCAAUAUUAAUUAUUAUAAAACUCCAUCUUUUAUCGAAUUCUCUAUUUCUUUCUCUUCAAGUUGAUGUUAUUGUUUAACUAUUUACAAAAAGAAUUGAGCCUAAAAUUGUCGAAUAUUAUCAAUAACAUCUUUGUCAUAUGAUGAUGGAUCAUCAGAUAUCUACAAAUGUAAACAAUAAUAUAAAUUAAAUGGGAACAUGUUAAAACAUUAAGUGAUGUGAUUUACAUAUUAAGCAUUGAAAUAUUUUGUUAUUACCUCAUGUAAUCCUUGAAAUAUACUCGUAUGGAUAAUGUCAAACAUAUUUUUUAUUACAUAAUAACCACAAGCCCAACUAUUAUCUUGUUGAUGUGCCUACAAAUUAAAUAAAUAAAAAAUAUAUAUAAGCAUAUAUCNNNNNNNNNNNNNNNNNNNNNNNNNNNNNNNNNNNNNNNNNNNNNNNNNNNNNNNNNNNNNNNNNNNNNNNNNNNNNNNNNNNNNNNNNNNNNNNNNNNNNNNNNNNNNNNNNNNNNNNNNNNNNNNNNNNNNNNNNNNNNNNNNNNNNNNNNNNNNNNNNNNNNNNNNNNNNNNNNNNNNNNNNNNNNNNNNNNNNNNNNNNNNNNNNNNNNNNNNNNNNNNNNNNNNNNNNNNNNNNNNNNNNNNNNNNNNNNNNNNNNNNNNNNNNNNNNNNNNNNNNNNNNNNNNNNNNNNNNNNNNNNNNNNNNNNNNNNNNNNNNNNNNNNNNNNNNNNNNNNNNNNNNNNNNNNNNNNNNNNNNNNNNNNNNNNNNNNNNNNNNNNNNNNNNNNNNNNNNNNNNNNNNNNNNNNNNNNNNNNNNNNNNNNNNNNNNNNNNNNNNNNNNNNNNNNNNNNNNNNNNNNNNNNNNNNNNNNNNNNNNNNNNNNNNNNNNNNNNNNNNNNNNNNNNNNNNNNNNNNNNNNNNNNNNNNNNNNNNNNNNNNNNNNNNNNNNNNNNNNNNNNNNNNNNNNNNNNNNNNNNNNNNNNNNNNNNNNNNNNNNNNNNNNNNNNNNNNNNNNNNNNNNNNNNNNNNNNNNNNNNNNNNNNNNNNNNNNNNNNNNNNNNNNNNNNNNNNNNNNNNNNNNNNNNNNNNNNNNNNNNNNNNNNNNNNNNNNNNNNNNNNNNNNNNNNNNNNAUAUAUAUAUAUAUAUAUAUAUAUAUAUAUAUAUAUAUAUAUAUAUAUAUAUAUAUAUAUAUAUAUAUAUAUAUAUAUAUAUAUAUAUAUAUAUAUAUAUAUAUAUAUAUAUAUAUAUAUAUAAUUCAUAUGAAAUAUCAAUAAAUUUAAGACAAUUAACUUACCUUGAUAGAUAUAAAAUUAGGCUUUUUAUUCAUAAUAUAGCCUCUCAAGACGUUAUAAUCUCUAAUUAAAAAAAAUAAUAUUUAACAAAAAUCUAAUUAUAUUUAGUAAACAUAUAAAGUUAAACAAUAAAGAAAUCUCAACAUAAAUUUUGAAAGAGACAUUUUACCUUAGAAGUGUGUCCUUAAAGGACUUGUUUGGUUGAUUUCCAAGCGAAUAAAACCAAUAAACAAUAUUAUCAUUUGGACAAAUUAUAAAUAUUUGCCAAUGAUUACUGUAAUUUUACAAACAGUUGUGUUAGAAGCACAUAUAAACAAAAAUAUAAUAUGCAAACAAUUUGACAAUCUAAUUAAUAAUAUGCACUUACACAUUCAAAUAUGGUCUUAAAAAACAUCUUUUAGGAUGAUUAUACAUCUUAUUUUGUAUGAAUGCUUGCAUAACUUCAUCACUAUAGCUAUUAGAUUUGUUAUUAAAUAUCCUAAAAGGAUCAAAGAAACCAAAUUUGUUUUAAUUUUUCAAAAAAUGUUCCACACCACUACAUUGACAUCAAUAUGUUCAUAUCAACACGUUUGUAUUUUUAAAUACCUAUUAUUUUCCAUAAUAUUUGGGGUAGAAAAUAAGAAAAUUUAAGAGCAUUUAAUUCUUAUUAUUAUCAUUACUAUUUUGGUUUUUAUUUAAUUCCUUUUUGAAUUAGGAAAUAAUUAAGGUUAAAUAUGUGUAGCUAAUUAAUAUGAAAUUAAUCAUUAUUAUAUUAAAUAGUGAACAUUUGUAUUUAGUAAACAUAUAAAGCUAAUUAUAAAUCUGAUGUAACAAAUCAGAUAAAAAUCAGAUGUUUUUGGUUGCUUACUACAUUAUCUUUGAAAUUAAUCAUUGUUAUAUUAAAUACUGAACAUUUGUAUUUAGUUAAAACUUCAACUCUGAAAUUCUCUCUUCCACAACUCUGAUGUUUUUGGUUGUUUGCUACGUUAUCUUUGACUUUAGCACUUUACUGAAACCAUGAAUCUUCUUCUGAUGAGGCUAGAGAUCAAUCUUUAAGAUGGAUACCAAUCAUACACGUAGCUUGAUCAAAAAUCUUCAUUGACUCCAUCAAAUGUCAUUUAACAUUAGAUAUUAUCCUCUAAAAAUAAAUAUUGAUAACUUGAUCUACAAGCUCCAAUACUUAAUCAUAAAUAAAUUAUCCAAACUCAUCAUCACAUAAUUAAGCUAUGAUAUCUUGAUCUCUUAAUCCUCAAACACCACAAUUUAAUCACAGUUUGAAUUAUUUUUGUAUAUUAAAUAAAUGUCGUUAGACCUUAUUAAGGAUCACCAAAUUAAAUAACAAAUAUUAAUUUUAAAAAAUAAAAAUCUAAAAUUAUGAAUCAGUAAAAGUUGAGUAUAUAUUUAAGUUUUAAAAUAAUUUAAAGAUAAAAAAUAAUAAUAAACCUAGUAGUGUUUAAUAUAUGCUUGGACUUUGAUAAAUAAAAAUGAUAAAAAUUACUAUUUUAAACUAUGAUUUAAUAAUAUUUUAAUAUGAAAGUCAACCCAACCUAGUAGUACUAUUUUUGGCUUUGACAAAUAUACUUUAUCUAAAAUUUAAUUAAAGUUGAAAAACUGCCAAAUUAUUUUACUUUUUUUAAAACUAGAUCCAGCUAAACAGAAUCUUUUUAUAUAUUUAUAUAUUACUUUUCCUAUAAAUAUAUCUAUCAAACUCUAUCUAAAUUUUAUGACUAUUUUAGAUCAUCUAAUUAAUUAAAACUUUUAAGUUUUUAAUGAUGUUUCAUAUCAAUCCAAUUACUUUGAUAGAUUAGAAUAUCUAUUGUAUUAUGUAGAUUUAAACUCAUGUUAUUAUAUUUAUUCCUAUUUUAAGUGAUGAAAUUAUGAUGAUAAAGAUAAAAUUAGUUUAAGGCUAGUCUCGCUAAAAAUAAAUAAUUGAAUUUGAUCUUCUUACUUCUUUUUAAAGAGACUCUUAGAUUGGGAACACUCCUAUUAGUUAAGCUGUCAAAGCUCUUACAAUCCCUCAAUCAUGUUAAUCAGUUUGUAAAAGUAGAUCGGAGGUGGGAGGAGGAUGUUUUGGUUUGAAAUAUUAAGUGGGGAAGAACCCACUUCCUUGAUUGUGAGUGAAUUUGAUUGUAAAUCUCAUUUAUCUCUUCUUUAGAGAGUAAUAGAUAAUGGUAGAGUUAUUUUAAGAACGCCUUUUAUUUAGUAUACACUACUUAGUUCAAGUAUUCUUGUUUGUGAAUUUCUUAACGAUAAUCGAGCUAUUUAUAUGGAUUUGGUUCUCCCUGUUAUACAAAGUAGCGGGAACCCUUCUAAAGUCAUUGUGUUUUUCAAGUAGUUUCUUUAGGAUAUGAUUUCCACUAUAGAGAAUAUUUUCAAGAGGGGAAUCUCUUUUGUUUUUUGGUGUCAUUGUCCAUUCUAUUUGGAGUUCUUUGAGUCGUCCUCUCAUCCUAUUGUGACAUGCAAAGGUAAUAACUUAUGUUUGAUACAUAAAUUUUAGUUGGUUGGGUUGAUGUGUAGUUAUACCUAGAGAACUUUCUUAUCUUUUUCAAAUGUCUUAUCUGCUUGACGGAGUACAUAGGAUCAAAUGAGAUUUUUUUUGAUUUGCCGUAUCGUUGUUUGGUCGGUAUGGAAAUCGCCUAAUGAUAUACUCUUCUCAAAUAAAUUAGUGAGAACAAAGGAAGUAGAAGAGAUGAACAUCCUCUCGUAGAGAAGUACAUGGUUCAAUUUGGAUUAGAUGUGGUCAAAACCACAAUUCAAACUAUAUAUAAUACACUUGAUAAUGGAUAAUUCAAUUUUUUUAUAUUUGUUUUUUAUAUAAAUAUAGAUGUUGUCAUAUUCUUUUUCAAAAGAUAUAUAUAUAUAUAUAUAUAUAUAGAGAGAGAGAGAGAGAGAUAGAUAGAUAGAUAGAUAGAUAGAGAGAGAGAGNNNNNNNNNNNNNNNNNNNNNNNNNNNNNNNNNNNNNNNNNNNNNNNNNNNNNNNNNNNNNNNNNNNNNNNNNNNNNNNNNNNNNNNNNNNNNNNNNNNNNNNNNNNNNNNNNNNNNNNNNNNNNNNNNNNNNNNNNNNNNNNNNNNNNNNNNNNNNNNNNNNNNNNNNNNNNNNNNNNNNNNNNNNNNNNNNNNNNNNNNNNNNNNNNNNNNNNNNNNNNNNNNNNNNNNNNNNNNNNNNNNNNNNNNNNNNNNNNNNNNNNNNNNNNNNNNNNNNNNNNNNNNNNNNNNNNNNNNNNNNNNNNNNNNNNNNNNNNNNNNNNNNNNNNNNNNNNNNNNNNNNNNNNNNNNNNNNNNNNNNNNNNNNNNNNNNNNNNNNNNNNNNNNNNNNNNNNNNNNNNNNNNNNNNNNNNNNNNNNNNNNNNNNNNNNNNNNNNNNNNNNNNNNNNNNNNNNNNNNNNNNNNNNNNNNNNNNNNNNNNNNNNNNNNNNNNNNNNNNNNNNNNNNNNNNNNNNNNNNNNNNNNNNNNNNNNNNNNNNNNNNNNNNNNNNNNNNNNNNNNNNNNNNNNNNNNNNNNNNNNNNNNNNNNNNNNNNNNNNNNNNNNNNNNNNNNNNNNNNNNNNNNNNNNNNNNNNNNNNNNNNNNNNNNNNNNNNNNNNNNNNNNNNNNNNNNNNNNNNNNNNNUAUAUAUAUAUAUAUAUAUAUAUAUAUAUAUAUAUAUAUAUAUAUAUAUAUAUAUAUAUAUAUAUAUAUAUAUAUAUAUAUAAAUUUAUUACCACUAUUCUUUUAAAGAUCAAAUAUUUAAACAUAAUAUAAAAUUUAAAUUAAGAUAUUUGUAGUUCUAUUAAGGUUAACCUAAAUUUACUUAGAAUACUCAAAAUUUACUAACAUUCGCAUUAAUUAAAUUGUUACAUCCUAAAUAAUUUAAAAUUAUAAUUCACAAAAUCACAAAUAUUUAAGAGGCCAAAAUAGAAGCAAUCAAAUAUAAACACAUCACAUUAGUGUAAAUAAGGGAUUUAACAUCAAUUUUUUUAGAGAAUUAAUAUCUGAUUUUUUUGUGUUGUUUCUACCGGUAUUGAAAGUAUGAUUUUGACACCGAUUUUAAAAAAUGUAUGGUAAAUCGAUUUAAUAUGGGUGAUAAAAUGGUUUUAUAAGUGUUACAUAUUGAUGUUAAAACUAAAAUUUGAGACCUUUUUUCUCCUUCAAAGAGAUCUAAACACUUAUAAAUCAUACUUACUUUUUCCAAAAACCGGUGGUAAAGUUUAACAGAGAGUAGUAUGAUUAGAAACCAACUUAUGACACAUUUUUUUACAUAAAAUAAGAUAUAUAACAUAUAUAUCAUAUCAAUUUUCUUUAAAAUUGAGUGUUAAAAGUUUAACGGGGUUAUUAAGUCAGAAACCAGCCUUUUACACCUAUUUGUUGAUGGUUGAUUUCAAAUGAACCAUCAACAAAUAUUAUUCUCUAAAAUGGAUGAGAAAAAUGACAUAACAUAACUAUUUAAUCAUAAAUCAAAUUGAGGUCACAUAUGACAUCUGCAAAAAAAUUAUUAUUGUUUCAACCGAUCAAAACUAAACUCACAAAUUUUAGUUUAAAUCUAACAAAUUAUACCAAAGAGUGUAAAUAAAAAUUCAAAAACAAAAUUAUACUAAAAUUUAAUUUUAAUUAAUAAUUUAAUAUUAAUUAUUAUAAAACGCCAUCUUUUAUCGAAUUCCUUGUUUCGUUCUCUUCAAGUUGAUAUUGUUCUUUAACUAUUUGCAAAAAUAAUUGAGACCAAAGUUAUCAGAUCGCUAACAUCCUUGUCAUAUGAGGAUGGAUGAUCAUAUAUCUACAAAUAUAAACAAUAAUAUAAAUUAAAUGAGAGCAUGUUAAAAUAUGAAGUGAUGUGAUUUACAUAUUAAGCAUUGAAAUCUUUUGUUAUUACCUUAUGUAAUCCUUGAAAUAUACUCGUUUGAAUAAUGUCAAACAUAUUUUUCAUUACAUAAUAACCACAAGUUUAACUAUUGUUUUUUUGAUGUGCCUACAAAUUAAAUAAAUAAAUAAAACAUAUAAUCAUAUAUAUAAUUCAUAUGAAAUAUCAAUAAAUUUAAGACAAUUAACUUACCUUGAUAAAUAUAAAAUUAGACUUUUUAUUCGUAAUAUAACCUCUCAAGAUGUUAUAACCUCUCAUAGUCCUAAUUAAAAAAUAAUAAUAUUUAACAAAAAUCUAAUUAUAUUUAGUAAACAAAUAAAGUUAAACAAUAGAAAAAUUUCAACAACAAAACCAGUAAAUGUUAAGAAUGUGUGAUUGGGCCUAACUCAACCCUACGAAAUCGGUCAGUAGAGUGAGGAUUGUCCCCACUUAUAAACAAAUGUUCAUGCCAUAUAUUGUCCGAUGUGGGACUCUUAACAUUAGAAGCACAUAUAAACAAAAAUAUAACAUGCAAACAAUUUGACAAUUUAAUUAGUAAUAUGCACUUAAACAUUCAAAUGUGGUCAUAAAAACAUUUUUUAGGAUGAUUAUACAUCUUAUUUUGUAUGAAUGUUUGCAUAACUUCAUCAGUAUGACCACCAUAUUUGUUAUUAAAUAUCCUAAAAGGAUUAAAGAAAUCAAAUUUGUCUUAAAUUUUCAGAAAAUAUUCCACACCACUACAUCCAUCAAUACGUUUAUAUCAACCUGUUUAUAUUUUUAAUUCCUAUUAUCUUUUAUAAUAUUUAGUGUAGAAAAUAAAAAAAUUUAAUAGCAUUUAAUUUUUAUUAUUAUCAUUACAAUUUUGGUUUCUAUUUAAUUUUUUUUUCAAUUAGAAAAUAAUUAAGAUUAAAUAUAUGUAGCUAAUUAAUAUAAAAUUAAUCAUUGUUAUAUUAAAUAGUGUGUAAGUCCAAUGUUCCACCCUUCUAUAUUUUUCUUUGUAGUUAGAGUCCACAACUAUAUAUAAAAUAAAUGUAAAAAAAUAAUUAACUAUUGAAAAAACAAUUAGAAAUUAUUUAUUUAACCUCACAAUUUUAAUUUUAAUUAUUUUUAUUUAUUUAAUUGAAUUGUUUGUGAAUUUUUAUUUAUUAUAUAAAAUUUUAUUUUUAUCAAGGAUCAUAUCAACUCAAAAUUUUGUAUAUGAAAUUUGAAACUAAAAAAUUAAAUAAAUAAUAGAGUUGACAUAAAAAUUUUUUUAGAUAAAUUUAUUAAAAAUAAAUGUAAAAAUAUAUUUAAAAUUUUAAAUAUUUUUUUUGCAAUAUAAAUACGUUUAAAGUGUAGAAAUUAACAAAUAUAGAUAUAAUUAAAUAAAAAAAUAAUUUAUUAAUAAAAAUUGAAGAUAACAAUAAAAAUCUAAAUGAUAAUUUAUUAGUAAGAAUUAUAUUAUCUUCCAUUAAUAAGAAUUUCAAAUAAUACUUAUAGAAUAAUAUUAUUGAUAAAAUAAUAUUAUCUUAUAACAACACAUAAAACCACAUAAAACUCAAAACAAUUAGGGCCCGUUUGAAACACUUUUUAAUUUUAGUUCUUAAAAUUUGUUUUUCAAAUCUAUUUUAAAAAAUUAUUUUUAAGAAGAAAAUUAACAAAAAAAUUUGUUUGAUAAACUAGUUUUUAAAAACUGUUUUAAAAAUAUGAAAAUAAAAAAACUUGUUUGAUAAUCUAAUCUCUUAAUAGUAUUUUAAGAAGAAAAUAAAAAUGCAUAUUUUGUCAUUUACUUUUUAAAUCUAUUUUAUUGUAUAAAAUAUUAUAAACUUAAGAAAAUUAAUUGAUAUUUGGUCGAAUACAAAUAAUUGGAUUAAAUCAAUUUUUAAUUUUACAAAUCACAUAACACUUAUUUGUAAUAAUAAUAAGAAAAAAACAAGUAAAAAAUGAAAUUCCACGUUUAAUAGAAAAAAAAAUUAUAUAGUGAAAAUAAUUAAGAAAUACAAAAAAAAUUAAGUAAAAUAAAUAAACAUAGUUGAAAAUGUUACUUAUACAUAAAAAGAGCAUAAAUAAAAGAAAUAACAUACUCUUUCAAAUACGUUUUUCUGUUUUAUUUUUAAAAUAUAAAAAUUAUUAAAAUUACAUUAAUGCUAUUAAUGAAAAUUAUAAAUUUUUAUACUUUUUCUUUAAAUUAUAUAAUACUAAAAACUAAAACACAACUAAACUGUUUCACUUUUUUACUUUUAAAAACUGAAAAAUAAAAAAGUGUUUUUAAAAACACUUUUGUAAAAUAUUAUAUUCAAACAAGUUUUUGAAUUUUAAAUUUUCAAAAACUAAAAAAGAGUUUUUAAAAUGCAUUUUAAACAGACCCUUAAUUUUCGAUUUUCGGAUUUCAUGUUUUUUUUUUAUUUGUGUGUGUUGGUUUUUCUCCUCUCAUUUAUGUUGAAGGUUGAUUGUUUUUGGUGUGUGAGUUAGUUACUUAUUGUGCCUUUCUCGAUUCUUUCAUGUAUUUGUAUUUAAGGUUUUAGUUUUCGGUAUUCUGUUUACUUUUAAAAAUAUUAAACUAUUUUUUGUGUACCAUAAAAUUAUAUAACUACUAUUAUAUUUCACAAUAUCAAGUACAUGAUUAUUAUCUAAUUUAAGAAAAAAAAUAGUGAUUCAAUUUUAAUCUUUUGUAAUCGUAAUUUAAUAUGUAGUGAAUUUUCCAGCGUCCAAACUUCUAGUUAAACACAAUUAAAGAUAUGGAUCAUCCUUAAAAAGUUUAAUUAUUUAAAAUUUUCAAAAAUUAGUAGUAUAACUAAGCCAAAACAUGACUGAUGGAACUACAGACAUUUUAAAUUUUGGAGGUCUAAAUUAUCUGACUUAAAAAAACAGAGCCUAAAUAUGCUGCAAGUCAAUGAAAGUUGAGAAGCAAAAAUAAAACAAAAACUUAUAUAAUAUUGUUAAGAAUUUGAUUUUAAAAAAUGGAAAUUUUGUAUUGUCCUGCAAUUUGUUAAAUAUAUCUAUGUACCUUUAAGCAAAAGUCAUUCAUCAUUUCCAUUUAUUUUUUAAAAAAUUAAAAUAAAAUAUGGCACAAUACUGAACAAGUGGAUGAAGCUAUAUAAAUACAACCAACCUCUAGAAUAUUCAGUAAAAUGACUGAGAGUGCCUCAAUAAAAUAAAAUCAAAUAAAUAAAUAAUUAAUUGAAAGUGGUUGCUGGAUGAAUAUUAUUGCCAAUUGCACUUAUUUUAAUUUGUUUAUUAGUACUAUUUUCAUUUUGUCGUAUGUUCUUUAUUUAAAACUUUUGAUCUGAUCCAUUAAGGUUGAAAAACACGCCAAAUUAUUUUAUUUUAUUUAAAACUCGAUCCAGCUAGAUUCUGCCUUUAUUUUUUAGUAUUUAAAACAUGUUACGGCUUAUGUGUGUUAUUUUUCCUAUCAAUAUAUUAGAAUAUCCGUGCGACACGUACGGAUAUAUUAUAUGUAUUUUUUUAAAAAUAUAAUAAAUAUAAUAAAAGUAAAUUUUAUUUAAAAAAUAAAAAAAUUCUAAAUAAAAAAUUGAUUUAAAAUAUAUAUCGUUAAUAAAAGAAAAUUUGGAUAAAAUAUAUAUUAACUUAAAUGUAAUUUAUAAAAAUGUUAUGAAAUUAUAAAGAUUAUUUGACAAAAUAAGAAAAGGUCAUGGUGAUCGAAGAUUGCUGGGUUCAUGAGAAAUCAAAAUUAGUGGGUCAUAUUGAGAAAUUGUUUGUUAAGAUAACCAUUAUUUUUAAAUUUAACCGUUAAAUAAUUAAUUUUAAAAAAAAACUAAAAUAAUCAUUAUUCUUCACUGAUGCGUCAGUUGAACUGACGCAUCCAAUUAAGCAUCAAAGGAGGUGCUAAGGAUAAUGGCGCAUGCAUGCAAUGGUGUAGCACCUAGAUAUCAUGUCUCUUGGCGCAUGCAUGCCUUGGUGCCACAUGCAAUGGUGUAGCACCUAGGCGUCAUGCCUCUUGGCGCAUGCAUGCCUCUAUGCCACAUGCAUUGGCGCAUACAUACACUACAUAGUGUAUGCGCCAACGCAUGUGGCGCAUGCACCUUUAAUUUAUUUAUUUUUUAAAUUUAAAUGUUAAUUUAACAAAUAAAUAAAAACAAUACUGAAAAUAAAUAUUAUAUUUAUGUUAUAAUGAAAAAUUACAUGGAAUUAACAAAAAAUUCAAUGACCCGCCCGAUUGAAACGUCCCCUUGUUCCACAUCCAAGUGUGUUAGUCUGUCUUUGAGUGCUGACAUGAUCCAAUGGUGGCUGGUGUGAAUGUUCGGUAAAAGAUCCAACGGUAUUUGAUAGAUAUGUCAUCAUUUGUUCCCAAUAGCUGGGGGGUUCUCGCUAACGGCGCUUCCGUAAUUGAGUUUGGUGCCCAUGUUGUCGUAGUUGGAUCGUUGUGGUUGGGUGAAUUGUGGACGAUAUGGUUGUCCGAAUUGAGACAUUGAAUCGGUUUGGAAACGAAUCAAUGGUUCCUGGGAUGUACUAUAGUCAAACAAUGAUUUAGUGUUGUGGCGAUGAGAUGUUUCGGUGGUCAUUGGUGGGGGCCUACGAUGACAUGAAUUGUAUGAAUCAUCUGGGUUAUAUACUGAUGUGGUGGCUGUGUAUGGUUGUUGGUGGGUAGGGUUUGAUUCUUGGUUUUGAGGUUGGGUGUGUGGCAUGAAUGGGUUGCAAGGUUGGGUGUUUCGUUGUUUGGUGUAUAUGGUAGGGUGAUGGUGUGAGGUUGAUCAUUGGGUUUGGGUGGGUUGACAUUGUUCUUGGACGGGGACUUGUUGUUGGGCGUAUGAUGACGAAGCUAGUUAGCGUGAAUCAAUCAAAUACAUUGGCUCAGACACAAAUUAUGGCGUUGUAACUGACCUAAACUAUGCCAUAUACUAUUGAGUUGUUCUAGCACCCUGUAUGACUGGUUCGUUUAAGAUCUGUUGUCGUUGAUUCCUCCAAUGACGACACAUCUCUUUUGCGAAGUCUCUCCAGUCGGAAUAAUCUCAUUGGGCAUCGACCCUUUUUUGAUGUCAAUCUCCUAAACACGUCGGAGGUUCUGGAAUUUGUGGCUGCAUGCCGAACUGCAGUUUUACCCGGUCACUCUGGUGCAUAUCCACAGUAGUGAACCGGAUAAUUGAUGUUUUUGAUGUCCAAACUGCAUCAUCAUGGUUAACCUGAUGAUCAAGACCUAGAUAUGGCCUCCAGAUAAACUAUACAAGAAUACAACAUGAUUAGAUGAUAAAUAAUUUGAUAAUUAUUUUAAAUCAAAAUAGAGUUGUGUAGGAGUAUUACAUCGUCUGGCCCAAUGUGGUCCAAUAGAUUGCGAUGGACUACUAUAGCGUGUUUCAGACACCUGUUGUAGUUCAUCCCUCUAACUGACCACCUAGAUCAAAAACAUUUGAAAAAUAUUAUUUACAGUUACUUGUAAUAUAAAGUCUAAUAAUUAGAUGGUAAAGUUUUAAACUUACUUUGUUGCAUACGGGAAUAUGAAUGACUUCUCAUUUACCGGGACGAGUGACGACAUUCUUGCAAUCCCAUGCUUGUAGCAAAUAUGCGCAAGAGUAAAACAUAAAAGUAUUUUUUUUUGGCAUUUUUACACAUCACACUAUAUAUAUGGGUCAAUACCGAAGGUGAUCAGUGCCCAUACCGAAGGUGAAAUAUUUGAGCAUCAAUGAUUUGGUUUUUGUUUUCACAACACAAAAGUAACUCGGUUUACAAUAAAUCGACGAUCAAAUUUUUCACAUUUGAAACAAAGAAUAGAAAAUAAAUUGCAAUGUAGUCAGGUGGGCCAAAUUAUCUAUAAAGAUCCGGUGUGGUUUGUAGACAACCAGCUAAAGUUUAAUCAGUUGAAGAUUCAAUAUGAUGACGAUGUUCAUCAUAUGUUUGUCAGUCAUGAACAAUAUGGGUACAAUGAUAUAGAGUUAUAUAUAUUACCACAAAAAAAAAAGUGUCUCAGUUCAUUGAUCAGUCACAAGUGUUUUGUGAAACUGAUGACGACGAACAAGAUGAGGUCAAUGUUGUAGAUGAGGAAGAAGAAGAAGCUGAGUUAUUGGUUGAUUCAAUGGUGAAUGAUAAAGAAGAAGAGGAACCAUUACCAGCUAGUCAUGUAUAUUGUCCACCUUAACACACGACAAGCUUGAAUUUGGGUGCCGAUGAACCUUCAUCAGAUACAUUUUACAAUCCUUAUGUGCAAAUUCAAGGAUCAUUGAAAGAAGGAGACACAUUUCGUACAAAAGAAGAUUGUGUAAAAGCUAUUAAAAAGUAUCACAUGGAUCUAUCAGCUGAUUACAGAGUUGGUCGAACUAAUGCAAUGAGGUACAAGAUUUAUUGUCGAAAUGAGCACUGCCUUUUCAGGUUGUCAACUUCGUACCGGAAGAGGAGUGAUUCUUGGGAGAUUUGAUCCAUGGGUCCAGUUCACACAUGCAUGCUCACGAACCCAAUACAGGACCAUUGGAAACUUAGCUCUCAGUUAAUAUGCGAUGAUAUUUUGUCUAUCAUUAGCGAUAAUCCGUUGUUAAAGGUGAGUACAAUAAUCUCGCAUUUUGUAAUACAAUACAACUAUACUCCAUCAUACAGGAAGGCUUGGAUAACUAAGACAAAGGCGAUUGAAAAAGUGUAUGGCAAUUGGGAGGAGUCUUACAAACAACUUCCAAAAUACUUGGUGGCUCUUAAACACUAUGCUCCGGGGACUAUUGUCAAGUUGGAAACGUUGUCAGCGUAUACCCUAGACGAGACUUGUACUAUUGGAAAUGGAAUAUUUCACCGUCUCUUCUGGGCGUAUCAACCAUGCAUCAAAGGUUUGCUUUCCAUAAACCUAUUAUACAAAUUGAUGGUACAUGGUUGUACGGGAAAUAUAAAGGAACGUUACUGAUGACAGUGGCAAAAGAUGGCAACAAUAACAUUUUUCCAAUCGCCUUUUCCCUAGUUGAAGGGGAGACUAUUGAGGAUGAAGUUUUUUCCUAAGAAAUCUCCGAUUGCACGUUGCUCCUAAACCUAACUUAUGUUUGAUCUCUGACUGACACCCUUCAAUAGUGAGUGCAUACAAUUUUUUUGAUAACGGUCGAUAGGAUCCUCCGUCGAUGCAUGUCUUCUGCAUUAGACAUAUCACUCAAAAUUUUAUGCGGGAGAUCAAAGACAAAAUGUUGCGGAAGAAGGUUGUCAAUGCAGGUUACGCAUUAACAGAAUCUUAUUUCAAACACUACUGUGAAGACAUCAGAUUGUCAAACGCAUAUGCAGUACGGUGGAUCGACAAUAUUCCAUUAGAGAAGUGGACUAUGGCAUACGACAACGGUCAACGUUGGGGCCACAUGACAACAAAUCUUGUGGAAUCAAUGAACUCUGUCUUCAAAGGCAUAUGAAACCUACCUAUAACCGCUUUAGUGCAAGCAACAUAUUCUAGGCUAGGGGCAUUGUUUGAGACCAGACGUUCCAAAUGGAGUUCAGUGUUGCAAUCUGUGCAGUUGUCCAGUGAUGCUUCAAUGAAAUUCAUUAGACACGAAGCUGCCAAAGGUAACACACACGUGGUCACGGUGUUUGACUGUACUAAAGGUUGGUACAGUGUUGUUGAGUACAUGGAUCACAAUGAAGGCACGCCGAUGGGACAAUACAUAGUGGAACUAGAUAGAAGUUGGUGCGAAUACCUAAAGUUCCAAGCCUUUCGUAUGCCCUGCUCCCAUGUCAUUGUGGCAUGUUCAAAGGUUCGAAGGGAUCCAUCCUACUUACUAUCUGAUGUUUACAAAGUCUUAAGCCUAUCCAAUAUUUACAAAUUUAGUUUUUCAGUUGUUGCAAUAAAGGAUUACUGGCCUGAAUAUCAAGGGGACAUUCUAUGGCACAAUGAAGUUAUGCGAAGAAAGAAAAAGGGUUACCCAAACAGCACCCGUAUUCGAACCGAAAUGAAUACGGCGAACAAAAUGGUUCAAUUAUGUAGUUCAUGUCGUCAGCCAAGUCACAAUCGUAUUAAUUGUCCUAGUGUUGGAACGAGCACAACAAGAUAAUUUUACAUGUACCUCUUUUUCUUUAUAUUAAAAAUAAAAUUUAUUUCAUAUGAUAACUUUGUGAGGAAAUAUCAUCACAAAAAAAUACAACACAUUUAACACACAAGCAACACAUAAACAACAACACAAAAAACUACAACAAUUAAAAUACCAUUACUAUAACUAAGUGAUUACAACCAUUAAAACAAUUUUGAACAUAUUAUGCAUCAUCCUGUGAACGUCUCUGUCAGUCCUAAUAUCCACCCGUUCACGCACUUCUCCAUUUUCGUUGAACGUGAACUCAAUCCAUUGAGUUCUUCUAAUCCUUUCACCAUAUGCAAUUUCUCCAUAUAACCAAUGGUUCAACGUCCAAUUAAUACGUCCAAAUGAAUCUAUAUUCCAAUGUCGAAUCUUUAUCGGAGGUGCGACUGCUGAAAAGAUUAAAUCGACAUUUCUCUUGUAAAUGUAUUCAGGCAUGAUUAAAGAAAACAAAAUUGAAGGUGAUUGAAAAAAUUGAAGGAAAAUGGAAGAGGGUAAGAAGUUGUGUGAAAUAUGGAGAUGUGAGGGUGGUAUUUAUAGAAGAAGAAAACCAUGCAUGCACCAAAGCAUUGGGCUCCACACACAUACACACACACAAGCAUGCACCAAUGCAUGUGGCGCAUACACACAUGCACGCAUGCAUGCCCAAUGCAUGUGGAGCCUACAUGCAUUGGUUUUACAUGUAUGCGUCAAGGCUAAUGGCACAUACUCUCUAGCUUAUUUGGAUGUGUUAGUUCAACUGACGCAUUAGUUGAGAAAGGUGGUUAUUUUGGUAUUUUUUUUAAAAUAGGUUAUUUAGGGAUUUAAAUUGAAAUUAGUGGUUAUUUAAAAAAAUAAAUCCAUAUUGGGCCAUAAGUAUUAUAAGAAUUGUUGGGCCCAUGAGAAAUAUAUGUUAGCUUAGGAUUUUAGUAGGUAAGUAUUUUUGUAAUUAUACAAAACAUAGUUUCUGUAAUGACGUCUCAGAACCCAUCAAUGGGUAGCAACACUAUGAGUGAAAAAAGAGAAAAUGAGAGGAUCGGCGAAACACUGAUGAUUGCUUCUGAGAAGAUCGAAGACACGCGCAAAAGGUAAAUAGUCACCUGAAUUAAGUUAUGUAUUUCGUAAAGAACUGCAUAAAGGUUAUGCAUGUUGAAAAAUGUUAUGGUUUGGUAACGUUUUUUUCCUGAUGUUGCAUGUAUGUUGUAUGUUGAUGCAGUUCAUUGAAUCCUAUAUCAUGUUUCCUGAGUAUUACAUCAAACAUUAUUUUCCCAAAAAAUGAACCGUUCAGGAAAGAAGAAACAUUGAAAGGGUAAAUGAAAUUCCUGUGAAAUAUAUGUUUGGUAAAUAGUCGAUUGAAAAAUUAUUGCAUGUUAACUUCUGACAGUUUUAUAAUUUAUUGUUCAAUGUUGCGUGAAUGUUGGGUCUUGAUGCAGGUCAUCAUCGACGAAGUCGCAUAUCUCGAUAUCAUAUGAUAGUAGCAGGUAAGACAAAAUAGGUUAUUUAUGAUAAUAGAUGCUAAUAAUGGUAUUAGCAUAGUGUGCUGAUUGCAGUAUGUAUGGUUAGAAGAUAAAAUAUGAAGUAUUUAUGACACUCAUAACAUGUAUUGAGAAAUAUGAAGUAUAUUUAUUUAUCAGAAUUGAAAUCUAUCAACAUUAAACAAUGAAGGUAUGUUUGGGAAAUUCCUCUUGUUAAAACAAAAGUUGGAUGUAAUCUUCCUCCUGAGACGUUUAGUCUUUAAAUAUGAGUUAGGCUCUGAUACCACUUAUUAGACACAUGAUUCCAUACACAAGAGAAGGGUGAAUUAUGGAGGUUUGAAAAUCUUUGAUUUAAAACAAAUUCAUUUUUGAAAUACGAGUUUUAAAACAUUUCUUUAAAAUCGUUUGAAUAUGCAACGAAAAUUCAAGGUAAAUAAAUUAAGUGGAAAAUAAAAGAGAUAAGGGAAGAGAGAACAACACUCAAAAUUUAUAGUGGUUUGGUCUAAAGAAGUGACCUACUACUUGCCCAAAGAACUGGUCUUAAGAGUAUCCCCUACUGCUUGAGGGAUAUUAUAAGGAUAAGCCCAUGAAACCACUUAUACAAGGAAAUGAAGUUUUCAGACUAACUUUCAACUAAACAACAAAAUGAAGCUUGAACCGACAUUUUUACCGAGUUAAUCUCAAACCUACUAAGAUUUUACACAAGAUAAACUAAGAAACUGAGUAAGAUUUUAUACCAGGCUGAUCUCAAACCAAUAGAGCUUUUGACCAAGCUGAGCUCAAGAACCAUUUUGAAGAAUUUUCAUUGGUUUUUCUUCACGAACCCAAAAGAGAGGUUUUAUUUAAUGGUGGAGCUCAAUAACCAAACAAAAACUUAUUCUAAUCCCCCAAAGACACACAAAGAGAUUUUACAGUGGCUUAACUCCCAACCAAAAUAAUCACUUCUUAUGGAAGAAUGAUUUACUCAAGAAAAAAUACAACUCUUGGUAAAUUUAUAAUAAAGCCCUCACCUGUAACAAAUUACUCACUAAACUCAAAAAUGCUCUCGAAUCACUAUAGCUAAAUUAUGUGAAAAAGUAGAAAUGAUUUAGAGAGAUUACGAGAGAAACAGAAAUUAAGGUAUUUUCCAUUUUUGGGAUGAUUUGAAAUGAUUGAGAGGCUAUAUAUUUAUAGGCCAAGAAAUGGUGUAAUUUUGGAAACAAUACAUGAGCCAAAAUAAAUAACCUAAUUGAUUAGGCCAUGCAAAUAAUCGAUUAUUUAUUCCCAAAUUAGAAGGUUUUUAUAGACAUUCGUUACCAAUCAUUAAGAGAAUGCCAAUCGAUUAUAGACUCAAUUUUGAUUAGACAGUUUCAGAAAGUCUUCUAAUAAUUGAACAAUUUCCUAGUCAACUCACUAGGCUCCAAAACAUUUUUAGUGAUUUACCCAUACUACUUCCAGAAACGCCAUCGUGUCUUUAAAAUACACUGAUCAUUCUGACGGUCACAAUCAGAUGAACUUUCACACUUCCUUUAUUUCAAACUCUGAAGCUUUCAAGUUUCUUUAUCGGAUAUACCAAUCAUACAAGCACUUCAAUGGAAUCUUAAAUCUUCUAUUAGAUAUCUUUAACUAAAUUUCCAUCAUUAGAGAGUUGUAAAGAUAUCAUUGGUGAUCAUAAACCCCAAUUCUUCAUUUAGCUAACUUUUUUUGAAUUGGAAGGAUAAUUUGAUCUUGAUCAACCACCUUAUGUAUCUUUGACCGUUUGAGUUGGCUUUAUUAAUUGCUUUACUUCAUGCAUUGUUAUCAUCAAAACCACUUCAAUUCUUUUACUACUUCAAGUGUUGUCAUUAUCAAAACUAAACAUUUUCUUCUUGAGUCUUGUUAUCCAUGAGCUUUAUCAUCUUGGAUCUCUUCUUAAUUAUACCUGCAAGCACGUUGAUCCACAAUUUUUUUGGAGAGCAUAUACCAAUUUUUUAAUGGGAACUAAUAAUUGCAUUUAAAUCUAUAUCAUGCACCAAAGGGUAGAAUUGACCUGUUGAAGAUUGGUAAGUUCACUUCAAACCAUCUUCGAAUCACAUGUGAGUUAUUUGCAUAUACAACUGCAAUAAAGAAUUUAGUUUGAUCCACUUCUAUAGAAAAAGUUACAUGUUGUUCAGAUAAAAUCAAUAUAGAGGGAUUCAUAUAUAUAUAUAUAUAGCACAAAAAGCCCAUAUGUUUCAACAAUAAAAAAUAAGUCAAGCUUUUGUUGAUCACAAAGGUUUCUAAUAGCACACAUGGUAUCAAGAUUUCUUACUCCUCUAGCAUUUAAAUAAAUAACUUUCCAUUAGUGGUGUUGGGUUUACCCGACAUGGAUCAGGUGUUAGUUUUCAUUAUAGGAUAAGUAAGUUAUGCCUUCUUCUACCUUUUUCUACCAAGGUAAAUUCUUUCCAAUGUGGCUCAGGAAAAUUGUCUACACCACUUAUCAGUGGUAUUUUGACUAGGUUUUUAGUAUGUUUUGUUUGUGAUUCUUAGGAAGCCUAUCUUCAUUUUUGUGCACUUUUAUGCAUGUUUGCAUUUUUUUGUUUCUUUUUCAGGUAAUAAGAAACUUAUGGGACAAAAUAGGAGUGAAAUGGUCAAAUAAUGCGUUACAAAUGCGUCAUCAAGUACAAAUUUCCCGCAACCAACGCAGUUUGGCCAUGUCAUCUAACAUGGACCGUGUUAGCCAUAUCACCAGCUCCAAAACAGCUGCGCCCACUUUGCAAAAUAACACACCCAUUCAAAACAGUUGGACCCCCCAUGCAAAAUUAACACACACAUGUCAGGCCCUCUUUCAGAUGCGCGCUUUUGGUUGUUCGUAACAUUUUUCUGACCUUUUGUGAUUCCAAACUGUUCCAAUGUAAGACUUAAUGCUCUUUACUGAUACUUAUGCGAAUUUAGGGAUCUUGAUUGUAAUAAUUCAGUAUAAGUAGAAUAGGAUUCCUGGGAGAAGAGGACAGUAUGCCCUAGUUUAGAUUGCAAGUUCUUAUUUUCUACAAGUUUAUUUUCUUCUGUAAGUUUAUUUCAAUUCCAAGUUGAAGUACUAUCUCCAUUGGAGUUUUCUUUAAUUCAUGCAUUCUAUUUCUUUUAACCCAAGUUUUAGUUAUUCACAUAUUAUUAUCAUUUUAUAUUGUUGAUCAUGUAUGCAAUAUAUGUUUUGUUUGUUGUCGUUAUUUCCAUAUAUGAGUUGUCAAUUAAGAGUUUUGGGUGAUGAGGACUGCCUCAUUAUAACCCUCAUGUAGACACCUAAAUAUUUUGUUAUAAGAACUUAGAAAAGUUCGUUUCGAUAUUUUUGAUCUUAAAUAUAUUUGAUUUCCAUGUGAAAGUACGAAUACCAUAUAUAUCAUUUAUAAAAUGAAAGGGUGUAGCACGAUAUCAGAAUUAGAAACACUGAAUUGUUGGACGAAGGCGACGAAAGUGUCUCAAAAUUCCAACAGAGAAAAUGAUUUUACUUUUGGAAGCUUUUAAAACGAACUCUGAACAAAUAAUCUAUGCUGACAAAAGUGGGUAGCGUAAUCGAUUAGAGCAAGACAACACACCGAAGAAUGUUGGUGUUGUAUACCUUUUCCAUUUUCUACGAAUUUUACUUUAUCUUUUAAUAAAUUAGGGUUUGAAAGGGGAUUAGAUACAUGAAUUAUAGUUCUAAACUCUUCUUAAUUCAAUUAUUUUAUUUGCAAAAGUAAAAAUCAUUCACAUCCCAAUAUCGAUCGGCUUAGUUUUACACGAUAUGAUAGAAAUCAGAAGUUAAAUAAUUGGUCUUUAAGUUUGACAACCUAUUUUACUACUUCGAUAAUUUUAUGCGAUUGUGGCCCGUCAAGUUUUUGGCGUUGUUGCUGAAGGUGUGAAAAACACAAGAAAGGGGGAUUUGAAUUAGGUUUUCCAAGCAAAAUCUUUUUCCAACACAAGAACACCACUAACAAGUUAAUAACAAAGAGAUAAAAACACAAGUAUUUUUAUCCUGGUUCGCUUGAAACUCAAAGCUACUCCAAUCCACCCGCCAAGGUGAUUUUUCCUUAUACACAAGGACUUAAUCCACUAUAAUCAACAGAUUGUAAUAAUCACAAAGAAUAACCUGCAUUGUCUUCUCAAGUAUCCAACUAUACCCUAGUCUCCUUAAGGACUCACAAAGAACAACAUUUUUUGUCUUCUCAAGGAUAACCUCCUCAAUGAAUCAAACAACCAAUUUGAAUAAUAUUUUUGUGUGUUACAAGAUGCUUCUAUUCAAGCAGAUUUUACACAAAUGAUAAACAAAUACUUAAAGAAAAAUUGUAUAGAAAAACGAUAGCUUUUCAAAUAAACUUUGUCAUGUUUUUACAACACUUCAGUAUUCUUCUAUAUGUGUAUAUUCUUCAAUUCUUCAAGUCUCCAAGUCCCACUUAUAUAGCAUAAGGAGAAGACUAUUGGAGAGAAAAUGGGAAAAACUCAUAGAGCGAUUAUCCACUAUUGGAUGGUGAAAGGAGUGAUAUUACGUACUAUCCUUCGCCCACAAAAUUAGUGACAUGUGUGAUGUAUAGUAAUGUCCUUGCCCACCAAAUUAGAUAGUGGAGAGAAUAUUUGAUUUGUACUAUGUACUAUUUGAUCACGUUCCUUUUUGAUCUUAUCUUCAAGUUCAUUGGCUUCUGAUGAAAGUUGAUGAAGCAUGAAAUGAAGAAACAUAGAGUUAGAUUUAGAAACUUCAAAAUCUUUGGUCAGAACCUUGACAACAUCAGUAAUCUAGCUUGAGAUCUUCAGUAUCUUCAAAAUCUUCAAAAUCUACAGUCAGAACCUUGAUAACUUCAAUCGUCUAGCUUGAGAUCUUCAGAGUCUUCAACUACAAAACAUAACUUCAGAAGCUUAUCAUUCUUCAGAAGUUUGGUGAUCAGAGUCACAUCCAUAAGCAUGAACUAAGAGAACAUUGCAACAACAACAUAGUGUCUCCUCAGAAGCUUCUCAUGUGUGAAUCAACACAGAAGUAUAAAGAUUAUUGCAGUAUCAAUAUUGAAUAUAUUUCAUAACUUCUAAUAGCCGACGCAUAAGCGGAUUUGGAACUCACUGUUCAUAAACUAACGAAGUUGCAUGUCAUAAUUCAGAAUCAGAAUUGGUUGUUAAAGCUACACAAUAACAAACCAUUAGGGUACCAAAUUUAUUCUCACACAAAUACAACAUUGUUAUCAUCAAAACUCAAGGUAUAAAUGCAUAACCAAAUCUUGUUAUAAUAAUCUCCCCCUUUUUGAUGAUGACAAAACAUGUAUUUUAAUGAACAAUUUUUUACAAGGUAGUCACAGAAGAAUAUAUCUUACAGAAGCACAAAGCUCCCCCUGAGAUGUAUAAUCCUAAAAAGAUAAAAUCAGAAUGAAAGAGUACUUUCCAGAUUAACCUUUUUGAAGUACUAGAGUAAAUUUUCAAUCAGAAUCUAGUUUAUCUUCAGAAGUUGAUUGAUGUUGUCUAGAGCACUGGUUUGAUUAACAUCAACACUCUGAUUAGCUUCACUUCAGAAGCUUGGUUCAAUUCUUUUUGAAGAAACUUUAGAGCAGUUGUCUUCAGUCAGAACUUGAAAUCUGGUUCUCUUGAAAUUCUCUUAGAGCUAGAUUGCUUUUGAAGAGAAGAACUUUCAGAAUCUGUUUGAGAUAAAGAACUUUUAGAAUUGAGAAUUCUUAUCAAGAACUUGAUUGCAUAGUCUGAUUACUCUGGAGAAAAUGUUUCCUCAUAGCUAGAUGUAGAUGCCCAAGUUCUCUAAAAAAUAAUUUCAGAAGAACUUGAUGCCAAGUACUGAAAAUUCUAAGUUCAGAACAUGGUUAAACAUAACUCUGCAAAACAUUUAACAGACUAUUCUUCGAAGUAGUUGUUAGCAGAAAACAUUGAACAAUGUUUGGGUUUUUUAGUUAGGAAUUUAGGUACAUCAAAAAUAAUUACUCAUCUUCCCCUUAGAUAUGUUUCUCUCCCUUUGUCAUCAAUCAAAAAGACAUAGACAAGUAAUAAAAGAAAUAUGGAAAAAACAAAAGAAAAAUUUUCAUUGAUAAAUGCCAAUAGGCAGAGAAGAUACAAACAGAAGCAGAGAUGGAAAUACAGAGAAACACAAUAGAGAAAAGCAACAUGUAUUUUGAUGAACAUAAAAUCACACACACACUUAGAUAGAAAUAAAAAAAAACACACGUGUGAAGACACUUUUGAAAAACUAAAGGUUUUGGGAAGGAGGAGGAGGUGGAAGAACGACUGGGUAGGCAUCGGGGAUAUUUAAGGGAUCCACCAAAGGAUCAAUAUCAUCUUCAAGACAAAUCUCCAUGUAGUAUGCUAAAAAUUAUGAUGGCUCGAUCUUUGUGAAGAUAUGAUAGUUUUUCGACAAAAUAUUACUACCGUUGAUUUCUUCUUUGGAUGGAGGUGUGCUUUCAAAAGUGACAGGCCUAGGAGGAGAUCUAGGCUGAGCUAGUUGCAGUUGUUGAAACUGUUGUUGAAUCUGUUGUUGAGUCUGUUGUUGAGCAUCCAUUGUUGGAGUUGAAUGAGAUGAAGAACAGUUGAAGAGAUGGGUGUUUUAGUUUGAAAACUGAAAGUGUGGGAAUAUUAUGCGCGUAGUGUGAAAAUGUGAGUGAAUUGGGUUUAUAUAAAAAUUUGCACUGAUGACAAUUUGAAAAUACGCAGUCAUAGAGGGAAGCGUAAAAGUUUAACCUAAUUCUAAGAAUUGUGAAACCCAAUGUGUCACGCUUUGAUCACGCAUACUCAGAAAGUGGGACAACUGUCACCACUUAGAACCACAUGAAAUCAAACGAUAUGACAACCAUUUAAUGCAACAGCUGUUCAGAAUCAGGUAGAAAAAUCGAUUAGAUUUCUUCUAAUUAGAACCUUUCUGAUUCAUGAAAACUUCCUUACUUCAGAAAGCUCAUUUUUCAGAGUUAACAAAAACAUUAUCAGAAUCUAAUCUAGAGUUCGGAAGACUUAAACAUUCUGAAAUACAUCUUUUCAUUCUGGACAUAAAUCCAUAAAUAAGUUUUUCAAAAUGAAAAUGAAUCUAUCUUCAGCAAGGGGUUUUGUAAAGAUAUCAGCCCAUUGAUGGUUUGUAUAAACAAAUUUUAGAUAAAAAAUACCCUUCUGAACAUAAUCACGUAAAGAAUGAUGUUUAAUUUCAAUAUGCUUAGCCCUUGAAUGCAAGAUAAGAUUCUUAGAUAAACAAAUAACAGAAGUAUUAUCACAGAGAAUAGGAAUGUUACUCUCAGAUAUUUGAUAAUCUUUCAGCUGACUCUUCAUCCAGAGUAUCUGAGUGCUGCAUCCAGAAGCUGCAAUAUAUCCAGCUUCAGCUGUUGAAAGCACAAUUGUUGACCGUCUCUUACUGGACCAUGAGAUCAAGUUAUCUUCUAGAAAUUGACAACUUUCAGAAGUAUUUUUCCUUUCUAUUCUGUCUCUAGUAUAGCCAGCAUCACAAUAGCCUACUAAUUUGUAUUCACUUGAUUUUCUAUAAAACAAACCAAGGUUGGUAGUACCUUCCAAAUACCUAAAGAUUAUCUUAACAACAUUUAAGUGAGUUUCCCUAGGAUCUGAUUGGAAGUGAGCAGAUAAGCAGACACUGAAUAAAAUAUCAGGUUUAUAAGCGGUUAGAUAAAGGAGAGAUUCUAUCAUACCUCUAAAUAGCUUCUAAUUUACCUUACUGCUUACCUCUUCUUUCUCUUGAAUACGUGUAAGGUGCAUUGAAGUCUUUGCUUGCUUACAUUCUGAUAAGUUAAACUUCUUCAGAAGUUCCUUUGCAUAUUUCCUCUGAUGAAUGUACAUUCCUUCUGAUCGUUGAUCAAUCUGAAUUCCCAAAAAGAACUUGAGUUCUCCCACCAGACUCAUUUCAAAUCCUACUUGCAUUGACUUAGCAAAAUCCUUGCACAACGAAGCAUUAGAAGAACAAAAAAUAAUAUCAUCAACAUAAAUUUGCACAACUAGAAUAUCAUUCUUAAAGGUUUUGCAGAAGAGAGUUGUGUCCAUUUUCCCUCUAGUAAAAUUAUUUUCCAAAAAGAAGUUAAUUAGUCUAUCAUGCCAAGCUCUAGGAGCUUGUUUCACCAUAUAACGACUUUUUUAGUUUAAAAACAAAGUCAAGAUUUUGAGGGCUUUCAAAACCAGGAGGUUGAUGCACAUAUAGUUAUUCAUAAAUAUAUCCAUUUAAGAAUGCACUCUUAAUAUCCAUCUGAUAAAGAAUGAUGUUAUGAUUGACUGCAAACGAAAUUAAAAGACGAAUGGACUCUAACCUGGCAACUGGAGCAAAGGUUUCUGUAUAUCUAUAACUUCUUGCUGACUAUAACCUUGUGUUACCAGUCGAGCCUUGUUUCUGACAGCCUCACCUUUCUCAUUAAGCUUGUUUCUGAAGAUCCAUCUGGUUCCAAUGACAUGGAAGCCUUUUGGUUUCUGAAUAAGAUCCCACAUGUUGUUUUUGGGGAAUUGGUUCAGUUCUUCUUGUAUAGCCAGAAUCCAUUAAUUAUCCAAAAGAGCUUCAUCAAUAGAUGUAGGUUCUAUAAGAGAUGCCAAACCUAGAAGAGACUCUUCAUAAGGUUUGAAUGAAGAUCUAGUUUCGACUGAAGCAUUUUUAUCUCCUAGAAUCAGCUCUUCAGAAUGAGGGAUUCUUUAUCUACUCUUCUAUUGAUGAGUUGGACCAACACAAACUUCUGGUUGAGUCAUAUCUGAGUUGUUUUCUUCAUAUUCUUUAGCUUUGCCUUCUAAGUCUUUUUCUUCAUAAUCAGUAUCCUUGGAUUCUAAAAGAUUGAUCUUAAAAUCUGCAAAUUUCUCAACUAGUUUUGACUUUUCAGGGUCAAGCUUAUCAUUGAAUCUAACAUGAAUUGAUUCUUCAACAAUUCGUGUUUCUGUGUUAAAGAUUAUGUAGCCUUUAGAGCGUUCAGAAUAUCCUAACGAUAAACAUGUUUGUGCUUUAGAAUCAAACUUGCCCAUAUUCUCUUUAGUAUUCAACAUAAAACAUUCACAUCCGAAAGGGUGAAAGUAAGAAAUGUUGGGCUUUUUGUUCUUCCAAAAUUUAUAAGGACUUUUACCCAGAAUAAGUCUAAUAUAAAUCCUGUUAUGAAUAUAACAUGAUGUGUUAACUGCUUCUUCCUAGAAAUGCUUAGCCAUGUUAGUUUCUUGGAUCAUGGUGCAUGCCAUUUCUUGCAAAGUCAUAUUCUUCCUUUCUACAACUCCAUUUUGCUAUGGAGUUCUAGGACAAGAGAAAUAAUGAGAAAUACCAUUUGAAUCAAAAAGAUUUUCAAAAAUAUUAUUUUCAAAUUCACCACCAUGAUCACUUCUCACUCUGACUAUUUUGCAAUUCAUUUCUGUUUGCACUAGUGAGUAGAAAGUAAAGAACACAGAAUGUGACUCAUCCUUGUGUUUUAAGAAAUUUACCCAUGUCCAACGACUAUAGUCAUCAAUGAUGACUAAUGCAUACUUCUUUCCAUUGAUAGAGGCAAUUUUCACUGGUCCUAACAAAUCAAUGUCCAUAAGUUCUAACGGUCUAGAGGUAGAAAUAAUAGUUUUCGCUUUGAAAGAUGUUUUAGAAAACUUUCCUUUAUGACAUGCUUCACAAAGAGCAUCAGAAGCAAACUUAAGGUUGGCUAAGCCUCUGACUAAUCCAAGCUUAUUUAGCUAAGAAAUCAUUCUCAUGCUAACAUGUCCCAAACGUCUGUGCCAUACCCAUUGCUCCUCAUUCACAGACAUUAGACAUUUUCCAUUUUGAUCCUCAAGAUCAGAAAGUCUAAUUUUAUAAAUGUUGUUCUUUCUCUUUCCGUUAAAAAGGAUUGUACCAUCUUUUUGACUAACAUCUUUACAUGAAUUUUGAUUAAAGAUGAUAUCAUAACCAUUGUCACUAAGUUGACUAAUAGAUAAUAGGUUAUGCAUCAGACCAUCAACUAAAAGAACAUUAGUAAUAUAAGGAAGUUUACCAUUACCAAUAGUUCCAGAGCCAAUGAUCUUUCCUUUCUGGUUUCCUUUGAAACCAACGAAGCCUUCAGGCUUAAGUUCCAAAUCUUGGAACAUAGACCUUAUGCCUGUCAUAUGUCGUGACUGGUGUUUCAGCUGAGCUGCUAACGUUGUCUGCAAAUAAAUGAUUUUAUCCUUAGGUACUCACUUUCUGGGUCCUCUCUUGUUAGUUUUUCCAGAGUUUCUUACAACUUUGGAUAUUUUAGUAGAAGGAUAAUCAUGGGGAAUUUAUGCAUGAUUGUUAGGUUUCUGAACUGAGUUCUUGUCCUUUGUGUGUUUUAUGUAUGUACAGAACUAUCAAGCUCAGUGCCAGCAGGCACGAAAUACACAUAGAGAGGUUUUGGUUUUACCUUCUGACUUUCAUUACGUUUUAUAGUUUUUGUACAACCUAAAAAUUUCUUUCCAUUUCCGCUAACUCCAUAGAUCAAGGAAGUCAUUUUGCUUCUAUCUAUGCUUUUAGCUAAAAAGCACUGGAAUGCUCUGUCAUAUCUAAUGACACAAUCAGUACUAGAAGCUUUUAAGACUAUUUCCUCGUCUAGUUUUGAAAAUUUUCUUUUCAAAACAUAGUUGUUACUUUCUAAAGAAAAUACUUUUUCAUUUAGAAAGGAAAUAUAUUUCUUAAGCUCACUGCGAGUUUUAGAAGCGCUUCUUUAAGGUCCUUGUAUUUACUCUGAAAACUCUGGUACUUUUCCAGCAUUUCAGAGAGACAUGAUUCAAGAUCAGAACGAGAUAGGUUAGAAAUACCUCUUUAGAAUCGGAGUUGGAUUAUUAUUCUGAUAAUACCUUGUCUUCUGGUUCUUCAGAACCUUCUGGAUCAUCUGUAGUUGCCAUCAAUGCAACGUUAGCUUUUUCUUCGUCAGAAUCUUCUUCUUCGGAUUUUGAGUCAUCCCAUGUGGCCAUCAAACCCUUCUUGCCUUUGGAAAAGUUCUUCUUAGGCCUUCUGUCCUUUUUCAGCUUUGAACAAUCAUUUUUGUAGUGGCAUGACUCCUUGCACUCAAAGCAGAUAACUUCUUUUGCAGAACCUUGCUUCUUCUGUCCAGACGAAGAAUGAAAACGACCAACAUUCCUUUUGUCUCCUCUAAACUUUCCUUGACCAUUUUUCGUGUGUUUCUAGAGUCGGUUGACUCUCUUUGAAAUUAGAGAUAACUCAUCAUCAUCUUAUGAGUCUUAAUUAGAUCCUUCCGAUUCUUCCUCGGCUUGAUAAGCUUUUGCCUUCUUAGGCUUAGACUUUAGAGCAACAGAUUUACCUCGCUUCUGAGGUUCAUCUUCCCCGAGCUCAAUCUCGUGGAUUCUUAAAGAACUAACAAUUUCUUCAAGACCGACAUUGUUUAGAUCCUUUACGAGCUUCAAAGAAGUUACCGUAGGUCUCCAUUUUUUGGGAAGACUUCUGAUAAUCUUCUCGACAUGGUCAGUUGUAGAGUAUCCUUUGUCCAGAACUUUCAGUCCAACAACAAGCAUCUGAAACCUUAAGAACAUAGUCUCAACUAUUUUAUCAUCUUCCAUUUUAAAUGUCUCGUACUUCUGGAUUAAGGUCAAGGCUUUUGUCUCCUUUACUUGAGCAUUCCCCUCAUGAGUCAUCCUCAUAGAGUCAAAAAUGGAUUUGGCAGAAUCUCUGUUUGUUAUCUUCUCAUACUCAGUAUAAGAGAUAUCAUUUAGCAAUAUAUUUCUAGCCUUAUGAUGAUUUUUGAAAUAUUUCUUCUAUUGAUCAGUCAUAGCACUUCUUGCUAUAAUAUUUGCUUCAGCAUUAACUGGGUGAACGUAGCCAUCGACUACAAGAUCCCAAAGAUCAAUAUCGUAACCAAGAAAGAAGUUUUCUAUUCUAUAUUUCCAAUAGUCAAAUUUCUCACCAUUAAAGAUUGGUGGUUUUUCAUUGUAGUGAUAUCUUUCAUUAUUGUUAACAAUGUUAGCAGCAACCAUUAUUUCUCACACAAACUAGAUCAGUACUGAACACGGUGAAGUUUUGAUAAAUCUUUUAUCACAAUCAGAACUAGGCUCUAAUACCAAUUGAAGGUGCGAUAAACACAAGAAAAGGGGAUUUGAAUUGGGUUUUACAAGCAAAAGCUUUUCCCAACACAAGAACACCACCAACAGGUUAAUAACAAAGAGAUAAAAACACAAGUAUUUUUAUCCUUGCUCGCUUGAAACUCAAAGCUACUCCAGUUCACCCGCCAAGGUGAUUUUGCCUUAUACACAAGGACUUAAUCCACUAUAAUCAAUAUAUUACAAUAAUCACAAAUAAUAACCUUCUUUGUCUUCUCAAGGAUCUAACUAUACCCUAGUCUCCAUAAGGACUCAUAAAGAACAACAUUCUUUGUCUUCUCAAGGAUAACCUCCUAAAGGAAUCAAACAAAUAGUUUGAAUAAUAUUUGUGUGUGUUACAAGAUGCUUCUAUACAAAUAGAUUUUACACAAGAUAAACAAAUACUUAAAGAAAAUCUGUAUAGAAAAAUGAUAGCUUUUCAAAUAAACUUUUUCAAGUUUUUGCAGCACUUCAGUAUUCUUCUAUAUGUGUAUAUUCUUCAAGUCUCUAUGUCCAACUUACAUAACAUAAGGAGAAAAGAGUUGGAGGGAAAAAUGGGAAAAGCUCAUAGAGCGGUUGUCCACUGUUGGAUGGUGAAAAGAGUGAUAUUGCAUAUUGUCCUUCGCCCACAAAUCAAUGACAGGUGUGAUGUAUAAUAUUGUCCUUGCCCAUGAAAUCAGGUAGCGAAGAGGAUAUUCGAUUUGUAUUAUGUACUAUUUGAUCAUGUUCCCUUUUGAUCUUAUCUUCAAGUUCAUUGUCUUCUGAUGAAAUUUGAUGAAGCAUGAAAUGAAGAAACAUAGAUUUGGAUUCAGAAACUUCAGAAUCUUUGGUCAGAACCUUGACAACGUCAGUAGUCUGGCUUGAGAUAUUCAGUAUCUUCAAAAUCUUCAGAGUCUUCAGAAUCUACAGUCAGAACCUUGAUAACUUCGAUCGUCUGGCUUGAGAUAUUCAGAAUCUUCAGCUACAAAACAUAACUUUAGAAGCUUUCCAUUCUUCAAAUGUUUGGUGAUUAGAGUCACGUCCAGACGCACGAACUGAAAGAACAUUGCAGCAACAACAUAAUUUCUCCUCAGAAGCUUCUCAGAAGUGAAUCAACACAUAAGCUGAAAGAUCAUUGUAACAUCAAUAUUGAACAUCUUUCAGAACUUCUAAUAGCUAGCGCAGAAGCAAAUUUGGAACUCAUUGUUCAGAAACUGAUGAUGUUGCGCGUCAUAUAUUCAAAAUCAAAACUGGUUGUUAAAGCUAAACAAUAACAAACCAUUAAGGUACGUAAAUUAUUCUCACACAAAUACAACAUUGUUAUCAUCAAAACUCAAGGUAUAGAUGCACAACCAAAUCUUGUUCUAAUAGUUGCUAGGUACCAAAUUUAUUUGAUAUUGAAGUUAUGAUUUAUCCCCAUAUAGAAUAAAGCAUUUUUUUUGUUACUAUAAUGCUUUCAAUACCAUUGUAUGCAAAGAAUCUGAUAUAUAGGAAACCUUGUUGAGUUUAUUAACGAGAUUAAGCAUUUCGUGCACGAGAGAUGCCGACUACUAAGACAUAAAAUGGUUGAACCAAUAAUAGAUACCAAGCCUCUUAAGGACUAUGUGAUUCCUAUUGAUGAGGAACCACACUUGUCUACAGUUCAUCCUUUCAUAGCACCUAAUAAUUUUGAGAUUAAGUCAUCUAGUAUGGGCAUGGUUCAACAAAACAUAUUCUUCAGGUUGCCGAGUGAAAACCCCAACCUCCAUUUCUCUAUAUUUAUCGAAUUUUGCAACAUGUUAAAAUCUAACAGUUUUAAUUAAAAAAAACUAUUUGACUUAGAUUAUAUCCUUUCUCCUUGAGAGAUAGAGCCUGAUAGUGGCUCCAAACCUUACCCUCCAACUCCAUACCAACUUAGGGUCAACUAAAAGCAGAAUUUCUCAUGCGGAAUUUUCCACUGAGUAAAAUGGCACAAGUGAGGGGUGAAAUAUAUAAUUUUAUAGAAGAGGACAGAGAAUCGUUAUUUGACGCUUGAGAGUGUUUUAAGGAUUUAGUUAGGCCAUUUCAUGGGAUCGAAAAGUGGCUCAUUAUCCAUACAUUAUAUAAUGGUCUCAUUUAUAGGCUAUAAUAGUCCUUAGGACGUAGGCUAUAAUAUUAAAGAGGACAUGACGAAGAACCAUCACUCAUGGAGAAGCUCAUGUGAAAUCAUUCCAAAAGCCCCUAAAAAGGGUGCACUUUAUGAAAUUAGUCUGUUUGAUCAUAUAAAUGCCAAAGUAGACACUCUUUACCAGAAAAUAUAAAAUUUGAGCAUUACCCCACCCACACUAGCUUCUGUUACCCCAAUAGUAGACAUUUCACUGCUGAUUGUUAGUCAGUCCUCGCCAGAGGAACUAAUCAAUAAGGCAUUAACUAUUUUAAUAAUAAUCUGCGAGGGAACCCGCACACUAAUACCUAUAAUCAUGGAUGGAGGGAUCAUCCAAAAUUUUAUUAUAAAAAAAAUUCCCCCUAGUUUGUAGCGAAUCCUAGUCCUCCUGGUUUUCAAGGACAUAUAGGUGACAACACCCCCGUGAAGUCCAAUCUGGUUAUAAAUAAGUCAAGUGUGUGUUGAAGUCCCACAUUAGUUAUAAAUAUGGAGACCUGAGCAUUUAUAAGUGGGAUAAUCCACACACAUAUCACCUUAAGGUUUUGGGUGAAUAUGUGGUGUCUUUCUCACUUGCGUGUUGCUCUUGGCCCAAUGUUGAUGCUCCUCCUAAUUAGCUCUAACAAAUGGUAUCAGAGUCUUUGGUUCGAGAAAGGGAUCGACUUACUUGUAUCGAAAGUUAAGGCGCCACAAGAGUGGUGAGUAAGAAACGUUACGUUGAAGAGUGUCAACAACGACACAACAGUGGUGAGUAAGAAACGUUCCAUGCGGUACAAGAGUUUGUGGAAGUAAGAAGAACUUCCACUUGAGGGAGAGAACUAUGGACUCAUACUUUAGGGGGAGUGUUGAGAAUAUAACAAGUGUGAGUAGUGUGGGUAAUAGUCCUACAUUGGUUUAAAAUAUGGAAAUUUGAACAUUUAUAAGUGAGAGAGCUCGCCCACCUAUCACCUUAAAGUUUUGGGUGAAUAUGUAGUGUCUCUCCCACAAAGGUGUUGCUCUAAAAGAAGAAGUUCUACAAUGUUCAAUGCUCCCUAGUAAAAAACUCUUCCAAUAAAAAUGACAAAGGAAUGUUCUUUGUUGUUGUCUAAAUUUUUUGUGUGGACUAAUAAGAAACAAGAUUCGUGAAGCUGGAAUUCAUUGGAUAAUAAUGUGUAUUCAGUCAAAGAUGUCUAAAAUAUAUUGUGAAAGAACUCGAAAAACGAUUCAGAAUAACUUCACCUUGCAAGUUGGAAAAAAUUGGUCCCACCGAAAGGAUCGCUACUAAAAUGGAGGUUGUUGAUUAAUAUGUUUCCUAUAAGAUAACCUAUAGAAACACGGUGUCAUUUUAUCGUAGUUAAAAUUUGUGCACUAAUGGAUGCACCUUUGGAAAAUGACUUAACAUUUAUUUUGUGAAUGUUUACUCUUUAACAAGGUGUAAGAAUUUAGUCUAGAUUGGUUGAGAUUUUAAAGUGAUAUGCCAACUAAAGUGAGUGAUCAUGUCUAUCAGUUCAACAUAUCAUAUUUGAGAGGUCGAAAAAAGUGGAAUUAAUUAAUUUAAUUCAAUUAUAUUUCGAUAGAGCAUUUAAUUUUGUUUAUGAUAUUAAACAUUGAGAAGUUCAUAAUAUUUGUUUGAGUGUCUAAUGAGAGUUUUCAAUUUCAUUUAUCUUCGUCAAAAGGCGAACAUAAAUACUUUUGUCACUAGUCUAUAUGCCUAUGGUUGUUUUUAUAUAUAUAUAUAUAUAUAUAUAUAUUUCUAUUUAGUUUUUUUUUUAGAAAUGUAAAAAUGAGUACAUAGUGAUUUGGUAACUGAAUAAUUUUUUUUAUACAUUAAUCAUUUAUAAAAUUGAACUCUAAAAUUAUACUCAAAGUUGCUCCCAAAAAUAUAUAUGCAACUGGGGUUUAUCACCUAACAUUCAUAAAUAAAUAUACAAAUGAAACCAUAUGAGAAAACAAUUCAUCCAUGUUGGAUGCAUGAGUAGAUCAAGAGAGGACUAUGAUAAUAUAAUAGGUCAACCACGACCAUAAUCAUUAAAGAAACAAACCUUUGGGAGACUUAAGAUUUCCAUCUUUGUAUAUAAUUGGACAUCCCUAGCUCAAGAACACACAACAAAUUAGCACAAAAAAAUAAACCAAACAAAUUAGCACAAAAAAAUAAACCAAUUAAAAUGGCCUCUAAUGUAGUCUACAGCGAUGAGCAAUGGGUAAUAGAUAUUUGCAAGAAUCUUCUACCUGAAGUGGAACAAAACACACAUGAUGAAAUCAUAGUAAGUGUGUCACAAGUCCCCAAAUAUUUAAGAUCCUCAAAUCCAGAAGCUUUUAUCCCUCAAUUUAUAGGACUUGGUCCUUAUCACCAUUACAAAUCUGAUCUCAUCAUGAAUGAUAAAUUGAAGUUAGAUUCAUCCAAAAGAGCUCUCAAACACCUCUUUCACCACUUUGACACCGAAACACUCAAACACCGUCUUAAAUCAAUUCUCUCACAUUCAUAUAUACAAGCUUUCUACCAUAUUGAUGUAGCUUCCAAAUACCCUUAUCAAACUCUCUUAUACUUACUCACUGUUGAUGGCUUAUUCUUGUUGGGGUUAUUGCAUAGAGCUUUAACAAUAAAACCUCAACAAGAUCAACAAUACUCUUACUUCUUAACCGGAAACCAUAAAUUUUAUCGUAAGAGAUGUUUUUAUGCUUGAGAAUCAAAUUCCAACUCAUUUUCUUAAGCAAGUCAACACAGCCCUUGUCACCAUAACUAGAGAUGAAAUUGAAUCAUCUCUAGAAAAGGAAGCUCAUCAAAAUCUUGGACCAUCCAUGAGAUUAUUUUGUGAAUCACUCUGUCCAUUUGUUCAUGAAUUUCAACUCACCAAAAAUCCAGAAGAUCAUGCACAUUUGUUGGAUCUAAUGUAUCAUUUGGUUGUACCCAAUCAUUCUGAUCCUGAAGAACCUCCUAGGUCUGAUCUAAAACUCGAAAUCAAAUCCAAUCCCGAGCCACAAUUUGAAUCUGAGUCUAAGUCCACACCACAAUCUAAGCUUGAGUCAGAGUUUACAUCCAAACCACAAUCUGAGUCUAAGUCCAAAUUACGAUCUAAACUUGAGUCAGAAUCUACGUCCAAACCUCAAUCUGAAUCUGAGCCUAAACCCGCGAUACAGUCUGAGCUUAAGCUAAAGCCCGAGCCUCAUAAUCAACCUAAUGACAAGAAAAAAGUGAGUUAUGCUUGUUCUAUUUGCUUCAAUUUUCUUGCAAUUUUUGUGGCUAUUUGUAUUAUAAUAGGUUUUAUUAUAAAGUUCAUUUUCACCAUAUUUUUUUGGAUAUUAAAAACUCUAUUUAGUUUCAUUAAAUGGGUGUUACGUCCAUUAGUGAAACUAUUAGAUUUCAUUAACCCUUUCGUUGAGGUGUUAUAUGAUUUUUUAUCAAAGAACGAAACCAAAUUUUCCUACAUAAAACCAUGGACAAAAAUAGUCGGAGAAAUUAAGAAAACAAGUGAAAACGUUAGAAAAGAGGAUUACUCAACAAAUUGGGACAACAACAUCUCAAAUGUAAGCAUCCCAUCUGUAACAGAACUUCACAAUGCUGGAAUCAAAUUCCAACCGUCAGAUAUAAGUGGAAAUGGAAUCUCAUCCAUUGAUUUCCAUGAAAUUAAAUGUCAAUUUUACUUACCCGUUAUCAAACUAGACAUGAAUUCAGAAGUAAUCAUAAGAAAUCUCAUGGCUUAUGAAUCAUUGAUUAAAUCCAAAGGGUUAAUUUUCACAAGGUACAUUGAAUUAAUGAGAGCCAUUAUAGACACUCCAGAAGAUGUGAAACUAUUGGUUAAUGAGAAAAUCAUAGAAACUGAGAUGAGUUAUGAAGGUGUUGCACAACUUUUGAAUGGGUUGAUGGGAAAAUCUAUUAGGCCAAUAAAGGUUCAAAAAUUGGAUCAAGUGAUUAAAAGGGUGAAUGCUAAAUUCAAAAGUAGUCAAGCUCAAAAAAUGGCUAUGAUUAAGUAUAUGUCUUCUUAUGGGAAGAUGUUGACAGCUUUGGCAGCUAUUGUGUUUUUGGUAUUGACUGCUGUGCAAACAUAUUGCUCUGCUUUUGGUUGUGCUCGUAACUCAAAUUAUAUGGGAUCAUCAUCAAUGUAUCAAGAUGGGGAUUAUGUUAGAAAUGUUGGUAAUGUUUUUAUGAGUUCAAUGUAAGUUCUAGUUCUUGCUCUUUUUUAUGUUCGUAAUAAAAGAGUGUGUAUGGUUUUAGUCUUAUUUUGAUUGUUAAAGAAAAGUGUACUACAGUAAGUGCUAAAAUGCAUACAUUUAUUUCCCCUCACUCCUUCGUGCAUACAAUAGUUACUAAACUUGAUAUAUAACUUCAGUAUUUUUUAUCAAAGAUAACCCUUUUCCUUACAACACUGAAUUGUAUCAUCCAACAUUUCUUCAACACUAUACUUGAACUCAAAUCCAGCAUCCUUGAGUUUCUUUGAGGUUAAAUGUGAAAGCUUGUUACCUUUAAUGUUCUUCACCUCCCUAAAAGAUAAAACAAAUUAAAUAUUAGUAACAACAAAAAUAAAUAACAAAAAAUAAGUUUCCAUGGAAAGGGAUAUUGUAACUCACUCUAAUGUUGGUAUAUUAAAUUCAGGAUAUUUAGGAGAAAGAAUUUGAACUACUUCUUCAAGAGGUGCAAUGAAGGGUGAACAAUUAUAUCUCCCUUUUGGAUUUGGAUGCUCAAACAAAAAUAUAUGUGCUCUUGCAACAUCAUCAACAUGCACAAUAUGAAGAUGAGACAUAGCAAAUGGAUUCUUGUCCCCUACAACAUUAAUCAAUUUUUCAUUCUUAAUAUGAAGAUUAGAAAGAAAAAAACAUUAAUACAAAAAAAAAAUUAAUCAUCACUUACCAAAUAAGAAAGAUAGUGAACUAUAAACAGAUGCAGGAAGUUUAGGACAUAUGAAGGGUCCAACAACAAAAGUUGGUAUAACAGUGACAAUUUCCAACCCAUGUUGUUCUCCGAAUUCAAGAACAGCUUUCUCAGCUAGUGUCUUAGAAACUGAAUACGGCCACGCAAAGGGCUUCAAAGUUCUUAGAAGAUUAACAUCACUCCAAUGACUUUCAUCCAAUACAUCUAAUUCUUUCUCUUGAAGAUAAACAGCGGAAGCGCUUGAAGUGUAAACGACUCUCUUCACUGUCUUUGAGUUUUUGCAUGCUUUUAGAAUUCCUAAAGCUCCGUCGAUGUUUCUUUUCGUCACUACUUCUUCAGGUUCGCUCUCUUCGAAAUCCAUCGGAGUUGCGGUGUGGAAUAUUCCAACGCACCCUUCUAUUGCUUCGUUGAAGCUUUCUGGUUUGCUAAGAUCCGCAGUGAAAAUUUUUAGUUUUUCAGAUGCUCCGGGAAGAUUUGUGAGAAAACUUAUAUCUCUUUUUUUCCCUGCCAUUUACAAAAUGAUAAUAAUUAUCAGAAACUCAUACGUAUAACUAUACUGUUCAAUCUAACAAUAUUAAUAUUUAUCAAAUUAACUAAAUUUUAAAAACUAAUAUAUAUUUUACCUGGAUCAGCUCUAACAGUGGUAUUAACAGUGUAACCAUCUUCAAGGAGUGUCUUGAUGAUCCAUGAACCAAUAAAACCUGUACCUCCUGUUACACAAACUCUUCCUUUCUCUUCUGCCAUUUUCACACUUUCUAUAACUUUGUUGCUACUACACACAUAUAUGUAUAGUCAGUUAGUGCCUUUUUCAAGGAAGACUGCGCUACUUUUCAUUACUUUAUUCUAAAAUUAAUCAUACAGGGAAGUCCAGUGUUAGUUCCGUGUCAAAAUAAAAAAGUCAAUAUUUCAUUUGUCGUCAAUUUAUUUUAAAAUGCUAUUUUUUGCGAAACAUCUAACAUCCGAAAUAAGAGAAUACAAUAUUCAAUUUCCAAUGAAAGAGAGUAAUUAUAUAUUUAACUUCUUAAAUCACACCAAAAAAAUAAGUAGAUACCACCCCUUUCAUAAAAAACAAAAACCGCCCCCUUAAAUAAUAAUACUAGUGCAUGAUUGAGAUAUAAUGGAUAAAAAAUAGCCUACCACAAGAUAAAGUCAAUAUAAUACACAAAGUAUGUGCAUGUAUGUCUAGAAACUAAGUACAUAUGGCAUAAUUUCAACUCUAUGUGAAAUACCAGCCUACCACGAGACAAUGUUAGUAUUAAUUUCGAGAAUUUCUUAUCUAGGUGGAAAAAAAAUUCAAAAUUCAAAAUGAUGUAACACCCCCAAACUUCUACUACUCAAAUACAGCACACAAUUGCAUAAUCAGAGUAAAUUAAAGCAUGUAUAUAUGAGGGCAUCGCAUUUACUUAUGUUAGAAACAACAUAUGUCAUGGUCACAUUCAAAUAACAAGGAUUAUAAAUCAAAAUCAAAUAACCAACAUUCAAACUCACACAGCGGAAUAAGAUAUCUCUUCAUAAAUGGUAAAUAGUGAUGAUUCCCAUAAAUCAUCUACCAUAAAAUAUCGUUUUGGGCUCUAAGGCCACUCAACAUCAAAACCAACAUAUCCAAAUAACAAGAUAAAAGAGAACACAACAAUAUCUCUCAAUAUCAAAACAAAUACAAAUAAUUCCAUAAACCCAAAUGUUACAUGACCAGAGCAUUAUAGACUACCUAGUCAAAACACAAUAAGAACUAGCCUUCGAAUCUAAUCCUUGUGCGAAACACCACUAUCUCCGGUACCUGAGCGAUGUCACGAUAGAACAUUAUUCCAACAGAAGGGUGAGAAUUCAAAUCAUUAUAGAAAAACAUAAUAAUAUGAAAUGUAUAACAAACAUACAUACAUUAUUAGAAUUCAUCACGCUUCAUACAAACAUGCAUCAUAUCAUCUUAUUAAAGAAUCACAUGUUUAUCAUCAUACGACAUGACUCAACAAUCCACAAGUAUUCAUUUAUAAAUACUAAACGAUGUACAAAAGUCAUAUUUCACAACAUAUCGAUUUCAUGUACAUAUUAUCAUCCAUCAUCAUUUACAAAUCAUAGUAUUCAUUUAUAAAUACUAAACGAUGUACAAAAGUCAUAUUUCACAACAUAUCGAUUUCAUGUACAUAUUAUCAUCCAUCAUCAUUUACAAAUCAUCAUCAAAUAUGUAUACAACUUUCACAUGAUCCCAUAAUAUAUACAAGUCACCAUUUCAUCACAUAUAUCACAAAUAUGCACAUAUAUCACAUCAACAACACAUCAAUAAUUCAUAUCAAAUGGAUCACCUAAAGUCCACGUAUAUGCAUAUCUACCAAAAUCAUAUCCACACAAUCAUAUCACAUAAUCACACAAACAACAAUUCAUACAGACACAUGCGACUCAAUGCGUGACUCAAUGCGAUAUGCAUGUGGAUCCCAUCCGUUAUCAUUUCCAACUUGCCGGGCGUCUCUCAAAUAGACUAGAUAACCACCUCUAAAGCUUGAUUUAGCCUUAAGCUUUCAAACCCCAUUCGGCGUUAGGUUUGGGACAAGCAAAUAAUCUAUGCGAGAUUACCCAACAUUGCCUCUUUCAUAGACUCAUGCUAAUGUAAGUGUGCAACAACAACAAGACUCAUGCAAUUAAGACGAUCACAACCCCUUAGUCAUACAUAAGCAUACCACAUCCAACAUUUGCACAACAUACACCUAAUAUGACUUCAAACCCAAACAAUACAUCAAAUAGCAUUCAUCAUCUCAUCACAACACAUUAACAUAAAGCAAACAAGCCAAUUCAUGUUAUUCAUCAAAUUCACAUCAUCACAUACAUAAUUUCAUGUAUUAUGUUUCUUCACAAAAUCCAUCUAAAACCAUCCAAUACAUGUCAAACAAUAGAAAACAUGUCAUUCACAUUCACCACACAUACAACAUACAUCCAUAUUAGGAUUCUUUUGAUAAAAUAUUAAGUAUUAUGUUUCUUCACAAAAUCCAUCUAAAACCAUCCAAUACAUGUCAAACAAUAGAAAACAUGUCAUUCACAUUCACCACACAUACAACAUACAUCCAUAUUAGGAUUCUUUUGAUAAAAUAUUAAUCUACUGUUAUCAAAAUGAAUAUCACAUUAUAGAUAAUAUCCUUAGCUUCGUAACGGUUCAAACGGCACCUCAAACGGAGUUACGGAUCAAAAUUUAUUGAGCUUACAAGUUUUUCAAAAUGCUGUCAAAAACCAGAAAAUUUUUUGUUGCGAAAAUGUUGUCAAAAAGCAGAAAAUUUGCUGUUGUGAAAAUGCUGUCAAAAACCAGAAAAUUUGCUGUUGCAAAAAUCCUGUCAAAAAUCAGAAAAUUUGUUGUUGCAAAAAUGCUGUUGUCCAGCCCGAAUUUUCAUCAUAAAACCACAUUAAUCCAUCAUUUUUCAAGAAAUAAAUAGUUAUACAAUCUAUAUAUAACAUAUAGCAACUAUUAUGAUCAUAGAAACAAGAUUCUAAGCUCUACUAAUUUUCACCAAAAUCCCAAAUUAACCAUUUUUAAGUGAAACUCAAACAUGCAAUUAUACACCAAAUCAUGUUCUAUACACAUACUCAUUCAUGAAAUUCAAUAUAGAAACAUCAUAGCAUAACAUAAACAUCAAUUUCAUGGAUUAAAACAUAAACAUAUAUUAGGGUUUCUCAAAAUCAAAAUCCCCAAAUCCUAAGUUUAUGAUAUCUAACCCACAUACAUUACAUACAUUAUGUUUAUCCAUAACCACUUGAAAUUCCAUCCCUACCUUAGUAUAGAUGAAAUCUCUAGGUCCUUCUUCUUCUAGUUUCCUCUUCUCCUCUUUCUCUUCUCUUCUAUUCUAUUUUAUUCUCUCUUCUUCUCUUGUUUUACAAAACUAACUUUAAUCUCUAAAAACCUUACUAUCUUUUUAACUCAUAAUGGGCUUAACCCACUUAUCCACCCAUUCUAAUUAAUUAGGCCCAUUACUAGACAAUUACUAUUUCUAUUCAUAAAAUUCAGUUAUUCAAAUAACACAUAUAUUCAAAUAAUUCAAAUAAUUCAAAUAAUCAGCAGAACACAUAUUUAAUUAAUUAUCACACCAAAUAAUGAUUAAUUAAAAUAAACACCUAAUAAAUAAAUACAGAAAUUAAAUCAAGGUGUUACAACUCUCCCCCACUUAAAGUAUUUUCGUCCUCGGAAAUUACCUCAAGGAAACAACUCGGGAACACAAACUCUAUCAUGACACCUCAUGAUACCAUUCUCAUCAAUCCGAAAAUCACCACCUUUACCUUGAUUGAUCAACGUCAAUCGAUCUACCAAAACCAAAUCAGAUUUCUGACCUUCUCGAAUCUCAUCCAAAAUUCCACUAGUAAGCUUCAACAUACCAAGCUUCACUCCAAAAUAAGUCUCUUCACAAACCAAACUCAUAUCUCAAAAUUGUUCAAGCAAAUCCAAUUCUCGCACCAUCAACAUCGACAUAUGCAAAGAUUUCCUACUCAAAGCAUCGGCUACAACAUUCGUUUUGCCAGCAUGAUAAUUCAAAUCAAAAUCAUAAUCCUUCAAGAAUUCUAACCAUCUCCUUUGCCUCAUAUUCAACUAUUUCUGAUCGAACAAAUACUUCAAACUCUUGUGAUCACUAAACAAAUCGAAUCUCGACCCAAACAAAAAAUGUCUCCAAAUCUUCAAAACAAACACAAUAACAGCUAAUUCUAAAUCAUGAGUCGGAUAAUUCCUCUCAUGCACUUUGAGUUUCCUUGAAGCAUAAGCUACAACUUGUUGAUUAUGCAUUAACACACCUCCUAAACUCAUCAAGGAAGCAUCACAAUGCACAAUAAAUGGUUCUGAUGGAUUCAGAAAAAUCAAAAUAGGAGCAGUAGUUAAUCUCCUCUUCAACUCUUGAAAACUAGCUUCACACGAUGCAGUUCAAAUGAAAGCUCGACCUUUCCUAGUCAAUUGCAUUAACGACAAAGAUAACUUAGAAAAGCCUUAAAUAAACUUUCAAUAAUAACUUGCCAAACCAAUAAAACAACAAAUCUCAGACACAAAUUUUGGCGCUUCCCAUUGAGAUAUAGCCUCAAUCUUAGAAGGAUCAACCGAAAUACCACCACUAGAGAUGACAUGGCCAAGGAAACUCACUUCCUUCAACCAAAACUCGCACUCCAAAAGUUUAACAAACAACUGCUUCUCUUUUAAUACAGAUAAAACAAUCCUUAAAUGCUCAUCAUGAGCCUCUUCACUCUUCGAAUAGAUCAAAAUAUCAUCGAUAAACACAACAACAAACUUAUCGAGAUAUUUAUGAAAAAUCUGAUUCAUGUACUCCAUAAAUACACCAGGUGCAUUCGUCACACCGAGAGGCAUCACCAAAUACUCAUAUUGUCCAACCCUUAUUCUAAAAGCAGUCUUCUGAAUAUCUUCAGCUUUCACACAGAUCUGAUGAUACCCAGACCUCAAAUAAAUCUUGCUAAACACACAAGCACCAACCAACUGAUCCAUCAAAUCAUCAAUCCUCGGAAACGGAUACUUAUUCUUGAUAGUAACCUUAUUCAGUUAUCUGUAAUCCACACACAACCUCAUAAUACCUUCUUUCUUCUUAACUAAAAAGACAGGUGCACUCCACGGUGACACACUCGGACAAAUAAAACUCUUAUCAAGCAAAUCCUCUAGUUGACUCUUCAACUCUUUCAACUCAGAUGGUGACAUCCGAUACAGAGCCAUCGAUACCAAGACUAGUACUAGGAAUCAAAUCAAUCGUGAACUCAACUUCACGUUCAGGCGGCAAAUCGCUAAGCUCAUCAGGAAACCCUUCAGAAAAAUCACGAACAACUGCAAAUUCACCCAUUGUUCCAUUUUCACUAAGCUUCAAACUUGCCACCAACAUAAACACUUCAGCACCAUCUCGCACAGAUUCAUUCACUUGUUGAGUAGACAAGAAUAAACCACCUUCCUUCUCUGGCUCAAGAAAAAUAACAGCUCUCGCAAAACAAUUGAUAUAGACAUGGUUGGCCCUCAACCAGUCCAUUCCCAAAAUAACAUCAAGUUGACUAAAUGGAAAACACACUAAAUCAACUUCAAAAUCUUUAUCACAAAUAUUCAACGGACAUUCCAAACAAACAGAUAAAGUAGUCACCGAACCCAUAGCCAGAUGUCCCUACCCCGAUACAAUUUUCAUCUGAUCCAUGACUCUACUGCACAUGCAUACAUUCAUUAUUUCAAAAAAAAAACUGGGUAACCGAUUACCCUAAUAAGGGUAACCGAUUACCCAGAGCAAAAACUGAUUUUUUGGCCAUUUUGGGACUGUGUAAUCGAUAACCCUAAUCAGGGUAACCAAUUACACCUGCGCAAACAGUAGAAAUAGCUCUGUUUUUUACACAGAGGACCCUUUGGUUCACCAACUUCAACACCUUUGCUUCCCCUAUAAAUAGAGCACUAUCCCCACUCAUUUUUCAAGCUUGAAAGCCACAAAACCUCUGCCCAAAUCACCUUCAAGCUCCCUCUUUUCAACUUAAAUCCUAACUCACCCAAACCCUUUUUUCUUCUUUGAACCACCCAACCACCAUGUAAAAAUCCACCAUUUCCACACAACAACAACAGUAACAAACUUCUAACCUUCACUCACAUAAUCAUUCACCACCACCACAUAAACAUACAACUUCUUUCCCUUCCUUUUUUCUACCAUAACAACCAUAACCAACCUCUUCCAAGCUUUUUGCUUCAUUCUCAAACCCAAACACAACAGUAACCUAGUUUUGACACCACACUCUUGGUAAUAUUUUGGACUCAAACUCCUUAUCAUUUUUUUUGGUUUUGUUUUAUGUUUGAAAAUGAGUUUUUACUCUUGGGUUGUGUUUUGAGAGAGAUUUUAGUCAACUUUGAAUAAGUGUUUUUUUGUUAGGUUUACACCCUUUUGGGGAUUUUUUGCUCUUACUACUUUUUAUCCACCAUUUUCAAUCAAACAUUGUUUCUUGUUAUCAUUUAAUAUUUAUUGUUGACUUGUUUUUCACAUUUACUUGGUUGAUAAGUUCAAUUAGAUCAUGACCAUGGUUGUUUAGAGUUGAUUAAAUCUUCAAUACUUCAAACCUAUUAAUGGUUGAUCAAUAGAUCAUUCAUGAUACUUUGAGGCAUUGAUAGAUUGCAUAUACUUUAACCAUAGUUUGGUCAUUUGAUACAUAGAUGAAACCAUUUCCUAAACCUUGUUUCUUGUUAUCAUUUAAUAUUUAUUGUUGACUUGUUGUUAUAUUUAUUUGGUUGAUGAGUUCUAUUAGAUCAUGACAUGGUUGUUUAAAGUUGAUUAAAUCUUCAAUGUUUUAAACCUAUUAAUGGUUGAUCAAUAGAUCAUUCAUGAUACUUUGAGGCAUUGAUAGAUUGUCUCUAUUUCACCCAUAUUUGAGUCAUUUGAUGCAUAGAUGAAACCAUAUUCUCUAUAUUAACUUGCUAAUCCAUUUGCUUAUUGUUAUUCUACUAACUACUAACUACUAACAUUUAUAUUAUUAUUGGCAGCUUUAUUCCUGUAAUUUAGUUUAUUGUUACUAACAUUAACUACUAAACUUCUAACAUUUACAUUAUGCACUUUACUUCCUGCAAUUUAUUUUAUUGUUCAUUUACAUUCACUAACCAUUAUUGUAGUGAUAUUACCAUUCUUUCUCUUGUGAUUUACUUUUUAUGUCAUUACUUUGUAAUUUCAUUCAAGUAACUCAAUUAUCCAUCAUCAUUGUACAAACUCAUCAUGCAUGUUUAUUUACUUGUUAUUUAUUUUAUUGUCAUCAUACAUUAAAAACAACAAAAACAUGAUAAAAUUAUAAGACCAAAAAUAUUCACUCCAAUCUUAAUCAACUCAGACUUAGAGGAUUUCAUCUUAGGGCCUUUGCUUGGAGGCUUUCCUUUACUCUUUGUGAUACUUUGUAAACGUUGGAUUUUCAUCUGUAACUUACAUGCAUGUUGUAAGAAUGGCAUCAUGGCACCACCUUAGGGGGACAUGUUUGUAAGACCAUUAUCCUUUGUUUAGCUUAGGUCACUUUAGCACACAAAAGACUUUCUCUUGGGCUACCUUACAAUGAGACUCUUUAUUUUCGUGUUGGUUAUUUUGCAUUCACGUUGCAUAAGCUAAAAUUCAUAAGCAAUCUCAUUUCGAGACCAUUUUCAUAAUUCAAUUCAUAUGCACAUGUAAAUACAAACCUCGGUCAAUAUCGAGUGCGCUUUUCCAAAUCAAUUUAAAACACCCUUGUAGUCGGUCGCUUUUAAAGCAUCGCCAAACCUCACAUAGCUUACUCUUGGGCUUUAUUACAAUGAGAUCUAUUCGAUUUUUAUCAGUAGAAGAGCAAUACACUAAAUAAAUUCACUUCAUUCAAAACACAAAUCUAAAACCUCGAUCCAACGUCGAGUAUUUUCUCUCAAACUCAAUUGAAAUACCCCGAUUAAAUCAAAAUAAGCUAAAUGAAAAGGAAGUCGACUUUGAGUUUUCAACCUCACUCCUCAAUUGGACGAAUACGAGUUUUCUUACUUGGUCAGUCAAACAAUUGUCAUUUACCGCCAAACAUACAACUUAAUCAAAUCAUUUCCUUAAAAAAAUAUACGAAAAAGGAGAUGGUUUUGAGCUUUCAAUUCCUCUUCUCAAAUGCUUGGAUAUGGGUUGUCUUACUCAGUCAUUCGAGUAUUUGUCGUUCAUUCUAAAAUACGUCAAUCUUAUACAACCUUAUUUUCAUAAAUACUUAGAUGAAACAGAGAGCGAUUUAGAGUCUUCUAUUCCCUUUCUCGGUUAUUAGGAUACGAGUUGUCUUACUCGAUUAUCCGAGUAAUCGUCAUCCAACCAAAAACAUCUUAACCAAUCAAAACAUCCAACAUAUUAAUCCAACUUGUCACCCCCCAGUGUGACCAACACUCUUUUAAGAAAGAACACUGUUAAUCCUUUCUAAUGCGCAUAACAAACCAAUGCUUAAGCCUGCGCCGAGAGUAGACAAGCCAGCGUUUAGCCUUUAGAACGUGAUUUAAAACAGUUGUUCACUAAAAGACACCAACCAACCGUUGUUUCCCGAACUACGAAUGCUCUGACUUCGUUAUUACACCAUAAGGAUACGUAGGCAGGAGAUUGUUGUAUCUUCGCAAGCACACUAAUAAAAAACCUCCCUUUUCCCCUUUUUAUGAGGUUCUCAUCCAUUUCUAUUUUCACUAUUUUAUAACCCAAAGAUAACAAGCAAACAUAAAUUAACACUCGAAAUGCACAUUAGAACUAAAAGGUUCCCGUUGAGUACAACGAACGUAAGGGGUGCUAAUACCUUCCCCUUACGUAAUUCACUCCCGAACCCAAAUAUGGUUGCGAUGACCAUUAUUCCAUCUUUCAAAGGUUUUAUCGAUAUUUUCCUAUUCCUUCAUUGGGAUAAAUAAAGUUCGGCGGCGACUCUGUUCGAACACUAUAUUUUUCCGCGACCAUCGCGAGGAAUCGUAUUUUUCGAGAUGCGACAGAUGGCGACUCUGCAGGGGACUAGCUCCAAGCAAAAGAGAGUGAAGCCUAAUUUAGUUCAGUUUUUGUAUUGUGUGUUAAUCUUUUUUGUUUGUCUGUUAUUUUUAUUUUACUAUUAUCAUUCUGUCAUAAUUAUUAUAUUGUGAUUUAUUGACCAUGUCUUAUUGGGGGUUCUCUGGUUGGUGAUACUUUGUGAGAUAGGCUCUCCACCCGAGUCUGAGAAAAACCAUAAGUUUAAGUUGGUGGUUGCAUAGUGGACGCCCACAAGGAGUAUUCCUUGUUGGGACGAUACGAAGACCCCGCCUAGAGGAGAUUCUCUUGAGAUAUUAUUGCCCGACGAGUCUUCGUCACGACGAUACUAUUAUCAAGUUGGAUCAAUGACUUUAGGGACCUCUUAACCCACUCUAUCCGGCGGUUAUGCAAUAUUAACCUACGAAGUUUCAGACUUGUUGGGUGAAUACGAAAGCCCCAAUCAGAUGAGAUCCCUUGGACGUAUUAUUAUCUUACAGUAAUAUUUCCAACCUCGAUCUAUGACUCUGAGAACCUUGUUAGAACCUUGGACUCGAGAGUUGUGUAGUAGAAUCCCCAUGGAGUUUUCCUUGUUGGGACAAUACGAAGACCUCACCUAGAUGAGAUCUUCUUAAGGAUAUUAUUGUCCGACGAGUCUUCGUCACGACAGUGACGUUCUCAAGAAAUAUCUGUGACUCUAGGAACCUACCAACUGUAGAGCCUACCCCUGGGGUUACAUUAUUCAGAGAUACUCGUCAUUCACCCGUUAUUCUGAUUCAUCUGAGAACACCUUGAACUUGUGAUCCUAAACAUGUCACUACAUUCAUACACAUAUCAUUGCAUUUGCAUUCAUCAUCAUACAUUUCAUAUCAUUUUUCACACAAAAAAAACCAAAAAAACUCAUUAAUCCUUCGUCCAUAACCUGCAGUUGAUUUCCCGACACUCAUAUCAGACUUGAAGUAGCUCUUGAAAGAUCAUGGAUCCGUUGUAGCAAGUUCACAUUGCAUUAAGAGGAGAUGUUAACUCGAUGAAAAACCAGAUAAACCAACUUGUGGAGGCUAUGAUAGCUUUAGAAAAGAGGGAGGACAACAUUCAGCAGACUGCAGUCAUAGAGAAUGUUAUUCCAGCUCUAGUAAAUGGUCCUACCCAACCUCAGCUUGUGCGAACCCCAGUUAAUAACUCUAUUGUACAAGAACGUUAUUUUGUUCAAGAUUCCUCACGUCAUGAUGUUGUUGAGUAUCAUAGUUUUGCAUUCUCCAUGCCAGAUUCCCAUGGAACAAGCCUAGUGGUUAAUGUUGAGUAACUACAAGAUGAUGAGAUUGCUAAAAGAUGUUGCGUGCUAGAGAAAAGACUCAAGGCCAUAGAAGGACAAAAUACUCUUGAACUGAAUGCUUUAGACAUGUGUUUGGUACCUGGCCUGGUUAUACCCGCAAAAUUCAAAGCACCAUAAUUUGAGAAGUACAAAGGGGAUGGCUGUCCAAAGCACCAUUUGGUGAUGUUUUGUCGAAAAAUGACCUCUUAUGCCCACAAUGAUAAGUUGAUGAUUCACUGUUUCCAGGAUAGUUUGACUGGGGCAUCAUUAAGUUGGUACAUGAAGUUAGAAAGGAAUCAUGUUCAAUCAUGGUUGGACCUAGCUAACGCAUUCUUAAAGCAAUACAAAUAUAAUAUGGACAUAACUCCCGAUCGCAUGCAGCUAAGAGCCUUAUCUCAGGAAGACAAUGAAUCCUUCAGAGGGUAUGCCCAAAGACGGAGAAAGUUAGCGGCUUGCGUUGAGCCACUACUCUUAGACAAAGAACUAAUGGAAUUAUUCAGGGACACCCUGCAAAGUCCAUACUUCGAAAGGAUGAUUAGCAGUGCAGCAUCAGACUUCGCUAACUUAGUGACAAUUGGAGAACGCAUCGAGAGUGCCCUAAAAAAUGGAAGAAUCCAAGGUGCCUGGAGCAACCAAGCUAGCGAGACAGAAUCCCUCAGCGAUUCCCAAAAGGAAGAGGAUAAUGAAAUAAAUGCAGUCAUGGUAGAUGUUGGGUAUUCUCACGAUGCACCAGCCAGACCUUAUGGUUCUUCACCUUCUCAACAAUCACCAUUUCCAACACCACGUUAUCCUUAUAAGCAACCGACAAGGCCUAGAGCACCAUUCAAGCAACCAUGGACUAUUCCUCAUACAAAUCAAAGAUCUCGUGGUCAAGGAUAUCAGAAUCAGCAUCUGAACCAGCAUAAGCCUCAAAACAAUCUGGAAAGAAAGAAUGCUCCUCUCGAUCCAAUUCCUAUGUCAUACAGUCAACUUCUGCCAUAUCUGAUUCAAAGCUCGCUGGUGGAGCCUAAGUCUCUCAGGCCAUUGCCAGAACCAUACCUACCUGGAUAUGAUCCUGAUGUGCAAUGUGGAUAUCAUGCCGGAACAAUAGGGCAUUCAACUGAAGACUGCAAUGCUUUCAAGGCUAAAGUGCAACAAUUGAUCGACAAAAGGUACAUAUCAUUUUCAGAAGGAAGCCUGUUGGUGCACAUUCAUCUCUCGUCAGAAUAAGUUCAAAGAUUUCAUAGAGUAUCUCCUAAUGCCAGUAGUUCAGACAGGAAGACAUCCUCAACACUGGCAAUCGUUGGACUGAUUUGUUUCUAUUUUUGCAUUUGUAGUUUCUAUAGAGUAUCUCCUAAUGCCAGUAGUUCAGACAGGAAGACAUCCUCAACACUGGCAAUCGUUGGACUGAUUUGUUUCUAUUUUUGCAUUUGUAGUUUCUUUGUUGUUAAAAGCUGCUUGUGUUUAAACGUUGUUGUUUUUAAUGGUAAUAUUGAUGAAGUAAUGAUGCAUGUUUUGAAUUAAUUAUCUCGCAUUCGCUCAUUUUUCUUCUUUUAUAUCAAAAAUAAAAAAAAUACAUCAGUGUUUCUCCCAUUCACUUUUCUUUAUCAUAACUUUUGUUUUAGCAAAGAUUUGAGAGAGGAUGACGAAAACAAAAUACCCAUAAUUGCUGACUAUAUGCUUUUGGAUAAAAUCCUGCUGAUGAUGUACAAACAUUGUUUCAAAUUCACAAACACUUGAGAGAUAAGGAGUUAAUCCCUAGUCAACCACUUUGAGCCUAGAAGUAGGAGUUUCUUUCGGAUCUAAAAAACCUUACAUUAAACCUGGGGCAGGGUAGUGUUCAGUUAAUCUGACUACACAUUCAAAUUAUAAGACGAAGCAUCCCAUUUGUAGAUCAACCACAUGAUAUUAUUUGCACAUAUCCCGAAGCAUAGAAGGAACCAGGAAAAAUCCAAAGGUUAUGUUGGAUUGUUCUUCAAAUGACCAAUGACUUGGCAGUCACAAUUCUAAAAAAUAAAAUAAAAAAACUCGCUAAGUCAAACAUCCAAAGAUACGACUUAAGCAAAAAAUAAGAGCAAUCCCGAUGGACUAAGGCUUCAAAAAGCGGUCCAUGCAAAAGUUAGGGAUCAAAAAAAAAUCAAAGGAGGUCACGAAAACCCUCAACAAAAUGAAAACAAGAUUUAGUGACCACCAUAUCAAGAAUCAAAGGGUCACCAAUAUCCAUGAAGAGCAAAAUAAAGUGUCUGCCAUUUCAAAAAGAUCUUACACUGCUAAAAUCUCGUAAGAGUAAGUGUGUGUCUAAUUAAUUGAACGUAGGAUUGGAGAUCAUCAUGAAGAAGGGGUGGGUUAAAAAAACUUUGAGCCUUAUAUCCUUUUGUUGCAAUAACCAUGAACCAAGCCAUGUUACAACCUUUAAAAGACCUAAUUGAAGCAGGGUUUAUUCUGAAAGCAUACUACAACAAGGUUGCGUAAACUGACUCCUAAAAAUUUGCUAAUCUUUUACUUUAGUACAAUCUUCUUGUUGUAUCCUUCGCAUUGUUAAAUCAUCAUUGCGUUUGGAUUAAAAUGGUUCAUUCACCACACACUAUCACAUCAUUUCAAUAAUAAUUCUUUUCAAAACCUGCAUGAGUAUUGCAUUAAAAUUACCAUUUCUGAAUAAACAAUUUUAACUGCAAGUCAGUACUUGACGUUAGGGAAAUUUCAACAAAGAGCAAUCAGAGAAGCUUGACCAUUUAUCAGAAUCAAGACUACCUCCGAACCUAGGAAUAUGGGGCAUGCCACCUAAACAUCAGUUGUUCAUAGGAAGAUUACUCCAAGAAUUGGUCAGUCUUAAACAGUCUCCAACAUUUGUUCAUAAAUGUGCAAAUCAUUUCAAGAAUCAGUUGAUCCAGAGCAAAUCAUCUCGGGACUCUAUUAACUAGGGGCAGAUCACCUAGAGGUUCUGGUAGCCAGGGGCAGACCCCUUCAAUGUUCAGUCAAGGUGAGUUAAGUCGCUUUAACGCUCAUACUGGGGCAAGCUACCUCAAAAGUAUAGAAAAGUAAACCACUCCGAGAGUCGGUUAAUCAAGGAAAAAUAUUUUCAUGACUUUAAAUUUUGGGGCAAGCUGUCUCCAAAUUAUGGUACAAUUGCUUUCAAAAUCCUUUCGAGGUAAACAUUUUGCAUAGACCCAUCACAUUGGGGCAAGAUAAGCCAUACAAGAGCGAGUCCUCUCCAUGUUUCAAGCAGUUCAAGCAAAAGCUUUUUCGCAAGUCAGCAAAUGCAGAGUUCAAGAUGAGUGUCGGGGAAUCAUGUUAUCAUCCCAUGAAACAACCAUCUGGAAGACAGAAGCCUUUUUGCAAAGAACCUUCUCUUCCAAUACCCACGCAGGGGCAUUUUGAAAACCUGCAAAUCAUUACAUAAAUCAUCCUCAUGCAUUAGUCAUGUCACUUUGCUCUAAGAUAAAACCAUGCAUAUCGUAAAACUCAUCAGGUCUAACCCCAUAACAUGAACCUGGCAUCAAAAAGCCUUGAAACACAAAAUCUGACACCAAAGCCCAACAUCGCUUGGCCAUUUCAAAGUCCAGUUCUCGUCUGGCAACUUAUUUCAAAGCCUAGUUCCCGUCUGGAAAACCUUUUUCAAAAAAACCAGUUCCCGUCUGGCAAUUUAUUUCAAAGCCUAGUUCUUGUAUGACAAACCUUUUUCAAAAAAAACCAGUUCCCGUCUGGCAAUUUAUUUCAAAGCCCAGUUCCCGUCUGGCAAAUUAUUUCGAAGUCCGGUUCUCGUCUGGCAACUUAUUCCAAAGUCCAGUUCUCGUCUGGCAAACUAUAUCAAAAAUCAGUUCUUGUACGACAAAUCAUGUGCCAAAUACCAGUUCUCGUUAGGUAAACUAUCUCUUAAUACCAGUUCUCGUCUGGUAGGUCACCUAUUUCAAUACCAGUUCUUGUAUGGUAGUAAAUUAUUUUCACCAGUUCUCGUCUGGUAGCCUACUUUAAAAAUCAGUUCCUGUUUGAUAAACAAAAACAAAUCCAGUCCCGUCUGACAUUUCAAUUAUUUUCUCCAGUUCGCGUCUGGUAACAUAUCCUUCAAGUGAUGUCCUCAUCUGUCAGUUCAAUCUCCUUCACCAGUUCUCAUCUGGCAGUUCCCAUUUAAAGUCCAACCUCAUUGGCAAUCAAGAAUUAAACCCUACAAAAACAUUCAAUUACCCAGUUGCAUUCCCACAUGCAUCACACGAAUCAUCCAUACAUGGUUUUCCUACCAAACAAAAAAUUAAAAAACACAGUCAUAUCAAUCAUCAGCAUACUCAUGCAUAAUACUUCCCCAAAACAAAAAUUUCAAUAAAAUAAAAAUCAUUCGCAUUCCUUCAUGCACAGCCAAAUAUCCCCAACAAUUGCAUCCCUUCAUACGUAUCAUGCAUCAUCACAUGCAUAGUACUGCCACUCAAAGUGGGACAUCAUACAAAAAUCACACAAAAAUAUCAAGAUCCAAGGUCAUUCAUGUGUAUCUUGUGCAUUUCUCAUUUCCAAAUAAAGUUAUUACCCUGCAUGUGCUCGUGGAAUCAUUUUCUCAGCAAACCAUUUUUCAACUCUAUAAUUAAUAAUGGUAUUCCCAGCAUUUUCUUUGCAAUCAUUGCUCCCCAAGCGGAGGUUACCCUAAAAAGUCUCCUAUGAGCUUUUCCCCUACAGAGCAUUUCCAGUAUGUCUCCCUCAAAAGGAGUCUUUUCUUAAAAUUCCCCCAACAGACGAAUAUUCAAGAUACUGCUUCAUUUAUCUGAAGAAUCUAAUUUCUCUGUUUGAGAUAUUGCUUCAUCAAUAUGAAGAGUCUCAUUUCAGAUUCUUUUAAAGAUACUGCUCUAAUAUCGUCGGAGAGUCUUAGAUUCAAUUAAGGUAUCUUUCCCUUUUUGGAAUAUCUUAAUUCUAUCAUAUAAGAUGCUGCUUUGACUCGAUAUAGAGAAUCUCAUUUUUACUGUUUGAGAUGUUGCUGCAUCAAUAUGAAGAGUCUCAUUCCAGAUUCUUCUAGAGAUACUGCUCUAAUAUCCUCUGAGAGUCUUAGAUUCGGUUAAGGUAUUUUUCCCUUGCUGGAAUAUCUUAAUUCUAUCAUAUAAGAAGCUGCUUCGACUCGAUACAGAGAAUCUCAUUUUUACUGUUUGAGAUACUGCUUCAUUCAUCCGAAGAAUCUCAUUUGUCUGUUUGAGAUACUGAUUCAUUCAUUUGAAGAAUCUCAUUUGUUUUCAAGAUACUGCUCUAGUAUCCUCGGAGAAUCUUAGAUACUAUUGAGGUAUCAUUCCCUUGUUGGAAUAUCUCGAUGAUAUCAUGUAAGAAACUGCUCUGUUUGAUCCCCAGAGAAUAUCAUGUUUUCUGUUCAAAACAAUGUUCUGCUAAUUUUCAAAAAGUCUUAGAUGCCAUGGAAGUAUCGUUCUAUUGUCGGAAUAUCUCUAUCAUGGCAUCCAAGAUGUUGCUCUGAUAAUUCCCGGAGAGUCUUGAUUGUUUUAUUUUACCUUCCGAUAACCUUUUCUUACUAUAUUUCUCACUGCAUUUUUAUUUUCGCAUUUCUUCCUUACAUUUCAAAGGACAAAAUUCGAGUCUUUCAAGUAUUUAAUUAUCUUCCACCGUGAAUGUACGAAGACUGUUGUCAUUCGUAAUUUCUGGUUCAAGGUAACUAAAUAGGGGCAGCUGUCAUACCCCAAUUUUGUCCCUAUCCCGAUACAAUUUUCAUCUGAUCCAUGACCCUACUACACAUGCGUACAUUCAUUAUUUCAAAAAAAAAAUUGGGUAACCGAUUACCCAGACCAAAAACUGAUUUUUUGGCCAUUUUGGGAAUGUGUAAUCGAUUACCCUAAUCAGGGUAACCGUUUACACCUGCGCAGACAGCGGAAAUAGCUCUGUUUUUUACACAGAGGACCCUUUGGAUCACCCACUUCAACACCUUUGCUUCCCGUAUAAAUAGAGCAUUAUCCCCACUCAUUUUUCAAGCUUGAAAGCCAUAAAACCUCUGCCCGAAUCACCUUCAAGCUCCCUCUUUUCAACCUAAACCCUAACUCACCCAAACCCUCUUUUCUUCUUUGAACCACCCAACCACCAUGUAAAAAUCCACCAUUUCCAUACAACAACAACAGUAACAAACUUCUAACCUUCACUCACAUAAUUAUUCACCACCACCACAUAAACAUACAACAUCCUUCUCUUCCCUUUUUCUAUCAUAACAACCAUAACCACCCUCUUCCAAGCUUUUUGCUUCAUUCUCAAACCCAAACACAACAAUAACCUAGUUUCGACACCACACUCUUGGUAAUAUUUUGGACUCAAACUCCUUAACAUUUUUUUGGUUUUAUUUUAUGUUUGAAAAUGAGUUUUUACUCUUGGGUUGUGUUUUGAGAGAGAUUUUAGUCAAUUUUGAGACAAGUGUUUUUUUGUUAGGUUUACACCAUUUUGGGGAUUUUUUGCUCUUACUACUUUUUAUCCACCAUUUUCAAUCAAACUUGUUUCUUGUUAUCAUUUAAUAUUUAUUGUUGACUUGUUUUUCACAUUUAUUUGGUUGAUAAGUUCAAUUAGAUCAUGACCAUGGUUGUUUAGAGUUGAUUAAAUCUUCAAUACUUCAAACCUAUUAAUGGUUGAUCAAUAGAUCAUUCAUGAUACUUUGAGGCAUUGAUAGAUUGCCUCUACUUUAACCAUAUUUGGAUCAUUUGAUACAUAGAUGAAACCAUUUCAUAAACCUUGUUUCUUGUUAUCAUUUAAUAUUUAUUGUUGACUUGUUGUUAUAUUUAUUUGGUUGAUGAGUUCUAUUAGAUCAUGGCAUGGUUGUUUAGAGUUGAUUAAAUCUUCAAUGUUUCAAACCUAUUAGUGGUUGAUCAAUAGAUCAUUCAUGAUACUUUCAGGCAUUGAUAGAUUGCCUCUAUUUCACCCAUAUUUGAGUCAUUUGAUGCAUAUAUGAAACCAUAUUCUCUAUAUUAACUUGCUAAUCCAUUUGCUUAUUGUUAUUCUACUAACUACUAACUACUAACAUUUAUUUUAGUGCUUUUUAACUCCUUGCAAUUUAUUUUAUUGUUACUAACCAUUAACUACUAACUUCUAACAUUUACAUUCUUGCACUUUACUUCCUUUCAAUUUAUUUUAUUGUUCAUUUACAUUCACUAACCAUUAUUAUUGUGAUAUUACCAUUCUUUAUCUUGUGAUUUACUUUUAUGUCAUUACCUUGUAAUUUACAUUCAAGUACUCAUUAUCAUCAUCAUUGUACAAACUUCAUUGCAUGUUUAUUUACUUGUUAUUUAUUUUAUUGUCAUCAUACAUUAAAAACAACAAAAACAUGAUAAAUUAUUAAGACCAAAAAUAUUCACUCCAAUGUUAAUCAACUAUGACUUAGAGGAUUUCAUCUUAGGACCUUUGCUUGAAGGCUUUCCUUUACUCUUUGUGAUACUUUGUAAAUGUUGGAUUUUCAUCUGUAACUUACAUGCAUGUUGUAAGAAUGGCAUCAUGGCACCACCUUAGGGGGACAUGUUUGUAAGAACCAUUAUCCUUUGUUUUAGCUUAGGUCACUUUUAGCACACAAAAGGCUUUCUCUUGGGCUACCUUACAAUGAGACUCUUUUAUUUCUUGUUGGUUAUUUUGCAUUCACGUUGCAUAAGCUAAAUUCAUAAGCAAACUCAUUUUGAGACCACUUUCAAAUUCAAUUCAUAUGCACAUGUAAAUACAAACCUCGGUCAAUAUCGAGUGCGCCUUUUCAAAUCAAUUGAAAACACCCUUGUAAGUCGAUCGCUUUUAAAGCAUCGCCAUCAACCUCACAUAGCUUACUCUUGGGCUUUCUUACAAUGAGACCUAUUCGAUUUUUAUCGAGUAGAAGAGCAAUACACUAAAUAAAUUCACUUCAUUCAAAACACAAAUCUAAAACCUCAAUCCAAUGUCGAGUAUUUUCUAUCAAACUCAAUUGAAAUACCCCUAUUAAAUCAAAAUAAGCUAAAUGAAAAGGGAGUCAACUUUGAGUUUUCAACUUCACUCCUCAAUUGGACGAAUACGAGUUUUCUUACUCGGUCGGUCGAGCAAUUGUCAUUUUCCUCUAACAUACAACUUAAUCAAAUCAUUUCCUUAAAAAAACUAUACGAAAAAGGAGAUGGUUUUGAGCUUUCAAUUUCUCUUCUCAAAUGCUUGGAUAUGAGUUGUCUUACUCAGUCAUUCGAGUAUUUGUCGUUAAUGCUAAAAUACGUCAAUCUUAUACAACCUUAUUUUCAUAAAUACUCGGAUGAAACAUAGAGCGCUUUAGAGUCUUUUAUUCCCUUUCUCGGUUAUUAAGAUACGAGUUGUCUUACUCGAUUAUCCGAGUAAUCGUCAUCCAACCAAAAACAUCUUAACCAAUCAAAACAUCCAACAUAUUAAUCCAACUUGUCGCCCCCCGUGUGACCAAAACUCUUUUAAGAAAGAACACUGUUAAUCCUUUCUAAUGCGCACAACAAACCAAUGCUUAAGCCUCCGCCGAGAGUAGACAAGCCAGCGUUUAGCCUUUAGAACGCGAUUUAAAACAGUUGUUCACUAAAAGACACCAACCAACCGUAGUUUCCCGAACUACGAAUGCUCUGACUUCCUUAUUGCACCAUAAGGAUACGUAGGUAGGAGAUUGAUGUAUCUUCGCGAGCACACUAAUAAAAAACCUCCCUUUUCCCCUUUUUAUGAGGUUCUCAUCCAUUUUUAUUUUCAAUAUUUUAUAACCCAAAGAUAACAAGCAAACAUACAUUAACACUCGAAACGCACAUUAGAACUAAAAGGUUCCCGUUGAGUACAACGGACGUAAGGGGUGCUAAUACCUUCCCCUUACGUAAUUCACUCCCGAACCCGAAUAUGGUUGCGACGACCAUUAUUCCAUCUUUCAAAGGUUUUAUCGAUAUUUUCCUAUUCCUUCAUUGGGAUAAAUAAAGUUCGGUGGCGACUCUGUUCGAACACUAAAUUUUUCCGUGACCAUCGCGAGGAAUCGUAUUUUUCGAGAUGCGACACCAGAGUAUCAAUAACCAUGCUUCCAUGCAUAACAAAUAUUUCAAGAUUCAAUCUCUUAGCACAAUCCAAAGAAAUAAAAGAACGCGUCGCACCAGUAUCAAUAAUAGCAAUCAAAGGCAUAUUAUUAAUAAAGCACGUACCUCGAAUCAAUCUCUCCUCAGCAGAAGUAUCAACCUCGGACAAUGAAAACACUUUCCCUUUGGUUUGCUCCUUCUUCGGCUUGUUGCACUUGGUACUAAUAUGCCCUUGCUCACCACAGUUGUAGCAAGUCACAUUCGAACCAACUCUACAAUCAAAAGAUUUGUGACCUUGCUUGCCACACUUGAAAUAAGUCACAUCACCCUUAGAACACUCGGGAGCACGAUGUCCCUUAACACCACAUCUGAAGCACUUGACAGGAGUGUGAGAUCCUCCCCCACUCGGCUUCUUGCCAUUACCAACUUUCUUCUUACCAUCAUACGGCUUCCCUCGGAAUUUCCCUUUUCCUUUCUUAUCAUGCAAGGACUUGUAAUGAGCAGCACUCUCACGACUAUCCUCAUCAGAGAUCCUACUCUUGUGAACCAACUUAGAAAAUCUUGUAAUCUGUUGGUAACCCAUUGCCUUCUUGAUAUCAGGUCUCAACCCAUUCACCAACUUAAGACACUUGGAUCUCUCAACAUUAGCAGUAUUUUAAUGGGGACAAAAUUUGCUCAACUCCUCAAACUUUGCAGCAUACUCGGCUAUGGUAUCAUUAGCUUGCUUCAACUCAAGGAAUUCAAUUUCCUUCUUUCCACAAACAUCUUAUGGAAAAUACUUCUCUAGAAAAGCAUCACGGAAAAGUGCCCAAGUCACUUCAAUGCCAUCCUCAUCAAAUCUCUGAAAAUUGUUGUGCCACCAAUCCUCAGCUUCUUUCUCAAGCAUAUGAUGCCAAACUAAACCUUCUACGCAUCUGAACAGUUCAUAACUCGAAAGAUUUUCUCAAUAGCCUUCAACCACUCUUGAGCUUUGUCAGGUUCAUGAGCUCCUUCAAAAGUUGGCGGAUUAUUUCUAUGGAACUUCCCCAAAGCACCGAACUUAUCAGCAUCACGCUCCUGAUCAUCAACAUUCAUUUGCGGAAUGACACCAGUCAACAGGGUCAAUGUCGUCGCAAGCGCAUCAUCAUUCCUUCCAGCAACCAUUUUUCUGCUACACCAACCAAACAACCACAAAAACAAGGAUUGUUAAAUAAACUGUAUUGAUUGUGUCAUACACACAAAUUAGAUACAACAAAAUCAAACAAAUUCAUAACCUGGCCGAAUGACCGACCGUGCUCUGAUACCACUAAUGUAACACCCCCCAAACUUCUACUACUCAAAUACAUCAUACAAUUGCAUAAUCAGAGUAAAUUAAAGCAUGUAUACACGAGGGCAUCACAUUUACUUCUGCCAGAAACAACACAUGCCAUGGUCACAUACAAGUAACACGAAUUAUAAAUCAAAAUCAAAUAACCAACAUACAAACUCACACAGCGGAAUAACAUCUCUCUUCAUAAAUGGUAAAUAAUGAUGAUUCCCAUAAAUCAUCUACCACAAAAUAUCAUUUUGGGCUCUAAGGCCACUCAACAUCAAAACCAACAUAUCCAAAUAACAAGAUAAAAGAGAGCACACCAAUAUCUCUCAACAUCAAAACAAAUACAAAUAAUCCCAUAAACCCGAGUGUUACAUGACCAGAUCACUAUAGAAUACCUAGUCAAAACACAACAAGAACCAGCCUCUGAAUCUAAUCCUUGUGUAUACCAUCCUUCGACCUGAAAUCAUUAUGGACCCUAGAUGUAGAGUCGAGUGCCUUAUUGCUGAUCAAACAUUGUCCGUAACUGGAUGACCAUAAAGACAGUUGAUGGGUACUCCACGAAGCAUGUUGAGGGACAUGAGUGACCUAGAUGAAAUUUUCCCAUCCUACGUGACAGGAUAAUUGUCUAAGUGCCCAAUAUUGAACUGGACAAGGAUGACACGGUCAAUGCCUUGUGUUCAAUAUAAACAUAAGGGUAAAAGGGUAAUUGUACACCAUAAGUAUUAUCACAAAAAGGAUUUGUCAGAUCAUAUGACAUUUUCGUGUCUUGGGUAGCAGUGAUGUGUUGCUAGAUACCGCUCACUGUUUAUUAUGUUAAAUACGUGAUUUAAUAUAAUACCAAUGUCGCGAGAACCUACAGGGUCACACACAAAAUGACAGAUUGAUGAGAGAUAGAGUAAAUAAGGAACACUGUAAGGUAGGGUGCACUUAAGUGAAUUGUAGAACAUCGUAAGGUAUGAUGCACUUAAGUAGAAUACGAAAUAUGGUAAGGUACCACAUGAUUAAGUGAUUUUGGUAUAUCAUAAAAUAUGGGCCACAUACACUUAAUGGGCUUUUUAGCUUAUAGCCCACACAAGUGGUUCUAUAAAUAGAACCCUUGUGCAUAAGCAUUUGUUCAUAUGAAAUUUCGUUAGAGAGAGAGAGAGAGAGACUCAAAGCCUUCACUCGUAGCAGCUAGCACUGAGAUUGAAGGAAUCCGUUCGUGUGGACUGAGUAGAGGCGUUGUUACCAUUCAACGUUCGUUCUCACUCCUUCUAUCUGCAUCAAAGGUCUCAAUCGCCACAAGAGGUAACGAUUCUAUCACUGAUCAUACCCAUUCGUAAGGAUCAUUAAAGGAGAAAUGUUAAAUUCCGCUGCAUUUUGGAUCGCGAUUCUUUUUUAGAAAAUGCAUAUUUUUCUAUGCGAUGGUGUUGAAAUUCAUUGUAAUGUUUAUGUGGUGGUGUGACAUAACCUUAAAUACAUUGUUGUUGCUUGUUAUGUUGUAUGUUGAUGUUGUUGAGCUGUAUAACAUGUGUUUGAUGCAUGAUGACCAGUAUUGGCGGUGUACAUUGAAUAUGGUGGUGAGUCAUUGUGCAUGAUGUUGCUGUUGCAUGUAUAAUAUGUUGCAUGCAUUCAUGUUGUUGGACAAAUGAUCCAUUGUUGGUGAGCCUCAAAUCCCAUUAUAUGGUUUAGGCCGGUAGCUGAUUUUGGAGGUGAUGGAAUCAAUGAUUUGUUAUCGAAGAUGAUGGUAAUGAAUUGGCGGCUUUAAUCCUAGGUGGUGAGGAUCAAAUGGGUGAACCUGAGUGUUCACGUGUUGGUACCACAUGCAUUGAGUCAAGUUGUUGAGUCUCAUUGCAUUGUACAUUGAUUGUAUUUGUUAUUAUGUUGGAUGGUUGGUUAUGUUGUUACUAUGUCUGAUGGUUGUUAUGUUGUUGUUAUGUUAGAUGGCUGUUAUGUUAUGUAUGGAUAGUUGUGAUGUUACUAUUAUGUGUGGAUAGCUGUUGUGUGGAUUAUGUGGAAUUGUGUUGUGGAAUAGGUGAUGUGCAUGUGAUAAUCUGAUGCUUACUUAUUAUCCUGCUUUCCUUUAUAUAAAUAUGAUAUCUCACCCCUUCUGUUUGAAUGUUGCCUCCACGUGGGUAACGUGAAUAUAAUCCACAGUAGGAGCUCAAAUGUGAGUGGAAGAUGAAGUCUUCCAUUUUAUUUUAGUGUACUCUGAUGUGUAACACGGGGGAAUUUGGAAUGUUGUGUCUUUUGUUAUGUUUUAACAUUUUUUUUAUAAUGACAUGUUAUAUUGAUGUUGGAUAUGUGACAUAACUGUUUCUUAUUGUUGUUCCACUGCUAUUUAAUAAAAGUUAAUGUUCAGACAUGUAGUAAUUACUACUACUUUUAUAACUAUCAAGUGUUACAUGUCUUUUCGAUUGGGCAUGUUGAGUGUAUGUUGUAGCGUAAUAUCCUAAAUUAUAUGUUGAAUUGUUUUACUCUGAUAAAUAUUUUAAAUUUACACGGGGAAAAUUUAGGGUGUUACAUUCCCCUUUAUUGAUCACCUAAUUACUUAGUUAUCUGACAAAUCUGAGUUUUGAGAUUUUUAAUUGACGCAAUAGUGUUCUUUUGGUUUGAUAAAGACAACUGCAUAAAUUGCUUUAGAAUAUCCUCCAAUUUUAAAAUUUUGUCUUGCUAAGGAAAAUUCUAGUUGAAAUUCGAGUACAAAUGUUGUCAGUUGAAUGGUCAUGCAUCUUGUCUCCAUCCUUGAUUGUAAUUUGAGUUGUUUCUCCUUUGAAAAUUGUUGUUAUGUUGAUAUUGUCCUUAUCUUUGUUGGUUUCCAAAAAAAUCACCUCUUCAUCUGACUAAGGACAAUAACAUGUGAGAUGAUCUCCGGUGCAAAACUUAUAAUAAUAAUUUUUCUUGUGUUUAAGCACCUCUUGCAUUUCUUUGAGUUGGUGUGGAAGUUUUGAAAGUUGCUUAGUUAGUUAAAAAUAAUUACGGUUAUACACAAAUAUGAAUAAUUUUACAAAAUACUUAAAAUGAUACAAAAGUAUUGUUAUGCUUAUAAUAUCUAAAUGUCAAUCGCUGACAACGUCACCAAUUUAUUGAAAGAACAAAAGUAAGUAUUUUUGUGUUAUCGUAUCCCCGAUUUUAAGGAAAUAUUUUGAUUUUUUUUUUGUUUAUUGAACUAAUUUAUGCUUGAAAGUGUUUUUAUUUUAAUGGUUUUAAGCUUGAACAUAUAUAUUUUUAUUAUAAACACAAAAAUAUCAAUUAUCCUAAACAAUGGACCUUAAUCAAAAAGUGUAAUAAUUCAGAGCUUCAAAUAAAUUUUAUAUUCUUAGGAUCAUAUGUGCAUAAUUUUAUAUCUCUUAAAAUUAAAAUAUAUACACACUAAAAAAGUAGUUUUCUAAAGCUAUUUAUUUCAAAACUAAAGAAAACGUUUUUGAAAAGGGAAAGCAUUAUUUUUUACUUGAAUUAUUUAUUACACUUGUGUGUAAUCAAAUACGAAGUGUGCUUCAGUCACAAUUCAUAAAUAUGGUCUCAUAAUCGAUUAUGAUUCAUAACACAAUCAAGUAUGCACCUUUUUUUAUAGUUGAGUAAUUGAUUACGAUUCUUAGACAAUUAAGUAUGAUACAUAUCACACCAAAUAUUUCCUUUUUCAAUGUCAAAUAAUUGAUCAUGGCAUAUUAGUAAUCAAUUAUAUGCCUUAAACAUAUCAUUUUCAUUGUUUCCAUUUAUACAGGAAUUUAUGGAACCUCAACUACAUAUAAGACUCUGGGGACUGUUUGCAAAUCACACGUUGACUGAAUAUUUUACAAACAAACUUAUAUUCUGGGGUGAGGUGAAUGUUAUUAAUCUUGUAUGAUUCUUGAAGAGCCAAAUGGCUAUGUGUUGAGGUAAGUUAUCAAAAUCCACAUGGCUACCAACCUUAGAUCACACAUGAGUCCAAAAGUUGAUGCUACCACCAUUGUCAAUGAUCCAACUAUAUUUGACAACAGAGUUUGGAACUGAGGCCUAAUCCCACUCCAAAUGGAAGAGUAGAUAUGAUACUUAAUGCAUGAGUUUCUUCUAAUGACCCAGAAACAACCCAAUGAUUGUUGGAGUUGAACAUUUUACAACCAAGUUUAGAUAUGUGAGAGAUCUCAAACCAAUACCCCUAUCAGAGAUGGGAGAACAAUUAUUUACAAGCAAAUGUUACCAAUUUUUUUGUUGUGCAAGUCAUCACUCCAAGCAAAUUUUCUAAACAUUGUUUCAAUUUCCUUAAAAAAGAGGCUUAGGCUAAGCUACCUCUUCCAUUGUCCUUCGCAGAUAUGUCAAUGCGAUAUUUGCGGACCACCAUGAUUAUUUGCUGCCUUAGGAUGUAUGGAAUGUGCCAACUCCCAUUUCAUGGAGUGCAGUACACACAGUUGCAUCCAAUAGUUUUUAUAGCGUGUCUCAUUCUUAUAUGAAAUUAGAUGCAUUAGAUGCGGAGAUCUCCUUAUUUUUGUGAAUGUAUCAAGUGUGAGUAGUAUGAAUAAUAGUCUCAAAUUGGUUGGAAAUAUGGAGAUUUAAGCAUUUAUAAGUGAGAGAACCCACUCACAUAUCACCUUAAAGUUUUAGGUGAAUAUGUGGCGUGUCUAUCACAAAGGUUUUGUUCUAAAAAGAAGAAGUCCAAUAAUGUUCAAUACUCCCUAUUGAAAAAUUCCCCCAACACUUAUGCCAACUCAUUAGGAGAUGUUAAAGGAGAAACAAGUGAGAACAGAUCAUGUUAUGGAUGUAUGUCGAUAUGCCACUGUAUAGUUAUUAUUGGGAGAGAGACCAUAACUAUGAUCGAGUUUCAGAAAGACACCUUUCCGAAAAUGACUCUAUAAACAAUCUUAACAGAGGCACGACAUACAUUGAGGCAACGGAGGAACAUCAGAGAUUUUUUUUUUGUAUUUUAUGAACACUGAAAUAUGAUUUACCAACAAUUUGUUCGACCUUCCAUCUUAUUAAUCUUAUUAAUGAAUGACUCAUAUGUAUGGCCUAUUAUAGAUAUUAUUUAAAAAUGAUUUAUAAUAUAUUAUAAUGUAUUAUUUGUUAAUGUUGAAAAGUUCUUCAAAAUUACUGUUAAGGGAUGUAGAUAGUAUCUUGAAGUUUGUUCAGAAUUUCAAAUUCGAACUCACCCCAUUUUUAACCAUCGGAUCCAAACCAACAUAAUGGGAUUAUCCGAAAAUUGAAAUCCAUAUUUUAAUACAAAUAUAUUUAGAGAUUACUGUAUAUUUAGCAAAUAUAGAGUGUCUUUUUGAUGAAGUAAUUUUAUUAUAAAAUAAAUACGUGUCAAAUAUAGAGGGUAAGUAAUUUUAUUAUAAAAUAAAUAUAUUAUAAUUUUUUAACACUAGGAAGAUUUUUUUAUUUUUUAAUUUCAAAAAAAUCUCUGAGCAAUACACGCCUCUAAAAGAAAUGUCAUAUUUAUUUUUAUAAACAAUAAAUUGAAUUAUGAGAGGCACAAGAGUCCACAACCCAUAAAAGAAUUUUUGUCAUAUUGUAUUCAAGCUCAUACGACAUUAAUUUGGUCCUAACUAAUGCAUUUCCAUUUUGUUUCAAAAACAAAAACAACUAAAGUAUAGUACUACGUAAUAUUUUGACCUUUGGCCUUAAAAUCAAAAUUGAAUUGCAAUACAGUAUUAGUGGAACAUCGAAGAUGAUAUUUCAAACGAAAGCUUUUCUCAGUCAUUGAACUAUUGAAGUAUUCUUUUGACUUUUCAUCUAAUUGCACCGUGGUUUUAUUACGUAUUCGAAUUAUAAAGUAUACAAAUUUAUUUGUCUAAAUUACAAAUAACUCAAAUAUUAAAUAGUAACAUACUAUCAUUUACUAUUAAUUAUUAUCAAACAUCUUGUUAAUUCCAUGGUUUAAAGGAAACCCUUUCCCUUGCAACACUCAAUUGUAUCCUCAAACAUUUCUUCAAUGCUAUACUUGAACUCAAAUCCAGCAUCCAUGAUUUUCUUUGAGGUUAAAUGUGGAAGCAUAGGACCUUUAGCUCCCAUAAGCACUCUAUAGUAGAAGAAAAUAAAUUGAAUAAAAAUAUUAGUAACAUUAAAACAAAUAUCACAUAAAUAUUAGUAAAGUUAUUUACAUUGAGAAGGACAAUUAAAUAAAUAAAAAAACUCACUUGGAUUUUGGAAUUUGAAAUUCAGGGUAUUUUGAAGAAAUAAUGUCAAUUAUUUCAUCAUAAGUUGCAAUGAAUGGUGAACAAUUAAAUCUCCCUUUUGGAUUAGGAUGUUCAAGUAAGAAUAUAUGUGCUCGUGCCACGUCAUCAACAUGCACCAUAUGCAUACGAGAUGCCAUCAAUUUCUUCUCAAUAUCACCUGAAUUCAACUUUCAUUUAUUAAUUUUCUUUAAUUCGAAUUUUGAAUAUUCAAUAUAUUGGCAUGUAUGUUGCGUAUUCCACGCAUUGGGAGAAAAGUUAUAAUACCAAACAUCCAUUUUCACGAGGUUAUGAUUAAUCAAUAUAUAGUUGUGGAAAUAUUGAAAAUCAUUUAAUAUUCAUAGACAUUAAUAGGCUAUGUAGUACACAAAAUGAUCAUACCUUGCUGGUAUAAAAAAUAAUAUCGAAAUAGAAGCAAAAUAUUUUACAAACCAAGAGAAAAACAAAUUAAAAAAUUCUUAAAAUAAAUUAUCAAAUAACAUUUUAGUAAAAUUUAUUAUUAUUUGAAGGAAUUUCAAAUGAAUAAAAAAAAUUUACAUUCAAUAAAAAAUACGAAAUAUUGUUAAAAUGAUGAAAAUCUUUGAAAAAUUCCAAAUGAGAUCUAAAAUAAAGGAAUUUAAAAUUUCUCUUUCAUUAUCCAAAAAUUUUAAAUUAAUUAUUACCGAUCUCUAAAUCUUUAUAAAUUGAUAUUUAUAGUUUUUUGAAAAUUUAAAUAAAUUUUAAAUUUUUUCAAAAAUUGCAAAUUAGUGCUUAUUAUAUUUAAAUUUUACAAAUCGGUCCUUUAAAAUAUUCCAAAUUAUAAAAUUGGUCCAAAUUUUAAAUUUUAUUUAAAAAUCUUAAAAUUUAUCAAAUUUAACAAUGAAGAGAAAUCAAGUAAAAUAUUUGAAUCAGCUACAAUUUUAUGUUUUUAAAACUUUUAAAUCAACAUAAAAAAAAAAGCACUUACCAAAUAUGAAAGGCAGUGAAGCAUAAACAGAACCAGGAAUCUUAGGGCAAACGAAGGGUCCAACAACAAAAGAUGGUAUAAGAGUCACAAUAUCCAACCCAUUUUCUUUUCCAUAUUCAAGAACAGCUUUCUCAGCUAGAGUCUUAGAAGCUACAUAUGACCAAGCAAAUGGCUUCAAUUUUCUUAGAAGAUUAACAUCACUCCAAUAACUUUCAUCCAUUACAUCAUCUUCUUUUUCUUGAUAAUAAACAGCUGAACCACUUGAAGUGUAAACAACUCUCUUUAAUGUCUUUGAGUUUUUGCAUGCUUUUAGAAUUCCUAAUGCUCCGUCAAUGGUUCUUUCUGUCACUAUUUCUUCUGGUUCGCUCACAGUGAAAUCCAUCGGAGUUGCGGUGUGGAAUAUUCCAACGCACCCUUCUAUUGCUUCGUUGAAGCUUUCUGGUUUGCUAAGAUCCGCCGUGAAAAUUUUUAGUUUUUCAGAUGCUCCGGAAAGAUUUGUGAGAAAACUUAUAUCUCUUUUUUUCCCUGCCAUUUACAAAAUGAUAAUAAUUAUCAGAAACUCAUACGUAUAACUAUACUGUUCAAUCUAACAAUAUUAAUAUUUAUCAAAUUAACUAAAUUUUAAAAACUAAUAAAUAUUUUACCUGGAUCAGCUCUAACAGUGGUAUUAACAGUGUAACCAUCUUCAAGGAGUGUCUUGAUGAUCCAUGAACCAAUAAAACCUGUACCUCCUGUUACACAAACUCUUCCUUUUCCUUCUGCCAUUAUCACACUUUUCUUGCAAAAUGUUUUUUCACUCUUAUGUUUUGUGUUAGUUAGUUUUGUAUGAAUGUUGAUGUUCAUACAGAUGUAUAUAUAGGCACGUAAUGUUAUAGGUGGACACUUUCUGUGGGCAUACUAAUUCUACCGAACACUGUAAUAUUUUUCCUUGCUGAUUACAUGUUCGUAAGUUAACAAUUUAACUGGUAAAAUAUGGAAUAGAAAAAUAUAUUCUAGAAGUUGAAUUUAUACUUGGUCAAAUAAAAGUGGGAGAUGUUAUAUCUGUGUGCUAAUUACUUUUACUUUCAUUUUUAAAUAAAUAAACUUGUCAACUUGAUAAUAUGAAUAUAUUUUGAAUGAAUUGUGAGUGUAAGGUAUCUCUCCCUUUAGUAUUAUAAACACACACACACAAAUUUAUUGAUUAAUUUAUAUAUUUAAUUUAUGUAAUUCAAUAAAACCUUAAAAUAAAUGUUUGUUUAUAAAAUGAUAAGAUAAAGAUAAAUUAUGUUUUGAUGCGAUUAAAUUACAGUUUUGGUCCUUAUAUUUUGGUCUUCUCACGGUUUUGGUUCCCCCAUUUUUUAAAUAGUUUUAGUCCCACGUCCUAAAUUUGAUCAAAAAAACGUUUAUAUGGUUUCCAUGAUGAGAUGUUGUUUCGAAUAGUUUGAAUUUUUUCCGGUUGAUUAUUGAAUAUUUCUUAGUCCAUUGUGCUGUUUUAAAAUUUACUGUAUAUUUUUUUCUUGGGUUUGUUUUAGGUCAGCUGAUACAAAAACAGUCAGAAUAAGGAUUAAUCACAGGAGGACUUAGUUCAUUAUCCUUGCAAGAUUUAUGUAAAUGAAAAGGUACAAUAAAUGAAUUGCAAAUUUGAUGUGGAUUUUAUGUCUUAUAUGGACUUCAUGAAGGUUAUCAAUAAUUGGGUUAUAUAAGAAUCAAGUGCACGUGGUAUCAUCACCCGAAGUAGUCAUUUGAGCAUGGGGUUAGACUUCUUAACAAUGACGCAAAUGUCUUAAAAUUUGGAGAAGACAUGAAUAAUUAUGACAUUGCUAAUAUCUACGUUGAGUAUAUAGUAGAUUGACUUACUGUUAUAUCAGAAGAACAAGUGAAGGUAUGUUGAACUUGAACUUACUAUAUUAUUGUUGAACUGAUAUAAACUUAGUAUAUUAUGAAUUGAACAUUCUGAACUUGGUGUAUUAUUGUUGAACUGAUAUGAACUUAGUGUAUUAUUGCUGAACUGAUAUGAACUUAGUGUAUUAGGAACUGAACUGAUAUGAUCUUAGUGUAUCAUCCUAAACUUAAUAUAUUAUGAACAAAUGUAUACCUGAACUGUACUUUGUGCAUCAUACUGAAACUGAAUUGUCUUUGUGUUACAUAAUGUUUAAAAAUAUCAAGCUUCGAGGCAACUUAUUCGUACAUUGUGCUCAAGACUUCAAGCAAUAAUCCCCCAGUUAUGAGAAGAACUCCGGAUACUCUAGCCUGCAACAAAUGGGGAAAAAAUUAAUCCUCCAGUUAUGAGAAGAGUUUCGGGUAGAUCUAAGAAGAAAAGAAACAUGGUAAUGAUGAACCAACUUCAAGCAAUGUACUACCAAGAAAUUUGACCACUAUUAAGUGUAAAAAUUAUGAGAUUUUAAGACAUAAUUCAAGAACUUGCAAAGAGAAAAUAGUGACGGAUCGACAAUUAGCGAAAGGUAGUAACAAGGUUACCAAGGCUAAGAAGCAAAGGAAGACAUCAACAAAAGAAUCAUCCCCUGUGUUAACACAAGGAUCACAAGCUCCGCAAACACAAGAAACUAAUUCAUGAAACAUGUUGUCAAAUGUCCUUUUUUGUGUGUACUGGUAUUGGCUACUUUAGAGUCAGAUUGACUGUUUUGUGUAAUGGUAUUGGCUACUUUAGAAUCAGGUUGACUGUUUUGUGUAAUGGUGUUGGCUACUUUAGAAUUAGGUUGACUGUUUUGUGUAUGUGCUGGCUACUUUGGAAUAGGUUGACUUUUCAAUCCAAUGUUGGAUUUCGUUAUACGAAUAUGUGGUAAAGAGUUAUUGGAGAUAUCAUGUUAAUAAAUUUGACAUAUAUAUAUAAUUAUAUAUAUAUAUAUAUAUAUAUAUAUAUAUAUAUAUAUAUAUAUAUAUAUAUUAAAAGUUAUUAUAUUUAAACUCAAAUAUUUUUUUACAAAAUAUUUUAUAAUUGAUCGGUAGAAUUUUAUUUUACAUUAGCAUCAGCAUUGCAUAACAAUUACAUUUUGAUAUUAUUAAAAAGAAAGAAACAAGCAAAUUGAAUACGACUUUUCAGUUUACUAGGAGACUUUGAACAUAUAUAUGCAUCACUCACACCCCAAUCUUUGAAUAAAAAGCUACUUAUUGCACCCUGUUUUCCAUGACGCUGUUAAAUUAAUGGUUCUUUUCGUGAGACAUAUGUGAGUGUGAGAUAAACCGUUUCUUUUAUUUAUUUGUUUUAACUUGUAAAAAUAAAACGAGCCUUUAUUAAUUAGUUACUCGAACUAUACGGCAAAAUACCAAAUUUCUAUUGCUAUUCUAUCAAUUAAAUUGACUAAUUGUUAGAUUAAUUAACUACAUUAUAUUUGAUUUUUUUUACAUGUUAUCUAAUUCAUAUAUCAAUAAGAUACAUUGAUCGGAACUCGAUCUAGUUUUGGCUAAGAAGAGAAAUUUUCAAUGACCAAGUUAUGGCCGGGUUACUGGCCAUAGCUUUAUAAUAAACUGAUAAUUGUUUCAAAUUUUAAUAACAAAUUAAUAUAUGAACUAAAACAACUAUUUUCACAAAUAAAUGGUUCCAGAGAGUUAACAUAUGUGUGGAUAAUAGAAACACAAGUAUUUUGAGAUUUUUAUCCUCCGUAAGAGAUGUCCUCCAUUUUGAAAUUAAUUCUCUUUCUUUUAAAUAUUUUAGGUUGUUAGAGAGAGUCAAUCUUCAAUUUGAAAUCAUUUGAGAUUCUUUAAUUAAUUUGUUAGAAUAGAGGCUUAAUUCUUGUAAAUAUAAAUAUGACAAUAAUUGGGUGGUAGAGUGGUUCCCCUUAAUUAUGUGUUUAAUGUUAUCCCUGUCUUUUUUUAAAUCUUUUUUGAAGAUGUUUGUAAAGGUUUGUGGAAAGUUUGUCAACUUACAAAUAAGGUUCCUUAGAGGGGUUUAAAGGUGCUUCAAAGAUAUCUUAGAUUAAUUGGGAGGGUGUUUUCAAGCCAAAGAACAUGGGUUUAGGAGUGAGGGAUCUCUGGUUUUUAAUCUUGUUCUUUUGGCAAAGUGGAGAUGGAAGUUUCUAAUUGGGCAUCCAGGUAUUAGAGGGAUAUUCUGAUAGCGAGAUAUCGAUCCCCAACACUUUCCUCGCUUGUUGAGGGAGGACUGAUGGUUUUCACUUUACUUCUUCUCGGUAGAAAGGGAUAUUUCUUCUUGGGUCUAUGAAAGAAAAUAGCCCUGAUUUGUUUGUUGACGGAGUCAUCAGGAAAAUAGGGUCUGACACUCAAAUUUCCUUUUAGAAGGACCUUUGAUUAGGGUUCAUCCCCUUAAAGACCAAGUUCCCCGAUUUGUACUUAAAUUAUAUUCAGUUCGACGGAUUGGGGAAAGAGACUGUUUGAUAGUUAAUGGGGUCUUCACUUGGGAACUUAGGUGGUAGAGAUCAUUCAUUCAUAGAGAGCUACUUGUUAUUAAGGAGCUUUGAUCUCAACUUUGAGAUAUCACCCUCUUCUUGGAUAAAGACCAGUGGAUUAGGAAGCAUGCUUGUUAGCUUGAUCUCUUCUUUGAAACCUUUUCCGAUAGAGCGUCAGAUUCUCCCUCUAAUAUGGAUUAGUUGGGUCCUACUAAGAUCUUGGUAUUCUCUUGGUAACUUUUACAAGAUAUAAUUUUGUCUAUUAAAAAUAUGUCUUAGAGAGGGUUGAUUUCCCAUCCUAUUAAGAUCUCUUAUCCCUUGUCCGGAUAUUUGGUUGAGACGGUCUCCCAUCUCUUUGUUACUUGUGAGCUUGUCAUGUAUGUGCGGUAUAAAAUAUUUAAGUGGUUAGGGUGACGGGUAUUUAUUCCUAAUGGUUAUAGGUUGCUUUUUGAUUCUUUUCUUUCUUUAGGGGGAAAGACUAAGUAUAUGGGUGGAUAUCUAUUUAUUUAGAAUGUUGUAGUAUGGUCCAUCUGGAAAAUUUAUAAAAAUGUCAUCUUUAAGGGAGUCACAAAACUAGGUAAAGAGGUGGAUAACAAGAGUAUUUUUUGGCCUAAAAAUGUUUUUUGGAUAGAUCUGAGGUGAACUCUUGCACCUUCACUGAAUGGCUUUAGAACCAUAUCUUCUACCUAAACCUAUAGCAGACCAAGUUUUUGCCUUGGUUUGGAGGUAGGUUUUCAUUUUUGGUUUUUUGGUGUUCUUUUGAUGGGAUAUAUUUUGUUGAUGGAGGAUCUGGGGGCUUGAGAUCUAACUUGUUGCCAGCGAGGUGGAUUAUAUUUGUAGUUGGGGUCUUUAUUUAUGGAGAUCACUUGAUCAAUAUUGUUGGUUGGGUUGUUAUUAUUGUUGAUGUUUUGUGUUUGUUAUUUUUAUCUCUUGUUAUUCCUUUUUAUCUUUUGUUACCUUUAGGAACUUCUUAUGUUUAGUGGCUACCCUUGUUGUACUUUGGUAAUAUCCACCCCCACCCUUUUUGAUAUAUUUUUAUUUUCCAUUAAAAAACAUAGGGUGCUACAUACAUACACUAACGAGUAGAAAUACAUAUCAUAUGUGAAAAUAGUCGAUUAAAGUGGGGGUGGCGGCUUAACAUGGCCCUCUUAGACAAGUCAAUAUGAUGACUUAUCUCGGGUUCUUCUAGUCUCUGGUGUGAUAUUAUUUUUGCUAUAUAUAGAAUCAAUCUUGUUAGCUCCUUUAUGGGAGAUUGGAUUAUUAGGUUUUGGUUUGUGUCUUCUUGGUGGAAAUGUGUUUUUCUUCUUGACUCCGAUGUUGCGGGCUCUUCGGACUGAUUCGUGGCUAGUCUCCAUAACAAAGUGGGCUUAAGAAUCCCCAUUUCCUUCCGGGAAGGUUCUUGGAUUGGGCCCACUCCUCUGUCAACAUGAUUUUUUAUAGGGGAUAUUGGAGUGUGGGAGGAUGGGGAUUUGGUAUGGAAUUUUAAGUUAAGAAGAACAUUCCUUUUUUACUACUAGUAGGAUAUGAUUGCAAACCUCCAUUCAACUAUUCGAGAUUUUACCCCUUCCUUGAAAAUUUAAUGGUAAUGGUGGCAUCAUACAAAGGAUAUGACAUUUUUACUAUCACAUUUAUCUUCCUUGAGAGUGAGGUUCCUAGAGAUCUUUUACUAAAUCAUGUGGAUUUCGUCUUCCAUCGUAUCUAUUAUUGUUGGACCUUCUAAAAUUGUUGUGUUCUCUAAGCAACUAAUAUAGGAUAAGGUCCCUACAAAAGAAACUUAAUCAAAAUAGGGGUCUUUAUGAAUUCAGGGGCUGAUUCUUGCCCCACGUGUAUAUGACUACUUGAAUUGGUCUCUCAUCUUUUUGUACCUUGUGGGGUAGCAAUAGUAGUUUGGUAUAUGACUUUUAGAUGGUUGAGGUGGUGUAUUUCUUUAUGGAGUACUUCCCUAUUUGAUUUUUAGACGUUUACUUCUCUAGGAAGAGUGUCUAGGAUUAUUAGUUACAUUUUUACGAUUUGUCACUAAGUUGUUUAAUCAUCAUGGAAAUAUCAUAAUGAUAUUUUGUUUCCAGAUCUGUUUGUUACAAUGAAGAAUAUGGAAGUUUUUUUUUUACAUAACAUGUAUAUGAUAUCUUGGUAGGUCUUUGGAUAACUCUUGUGAUUUCUCUUUUUAGUUUUAGAACCCUAUCUUUUGUCUGAGCCAAAGCGGCUUAAGAGUAUUCGACCUUGUGAAAUUUUAAUUCAGAUUUAAAAUUGAAAAAAUGUAUGAUUAUGAAUGAUGAAAUCUAAUUAAUACUCAUUUACUUCAUUCAAGAGUAACAAAAAUUAUACAAUAAACAUAAUUAAAACACUAAAUUUUAACAUAGAUUCAAUAGCAAGUCUUUGUUGAAAAUCAUUAGUAUAUGUUUGUUCAAUGUAGUAGUUGGUGAACCAUCUUGCUUGAUGCAUGAUUGUUGUUUUUCUCUUUUUUCUUUUUCUUUUUCCAACCAUCACCUACAACAGUACAUGAUGGACUAACUAGAGAAUUGGUCAUUACAUCCGUCUAGAAUUUAUUAAAACAUCAGUUAAUUUAAAAUCUUACAAAAACAUAUAAAUAAAUAUUCAAAUCCACCUGCAAAUACAUGCCUUAUUAUAACAGGAAAACAAAUCUACAUUUCAACAUUUUGCCUUUUUCAGAAAGAAACUAGAAAGGCAUAAACCAACUAUAAAGAUAAUGAAUCACCUACAUAUAUAUUGAAUAAACCGACCAUAAAGUAAAGUAUAUUAUUGAACAUUCACAGGAUCAAAUAAAAACUUGUAUAUUUUUUGAACUAGCAAAUAGAAAACUGAACUAAGGUUGGUUAGUAUAUUAUUGAACAUUCACAUGAUCAGAUAAAAACUUGUAACAUCUCUUGUGGGCACAAACACUUUAGAUAGAUCUAUAAUAAUUUAGAGAUACUUAUUCUAACUUUAAAACGGAGAGCACGCCUUGGAUAAUGCAUCCUUUGCACCUUCCAUGUGAUUUAGAUCAUUUUUGUCCAAGCUAUUUGUUAGGCCCCUUAUUAAAAGAUACUAUAAGAGAAAGGGCAGAAGGGCCAAUAGAAGUAGUUAUGACAGUUAUAAUUUUUAAAUAAAAACAGUUAGUUUAGUUAUUUGUUCUUAUCUGUAUUUGUAAUAAGUAUAAAUAGGGAAAGGGUAAGAAGGAUGGGUUGAGAAUUUUACUAAGGGUUAUUAAGGAGGGAGGGAACUAAGCUCUCUAAUCUUAGUAGGAAUGUGUCUAUCAUUUUAUGUCAAUAUUUAACUAUCAAUACAAUGUGUAUAUGUAUGUUCUCAACUCUGAUUGAGAACAUUUCUCCUGAGUUUAUUCUAUAAUAGUACUUAUUAUUCACUAAUAUAUCCCAUUGAUACUGGUUUUUAUCAACUGGUAUCAGAGCACUAAGAUCUUGGUUGCUUUGAUGGUCGUUAUAAUAAGUGAAAUGGAGGCCCGCGUUGAAUUGUUAGAAAAAGGAUUUGAAGUGAUGUUUGCCAUGAGAGAAACUAUGGAGAAACAUCGGGAAGACGAUAGAGCGGAGCGCACUGAAAUUAGACGACAAAUGGCUGAAUUGGUUGCAUCAAUGCGACACACUGAACAUCGCAGUCUAGAGGGAACGCAUCAUCACGAAACUCUAUCAGAUGAUGGUGAACACAUUCACUCGUUGUCGCAAAGAACGUUGGCGGAAAUUGGAAAUUACAGUUUUCGAAGGAAACAAUGCUUAUGGAUGGUUGAAUUGUGUGCACAAGUAUUUUGAUUUAAAGAGAAAGAACGAAAUUGGCAGAUUACAAGCAAUUAUGGUGGCAAUGGAAGGGAAGUUAUAACACCAUAAACCUCGAAACUUAUUUUAAAAAAUUUGUACGAUAAUUUAAGGUGUCACUAAUGAUAACUCUUCAGAAACAUAUCAACCCAUUGAAACUAUGUUGCAGAAAAAUAGUUCAUAUCAACUUAAUAAGUAACGUACUAGAAUCCAAAACAACAAAAUCAACAUCAACAUAAAGCAUAAGAACUCCCUUCCCCAAUGUUACACGAUCAGAGCACUAGAAUCCAUUAUGUAUGAUAAAGAGAUAAAUAAAAUCGAAGACUAGUUCCAACAAGCUACCUUCCACACACAACAAUAAUGAUCACUCCAGAGUAUCUGUAAGAUGUUCAUGGUGGACAACAUGAAACAAAAGGGUGAGAAAUAACAUUCAAUAUAAAUAAUGUAAAGAAUAAGAAGGUAGAGAAGUAUACAACACAACACACAUUCAAUACACGAAUAAACAUCACCAAUGUCUCACACCCAUUCAUAACAACAUGCACAUUCAUCAAAUAUACACACUAUUCACAAUAACUUAUUAACUACAUCAAGUAUUCUAAACCAAUCAACAACAUCAUGAACAAUCAAUUACAUAUCUAAACAUGUAUGCAAUGUACUUCACAACUGACUCAUUAUAUGUGUGGUACCAUUAAUGGACAACACAAGUUCAUCUCACUUCUGAAUCCCUACCAUGGGACUAGAGCACACCAAAAUCGCCACUAACUAAUCACCAUAGAGUAACGCUUCACUAAUUCAUCAUUGGAAUUAGAUACUCACUCCUGAAUCCGCACCAUCAGACCAAAGCACAACAAAUCAUAACUAUCACCAAAAGUAACGCUUCACCGAUUCUCAUCUAGAACCAGUUUCUCGCUCCAUAAUCCAUACCAUCAGAUCAGAGCACACCAAAUCGUUACUAUCACCAUAAGUAACGUUUCACCGAUCCCCUUUCAGAACCAGUUACUCACUCCUGAAUCCAUACCAUCGAAAUAGAGCAUACAAAAACUGAAUCGCAGCCUGUACACCAUGAUGCAUGACUCUAAACAACAUGCAUUAUCACCAAAAGAAUCACCAAAAUUAUCACCAUAAAAUCACCACGAUUAUGCAGAGUAUUAUACUCAUUAUAUAACAAUUGAUUAAUGCCAUGAUAAAUAAUAAACAACACCAAACAUCAGUAUCACAUCAAAUGUGUAUUCACGUGACAUUCAAUCAUGUUAAAUCAUUUAGCAUCAAUUCACCAUUAGGUAAGCACAACAAUUCAUGAAACAUCCAUACAUUUCAUAACAUACAUUUCCUAUAAUUAAUUUUCUUAUACACCUCAAUCGUCACAGAAAACACCGCCAUAAGGUAGCUUUUUGUGUUAGCUUUCUAACGUUUCAAACGGCACCUUCGUUGGAGUCACAUAGCUCAAGUUAUGGCUAAAACAACUAGUGAACCAAUCAAUUGUUGUAACAUACCAAUCAAUUGUUGUAACAUACCAAUCAAUUGACUCAGAGGAUCAAACGAUUAUCCUCAACUCACUGGCUUCAUUUUUUUUCAAUUUUUCAAAGGGACCAAUCAAUUGGCAUAGAGGACCAAUCGAUUUCUCCAAAGCUACUGCCUAAUUUUUUGUGUUUUCAAAAGGAAUUAGUCAAUCGUUUCCCCUUUCAAUCGAUUGGUCACUGUAAGUUUUCCAAAAAUUUCACGUUUCAGCAGUUUUAAGCAUAUUUAAACCCCACCCAAACAUGCCCUAACACACCUAAACAACUUAUUUCUAGAAUCUAACUUCAUACACCAAUUAUCCAUUACUACCACAACAUAUACAUCAAUUAACAUGAAAUUUGUCAUACAACUUAAUCAUCACCUUCAACAAUAUUUACGCUUAUGUUCAAAUCUUCAUACAGUUAUCAAUGGUAGAAAAAUACAUAUGCAUAGAUAUGAUGAAUCAAACAUGAAUUCACUCAGAACCAAUCAAUUAAUCAACAAAACCAAUCACAAAUUCAGAUCUGGACACAACAACAACACAUCAAAAACAGAAUUAUACAACCCUAAUGAGAGUAAGGACCUCUCUUCUCUACCUUAUCAUACAAUACACCCAUAGUGAAAGCCCUUUCUCCCUCUUACCUUAUAUUUCCAACAAAAAUAGCAAAAUCAAGUAGCUCAUAUGGAUUCUCCGUCUCAAACCCUAGCUUUUGUUCUUCUCACUUUUCUCCAACUCUAAAUUGUAUGCACUGUAAAACCCUCUCAAUUCCCACACACCUCUAUUUAUAAAUAAACCUAAUUCACCCAUUUAGGUAUUUCCUUUACUACCUCCAACUUAUUCUCCCAAACGUACUUAGUUUCCAUUAUUUCUCUACUAACAUUUAUUUUCUUUUUAAUUUAAUUAAUUAAAUAAUUUCUAAUGCAAAGCUACAAAUUCUAUUUUAUUUAUUUUGAAUAUUAAUUAAAAAUACUAAUAUUCUAGUUAUUACUAAUUUCUACCAAACACCCAUGUUCUCACCACACCUUACUAAUAUUAUUCUUGCUAAAAACAUUAAAACUGAUUAAUCUCUCUGAUGCUAGCCAGGAAAGGUCGUAAAUGUCUUGUUGGAGUUUCUGUAAUGGGUAAGAGGCUCAUGGCCACCAUUGUUGGUGGUCCAAGGUUUUUCUUAAAUUUACUAUUUUCUAUGUUAUUCAUCGUAUCUCCCUUUUGGUCUCCAAGACCUCCUUAUUUAUAUAGUUACUUUCCCUCUCCCUAGGGUUCCAAGAGACUCCCUUUAUUAUUUUAUUUUUAUGACAUAAGUAUGGUUUGGUGGUCAUUAGUAGGAUAACAGUUACAACCGUCCCUUAAAUGGAUGUCACAAUACUCCAUAAUUUAUGGAAGAAUAUUGUAACAGAUAGUUUCUUAACUUCAUAACUAAUGAAUGACCUUUGGCUAUCCCUUCUAUAAUCCAAUAUGGAUGCCUCCUGUCUGAUUAAGCCAUCCUGAGCAUAUAUGGAUUCGAAUGUAUAUACUUCAUAGUUAUUAUACUGAUCUUUACAUAUCGUUUAGGAGCGUGCCUCUAAGAUCUCUAUGACCUAGCCUAUUUUUUUAUAAGUAGUAACUCGGUUACCUUUCAAGUACUUGACCUUCACCCUUGGACCUAGUGACUCAUAACCCGACUCUGAGAAUCCCGGGCUACACACCGGCCAUAUCACGAUCUGGCUGUUUGUCAUCUAAGGUCGGCCUAUGUGUGCCAGGUCGAUGUUCCUUCAUGAUCAUUUCACCCAAAAAUAGAUAUCUCGACUAAUUUAGAAAUUUUGGUUUCAUACCUCAACCGGCCAAAUAAUUUUUGGGAUGUACAUAAGCCCCCCGGGCAUGAAUCCUGAAAGGAUAAAAUGAUCGGACAUAAGAAGCCCGAAACAUUAUUCUCCAUUGAAGAUAAGGUACAACUCAGCCUAAUAUUACUUGCAUGCACUUUCUAAACCGACACAAUGAUGUGAUCGUGCAUGACAAUUCUUUUAUAACAUGAGGCAUCUUUUUUUUCCAAAUGCUCUCUCUCUCUCUCCUAUAAUUAUGUUUGGAUCCUAUUUAGGUCAUUGGAUUUAUGACAAUGUUGUAUUUUGAUUUACUUAUAUUUAUCUUUGAUAAUUACCUUACCUUUAAGCCCAAAGUGUAUUUUUGUUUUACUAAGAAGGAUGGUAAGCCCCUAGAGUAUCUUGGGAAGAUCUAUAAUUUUAAUGAUAUCGGAGAACACUACGUCUUUAAUUAAGAAGCCGAAGAUUCUUAGUAGAUUCUUGAUAUAGUGUCGUUUUAGAACCCCACGGGUUCUGUCCAUAGAGAAGCCGGAGAACCCCAGUGAGGUCUUGAUAAGUGCCAAAUUUAGGUGAAGUUAUGCGUAAAAAAAUUGUCACUUAUUAGCUUGAUUCAUUGGAUUCACGAGUCAAAACCUCACUUAUGUGCAAAUAUUAUGUAGAUUGAUCAUUUUCAACUCAUUUUGUAGGUAUGCUUGCAUUGGAGGAGCUUUAGACAUCAAACACGGAAGAAAUGGCUUCAACAUGCAAUUUUUGGAAGAAAUCAAAGCUUCAGGUGGGGCUUAGUGUGCUCAAAGUAUGCUUUGAAUUGCUCAGGAAGGAGUUUUCGCGCUUAGCGCCAAGCCUGGCACUUAACGGCAUUUAUGGAGGUUUAAACUAUUUGUUUGCUAUUAGCGCCAAAUCUAUGGCUUAACGCGGUCUACUUUUUCAGAUUUGUAUAAAUACCUUUGCACUUCAUAUUUUUAGAUAUAUAUUACAUUUUGGAGAGAGAGAGAGAAACUUAGAAAACAACAAGAGAGGGUGCUUCUUGAAGAUAGGAAGCUUGGUUCGCAUUAAUCAUUGGGAAAUCACGAUUGAUGCAUGUUCAUCUUCAUUCUUCUCUUUGUAACUAGCUACCAUGAGUAGCUAAAUCCUUUUCUUGUUGGGAUUGGACGUAAGUUUGUUGUAACAAUAUGUAUUUUUAUUGAUCAUGACAUUGUAUACAAUCUCUUUAUGAAUUUAUAUCGAUAUUAUCCUUGUUUACUUGUUUUACAUAUUGAUUUGAACUAUUAUUGAGAAAUACUCUUCGAAUCUCGAUCUAAGAUAAUCAUCUGUUAGAUGUUAAACUCUAGACAUAUAUUUAGAUUUAGCAUUCAUUUUAGUAUUGAGUCUUAAUGCUACCGUAUUAUUUAAUAGGCUGAGAGAUCGUUGAUUCAACAGUACGGUUGAACUCUAAUCAUGAUUUUAGACAUAAACAUUGUCGGCGAGCGAUACAUGAUGAUAUUGAUAAAUGUUUAGAUUGUGUAUAACUGAUUGGUAAAUUACAUAUUCUAUCGGUGGAUGAAAAUCAAUGCUGACAAGCUCUCAUCUCUCUGAAACUUUAUUUAUCAUUCAUCUCUUUUACAUUUUAUAGCUUUAAAUCAUCAAACAUCUUGCAAACUUACGCUUAAAAUCAUAGUGAUUAUUAAACAGAAUUGAUAUCACAUCAGUCCCUGUGGAAAUGACAAAACAAAUCAUUACCCUCAAUAGCAAUACUGCGUUCAACAAAAUGGCAUUGUUGUCAGGGACUGGUGUUUAAAUAUUAAAGAAUUACAAUAGUUUCUAUCUUUUUAAUCUUUGUACAUUUGUCUAUAUUGUAUAUACUUGUUUCAUGUCAUGUUUGCUUAACUGUUGGUUAUGGAUAACUAUUGAUGAAGGAGCAACACCAAAACUAGGAAGAGCAAACAUUUAGCCAAGCAAAAGAAGCAACAAGAUAAAGUAUAUAAUUUAAAAAGGCGUCGAGCUAACGACGUUAAACAAGCGUUUGUUGAGAGGAAACCUAAAUUUAUAAGUAUUUAAUAGAUUUGCAUUAAGUAGUUUAAGUUGUAAAGAGUCAAGGUGGAUGGAAAACUUGACAAAAGUUUUCAUUUUGAAAAUUUUGGGAAGUAGAGCCGGCGCUAAGCGCGCCCUGGAAAAUUUUGAGAAGUUAGAAGCAGUAGAAAUCGCACUAAGCACAGUGUGAUGGCAUUGAGCGUGCCCUGCUGUACCAGUAAAAAUAUUCUUUUUUUUACUCAACCCACUUAUCCACUUUCACCGAUGCCCAUUUACCCCAUCUUUGUGGUGUUUUUUGUUAAUUAAGUUGUGUUUUGUUUAUUUUGUUUCAAGUAGGUAGUAUAGUAGUUUAGUUUAAUUUCUAGAGUUUUAGCAAAAUUUAUGAGUUUGUUCUCAAAGUUUGUUUUUGAAUGCCUUGAAAAAUUAUUGAGCGGUUUUUCCAAGUUUGAAUAUUUCAACUAGAAAAUGCUUUGGUAAUGAUAAAAGUUUGAAGGAUGGUACAAUGUCAAGGUACAUGUUUAUUGCUUUAUAGACCAUAGCAUGAAUAUGAAACUUGUAAUUUGUACAAACAUCAUGCCAUUCAUUCUUUUGCAUUACAUUUUCAUGAUUGAAUCACUUUAGACCAAAGCAUAAAUGUGAGGAAACUUCCAUUGUUUACUAUAUGCACAGGAGACGAAUAAUCUAUUGUUUUAACUCGGUUGAUUUAUAUUUAAUCUUGCAUUUAUGUUUGAAGUUAUGAAAGCAUGAAAGUGAUCAAGCAAAGUUUUGAAUUUGAGCACAACCACUGGAGAAAAAGUAAUCUACCUUGUGAGAGCGAGAAUUUAUUAACCCUUUUGAGCCUUAAUGUCAGGAUCCAUUUGACGUUGAACUGUGAAAUUGUACAUAAAUAUUAUCUCAUCAACCUUCAACCUUCAAAUCAUUGAUUUUUGUAUGGAUUCUAAAUCUUUUUCUUGAAACCUUUAAACCAUCAACCUUCAAAUUAUGGUUGAAAUUUUGUCUCGUGCCAUAGAAAAUAGAGGACAAUUCAUGUGCAAUGUUAGUUGUAUUCAAGUUGGGGAGAAAAGAGAAAGAAAAAGGAUAGGUUUCUAAGAAAUUGAAAAAGAAUUUGAACAAGAAAGAUAAUGGUGAAAAAGAAUUGAAAAACAAAUGAACUUGUUUGAAAAAGAGUGGAAAAUAGUUGUGCUAGAAAGUGUGAUCAAGGGUGUAUCAUAUGAAUAAAGGGAAGUGGUGAAUAAAGUUAUGAAUUGUAAAUAAAUUGAAAAGUGAAUGUUCUUCUAGAGUUUGGAAACUUUUUUUUAAAGACCUUUAGAUAUGACCCUUCUUUAUUAACCAAGCCUCAUUACAACCCUUGAAAGUCCUUUGUGAUUUAUGCUUUUGUGCUUUCAGUAUGCUUUGCUUAGAUGAACGCAUAAGUUAGUCAAAAUGUUAGCAAGAUUGUUUAGUGUGAGUCAAGUCCCUCAUUUUUUGUUCUUCAUCAUAAAUUGAAUAUGUGUGUUAGGUGUGAUACAUAAUUGAGCAUGUGUUGUUUUAGAAUUUAUGACAUGAGUUUUGUGUUUAGAAUUUGUUUCAUGAUCAUGGUUUGGUUGUGGUAUAGUGGUAAGUAUCACUUUGCUUGUAUUUUUGAAAUUUGAACCAUGCAAUUGUCUCCUUUUAUUAAAAACUUGUUUGAUCAUGAGAAAUCAUGAUAGUUACUCUUGUUUCUUUAGGUUUUAAGACUCUACAAACAAAGUUCUAAAUUGGGGAGAGUUGAUAAGUGCCAAAUUGUGGUGAGUUUAUGCAUGAAAAAAUGGCACUUAUUAGUUUGAUUAUUUGGAUUCAUGAGUCAAAACCUCAACUUAUGUGUAAAUAAUGUGUAGAUUGAUCAUUUGCAACUCAUUUUGUAGGUAUGUUUGCAUUAGAGGAGCUUUGGACAUUAAAAGCGGAAGAAAUAGCUUCAACAUGAAAUUUUUGGAAGAAAUCAAAGCUUCAACUGGGUCUUAGCACGCUCAAAGCAUGCUUUGAGUUGCUGAGGCAGGAGCUUCUGUACUUAGCGCCAUUUAUGGAGGUUUAAGUUAUUUGUCUGCUAGCUGCGCUUAGCGCCAAAUCUAAGGCUUAACGCAAUCUUCUUUUUCAAAUUUGUAUAAAUAGCUUUGGACUUCAUAUUUUUAGGUAUAUAUUACAUUUUGGAGAGAGAGAAACUUAGAAAAUAACAGGAGAGGGUGCUUCUUGAAGAUCGGAAGCUGGGUUCGCAUCAAACAUUGGGAAAUCACGAUUGAUGUAUGUUCCUUUUCAUUCUUUUCUUUGUAUCUAGCUACCAUGAGUAGCUAAAUCCCUUUCUUGUUGGGAUUGGAUGUAGGUUCAUCGUAACAAUAUGUGUUUUUAUUGAUCAUGGUGUUGUAUACAAUCUUUUUAUGAAUCUAUAUCGAUGCUAUCCUUGUUUACUUCUUUUACAUAUUGGUUUGAACUGUUAUUGAGAAAUACUCUUCGAAUCUUGAUCUAGGAUAAUCAUCAGUUAGAUGCUAAACUCUAGAUAUAGAUGUAGAUUUAACAUUCACUUGAGUAUCGAGUCUUAAUGCUACCAUAUUGUUUAAUAGGCUGAGAGAUCGUUGAUUCAACAAUACAGUUGAACUCUCGUCAAGAAUUUAGACAUACACACCGUCAGCGAGCGAUACGUGAUGACAUUGAUAAAUGUUUAAAUUGUGUAUAACUGAUUGGUAAAUUAUAUAUUCUAUUAGUGAAUGAAAUUCAAUCCUGACAAGCUCUCAUCUCUCUGAAAGUUUAUUUAUCAUUCAUUCGUUUUAUAUUUUGUAUCUUUAAAUCAUCAAACAUCUUGCAAACUUACGCUUAUAAUCAUAGUGAUUAUUGAACAAAAUUGAUAUUGCAUCAGUCCUUGUGGAUACGACAAAUUAAAUACUUACCCUUGAUAACAAUACUGCAGUCAACAGGUCUCGACUUAUGGUCAUUGUAGAACCUUGUUAUUCUUAUAUUUGUAAUGCCCUAUGUAGGUUUUGAGUAUUGUAGUAAUUUGGGCUCUUUUACCGGCUUUCUUCACAGUACUCUGAUUUAAUUAAGAUUUGAUCGGUCGUAGACCAUGGAAGUCGGUUUCAUACACCCUGGUCGAUAUAUAUAUAUAUAUAUAUAUAUAAAUUGAUUGCCUUUUAGUCAUCCGUUAGGAUGCAUUGAGCAAUAUUUUCAUGUAUGCUAUCUGCCUUCCCUUCCUUUUUUGUAUUUGGAUCCUGAUGUGAUCCAUAAUGGUAUAACUAUAUUAUUUCCUUGCUCAGGUGUACUGGUUGUUUCUUAAUUGCCUUAUUCUUAUAACUGAUUUUCCGAGGUUAUCUUUCAUGGAAGCCCCAGGCGUAAAAAUAAGCUUUAAUCAUGAAAGUAUUUGUUUAAGCCAAUCCACCGACUGAUGGCAAGGCGGGGAAAUUGAUCUUGGUUCUCGACUCAUGGUCGUUGUAGAGCUCGGCAGAUUCUAGAUAUAUAAGUCGGAAAGCCCCAGCAGGUUCUUGACUAAUUACAUUUUUGCUUUAACUAUGUUAAUGCAUAUCCUUAUCAUCAGGAUUGUGAUAGCCCAUGUAUGUUUUCGAAUUAGCAAAAACCAAAUCCUGAUAGUUUUUAGAUGAUCACAGGUCUUGGUAAAUUCCGAGUAUAUCCUACUUCAUUCUUUACAUGAUCCAUGUGAGUUGGGGUCUCAGAAUCUUUGGUGUGUUCUAAAUCAGAGAUCAUUCUCAUUAGAUUAAUAGUUCAUAAUUUGUUUGCCGUUAGUCAUGCCUUACGGAUUUACUUUGUUGAGUUUGGAUGCCUUCCGAUUUUCUUUUAAGAUAGUAUUCAAGCCCUCAUUGGAUUUUUUUUAGUUAUGAUUUAUACCAUGUAGGUACAUAGCCCCAGCCAACCGGGCUUUACUAAUUUGUUGAGUAUUUUACUUUGAACACAGAAUGGCUAACAACGAUCACGUCAGAUAUUUGUCCAGUGAUAAGUUACCCAAAACCGCUUAAGGUCAGAGGUUUGUUAACUUUGUAUGAUUGACAUUCAGAGUCCCAUGGGGGUUGACGUUAAAUGGAGGUACGAGGAUUUUAUUUUGCAUGCCCGACGUUCAGAGCUCCAUGGGGGAUGAAGUUAAAUGGAGGUUAUAGGCUUUUAUUUCACAUGACCCGACCGAAGCCGAUUAUGCCAGAGGCUUCAAGUUCGCUUGGACUUCAGUUAGGACAUAGGUUUUAUUAAACGUUACCCCGUUGAAGCCGAUUAUGCCUGAGGCUUCAAUUUCGCUUGGACAUCAGUUAAGCCAAAAGUUUUAUAAAACGUUACCCGGCUGAAGCCGAUUAUACCAGAGACUUCAAUUUCGCUUGGACUUCAGUUAGGCCAGAGGUUUUGUUAAACGUUUCCCGGCCGAAGCCGAUUAUAUCAGAGGCUUCAAUUUCGCUUGGACUUCAGUUAGGUCAGAGGUUUUAUUAAAACUUACCCGGUCGAAGUCGAUUUUUCCAUAGGCUUCAAUUUUGCUUGGACUUCAGUUAGGCCAGAGGUUUUAUUAAACGUUACCCGUCUGAAGCCGAUUAUUCCUGAGACUUCAAUUUCACUUGGACUUCAUUUAGGUCAUAGAUUUUAUUAAACGUUACCCAGACGAAUUCGAUUAUGCCUCCUUACGGAAGUCUUCGUCGUUCUUGGUCCUUACUUUAUUGGAGGUAAGUCUCUGUCUAGUCUUUACUCUGACAACUAUCCUAUAUAAUUUUAUAAGUUUUAGAAAAUAGGAUGUAUCUCCCGUCCUUGCAGGGAAAAGGAGUGACACAUAUUACCUAAAGUAAAUUUUAAAUGAAUCUUUAAUUAUAAAUGGCAGAGACAUUUAGCCCGCCUUAUCCAACAACCAAGACAAUUAAUUUCAAAUAUAUGCUUGUAUUUUGUUGUUCAUGCUCCAACAUUUGGUAUCUAAGGGACACCUUGUUGCUUUAUAUCUCUUUAAAUAAUAUGUAAUGUUUUGCCGACAAUUGCCACCAUCAUGAUCAGAGACAUAUCGGAAGCAUAAUCUCGUCGCGUCGGUAGGACUUUGAGUUAAAACGGGGCAAGACAUGCUUCAACCUACUCCUUUCAUUGAGUUGCUCUACUGCUCCAAUCACAUAAUGAAUUUGUAACCUUGAAAUCAAAGAUUUGUUGGCAAUAUUAGAUUCUGAGAUGUUCACAGUAUAUGCCUUUUUUAUGUUUAAAAUAUCCCACAAUUUCACCAAUGGAGCCUUUUCUUGUCGUCGGCAGUAUUGUUCUUUGAUUCCGAAGUGACCUGGUUUAAUCAACGAGUUCCUGAUAACAAGGUCUCGACAUGAGAUGCAGUAAAGAUAAGCAUGACAUCACUCAUGAUUUUUAUCAAUCACGUGGGCCGCAACCUUGACAGAUCCUAUAGCAGUAAAUAAAACACGGUAACCUAGAAUCAACGAAGUCAGAUGGCAUGCGGUUAAACAAACCAUGCAUUCAGUUUGUUCACAAUCGUUUGAUCAAAAAUACACUUAAUGGUGAAUGCGGUAUAAACCUUCUGCAGGGAAUACUGGUCCAAAAUCAACUAAGAUGAAUGCACUUGGACACUUAUCUAAUUUUAGGUGCCGACAUAAAAAUUUCUCUAACAAUCAUCACUGAACCGUCCAUAAUCAUCUCCCAUGUUAGGAUCCCAAAUCCGAUCGAUAUGAUUAUCACCUUCCUGCACUAUUUCCAACAACCAUUAAAAUAAACCAUCACCAUCGAACUCUAAUGUUGUGACCUCCUAGCAAAUUUUUCCCCUAGGUCCGACAACCUUAAUUCUACCAUCAGAAGAUCUCACAUGCGUGUCAAAGCAUUCCAUAACACCAUCUUCGCCACCACAUGUGACUAACCCUCAAGGUUUGCUUCCACAAACUGAAGCUAUGACAAACUCACCCUCAAGAGUUGCUUUAGUCUUCAUUGUUGCAGUAGUGAACCUCAAACUUUCAAUAAGCUGCACGUUUUGAAUAUAACCUUUGACGGUGUGGUGAGAUUUGUUGGUGCAAAGGUAGAAUGAAUGGAAAUAUUCUAUUAAGAAUGACGGCUACAAAACAUGAUAAAAGUUAUAAUGAUUGUCACCUUAUUUAUAAGCUAAAACUAGGAUUACUAGAAUAGGAUAAAAUACUAAAAUACCCUCUAACAAACUUAGGGGCUAAGAAAAUAGUACAGCUAAUAAAUAUGAAUUACUUCUAAUACCAUCCCUUAAUUCAUAUUCCAUCAAAACUUGUAAAAUUUAAAUAAUUAUCAUAUUUUAUGGGGGUUACAUUCUGCAUUAGAUAUUUGUCAUCACCAUCUGAUCUUUGUCCUCUUUUCAGAGUCAAGUCAACCAGCCAUUUCUGUUUCCAGUAAGAUGAUUUGAACAGCCAGUGUCCAUAUACCACCAGUCUAUCAGAUCCAUAUCAUCAGAUUCAGAGGCCAUCAAUAGCACAGAUUCGUCAUCAGAACUUCUGGCUAUAUUUGCUUCUUCUGAUUCUCUCUUGUUUGACAACAGCUCUAGCAAGUGACCAACUUCUUACAACAGUAACAUUGGAUCUUCUUAUUGUCAUAUUCUCUUUCCUUCUGAGCAUUUCUUGUCUAUCAGAGGUUCUUUCUGACUUCUGACACCAUCAGAUCUUCUCCUGGCUUCUGACUGCUUCUGAUACCUCUAUCAGAAGUUGCUUUCAGAGCCUGUGCUCUACUUCCCUUUCAGAAGUUCUUUCAGUCAAGCGAACUCUGCGCUUCUAGACUGCUUUGCAGCUCUUCAAUUCUCAUGGUGCUCAAAUCUUUGGAAUUUCUAUUGCUACACAAUGUAAUCAAUUGAGAGGUAAGGGAUCUCAAUACCUUCUCCAUGAUUGUUUCUCAGAAAGAGUUUCUCCACACGUUUUCAUCUCAUUAGUGAUCAGAAUCACUCUGGAGAUGUAUUCAGAAACUUUCUCAUUAUUCUUCAUGUUGAGAUUCUAUAUUGCUUUCUCAAGACUGAAGCUUCACCUUCUUCACUGAUGCGUCACCACCAUACACUCUAACCAGUGUGUCCCACGCAGCCUUUGCUGUCGUUGAAUCUGCAAUCUUCUCAAAACAUUACAUCAACACAUUGAUGAAUGAAGAACAAUGCUUUCUGAUCCUUCUUCCUUACUUCCUUCUGCGCGUUUUUCUGUUCAUCCGUCGCAUCUGCUGCUACCGGAACAUAACCAUCAGUGACAAGAUUAGAACAUCUUGAGCACCGAACAGUAACGCAUUUGGAUCAUCCAACGAUUCCAGUUUUUACCGUCAAAUACUGGAAGUUUGGUGUUCAGUGGCUGUUUCGUUCAUCUUUCUACCUUGCACAGUACACUCAGAUUUCUCACACAGUGUUUCCCAACCCACAGAAUUAAAAUUCUGAUCAGUUUUGUUCAAGAUUCAACACGAAUCUAAGAAUCAAAAUCAAACACACAAGACCUCACGUUCACUCGUGUUCCCGUGUUUCCCAAUGAAUCCGAACCGGAGCUCUAGAUACCAAUUGUUGGUGCAAAGGUAGAAUAAAAGAUGAAUAUUCUAUUAAGAGAAUGACGGCUACAAAAAGGAUUAAAAGUUACAAUGAUUGACACCCUAUUUAUAAGCCUCUAACAAACUUAAAUAUGAAUCAAAUCUAAUAUUUAAAUCUAAUAUCUAACAAACUUAAAUAUGAAUCAAAUCUAAUAUUUAAAUCUAAUAUCUAACAAACUUAAAUAUGAAUCAAAUCUAAUAUUUAAAUCUAAUAUCUAACAAACUUAAAUAUGAAUCAAAUCUAAUAUUUAAAUCUAAUAUCUAACAAACUUAAAUAUGAAUNNNNNNNNNNNNNNNNNNNNNNNNNNNNNNNNNNNNNNNNNNNNNNNNNNNNNNNNNNNNNNNNNNNNNNNNNNNNNNNNNNNNNNNNNNNNNNNNNNNNNNNNNNNNNNNNNNNNNNNNNNNNNNNNNNNNNNNNNNNNNNNNNNNNNNNNNNNNNNNNNNNNNNNNNNNNNNNNNNNNNNNNNNNNNNNNNNNNNNNNNNNNNNNNNNNNNNNNNNNNNNNNNNNNNNNNNNNNNNNNNNNNNNNNNNNNNNNNNNNNNNNNNNNNNNNNNNNNNNNNNNNNNNNNNNNNNNNNNNNNNNNNNNNNNNNNNNNNNNNNNNNNNNNNNNNNNNNNNNNNNNNNNNNNNNNNNNNNNNNNNNNNNNNNNNNNNNNNNNNNNNNNNNNNNNNNNNNNNNNNNNNNNNNNNNNNNNNNNNNNNNNNNNNNNNNNNNNNNNNNNNNNNNNNNNNNNNNNNNNNNNNNNNNNNNNNNNNNNNNNNNNNNNNNNNNNNNNNNNNNNNNNNNNNNNNNNNNNNNNNNNNNNNNNNNNNNNNNNNNNNNNNNNNNNNNNNNNNNNNNNNNNNNNNNNNNNNNNNNNNNNNNNNNNNNNNNNNNNNNNNNNNNNNNNNNNNNNNNNNNNNNNNNNNNNNNNNNNNNNNNNNNNNNNNNNNNNNNNNNNNNNNNNNNNNNNNNNNNNNNNNNNNNNNNNNNNNNNNNNNNNNNNNNNNNNNNNNNNNNNNNNNNNNNNNNNNNNNNNNNNNNNNNNNNNNNNNNNNNNNNNNNNNNNNNNNNNNNNNNNNNNNNNNNNNNNNNNNNNNNNNNNNNNNNNNNNNNNNNNNNNNNNNNNNNNNNNNNNNNNNNNNNNNNNNNNNNNNNNNNNNNNNNNNNNNNNNNNNNNNNNNNNNNNNNNNNNNNNNNNNNNNNNNNNNNNNNNNNNNNNNNNNNNNNNNNNNNNNNNNNNNNNNNNNNNNNNNNNNNNNNNNNNNNNNNNNNNNNNNNNNNNNNNNNNNNNNNNNNNNNNNNNNNNNNNNNNNNNNNNNNNNNNNNNNNNNNNNNNNNNNNNNNNNNNNNNNNNNNNNNNNNNNNNNNNNNNNNNNNNNNNNNNNNNNNNNNNNNNNNNNNNNNNNNNNNNNNNNNNNNNNNNNNNNNNNNNNNNNNNNNNNNNNNNNNNNNNNNNNNNNNNNNNNNNNNNNNNNNNNNNNNNNNNNNNNNNNNNNNNNNNNNNNNNNNNNNNNNNNNNNNNNNNNNNNNNNNNNNNNNNNNNNNNNNNNNNNNNNNNNNNNNNNNNNNNNNNNNNNNNNNNNNNNNNNNNNNNNNNNNNNNNNNNNNNNNNNNNNNNNNNNNNNNNNNNNNNNNNNNNNNNNNNNNNNNNNNNNNNNNNNNNNNNNNNNNNNNNNNNNNNNNNNNNNNNNNNNNNNNNNNNNNNNNNNNNNNNNNNNNNNNNNNNNNNNNNNNNNNNNNNNNNNNNNNNNNNNNNNNNNNNNNNNNNNNNNNNNNNNNNNNNNNNNNNNNNNNNNNNNNNNNNNNNNNNNNNNNNNNNNNNNNNNNNNNNNNNNNNNNNNNNNNNNNNNNNNNNNNNNNNNNNNNNNNNNNNNNNNNNNNNNNNNNNNNNNNNNNNNNNNNNNNNNNNNNNNNNNNNNNNNNNNNNNNNNNNNNNNNNNNNNNNNNNNNNNNNNNNNNNNNNNNNNNNNNNNNNNNNNNNNNNNNNNNNNNNNNNNNNNNNNNNNNNNNNNNNNNNNNNNNNNNNNNNNNNNNNNNNNNNNNNNNNNNNNNNNNNNNNNNNNNNNNNNNNNNNNNNNNNNNNNNNNNNNNNNNNNNNNNNNNNNNNNNNNNNNNNNNNNNNNNNNNNNNNNNNNNNNNNNNNNNNNNNNNNNNNNNNNNNNNNNNNNNNNNNNNNNNNNNNNNNNNNNNNNNNNNNNNNNNNNNNNNNNNNNNNNNNNNNNNNNNNNNNNNNNNNNNNNNNNNNNNNNNNNNNNNNNNNNNNNNNNNNNNNNNNNNNNNNNNNNNNNNNNNNNNNNNNNNNNNNNNNNNNNNNNNNNNNNNNNNNNNNNNNNNNNNNNNNNNNNNNNNNNNNNNNNNNNNNNNNNNNNNNNNNNNNNNNNNNNNNNNNNNNNNNNNNNNNNNNNNNNNNNNNNNNNNNNNNNNNNNNNNNNNNNNNNNNNNNNNNNNNNNNNNNNNNNNNNNNNNNNNNNNNNNNNNNNNNNNNNNNNNNNNNNNNNNNNNNNNNNNNNNNNNNNNNNNNNNNNNNNNNNNNNNNNNNNNNNNNNNNNNNNNNNNNNNNNNNNNNNNNNNNNNNNNNNNNNNNNNNNNNNNNNNNNNNNNNNNNNNNNNNNNNNNNNNNNNNNNNNNNNNNNNNNNNNNNNNNNNNNNNNNNNNNNNNNNNNNNNNNNNNNNNNNNNNNNNNNNNNNNNNNNNNNNNNNNNNNNNNNNNNNNNNNNNNNNNNNNNNNNNNNNNNNNNNNNNNNNNNNNNNNNNNNNNNNNNNNNNNNNNNNNNNNNNNNNNNNNNNNNNNNNNNNNNNNNNNNNNNNNNNNNNNNNNNNNNNNNNNNNNNNNNNNNNNNNNNNNNNNNNNNNNNNNNNNNNNNNNNNNNNNNNNNNNNNNNNNNNNNNNNNNNNNNNNNNNNNNNNNNNNNNNNNNNNNNNNNNNNNNNNNNNNNNNNNNNNNNNNNNNNNNNNNNNNNNNNNNNNNNNNNNNNNNNNNNNNNNNNNNNNNNNNNNNNNNNNNNNNNNNNNNNNNNNNNNNNNNNNNNNNNNNNNNNNNNNNNNNNNNNNNNNNNNNNNNNNNNNNNNNNNNNNNNNNNNNNNNNNNNNNNNNNNNNNNNNNNNNNNNNNNNNNNNNNNNNNNNNNNNNNNNNNNNNNNNNNNNNNNNNNNNNNNNNNNNNNNNNNNNNNNNNNNNNNNNNNNNNNNNNNNNNNNNNNNNNNNNNNNNNNNNNNNNNNNNNNNNNNNNNNNNNNNNNNNNNNNNNNNNNNNNNNNNNNNNNNNNNNNNNNNNNNNNNNNNNNNNNNNNNNNNNNNNNNNNNNNNNNNNNNNNNNNNNNNNNNNNNNNNNNNNNNNNNNNNNNNNNNNNNNNNNNNNNNNNNNNNNNNNNNNNNNNNNNNNNNNNNNNNNNNNNNNNNNNNNNNNNNNNNNNNNNNNNNNNNNNNNNNNNNNNNNNNNNNNNNNNNNNNNNNNNNNNNNNNNNNNNNNNNNNNNNNNNNNNNNNNNNNNNNNNNNNNNNNNNNNNNNNNNNNNNNNNNNNNNNNNNNNNNNNNNNNNNNNNNNNNNNNNNNNNNNNNNNNNNNNNNNNNNNNNNNNNNNNNNNNNNNNNNNNNNNNNNNNNNNNNNNNNNNNNNNNNNNNNNNNNNNNNNNNNNNNNNNNNNNNNNNNNNNNNNNNNNNNNNNNNNNNNNNNNNNNNNNNNNNNNNNNNNNNNNNNNNNNNNNNNNNNNNNNNNNNNNNNNNNNNNNNNNNNNNNNNNNNNNNNNNNNNNNNNNNNNNNNNNNNNNNNNNNNNNNNNNNNNNNNNNNNNNNNNNNNNNNNNNNNNNNNNNNNNNNNNNNNNNNNNNNNNNNNNNNNNNNNNNNNNNNNNNNNNNNNNNNNNNNNNNNNNNNNNNNNNNNNNNNNNNNNNNNNNNNNNNNNNNNNNNNNNNNNNNNNNNNNNNNNNNNNNNNNNNNNNNNNNNNNNNNNNNNNNNNNNNNNNNNNNNNNNNNNNNNNNNNNNNNNNNNNNNNNNNNNNNNNNNNNNNNNNNNNNNNNNNNNNNNNNNNNNNNNNNNNNNNNNNNNNNNNNNNNNNNNNNNNNNNNNNNNNNNNNNNNNNNNNNNNNNNNNNNNNNNNNNNNNNNNNNNNNNNNNNNNNNNNNNNNNNNNNNNNNNNNNNNNNNNNNNNNNNNNNNNNNNNNNNNNNNNNNNNNNNNNNNNNNNNNNNNNNNNNNNNNNNNNNNNNNNNNNNNNNNNNNNNNNNNNNNNNNNNNNNNNNNNNNNNNNNNNNNNNNNNNNNNNNNNNNNNNNNNNNNNNNNNNNNNNNNNNNNNNNNNNNNNNNNNNNNNNNNNNNNNNNNNNNNNNNNNNNNNNNNNNNNNNNNNNNNNNNNNNNNNNNNNNNNNNNNNNNNNNNNNNNNNNNNNNNNNNNNNNNNNNNNNNNNNNNNNNNNNNNNNNNNNNNNNNNNNNNNNNNNNNNNNNNNNNNNNNNNNNNNNNNNNNNNNNNNNNNNNNNNNNNNNNNNNNNNNNNNNNNNNNNNNNNNNNNNNNNNNNNNNNNNNNNNNNNNNNNNNNNNNNNNNNNNNNNNNNNNNNNNNNNNNNNNNNNNNNNNNNNNNNNNNNNNNNNNNNNNNNNNNNNNNNNNNNNNNNNNNNNNNNNNNNNNNNNNNNNNNNNNNNNNNNNNNNNNNNNNNNNNNNNNNNNNNNNNNNNNNNNNNNNNNNNNNNNNNNNNNNNNNNNNNNNNNNNNNNNNNNNNNNNNNNNNNNNNNNNNNNNNNNNNNNNNNNNNNNNNNNNNNNNNNNNNNNNNNNNNNNNNNNNNNNNNNNNNNNNNNNNNNNNNNNNNNNNNNNNNNNNNNNNNNNNNNNNNNNNNNNNNNNNNNNNNNNNNNNNNNNNNNNNNNNNNNNNNNNNNNNNNNNNNNNNNNNNNNNNNNNNNNNNNNNNNNNNNNNNNNNNNNNNNNNNNNNNNNNNNNNNNNNNNNNNNNNNNNNNNNNNNNNNNNNNNNNNNNNNNNNNNNNNNNNNNNNNNNNNNNNNNNNNNNNNNNNNNNNNNNNNNNNNNNNNNNNNNNNNNNNNNNNNNNNNNNNNNNNNNNNNNNNNNNNNNNNNNNNNNNNNNNNNNNNNNNNNNNNNNNNNNNNNNNNNNNNNNNNNNNNNNNNNNNNNNNNNNNNNNNNNNNNNNNNNNNNNNNNNNNNNNNNNNNNNNNNNNNNNNNNNNNNNNNNNNNNNNNNNNNNNNNNNNNNNNNNNNNNNNNNNNNNNNNNNNNNNNNNNNNNNNNNNNNNNNNNNNNNNNNNNNNNNNNNNNNNNNNNNNNNNNNNNNNNNNNNNNNNNNNNNNNNNNNNNNNNNNNNNNNNNNNNNNNNNNNNNNNNNNNNNNNNNNNNNNNNNNNNNNNNNNNNNNNNNNNNNNNNNNNNNNNNNNNNNNNNNNNNNNNNNNNNNNNNNNNNNNNNNNNNNNNNNNNNNNNNNNNNNNNNNNNNNNNNNNNNNNNNNNNNNNNNNNNNNNNNNNNNNNNNNNNNNNNNNNNNNNNNNNNNNNNNNNNNNNNNNNNNNNNNNNNNNNNNNNNNNNNNNNNNNNNNNNNNNNNNNNNNNNNNNNNNNNNNNNNNNNNNNNNNNNNNNNNNNNNNNNNNNNNNNNNNNNNNNNNNNNNNNNNNNNNNNNNNNNNNNNNNNNNNNNNNNNNNNNNNNNNNNNNNNNNNNNNNNNNNNNNNNNNNNNNNNNNNNNNNNNNNNNNNNNNNNNNNNNNNNNNNNNNNNNNNNNNNNNNNNNNNNNNNNNNNNNNNNNNNNNNNNNNNNNNNNNNNNNNNNNNNNNNNNNNNNNNNNNNNNNNNNNNNNNNNNNNNNNNNNNNNNNNNNNNNNNNNNNNNNNNNNNNNNNNNNNNNNNNNNNNNNNNNNNNNNNNNNNNNNNNNNNNNNNNNNNNNNNNNNNNNNNNNNNNNNNNNNNNNNNNNNNNNNNNNNNNNNNNNNNNNNNNNNNNNNNNNNNNNNNNNNNNNNNNNNNNNNNNNNNNNNNNNNNNNNNNNNNNNNNNNNNNNNNNNNNNNNNNNNNNNNNNNNNNNNNNNNNNNNNNNNNNNNNNNNNNNNNNNNNNNNNNNNNNNNNNNNNNNNNNNNNNNNNNNNNNNNNNNNNNNNNNNNNNNNNNNNNNNNNNNNNNNNNNNNNNNNNNNNNNNNNNNNNNNNNNNNNNNNNNNNNNNNNNNNNNNNNNNNNNNNNNNNNNNNNNNNNNNNNNNNNNNNNNNNNNNNNNNNNNNNNNNNNNNNNNNNNNNNNNNNNNNNNNNNNNNNNNNNNNNNNNNNNNNNNNNNNNNNNNNNNNNNNNNNNNNNNNNNNNNNNNNNNNNNNNNNNNNNNNNNNNNNNNNNNNNNNNNNNNNNNNNNNNNNNNNNNNNNNNNNCACAAUUUCAUCCCUUAAUCUGAGAAAAUUGAUCAGUCUCGAUAGCUUUCGUCAGAACAUCUGCCAACUGUUUCUGAGUGCUGCAGUGUACAACUUCUACACUCCCUCUGAACUUGAUGUCUCAGAAAAUGAUACUUGGUCUCAAUGUGCUUGCUUCUCCCAUGCAAUAACUGGGUUUUGGCAAGAUUGAUUGCAGACUUGUUGUCAAUCAUCAGCUUUCAGAGGUUUGUUUACUUAAUCUUCAGCAUCCUGUAAUAGAUUCAGAAUCCACACAGUUGGCAUGCAGUAACAGCACCUGCCAAUGUAUUCAGCUUCACAAGUUGACAACGCACAAACAAGGUUGCUUCUUGGAACACCAAGAAAAUGGAACCUCCCAGAAAUUUGAAUAAGAUCACAGCAGAUCUACUUCUUCUGUCAAACUCUGUCUCCACACCAAAUCAGAAUCUGAAUAAUCAGAAGUUUUGACUCAUCCUUUCUUCCAGAAGGAAAUAAUACAUCCAUACUUCAGAGUUUUCCCUUGAUAUUACCUCAGAAUCCUGACAAGCAGCUUGGUAAUGGGACACUUAGGUUUACUCAUGAACCUACUAAUCAUCCAACUGAAUAGCAAAUAUCAGGUCCUGGUAUUGCACAAAUACCUCAGAGAAACCAACCAACUGUUUGAAGGUUGUAGCGUCACAUCCUUUCCAAUCAGAGUAGAAAUCCAGUUUCUGAUUUGUAUCAGAAGGUGUGGACGCAAUCUUAACAAUUCUUCAGUUUCAAAUCUUCAAGAAGUUUCUAAUUCAUAACUUGAGCUGAUGCAAAAAUAAAUUUACCUUUUUCUCAGAGUAAUCUGAACUCCAUCCUAGAAAGUAUGUUCAUUUUUGCCUUCUUUAAAGUAUUCACAGGUUUAUUUUUUUUUUUCAAAUUUUUUUUUUCGAAUUUUUUUCUUCUCCUUUUUUGUCGCCGUGUUUCCCAAUGAAUCCGAACCGGAGCUCUAGAUACCAAUUGUUGGUGCAAAGAUAGAAUGAAUGGAAAUAUUCUAUUAAGAAUGACGGCUACAAAACAUGAUAAAAGUUACAAUGAUUGUCACCUUAUUUAUAAGCUAAAACUAGGGUUACUAGAAUAGGAUAAAAUACUAAAAUACCCUCUAACAAACUUAGGGGCUAAGAAAAUAGUACAGCUAAUAAAUAUGAAUUACUUCUAAUAAGAUUGUUGCUUCUUUGUUGGAACCCAUGAAGCAAGGGAGGGUUGACGUGAAGCUAUGAUGCAUAUUUUUACUUCGUUAAUGGAUGAUGUCUUGAUGUUGUAAAUUAUUAAUAAUUAAUAAUUUUGAGUGUGUUUCAAAAUGACAAGAAAAUAUGCAUGUGAAGUUAAUAUUUUGAAUUCGAAAACAAGCAACGGUUGGUGAAUUGUUGCAAUAGGAUGUUUACGAAAAUAUACAACGGUUGGUGGACUAUUGCAAUAGAUAGUUUGUUUGAAUUCAAAAGUAGCAACGUUUUUUGAACCGUUACAGUAGACUGUUUGUUUUAUGAAUCAGAAACAGGCAACAAUUUUGAACGGUUGUCGUAGGUGAAAAGUUACAACUUUCAACAAAAAGUGUUGUUGAAAGGAUGUGUAUCAUCAAGGGUCGCAAUAGCCUAUAAAUUAAACAUUCUUGAUUCAGAAAAAAGAUAACAAAAACAUAUAUCUUCUUCACUAAAUUUCAGAUACUCUUUCCUACAUUCGAGUUUUCAUCAAUUUUGUGCAAACUCGAGUAUAUGCUGAAUUUUCAUGGAUAUUUUUGUAUUCCAACUCUAAGACAUUUGAGAGUGCUUGAAAUACUUAUAAGAAAAAUGAUUUCGUUCAUGAUUCUAACCCCGAUCCAUUUGAUUAAGUUAAUUUUCUAACAAUCUUAUAUGUAUAUCAAAUAAGCAAUCGAGGCUUCCGUUUCAAACACCAAAGGAUAAACGGUUGUAUGGACACCCAUUAUAAAAACAAGAAUUAUAUCAUGGAUCUGGGUACGUUUUCAUUAUUUUUCAUAAAUAAAUUAAAGCAAUAGAAAAUCAUAAUAUCAAGAGUUUAAAUAUGUAAUUUUGUAUCAAUUGAUAUUAGAACAUGGUUACGUAUAUUAUGUAUCAUAUCUUUGCAUGUGAUUAUUUUUCUUAUUGAAAUUGAAAACUGAAUUUCGGUAUGUGCUUCGAUGUAAACAAACAAAAUGAUGUUGCUGUUGCAGUGCCUUUUUGUCUGUCAUCACAUAUUUACUUAUUAAUUAAGUUUGGUGUAUAAAAUGUAGUCAAUAUUCUAAUAUGAAGAAUAAUAUUAUGAUUGAAGUCUGAAAUGACUUAUAGCAUGACGUUUGAACUCUGUAAUCGUUUAUAAUGUGAUUUUUAGCGUUGGUCUUAUUCAACAGUAAUAUAACCGAUGCUGAAUUUGUGGACUUUUUUAAUCAGUUACCUUUUUUUGAUUUUUUAUUCGUUAAAUACCCUACUUUAAAAUUAAAUUGCCAAAGUGUCCCUUUUUUCAGUAUUCAGUUCGUCCAAUGAAUGGACGAGUUGUUGAAGAUAUUUUGCGGUAGUAUGGACUCGGCUAAUAGUUGACCGAGCUAUUGAAGGAAUAAUUUGUUUUUUAAAAUUUAAAUAUAUUUAUUAUUAAUAAAUAUUUUUCAAAUCUACACAAAUAUUAUUGAUUCUCCAUGCAAGUUACAGAUUUUAUUGAUUAAAUUUUAGUAUUAAUAAUAAAUAUUUUUCAAAUAAAAUUAUAAUUAUAAAAGUGGUAUUUGAAAAACAUUUAUUAUUAAUAAUAAAAUCGCUAAGAAUUUUCUAUAGAUAUAAUUAAUGAUAUAAAUAAUUAUAUUAAUUAAACAUAUAAAUAAUUGUAAUGAAUAAUGGAUACUAGUAAUGAAAACAUAUCAUCAAAAAUAUCUUUUUUUGCUACUAUUAUAAACUUGCAAUCUCUACCUGUGAUUUCAAAAGAUGGAUCACAACUGGAUUAAACAUUAUUAUGAAAUUAAAAUAUAUCUUUCAAGUAUAUAAUUCAAUUUAUUACUUUAUAAUAUUGUCAAAUUAAAAUAAUUUUUAUUAUAAAUCAAUUAUAAUUUAUCAUACUUUAUUGUUUAAACAUUAUUUUUCUAAAAAUAUGUGGUUAAGAUAAAUGUUAAAGAGUAUAUUUUAUACAUGGAAAAAUUAUUUUUCACUAAUGUAAUUAGUUAAUUUAACUUUUUUCCUAUUUUUUAAAUAAAAAUAAUUAUAAUUAUAAUAUCAUAAAGUGGUUAAGAUAAAUGUUAAAGAGUAUAUUUUAUACAUGGAAAAAUUAUUUUUCACUAAUGUAAUUAGUUAAUUUAACUUUUUUCCUAUUUUUUAAAUAAAAAUAAUUAUAAUUAUAAUAUCAUAAAGUUAAAUUAACGAAUUACAUUAGUGAAAAAUGGUUUUUCAAUAUAUGAAAUAUACUCUUUAACAUCUAUCUUACAUUUUCAGAAAAAUAAUGUUUAAACAAUAACAUGUGAUAAAUUAUAAUUGAAUUAUAAUCAUAAUUAUUUUAAUUUGAUAAUAUUAUAAAGUAUUAAAUUGAAUUAUAUACUUGAAAUAUAUAUAUUUUAAUUUGACAAUAAUAGAUAUAUUUUCAUUAAUAGUAUCCAUUAUUUAUAUGCUUAAUUAAUAUAAUUAUUUAUAUCCUUAAUUAUAAUUAUGAAAAAUUCUUAGCGGUUUUAGUAUUAAUAAUAAAUGUUUUUCAUAUUCCACUUUUAUAAUUAUAAUUUUAUUUGAAAAAUAUUUAUUAUUAAUACUAAAAAUUAAUCAAUAACAUCUGGGUAGACUUGAAUAUCACGAAGAAUCAAUAACAUAGGGAAUAAAAAACCAAAAAAGGGAAUAAAAAACCAAAAAAGGGACAAGGGAGUAACAAAGUCGAGUUUGUGAGAAACUUCAUGUAAAUUUUACAUUAAAAAAAAGGAAGUUAAUUUAUUCAAUUAAUAAUAUAAAGGUUGUUGUCACUUAGAAUGUAUCUAAUUGUGCUUUUCAAAGAUAUUGUUGACAUGAACAUAAAUUAGAAUAUAAUCAAUUUUUAAAUAUAUAAUAUCGGUGAAUUGAUUGUAAAGUUUUAUCCUCUUUGUUUAUGUUUUAAAUUAAUUUGCAUCAAAAAAGAAAAUAAUAAUAAUAAUAAUAAUAAAAUAAUAGUGAAAAUAUAAAUAUAAAUUGAAAAUUUGAAAUUCUAAAGUAUGAAUUGGUUGAUUACUAAAUGAGUCAAAUUUAUUAACAUUCAUGAUUUCAAAUUAUGUAAUUGAGUUUUGAUUUGGAUUCUAUAUGAAUAAGAUGAUUGUGUUCAAUGAAACUUAUUAUUAAGUCCUAUAAAGAUUAUCCGAAGAUGGAUCAUGACUUAUAUAGACUUUGGAUUUUGGAGUUUAAUGUAACUUAUGAAUCCUAAGAUAUGAUUUUUUUAGAAUCUUAUCACGGAGGAUAAGCCACAAAUGAAGAACCUCGUGAGGAAGGUUCUCCACAGUUGUUGAAACACAAACCAAAAGUUCGUCACUAAUGAAGAAUCUUGUGAUGAAUGUUCUUCAUGGAUUGCUGAAAUAUAAUCCUAACUUAGAAUAAGCAAGAGAAUCUGAAAGACCAAGGAUCUAUGACUGAAUAAAAUUGAUAAUCAAUUUAGUUCUUUUAUCUAAUGGAAGGAAGUAGUAAGAAUUUUGUUCAAUUCAAGUGACUUCUCUUGUUUAGAAUGAAAUAUCAUAGUGUGAUGAUACAUUAAACACCUACAAGACUAGAUUAGUAGUCAUGGGUUUUAGAUAAAAAGAAGGUGUUGAUUAUUUCAACACAUAUGCACCGGUAGCAAGGAUGGCGAAAAUUAAAGUAUUGUUUGCAUUAGUUUCUUUGCAUUACCUUAUAAUUCGUCAAAUGGAUGUGAAAACGCUAUUCCAAAAUGAAGAUCUUGAUGAGGAGAUUUACAUGGAGUAACCAUAAGGCUAUGUGUUUCUUGGUACUGAACAAAAAGUGUGGAAGCUUGUCAAAUUCAUGUAUGGAUUAAAAAAAAUAAGCACUGAAACAAUGACAUAAAAAGUUUGACGUUGUCACUACAAGAUUCACCAAUUAAUGGGGAGACACACAACUUAGGGGGAGAUUUUUCAAUCAUUAUCAAAACAAGAAUUCAAAGAGUUUGUCAUCAUCAAAAGAGGGAGAUUAUGAAGAAUACAUCUUAUAUCGUUCAGUUUUGAUGAAGACAUGGAUUAUCAAAGAAAAAGGAUCAAAAGUGUCAUACACAUCAAUAAUGAAGUCGAUAAAAAAGGUUUAACAUCGAAAUUUAAGUGAAGAUUUGAGACAAGUGAACAUAACAAAGGUGCUCAUUUCAGUUUAUACUAUACUACUUUAAAUUGCUCACAGUUUCUGUUAGUGUAAUCAAUACUUUUGGUACUUGUAUCAAAUUAUUUAUUAAUAAUAAAAAGUUUUUUCUUUAUUAUAUUUGUUUAAUAAAAUCCCUAGAAUAGCUAGUCCGUUUAAUGUAUCAAGUGUGACUUAAUCAUGAGAUCCCAUUAAACAUAAAGAUAUUAUUCUUAAAGUAUCCGUAGUUGAGCUUUGUUGUGAAGUGGGAUAAUAUUAAAGCAUUAAGACUAUUAUGUAUAUAGACUGAUGAUCACAUCUCAUUGAUCAUGGAUAAGGAGUUAUCAAGUCUUAAACAUAAGUAUGAAUAUUAGGAGUAAUAUUUAUACUGGAUUGACUCCCUAUGAGAAUACUAUAUAGAAUGUUAUGCAAAGUGUCAUAAUUUAUUCUCAUGGUGAUAAUGGUGUAUACCACCCUUCGACCCGAAACCACUAUGGACCCUAGAUGUAGAGUCGAGUGUCUUAUUGUUGAUCAAACUUUGUCCGCAACUGGAUGACCAUAAAGAUAAUUGAUGGGUACUCUAUGAAGCUUGCUGAGGGACAUGAGUGACCUAGAUGGAAUUUGCCCAUCCUGCGUAACAGGAUAAAUGUCUACGGGCCCAAUAUUGAACUGGACAAGGAUGACACGGUCUAUGCCUUGUGUUAAAUAUAGACAUAAGUGCAAAAGGGUAAUUGUACACAUAAGUAUUAUCACAAAAGGAUUUUUCAGAUCACAUGACAUUUUCGGGUCUUGGGUAGCAGUGAUGUGUUGCUAGAUACCGCUCAUUGUUUAUUAUGUUAAAUAUGUGAUUUAAUAUAAUUGUCAAUGCCGCGAAAACCUACAGGGUCACACACAAAAAGGAUGGAUUGAUAAGAGAUAGAGUAAAUAAGGAGCACCGUAAGGUACGGCGCACUUAAGUGAAUUGUAGAACAUCGUAACGUACAGUGCACUUAAGUAGAUUACGAAAUAUGAUAAGGUACCACGCGCUUUAGUGAUUUUGGUAUAUCAUAAGAUAUGAGCCACAUACACUUAAGUGUACUUUUUAGCUUACAGCCCACAUAAGUGGUUCUAUAAAUAAAACCCCUAUGCAGAAGCAUUUGUUCAGAUGAAAAUUUCGUUUCUCUCUCUCUCUCUCUCUCUCUCUCUAUAUAUAUAUAUAUAUAUAUAUAUAUCUAUCUCACACGCACACACACUCAAAGCCUUCAUUCGUAGCAGCUAGCACUGAGAUUGAAGGGAUCCAUUCGUGUGGACUGAGUAGAGGCGUUGUCACCAUUCAACUUUCGUGAUCACUCAUUCAAUCUAUAUCAAGGGUUUCAAUCGCCACAAGAGGUAACGACUCUAUCAUUGAUCAUGCCCAUUCAUAAGGAUCACUAAAGGAGAAAUUUUAAUUUCCGCUGCAUUUUGGAUCGUUAUUCUCCUUCAGUGGUAUCAGAGCCACUUACGAAACCAUGCAUCUGAUAGCUGUUUAUUUUUUGUAUUUUCUGUAUUAAUACGAUUAAAACAUAAAAUUAAUCAAAGAAUACACGAGUAAUUAAAUUUUUCAUCACGUGUGUAUGAUUUGGAUGAUUGAUGUUGACUAUGCUUCAGAAUCCGACGUUAAUAUGGUGAAGCAGUGAUACAUCGAUCGUCCAUAAGUUACACAAUUGAGAUCGAUCAAGUUAUAUAUAUGAUAUAAGUAAUUCUGAUGCAAAAUAUGGUAUAUAUGAUAUAAUAUUUCUCUUUCGUUCAUUCAAACAGUUAAUGGUUGUUUUCCUUUGAGCGAUCAAUGGUCAUUUGCUUCGGAAUCAGACGAAAGUAUGGUGAAGCAAUGACAUGUUGAUCAAUCAUACUGAAUUAACAAUCGAGGUGUGUUUGACGGUAUGAAAUUGGUGCAUUAGGAUUCAUGACGGUACAAGGGUUAUGUUGUCAAAGAGUUAUGUGAUUAGGGUUGUCAUUGUGCAAGAGUUGUGAUUUAAAGUAUCAAGUGUUGAUGCGAGAAUCGAUGUUGAUAUCAAAUGAAUUGUUCAUUAAAAUUUUGCAUCGGGGCGCUGCCCCAUUGACCCCCGUCCGUUGAACGGUCAGCAGAACCCCCUGCUAACUCUGCGUAGGGUGAUCAGUCGCUAAAAUUUAAUUUGGUUUAUUUAAUUAACAUAAUUUAAAUUAAUAAUAAUAAUGUGUUUAUUAUUAUUGUCUUGUGGUGAUCGGUUAUGACCUUAGUUUUUAUUUAUUUUAUUUUGGGAUUUUAAAAUACGACUUGCGCGUCGUGCCUCUCUUUUAAUCUCUUAAUGUAACUUCUUUUCUCAUCUCACUCCCUCGUAUGUAAAACGAGUUUCUUUUAUGUAAUAUAAUGUUAUGAAGAAAGAGAAGAAUACAAUAUCAAAGGAGGAACCUUGAAGAUCUGCUUGGAGAAGCUUAGAUCGUUAUUAGCUUAACUUAGGUUCUCUCAUUGACUUGGGAGAACAAUUGCGUUAUGGGCCAUCAAUGUAUGUUGAUGCAUGUGAGAGACGAUUAUAUGAUAAAUAAGCCGGUGAGAUCAUAAUAAUUGCAAAUUCUCUCAAAUUAAAUAUUAAGUUUAUGUUUUCCAAGUUUUAGCACUCAUCAAGACUAGUAUCGAAUAAUGUAGGUUUCGCCUACGCGAGGUGCAUGUUCUAUAUUAGUAAGGUGCGAUGGGAUAAUUGUAAUAUCCAAUUUCUAAAACAAUGGUUCAAACUUAACUAAACAAAUUAUAAUAAGAUUAUAUAUGUUUAGAAGCAAGAGUUGGAAAUGAUCCAUAUGAUGGAUUGGAAUAAGGAGUUAUUCACCCAACUAAAAUAUUCGAGAGUUAUAUUAGAUACAAUUGGAAGGAGUUCCUACCUAAAUAACCUAGCUUUAUGUAAUUCGCCUACGUAGACUUAAAACAAAGUGAAGUGUGGAUCUCGACCCACUAGAAAAUCUUCCAAUGGGAUUUUUCGAAUCAAAUGGUGAGGAUCAUUUGUUUUGAGUAAAAUAGUGGGAGUAUAUUUAAUUAAAGGCCUAAUUAAAUAUGUUAUUUUAGUGAUACUUAUAUUUUCAUUAUUUUUCAUGUAUAUUACCAUGACAACCAUGACAACAAACACCUCUAACAACAUUUUGCGAUCAAUCCUUGAUAAGGAAAAAUUGUCUGGGACAAAUUUUCUGGAUUGACACCGAAAUCUGAGGAUUGUCUUGAAACAUGAUAGAAAGUUGUAUGUCUUGGAGAAACCUGUUCCUGAAGAGAAACCUCCUAGUUCUGCACCUAAGGCAGAAAGAGAUGCUUAUAAGAAGCAUGUCGAUAAUGCCAAUGAAACUGUUUGCCUCAUGCUAGCUACCAUGAACUCAAAGUUGCAAAAGAAACAUGAGAAGAUGGUAGCAUUCGAUAUGAUCAAACACCUAAAGAUGCUCUAUCAAGAGCAGGCAAGGCAUGAAAGGUUUGAAGUUUCAAAAGCCCUUUUUCAAGGCAAGUUAGCUGAGGGAACCCCUGUAGGUCCCCAUAUUCUCAAGAUGAUUGGAGAUAUGGAGAACCUUGAAAGGUUGGGUUUUCCCCUCAGAAAGGAACUUGCAACUAAUUUGAUCUUGCAAUCAUUGUCAGAUAGCUUCAGUCAAUCUGUCCUUAGUUUCAAUAUGAAUGAUAUGGACAAAUCUCUUCCUGAACUGCUAGCCAUGUUAAGAACUACUGAGCAGAAUUUGAAGUCAAAAGGGAAGUCCACUAUGAUGAUCGGAAAUGGAAAGAGACAGAACAAAAGACCCACCAAGCAGGAUGGUAAAGGGAAAGGCAAGGAAGUUGCCAAACCCAAACCCAAAGCUCCUGCUUUGAAGUCUAGUGAAGGAAUAACUAAGGAAGGCACCUGCUUCCAUUAUGGUAAGACUGGACACUGGAAGAGAAACUGCCCAAAGUACCUGGAAGAUAAGAAGAAUGAAGUAGAGACUUCAACUUCAGGUAUUUUUGUUAUUGAAAUUAAUUUAUCUACUUCUGCAUCAUGGGUAUUAGAUACUGAUACUGGAUGCGGUUCUCACAUUUGUACCAAUGUGCAUGGGCUAAAAAGGAGUAGAGAUUUGGCAAAAGGUGAAGUUGACCUACGAGUUGGCAAUGGAGCAAAGGUUGCUGCUUUAGCCGUAGGAACUCAUGUAUUGACUUUACCUAGUGAUUUAAUAAUUCAAUUAAAGAAUUGUUAUUAUGUACCUGCAAUUAGCAAGAAUAUUAUUUUUGUUUCUUGUUUAGACAAGUUUGGUUUUUCAUUUAUAAUAAAGAAAAAUUGUUGCUCCAUUUAUUUGAAUGAUAUAUUUUAUGCUACUGCACAAAUGAACAAUGGACUAUAUGUCAUUGAUCUUGAAAUGCAUAUUUAUAACAUUAAUACUAAAAGGAUGAAGCCUAAUGAGUUAAAUCCAACUUACCUUUGGCAUUGUCGAUUAUGCCACAUAAAUGAGAAACGCAUUUCCAAACUCCAUAAAGAUGGACUCUUGGACUCUUUUGAUUAUGACUCAUAUGAGACAUGCAGAUCUUGUUUAAUUGGAAAGAUGACAAAGUAUCCAUUCACAGGAAAAGGUGAAAGAGCUAAUGAUCUUUUGGCCCUCAUACAUACUGAUGUAUGUGGACCAUUGAACAUACCAGCCAGAGGAGGUUUUCAGUACUUCAUCAUAUUUACUGAUGAUUUUAGUAGAUAUGGUUAUGUGUAUUUAAUGAAACACAAAUCAGAGUCCUUUGAAAAGUUCAAGGAAUUCAAGAAAACCAGCCAGAGGAGGUUUUCAGUACUUCAUCAUAUUUACUGAUGAUUUUAGUAGAUAUGGUUAUGUGUAUUUAAUGAAACACAAAUCAGAGUCCUUUGAAAAGUUCAAGGAAUUCAAGAAUGAAGUAAAAAACCAAAUAGGUGAGAAUAUUAAAACUCUUUGAUCAGAUCGAGGUGGUGAAUAUUUAAGCCUAGAGUUUUAUGACCAUUUGAAAGAGUGUGGGAUUCUAUCCCAACUUACUCCUCCUAGAACACCCCAAUGGAACGGUGUAUCUGAGAGAAGAAAUCGAACCUUGUUAGACAUGGUCCGAUCCAUGAUGAGUCACACUGAUCUUCCAAACUCCUUUUGGGGACAUGCACUAUUGACAAUAGCUUACACACUUAACCGUGUUCUAUCCAAAAAGGUUGAGAAGACACCAUGUGAGAUAUGGAGUGGUAAGAAACCACAUAUGUCUUACAUGAAGAUUUAGGGUUGCGAAGUUUAUGUGAAAUCACAAAUUUCAACUAUGUUUGAGCCCAAAUAUGAAAAAUGCUUAUUUGUGGGGUAUCCUAAAGAAACAAGAGGGUAUUACUUCUACAAUCCUUCUGAAGGCAAAAUAUUUGUUGCUCAAAUUGGAGUUUUCCUAGAAAAGGAUUUUAUUUCCAAAGGAAUCAGUGGGAGGAAAGUAGAGCUUGAAGAAAUUCAAGAAUCACAAAGCAUUGAUACACCUAUGGAGGAAUUAGAGAAGGAAACACAAGUAGCUAUGGAAGAAUUUAAGCAUGAUCCAACGUAGGUCAAGCAGGAUACGUCACUUUCUGAGAGAUAUGGAUAUCUCAUAACUGAUCAAGAUGAUGUAUUACUCAUGGAUCAAGAUGAGCCUGUGACCCCAAGAGGCCAUAAUCGGUCCCGAGUUUGAGAAGUGGCUAGAAGCCAUGAAAUCUGAAACAGAUUCCAUGUACACAAACCAGGUUUGGACCUUGGUAGAGCCUCAUAUAGGAGUAACCCUAUAGGAUGCAAGUGGGUCUUCAAAAAGAGAUGACAUGGAUGGUAAGGUACAUACCUAUAAGGCAAGACUGGUUGCAAAAGGAUAUAAACAAAUUCAUGGGGUUGACUAUGAUGAAACCUUUUCACCAGUUGCAAUUCUUAAAUCUGUUUGGAUUUUACUUGCUAUCGCUGCAUAUCAUGAUUAUGAAAUAUGGUAGAUGGAUGUCAAAACUACUUUCCUUAAUGGGAAUCUUCUUGAGGAUGUGUACAUGACACAAUUUAGAGGAUUUGACAUACCAGAAGAAGCCCAAAAGAUAUGUAAGUUACAAAGAUCAAUCUAUGGAUUGAAGCAAGCUUCUAGAAGAUGGAAUCUUCAUUUUGAUGAAACAAUAAAACAAUAUAGAUUCAUCAAGAAUGAAGAUGAGCCUUGUGUCUAUAAGAAGGUUAGUGGGAGUAUGAUCGUCUUCCUGGUAUUAUAUGUAGAUGACAUAUUACUCAUUGGAAACGAUGUCCUUACCCUGCAACAAGUAAAGUCUUGGUUGGGGAAAUGCUUUUCUAUGAACUACCUAGGUGUAGAAACCUAUAUAUUAGGAAUCAGGAUCUAUUGAGAUAGAUCACAAAAACUGUUUGGCCUAAGUCAGAGUACGUACAUAGACAAAGUGAUGAGACGCUUUAAUAUGCAUGAUUCUAAGAAAGGAUUCAUACCUAUGCAACAUGGCCCGUGUCUAUCAAAAACACAAUCCCCUUCAACUAAGGAAGAAAGGGAUCGCAUGAAUAAGAUUCCAUAUGCAUCUACAAUAGGAUCUAUCAUGUAUGCCAUCUUAUGUACUCGACCAGAUGUCACGUAUGCUUUAAGUGCAACGAGUAGGUACCAAUCUGAUCCCGGUGAUGCUCAUUGGGUAGUUGUCAAGAAUAUCCUUAAGUAUUUGAGAAGGACUUAGGACUCAUUCUUGAUAUAUGGAGGUCAGGAAGAGCUUGCUGUAAUUGGAUACACCGAUGCUAGCUUCCAGACAGAUAAGGAUGACUUUAUAUCGCAAUCUGGUUAUGUGUUUUGCUUAAACGGUGGCGCUGUGAGUUGGAAAAGUUCAAAGCAAGAUACAAUUGUUGAUUCUACAACCGAGGCCGAGUAUAUUGUUGCCUCAAGUGCAUCAAAGGAAGUUAUUUAGAUCAAAAAGUUCAUUAGUGAACUUGGCAUAGUUCCUAGCAUUGUGGAUCCCAUUGAUCUCUAUUAUGAUAACAAUGGUGCUAUCGCACAAGCGAAGGAGCCUAGAUCUCACCAACGAUCCAAACACAUACUUAGGCGUUAUCACCUCAUUUGUGAGAUAAUAGAUAGAGGAGAUGUGAAAAUAUGUAGAGUACCUACACUUGACAAUAUUGUUGACCCACUGACAAAGCCUCUUGCGCAGCAGAAGCAUGAUGACCAUACUAGAUCUAUGGGCAUUAGGGGUAUGCCUGAUUGGCUCUAGUGCUAGUGGGAGAUUGUUUGGUGUAAGCCCUAGAGGCCAAUAUUUUGGUACUUGUAUUGAAUUAUUUAUUAAUAAUAAAAGGAUUUUCUUUAUUAUGUUUGUUUAAUAAAGUCCCUAGAAUAGGUAGUCCGUUUAAUGUAUCAAGUGUGAUUAAUCAUGAGAUCCCAUUAAACAUAAGAAUCAAUAUUCCCUUAAAAAGUAUCCGUAGUCGAGCUUUGUUGUGAAGUGGGAUAACAUUAAAGCAUUAAGACUAUUAUGUAUAUAGACUGAUGAUCACAUCUCAUGGGUCAUGGAUAAGGAGUUAUCAAGUCUUAAACAUAGGUAUGAAUAUUAGGAGUAAUAUUUAUACUGGAUUGACCCUCUAUGAGAAUACUAUAUAGAAUAUUAUGUAAAGUAUCAUAAGUUAUUAUCAUGGUGAUAAUGGUGUAUACCACCCAUCGACCUGAAACCACUAUGGACCCUAGAUGUAGAGUUGAGUGCCUUAUUACUGAUCAAACAUUGUCCGUAACUGGAUGACCAUAAAGGCUGUUGAUGGGUACUCCAUGAAGCAUGCUGAGGGACAUGAGUGACCUAGAUGGAAUUUGCCCAUCCUGCGUAACAGGAUAAAUGUCUAUGGGCUCAAUAUUGAACUGGACAAUGAUAACACAGUUUAUGCCUUGUGUUCAAUAUAGACAUAAGGGCAAAAGGAUAAUUGUACACAUAAGUAUUAUCACAAAAGGAUUUGUCAAAUCACAUUAAAUUUUCGUGUCUUGGGUAACAGUGAUGUGUUGCUAGAUACCACUCACUGUUUAUCAUGUUAAAUACGUGAUUUAACAUAAUUGCGAAUGCCGCGAAAACCUACAGGGUCACACACAAAAAGGACGGAUUGAUGAGAGAUAGAGUAAAUAAGGAGCAUCGUAAGGUACAUUAGUGAAUUGUAGAGCAUCGUAAGGUACGGUGCACUUAAGUAGAAUACAAAAUAUUGUAAGAUACCAUGCGCUUAAGUGAUUUUGGUAUAUCAUAAGAUAUGAGCCACAUACACUUAAGUGAGCUUUUUAGCUUAUAGCCCACACAAGUGGUUCUAUAAAUAGAACCCUUGUGCAGAAAUAUUUGUUCAGAUAAAAAUUUUGUUUCUCUCUCUCACUCACUCAAAGCCUUCAUUCGUUGCAGCUGUCGCAAUGCGAAAAACAACCGGCGGAAAAUAACAUGUUUACAGAGCCGCCACCGACGCUAUUCAUCCUAUGACAGAAAGGAAGCGCAGGACUAACCUAAGAAAAGGGAAAGGAACGGUCUUACGACCAGAUAUUACAAGGUACGGGAGUCAGUUACGCAAGGGGAAGGUAUUAGCACCCCUCACGUCCGUCGUACUCGACGGGAUCCACGCUCAAAAGAAUAGAAUAAGGUUGCUAAAUAACUGCUCAAAGAGAAUGCACACACACUGGAAUAGUAAAACAGGUGAAAGAAGAUGGAGGAAGCGGACUCGGCAGGAUGUCGCAUCCUGGGCCUACGUAGUUUGUUAGAAACAAACAUCAGAGUCAACGUAGUUCGGGGAAUGGGGAACAUGCUCGCUAGGACAUCGCAUCCUAUGCCUACGUAUCUUCUCUAUCCAGAGUAAGAAUCAGAGCACUCGUAGCUCGGCUAACGCACGCCGAAACAAACACCGAAAAGAGACGCUGAGACGUCAAAAGAAACACUCAACAGGAAACGGAAUGCCAAUCCAUGGACUUACACCCGACUCCUGACAAUAAAAAGGAAACAGAAUACCAAUACAUGGACUUACAUCCGACUCCAAACAAACAACACAAACAAGGAAACAGAAUGCCAAUACAUGGACUUAUAUCCGACUCCAAACACACACACGCUAACUAGCGAACACCAAAGCAAAAGGUUAUCAGAUUGACAAGCUAAUAGGGAGUCUGGAACUCGAGCCUAAUAGCUGUCACAAAAACAUAAAGAGACGCUGAGACGUCAAAAGAACAAAAGAUUGACACACACAGACUCAAAAAAGAAAAAGGUUGCCCGGAGAGAUCUCGCACAAUCUCCUGCCUACGUAUCUCAUCUGGUAUGAGAAUCAGGGCGACGUAGUUCCCCUUAACAGGGGAAAAGGAGACAACAAACUAAUAGGGAGUCUGGAACUCGAAACUAAUAGUGGCGAACAAACAAAAAGAGAAAGAGACGCUGAGACGUCAAAAGAAACAAAAGGUUGCCCUGAGAGAUCUCGUUCGAUCUCCUGCCUACGUAUCUCAUCUGGUAUGAGAAUCAGGGCGACGUAGUUCCCCUUAACAGGGGAGAAACACUAUCCUAACCAGAGACCAGGGAAGCAAACAAACUAAUAGGGAGACUAAGACUCGAGCCUAAAAGUUGUCAUGCAAACGAUAUCCCUAAGUUGAGGUCUCUAAUCAUGCAUCUAUCUCACACAGGAAGCAAGUCAGUUCAAACAGCAAAUAAACACCAAUCACAAAUGAUCAAGCAUCACACACUAUAUACAUACAAGAGCGAGUCUGUUUACCAACCCGAAAUCAGUUCUCCCCAGUAUAGAACCUCGACAAACAAGCCAAAACUAUAGGGGUAUGCUGAAGCUCUUAACCACUAACAUUGAGAGUUAGGGUGAAGCUGAUGAAAUGUGGUAAUGAGGAUAAGACCUCAUGCUCUUAACCCUGUCCUGGGUGAGCUCAAAUCAAAGAAAGCUUGGGGGUCCCAAAAGAGGGACCCUAUUCCACUUGACCGACCCUAUACAGAGAUCUUGGGUACAUGUUCUAGAGGAUCAGCACGUAGUGCGAGCAUAAUGAACGACUCACUAAAUAACAGGGGAUUGAUUGCUAAUCCCUUCUAUCUGUCAAUUGCCUCUUCACUUAGGAGGACUUAACAAGUAACACGCCUCACUUGGAUGCCUUUGGCACAAAUGUAAACAAACACAAACAGUGCCUCUUAAGGAGGACUUCAACCAAAAUUCCUGCCAAAAAGGUGACAGGGCUUCCAGACUACAUGGAGUAAGAGGGCUAAACUACCUCAGUGGUGUAUCAACCACACUCCAAAGCUUAAGCAAAAGCAAAGCUAGCAAGCAACUAAUGUACCUGUACAAAAGCCAAACAGUUAAUAUUGUAUUCAGAAAACCAACAGACAACAACAAUAGUACUUUCCAAUAUCUACACAAUGCAAGUCAUUAGUGCAAGCACUCAAGUGAGUUCAUCACUUCAAUUGACCUAUGACACAAACAUUUAGUAAUCAAAGCAACUUGCAUCUCAAGUAAUGAGACCACACCAAUCAUCAAAGCCAAAAGCUCAAACCUGAAACACAAAGCACAAUUAGUAUGUACAAAACAAACUAGUGCAAAUACUAGGCUCAAAAGCAAGUCAAAUGACCAAAACAGAAGUCAAUACUUCACAUGAAGCACAUUUAAUCAGACAAGAAAGAGUACUCAAAAGGACCAAAACCAAAUCAUAAGGCAAAGCCAUCAAAUGAUCAAGGUAAAGCUAAGGCAAGCAAAGUGAUCAAAAUUGGACAUCAAAAAUAGAAAAUCCAAAUCAAAACAGAAAAGCAUCCAACAAAACCAAAUCAUAAGGCAAAGCCAUCAAAUGAUCAAGGUAAAGCUAAGGCAAGCAAAGUGAUCAAAAUUGGACAUCAAAAAUAGAAAAUCCAAAUCAAAACAGAAAAGCAUCCAAUGAUCAUGAAAUUUUUUAUGCAAGCUCAACAUGUUAAGAAUGAACAUCAUGCAAAACAUUACGUCCAGAAGAGCUCAAAUGAUAUGUAAAUGAAAAUGCACAAAUGCAACAUCAAAUAUGUGACACAAAUUGUCACACCAUAUGUUCAUGUGUCCAAAACAAUGAUGGCGUAUGAUAAAAAUGUCAAACCAAAUCUCAAAAAUCAUGUCACAUGUUAGGAUCAAGCAUGUUAAAAUUCAAAGCAAUUGGAUUAACCAUGAGCAUUUCACAAACAAAUGAAUGUAGCAUGUCAAUUUGGCAUCAUGUUCAAUCAUAACUUCACAAUUUAAAAUCCAGCAACAAACACAUCACGAAAAUAACAUCAAAAAAUAAUAGACAUCAACGUAAGCAUGUGGAAAAAAAUUUGGAUCAAUUUGGACAUGUCUUCUAUUUUUUAUGAUUUUUAGAAGUUGAAUGAACAAAAUGAAAUAAAAUGAAAAUCAUGUGGAAAAUGAAAUGUGAAUGAAAAAUCAGAAAGUGCAUAGCCAAGUAUUGAACACAUGUAAGCACAGUCAAGGAGAAAAUCAAAUGAAAUUUGAAGAAAUGCAUGGCGAGGUAUCGAACUGAUGCGCGCUAGGAUAAAUGAUAAGGUAACAAUAAAAUUCACAAAAACAAACACGCUAGGAUCGAACCCGUGCGCUAAGGCUCAAAGGCGCCUUCAUCAAAACGCUGCGCAUCAAGGUUGAGAAAUGCUAAACAAUUGAAAAUCCAAAAUGCAACUGGCCAGGAUGGAACCAGCGCUUUAAGGCUCAAAGCGUGUUUACUCAAAACGCUGCGUUUUGGAAACGCAAACCCUAGCCAAACGCAGACGGCGGUGGACGGCAGUUUCCACCGUCUUCUCCGACCGUGUACACGGCGGAGCUACAGGAAUUUUUUCCAGAAUUACACGAAACGCACACCAAUCGAAAGAGUUUUCAAUGUAGGUCAUGAAUCUCAUAUUCAUUUCCUCUAAAUCAUCAUGAAUCAAGCAGAUCGAAGGAAAACAUUUUGAACAACCAAACUUUAAAUUAUCAUAUCUUGAUCAAUAUCCAUCCAUUUCAAAAUCUAAUUAUAUCAGCAUCAUCAACACAACAGGAUCUAUCUAAUCAUGGCAAGAAAUUGGAGAAACGUUAUGAUCGAAAUUCAACUUACUUGAAGUGCAGUGAUAAAAAACCAUGUGUUCAAGCCUCCAAAACUUCCAUAUCCACUCUAGUAAUCUUGAUUUGAAGCUUUGUGCACGAAUUAACCGUUGAAUUCACCUAUAUCCAGCUCAUUUUCAAGAUUCCAUUGAUAUGUGAAUGUUCAUGAACCUGCUCAAAUCUUGCUCAAUCGCUACGAAUGAUGGAUGAAUCUUGCUCCAAAUUCCACCAGGAUCAUGAAUAUGCAAAGAGAUUCAAGCUUUGUGUGAAGAAUUUUGAAAUUCAAGGAGAGAGAAAAAAUGGAGGGAAUGUGAAUUUUCAGAUCUAGAAUUGUUGUUAUGGCAAAUGUAGUUAGGUUUUAGUAUUUAUAUGAUGUGUUAAUGAUGCUGUAAUCAAGAUUAGGCUUUGGCUAAUUAAAAAUUAAGGAGAUGUAAGGUGUAAUGCCAAAAAUGCAAGUGUGAGGUAGCAUGGUAAAUGUGUACGUGAACAGUGCCAUGCAAGGUGCAAUUUCACUCAAAAUCAAACAAUAAACAUCAUGGAAUGGUUAAAUGGCUUGUAUGAUUCACCAAUUUUGAGUUCUCCAUUUUCCCUCCAAAAUGUACAUGUUUGGACACUUGAUCAUGUGAGCUUCUUUUAUUCAAGGCAAUGAUUGAUUUGGAAUCUCUUGGUCAUAAGGAGCAUUUUGCAAAAAGAGUGGACCAAUUUGGAGUUUUGGAUCAAAAGUUAUGGCAUUUUGAAGUUCCAUGCAUACUUUGCAAUCAUUUGUCUAUAACUUCUCAACCAAUUAUCAGAUGGACAUGAUAUAGGACUUUUUGAAAAGAGGAGAGAAAGAUAUUCAAUUUUCAUGUUCACCAAAAAUCCAUUUGAAGCUUAUUUGAUGUUGGAAAGUCAGGUUGAAAGUGGACCAAAAACUUGCCAUUUUUCGAAACUUGAAAUUACAAGUCACUUUCCAUUUUUGGAAACUUUUGCCAUGGCUUCAAAAUCUUCAAGAUAGAUGUUUGAAAUGACAAAUGGACUUCUUUUGAACAUGAUUGAGGUGUCUCAACUCAUUUCCCCACCUCAUAGCCCUCAGUUGACUGCAGAGUUGACUUCUUGUGGUCCUCAGAUGACCUUGACAUACCCUGAUCAGCUUGAACCUCCACCUUUUGAGGAAAAUGGCUCAGAAAUGAAACCCUAGCUCAUAUAAGCCGAACAUAAUGAUCAAGUGAUCCUCUUCAUCAGCAAAUACCUCCUUUCUUUGAGAAGCCCUGGUUGAAAGAAUGGCAUUGAUUAGGGUUGACCAGAGGUCAAAACCCUAAUCCAAAGGAACUUGAGCAUAGCCCUGGUUGAAAGAAUGGCAUUGAUUAGGGUUGACCAGAGGUCAAAACCCUAAUCCAAAGGAACUUGAGCAUGCACAAUGAAGCCCUGGAUGAUGACAUAACCAUGAUGAUGGUAAUAUAUCCUUGAAAUCAAGACAAUGCUCAAGACCUUUGAAGGAUCAGGAAACCCUAAUUGAAGUACAAACCCUCAGAUGGUUGAUCAUCAAUCCAUGGAAACCCUCAGGCUUGAAUCAUGUAACAUCUCCCUCUUCUGCAAAGACGUUGGAGGAUGACUUUCUUUUAUUCUCAUAUGAUAUACAAAAUGCAAUGCCUAAUGUCCUAAAAUAUGAAAUGCAAUAUCUCAAACUAGUCCCAAGAAGAGGAGGGCAAAUUUUGAGGUGUUACAGCUGCCCCUAUUCAAUCCACUGUGAACCUGUCGAUAUGAACAACCUCGGCUUUCAGAUGAUCAGAGUGAAGAAUGGUUGAAUACCAAGAACAGACGAACAAUUUGCACUCCGCUGGGAAUUAAGUAACAAUGCUUGUUAGAAUCGGCAAAGAGGUGAUCUUAAAAGAAGAAUCUGUCUGGUACGGUGAGAGUCGGCCUGAAUACCGAAAAGAAUAUUUAACCUGGAUACCAAAAUAAAUGGUAACACAGGAAUAACCCUGGCCUGAAUGCCGCAUCCGCUGGGGAUUAUUAUUACUUUUUUUUUUCUUUGCUUGGACCCCAGAACUUCUUUGAUUUUUUUUCUGCUUUUCUUGAACCCCAAAACUUUUUGAUUUUUUUCUGCUCUUCUUGAACCCCAGAAUUUUUCGCACGAGUGAUCCCCGAUCACCGCAUUUGAACCCCGACAACUUCGUCACUCUUGCUGCCAAACAAUGAACCCCGUUCUCCAUUUUCCCAUGCUAAUUCCGUUGGCAAUGCCGGAAAUAACACCAACCACCACUCUGAUGGCGACAUAUCAGAGGAUACACCUUUACAACAGGAAGGUAAUCAUGUGCAUUUCUUCCCUCGAAGAAACCCAUAACGACUUCUCCGGCCCUCGCCAAAGUCUAAGGUGACACAUGAUCAGAAGACAAUCCUGAUGACCUCAUCCCGGAUACCAUCUUCAACUCCAAUCUCCAAUUGAACCCCGUUCUCCAGAAAAUGCCCAACACUUCCUUUUCUCCAUUUGAACCUCGUUCUCCAGAAAAUGCCCCGCACUUCCUUUUCUCCAUUUGAACCUCGUUCUCGAGAAAAUGCCCCGCACUUCCUUUUCUCCAUUUGAACCUCUCAAUUUGAACCUCGUUCUCCAGAAAAUGCCCCGCACUUCCUUUUCUCCAUUUGAACCUCGUUCUCGAGAAAAUGCCCCGCACUUCCUUUUCUCCAUUUGAACCUCUCUCUCAAGAAAAUGCCCAACACUUCCUUUUCUCCAUUUGAACCUCGUUCUCCAGAAAAUGCCCCGCACUUCCUUUUCUCCAUUUGAACCUCGUUCUUCGCGCUGAUCGCGUAACGUUCUCCGAUCUUCAUUUCCAUCUCCUCCCAACGGAAUUUCCUCCUCCAAUAUCGCGCUACUGGGGAAUAUUAUUGCUCCAACGUCAUGAUGCUAAACUCCUCAGAGUAACAUCUUCCAACUUCCAUCUCCGCACGACAGAAAUUCUUCCUCCAAUAUCGCACUACUGGGGAAUACCGUUGCUCCAACAUCAUGAUGCUAAACUCCUCAGAGUAACAUCUUCCAACUUCCAUCUCCGCACGACAGAAAUUCUUCCUCCAAUAUCGCACUACUGGGGAAUACCGUUGAUCCAACGUCACGAUGCUAAACUCCUCAGAGUAAAUCCUCAGAGUAACAUCUUCCAACUUCCAUCUCCGCACGACAGAAAUUCUUCCUCCAAUAUCGCACUACUGGGGAAUACCGUUGAUCCAACGUCACGAUGCUAAACUCCUCAGAGUAACAUCUUCCAAUCAGCAAAACCAAUUCUCAAACGGUAACCACGGCUUGAGACUAGUUUAUGCUUGCAAUGCUGAUGCAUGCGUUUUUUUUACAGCGUAAUGCUCCAUAACCAUGGAAAUGCUACGCAAUGAGUUAUGCAAUAUGCUAUGCUUCUCUAAAUGAUGAAUGCAUAAAAAGUAUCCCCCCUAGGGGACUCUAUUGGGGAGCUCGAGGAACUCGAUAUCGCUCCAAUCUCCAAUCCUGCUUGGGAAUAGCACUGCUGUUGGGGAAAGGACAAUCCCUUACUAAGGAUGACCUCCGCUGAACCCGAUCCGCUUGGGGACUUUGCUGGGGAAACAGCUACCAACGCACACCUCCGCUGGGGAAACAACAACCUUCAAACUUGCUGGGGAAAUAACAUUCUCAAUCCUGCUAGGAGAAACAACAACUUUCAGGCCUGGCUGCCGAAGAAAUACCGAUCUCGAACCUGCUGGGGAGGAACAACAACCUUCAGGCCUGGCUGCCUAAGAACUACCGAUCUCGAGCCUGCUGGGGAGAUACGACAUAUUUGACAUGGAACGCCCGUCGACUCAUCGAGUAAUGGCAUUCACCAUUCAACCACAGUAUCGGCCUUCCACUUUUGAGACUUUGAAGAGUCUUCUUGAUUCAUCACCUUGUAUUCUCGACUUCUCUCUACUCCGAGACAAUCGAUCUCCUUAGAUUCGGGCCAACUCUCCAGUCCUCAGACUUUGAAGAGUCUUCUUGAUUGAUCUUCUAGGAUCGUCGCCAUUCUUUCGCCGUCUUUUCACCAUUCUUCUAUCCCUCGUCCCUGAUUGGACUCGAAGGAAUCUUUCGUCAAAAAGCUUCACAUCACAACCUGCAAGUGAGUGAAAAUAUCUAACAGCACCUGCAAAAGAGAUCGUUAGAUAAAAACGUGCCCCAGGCGUGCCAAAAUCUUUCGUCAAAAAGCUUCACAUCACAACCUGCAAGUGAGUGAAAAUAUCUAACAGCACCUGCAAAAGAGAUCGUUAGAUAAAAACGUGCCCCAGGCGUGCCAAAAUUUCAACACCCAGGUCACUCUACCUUCCGAAUAAGAUUUCAGGUUUUCAAUCUUAUGAACAUGCAUUGGAAGGGACCCCUAUGUCUCAAAAUGCAAAGAUUCUUAUCAAAAUAAACGGAUGUUUUUGUAAUCAAAGCGGUAAUGAAAACAAAAACAAAAUUAUGUGACUGAAUAUGCAUUUUAUUGAUUGAAAAGGUGGCUCGUAACUGAGCAAUACACAGGAAGCAAUCCCUGAAAAGAGGUAAUUGCACAAAAAAGGAAAAUAUAUCCUAAUGGCAAUGUGAAACCAUGAUCUCAUCGAGUUCCAACCCGGUUACAACCCAUAUGUCCUCAAGACUCUCCGUGCUUUCUGCCUUCCGAACAAGACGCUUCCGAUCGAUCCCUACUGGGGAUUAUCCACUUGUCAUAUCCAAAGUACAAACGAUCAUGCUAGACGCAGUUGUUCGUUUCAUUCCCUCUUUUGCCUAGACCGCCCUCUCGGGUUUUCAGUCCACCGGGAUACCCUUUUUUGCCCAAGUCGCCCUUGUGGGGUUUUCGACUUGCCGGGUGUACAGUUUUUUCUCUUUUUAUCCCUAAUUUUUGCCCGAACCUUUUUCAUUUUUUCUGGUUCGCCGGGAUGCCCAUUUUUUCCUGGACUAUUUUAUUCUUUUCGUCCAGGCCCAGAGAAUAUGCUUCAUAAAAAAUUGACGCAGGCGAUUCACAGGGGAUGGAAAAUCCUCGCCAUCCAUGGUCGUCAACAACAAGGCUCCACCAGAGAAAACCUUCUUGACCACGAACGGACCCUCAUAAUUGGGUGUCCAUUUUCCCCGACGAUCGUUAUGAGGAGGAAGGAUCCUUUUCACCAUCAUAUCUCCCACAUGAUACACACGAGGUCGUACCUCUCGGUCAAAGCACGCUUCAUUUGCUGCUGGCACAACUGCCCAUGACAAAUGGCCGCCAGCCUCUUUUUCUCAAUCAGGCUCAACUCUUCAUACCGAGUCCUUACCCAGUCAGCUUCUUCCAAUUUCACGUCCAUCAGGACUCUCAAUGACGGAAUCUGGACCUCAACUGGUAGCACGGCUUCCAUCCCAUACACCAGCGAAAAAGGCGUUGCCCCAGUAGAUGUACGCACCGAGGUUCGAUACCCAUGCAAUGCAAACGGCAACAUCUCGUGCCAAUCCUUAUAGGUUACGACCAUUUUCUGCACAAAGCACCGAGGUUCGAUACCCAUGCAAUGCAAACGGCAACAUCUCGUGCCAAUCCUUAUAGGUUACGACCAUUUUCUGCACAAUCUUCUUAAUAUUCUUAUUAGCUGCCUCGACCGCCCCAUUCAUCUUUGGACGAUAAGGAGAAGAAUUUUGAUGCUCGAUUUUGAAUUCCCGACACAGUUCUGCCAUCAUCUUGUUGUUGAGAUUAAAACCAUUAUCAGUAAUGAUUCUUUCGGGAACCCCAUAUCUGCAAAUGAUGUCUCUUUUCAGGAACCUGGCAACGACCUGUUUCGUCACAUUUGCAUAAGAUGUCGCUUCCACCCACUUGGUGAAGUAGUCGAUAACCACUAAUAUGAACCGGUGCCCAUUCGAAGCCGUAGGCUCAAUCUUCCCGAUCAUAUCAAUGCCCCACAUAGCAAACGGCCACGGAGAUGACAUCAAACUCAACGGGUUUGGAGGCACGUGCACCUUGUCAGCAUAAAUCUGGCAUUUAUGACACUUCCGCACGAAGUUGAAACAUUGGGCCUCCAUUGUCAUCCAGUAAUAACCAGCUCUCAACAACUUUUUCACCAUUGCAUUCCCGCUGGCAUGAAUACCAAACGACCCCUCGUGCACCUCUUUCAUCAAUUGGCUUGCUUCUUUGUCAUCGACACAUCUGAGCAACACCCAAUCAAAAUUUCUCUUAUACAAAACCCCAUCCUUGUUCAGAUAGAACACCAUGGCCAACUUCCUCAGAGUCUUCCGGCCUUUUUUAGACGCCCCCUCGGGAUACUCUUGGGUUUCCAGAUAGCGCUUGAUAUCAUAAUACCACGGCUUUUCAUCAUCAGGCGUUGUGUCGACAGAAAACACAUAAGCUGGUCUAUCCAGACGUCCCACCUCAACACUAGGGAACUGAUUCCACCACUGCACCUUAAUCAAGGCAGACAGAGUAGCCAAAGCAUCUGCCAAAGGAUUCUCUUCUCUCGGCCCAUGGUGUAAUUCCACCUUGGUGAAAAACGUCAACAAUCUCCUCGUAUAGUCCCGGUAUGGAAUUAAAUGAGAUUGAUGCAUAUACCAUUUCCCGUUAACCUGGUUCACGACCAAAGUUGAAUCCCCAUAAAUGACAAGGUUCUUGAUCCGCAAAUCAAUCGCCUCUUCAAUACCCAAGAUACAAGCUUCGUAUUCAGCCACAUUGUUGGUGCACUCAAAUGUUAGCCGGGCAGCAAAAGGAAUGUGGGAUCCUUUCGGCGUAACCAAAACAGCACCAACUCCACUACCAUUCACGUUAACGGCCCCGUCAAACAUCAGAAUCCAUUCGGAUUCAGGGUCAGGCCCCUCCUCCGGGAUUGGUUCCUCACAAUUUUUCGAUUUGAGAAACAUGAUGUCCUCAUCAGGGAACUCAAACUUCAUCGGUUGAUAAUCCUCAAUGGGUUGCUGGGCGAGGUAAUCAGACAAUACACUCCCCUUGAUUGCUUUCUGAGAGGUAUACUGGAUAUCAUAUUCAGUCAAAAUCAUUUGCCAUCUCGCAACCCGUCCGGUCAAUGCUGGCUUCUCAAAUAUAUACUUGAUCGGAUCCAUCUUGGAAAUCAACAAAGUGGUAUGAACCAACAUAUACUGUCUCAGCCGGCGAGCAGCCCAUACCAAAGCGCAGAAAGUUUUCUCGAGCAGUGAAUAUCUUGUUUCAGAGUCGGUAAACUUUUUGCUAAGGUAAUAAAUUGCAUGCUCUUUUCGACCAGACUCGUCAUGCUGCCCCAGUACGCACCCCAUAGACCCCUCGAGGACUGUCAAGUACAGAAUUAACGGUCGUCCCUCCACAGGAGGCAUUAGAAUCGGAGGCUCCUGCAAAUAUUCUUUUAUCUUUUCAAAUGCCGCUCGGCAAUCAUCAUUCCCUGACCGUUUGAUCUUUUCUCAACAACUUGAAUAUGGGUUCACACGUGGCUGUUAGAUGAGAUAUGAACCGUGAAAUGCAGUUCAAUCUACCUAAGAAACCACGAACCUCCUUUUCUGUUCUCGGUUCAGGCAUNNNNNNNNNNNNNNNNNNNNNNNNNNNNNNNNNNNNNNNNNNNNNNNNNNNNNNNNNNNNNNNNNNNNNNNNNNNNNNNNNNNNNNNNNNNNNNNNNNNNNNNNNNNNNNNNNNNNNNNNNNNNNNNNNNNNNNNNNNNNNNNNNNNNNNNNNNNNNNNNNNNNNNNNNNNNNNNNNNNNNNNNNNNNNNNNNNNNNNNNNNNNNNNNNNNNNNNNNNNNNNNNNNNNNNNNNNNNNNNNNNNNNNNNNNNNNNNNNNNNNNNNNNNNNNNNNNNNNNNNNNNNNNNNNNNNNNNNNNNNNNNNNNNNNNNNNNNNNNNNNNNNNNNNNNNNNNNNNNNNNNNNNNNNNNNNNNNNNNNNNNNNNNNNNNNNNNNNNNNNNNNNNNNNNNNNNNNNNNNNNNNNNNNNNNNNNNNNNNNNNNNNNNNNNNNNNNNNNNNNNNNNNNNNNNNNNNNNNNNNNNNNNNNNNNNNNNNNNNNNNNNNNNNNNNNNNNNNNNNNNNNNNNNNNNNNNNNNNNNNNNNNNNNNNNNNNNNNNNNNNNNNNNNNNNNNNNNNNNNNNNNNNNNNNNNNNNNNNNNNNNNNNNNNNNNNNNNNNNNNNNNNNNNNNNNNNNNNNNNNNNNNNNNNNNNNNNNNNNNNNNNNNNNNNNNNNNNNNNNNNNNNNNNNNNNNNNNNNNNNNNNNNNNNNNNNNNNNNNNNNNNNNNNNNNNNNNNNNNNNNNNNNNNNNNNNNNNNNNNNNNNNNNNNNNNNNNNNNNNNNNNNNNNNNNNNNNNNNNCUUCUUCGGCAUGAUAGAUUGGAUUGUCGAAGUCAUAUGAGGGUGUAACAGGAUUGUUAUCAAUGAGAUCCGGAGAAUGAUCGCAUCUGCAUGAAUGUUGAUUCAUGCAUUGCUUUUAGAACCGGAGCGAAGCAAACUAAAAGAAAAAUGAAAACAAACAUUGCCAUUUUUAUUUAUUUCUAUUAAACUGCAAAAAUAAAUGAAAAACAGGGAACACCGCUUUGUGUGAAAAAAACAUCCUUUUAUUGAUGAUGCAAAUAUUGCAAAAUGAAACACAUGAGGUGGCCCUUACAAUGAACCAUUACGUUUCGGGCAAAACGUAUGACUUUCAUGCAGACAGAAUUGAAAAACAGAAAUAUUACUCUUCACGUAGAGUGACAGUGAUGAUCUUUUCGGCCUUCCAGUUCUGGAUCUCCAUCCCUGGUACGCACGGUUUUAUCCACGAGUCGAGCUCGCAGUCACUGUCAGUCUCUUCACCCACCACACAGACAUGACCUGCAUCCUCAAAAAUUUCACCCACCAUCGUCUGACCAUGUGCCGGCAUGGGAUUAACAUUAACAUUCGGCAACAGUGUAAAAUUGAUGGCUUUGGAAUCCACCAAGUCUUGGACAGCAUGCUUAAAAGCUUUACAACCCUCAACAUUAUGCCCGGGAGCACCAGAAUGGAACUCACACUUGACGUUCUCAUCAUAGCUUACAGGCCUCUGGUCUGGUCUCAAUGGAGCUAACGUCUUUAACUGUACCAUCCCGAGAUCCUUCAACUUCUUCAACAGAAGAGCAUACGUCAUAGGUGGCUUAUCAAACUGACGAUCUGCCAUCCUUCCUCUCACUUGGUACCCAGCUCUCUGUGUUCUCUGUUGAGGUGACUGCUGUUACUGUUGUACAGAUUGAUCACCAGCAGGAAUUGUUACCGCAGCAGUAUGCUGGUAGUAACGAUCCCUACCAUGUCCUCUUUGGGCAUAGACAACACUCGUGUCACCCUCCUUCUUACGCUGACCGUUCCCAAAUGGCUUCUUCGAUCCAGACGACGAAGCAUCUCCCUGUACCUUCCCCAUUUUCAGCCAGCUUUCAAUUCUCUCCACCUUCUCGGCGAUUGCUUUCUGCCCCAAGGCGAACCCUUGCAUGAUGUUGGUCAACUCACUCAUCUUCUCCUUUUGCUCGAGAAUGUCAGCGUUGGGUGGAUCCAUCAGUUUGGGUUUGUUGCGUCUGGUAGGGUAUCUGUGCAAACGAGCUACGUGCAGAGGAAUGAUUCGGCGUGCGCGAGCAAUGAUUCCUGAGACAAUCAAACACGUUAGAAACUGACACCUGCAAAACAGAAGACAGGUUAUUAUGACUCACGAAUGAAUGCAAUGUCUAUCCGUAUGAGGAACAUUCUGUCCUUUGACUUUGGCUUCAUCGAGACGGAUAAUAAUUUGACAAUAACAUUCUGACAUCAGGAUGUCUCUCAAUCCAGAAUCUCAAUCGAGAAUAUACCCUGAGUAUGGAUAAACAUGAGCUAGAUGCGGAUGAAUGCAAAAUGGGAGUGAUGCAGAUGCAUGAAUGCAAGUCACAGUGCCAUCCUCCAAGUCAUAUGAACAUCAAUUGUACGGAUAUUCCGGUCUCUGGACUGAUCACAACCAUCUGAGGGACUGAGUAACCAUAAAUCCAACUCGGGGUUCCGAAAUAAACGGAACCGGAGGAUAUAUCAUCAUCAUCACAGGAAAUCCACCGAACGGAUAACAACAAGAUCCUCUGAACAAGUACCCUCAAAUUCAACCCGGGGAUCCGAAAUAAAUGGAACCCGCUGAUAAAUACCACGGACAGAACUCCGGCGUCUCAGAAAUAAAUCCAUAAUCCAACUGAACCAGAAUCACCAUCAAAUAGUCACCAACAGAACUUGUGCUGUAGGAAUCAAGCCCUCCCCUCACAGGUGAAUUCUAUAAGGUCAUCCUAAGGCGGAUAAUGGUCUCGACAAUCGGACAAGAUACUCAACGGGUUUGCCCUUUCGGGUGUGCCGUUGCAGCUCUCAUAAGAUCAUCUAAACCAACCCUCACAGGUGAAUUCUAUAAGGUCAUCCUAAGGCGGAUAAUGGUCUCGACAAUCGGACAAGAUACUCAACGGGUUUGCCCUUUCGGGUGUGCCGUUGCAGCUCUCAUAAGAUCAUCUAAACCAAAGAUCCGAGAAAGAACGGUCACCGAAGUCAACAGCUCAAAAGAGGUAACCCAACCAAAGUGGAUACUCCACGAGGAGGGGCUCUCUCAAAAGAACCUCGUCCGGCUGUGGUAUGUCACGUCUCAACAUCAUGUCAUCACAACAUGUGAGGAAACAUGAGACCACACUAAUCCUAGGUGUAUACUCGGGCCUGGGUUUUAGCCCCACUCAGAACACCCACCCCAAAUCAUAGGAACCAAACCUGUCCAGAAUCCAGCACAAUAAUAAUAUGAUGCAUGCAAACAUAUAUGCAAAUAUAUACAAUAUAAUAAUCACAAAUGCAAUAAAUAAAGCAGCAAAAGAAACCAAAGCUACCCUAAAGAGCGCUAGGAUUGACUCGCUUAGGGAAGAUGGACCAGCAAGAGGUCAACUGUAUUUCCCCAGCAGAGUCGCCAGCUGUCGCAAUGCGAAAAACAACCGGCGGAAAAAAACAUGUUUACAGAGCCGCCACCGAUGCUAUUCAUCCUAUGACGGAAAGGAAGCGCAGGACUAACCUAAGAAAAGGGAAAGGAACGGUCUUACGACCAGAGAUUACAAGGUACGGGAGUCGGUUACGCAAGGGGAAGGUAUUAUCACCCCUCACGUCCGUCGUACUCGACGGGAUCUGAAAUUCUAGUUAACAGACUUUCGAUGUCACACGGGUUGUUAUGACAUCCAAUUCUGCGCAGACAAGGAUUAUGCAGAAAACAGUAAGUGCAGUAAAUAACACGAGUAAUUGUUUACCCAGUUCAUACCAAAAUGCCUACGUCUGGGGAGUACCAAGCCAGGAGGAAUCUGACUAUUAGUGUAUUAUUUCAGACCUUAAACCAACUGGUUACCCUAAUACUAUAAAAACAACCACCAAUGCAAUCAAUCUACGCAGAAUACAGAAGUUCACUAUCAUCCCAUUCACUCAUGUUAUACCUUUGUCAUAUUGAAAGAAAUUGAAGACCACUUCAAACAACUCUCUUGAUUGUUGAUUAACAACAUUAAUCAAGUAUAACCUACGUUAAAAGUUUUAGAGUGAAAACACUUAAACUCAAUGACACCAAAUAUACCAAAUGCAAAUCAUCUAUUAUAAAAUAAGUAGCUUGCAGCUUACAUAUGAACUAAUACAAGACUACACAAAAAAUAUCAAGACAAUGAAGUAUGAUGACACAAUCUUCACGCCUCAAAAUCCCCAGUUCUGAAGACGAAUGACUUCCUAAUAUAAUUUUUUUACUUAUUUUUUUGACAGUUGGGCCUGGUAUUGUAUUCCCUGAAUUUAAGGCUACUCAACGGCGAAAUUCCCUAAUAUCCAAUCAGGUUACCUAACAAAUAGCUGAGUUUGUUUGGAUAUCAUUAAAUGAUAGCUGGACUUAUUUCCUGGGGUUCUCUCAGCUGUUGAAUCCUGAAGAAUAGCCUGAGAAAAAGAAUAGAAAACAGAAAACAUAACAAUACGAAAUUAGCAUAUGCCUCAAAAGAUACAGAAAAAACAAGAAAAAAACAGAAUGUCAGUAACAAGUCGCUUACAUCAAGGUCCAUAUGCAGUCUUUUUUCCUAAAAACGACGAGUACAUAAUUUUGCUACAACUGUACGGACCAUAUGCCAUUUACGUAACGUUAAUUAAUAAAUGGUCAAGCAUCCCCAAUGACAUUAUAACAUUUAGCCUUAAGUCAGCUUCUGUUAAUCUCUUGAGAACAAAUAUAAACAUACUGAAGUGGUGUCAAGCAGAAACACACUCUGUCUAUGUUCAGUAUAUGCUUUCAGAAUAGACAUUCAUACAUCCAAGAUAUGACAUUAAGACAGUAAAGCCUUAUGCCGAUCUGGUAUUUCUUGAUAACCGAUGAAAAUAAAUACUGAGUUCUAACAGAACACAACUGAUUCUAUUCCUCAGUAUCUGCUGACAGGGAUGAAUGUCACCACAUCCACUUUGACAUUCAAUAAAUCCUGUAUUAGCUAAUCCUGCAGUAAACUACUCAAGUGUGUCAUGACAUCAGUCAAGACAUUAGAAUCCAGCUAGUGUUUUACCAUACAAUGCAGCCAAUUAAACACCUACAGGAUCCACGCUCAAAAGAAUAGAAUAAGGUUGCUAAAUAACUGCUCAAAGAGAAUGCACACACACUGGAAUAGUAAAACAGGUGAAAGAAGAUGGAGGAAGCGGACUCGGCGGGAUGUCGCAUCCUGGGCCUACGUAGUUUGUCAGAAACAAACAUCAGAGUCAACGUAGUUCGGGGAAUGGGGAACAUGCUCGCUAGGACAUCGCAUCCUAUGCCUACGUAUCUUCUCUAUCCAGAAUAAGAAUCAGAGCACUCGUAGCUCGGCUAACGCACGCCGAAACAAACACCGAAAAGAGACGCUGAGACGUCAAAAGAAACACUCAACAGGAAACGGAAUGCCAAUCCAUGGACUUACACCCGACUCCUGACAAUAAAAAGGAAACAGAAUGCCAAUACAUGUACUUACAUCCGACUCCAAACAAACAACACAAACAAGGAAACAGAAUGCCAAUACAUGGACUUAUAUCCGACUCCAAACACACACACGCUAACCAGCGAACACCAAAGCAAAAGGUUAUCAGAUUGACAAGCUAAUAGGAAAUGCCAAUACAUGGACUUAUAUCCGACUCCAAACACACACACGCUAACCAGCGAACACCAAAGCAAAAGGUUAUCAGAUUGACAAGCUAAUAGGGAGUCUGGAACUCGAGCCUAAUAGCUGUCACAAAAACAUAAAGAAACGCUGAGACGUCAAAAGAACAAAAGAUUGACACACACAGACUCAAAAAAGAAAAAGGUUGCCCGAAGAGAUCUCGCACGAUCUCCUGCCUACGUAUCUCAUCUGGUAUGAGAAUCAGGGCGACGUAGUUCCCCUUAACAGGGGAAAAGGAGACAACAAACUAAUAGGGAGUCUGGAACUCGAACCUAAUAGUGGAGAACAAACAAAAAGAGAAAGAGACGCUGAGACGUCAAAAGAAACAAAAGGUUGCCCGGAGAGAUCUCACUCGAUCUCCUACCUACGUAUCUCAUCUGGUAUGAGAAUCAGGGCGACGCAGUUCCCCUUAACAGGGGAGAAACACUCUCCUAACCAGAGACCAGGGAAGCAAACAAACUAAUAGGGAGACUAAGACUCGAGCCUAAAUGUUAUCAUGCAAACGAUAUCCCUAGGUUGAGGUCUCUAAUCAUGCAUCUAACUCACACAGGAAGCAAGUCAGUUCAAACAGCAAAUAAACACCAAUCACAAAUGAUCAAGCAUCACACCACUAUAUACAUACAAGAGGCUCAGACAAAUGGUUGGGCUUUAGUCAAGAGGGGUCAUAUCAACCUCGACAAACAAGCCAAAACUGUAGGGGUAUGCGGAAGCUCUUAACCACUAACAUUGAGAGUUAGGGUGAAGCUGAUGAAAUGUGGUAAUGAGGAUAAGACCUCAUGCUCUUAACCCUGGCCUGGGUGAGCUCAAAUCAAAGAAAGCGUGGGGGUCCAGAAAGAGGGACCCUAUUCCACUUGACCGACUCUAUACAGAGAUCUUGGGUACAUGUUCUAGAGCAUUAGCACGUAGUGCGAGCAUAAUGAACGACUCACUGAAUAACAGGGGAUUGAUUGCUAAUCCCUUCUAUCUGUCAAUUGCCUCUUCACUUAGGAGGACUUAACAAGUAACAUGCCUCACUUGAAGGUCUUUGGCACAAAUGUAAACAAACACAAAUUGCUAAUCCCUUCUAUCUGUCAAUUGCCUCUUCACUUAGGAGGACUUAACAAGUAACAUGCCUCACUUGAAGGUCUUUGGCACAAAUGUAAACAAACACAAACAGUGCCUCUUAAGGAGGACUUCAGCCAAAAUGCCUGCCAAAAAGGUGACAGGGCUUCCAGACUACAUGGAGUAAGAGGGCUAAACUACCUCAGUGGUGUAUCAACUAAUGUACCUGUACAAAAGCCAAACAGUUAAUAUUGUAUUCAGAAAACCAACAGACAACAACAGUAGGACUUUCCAAUAUCUACACAAUGCAAGUCAUUAGUGCAAGCACUCAAGUGAGUUCAUCACUUCAAUUGACCUACAACACAACCAGAGUUAGUAAUCAAAGCAACUUGCAUCUCAAGUAAUGAGACCACACCAACCAUCAAAGCCAAAAGCUCAAACCUGAAACACAAAGCACAAUUAGUAUGUACAAAACAAACUAGUGCAAAUACUAGGUUCAAAAGCAAGUCAAAUGACCAAAACAGAAGUCAAUACUUCACAUGAAGCACAUUUAAUCAGGCAAGAAAGAGUCCUCAAAAGGACCAAAACCAAAUCAUAAGGCAAAGCCAUCAAAUGAUCAAGGUAAAGCUAAGGCAAGCAAAGUGAUCAAAAUUGGACAUCAAAAAUAGAAAAUCCAAAUCAAAACAAUCAUAAGGCAAAGCCAUCAAAUGAUCAAGGUAAAGCUAAGGCAAGCAAAGUGAUCAAAAUUGGACAUCAAAAAUAGAAAAUCCAAAUCAAAACAGAAAAGCAUCCAAUGAUCAUGAAUUUUUUUAUGCAAGCUCAACAUGUUAAGAAUGAACAUCAUGCAAAACAUUACAUCCAGAAGAGCUCAAAUGAUAUGUAAAUGAAAAUGCACAAAUGCAACAUCAAAUAUGUGACACAAAUUGUCACACCAUAUGUUCAUGUGUCCAAAACAGUGAUGGCAUAUGAUAAAAAUGCCAAACCAAAUCUCAAAAAUCAUGUCACAUGUUAGGAUCAAGCAUGUUAAAAUUCAAAGCAAUUGGAUUAACCAUGAGCAUUUCACAAACAAAUGAGUGUAGCAUGUCAAUUUGGCAUCAUGUUCAAUCAUAACUUCACAAUUUAAAAUCCAGCAACAAACACAUCAUGAAAAUAACAUCAAAAAAUAAUAGACAUCAACUUAAGCAUGUGGAAAAAAAAUUGGAUCAAUUUGGACAUGUCUUCUAUUUUUUAUGAUUUUUAGAAUUUGAAUGAACAAAAUGAAAUAAAAUGAAAAUCAUGUGGAAAAUGAAAUGUGAAUGAAAAAUCAGAAAGUGCAUAGCCAAGUAUUGAACACAUGUAAGCACAGUCAGGGAGAAAAUCAAAUGAAAUUUGAAGAAAUGCAUGGCGAGGUAUCGAACUGAUGUGCGCUAGGAUAAAUGAUAAGGUAACAAUAAAAUUCACAAAAACACACAGGCUAGGAUCGAACCCGUGCGCUAAGGCUCAAAGGCGCCUUCAUCAAAACGCUGCGCAUCAAGGUUGAGAAAUGCUAAACAAUUGAAAAUCCAAAAUGCAACUGGCCAGGAUCGAACCAGCACUCUAAGGCUCAAAGCGCGUUUACUCAAAACGUUGCGUUUUGGAAACGCAAACCCUAGCCAAACGCAGACGGCGGUGGACGGCAGUUUCCACCGUCUUCUCCGACCGUGUACACGGCAGAGCUACAGGAAAUUUUUCCAGAAUUACACGAAACGCACACCAAUCGAAAGAGUUUUCAAUGUAGAUCAUGAAUCUCAUAUUCAUUUCCUCUAAAUCAUCAUGAAUCAAGCAGAUUGAAGGAAAACAUUUUGAACAACCAAACUUUAAAUUAUCAUAUCUUGAUCAAUAUCCAUCCAUUUCAAAAUCUAAUUAUAUCAGCAUCAUCAACACAACAGGAUAUAUCUAAUCAUGGCAAGAAAUUGGAGAAACGUGAUGAUCGAAAUUCAACUCACUUGAAGUGCAGUGAUCAAAAACCGUGUGUUCAAGCCUCCAAAACUUCCAGAUCCACUCCAGUAAUCUUGAUUUGAAGCUUUAUGCACGAAUUAACCGUUGAAUUCACCUAGAUCCAGCUCAUUUUCAAGCUUCCAUUGAAAUGUGAAUGUUCAUGAACCUGCUCAAAUCUUGCUCAAUCGCUACGAAUGAUGGAUGAAUCUUGCUCCAAAUUCCACCAGGAUCAUGAAUAUGCAAAGAGAUUCAAGCUUUGUAUGAAGAAUUUUGAAAUUCAAGGAGAGAGAAAAAAUGGAGGGAAUGUGAAUUUUCAGAUCUAGAAUUGUUGUUAUGGCAAAUGCAGUUAGGUUUUAGUAUUUAUAUGAUGUGUUAAUGAUGCUGUAAUCAAGAUUAGGCUUUGGCUAAUUGAAAAUUAAGGAAAUGUAAGGUGUAAUGCCAAAAAUGCAAGUGUGAGGUAACAUGGUAAAUGUGUACGUGAACAGUGCCAUGCAAGGUGCAAUUUCACUCAAAAUCAACCAAUAAACAUCAUGGAAUGGUUAAAUGGCUUGUAUGAUUCACCAAUUUUGAAUUCUCCAUUUUCCCUCCAAAAUGUACAUGUUUGGACACUUGAUCAUGUGAGCUUCUUUCAUGCAAGGCAAUGAUUUAUUUGGAAUCUCUUGGUCAUAAGGAGCAUUUUACAAAAAGAGUGGACCAAUUUGGAGUUUUGGAUCAAAAGUUAUGGCAUUUUGAAGUUCCAUGCAUACUUUGCAAUCAUUUGUCCAUAACUUCUCAACCAAUUAUCAGAUGGACAUGAUAUAGGACUUUAUGAAAAGAGGAGAGAAAGAUCUUAAACUUUCAUGUUCACCAAAAAUCUAUUUGAAGCUUCUUUGAUGUUGGAAAGUCAAGUUGAAAAUGGACUAAAAACUUGCCAUUUUUGGAAACUUGAAAUUACAGGUCAAUUUCCAUUUUUGGAAACUUUUGCCAUGGCUUCAAAAUCUUCAAGAUAGAUGUUUGAAAUGACAAAUGGACUUCUUUUGAACAUGAUUGAGGUGUCUCAACUCAUUUCCCCACCUCAUAGCCCUCAGUUGACUGCACAGUUAACUUUUUGUGGUCCUCAAAUGACCUUGACAUACCCUGAUCAGCUUGAACCUCCACCUCUUGAGGAAAAUGGCUCAGAAAUGAAACCCUAGCUCAUAUAAGCCCAACAUAAUGAUCAAGUGAUCCUCUUCAUCAGCAAAUACCUCCUUUCUUUGAGAACGGGACCAACUUUCUUACCGUAACUAAUCCCAACUCCAGAGGUCAAAACCCUAAUCCAAAGGAACUUGAGCAUGCACAAUGAAGCCCUGGAUGAUGACAUAACCAUGAUGAUGGUAAUAUAUCCUUGCAAUCAAGACAAUGCUCAAGGCCUUUGAAGGAUCAGGAAACCCUAAUUGAAUUACAAACCCUCAGAUGGUUGAUCAUCAAUCCAUGGAAACCCUCAGGCUUGAAUCAUGUAACAUCUCCCUCUUCUGCAAAGACGUUGGAGGAUGACUUUCUUUUAUUCUCAUAUGAUAUGCAAAAUGAAAUGCCUAAUGUCCUAAAAUAUGAAAUGCAAUGUCUCAAACUAGUCCCAAGAAGAGGAGGGCAAAUUUUGAGGUGUUACAACAGCUAGCACUGAAGCUGAAGGAAUUCGUUCGUGUGGACUGAGUAGAGGCGUUGUCACCAUUCAACGUUCGUGAUCACGCCUUCUAUCCGCAUCAAGGGUUUCAAUCUCCACAAGAGGUAAUGAUUCUAUCACUGAUCAUGCUCAUUCAUAAGGAUCACUAAAGGAGAAAUUUUAAUUUCCGCUGUGUUUUGGAUCGCUAUUCUCCUUCAGUUUCAUCUCUGACUUCAUCUAAAACCUUCUUGCAUCAUCAUGUAUGAUUAUCUAAAAACUUUCUUCAUCUAAUUCUUGUUACAAGUGUGUGUACACAAAGUUGUGUGAGAAUAUUGUGAUAUUCAUUUGUCUUCAUAUUGAUUAUAUGAUUGAUCAUUUGCAACUAGAUGAAUGGAAUUUUAGAAACAUAAAUGUUUCUAACUUCCACAUUCAAGAUGAAUGAUCUUGGACUAUUUGACACACUUUUGGGGAUCAAAGUAAAGAGAAAUAAUAUGGGUUAUCAACUUAGUCAAAAACAUUAUGUUGAGAAACUAUUUGACAAGUUCAAACACUUACAUUUCAAGAAAUUAAGUAUUCCAUUUGAUUCUAGUGUCAAACUUCGAAAGAAUGAUGGAAGAGUUGUGGCUCAAUUGGAAUAUGCAAGUGCAUGCAAUGUACUAGAUUCGACAUAACAUUUGGAAUUAGUAAAAUGAGUAGAUUUUACUAGCAAUCCAAAUUGUGAGCACUAGAAGGCCAUAAGUAGGAUUUUUGGCUAUCCUAUUAAAACAAAAAAAAAAUCUUGGUCUCCAUUAUGGUAGAUUUCUUGUCAUAUUAGAAAGAUAUACAUAUACGAGUUUGAUAUCAAGUGUUGAAUAUCAUAAAUAUGCAUUUAUGUGGAUAUUUACACUAGCCGAGUGUACAAUUUCUUGGAAGAGAAAAAAAAUGGAUCACUCUCUCAACCAUAGAAUCAGAGUUCGAAGCUCUUGCUUUCGCUGGUGAAAAAGAUGAGUGGUUGAGGGACCUUCUGUUGGAAGUUACACUGGCUAAAGAAAUGUUUCAAAGGUUUUGAUACAUUGCGAUAGUCAAGCCACUUUACCUAGAGCAUACAAAAAGUGUAUAACAUAAAGUCUAGGAAAGUAGGACUUAGACAUUCCUUUGUGAGAAAAUUGAUUAAAGAUGGAAUCACUUCACUCACCUAUAUAUGAACGAGUUAUAAUCUGGUUGUUUCAUUUACUAAGCCAUUGGCCAGAGACUUAGUAAAAACAACCUCGAGAGGCAUGAGGUUGAAACUCCUUGAGUAAGAGUUCCAACAACGGUGGUAAUCCAAUCUUACAUUAACAAAACAUUAACCUCAAAAUUCAAUGGGUAAUGUCGCAACCUAAAAAAUAUAGUAUGCGAAAAAACACCCGGCGAGAGAGAAAUGGCAGAAGAGUCGCCACCGUGCGUUAUUUAUCCCAAAGGAGGGAAAGGAAACGCUCGAAGUAAACCUGGGAGAAAGGAAAGGAAAAGACAAGGUCUCGCAACCAAAUCUUGGGUUCGGGAGCCGAUUAUAGGCACAUACGCGUAUGGCAGAAUUGUGAUUUUUCUGUGCUGUGGUUGUGCAGUUUUUGGUUGUUCAGCUGAGUAAUGUAAUUUUAGCUGAUGUAUGAUAUAGUAGGGAUUGUUUCCCGUUCGUUUUGAACAGUGUAGGUAUUAGUAGAGAUAGUGUGCUAAUACUGUGAUUAUUAAUUAGCAUGAUAUGAUAUGAUUCUGUUGAUAAGCAUGCUGAUGAUGUAUGAUGGUAUGCCAUAAUAAUGUGAAUGUAUCUGUUAUGUAUGCCAAUUGUGGAAUGGACUGUUUAUGGCUUAGAGUGUGAGCAUAUGUCUAUUUUGAAUGUUGUUGAUGUUUGCAUGCUAGGUGCAUUUGCAUGUAUAUUAUGACCUUUAUGGUGGUAGCUAAUUCCCAUGGUGAGGAAUUAGUGAGUGAGUAUUGUGCGAUUGUUGUUGAUGUUUGCAUGCUAGGUGAUUAGCGUGCAUAUCCUAGCCCUUGGGUGGUAGCUAAUUCCAUGUGAGGAAUUAGUGAGUGAGUCACUAGGUCUCAAAUGAGUGGGACUAGUGAGCUUGGUAGCCGUAUCUGGAUUGAUCGGUGAGGUUGAACUAUAUGUUCACCGAAUAGUCGGUACCCGGGCAUGCAUGGAGUCUCAUUGCAUAAUAUAUGUAUGGCGUAUAAUAUGAAUGGAUGUAUUCCAAUAUUAUACGUGUGUUUUGUUUGAGUUGAGUAUGAUGAUGAUACUAGUUGAUGUUACCUCAGUUGUUGAAUGUGUGAUAUGAUUAGCGGUGAUGAAAUGUGUUAAUUUACUUAGCAUUACAUGAUAUUUUAUAAUGCUUAUUAUAUCGAUUGAGGAACUCACCUUACAACUAUUUUUCAGGUAACGAGCAGUGAUGAGUAGAACUAGUGCUUGGAGUUAGUGUAGUCUCCUUAGUGGGUCAUGCUCUGAUAGAUGUAACAUCGAGACGGGAUGUUUUACCUUGUUGAAUAAUUUUACAUGUAAUGUGUUACAUGUUUUGCAUGAUUGAUUGGAUUUGUAUCCGUUUGCGUAUUGUGCAAAUGCUUUAUGUUUUGAAUUAAUAAAAGAGCAUGACAGCUAUUAUGGUGAAUGGUGUGAAAUGAUUGUGUGACACCGCUUAAUGCAUAAUUACUCUGAUUGAUAUAUGUUGUUAUUUUAAUUUAAUAUUUGGGGUAUUUUAGAAGGGUUUACACGUGUACUUUAUGCAUGUUUGUUUUGUAUGGUGUGAUCAUCUCCCCAUAGAUUUCUAGGCUUCGUAUAGUCUCUCGUUGCAUGUCCAUUAAGGUAGCACGGUUCCUUCGUCUAGGACUUCCUUUUUGCAUGAGCAUUCCUAAAACACAAACCAACUCAUUGAUUUUUCUUCUCCUAAGAACACGUUAACUCCUUCUACUACAGGCGAGUAAGUCUCCAAAGGUCGAGCAUCCGGUAGAUUGCGUAGUAACGUCGUUCGCCCAACCUUAACCCGUAGUUAGUCGAACUACAAUUUGCUCUGAUUCUCAUUUCAGAUGAGAUACGUAGGCAAUAAGACGCGAUGUCUUAGCGAGCACACUCCUCUUUAACCCAUAGGUAGCCGAGCUACGAAGACUCUGAUUCUCAUAUUCAGAUGAGAUACGUAUGUAGUUGAUGCGACAUCCGUGCGAGUCAUUUCUUUUGACCUCCCUUUGUAAGUAGUACAUUAGAUAUGCACGCACCCUUUAGACAAGAACAACAAAAGUGGAUCCCGUAGAAGUACUACGGAUGCGUAGGGGUGCUAAUACCUUCCUUCCAUNNNNNNNNNNNNNNNNNNNNNNNNNNNNNNNNNNNNNNNNNNNNNNNNNNNNNNNNNNNNNNNNNNNNNNNNNNNNNNNNNNNNNNNNNNNNNNNNNNNNUAACGACUGGGUUCUAGCCAUGCAAGAAGAGCUAGACCAAUUCACAAAGAAUGAAGUAUGGGAUCUUGUUCCUAAACCUAAAGGCACUCACAUUAUCGGAACCAGAUGGGUGUUCAGAAACAAGCUGAAUGAGAAAGGAGAAGUUGACAGAAACAAAGCUCGGCUGGUGGCUCAAGGUUACAGUCAACAAGAAGGCAUUGACUACAAUGAAACCUUUCCCCUAGUCGCCAGAAUUCUCUGAGCUAAUGCAGGCAGAAUUCAAAAUGAGCUUAAUGCAAGAACUAAAGUUCUUUCUAGGAAUUCAGAUCAAUCAAGCUUCAGAAGUCACCUACGUUCAUCAAAGUAAAUACAUAAAAGACAUUCUGAAGAAAUUUGAAAUGGUGGAAUGCAAACCUGCUAAGACACCCAUGCAUCCAACCUGCAUUCUGGAAAAAGAAGAAGUCAGUCAAAAGGUUUGUCAGAAGCUCUAUCGUGGUAUGAUAGACUCUCUUCUCUAUCUGACUGCUACACGUCCUGAUAUUCUAUUUAGUGUUUGUCUUUGUGCCAGAUUCCAAUCAGAUCCUAGAGAAUCUCAUUUAACAGUCGUUAAGAGAAUACUCAGAUAUCUGAAAGGAACUCCUAACCUGGGCCUGAUGUAUGAGAAAACAUCAUAGUAUAAACUAUCUGGUUUUUAUGAUGUAGAUUACGCAGGAGACAGAAUGGAACGAAAAAGUACAUUUGGAAAUUGUCAACUCUUGGGAAAGAACCUAAUAUCCUGGGCCAGCAAAAGACAAUCAACCAUAGCCUUGUCUACUGCAGAAGCGAAAUACAUUUCAGCAUCACUAUGCACUACCCAGAUGCUCUGGAUGAAGAAUCAACUAGAGGAUCUUCAAAUCUUCGAGAGUAACAUUCCUAUCUUCUGUGACAAUACUGCUGCCAUUUGUUUAAGCAAGAAUCCUAUUUUGCACUCCAGAGCUAAGCACAUAGAAAUAAAAACAUCAUUUCAUUAGAGACUAUGUUCAGAAAGGGGUAGUAAUGUUAAAAUUCAUUGAUACAGACCAUCAAUGGGCUGAAAUCUUUACUAAACCCCUUGCUGAAGAUAGAUUCUUCUUCAUCUUAAAGAAUCUGAACAUUCAAAAUUGUUCUGAAUAAAAUGUGCCUCUGAGUUAGCAAAAUAAGAUUCUGAUGUAAACAAAGUGGAUUCUGCAUCUGACUCUGAUACUCCUACCAGUUAGAAGUCAUCUGAGUUAGAAAUCUCCAGGAACAAACCCUUUGGUAUUCCUGAAGAUCAGAUAAAACAAACACGUGGAGCACCUUGUGUCUGACCUUGGAACUUCUAGACAGCUGUCUAGCAGUAAUCAAGAAACAGUCUCUUGAGAUCUCCUCGAGCAGUGUACUGACUAUUGGGAUUAGACAUCAUUUAUGAGCUGUAAUCAUUCUCCGUUUAACGUGCAUACUUGGUUUUUGUGCUAAACUCAUGUUUUGUGUGUCGUUUUGCAUGCGCCCUAAUUUGGGUAUUUAAACUCCUCUCUUCACACAUUGCACACUUUUCACUCUCACAAACACGCUUAACCUUCUUGCAAGUUCUUUUCUCCCUCAAGGCAUUCUUGCAGCGUGCAUUCAAGUUUUUCAACGUUCAACUCAGUUCUUCAUCAAUCUUCAUGGAUUCUCAACAACAAUCAGUGUAUAACUUCUCUCAACAGAUGGACUCAAAUGAGCAAGCUCCAAGUUCAAGCACUCCAAACUCAGCUGUUACCGGUGUCGUCUCCACUCUCAUCUAUAAAGAACCUCACAUUCUUGAUCGUGAGCCUCAUAUCCACCUUGCAACACCUUUUGAGAAACUGGAAGUUUUGUGUGAAUCACUGGUGGAUUUUGAAAACAUGCGAAGGAAUGGUGUUGACCUCACUGAAGAACUGAAGAAUCAAGGUUGGGGAAACUACUUCCAACGUCUCUAUGGUCCAGUUUACACAAACCUGGUUAAGGAAUUCUGGAGAUUUGCUGACGCUGACGAUCACUACAUCGUCUCCUAUGUUCUGGGAGUUAAGAUGAUGAUUACUGAGAAGUCCAUUGCUGCCCUUCUGGGCAUGGAGAAAGCUGGAGGAAGAAGAAUUUAUAACAUUAAUCCUAGGGCAAAGUAUCUGUCCCAUGAGAUUAAUCCAAUGAUCUUCCAACAGAACGCUGAAGGCAAACACUCCAAGAACAAGGAACUACAUCAGAACCUCCGGGUCUGGCUGAAGAUCAUUUUGGGCACCAUCCAUCAUCGCCCAGCUUCAAACUCCUCAGACUACAUCAACACAAACCAGAAGUGCAUUCUGUACUGCAUCCACAAGGGUCUGAAGCUCUGCCUUCCGGCACUCCUCUUCAAGUAUCUCAGAGACUCUGUAAGAGAUACCAGAAACAACAUGAAGCCCAGAAACUACAUUCCUUUGGGUAGACUCAUCUCUGACAUUCUGAUUGAAAGCGGUCUCGUGGAUCAUCUGAUUCAAUUCAGACUCAUGGAAGACGUGAUGAUUGACACUGGAAGAGCUCUGAACGCCCGCAAUCUGAAGAGCAUGGGGAUUCUGAAUCAAGUAAGGUCAAACCUACUCUGGACACCUCCUGGGAUGCUCUUAAAGAUCAGAGAAAGAUUCCAAAUGAACUCUAUCUAUUCUCAAAGAUCGACCCUCCAGAGGUAGUCAUGUAUUACUUAGAUGAUCUGCGAAAACAAGGAGUAGAGUUCUCAGACUUCAACUUAGACUGGCUGCCAGAAUGUCCUCCAGACUUCAUGAAGCGACCACGAGGACCAUAUGAGAAGGCAAAACAGGAGAAGAAAGCAAAACUGGGAGAAUCCUCUGGAUCAAGACCUCCAGUACCUCUGACUGGAUCCUCUGGUAAGUCUAUUUCUCUCCCUCCUUCUGUACAAGUUAAGCCUAUUACUUCCUCUGUCCCUCAACCAACACCCAUAUACACUAACUCAGAAACUCCUCCCUCAACCACCAGACCAUCUAACCAACCCUCUCAAAAAUUUAACCUAGCCACCACCUCUCUACCCAUUUCGGAAGCAGAAAUGCUAAACGAAACAACCUCACCCUCUUCAUCUUCCUCUCCAGAAUCACCACCCUACUAUAACCUUUCCUCAGAUGCUGAACCAUCUGACCCUCACUCCCCAACUCUGGCUCAGCUCCAAACACGUGUUUUGGCCUCUCAACAGCCAACACAAUCCAUUCCUGAACCAGAAGUCACUUCAUCACCCAUAGAAGACCCAAACACAACCACAUAUGACCCUCCACCAUCUGAAACAAUUCACGCUGAAACACAACCACCCAGCUUUGACAUACCCCCACCAAAUACAUCCGCUGAACCACAAACUCCCACACUCAACCUAAGCCCUCCCACUUCUCCACCCCUGACCUCUGAACUUGGAAACACCCUUCCAACCCUUGAGGAAGCAAUAAUGGUGUUUGUAGAAGCUUCAGUUGACAAGGUCAAGUCUCUAACCAUCAACUCUGGCAUCAGUGAUGAUCCUUUCGCUGUAAGGACUCACUGGAACAGAGUGAUUAGUUGGAUGACCUUUGAAGCCUUUAAGCUGAAGGGCCUCUCUGAGCAAGUCCACAACAACUUCAUCAGAGACGCUGAGAUCAGACUUCAGGAGCGCCUAGCCAGAGAAGCUGAGGAGCGAGCACGCAAAGAAGCAGAAGAGAAAUCCAAGCAAGAAGAACUACAAAGGAUCAAGGAAGCUGAAGCCAAAGCUCUAGCUGAUGCCGCUGCUGCCGCUGAAGCUGAAGCACAAGCCAAAGUUGUCGCUGAAGCACUGUAGCACCUCAAAUUUGCACCUAUCAUUGUGCAUAUCAUUUCAUAUUAAGUCAUAGCAUAUCAUAAUCCAUUGCAUAGCAUUUGCAUUGUCCCCAGUUGCCUCAAGUGCAAGCAAGCAGAAAUUAGGUCAAACUGAUCAGGAGAUCAGUCAACCAAAUCAAGCAAAGUUGUUUCUCAAGGAAUCAAAAGCCCUAGGGUUUGUCCAACAAGUUCACAUGCCUUGGGGCCUUUUUUGAAGUGUUCAAGUCAAGGGUUGAAGGCUCAGAGGUCAACCAGUCAAUGCACAGGCAGGCAGAAAACCCUAAAACAGCCGACAGUCAGUCAAGCAUGGAUGGUGGGCCAUUCUUGUGGAAUUUGGGCACCAUGGUCAAUAAUCAAGAGUUCAUAUAUCUUGGGACAUCAUUUGAAAGUCAAGUCCUCAAGGAAUUAGGGUUUGGAAUUCAUCAGAAGUGCACAGUCAGUCCAAAACCCUAGAAAGUCAAAGUUGGUCAACUGUGGUUGAUUCUUUGGUUCUGAUGGAUGGAAAUGGUUUGAAGGAGCUUAUUCAUGUCUAAUAGACCUUAUAUGUCAUGGCAAUCAACAUCAUGGAAGAAUUUGAAGCAAAUCAGAAAAAAUUCCCAAAAUAAGAAACUGGACCUGUAAUUUCAACUGUCAAAAUAGAAACUUCUUGAUCCUCAACAACUGCAUCAUGAUACAAGCUCCAAAUGAAUUUUUGCCCAACAUGAAAGUUGAAGAUCUUGUUCUCCGGCCAUUUUUCAAAAAGUCCAAGAACUCUCAAAUCCCGUGGGUGUGGUUGUCAAGAUAUGAAUCCAAUCAUUUUCAACAAAAUUUUGAACUUCCAACUGAGCAUAUCUCUCAACCAUAAGGCCAAAUUUUGGUGGGGUUUUUUUCCUACAACCACAUUUUUUCAUCCUCUUUUCCAAAAAUAUAAACUUCAUGACCUAAACCUUGCAAUCAAAAUGGCAUUUUUGGACCUUUUUCACUUAAAUUCAAAGUUUGACUCCAAGUUUGACUUUUUGCUUCUUUGACUUUUUCUUAAUUUGGCCAAUUGGGGAAAUGUUUAGAAUCACAUUUGAAACAUGUUCCAAUUCCAAACCAUCCAAUCAUACCACUAUUUUACCACAUUUUUGACCAUAGUUGCAUAAGUUGUCAUUUCGUGCAAUUGGCUUCAAAGAGUAAAAAAUCAAGGUUAGCAUUUCACAAAAGUACAUACAAAACAGCAAAUCAAAUGUCCUUUUUCUGCUCAUUCCAAGGCCCAUUGACCAGCUUGCUACACCCUCCCAAUUUCCACAUUCUUCCACUUAGCAAAAAUGCAAUUGUCCUCUCAUUAAGCUAAUCAAGCUUACCAUUCCUAAAGCCAACUCAAAACAAGCACAAAUAUUUAAGCUCCAUUCUGUCAAUUGCAACCCUUAAUUUUGACAGCCACCAAACAGAAAAUACACUCUCACUCUCAAUCUUGCAUUUUUUGCAAAAGCACAAUUUCUGCGAAACCCUUGAAGAAACUCCGAGCAGGCCUUGGUUCAUCCACAAUCCAAAACCUUUUGAAGCUUUUGGAACCAACCAUUUCUCAACUGGAACUUCAUCUUGCAGAACUGUGUUUCUCUCCAAGCAUCUCAAAUGGCAAUUCGAAUUGUGGAAGUUUCCAAGGCAAGUUUGAGCAAACAACCUCAAGACUUUCAUCAUUGCAAGGCAUUGUGAGCAUCUGUAUAGGGCUGCAACACCAAAACAACACUGUAUCACUCAAAUUUUCUUCAAAUCAGGUAGGAUUUUCGACCAACCCCUUUCUCAAAAUGAUGAACAUGCUUAUGAUAGUUUACUUCAUACUGAUGCCAAUGAAACUUUAAAUCAUUCAAAAUGCCAUCGCACUGUGUUGAGAGAAAUAGGGUUUUGAAGUUCUAUGCUCAACUCAUUUGUGUGGAUUUCUUUGCUAUGUGCUCGACGUUAAUGAUGAUUAAUGCCAUAUCCUUGUUGUUUGAUGCUUAAACUGAUGCUGUUACCCAUAGCUAAUUUUAGGAUUUGGACACUUUGAUUUCUGCUCGUGUUUAGGUGGUACCCUGUUCAUAAAACCCCUGCCCAGUUUUUCUUAUGAUUAAGUGUUUUUUGUUGUUGUUUGAGUUUAGGUGAUGAUAGUAGAUGCAUGAACCUUGUUGUUAACCAUGCUAAAUGAUUUCGUGUUGAUGUUGGAUAUCAUGUUGAACACCAUGCUGCUUGCUUGCUAUUGUUCUUGAUGAUUACAUGAUGAUGAUGACAUGCCCUUGCUGCUGUUUUGAAUGUGCCUAGGAAAAUCCAUAUGUUCUGUGUUGUUAUGAUGUUGUUUGCUUGCCAAAUGCUAUGCUGUUGGAUGGUUUGAUGUUUGAAUUCGUUUUGGAUCGUGAUUGAAUAUGCAUGAAGAGCAUGAACACAUGCUGUUAUAAACCUAGAAGCUUGCCCAGAAUUUUGCAUGAAUGUGUAAUGGUUGAUUGUUGUUGGGAUGUGCAUGAACAUUGUCGUGUUUAUUGCCCUGCUGUUCACUGUGUUGGAAUUUUGAUUGCAUGAAGUUACAUGAUGAGCCAUUGCUGUUGUUAAAACCCCUAGGGUUUUAAACUCAGAGCUUUGAAGCUCAUUGGCCACGUUACUGUUUCUAUUUGGCUGGGAAGCCAAUCAGAACAUUUUUAUUUGCCUUGCCAAAGCUGUGUCCGUUUUAGUUAGUGAUGCUGAAGAUUACCAAAUUGCCAUCCGCUGACUUAUUGUUGACCCAAUUGCCAAUACAAUUUUGUUUCAUGUUUGCAUCCAUAAUUUCAUCCAACUUCCACAAUUUAUUUCUUCUUUCACAUUUCAUCCAACAAAUCCUUGAAAUUUUUUUCCUCAUAUUCAUGAAUGUGUCCUUUAUUUAAUCAUGAUUUUUAAAUUAAUUUUUCCAUUGGCUGGAUUUUUAAUGAUAAUUAUUUUUUUUGACAUGUGAUGCCAAAAUGAUACUCUUUGCCAUUUCAAUUGUGAAAUUGUCAUGUUGUAUCCAAUGAGCUUUGAAAUUUUUUUGUGGUAAAACUAGACACAUUGACCUUCAUUUCCAUAUAAAGUUUGUGCAUUUAUCAUUUGUGGAUUGAGAGUUUAUGAUUUUUUUGAAGUCAUGUGUUGCAUUUGGUGUCAAUACCAUGAUCAUGCCAUUUUCCCUAAUUUGUUCACGCUGCUUCCUUGCAUCCAAUUGAACCCCAUUUUUUGCAUGAAUGAUCCUUUGUAUGUCUAUUUCAUGUAAUGAAUUUUCUUGGAAUUAAUCUUGCUGUUUUCCAUUUGAUUGUGAAUUUUCUUCCAUGCUUGGUCAUUUGUUGACUUUUUUGUGCUAUACCUUGCCAAAAAUCUUUUGUGAAAUUCCUCAUAUCUUAUUGUAUGUCCAUGAAAUUUCAUAUGUGAUAACUAAGACAUCCUCAAGCCUUGCAUUGGUGUUAAUCUCAUUCAUUUCCUCUUCUGUUUUUCAAAUUGAUAUGAUUUUUGAAGUUGACCUAUGCUUGUUGACUUUUACCAUGCUUACUUGAAUUUGGUUUGACUUCAUGAUUUUACUUUGACUGCCUUCCUCUCAUCCAAAUGCCAUGAAAUUUUUACAUGUAAUACCAUGUUAGAUGGCUAGGAUUGAGUGUGAUUUAUUUUCAUGAUUUUUGAAAAUGGUUUGAGUUGACUUUUGAUGCAAGUCUUUUCUGUUGACUUUUUGUAUGCUCCCUUUUUGCCUUACCUUUGACUUCAAAUGUUUCAUGAAAUGAAUAAUGAUGCAUGAUUUUGAAUGUGGGCCCAUUGUGAUAGCUUCUCAAAUGUUUUGACUUUGGUUUUGUGGGUUGACUUUUCCUUGCUGCUUUGACUUUUUUUCUUCCAUCCUUGACCCUAGGCUAAGUCCUAGUGGUCUCUGUGCUUACUAUUGAGUUCCUGUUUCAGGUUGAGCACCAUUGCCAUUGAGAUCAUACAAAUGGUGAUUGGUUGAUUACAUAUCAUGUACUAACCUUUGUUUUGUAGGCUUGACGCCAUGUGCCUGAGUCUUAUGCUUUGCUCAGUUGAUCCCCUGUGUUGACUGUUUGCCAAUUUCUUUUUGAUUUAAACUUUUGAAUCUGUUUGCUGAUGUGUUUGACUUUUUCAGGUAACUUUAGUUGCUUGCUUGCUUUUUAGAAUUGCUUUGAGGUAUAAUCUCUUUUUACUACAAUGUAGUCUGGAGACCCGGUUCUGUUAUUUGACCGGCAAAACUGUCUGAAGUCCUCCUUAAGAGGCAAUGCUUGUGUAUGUUUACUUUGUCCCGUACAGAGUCAAGACCUCCUAAGUGAAGGGCAAUUGGUGGAAGGUAAGGGAUAUGCAGUCUAUCCCCCACUACUCAGGUGUCUUCUGUCUUGCUCACACCACUGUGUUGAUGCAUUUCAGAUAAAAACCCAAGAUCUUGUGCAAUUGCACAGUUGAGUCAGUUUUAAAUGUGUAGAAGGGUUUUCCCACUUUCUGAACCCACACAUUCUUGUCAAAUGCUCUCCCGGGCCAGGGAUGAAGCAAUGAGGCACACCCCUCAUCUCCCUUUCAUCUGUUUCAACCUUAGCCUCUCAGGCAAGGUUAAGAGCACACUUACCCAAUUCCAGUUGGCCCUAGUGCCUAACCUUUGAUGUUUGACCCCCUUGUUGGUUGUGUUUAUUUUUUUUAUGCUGUAUGUGUUUGUGAUUGCUUUGUUUGCCUCUUUUAGUUUUAGUUUUUGCUUGCCCUUGUGCAAUAGGUUUGUACUUAUAGAUGUGCUUCCGUGGCAAGUCCAAGUCUGUGGUGGCUUAAACCCUUGUGGUUGAGCCAUACUUAGAACUGUUCGGCGAACUACGGCAACUCUGAUUCUCAUGUUCAGGUGAGAUACGUAGGCACGAGACGCGAUGUCUUGACGGAGUUUUUGACUUAACCACUAAACAUCUAAUUCUCUUCUUCUCACCCCUGUUGUGAUUGAGAUAUCCCUUUCUCUUGCCCUAUGUUGCAAUCGAGACUUUUUUUGUUUUUUUCCUGUGUCUGUUCAGGAUAGGUUGGCCCUUGUGCCAUUUAGCUAGAAACCCUUAACUUAGGUUUGACUUUUGCAUGACACACAUCUAGGCUCGAGUCGUAGUCUCCCUAGAGUUUGUGUCUCCCUCUGUUAUCUGGUUUAGGCUAAUCCUUGUUCCCUGCGUAGGGGAACUACAUCGCCCUGAUCUUCAACCAGAUGAAGUAUGUAGGCAGGAGAUUGAGCUGAUCUCUCCGGGCGCCCUUUUCCUUUUUAACCCCUUUGUGUCUUAACCACCCUUGUGGUGUUGUUCUGGUUGGAGUCCGACAUAAGUCCAGGCGAUUGGCAGUUGGUUCCUGUUGUGCGUUUAGGUUCGAUGCCGAUGUAUAAUCCAGUGAUAUGGCAGGUAUCGGGCUCCAACGUUUGCCUUUGCGUUUGUUUUGUUUUGUUUGGUGGGUGCGUGUCCAGCCGAGCUUCCGAAUGCCUGAUUCCUUCCCUCUCGUUCCGAGGACGACUAACGUAAUGCGCUAGGAUGCGAUAUCCCUAGCGAGCUGUGUCGUCUCCCCCAGUCCCCGAACUACUUUCGACUUCUGAUGUUUAUGCCCUGAUAGACUAAGUAGGCCCUUCAGGGAUACGAUGUCCUGCCUGAGUCACGUUUUCAGUCAGUCCCUGUGUUUCUUUCUCAGUUCCAGUUGUUGUGAGUUUGAGUUCAUCCGUGUUUUAUUUUAUGCAAUAUCUCAUAUGUCUUUUCCUUCUCUUUUUCGUGCGUGGAUCCGUAGAGUACUACGGAUGCGUAGGGUGCCUAAUACCUUCCCUUCGCAUUAACCGACUCCCAACCCAUCCUCUUUGGUCGCGAAAAUUAAAAGAAAAGACAUGUUUUUUCCUAGGUUUACUUUCGACGGUUAUUCCUUUCCCUCUUUUGGGAUAAUAACGCACGGUGGGCGCUCCUGUUGUUUCUUUCUUUCUUUUCCCGCUGGUUUUUUCCGCCGCGAUGCGACCAGCCUUGCCGACUCUGCUGGGGAUCGUAAGAGAAGUUGACCUAAUGGCUGGUCCAUCUUUCCCCUGAGCGAGUCCCUCUCCUAGCGCUCUCCUAGGAUUAGGUUUUUGGUUGCUUUCCCUGCUUUGUUGGGUAAAUUUUUCAUUGCAUUCAUUGUAAUAUAUGUACAACUUAAUUGUUUGCCAUUGGAUUGUGUUGCAAUUGAUUGUUUUGCACUUAUUCAUUUUUCAUUCCGCCUUGGCUGGUUGUCUGUUUUCCCUCUGUGAAGAUGAGUUCCUAUACCCCCGAACUCGAGUGCAACUCUAGGAUCAUGGAGAAUGGCAAAAUAGUCUUGUUGACUGGUGGUGGGAGUAGUCCUAGCCAGUUGACCUUGCGAGUCCAUUCACGUUGGUGUGAGGUCCAAUGUUGAAUAAUAAAUGUCACCACCAAGUUAUUUGUCGGUUUUUAAGGCCAUUAUUCUUUUCAAUCAUUGUUCCGCAGAAGCCAAAGGACCUUAGUUUAACCAAACCAUCUUGGCUAUUUUUUAGGAAACGUAGUGCGGAGGUCGUUUCAGAUGUCAGUUUUCUGAUGCGAUGUGUCAACGCGAUAACUACACUCAUAAAGAGUUUCUUCCUUGAGAAUAUUCUUUUGGAAUACGAGUAUCGUUCCUCCGAUAAAUUUCCGAAAGAUGACAACGAUGAUUAUGGGAACCUCUGAUAGAACAUGUCUGGCAGGUUUUUAACCCUAGUACAACUCCUUUUGGGCGUUAUUCUUAACCCGAGUACUCCAAUGCUCGUGACUCUCAACAAAACCUUUGAUUUUCGUGUUUGAGUCGUUCAAUAACACUCCGUUAUCAUCAAAAUGGUCCCGGGAUCGGCGUUGCAAAACCUAAAAUCCACCAAAACGCGGCUGGUUUGAUAUUAGGGAUGGUUUGAACCGGUUCAUGGUAACCGUUAAUAUCAAUGGAACCUUGGGUGUCGAUAAGGUGGAAGCCUAAAUCCACCAAAAUGGAUGAUUGAUAUUAGGGAUACAAUAGAGCUUUCCCACGACCUUUGUUUGGCGUGCCUUUGCUUGACCCUUGAGUAUGUUUGUUGCAUCCAUGCCAUCCCAUACAUUCUCUGCAAUCCAUAUCAUUAGAAAAAGAAAAUUGUUCAAGGAACUCAAAGGAGUUUUAUUUGCCAAAAAAUUUCAAAAAACAUGAAAAAUACCGGGAAAAUUUUUUCACCUCAUAUAAUCUGAUAAGAUAAUUCCUCAUGUUUGAUCAAAAUGCUUAAAUAUUUUCCAAGUUUGCAAAUACACCCUCGAGUUCCUUUGAAAUAAAUUACAAGCAAUAUGCACAAACACUUCAUGCAUCAUUUGCAUCAGGCAGGUGUUUUUUGUUUCCGGUCUCCCGUCCUGGUGGUCUGACCCUGCGAUCUUCAUUUAUUUUGAAGACGCAAAUUUUUGAGCCGGUGUUAUACAGAGCCAUCUUCUACCAGAUUGAGGGAUCAUCCUGAGCAAGAGAUUGUGAACUCCCCGGAGAGAUAUUUGGCCAAGACUUUGUACAUGUUGAUGGAUUUUUAUUCCUGGUUAAACGAUCCCGGGCUGGCAAAUUGGCUACUGUUUUCCUGGGGCAUGCAAUGAGCAAGGUCCCUGUUCAAGAGUGGACGGAUCUCCUCCAUGACGAUCAACUCGAAGAAGAGGAUGCUGGCUAUUUUGGAAGAGGGACGCAGAGGACUUGAAACAAUUUCAUUCAUUCCCUGGUGUGUCUGCCACAAUUGGGUCACUGUGGGCUUUCCCUACAGUUGUUUUUUUUAAAGUCAGGUAACAAUCACUUUGUUUAAAAAACCCUAUUCCCCAUGCCAAAAGGAGAAGUGAAUGCAUUUGUUUUUGGCAACAUUUUGUGCAAUGAUUUGUCAAUUCACAUAAAUUCAUGUUAAACAUUUGUUUUUCCAAUUGUUUUCCCCUUUUUCCGCUUUUUUGCAAUGAAAUUGGUGAUCACAAAAACCUUAAAAAACAAGAAUAAAAGCAAUCCUUUUUCAUCUGCAUUAACGAUUGUCCUUCGUUUUGAUUUUUUUUCCAAAGAGCUUUUUCAUCUCCUACAUCUUUAUGCAGGUUGUUUCUCAAACGCCAUAUGAACAUAAUGCAAAUCGGGACGUCAUCCUCCCAAUUUUUUGAAUUCCCCUGUAUUCGAAAGCGGAAGAAGAUGGGAUGGUUGAAGGGAUUCCUGACGAGAUUUCCCGACUUUCUUGAGCAAGAAAAGAAGAUCAACUCCAGCUUGCAUCUUCGAGAAUCAAGCAGAACAGCCCAACUGGGGGCAUUUAAUCAACAAAAGAAAGAGAAGAAAAAGAAAAAGAAAGAGGAAGGGUGCAAAAUCAAACAGAUACCAAAAAAGAAAUCAAUCACAAUCAAAAAAAAAAGAAAUCAAAAGAAAAAAAAAACAAAAAGAAAAUAGCAACCCUCAAAGUGCCCCAGUUGGCUGAAUGCCUAGAAUUUCGGAUGUCGACAAACAAAAGAGAUCAUCUGCAUGUGUCCCAUGGGUCAGUCAUAUCCAGCAGCGAGGUAAAAAAGCUUCGACAAGAAGAUCCAAGCCUCGUGUGUUCCCAGGAACCAUUGUGCUUCAGAAAGUCCUUUGUCUUUCGUGCCCAAUUCCAGGGGCAAGUGAACUCCCAAGCUAAGAAACGUCAUUACGUUUUUCAAAGAAGCCUCUUCAGGCAGUGGUUCCUGAACACUUACAACAACUGGAUGAGCAGACCGUUCACUCGUCCUGUUGAAAUCCCCAGAUGCAGUCAAGAAAUACUUCGCCUAAAACAAAAAUCAAAAGCUCGCUAAGUCCGAACACCCAAAGGGCGACUUAGGCAAAAAAGAGCGUCCGUCGGUGGGAUUGAAAACCCGAAAAGGCGAUCAGGCAAAAGUUAGAGACAUUGUGGAAAAAAAAAAAAGAAGAAUUUGUAUCCCCCGCUAGAUUGAACACCUCAUACUGGGCGCAAUCUGGGCAAAAAUAGGGAUUUGGCAACGUAACUGCAUCUUGACAAGACUGUGCUGUACAUCUGUCAUCCACGUCAAGGAUUUCUCGAUUCCGUCCGUCGACUGAAGCUCCGAAAUACAUCGAAAAUUCGGAAUGGUUAGAGGAAAGGGUAUUAUGUUCAAUGAAGCCCUCCUCCAAUAUACUCACCGAUUUCAACUUGUAACAGAUUAGUGGAGUCUCGCCUUUCUUGCAAGACUACCAUUCCAAUCACAUCAAUUUUCGAGCUUUUAUCCAAUUAUUUGCACUCUUAUUUGUUUUAAACUCAACAGAUGUUUUUGCAUCGUUUUAAAUUGAUAAAAGUAAUCAUUGUUUUUCAAAUAACAAAUUUUUUUUUAAAAAAAAUUGUUCCCUUAAACAAAGUGAACAGUCCACGAUGGAUGGAAGGAUACUUAGGAGACCCCAACAGUGCUCCUCCCGGGGGGUGGUAUGAUUACCGAACAAGGCUAAGAAAUUUGUUUUCGUAUCUCGAGCAUGACGUAUCCUUUGUCCCUGCAGAACCUGCGUAUGGCUCCUCCUUCCUCAGUGGAAGUUUUGCCCCGAUGCAGUGGUUUGUUUUGAAGUUUUUGUUUCCAUGCUUUCAUGUUCCCCGGCCGUAAACAGAUUCCUUCUCCAAAUCCUUGUUAGCUCUAUUAGUUGGGGCAUCCUCCCUAGUAAGAGUGCUGUUUGAGCCCGUACCGUGGGGCAAUCCCCAAUCAAAUUUUGCUUUGUUUCCCGGACAUUAAUUGUGGGGCAGUUUCCCCCCAUAGCAGAGCGUUUAAACUGAAGAACUUCAACUUUGGCCUCUCCAGCAGGCCCAGUUCUUCCCUCUUCCACCAGCAUGGGUGCUUUAUUCUUUGAAGAUUCGGUAAUUUGGUGGAUUGACAUCCCAGUGCCCUUUCCAUCAUGCCCUCAGAUAGAUCCCGAGUGGGAGUUUGUUUGCAUAAGGAGCUUUUGUCAAUUUUGCCUUUGUAUCCUCCACUCCAGAGAUCUGGUUUGCUUUCUUGGUAUCCCCUGAUUUUCCAGCACAAGUUUUGUGGCGGUACGCCCCUGUAUGUUUUGAACUCUGUUCUCCGGUUGAACACAGACGACCCCUCCGGCAAGACCUCUUGGUGGGCCUUCCUCCCCGGCAGGAUGAAUGAAUUGUUCCCUAUUAUCCUGGUUCCCCCAGUGGAUUUUCCUUUCUUUGCUCUCAUGAUGGGCUUUUUGGUUUUUUCUCUCCGGAACGGCUGAUUCCCGGACUGUGUGCCGAGCCAUGUCCCUGUGAUUGUCAACAUUCAUCAUUACAUUCAUCAUGAAAUAAUGCAUACAUGCAUAAUCAUAAGCAAUUUGGAUUACUCCAUGUUGGCAGCUGUUGCGUGUAAAUCUGUUUGAUUGGUUUGUCUCUCCCCUGCUUUUUGGUAAAUACAAAUUUCUCCCAGUAGAGUUUUCCCUAAGCAAAUAUGGGUGAUGUCUGAUCUCUCCAUGUAGAGCCAACCCUUUAAGCAGAAGUGGUCAUCUUUUUCCCUGCCAUUUCCCCACUGAGAUUACAUACUCGUGGAUGACGGUUGCUCAUAACCGUUCCCCACAUAUCAUGGGAUAGAGGUAUUUUCCCUAUAUGGUUUAUUUCCUCCAUUAGGAUGAGUUAGAUUAUAUAGUUGCUAAUUUAUAAUUGGGACAUCGACUAAACGGCUCCCCCCGUGACUGUCUCUAUAGUGAUUCGCGCUGGGAGAUAAAUGAAUAGUUUGCUCACUACGAGCAUAUCAUAUAUUCAUUUUAUCCCUCAGCGAAUUUGUUGGCCUCUACCUACAAACCGGUAAGUUUGUAAGUCCUAUCUUUUGGUGGUUUUUCUAUCUCAUCACCAACAUCAGCUGGUAGUUUUUUGUAAAAUUCCCACUUCCUCCCCUUGUUGGAGUUUACCCUUCUGUGCUCCUCCGAUGAUGACUGGGGUUACUUUUUUCCGCGGUUUUCAUCGCUACAACAAAACCCCCGUUUAGAUGUAAUCCCCGUCUUUUUGUGGUACCAAUCUACACUCAGCGAUCAUUGGCUCUCUUGCAGAUAUUCGCACCAUACUACGCCUAAAGCAAGUAUUGGUCCCCCCGAUUGGGUCCCCCUUCACCUUCCUUUUUUUUGGAGAUAACUUUAGCAUCCGAAGAUAACUUCUAUCUACUUUUCGGAUUAGGUCCCAUCUUUUGCAUACCUAAUGUCCCUUGGUAUACCUUUCCAGAUGCCCAAUUAUAUAUAUCGGUCCGUGAUUUCAUAAACAACUAAACAACCCGGUUAAUGGAAACUUUCCAAUGCGAGUUUUAUUAUCUACGUUCCGACGGUCUUAAUAGAUAAUAUAUCUCCCUGCACUCUUUGGUUGCAAUCCUCCUCGAUUGUUUAUCAACAGCAGAGUAAGAUUCGUAAUUUCCCUCCCUGUGGAAUCGGAAUGUUUCAUCCUUUAAACAAAGUUUGCCUUUGCUCUCUUCCAGAGAAUGUUUUCGGUCGUUUAUCCAUUUUAAACAACCUACAACCCGGUUAUCGGAUAAUCCUUCCAUGCGAGGUUAUUAUCUACGUUCUGACGGCUAUAGAUAAUAUGUCUCAUGCGCUCUUGGGUCGAAGUCGUCCUCCCCAGCCGAGUAAGAUUCGUAUUUCUGGUGAAAUCGAAUGCCCAUCCUUUAACAAGACUGCUUUUCUAGCCCUCUGCAGGAUGUUGAGUGUUUUGGAACACAAACCAAUUCACGCUUUGGCACUCAGGCCAAUCUUCCGGUAUUCAGACCGAAGAAGUUUCCGACGAUCAGGUCGAUGUACUUAUGGCAUUCAAACCAAUUCACGCUUUGGUCGGUCACCCGUUUCAUACCUACAACCCGGUAUCCCUGGUGUUUCUUCCUGUUUGCUCGCUGUCAUGACCCUGAUCCCCGAGUAGAGCGGGUUUCAUGAAAUAUUUCUCCAGCAGAGUUCAUCCCACCAGUGGAUUGGACAGGUUUCAGUAACAGGUCGAUACCUGCAUCCCCAGCUGAGUUGAUUCUACUCGUGAACUGUGUGGGUCGUCCCCGGCAGAGUAGCGGUUAUUCCCCAUAGCGGAGUUUAUUCUAUCUGAGGUUUGUGUGGGUCUCAUCCCCAGAGAGUUGCCUGUUUUAGCUUCCCCAGCGGAGCUUCUCAUUUCCCAAGCGGAAUUUUUGCGGAUUGAUUGGGUAGUCCCCAGCAGGUUUCCCUCUGUUUACCCCUAGCAGAGUUGGGUCAUUUCUCCCCAACAGAGUUGCUUUAUUGCUCCCCAGCGAGCUGCCUUAUCUUCCCCUAGGGGAAUGGUAUUGUUGGUUCCCCAGCAGCUGUAUUGUUUCCCCCAGCGGAUUUAUCCUGAAGAUUCCUCAGCACAGUCGACCUGUGUAUAUCUCCCCGCAGAGUUCUUAUCAUUUUUGCAUUGCAUAUAGUAAAUCAUUGCAUCCUCAAACUGCGUAGCAUUUCCAUCCCAUAUGGAGCAUUACGCCAUAGAAAAAUUCAAACAUAUGCAUUCAUGUGUUCGAAACCACAUCAGACUGUAUCCCUGGCAGAGGCAGAUCAUCUUGUUCAACAUCAACACAGCAAAUCAGUUACAGUUGCUUCGACAGCAUUCAGAUUUGUUUAUCCCCACAGAGGUUUAUUUCCUCACCCGAUGGUGACAGAAAUUUGUUUCUCCCCAGUGAGACCCCCGCAAGUGAUCAGCCUUGCUUCAACAUAUCCCAGAUUCUAUUCUUGUGAUAUCAGUAAGUGUCACGUCAGCACCCGCGUGUGUUUCUUUUUUGGUGUCGGUAAACGCCAUUGUUUCGGUGUCGGUAAAUAUCGAGUUCCACCCAGUCAUCGGUAAAUGUCUGGUCAUUUUUUGGUGUCGGUGAACGCCAUUGCUUCGGUGUCGGUAAACAUCGAGUCUUUCUUUCAGUCAUCGGUAAAUGUCUGAUAAUCCCCAGCUAGAAAUCCCCAGUAGAGUCAUCUGUAAAUGCCCUACCCGGUUUUCAGUUGCAAAUAUUUGUUUGUGUUUCCCCAAUAAAUUUCCCAUCCCCAGUCAUCGGUAAAUGUCUGGUCGUUCUUUUUGAUGUCGGUAAACAUCAUCUUUCGAUGUCGGUAAACAUCGAGUCUCAUCCCAGUCAUCGGUAAAUGUCUGGUCGUUCUUUUUGAUGUCGGUAAACAUCAUCUUUCGAUGUCGGUAAACAUCAUGUCUCACCCCAGUCAUCGGUAAAUGUCUGGUCAUUCUUUUUGAUGGCGGUAAACAUCAUCUUUCGAUGUCGGUAAACAUCGUUUCUCAUCCCAGUCAUCGGUAAAUGUCUGGUCAUUCUUUGUUCUCUUGCUAAUAAAAUCAAAAUCCCCAGAGGUCGUCGGUAAACGUCUUGUCUGGUAUCACCACAAAGAUUUUGUUCCUCCCCAAGCGGAGAUGCCAUCGGUAAAUGGCUCAGUUUUCUUCGAUAUCGGUAAAUAUCGAGUUCCCAGUUGCAGCAGCCAUCGGUAAAUGGCCUUGAUAUCGGUAAAUAUCAAGUUUGCUUUGAAGCCACCAUCGGUAAAUGGUUUUGCUUCCUUUUCAACAUCAAAUUAUUUUCCCAGCAGCCAUCGGUAAAUGGUCUGGCUGAAGUGGAUGUCAAGGUCCCAGUUCUAACCAUCGGUAAAUGGUUUUGUUUUUCAGAAGUUCGUUUUUCCCAGCAGCCAUCGGUAAAUGGUCUGGCUGAAGUUGAUAUCGGUAAAUAUCAAAGUUUUAACCAUCGGUAAAUGGUUUUGUUUUUCAGAAAUUUGUUUUCCCCAGCCGCCAUCGGUAAAUGGUCUCGCUGAAGUUGAUAUCGGUAAAUAUCAAGGUUCCAGUUCUCCAACCAUCGGUAAAUGGUUUUGCUUUUCUGAAGCUGUCAUGCAGUUUAUCAUCGGUAAAUGACGUGGUUUUCUUGUAUUGUAUCCAGUCGGUGCAAAUUUCUACGGUUCUUUUGUAUUCAAUCCCUGUUUACCCUGAAAGUCUGACAGCCAUUGCUAUCAUCCGUUCGGGUUCCCAGCUGAUUGAAUAGGGGCAGCUGUAGCACCUCAAAUUUGCACCUAUCAUUGUGCAUAUCAUUUCAUAUUAAGUCAUAGCAUAUCAUNNNNNNNNNNNNNNNNNNNNNNNNNNNNNNNNNNNNNNNNNNNNNNNNNNNNNNNNNNNNNNNNNNNNNNNNNNNNNNNNNNNNNNNNNNNNNNNNNNNNNNNNNNNNNNNNNNNNNNNNNNNNNNNNNNNNNNNNNNNNNNNNNNNNNNNNNNNNNNNNNNNNNNNNNNNNNNNNNNNNNNNNNNNNNNNNNNNNNNNNNNNNNNNNNNNNNNNNNNNNNNNNNNNNNNNNNNNNNNNNNNNNNNNNNNNNNNNNNNNNNNNNNNNNNNNNNNNNNNNNNNNNNNNNNNNNNNNNNNNNNNNNNNNNNNNNNNNNNNNNNNNNNNNNNNNNNNNNNNNNNNNNNNNNNNNNNNNNNNNNNNNNNNNNNNNNNNNNNNNNNNNNNNNNNNNNNNNNNNNNNNNNNNNNNNNNNNNNNNNNNNNNNNNNNNNNNNNNNNNNNNNNNNNNNNNNNNNNNNNNNNNNNNNNNNNNNNNNNNNNNNNNNNNNNNNNNNNNNNNNNNNNNNNNNNNNNNNNNNNNNNNNNNNNNNNNNNNNNNNNNNNNNNNNNNNNNNNNNNNNNNNNNNNNNNNNNNNNNNNNNNNNNNNNNNNNNNNNNNNNNNNNNNNNNNNNNNNNNNNNNNNNNNNNNNNNNNNNNNNNNNNNNNNNNNNNNNNNNNNNNNNNNNNNNNNNNNNNNNNNNNNNNNNNNNNNNNNNNNNNNNNNNNNNNNNNNNNNNNNNNNNNNNNNNNNNNNNNNNNNNNNNNNNNNNNNNNNNNNNNNNNNNNNNNNNNNNNNNNNNNNNNNNNNNNNNNNNNNNNNNNNNNNNNNNNNNNNNNNNNNNNNNNNNNNNNNNNNNNNNNNNNNNNNNNNNNNNNNNNNNNNNNNNNNNNNNNNNNNNNNNNNNNNNNNNNNNNNNNNNNNNNNNNNNNNNNNNNNNNNNNNNNNNNNNNNNNNNNNNNNNNNNNNNNNNNNNNNNNNNNNNNNNNNNNNNNNNNNNNNNNNNNNNNNNNNNNNNNNNNNNNNNNNNNNNNNNNNNNNNNNNNNNNNNNNNNNNNNNNNNNNNNNNNNNNNNNNNNNNNNNNNNNNNNNNNNNNNNNNNNNNNNNNNNNNNNNNNNNNNNNNNNNNNNNNNNNNNNNNNNNNNNNNNNNNNNNNNNNNNNNNNNNNNNNNNNNNNNNNNNNNNNNNNNNNNNNNNNNNNNNNNNNNNNNNNNNNNNNNNNNNNNNNNNNNNNNNNNNNNNNNNNNNNNNNNNNNNNNNNNNNNNNNNNNNNNNNNNNNNNNNNNNNNNNNNNNNNNNNNNNNNNNNNNNNNNNNNNNNNNNNNNNNNNNNNNNNNNNNNNNNNNNNNNNNNNNNNNNNNNNNNNNNNNNNNNNNNNNNNNNNNNNNNNNNNNNNNNNNNNNNNNNNNNNNNNNNNNNNNNNNNNNNNNNNNNNNNNNNNNNNNNNNNNNNNNNNNNNNNNNNNNNNNNNNNNNNNNNNNNNNNNNNNNNNNNNNNNNNNNNNNNNNNNNNNNNNNNNNNNNNNNNNNNNNNNNNNNNNNNNNNNNNNNNNNNNNNNNNNNNNNNNNNNNNNNNNNNNNNNNNNNNNNNNNNNNNNNNNNNNNNNNNNNNNNNNNNNNNNNNNNNNNNNNNNNNNNNNNNNNNNNNNNNNNNNNNNNNNNNNNNNNNNNNNNNNNNNNNNNNNNNNNNNNNNNNNNNNNNNNNNNNNNNNNNNNNNNNNNNNNNNNNNNNNNNNNNNNNNNNNNNNNNNNNNNNNNNNNNNNNNNNNNNNNNNNNNNNNNNNNNNNNNNNNNNNNNNNNNNNNNNNNNNNNNNNNNNNNNCCCAGAACAUUUUAUUUUGCCUUGGCCCAAAGCUUGUGUCGUUUUUAGUUAGUGAUGCUGAAAUUAUACCAAAUUGCAUCCGCUGACAUUGUUGACCAAUCCAUACAUUUGUUCAUUGUUUGCAUCCAUAAUUUCAUUCCAACUUCCACAAUUUAUUCUCUUUUCACAUUCAUCCAAAAAAUCUUGAAAAUUUUUCCUCAUAUUCAUGAAUGUGUUCCUUUAUUUAAUUUCAUGAUUUUUAAUUAAUUUUUCCCACUUGGCUGGAUUUUUAAUGAUAAUUAUUUCUUGACAUGUAUGCCAAAAAGUACUCUUUGCCAUUUCAAUGUGUGAAAUUGUCAUUUGUAUCCAAUGAAGCUUAGAAGAUUUUUUUUGUCUAAACUAGGACACGAUGGACCUUCAUUUCCAUGUAAAGUUUGUGCAAAUUUACAUUGUGAUGAGUAGUUAUGGAUUUUUUGAAGCAUUGUGUUGCAUUUGGCUGUCAUAACCAUAUCAUGCAUUUUCCCUAAGUUGUUUCAACCUGGCUUCCUUGGCAUUCCAAUUGACCCCAUUUUUUGCAUGAAUGACUCCUUUGUAUGUCUAUUCAUGUAUGGAAUUUUUCUGGAAUUAAUCUUGCUGUUUCAUUUGAUUGUGAAAUUUUCUUCCAUGCUUGGUCAUUGUUGACGUUUUUUUGUGCUAUACCUUGCAAAUCCUUUUGUGGAAAUUCUCAAUAUCUUAUUUAUGUCAUGAAAUUUCAUAUGUGAUAACUAGGCACAUCUCAGCCUUGGCAUUGGUGUUAAUCUCAAUUCACUUUCUCUUCUGUUUUUCAAAUUUGGAUAGUGAUUUUUGAAGUUGACCUAUGCUUGUUGACUUUUACCAUGCUUACUUGAAUUGGUUUGACUUCAGUGAUUUUACUUUACUGCCUUCCUCUCAUCCAAAAUGCCAUGAAAUUUUACAUGUAUACCAUGUAUAGAUGCUAGGAUUGAGUGUGAUUUAUUUCAUGAUUUUGAAAUGUUUGAGUUGACUUUGAUGCAAGUCAUUCUGUUGACUUUUGUAUGCUCCCUUUUGCCUUACUUUGACUUCAAAUGUUCAUGAAAUGAUAAUGAUGCAUGAUUUGAAUGUGGCCAAUUGUGAUAGCUUCUCAAUGUUGAUCUUUUGUGUUUGUUGACUUUUCCUUGCUGCUUUGACUUUUUUCUUCCAUCCUUGACCCUAGGCUAGUCCUAGUGGUCUUCUGUGCUUACUAUUGAGUUCCUGUUUCAGGUUGAGCACCAUUGCCAUUGAGAUCAUACAAAUGUGAUUGGUUUUUGAUUACAUUUCAUGUACUAACCUUUUGUUUUGUAGGCUUGACCAUGUGCCUGAGUCUUAUGCUUUGCUCAGUUGAUCCCCUGUGUUACUGUUUGCCAUUUCUUUUUGAUUAAACUUUUGAACUGUUUGCUGAUUGUUUGACUUUUUCAGGUACUUAGUUGCUUGCUUUGCUUUUAGCAAUUGCUUUGAGGUAUAAUCUCUUUUACUACAUGUAGUCUGGAGACCGGUCUGUUAUUGACCGGCCAAACUGUCUGAAGUCCUCCUUAAGAGGUAAUGCUUGUGUAUGUUUACUUUGUCCCUGUACAGAGUCAAAGACCUCCUAAGUGAAGAGGCAAUUGGUGGAGGUAGGAUAUGCAGCUAUCCCCACUACUCAGUGUGUCUUCUGUCUUGCUCACACCACUGUGUUGAUGCAUUUCAGAUAAAAAACCAAGAUCUUGUGCAAUGCACAGUUGAGUCAGUUUUAAAUGUGUAGAAGGUUCCCACUUCUGAACCCACACAUUCUGUCAAAUGCUCUCCGGCCAGGGAUAGAAGCAAUGAGGCACACCCUCAUCUCCUUUCAUCUGUUUCACCUUAGCCUCUCAAUGGCAAGGUUAAGAGCACACUUACCCCAUUCCAGUGGCCCUAGUGCCUAACCUUUGAUGUUUGACCCCCCUUGUUGGUGUGUUAUUUAUUGCUGUAUGUGUUUGUGAUUGCUUUGUUUGCCUCUUUAGGUUUAGUUUUGCUUGCCCUUGUGCAAUAGGUUUUGUACUUGACUUGCUUCCUGUGCAAGUCAAGUCUGUGUGCUUAAACCCUUGUGUGAGCCAUAACUUAGAACUGUUCGGCCGAACUACGGCAACUCUGAUUCUCAUGUUCAGGUGAGAUACGUAGCACGAGACGCGAUGUCUUGACGAGUUUUGACUAACCACUAACAUCUAAUUCUCUUCUCUCACCCCUGUUGUGAUUGAGAUAUCCCUUUCUCUUGCCCUAGUUGCAAUCGAGACUUUGUUUUUUUCCUGUGUUUGUUCAGGAUAGGUUGGCCCUUGUGCCAUUUAGCUAGAAACCUUAACUUAGGGUUGACUUUGCAUGACAACAUCUAGGCUCGAGUCGUAGUCUCCCUAGAGUUGUGUCUCCCUCUGUUAUCUGGUUAGGCUAGAUCCUUGUCCUGCGUAGGGAACUACAUCGCCCUGAUCUUCACACCAGAUGAAGUAUGUAGGCAGGAGAUUGAGCUGAUCUCUCCGGCGCCCUUUUCCUUUUUAACCCUUUGUGUCUUAACCACCCUUGUGUGUGUUCUGUGGAGUCCGACAUAAGUCCAGCGAUUGGCAGUUGGUUUCCUGUGUGCGUUUAGGUUCGGAUGCCGAUGUAAGUCCAGUGAUUGGCAGUCGGGCUCCACGUUUGCCUGUGUGUUUUGUUUGUUUGUGCGUGUCAGCCGAGCUACGAAUGCUCUGAUUCUUCUCUCGUCCGAGGAGAUACGUAUGCAUAGGAUGCGAUAUCCUAGCGAGCCUGUGUCGUCUCCCCAGUCCGAACUACUUCGACUCUGAUGUCUAUGCCUGAUAGACUUAAGUAGGCCCAGGAUACGAUGUCCUGCCGAGUCCAGUUUCAGUCAGUCUCUUGUUGUCUCUUUCAGCCAGUGUGUGUGAGUUUGAGCAGUGUUUUAGCAACCAAUCUUCCUUCCUUUUGUCGUGGAUCCGUAGAGUACUACGAUGCAUAGGGUGCCUAAUACCUUCCUUCGCAUAACCGACUCCCGAACCCAUCCUCUUUUGUCGCAGCGAGACCAUGUUCUUUUCCUAGGUUUACUUCGAGCGUUUCCUUUCCCUCUUUUGGGAUAAAUAACGCACGGUGGCGGCUCUGUUGUUUCUUUCUUUUCCCGCCGGUUUUUCGCGCGAUGCGACAAGCACGCCUAGCUGAAGAGUCUUCCACCAAGGUAGAACAUGAUGCUCUGACUCAGGGGGAGUCCUCCACUUUUGUCCCUCUGGUUCUAAAGACUCUUGAAGAACUUCAGAAACAACAGCAGGAAGUCCGAGCCAGAUUGGAUCAACAGGACUCAGUAAAUGUCAACAUUCAGAAUCUGCUGACCCAGCUGCUCUAGAGGAUGCCUCCACCUCCAAACCCUUAGGCACCUAGGACUUGUUUAUGUGUUCUUUUCCUUUUGCUUGUUGUUCUUCUGAUUUGCUUGUUGCUCUGAUUUGCUUGUUGCUCUGACUUGCUUGUUGUUUUCUGCAUUCUUGUUUUUUGUCUGCGUUUCUGACAUCUGUACCUGCUAUGUGAAUAUACAUAUAUUUUCUUGCUCUUUCAUUUUCACUGAGUCUUUUUUAUUCUGAUAAAAGGGGGAGAACUAAAAACAGCUCUGAUGAAAACAUAUCUAACUCCUAUCAAAACUCUGCAAACAUUGUUUCUAAUUUUUUGGACUUAGAAAUUUGCAGGAGAGUAGCUAGAAACACCAUAUCAUGGAAGGUCCGGUAAGAACUUCUGAACUCCCAGACUUAUCUCAGGGGAAGCUCACUUCCAUCUGAUCUAAUAACUCUUAUCUAAAAAUGUUUCAUCUCUGAAUUAAAAUUGUUUUGUCAUCAUCAAAAAGGGGGGGAUUGUAAGAACAAAAGUAGUUCUACAAUAGAAUUCCAGGAUUUUGAUGAUAACAAAGGAUGAAACCAAAAAUGGCACCCUAACGAAAUUUUUCUAAGUGUGUAGGACUAUGAAUAGCAACGAAGGACUCUGAUCAUUUUAUCAGAUACAAACACUGAUCAGAUACAAACUGCUAGAAGAUCAGACGCAUCUGAGGGAGAAGUGCGCCCAAGAAGUUCCGAAUCUAAGCAAAGCAAGACAGUAAGAAGAACCAUAAGCUCUAACAACUACUGGUCUUAGUUCUGAUGAUAAAAAAGACUAGUACUCUGAGAAGCUCUGAUGAACUUCGACAUAAUCUCCUUCUGACGCAUGACUCCGAUACAACAAGACUCUAAUGAAGAUUCUCCAAAUCUAGAAAGAGUAACGGAAAGAAUUUCUCAUUAUGGAAAAGAAGUUAUUCAGGGAGACAAAAUGGUUAUGGCAAGAAACACAGAAGUAAUGACAUUGAAUGCUCAUCAAAGACCAAUAUGCUGUCAUCACUCCAACGGUCCUUCUCACUACUAUAUAAAGGACAGCCUACCUCAUUGAGAGAUAUAACUCAACACACAGAAAAAGUCAUUCAUAUUCUCUCUCAAUUUUUACGAGCUGCUACUCAUACGUGAAAACUCUUGCUCAAAUACUUUGUUGUAAUACUUGCUUACUCUUAGAAGCACCUUCUAUUACAAAUUUAUUUUUACUAAAUUGCUUUUAUUCCUCAAGUGACUCUGCGUAGUCUGUAUACUUGAUAGGACUAAGAGAUCAUUCUCUUAGACAUUUGGUUGUAUAAUCUUUCAAGAUUAGUGGAUUAAGUCCUUUUUUGAAGGCGAAAUCACCUUGGCCGGGUGGACUGGAGUAGCUUUGUUUUCUAAGUGAACCAGUAUAAAAUUCUGUGUGUUCUUAUUUUUCUAAAAGCUUUUAUUUUCUAAAACAAUUCAAACCCCCCUUUCUUGUUUUUCUCACCUUCGGUUAAGAUGGCGGUGAUUUGCGCGAAGAAGAGAAACUCAAUGUUUGGUUUGGUUAUGAAGGAGUUGAAGUGUUGAAGGAGUUAUUUUUGUGUAUUUGCAUGUGAAGAUUGUGUUAUAGGAGAUGGAAAGUUGCAGGCUGAGAAUGAGAGAGCCAAGUACUCAGCUAAAAUGAAAUGAAGAUCGUUCCUCUUUUUGCUUUUUUCUUUUUUUUGAAUGUGAGAGAGUAAGUAUCAAUGGGAAAGUGCGCCGCCUGUGUUCAAUUGGUCUUCUAGCUUUUUUCGUAUGUGCAUUCCAUUGGUCCAUGAUGGUUUAAAUAGUGCACACCUAGGGUUUAGAUAUUUUUGUUUAGCGUAAAAUGGAUGGAAAAGAAUUACCCAACUAAAUAUCAAACUAAAUUAAAUAAUCAACGUACACUUAAAAUGAAACCAAAAAUAAACCUAUUUACCUUUUCUAGACACUUUCUUUUUAAAAACAAAAAUAAAAUGAUUUAAAAUGAAUAAAAAUCAGGCGCAAGAAUGCUUAAAAAAUAAAUUGAAUACACUAACAUUAUCAAUGCGAAAUAAGCUUCUCAGACACAUACAUGUUUUGAUUAAAUUUUAAAAUAAAAAGUAAUUGGUUAAAAUGGCUCAGACUGAUCAAUAUGCGACCAUGAAAGUCGUCGAAAAAAUAAAACAAGCACAUCUGAUUAAACUACAUAGACUAUAGAUUAAUAAAAUUAGCGUCUGCAAGCUUGAUCUUUAAAUUUUUCUCCCUUUAAUUUUAUGUGCAUUUGGGAAAUCAGCUCGAUCGGUUUGUCUGUAAAUUCGAAAAUUUAUUCUGAUAGACAUUUUAAGUGUAAUACGAGAUGAAAUGCAUGUUAUGUUAUGCAGAUGAUGCAAAUGUCAUGAUGUAUGUAUCGAUUUAUUGAAUGAGGGAAAAAGUUGGGAUAUGACAAUAUUUCGAUAGACAAAAAAACAAAGUUAACACUACUGCAAUUGAAAUAUAUAUAUAUAUAUAUAUAUAUUUUUAAUAUGGGCAUGUACACAUGGUUGUGAAGCCUCUUGAAGAACGAGGGAAAAUUGUUAGGCUGCAAAUUUCUCCUUCCAACAUACGUAAACAAAUAUGUGGCAAUAAUGAGUUGCAUUCAAAGUAAUAUUUUAUGAAAUACAAUAGUAGUUGGACCUCAACCUUAUAAUCUAUACCAUCAAGAGGUACUUUAGGGUACAAUUAAAUCCAUGGAUGGUAUAUGUAUAAGAAUCUUUAUCAAGAGUUAGGGUAUGGGAUGGUGCGUCUACUUAGAGGAUAUAUACUUUUUCUUUUUUUUACUUUUGGGGAAAAUGAAAAAUCAAUGAUUGAGUUGGAAGAUUUAUUUCACACCGAAGAGAAGGAAACCAAAAAAAUUCAGCUUAUUUGAAGUUUUUCAUUAUCUUUGAGAGAAAUAACCUUCAUUCAAUAUUCCUCUUUACCAUCUAAUUAAAUGAUAACUUUUGUAGACAUACAAACAUCUUCCAUGACAUAAUCUAUCAUUAAUAUGACAAACAUUUCAAACUAAUUGUUUUAUUUUAUGUUUCAUUUUCCUAUUCAAGAAAAUAUGUAACUCCAUGUUUCUUCUCAAUACCCUAAUCCUUUUUUCAAAAUAUAACUCCACAACUCCGUGAAAAUCCUCCCUUCAUUUUUCUUCUUAACCCUUCUUUAAAAUUUAACUACACAUCUUCGUGACAUCGUCCUUCACUGCAGCCGCUCUCGUCCCUCGUAGCACUAUGUGUAUGUCAUUUUCAAUUUUCCAUCAAAGGAUUAAAGUUGAGUCUUCUAAACAACAAAUAAAAAUACAGUCAAUGCUAUAAGAUUAAAGCAAGAAUUGUAUAGAAAAUCCUAUAGCUUAUUCAAUUGUAUGCACACUCCUACUACUUUCCCAUUUGUUAACAUAUGAAAGUUGGUUCGAUAAGUAACAAGAUAUCACCCACAAUGUUGAGACAAUAGGAUGAAGUAACGAUAAAUAUAAAAUAAGCAAUAUAAAUAACACAUGUUAUUGUUAGCCCAGUUUGCUGCAAAGUCACCUACGUAUGGAGGACAUCAAGCCAAUGAAAGGAAAAUCAUUAAUCAGUAGUCAGUAGUACAUGACAAUCUUAUCUAAACUCUUCCAGUCCAAUGUCAUUUUUCCUAAUACUACCUAUGAAUUUUGAUCCAUUCCCCCUGAAUCUGAGACCUCUCUCACUCUCACUUAAACACUCUUUCAAUUUUUAGCAAUAUUACAGUUUUAUUUGGCAUGAUACAUCACAAUUAUAAUCAAAUACUUUAUCUUUCUAACAUAACAAAGAUACUCAAGAAUAGAAUAUUACAAAAAAAAAUACAAAAGCCUCAAUGGAAACAAUAAAAUGACGCACUAAAAUCCCAGUCUCAGUCUUUAAACAAGGAGAAUCAUCUCUUUAAAUAGUAGCACAAUCCAUCCUAAAAAUUAAAUUAGGGUUUUAACACAAACCAAUGAUUCCAAAAAGCACAAGAUUCAUCUUUCUACAUUAAAGUCAAAUCUGAAUCUUGUCUAAAAUCAAAUCCAAUCAAAUCUUUAUCUGACUUACUUAAGAAAUACAAAAUCAUUAACAAAUAGAUUUAGAUUAAAAUUGUUCUUCCAAAAAUAUGUGAUAUAAAUCAUAUUUCUGAUUUACCCCAAAAUGACAAAAAUAUAGAAACAAAACAUUGAAGUGAUAAUCAUUUAGUUGAAACAAAAUAGAUCAAGACAAAUUGCAUAACAUCUUUCUUAACAUAUUUUCUACAAAAAUUUGUGAAUCAAAUGUAAUAACACUCGCCGGCUAUUUUUAGGCAAAUAAAACACAUGCAAGAUGUUACGCAAAAUGUUACACACAACCUUCCAGAAAAAAAAUUCAAGAACCCUGACAUGAAAGAGAUCAUAACAAAACACAAACAAAUCAUUUUUUUCAGAAACAUCAUAUCACAACGGAACAAUAAAGAAACAUGCAUAGAGUAGCAACAUCAAACAUCAUAGCAAAUAACAAAAACCACAUAUUAUUAGAAGAAAUUAGAAGAAUCUGUCAUUCUCCCCCUAUUUGCCUAAAAAGAGAAAAUGUAGGAGACCAUUGUCAGCCACACAUGAGUAUACAAAAUAUAGAAAAUAUCUAGUCACACAUGGGCAUACAUCUUAAAUAAAAAAUGUAGAGAAUCAAACAAAAAUAGAAAAAUAACCAGAAAUUGUAUUAAUGAGUAAACAUAUUACUGAGAUGAGAUAGAUGAAUCAUUAUCUAAGGUAGUACCAUACUCGACACCUGUACUUCAUCGGAGCUUAACAUAUCUUCGUCUUCACCCAAUGUCAUGGAAUCUUCCUCAACAUUUGGUACAACAUUAUGAGAAGUGGAAGCACCUGCAACCUGUGAACUUAAAAUUUUAAGCAACCACACACACAUAUUUUCUCGUAGUGGAUGUGGCUACUAUUUCAUUUAGCGCCUUGGUCUAUUGCAUAUGGGCCUUUAGGAUGUGGCUUUGCACAUGACCAAACAUGAGUUCCACAUCAAGCAUGUGAUCAUCAAUAUCUAAUCUAGAUUCAUCAAUAAUAGGAAUACUAUGGAUAAUUAAGUAAUAAUUCUUAACUUGUAUAAUUUUAAUCUCACGUAUCGUGGAUACAAUUAUACAAAUUUUCUUAUUUUGAAAUAAAACAUAAUUAUUUUUAAUUUGCAUGUUUGUAAGUCACCUAUCAUGAGUAGAAUUGUACAAAUUUUGUUUAGUAAAAUGAUUAAAUUUAUUUUAAUUAUAAAAAUAUUAUAUUGAUAAUAGUUAUACCAUGUUGACGUGUUAUUAUUAAUAUAACUUGUUUUUGUUCAGACUCUGUUUGUUAAAAAUAGCAGUUGGAUGAUAAGUUAACUUAUAGUUUAUAGAUGGUGACUAAUGAUUGAUAGUUUAUAGUUGAUGGCAUAUGAUUGAUAGUUAAUAAGUUAAUUGAACUGUUUGUUAAAAUUAGUUGUUCAACUAGCUGAUGAAUGUAAAAUGACAUGAUUGUUUGAUGUUAUUUACAUUUAAUACAUAAUUGUUUUAUUUUAAAUUAAAAUAAAUUAUAAAAGUUAAAAAUGUAUUUUAGUUAAAAUAAUAAGGGUAAGUGUGGAAGAAAAAUGAUAAGCUAUAACUUAUAAAUUAAAACGUUGUUAGAAAUAGCAUAUGGAAAAUAAGUUAUAAGGUAGUAAAAUAAGUUAUAAGACCUUCAUGAAUACACUGUUACCAAACAAGUCUUUUAUUGACAUACGAGCUUAUAAGCUAUAAACUAUAAGAUUAAAAAUAUUUCAAGUCAAAUAGAGAAAAUAAACGAAUAUUUGUUUAAAAUGUUUUAUAAAAUCUUAAAUUAAUAAUUUAACUAUUAUUCUCUAUCAAGUAGGAGAAUUUACGUGUCAAUUAUAUAAAUAAGAAUCAAAUAUCAUUACUUUAAUAUAAUUUUAAUUUAUGAAAAAGAGAUUUAUGUUGAGAAUAUUAUAUCAUUAUUAUAUUAAUAAAACUAUAUAAUUAUUUGUGUUAUAUCUUCAUUAACAAUUAAAUUAAAUUCUCAAAUUUUUCUAUUAUGUAUAACAUAAUAUAUUUCUCAAAUAUGUCUGGCUAUAGUUGUAGCAUUUGAGUUUUGAAUGAGUUAUUAAAAUUUUAUAUAUAAUCCUAAUUAUAUUUAAAAGGGCCGAAAGCCUAGUAAUAGGAUCUUUAAUUUCAGCGGACCAAUAAAUUUUUAUUUCAGAUCGUAAUAUGACGGAUGGUGUCCUUGUGGCAAAUGAGGUUGUCGAUUUUGCUGGAAGACAUAAGAAAAAAUUGUUUCUUUUUAAAGUUGACUUCAAUAGGCAUUUUAACUUUGUGUCCUGGGGUUACGUCUCUUUCAUUCUUAAGAAGAAGAACUUUGUUCCGAAAUGGAUAAGUUGGAUUUGAGUUAUUUUCCGGCUUAAGUGUGACUUUCCACAAAAGUAAGAUUCCAGGUCUGAAUUUGGAUCCUGAUUAUCUUACCGCAACUUCAGACUUCUUGACUUGUUCAAUCACCCAUCUUCCUUUCUCCUUCCUCGACAUCCCCAUUGAAGAGAAUCCUCGAAGGAAAUUUACUUGGAUUCCUAUUAUUUCUAAGCUUCGGAGUAGGCUGAAUUCAUGGUUGAUACGAUUACAAUAGAAUAUAUGAAACCCUUAUUUCACAUUCAUAUUGCUUGCUUGAAUUAUAAAGUUUACACAUUUAUGUAUCCAAAUAGCAAUUAACUCAAUCAUUAAAUAGUCACAUAAUUUAUUUAUUAUUGUCACUCAUCUAGUUAAUUUCAUGGUUCAAAGAUAACCAUUUUCCUUGCAACAGUCAAUUGUAUCCUCAAUCAUUUUCUCAACACUAUACUUGAACUCAAAUCCAGUAUCCAUGAGUUUCUUUGAUGUUAAGAGUGGAAACGUAGGACCGUUAGCUCCCAUAAGCACUCUAUAACAGAAGAAAAUAAAUUGUUAAUAAUAUUAGUAACAAUGAAAGAAAGAUCACAUAAACAUAAAUAUCAAUGGUCAUGAACAACUGACUUGGAUUUUGGAAUUUGAAUUUCAGGAUACUUUGAAGAAAUAAUGUCAAUUAUUUCUUCAACAGUUGUAGUGAAUGCUGAGCAAUUAUAUCUCCCUUUUGGAUUAGAAUGUUCAAGUAGGAAUAUAUGUGCUUGUGCCACAUCAUCAACAUGCACCAUUUGAAGACGAGAGAUUCUAAAUGAAUGCUUGUCAAUAUCACCUAAAUUUAACAUUCAUUUCAUUAUUUUCUUUAACUCAAAUCUGAAUAUUGAAUAUAUUGGCAUCUAUUAGUGUAUUCCACACAUUUGAAGAAAGAGUCAUAUACAUACAAAACAUCUAUUUUCACGAGGUUUUGAAUAAUCAAUAUGUAUUUGUUGAAAUAUUAAAGAUUAUUUAAUGUUCAUACAGACAUUAAUAGGAUAUCCACUUAUACAUAAAUGAUGAUAUCUACUUGUUAAAAGUCUAAAUAGAAGCAAAAUAUUGUCCAAUCCAAGAGAAAAAAUAUUCAAAAAUUCUAAAAAUAAAUAAAUAUUAAAUGACAUUUAAAUAUUUUUCAACAAAAUUCAUUAUUAUUUAAGGAAAUUUAAAAUAAUUUUAACAAAAUUCAAUUUCUAAAUAAAAGUAUAUAUUAACAAUUGUUAAAAUAUGAUAAUUUCAAAAGAAUUUUUACGACAUUUUAUCCAAGUUAAAACUUGAGGAAUGUUUUGACAAGAUUUUGUUAACCCUUAUUUUUUUGAAAAAAAAAUAAUUUCUUAAAAUUUUUAAAUUUACGAAUGAAUCCUUUUAAAUUUCCUAAAUUAUAAAUUUUGCUAAAAUUAUUAAUAAAAAACAACCAAAAAAUGUUAGGAUGAAUAAUUGAAAUACUUUAUCAUAACAAAAGAAUCUAAAACCAAGAGAAAUUGAAUUAAAACAUUUGAAUUAAUUUAAAAUUUAAAAUACCUUAUAAUUUCAAAUUAUAUCACUAUCAUUAGACUAAAUGCUAAAAUUUUAAAUUUUAACACUUCUAAAUCAACAUAUUAGCAGUCUUAAAUCAUAUUAAAAAUAAUUUAUAAAAAAAAAUUACUUUCAUAUGAACGAGCUCCCUCGUUAAAAGUUGAAUUGAUUUUGAACACUAGGUUUAACACAUUUACUGAGUUCGGAAUAUCUCUAAUCAUAAAAUAUUUACAACAUUUAUAUAAGCACAUUUUGACAAUUGAAUCAAUAUUGGAUUAAGAUAGUUUAUCCGGAUCUGAAUAAGGGGCGGUCCAUAAUGAAGUAGCUCAUGGUAUAACCGUGUUAGAGGGUAUGAAAGGACGCAUAAGUGCCCAAAAUGGGAUAGUCGCCCGAAAUAAGCGCUAGAAGGGGUAUAGAUGCCUAGAGUGUAUGGUGAGUCGCCUGACAGGGCUUAGGUCCAUUUACCACACGUGGAAUAACGAUGAGGGAAUGUGGAAACUAGAGGAAAACUCUUUUUCCAUGAGUGAGGGGAAGAGUUUCGUUGUCCCGCAUUUUUGAUAGUAGGAUGAUAAUAGGGUCUCUAACCACCGUUAUGUUGACAUAUCUUGUUUCCCUAAAUAUUGUACUUUAGCUAGUAUAAUUGUCGCCAACGGGGGGAUCCUGGUAAAACAAACCUAGGCGACACCUCUAUGCACCUAAAAAAUAGCCUCAACUGUCACUCAAGAUGAUGAAAAAAGUAAGGCACCAUGUUAGCCAAAAGUAGUUCCGACAAUAAUCAUCGAGCCAUAGUACAUAUACAAAAGGCUAUGGAAGAAUUGUGCCGCCAUAAUAAAGCUUUGAAGGACAAGAUCAUCAUCCUUCAACAUUGCUAAUAAAAGGUCGAUCCGCUUAAGAAAAUUGAAAUCCUGAACCCCUAAGCUCUUUCUAAUGAAAACUGAGAGGGCACAUGCUAGAAAGUUUCAAACUCGCCUUAUUAACAAAGUUUGACGGAAGACACGUCCCCCUUGGAGCAUGUUGCCUCCAUAACACUCAAAUGGCUACCAUCGUUGUCAGCAAAUCCUUGAAGUACAAUUUGCUCUCUAGCACUUUCAAGGAAGCCUUGCUAAGAUGGUACAUGAAUCUACCGCGUCUGUCGAUCACUAGUUAUCAAGACCUAGUGAAAAAGUUAAUCUAAUAGUUUUCUGGAAGCAAACACCUGAAGGUGUCAACCACAAACGUCCCUCAGAGGCCCUCUGAGUUGUUGAGGGAGUAUCUCGCCCGCUUUAAAGAGGAAACCACAUCAAAUUAAUACAUCCAAAUAAGAAGUUCCUAGGGGAGUCUUAGAAUGUUCUAAGGACCAAACACUUCAAUGAGUCCCUCUCCUAAAGGUUGGAGGUUUUCCAUAACACAAAUCAUGGCACAGGCAUAAUACUAUAUCAAGGGCAACAAGAGUAAUGGAAAAAUAAGGAGAAGCGCAUGAGCCAUUACACCUCGAUUAUAAGGGAUAAGGUGACCUUAAAAAAUAAUGGAAGAUCUACUAAAAGUUUCACGCCGCUCAACACUCAUUGACAAUGGAUAUGGCAUAAAUUAUUGUAUACUCAUGACAUCCCACCUUCGUCGGUCUCCAAGUCUGACACCGUGGAUCCUGGUCCAAGUAAAUGGUGAGAGUAUCACAAGGUGAAGGGUCACCACACAUAGGAUUCCUACUAGUUUAAUAAGGAAAUCUAGCGGCUCACUCAAAAGGUCUAUUUGAAGAAGUACAUCUAGGAUGCUUCCCAUCGGUCAAGAGACGGGUCGAAAUCUCAAAGGCGAGAGCUACUAGGGAGCCCCAAAUCUUGGUAGGGUAAGGAGUUAGGGGGAAGAGAGAAAGAUCAUCAAUUUUGCGAUAUCCUAAAUACCAUAGCUGGACUUUUCCCUAGAGGUGGUGAAUCUAGCUCCUUCCGAAGAUGACCCAAUAAUUUAUAACUAUAAAAGACUCUUCUACCUGUUCCAAAUUCGGACCCAGGGAGCACUACAAAUUUUGAUAUCGCCUUCAUUGACAAGGACGCUGUCAGGAUUCAUUCUCACGACAAUGAUCUCACGACCAUAAUGGUACAACGUGACGAUUAGGAGAUCAAAAGAGUAUUGGUCGAUCAAGGGAAUUAUGUAGGUAUUCUCUACAGAAACACAUUCGAGAGGCUUAAGCUUAGUCUAGCAUUCUAGGGUUCGCUAGUCAGCUUCUCGAGUAAGAAUGUGUAAGUAAAUAGUUAAAUCACCCUCAAGAUGAAUUCAGGCUGAACAAAAAUGUCAAAAUGAUCAGAGUCAGAUACCUUGUUAUAGAUGCCUCUUCCUCGUAUAAUAUAAUCAUAGGUAGGUAUACCUUCAACCUUUUGGGAGUUGCUAUAUGUACCUUAUAUUUAUGCAUGAAGUAUUUUCUAUCAAAAGGACGAAUCGGGUUUAUCCAAGGAUACUACGAGAUCGUUCAAAGAUGUUAUCAUCAUUGUUUGAGGGUAAGGAAGAAGACAAUGACAGUAACCAAAGCUCUAUCAUCUAGCGCACGAGGAGUGAAUUUCAUGGACUUGAUCCCCAUAAUGGAUCCCAAUAAGGAAAGGUAGAUGCCUACCGAAGUUCUAGUGGAGAUCUAGAAGCUUUCGUUAUCAAGCAAAACUCCAUCCCAAUAGAUAAGGAGUUGGUCACUCUAUUUAUAGAGAGUCUGGCUUUGUUAGGCAAUUGUGACAAAUGAUGUAUAGGGAUCCUGAAGUUUAGUAGUUUGAGGAAUUAAAUUAGCUAUUUAUUUCUUAUGUAUUUUAUGAUUAAGGUGAGGCCUUCUACCCCACUAUUUUCUUGAACAAUUUACAAGAUUAAUUUUAAUUAAAGGGGUAUCACUCUUUUCCUCUACAAGGUUUUUAACUAGGCACCAUAGCUUCUUAAAUAAUUAAUCCUUGCAUGUUGUACAUCUAAUUUGCGCUUGACAUUCAUUGAAGGAUCCUUUCCACCUAAAGAGGUUAUUUUACGUUGAACCUUCACUAAAGGAUCUUCGUCGUCAAAAGAGCCUAUUUUAUGUUAGACCUUCACUAAAGGUUUGUUGCUACCCAAAUAGGCUAUUUUAGUUGGACCUCCACUAAAAGAUCGUUGUUGCCGAAAGAGACUAUUUUACGUUGAACCUUCACUGAAGAAUCCUUGUCACCCAAAGAGACUAUUUUACAAUAGAACUUAAUUGAAGAAUCCUUGCCGCCCAAAUGGCUAUUUUAAAUUAGACCUUUAAUGGGGGAUCCUUUCCUCCUAAAUAGGAUAUUUUACCCUGAUAGUCAAUGUACAAGUUGGGCCUUCACAAAUAGAUGUUUUAUACCAAUAGGGUGUUUGAGGUAUGCACCAUACAAAUAGGAAAAUAAAAGGAACAUGAUAAAGGGACUAAAAGAGAAAUGUAUUAGUAAUAAACUCUGAAGGGUGUGAUUACAAGAAACCCACGAGGGCAUAAUUACAUAACAAAAUAAAAGACAAAACCAUCAAGCAGCCUAGUGAUCCUCCUCCUUAACUUUCACCUUGCACUAAGUAGAGGACCAAUCAUUAUUUUCAGGGGAAUUCUCCACUUUUUGAUAAGGAAUCGUCGUGGAGGAAGGAUCUUCAUCUUUCUCGUACACCAGCUAGCCAUCCUUGAUCACGUUGAAUAUAUCAAGUUGGCUCAUAUUUAUGCCAGUAUGUAGGAUGGCCACCCGCUAUUUGGUGCGUUCAAAAUAUUUUUCGUAGGUCUCGUUCAAAUCACCUUGACAAUACAACAACUCUCCUUUGAGCUUUUCAUGGGAGGGCAAGGCUACCUUCAUCUUAGCCUCUGUCUGUGCGAGCUUCUCGCUUGAUUCCUUGGAAUCCUUUUGAAUCUUCUCAAGGGAUUUCUCAUAACAUUGUGACUCACCAUGCUCCUCAAUGAUGAUCUUCAUGGACUCAUAUUCUUGAACCAACGCUCCCUUCACACUAUUCAAGUCCUCCUUUAGCUCAUCAACUAACAUGUCGCAAUCCCAAUGGUGUGACAUUAAUGGUCACGAGAACCUCUAAUUCAAAGUAGGUGAAAUGUAUAAGCAUCCAUAGGUCGUGAAGACUGCCAGGUGCAUGUAAAAGAAGGCUUAGGGGAAUUCUGUAGGGGAGACCAUGUUAGCCUGCUCCACUUUGGAGCACAAUUCCAAGAUCACUUCCCCUUCGUCUUCUGCUCUAAAUAAGUUUUGAUGUAUCCAAAAGGAGGACACUUUUUGAUUGCAUAUGUUGCAUCUUAAAAUUCUCCAUUCUUGAGCUCUUUAUUGAACAUGUCUUCGUUGAUAAUUUCAUAUUUCUUGUGAAAGAACGAGAAGAAAGAUAGUCAAUAUCACUACUAGAGUCGGAGGUACUCUCGUAACUCCCAAAAAUGCCUACUUCAAGGAGCAUAUAGUCAAUUACUCCAUCAACCCGUCAAGCAUUGUUCAUGUAAUGCUCUUGCAAUUUCAUAUGUUCCCUGCAAUUGGAAUGCUCAAUUGCAUUACCCCUCUUGUCUAACUCUUGAAUAAUCGUCAUUUCUUGAAAAGAGAAGGUUGAAGAAAGAAAGCAAUGGAUUAUACCUAUUUACAAAGAAUACGAAAACUGGAGGAAUGUUAAAUGUGGUGCCUAGCUCAAGCUUAAGAGUCUUGUCUCAUGCUUCGCCUAAGGGACGCACCAUACGCUUCGCUUGAGGGAUUUGCCACAUGCUUCACAUGAGGGACUCACCCCAUGCUUGAGGGACUUGCCACAUGCUUCACUUGAGGGACUCACCCCAUGCUUGACUAUAUGAAUUCUCAUAAUUUUAGGAUGGCGAUACACGAGAAUUAAAUCACUUAUUCCUUUCCAAGCCCUUGUGAUUGAGGGAUUAUGAAUUGGGAUAAUUUAUCUAGGUCUUAAUAAGGGAUGAUCCAUGAUGGAGUAGCCUAUGGAAUAAUUGAGCCUAGGGAUAGGAAAUAAUUUAGGCGCCCAAAGUGGGUUAGCCGCUCGAAAUGAGCAUGAGCACAUUAAGGGUUAUAGUCGCCGAAAAGGUACGGUGAGCAGUCCGAUAGAGCUCGAGUUCAUCGCCCAAAAGUGGGUUGCUAAUAACAUUGAUGUAUUAGUGCAAUCAAAUUAUCAAAGACUAAAAGAGACUAGAAAAUAUUAAUAUUUAAAAAGAAACACUUACCAAAUAAGAAAGGCAUUGAAGCAUAAAUUGAGCUAGGAAGCUUAGAGCAAAUGAAGGGUCCAAUAACAAAAUUUGGCACAACAGUGACAACAUCCAAUCCAUGUUCUUUUCCAAAUUCAAGAACAGCUUUCUCAGUUAGUGUCUUAGAAACUGCAUAUGACCAAGCAAAUGGCUUCACAUUUCUUAGUAUAUUCACAUCACUCCAAUAACUUUCAUCCAAUACAUCUUCUUCUCUCUCUUGAAAAGAAACAGCUGAACCACUUGAAGUGUAAACAACUCUCUUCAAUGUCUUUGAAUUUUUGCAUGCUCUUAGAAUUCCUAAAGCUCCAUCAAUGGUUCUUUUUGUCACUAUUUCUUCCGGUUCGUUCACUUCAAAAUCAACCGGAGUGGCAGUGUGAAAUAUUCCAACACACCCUUCAAUUGCUGCAUUAAAACUUUCUGGAUUGCUAAGAUCAGCAUUGAAAAUGUUUAACUUUUCAGAUGCUCCUGGAAGAUUUGUGAGGAAGCUAACAUCUUUCUUCUGCCCUGUUAUUUACAUAAUUAAAUAAAGAACAUAAUAAUAAACAAACAUCACAUGUAACCAUAUACCUGGACUAGAUCUAAUAGUAGUAUUAACAGUGUAACCAUCUUCAAGGAGUCUCUUAAUAAUCCAUGAACCAAUAAAACCUGUACCUCCUGUGACACAGACUCUUCCUUUUCCUUCUGCCAUUAUCACACUUUUCUUGCAAAAUAUUUUUCACACUUUAUUGUUAUUUGAUUACUUCUGUAUGAAUGUCGAUGGUCCUAUAAAUGUACUGGCUGCACUUAUUAUUGGCAGGUCAUGUAGGGACGUGAGGUCCAUACAACUUUUGCGCUUUAUUCAAGCAAUGUUUAUUCAUGAUGUCGGCACCUGCUUAAUUGCUCACGCAUGUUCUUUCAUCUUUUUGUAUAGCUGCAACUGCAAGUGAAACAUCACGUUCAUUGAUUUAGAAAUAAAGGUGCUUACAUAUGGAUAUAAAUGAUCCAUUAAUCUUAUCUUCUAGAAAAGGUUGAGUCACCAAUAGAAAAAUAUAGAUAUAAAAUGAAGAAAAAACUGCACUCAUUUUUGUUAAAAUAAAUGUGACAUUCCUUCUAAUUUAAAAUUUAGAUUAACCUCCCUUGAAAUGACAUUUAUCAUCGUAAGUGUUUCAUGAUAAUUAAAAGCAGUAGGUAUAUAUCAUCAAUAUUUACUGUUUUUGGUUUUUGAUUGAAAAAAAAAAUGUUAAAAUCGUGAAUUUUUUUUAAAAUAACUAUUUUUUUUUUAAAAAUUCCAAAAUAAUCAAUUAUUCAAAAAAAAAUAUCAAAAUAACUAAGUUUGGUAGAGGAUGCGCCAGAUGAAUUGGCGCACCCCCAAACCACUAAGAGAAGGCACCAAUAGCAUUGACGCAUGCAUUGAGCUCCUCAUGAGGAGGCGCCAAUGCUAGUGGCCCCUUAGUGUGUUUUGGUUGGUGGGCGCCAAUUCAUCUAGCGCCUCCAUGUGAUGGUCAUGUGAGCGUCAAUCCCUCAGGCGCCCACGUGUUUUGUACAAUGGAUGUUCCGUCUCUAUAAAUACCAUGCCUUGGAUACAAUAUUUUUCACUCAAACUCAUCUCCUAAUACCAUAAGUUGUCUAGUUCAACCAUCAAUUUCAAUUCUCUCUGUUUCAACAAUGUCUGUAUACAUUCAGAAACGAAAUGCUGAUGAAAUAUUUUCUGUCGUUGCGGCUCCGAUACAGGUUCGACUUUGGAACACAGAUACGUUUGAACGUCUUAAUCGGACGUUGUACAGUUGGUUAGAGGGAGAAAUUCGAGAGGGUGAACAGAUUAGAAGAAUACAAUGGCUUGUGUCCACGUUCAAUCAACACGGAGAAGUGCGUGAAUGAGUGGAUAUUAAGACCGACCAAGACGCUCGUAGGAUGAUGCAUUAUAUGUUCAAAAUUAUUUUGAUGAUUGUAAUUGCAUAGUUCUUGUAUUGUAUUUGUUACAAUUAUCUGUUUUACUGUUUAUGUAAUGGUACUUCCGUCACAGACGUCUAAUAUGAAAUAAAUUUAGUUUUUCAUAUAUUGCAACAGAGGUACAUCUGAAUUUAUCUGGUUGUGCUCGUUCCAACACUAGGACAGUUAUUACGAUUGUGACCUGGUUGACAGCAUGAACUACAUAGUCUAACCAUUUUGUUCGCCGUAUCCAUUUUGGUUUGAAUCCAGGUGCUGUUAGGGCAACCCUUUUUCUUCCUUCGCAUAACUUUGUUGUGCCAGACGAUGUCCCCUUGAUAUUCUGUCCAAUAAUCCUCUUUUGCCACUAUCGAAAAACUAAUUUUAUAAACAUUUGAAAGACUGACGACUUUGUAAACUUCAGAUAGCAAGUAGGAUGGAUUCCUUCGAACCUUUGAGCAUGCCGCAAUGACAUGGGAGCAGGGGGUAAGAAAGGCUUGGAACCUUCCGCAAUCGCACCAACCUCUAUCUAGUUCGACUCUGUAUUGUCCCAUCGGCAUGCCCUCAUUGUGAUCCAUGGACUUGGAAACACUAAACCAACCUUUAGUUCGGUCAAAUACCGUAACCACGUGUGUGUUUGCUUUGACAGCUUCAUGUCUGAUGAAUUUCAUUAAAGCAUCACUAAACAACUGUCCAGAUUGCAACACUGAACUCCAUUUUGAGCGUCUGGUUUCAAACAACACCCCUAGCCUGAAAUAUGUAGCAUGCACCAAAGCGGUUAUUGGUAGGUUACGGAUGCCUUUGAAGACAGAGUUCAUUGAUUCCACAAGAUUUAUUGUCAUGUGGCCCCAACGCUGACCGUUGUCGUAUGCCCUAGUCCACUUCUCCAACGGAAUACUAUCGAUCCACCGUACCGCAUCUUUAUUGUCAUGUGGCCCCAACGCUGACCGUUGUCGUAUGCCCUAGUCCACUUCUCCAACGGAAUACUAUCGAUCCACCGUACCGCAUCUUCGUUCGACAAUCUUAUUUCCUCGCGGUAGUGUUUGAAAUAAGGUUCUAAUGAUACGUAACCUGCAUUGACAACCUUCUUACGCAACGUCUUAUCUUUGAUUUCCCGCAUGAAAUUCUGAGCAAUAUGUCUAAUACAUAACACAUGCGUCGAAAGAGGAUUUUGCCAACCAUUAUCAAUGUUAUUAUAUGCAUUGAUGAUUGAGGGGUGUCUAUCAGAGAUCAAACACAAGUUAGGCUGAGGUGCAACGUGCAAUCGGAGAUUUCUUAGGAAAAAACUUCAUCCCUCAGCAGUCUCCCCUUCAACUAGGGCAAAGGCGAUUGGAAAAAAAUUGUUAUUCCCAUCUUGUGUCACUGCCAUCAGUAACGUUCCUUUGUAUUUUCCAUACAACCAUGUAUCAUCAAUUUGUAUAAUUGGUUUACAGAAAGAAAAACCUAUGAUACAUGGUUGAUACGCCCAGAAUAGACGGUGAAAUAUUUUAUUUCCAACUGUGUACGUACCAUUUGGUGUAUAGGCGGACAAUGUUUCCAUCUUGACAAUUGUCCCGGGAGCAUAGUGUUUUAGAGCCAACAGGUAUUUUGGAAGUUGUUUGUAAGACUCCUCCCAAUUGCCAAACACUUUUUCAACAGCUUUUGUUCUAGCUAUCUAGUGUUUUAGAGCCAACAGGUAUUUUGGAAGUUGUUUGUAAGACUCCUCCCAAUUGCCAAACACUUUUUCAACAGCUUUUGUUCUAGCUAUCCAUGCCUUCCUAUAUGAUGGAGUGUACUCGUACUCAGCCCUAAUAUGCGAGAUUAUUGUACUCACCUUUAACGACGGAUUGUCGCCAAUGAUAGACAAUAUUUCAUCGCAUAUUAGCUGAGAGCUUAAUUUAAGAUGAUCCUGCAUUGGGUUUGCCAGCAUGCAUGUGUGAUCUGGACCCAUUGAUCCAAUCUCCCAAGACUCGCUCCUCUUCCGGUACAAAUCAGACAACCUAAAAAGGCAGUGCUCAUUCGGACAAUAAACUUUAUAUCUCGAUGCGUCCGUUCUAUCAACUCUGAAAUCAGUUGAUAGUUGCAUGUGGAAUUUCUUAAUGGCUUUUACACAUUCCUCUUUUGUGCGAAAUGUGUCUCCUUGUUUCAGAGAUCCUUGCAUCUGCAUGUAAGGAUUGUAUCAUACAUCUGCCGAAGGUUCAUCUGAACCCAAAUUUAACCUUGUCAUGUAUUGGGGUGGGAAAUAUACAGGACUUGCUGGUAUUGGCUGCUCUUCCUCUUCAGCGUUCACCAUCGAAUCAACCAUGAUCUCAGGUUCCUCUUCUUCGUCAUCUAGAACGUUCACCUCAGCUUGUUCGUCAUCAGUCUCAUAAAACACUUGUGACUGAUCAAUGUACUGAGACACCUGUUGUUGAUGUGGUAAAAUAUACAACUCUAUAUCGUUGUAACCGGAUUGUUCGUGACUGACAAACAUAUGCUGAACAUCAUCAUCAUCUCGAAUCUUCUUCUGAUAAAAUCUUACUUGGUUUUCUGCAAACCAAACCGGAUUUUUAUAGAUGAUCUGACCCAUAUUACUGCACUGUAAUUUCUUUUCUAUUCUUUGUUUCAGAGGUGAAAAAUUUGAUCGUCAAUUUAUUGUAAAUCGAGUUACCUCUGUGUUUCGAAAACAAAAACCGAACAACUGAUGAUCAAAUAUUUCACCUUCGGCAUGGGCAUUGAUCAUGUAAUGUUGUGUGGAAGACAUUAUGUUGAAAUAUUAAAUAUGUAAAUAGCUUGAAUGGAAUUGAAUGCAUUGCUAUGUUGUUCAUCUACACAGGAUAAAUAGCUUGGUCAUUGCUAAGUUGGUCGUUGCAUUGAUAACUUGGUCAUUGUCUGUACAUACUUGACCAUGCAUGCAGUAGAAGGAGUCCAGAAUGCAGAGAAAAGAGUGACAAGAACACAUAUGCGCCAGGGAAUCAAAGAAUCUCUAAGCUAUGUUCCCUAAGAUUCCAACCUAGGCGCCCAUUCCCUAGGCGCCAUAAAGUAACUGAGGCGCUAAAGGGUUGGGCGCCUCUUCACACAAACUUGUCUUAGGCGCCACUAGGAAGGGAGCCCCUUCCAAUUUCCCUACACUAAGGAGCCAAGAGGAAGGGCGCCUAUUCCUUGCAUGUGAGAAAUUACAUGUAGGCGCCAAGAGGAAGGGCUCCUCUUCCCUUGCAUGUGCUUUCUUCACAUGCGCCAAGAAGAGAUUCCUCACAUGCUAGCUUUGUCUCACAUUCUAAAUUUUGUCAUUCCCUUGUCUCCUCUUGCCUUUCCAUGCAACCAAUCACACUCUUUUUAGGUUACAAACCUACUCACUCAUUCAUCUAUAAAUAGCCUCUCAUAUCAACAAUAUCAAAUCAUCUUCAUCAAUACUCAAUUAUAUUCUUCUACCACACUUCUUUCAUCUACCAAACUCAAGCUUUGUAAAUUCAAAUCAUGUCUUUGUGAUUAUGGGCGAUGAACACAAGAGGCACAAUCGAGAAUAUCUCGGCAUUUGUAUGUUAUCUCUCUCUUUCAUUUUUUUAUGUUUUUGUUGUAUUACCUUUGCUAUCUCUCUCUUUUUAGUUUCUAUUUUUGUCUUACUUCUAAUAGAUAUCUUUUUGUGUAUACCUUUGUUAUCUCUCUCUUUUAAGUUUCUAUUUUUGUCUUACUUCUUAUAGAUGUGUGUUUGUUGAGUUUGUAUUUCUUCUUCUAAUUGUAUUUUCUUACUUUUUUGUAUUUAGGAUCCGAAGCGGUUUAGAUGUCGUGUACAUGAAUAUGUACCCCACGAUCCUUUAAUAGAACCAUAUAUUAGAGGAUGUAGAUUUAGAAAUAUACUAAACAUUGUUUCGUACUCGGUGGACUACAAGUUCAUUCUGGCUUUGUUGGAGAGGUGGAAACCCGAGACCCACACAUUUCACCUUCCGAUUGGUGAGUGUACCGUCACACUUGAGGACGUGUACAUGUUGUUGGGUCUCCGUAUAGACGGAAAGGCAGUGAAUGGUUGAGUUAACCAAGAUAACAAUAUAUGCAAUGAAUUAUUGGGUGCCCCUUUGUUAGACGACGAAACUGAGGGAGACACAUCCGGUCAAGCAAGGGGGCAAGGUAUAAAUUUAAAAUACCUAAAACAAUAUUAUGCUAGUAUAGUAUUGUCCGACGAUUCAACCGAGUAUGAGAAAAUAAUAAAAACUCGGUGUUAUAUUAUGAUUUUAUUUGGUAACUUUUUGUUCCAGAAAGUACAGGUAAUUCUGUGAAUAUAAUGUAUUUAUCUUUAUUACGCAACAUUAAUAAGGUAAACACUUAUAGUUGGAGUUCAGCUAUGUUGGCCCAUCUAUAUAGUGCAAUGUGUAGAAUUGCAAAAAGAAUAUGUGUACUUUUUUUUUCAUGUGCGUAUUGUCAUACCCCAAUUUUGUCCGGCCAUUUGUGGUUUACCCAUGAGAUCUCUUUGUUUCAAAGACCCAUUUGCAUAAGCGUGUUCAUAAUCUAAAAUGUGGUUUCAAUCUUUCUACAUUACUAAUCCAAAAUAUAUUUUCUUAUUAGUAAGUAUUAAGAGCCAUGUUAUUAUUUCUAUGAGCACUAUUUAUUAAUCCAUUAACACACCCCAAAUAUUUAUGCCAAGUUCUAAGUCUUUCAUAGGUUCCUAAAUUAAAUUUGCAUUUUUUAGUUAGAAUGGUGUUGUUUUUAAAUUAAAGCAGCAUAUUUAGAUUUAUGUGUUGAAGUUAGAAUUGUGUUGUUUUUAAAUUAAAGCACCAUAUUUAGAUUUAUGUGUUGAAAUUAGAAUUGUGUUGUUUUUAAAUUAAGUCACUAUAUUUAGUCAGUGUGUGAAAUUAGAAUUGUGUUAUUUUUAAAUUAAAGCACCAUAUUUAGAUUUAUGUGUUGAAGUUAGAAUUGUGUUGUUUUAAAUUAAAGCACCAUAUUUAGAUUUAUGUGUUGAAUUAGAAUUGGUUGUUUUUAAAUUAAGUCACUAUAUUUAGAUUCAUGUGUUGAAAUUAGAAUUGUGUUGUUUUUAAAUUAAAGCACCAUAUUUAGAUUUAUGUGUUGAAAUUAGAAUUGUGUUGUUUUUAAAUUGAGUCACUAUAUUUAGAUUCAUGUGUUGAAAUUAGAAUUGUGUUGUUUUUAAAUUAAAGCACCCAUAUUUAGAUUUAUGUGUUGAAGUUAGAAUUGUGUUGUUUUUAAAUUAAGUCAUUAUAUUUGGGUUCUUUGUACCUAAGUUGAAAGUGUAUUGUUUUUAGAGUUGAAAUUACAUUGACAUGUCUUGUUUUAAAUUCUUGGUCACAUUUGUUUUUUUAUUAAUGAUAACAUGCUAAGAGGCAAUUUUUAGUUGAAUAUUCAUGGUGGCCCAAGUAGGUUGCCAAUUGAAAUAAAAGGACAAAGUUCAAAAUACUCUAUUUGAUUAGCAUAAAUAAAAAUAUUGAGAUAAGUUUGGAAAGCUUAAAAGAUAAUUACAUAGUUAAAAUUUAAUCCAAUGGGUUACAAAUAGUCCAAAUACACAUUUGUCUCAAAAACCUAAGUAAUUACAUUUUAAUUGAGUAGAAAGUUAUUGAUGUUGGAAACAAAAUCCUAAGGACCAAAACCAGGUGACCCAGUUGAAACCCCUUUGGACUUGGGCACGUCUCAAAACAUGCUUUCUUGGAGCUUCAUGCAACCCACCUUCCAUUCCAUCAAGGUCACUUCAAGUUGUAACCUGCAGAGAAAAACAACUUAAUUAAAAAGCACUUUCCAAAAGCGCUUAAAGAACUGAAAAAUAACUAAAUAAAUUACUCAGUUUAAUACUUUAUCUAGAAGGCUAACUUGAACAUCCAAAAAGCAUGUCAAAAUUGAUCUAAAGCAAUAACAAAUCAACAGAAAUCGAAUCCCACAUAAUCUGGGAUGGGACAAAUUGAAAAAGAGUUUUCUUAAGUUCACCAGUUGGUAGGAUAAAAGAUGAGAAGUUAACAGCAAAAAACACAGCAGGAUAUUUCUAAAAAAAAACCUAAAAACUAAACAGAGAGGAUUUUCUUGAAAUCCCAGAGAGCAAUCUAAAAUAAUUUCAUUAAGAACAUCAAACACAUCGUAUUCAAAACAACAGCAAAUCUUAAAAAGGAAAAGAGAAAAACCCACCCGUGAUUCUGCACAAAUUUUGACCAAAAUCCAAAUCACAAAAUCCCCCAGUAAAAUUCCAAGAAAACUCGUUCGAAAUUUCCCGAAUCAAGUUUAUGAAGCAAAUGGGCUCAAACCUUAACAACAUCACUCAUACGAAGAGUAGUAGAAAAACAAAGGGGAUAUAACUUACCUCAUUGAAGAAUCGCUUGAAAGCCUUUGCUGGAAUUCGAAAGAUCUCGCCAACCCGGAGAUUUUCAGAACUUCUGAUUUGGUAAACCAUUCGCGUCUACUUUCUCCUCCGAGAUCCAUUUUAUCAUCCAUUACGCUUUGCUGCAACUUUUAUUCUUCUGUGUUGAACCAAAUCCAUGGCAUUUGAUAGAUAGGUUCUCUAAUUUUUUUCAUGAUUUUGCUUUGUGCGGGUUUGAGAUUGGUUCUUCGUUUGAGCUUGGUUUUUGCAUGUUGUUUUGUUGUUGUGUGCCAUGAAUUCGUGAGAAUGAGAAAGAGAGAAUCGAUUCAUAAAACAGAGUUAUGAGAGAGAGAGAGUGAAGCGACAGAGAAGAGCGGAGGCUCCGCCAUGAGCCUUCGCCUUUGGCCGUCUUCUCCGGGAAGGAAGUUUCUUUAGGGUUUGUAGAUUUUUUUGAAACGGUUGGUUGUAUGAUGCAAAUUCAUGAGAGAGAGAAGGUCACAAAGAGAGAAGGAAAGUGAAUAUUAUACUGAGAUUUGUGUAGGUUUGAUUUGCUGUAUGUGAGUUAUUAGCAUUAAACUCCCAUUUAAAUUUUUUAUUAUUAUUCCUCUUUUUGAAUUCAUAAUUAAGAAAGGGGAUUAAAUGGGGAGAGGGACAGUUGGGUCGGUAUAUUAAAUGCAUGGAUAAUAACAUUUUGGAAAACUCGUUACUUUGUGAUCAUGAGAAUUGGGAAAGUUUUUCUUUCAUUGCCCUGCAGAAACGAGAAAGAGUCGGUUGGGAUCCAACCCAAGCCGUGGACCGAACCAAAGCCAUCGUUUCACCCUUGGGCUUCCUGGGUUUAGGACCAUUUGUUUCCUUUAAUGAGUGUGCGCCCUGAUGGGCUUCAGAGGCCUUCAGGGCCCAUUUAUUUAUUUAUUUAUUAAUUCUGUCACUUUUUUUUAGCAUAAUAAAUCAAUUUGAAUUUAUGAAUUUUGUUUGGUAAUUAACACUUUUACUAUCCUCGUUAUUUAAACAUCAAUUAUAUAGUUUAUUAUCAUUUAAUAAAUUAAUAUGUUGUAUUAUCACUAUAAUUUAGAUAUUUUUUCUUCUUUUAGAAUUUAUUCGAAUUAUUAUUUUAUGUUGGUUCAUUUGUGUGUACAAGUUAAUCAAUUUCAUGUGUAUGUUGCGUCACAAAUAUAAACCAAAUUCAUUUCAUCAUCGAUCCAAAACCACGAUUAAACCAUAAAAAAUCAUCAAUCAAUUCUCGAUCUGAUAUCAAACCCAUGCCUUUGUAAGUCGAUUGCUCUAUAGCAUCGCCAUCAACCUCACAUAGCUUACUCUUGGGCUUUCUUACAAUGAGGCCUAUUUGGUUAUUAAUUAAGCGAUUAGAUGAUCUAUUCACUAAAUAAAUUCAAUUCAUUCACAAAAUACAAAUUUUAAACCUUGAUCCGACAUCGAAUAUUCUCUAUAAAAGUUAAAUUAAAAUACCUAAUCACAACUAAAUACUAUUUCAUUUAGGAAUAAAAAGGAGAUGGUUUUGAGUUUUCAACUCCUCUCCUCGAUUAUUUGAACACGAAUUCUUUUACUCGGUUAGUCAAAUAGUCGUCAUUUCUAACCCACCUUAGCAUAAACAAAUCGAAUCAUUUUAUAAUAAGAAACGAAAAGGGAGAUGACUUUGAGUCUUCAAUUUUUCUCCUCGAUUAUUUGAAUACAAGUUCUCUCACUUGGUUAGUCAAAUAAUUGUCGUUCCUCUACAAACUUCCAAACCCCGAUUAAAUCAAAGUAUUUCCACAGUAAGCUAAAUGAAAAGGGAGUUGAUUUUGAGUUUUCGACUUCUCUCCUCAAUUGUUUGAAUACGAGUUUUCUUACUCGGUCAGUCGAACAAUUGUCAUUUUUCCACCAACUUACAACUUAAUUUGAAAAGGGAGUUGAUUUUGAGUUUUCGACUUCUCUCCUCAAUUGUUUGAAUACGAGUUUUCUUACUCGGUCAGUCGAACAAUUGUCAUUUUUCCACCAACUUACAACUUAAUCAAAUCAUUUUCACUACGAACUAUACGAAAAGGGAGAUGGUCUUGAGUCUUCAAUUCCUCUUCUCAAAUGCUUGGAUAUGAGUUAUCUUACUCAGCCAUUCGAGUACUUGUCGUUUAUUCUAAAAUACGUCAACCAUAUACAACCUUAUUUUCAUAAAUAUUCAGAUGAAACAGAAAUCGGUCUAAAGUCUUCUAUUCCUCUUCUCGAUUAUUAGGAUACGAGUUGUCUUACUCGAUUAUCCGAGUAUUCACCAUUCGUUCAAAACACUUUAAUUAUUAUCAAAUCCUUUCUAUAAUUAAGGAUGAAAAAGAAAGUGGUCUAGAGUCUUCUAUUCCUCUUCCCGAUUAUUAGGAUACGAGUUAUCUUACUCGAUUAUCCGAGUAUUCGUCAUCCAUUCAAAAAUACCUUAAUUAUUAUCAAAUCCUUUCUAUAAUUAAGGAUGAAAAAGGAAGUGGUCUAGAGUCUUCUAUUCCCUUUCCCGACUGUUAGGAUACGAGUCGUCUUACUCGAAUAUCCGGGUAAUUGUCAUCCAACCAAAAACAUCUCAACCAAUCAAAACAUCCAACAUAUUAAUCCAACGUGUCACCUCCAUGUGAUCAAAAUCUUUCCAAAAAGAACACCAUUUAGUCCUCUCUAAUGCGCACAACAAACUAGUGCUUAAGCCUCCGCCGAGAGUAGACAAGCCAACGUUUAGCGUUUAGGAUGCGAUCUAAACGGUUGUUCAUUAAAAAACACCAAUCAACCGUAGUUCCCCGAACUACGAAUGCUCUGACUUCCUUAUUGCACCAUAAGGAUACGUAGGUAGGAGAUUGUUGUAUCUUCGCGAGCACACUAAUAAAAAACCUCCCCUUUCUCCUUUCUGAGGUUCUCAUCCAUUUCUAUUUUUGACAUUUUAUAAACCAAAGAUAACAAACAAACAUAAAUUAACACUCGAAACGCAAAUUAGAACUAAAAGGUUCCCGCUGAGUACAACGGACGUGAGAGGUGCUAAUACCUUCCUCUUGCGUAAUCCACUCCCGAACCCGAAUAUGGUUACGACGACCAUUAUUCUAUCAUUCAAAAGGUUUUAUCGAUAUUUUCCUAUCCCUUUAUUGGGAUAAAUAAAAGUUCGGUGGCGACUCUAUUCGAACAUAAUUUUUUCCGCGACCAUCGCGAGGAAUCGUAUUUUUCGAGAUGCGACAGAUGGCGACUCUGCUGGGGACUAGCUCCAAGUAAAAGAGAGUGAAGCCUAAUUUAGUUCAGUUUUUAUAUUGUGUGUUAAUCUUGUUUGUUUAUCUGUUAUUUUUUAUUUGGCUAUUAUUAUUCUAUCAUAAUUAUUAUAUUGUGAUCUAUUGACUGUGUCUUAUUGGGGGUGCUCUGGUUGAUGAUACUUCGUGAGAUAGGCUCUUCACCCGAGUCUGAGGAAAACCAUAAGAUUAAGUUGGUGGUUGCGUAGUGGGCGCCCACAAGGAGUCUUCCUUGUUGGGAAGAAACGAAGACCCCGCCUAGAGGAGGUUCUCUUGAAAUAUCAUUGCCUGACGAGUUUUCGUCACGACGAUAAUAUUCUCAAGUUGGAUCAAUGACUCUAGGGACCUUUUAACCCAUUAUAUAUCCGGUGGUUAUGUAGUAUCUACCUGAAAAGUCCUAGACUUAUUGGGUUAGUACAAAAGCCCCAAUCAGAUGAGAUCCCUUGGGCGUAUUACUACCUUACAGUGGUAUUCCCAACCUCGAUCUACGACUCUGAGAAUCCUAUUAGAACCUGAGACUCAAGAGUUGUGUAGUAUGGACCCACUAGGAGUCUUCCUCUUUGGGACUAUACGAAGGCCUCACCCAAACGAGACUCUGUUUAGGGAUGUUAUUUGCAGAUGAGUUUUCAUCAUGACAAUGACUUUCCUGAAUAGCGAUUGAUGACUUUGGGAACCUUUUAACUUUAGCAUCCUUCUAAAAGGGUUUUGUUUAGUAACUAAGAAUACCCGCUCUCGCGACCUGUAUAUCAACCUACAUGUGACACGCAUAAUAUCAUUCAUAGCAUAACAUUUAUAUUAUUUUAUUUCCAAGGAAUCUGAGUAUCAUGAGUUGCAGGAAUUCAAGAAGCAUGGAAUCAAGCAAAAGAAACAUUUACUCUUUCAAAUUCAAGGAUCCCGAUCUGAAGAACUUACGUAACCUGGUCUCUCAGAUGCACCCUGUAUACAGAAUCAACUUUGGAAAGAAUUAUGGCAAUUUGCUCAGCAUCCUCAAUUAACAAGUGGACCAUACAACCUUGAUCACUUUAUCCCAAUUUUAUGACUUACCUUUAAGAUGCUUCACAUUCCAAGACUUCCAGCUAGCACCAACGUUGGAAGAAUUCGAGCGUCUUGUUAGGACGUGAAGGACAAGUCACUAUUUAAAGGGACAGAUGAAUCUUUGCCCCUCGAGGUCAUUGCUAGUGCGCUUCACAUGGAUGAAAAGGAAGCAAAAGAUAACUUAGAGACCAAAGGGAAUACCAAAGGGUUUUCACUAAGUUUUCUUUUGGAAAGAGCUCAUACCCUGUUGAAGGCAGAAAGUUGGGAUGCUUGUUACUCUGCUAUUGCAUUGGCUAUCUAUGGCAUCAUCCUGUUCCCGAAUAUGGAUGGAUUCGUAGACAUGACUGCCAUUUGUGUUUUUCUUACUGGAACCCAGUACCCACUUUGUUAGCCGAUGUCUAUUAUCACAUAAGUCAUAGGUAUACUAAGAAGAAGGGAUUGAUUGCUUGUUGUGCUCCUUUAUUGUAUCAGUGGUUUCUAGAAAUCUUCCGAAAGGUGCUUGGGUUGAACAGACAGAUGUUAGUUGGCCUCAGAGAUUGGGAUCACUCCGAUCUGAAGAUCUCUCUUGGUACUCCAAAGAAUAUAUCAACGUAGACAUCAUAUUCAGUUGUGGAGAUUUCCAAAAUCUACCGCUUAUUGGAACUCAAGGAUGUGUGAAUGCUAAUCCAGUUCUAUCACUCAGACAACUUGGCUACCCAAUGGAAGGCCCUCCAGAGGAAAAUUCUUUUGAAGCUUUCUUGUUACUUGACUUCAGGGUUGAGAAUCCUAGCUUAUUCCAGCGAAUUAAAGAGGCUUGGAAGAAUGUCAAUCGAAGAGGGAAAGCUGAGUUAGGGAGAGCAAAUGGGAUUACAAAAGAACCAUAUUUUCUGUGGGUAAAGGAAAGAGUGCAGAUGAUUAAAAUGCCAUUUGUCAUUCGGACACCUAUACCUCUUCCUGAACCUAAGCUCACCCAUGUCCCUAUUGAAGAAAUGGAGGAACUCAAGACCACCAUGGCAAAGCUAGAAAAAGAGAAUGAAGAUUUGCAGAUAAAACUCCAACAACCAUCAAUGAGAAAAACAAUAUGAAGUGGGAGCUCGAGAGAAAAGAGGCACAACUUCAAGCCCACGUGGAAAAGUUCAACAGGAGCAUAAGAGAAAGAAGAUCAAAGUGGGAUUAGAACAGGCUGAUCAUUGUUUGGAUACUCUUAAGGGUCAACUACGACAAGCUCAGAAAGAAUGUCAAGACAAUGAGCGUUGGUGGCAUCUAUCCACAAAAGAGAACAAGACAAUAAGGGAUACACUUGGGGCUCAGAUAAAAGAACUCACCAAUUAUGUUCGUCAUGCAAAAGCUGAAGUAGAUCAGGAGCGCCGACUCAAGAAAAUAGCCAUUGAAGCUUCUAGGGUGUCACCCAUGAUAUGGGAAGAGAAGUGUCGAGAAGUAAGAGAUGUCAGAGAGUCUGUAAGUUAUUGGAAGAACCAGCUAGAGUCAUUACGCCAAGACAGCUCCAUAUGGUUGAAAGAGCGAGACUAUGUGAUUGAAGAUUAUGAAUCCUCUAAAAAGACCAUAGACUUCUUACAAGGAGAUAGGGAUAAGUUUCGUGCAAAACUCGAUGGGCUAGUAGGAUUUUGUAAUUGGGCAGCUAAAGAAUUGCCAUGGAGGUUGAGAGAUAUAGUCAAAGAGUUGAAAGAAGAUAGCACUCCUCCAGCCAUAAUCAAUUUCGUUCUGCUCUGUAAAGGGUUGUUGAAGAGAUUCAAUGAGGAACUAAAAGAGCUUCAGGCCAGAAAGCCAGCUGUUUAAUUUGCCUAUGUCUUGUAUUUUGUUCCUUUAACAAAUGUACUUUUGAACUAUGACCUUCUUGGACCUCUAUGUUAUGUAUUGGAAUGGAUGAUGUUUAAAAACUACUCCAUUAUUGCUAUUUUGAGUAUUUUUUGUUUCUUCGAAUUACUAACAACUAAUGAAACUCGAAUGACUCCCUGGAAAUAAAAUAUGCAUAACAUUCGUAUCUUCAUUAUGCAUCACACUUCAUGGAAAUAAAAAAAACAUACCCAACCUUUUUACCCUUUAUCCAGCCACACUGACUAAUCAACACCGGUACGAGACGCGAAGCAAAUACAAGAUGACACUAGAGCAAGUUGAGGCCAACCAGGUUACCAUGAGGACAGACAUCAAUACGAUCCAGGAGAAGAUGGAUCAGUUGUUGGAAAUAAUGCUUGCGAUCGCUCAGAGAGAGAGGAGCGAGGAGGAAGAAGCUAGGGCAAAAAGGAAUGAUGGCGCACCAGGUCCGAAUCCCCAAGACGAAAGUUACGUCUCUACCAAGAAGAGAUUGGUUCAGAUACCAGUAGGAGGCAAGGGAGAUGGAGACUGUGCAGAACCUUCUGAUAUGUCUACUCAUCAUGGAUCCGAAAUUGGAGAUGACCAGUAUGAUGCAUUCUAUAUGCCUGAUCAACCAAAGCCUAAGAUACUUUCAGAUCCUACUGCAGAUAGGCUCCGUGCGUUGGAAAAGAAAAUCAAAGCCAUAAAAGGAAACAAUAUCUUCGGUGCUUCUUCCAUGAACAUGCGUUUGGUAUCGAAUUUAGCCAUCCCGGCUAAAUUUAAAACUCCCGAUUUCGAGAAAUAUAAAGGAUAGACUUAUCCAAGAAGUCACCUGGUAAUGUACUUUAGAAAAAUGGUUGCUCAUACCGAAAACGACAAACUACUUGUACACUGUUUCCAAGACAGUCUGAGUGGAGCAUCUCUGAGAUGGUACAUGAGCUUAGAACAGGGGAGAAUUCAAAGUUGGGAGGAUUUGGCUGACGCAUUUCUCCGUCAGUACAAAUACAACUUAGAUAUGGAACCCGACCGAAUGCAGUUGCAAGGGAUGGCUAUGAAGGAGAGUGAGUCAUUCAAAGAAUACGCCCAGCGGUGGAGAGAGUUGGCUGCUCAGGUAGAGCCACCAUUGUCUGAGAAGGAAAUGACCGGGUAAGAAUACGCCCAGCGGUGGAGAGAGUUGGCUGCUCAGGUAGAGCCACCAUUGUCUGAGAAGGAAAUGACCGGGAUAUUUGUGGACACCUUGAAGGACCCAUUCUUUGAUCGAUUAGUGAGCAGUGCAACAUCUGACUUCGCACAUCUAGUUACAAUUGGAGACCGCAUAGAGAAGGGGUUGAGGAAUGGAAAGAUUCCAGGAGCAGUGAUAGCAUCUAGCGCACCAAAGAAAUAUUCUGGAGGUUUCCCGAAGAAAAGAGAAGGCGAAACAAACGCCACAUCUAGAAACUAUAAAGGGAAGCAACAUGCUUCAUAUGGCCAAGUCGCUGUCGUGGUACCCAUACCCUAUCAACAGCCAAUACAAUAACAACAAAUGUAUCAGCCACAACAUUAUCAACAUCAUCAUCAGCAAAAUACCGCACCAACAAGACAGUUUAAGCCAAGACCUCCAAGAAGACAACUUGAUCCUCUACCAGUACCUUAUAGUCAGCUAUUCCCAUAUUUGCAGAAGGAGGGCCUUCUAACAUUGAGGGAAUUAAAACCAGCUAUUUUUCCAUAUCCACCUGGAUACGACGCUAAUGCCCAUUGCGAAUUUCACAUGGGAGCACCUGGUCAUACCUUGGAAAACUGUUUCGCAUUUCAGAAUCGAGUACAAGACUUGAUCGAAGCCAAGGUUAUUGCGAAUUUCACAUGGGAGCACCUGGUCAUACCUUGGAAAACUGUUUCGCAUUUCAGAAUCGAGUACAAGACUUGAUCGAAGCCAAGGUCGUUUCUUUCACUCCAAGACGCCCGAACGUGAACACCAAUCCUAUGCUGACGCAUAAGGAUGCUUCCGCCAGUGCCAUUGAGGAGAGUGAUCAAGGAAAAUUGAUCCGUAAGGUUGAAGAGAUUCAAACCCCUAUCACCAUGAUAGGAGCACAAUUGCUGAAGAGUGGUCUGAUCCCGGAAGAGCUGGUUGAGGAAGAGAAUAAUGAGGAGUUGAGAAGUUUUAUACAACAAAUGCUGGAUCGAGGCGAGUUACAGAUAACUUACUGUGUCAAGAGCAAGCACCAGGAAGAGAUAGUCGUGGUAGAUAUCCCCUAUGAUGAGGUCAAAGUAGAAAUACCUAUAAGCCCGUUGGUGAUAGAGUUCCCAACACCAUUCGAAUAUAAAGAUGAGAAGGCAGUCUCAUGGAUAUAUCAGCCCAGAGCUUUUAAGCAGGGGCAGGAAGAUAAACCUUUAAUGAGUAACGAACCAAAUGUCACUUCAAUUGUGGGGCCAGCAGGAAUGACGCGUAGUGGUCGGGUAUUCGCACCAAGAACUGCUGAUACUUCUGAGAGAGCUAAAGGGAAGGAGGCUGCUGUCCAGAUCCCCAUCCCUAAUUAGGGGAUGCAAGACAUGCACCUGUCUCCUAAAGCUGCUGUCACUCGUGAGGAGGCUGAGGAGUUUUUGAGAAUAAUCAAGAAGAGAGAUUAUAAGGUAGUGGACCAGCUAAACCAAACACCUUCUAAAAUUUCCAUGUUAUCUCUACUGCUCAACUCAGAAGCGCACAUGAAUUCACUGUUGAAAUUAUUAAGCGUCGCUCAUAUCACAAAGGACAUAACAAUAGAACAGUUUGAUGACGUGAUAGCUUGUGUGACUACUGGAAAUUUCUUGGGUUUUAAUGAUGACGAACUACCAAUUGAAGGAAAGAACCAUAACAAGGCUCUCCACAUCUCCUUGAAGUGCAUGGAUACUAUACUGUCAAGGGUGAUGACGAACUACCAAUUGAAGGAAAGAACCAUAACAAGGCUCUCCACAUCUCCUUGAAGUGCAUGGAUACUAUACUGUCAAGGGUGUUGGUAGACACAGGUUCCUCAUUGAACGUCAUGCCAAAGAUGACUUUGAUAAAGCUGCCAGUGGAAGGGAUAAGUAUGAAGCCCAGCACCCUAAUCGUAAAGGCAUUUGAUGGCUCAAGGCGAGCAGUGAUAGGAGAGGUUGACUUACCGACCAAGAUAGGUCCAACUAUUUUUAAUAUCACAUUCCAGGUCAUGGAUAUACAUCCUGGUUACAGUUGCCUACUUGGGAGACCAUGGAUUCACUCCGCAGGUGCUGCCACCUCCACUCUGCAUCAAUUACUAAAAUUCAUUACAAAUGACAAGAUGAUUAUGGUUGGAGGAGAAGAAGAUAUCUUGGUUAGUCAUUUGACAUCUUUCCGAUAUAUCGAGGUGGAUGGUGAAAUCACUGAGACACCCUUCAAAUCCUUGGAAGUAGUAAACAUGAUGGCCAUUCAACAGACCUUGGAGGUCCCGAAAUCAGGACCAUCCAUGGCCUCAUGGCAGGGAGCUAAAGCUGUUAUGGAAAGUGAAGAUGCUCAAGAUUGGGGCAAAGUGGUGGAAGUGAAAGAGAAACGAGACAAGUUUGGCUUGGGGUAUGACCCAUCAUCAGACAAAGCCAGUGACCAACCUGACAAAGAGAAGGUUCCUUCUGUGGAGAAAACGUUCACCAGCGCUAGCCACAUCUUUGGCAAGCAGGUGGCAAUGAUCAGUGAAGAAGACCGCAAGGAGGGGGUGUCCAGCUGGAUGCGUCAAGCCGCACCUAAUGAAGAACUAACAAACUAGAAGGCUGUGGAAGUUCCCCAAAUAUUUCAAAAGUAAUUUUAUCAUUUUUAGACAAAACCUUGUGCUCUGCCCAAGGCACAGUGGCAUGUUGUAGGGCCUCAUUUAUCUUUUUCAAGAGUUUUUAUCAUUAAUGAAAUGACGUUUUGCAUUCAAAGUUUUGUUCCUUUUCUUUCGUUUUGAUCUAUUUAUGAAAAUGGCAAUCAAUUUUUAUGCACGCACUUUCUAAAUAAACUGCAUAAAUCAUAACAUGCAGAAACACCACCGAGACCAUUGAUAACGUGUGACGAUACCAGGUUAUACUGAUUGAUUGUCCAAUCUACCAAGCUGAAGACGAAGUGGGGGAAGAUUGCGAACUCCCUGAAGAGUUGGCCAGAUUACUCAGACAAGAAGAAAAGGUCAUUCAACCGCACCAAGAAGACGUUGAAGUUAUCAAUCUGGGAAAAGAAGAAGAUAAGAGAGAAGUAAGGGUAGGCGUCGCGCUUCAAGAUACAGUGAAGACAAGAUUGAUAGAGUUCCUCCACGAAUAUGAUGACGUGUUUGCUUGGUCAUACCAAGACAUGCCUGGAUUAGAUACUGAUAUUGUGACUCACAAGCUUCCCCUUAAAGAAGAAUGCCCUACCGUCAAACAAAAGCUAAGAAGAACUCGACCAGAUAUGGCUCUCAAGAUCAGAGAAGAGGUGAGAAAGCAGUUUGACGCUGGUUUCCUGGAAGUCGUUAAAUACCCACAAUGGGUUGCCAACAUUGUACCGGUGCCGAAGAAAGAUGGAAAAGUCCGCAUGUGCGUAGACUACCGAGACUUAAAUAGAGCUAGUCCUAAAGACGAUUUCCCAUUACCUCACAUUGAUGUAUUGGUGGAUAACACAGCUCAGUUCUCCGUGUUUUCCUUUAUGGAUGGUUUCUCAAGAUACAACCAAAGUAAAAUGGAUCCCGAAGACAUGGAGAAGACCACGUUCAUUACUCCUUGGGGCACCUUUUGUUACAAAGUAAUGUCGUUUGGAUUAAAAAACGCUGGGGCAACAUAUCAACGUGCCAUGGUGACUCUCUUUCACGACAUGAUUCAUGAAGAGAUUGAGGUGUAUUUCAAUGACAUGAUUGCCAAAUCCCAGACAGAAGAAGAGCACAUCACCAACCUGGGGAAAUUAUUCGCUCGUUUGAGGAAGUUUAGGUUGAGACUUAAUCCUAAUAAAUGCAUAUUUGGCGUUCGAUCUGGGAAGCUUUUAGGCUUUAUUGUAAGCCAAAAGGGAAUUGAAGUAGAUCCUGACAAGGUUCGAGCCAUUCAGAACAUGCCUGCACCAAAGACUGAAAAGGAGGUUUGUGGUUUCUUGGGGAAACUAAAUUACAUCGCUAGGUUUAUUUCUCACCUUACUGCAACGUGCAAACCAAUAUUCAAGCUUCUGAGGAAGAAUCAAGGUGUGGAGUGGAAUGAGGACUGUCAGAUAGCCUUCGAUAAAAUCAAAGAAUACUUGCAAGAGCCACCGAUUUUAAUGCCCCCUGCCGAAGGGAGACCUCUGAUCAUGUAUCUAACCGUGCUCGAUGAGUCCAUGGGCUGUGUAUUGGGACAACAAGAUGAGACUGGUAGAAAAGAGCAUGCCAUCUAUUACCUGAGCAAGAAAUUUAAUAAUUGUGAGACCAGAUAUUCAUUACUCGAGAAGACUUGUUGUGCACUCGCAUGGGCUGCUAAGCGUCUCAGGAAGUACAUGCUAACCCACACAACUUGGAUGGUAUCUAAAAUGGAUCCCAUCAAGUACAUAUUCGAGAAACCAGCUAUCACUAGUAGGAUUGCUCGAUGGAAGAUGUUGUUGUCAGAAUAUGAUAUCCAAUAUGUUGCACAAAAAAGCAAUCAAGGGAAGCAUACUAGCAGACCAUGUUGCUCACCAACCACUGGAGGAUUACCAAUCUUUGAAAUUUGACUUUCCAGAUGAGGACAUCAUGGCUGUUAAGGAUGUUGAAGACUCCGAACUAGAGGAAAGCCUCGGGCCAAGAGCAGGUUGGACGCUCAUGUUUGAUGGUGCCUCAAAUGCAAUAGGCCAUGGAAUUAGGGCAGUGCUGAUGUCUCCCAAGAAUUUCCAUCUACCAUUCACCACAAAGAUCUGUUUUACCUGCACAAAUAAUAUGGCCGAGUAUGAAGCUUGCAUACUAGGGUUGGAAGAAGCUAUUGAGUUGAAGAUCAAGAUACUAGAAGUAUUCAGGGACUCCGCUCUAGUCAUACAUCAGAUCAGAGGCGAUUGGGAAACAAGACUGCUUGCAUACUAGGGUUGGAAGAAGCUAUUGAGUUGAAGAUCAAGAUACUAGAAGUAUUCAGGGACUCCGCUCUAGUCAUACAUCAGAUCAGAGGCGAUUGGGAAACAAGACAUGCUAACCUAAUUCUAUACCGGGAUUAUGUGCUGAAGCUACUCCCAAAGUUCAACGAAAUCACUUUCUCUCAUAUUCCUCGAGAAGAGAAUCAGAUGGAAGAUGCCUUAGCAACUUUGGCUUCCAUGUACAAAUUAAUAUGGCCCAGCCAUCAGCCUCAUAUUGAGAUUAGGCGUUUUAACGAACCUGCUCAUUUCCUGACGACAACAGAAGAGCCAGAUGGUAAACCCUGGUUCUUUGAUAUCAAACAGUAUCUGGAGAAGCGGGAAUAUCCGGCAGAGGCUUCCAGCCUUGACAAAAGGACCCUCCGGAGGUUGGCGUCAAAGUUCCUUUUAAAUGGAGAGGUAUUGUACAAACAAAACUACGACAUGGUCUUGUUGAGGUGUGUGGACAAACACGAGGCUAACCAGCUUAUGAGGGACAUACACGAAGGGUCUUUCGGUACACACGCCAAUGGGCAUGCCAUGGCAAAGAAAAUCCUAAGGGCAUGUUACUACUGGUUGACGAUGGAAGCUGACUGUUAUCAUUACACCAGAGCAUGCCACAAAUACCAAAUCUAUGCUGACAAAAUACAUGUACCACCUACUCCGUUAAAUGUCAUAACAUCACCUUGGCCUUUCUCUAUGUGGGGCAUCGACAUGAUUGGAAUGAUAGAACCCAAAGCAUCAAAUGGACACAGAUUUAUCUUGGUGGCCAUAGAUUACUUUACCAAAUGGGUGGAAGUCGCGUCUCUUGGCCUUUCUCUAUGUGGGGCAUCGACAUGAUUGGAAUGAUAGAACCCAAAGCAUCAAAUGGACACAGAUUUAUCUUGGUGGCCAUAGAUUACUUUACCAAAUGGGUGGAAGUCGCGUCUUAUGCGAAUGUCACAAAGCACGUGGUCGCCCGUUUCUUGAAAAAUAACAUCAUAUGUUGAUAUGGUAUUCCUAACAAAAUCAUCAUCGAUAAUGGGUCCAAUCUCAACAACAAGACCAUGGAUGAGUUAUGCGCAACAUUCAAGAUCGAGCACCACAACUCAUCACCCUAUCGACCUAAGAUGAAUGAGGCUGUUGAAGUUGUAAAUAAAAAUAUCAAGAAAAUCAUCCAAAAGACGGUUGUUACGUACAAGGAUUGGCACGAGAUGUUACCUUUUGUGUUACAUGGCUAUCGCACGUCGAUACGAACUUCAACAGGGGCAACCCCUUAUUCCUUGGUAUACGGUAUGGAAGAAGUUCUCCCUAUAGAAGUAGAGAUCCCCUCGAUGAGAGUCUUGAUGGAGGCUAAGCUAGGCGAGGCGGAAUGGGUUCAAUCAAGGUAUGACGAGCUCAACCUUAUUGAGGAGAAACGCUUGAAAGCGUUAAGUCACAGUCAACUCUAUCAGAGGCGUCUUAAAAAGGCAUUCGACAAGAAAGUUCGUCCCAGGGUGUUUCAAGAGGGAGAUUUAGUACUGAAGAAAAUCUUUCCCAUUCACAAAGAUUCUAGAGGGAAAUGGACACCAAAUUAUGAAGGCCCAUUUGUGGUGGUUAGAGCCUUCUCCGGAGGCGCUCUAAUUCUAGAAACUAUGGAUGGUGAUGAGUUGCCGCUUCCCACCAACGCUGAUGCUGUUAAAAAGUACUUCGCCUAAAAAAGUGGAAUAAUAAAAUCCGCUAAAUCGAAAACCUGAAAGGGCAAUUUAGGCAAAAAUGGCUAUCCUGGUGAAUCGAAAACCCGAAAGGGCGAUCCAGGCCAAAAAUUAGGGAUAAAAAUAAAAGAAUUUGACCCGCUGAGUUGAAAACCCGAAAAGGCGACUCAGGCAAAAAUGGGUAUCCCGGUGGAUCGAAAACCCGAAAGGGCGGUCCAGACAAAAGUUAGGGAUUAAUUCCAAGGCAAAGAGAUGUACUUACAGACAUCUGACAUACCCUCGAAGACAAAGAAUCAGUCUACCUCACUUUUCAAAAGCAAAGUGCUCGGGCUAUCAAAGACAUAAGGAUCAUAGCCGUGGGGAAACUCAAUAAGAACUCAAUUCUCAUUGCCAUUUUGUUUCUAUGCACAACAAUUACCUCAUUAAGGAAUUGCGUCUUUAUGUCCAAUCACCCAUUUAAAGGUCAAAUCAAUAAAAGAGAAUUUUUCUCAACAAAGUGUGCCGAAAUCAUUUUAUUUUUUCUGUUUGUUUGCAAAGCACCUUUUAUUUUUGAUAAACAUGACUUUUAAAAACUAUUGGAGAAAAUAAAAUGCAUGUUUGAAUAAAGUGGUAAAAUUUCUUUUGAAACAGUAAGCGGACGAAUCCUUUAGUCCCCAAAUUUCACUCUUGUCUUUCAUAAAGGUGCAGGACUGAUUGCAGACGGUUAUGUUCCUUUCAACUACUGAUUCAUACCUCUCAUAAAUGUACUCAUGGUAUAGCCAGACCGGGGCAAGGCUCCAUCACAUUUCUCUUGUCUUUCAUAAAGGUGCAGGACUGAUUGCAGACGGUUAUGUUCCUUUCAACUACUGAUUCAUACCUCUCAUAAAUGUACUCAUGGUAUAGCCAGACCGGGGCAAGGCUCCAUCACAUUUCCAGCAGAAACAUUGAUAAAUCAUGGAUAGAGUAUCGCGUGUUGAAAAGUCUGAACCUUUCAAUAACUCGGAACAACCCAAAUAUAUUCCCUAAAACCACCUAGCAGGGGCAUUAAAAUUUGAUCUCCAUUGAUUGCCCCAAUGAUAAAAAAAUCCAUACUGUUGGCAUCAUACCUCAAAGCGAAAUGUCUUAACCGGGGCAUAUCUAAUUACCCAGUUGCAUUCCUACAUGCAUCACAGGCAUCAUUUCAUGCAUAAUUUCCUGCCAAACAAGAAGAUUCAUCAAACACAGUCAUAUCAAUCAUCAACAUACUCAUGCAUAACACUCCCACAAAAUGGGAAUUUCAACAAAAUAAAAAUCAUUCGCAUUCCUACAUGCACAGCCAAAUAUCCCCAGCAAUUGCAUACUUGCAUACAUCCCAUGCAUCAUCCCAUGCAUGGAAUUCCCACCUAAAGUGGAACAUCAUACAAAAAUCAAAUAUGAAAUAACAGGAUCCAAGGUCAUUCACAUAUGUCUCGGACAUUCCUCAUUCCCAAAUGAAGUUAUUCCCCUACAUAGGCUCGUAGGGUUAUUUCUCAGCAAAUCAUUUUUCAACUUUUUAAAUAAUGAUAUUCCCAGUAUUUUUCUUUACAGUCAUUUCUCCCCAAGCAGAGGUUACCCUAAAAAGUCUCUUAUGAGCUUUUUCCCCUGCAGAGUAUUUCUAGUAAAUCUCCCUCAAAAGGAGUCUUUUCAAAAAAAAUCCCCCAACAGAUGAAUAUUCGAGAUACUGCUUCAAUCAUCUGAAGAAUCUCAUUUCUUUGUUUGAGAUACUGCUUCAUUCAUUUGAAGAAUCUCAUUUUUGUUUUUAGAGAUACUGCUUUAAUAUCCUCGAAGAGUCUUAGAUUCAAUUAAGGUAGUUUUUCCUUGCUGGAAUAUCUUAAUUCUAUCAUAUAAGAUGUUGUUUCGAUCCGAUACAGAGAAUCUCACUUUUUACUGUUUGAGAUGCUGCUUCAUCAAUAUGAAGAGUCUCAUUUCAAGAUUUUUUAGAGAUACUGCUAAGUAUACUCGAAGAGUCUUAGAUUCAAUUAAGGUAUCAUUCCCUCGUUCAGAAUAUCUUAAUUCUAUCAUAUAAGAUGCUAUUUUGACCCGAUACAGAGAAUCUCACUUUUUACUGUUUGAGAUGCUGCUUCAUCAAUAUGAAGAGUCUCAUUUCAGAUUUUUUUAGAGAUACUGCUCUAAGUAUCCUCGGAGAGUCUUAGAUUCAAUUAAGUGAAUCUCACUUUUUACUGUUUGAGAUGCUGCUUCAUCAAUAUGAAGAGUCUCAUUUCAGAUUUUUUUAGAGAUACUGCUCUAAGUAUCCUCGGAGAGUCUUAGAUUCAAUUAAGGUAUCAUUCCCUCGUUCAGAAUAUCUUAAUUCUAUCAUAUAAGAUGCUGUUUAGACCCGAUACAGAGAAUCUCACUUUUUACUGUUUGAGGUGUUGCUUCAUCAAUAUGAAGAGUCUCAUUUCAAGAUUUUUUUAGAGAUACUGCUCUAAGUAUCCUCGGAGAGUCUUAGAUUCAAUUAAGGUAGUUUUCCCUUGCUGGAAUAUCUUAAUUUUAUGAUAUAAGAUGCUGUUUUGAUCCGAUACAGAGAAUCUCAUUUUUACUGUUUGAGACGCUACUUCAUCAAUAUGAAGAGUCUCAUUUCAGAUUUCUUUUAGAGAUACCGCUCUAAGUAUCCUCGGAAAUUCUUAGAUUUAAUUAAGGUAUCAUUCCCUUGUUCGGAAUAUCUCAAUUCUAUCAUAUAAGAUGCUGUUUCGACCCGAUACAGAGAAUCUCAUUUUUACUGUUUGAGAUGCUGCUUCAUCAAUAUGAAGAGUCUCAUUCCAGAUUUUUUUAGAGAUACGGCUCUAAUAUCCUCGGAGAGGUCUAGUUCAUUAGGUAGUUUUCCCUUGCUGGAAUAUCUUAAUUCUAUCAUAUAAGAUGUUGUUUCGAUCUGAUAUAGAGAAUCUCAUUUUUACUGGUUGAGACGCUGCUUCAUCAUAUAAAGAGUCUCAUUUUAGAUUUCUUUUAGAGAUACUGCUUAAAUAUCCUCGGAGAGUCUUAGAUUCAAUUAAAGUAUUUUUCCCUUGCUGGAAUAUUUUAAUUCUAUCAUAUAAGAUGCUGCUUCGACUCGAUACAGAGAAUCUCACUUUUACUGUUGAGAUGCUGCUUAAUCGAUAUGAAGAGUCUCAUGCCAGAUUUUCUUUAUACUGCUCUAGCAUCUUGAAAAAUCUUGAGAUUUAGCUAGGGAUGUCAUUCCAUUGCUAACAUAUCUCGACUGAGAUAUCCAAGAUACUGUUCUGAUGACUCACAGAAAGUCUUGACUGUUCCAUUUUACAGUGGGAUAAUGUCUUUUGCCAUUUCUCACCGUAUUUUCUUCAUGUAUUUUCUUCCUUUCAUUUCCUAGGACAAAAUUUGGGUCUUCUUGUAUUUAAUUAUCUCCCACCGUGAAUGCGUAAAGACUACUGUCAUUAUCACUUACCAGAUUGAGGUAAUUAAAUAGGGGCAGCUGUCAAACCUCAAUUUUGUCCGGUCAUUUGUGGUUUACCCAUGAGAUCUCUUUGUUUCGAAGGUCCAUUUGCAUAAGCGUGUUCAUAAUCUAAAAUGUGGUUUGAAUCUUUCUACAUUACUAAUCCAAAAUCUAUUUUCUUAUUAGUAAGUAUUAAGAGCCAUGUUAUUAUUUCUAUGAGCACUAUUUAUUAAUCCAUUUACACACCCCAAAUAUUUAUGCCAAGUUCUAAGUCUUUCAUAGUAGUAAGUAUUAAGAGCCAUGUUAUUAUUUCUAUGAGCACUAUUUAUUAAUCCAUUUACACACCCCAAAUAUUUAUGCCAAGUUCUAAGUCUUUCAUAGGUUCCUAAAUUAAAUUUGCAUUUUUUUUUUGAGUUAGAAUGGUGUUGUUUUUAAAUUAAAGCACCAUAUUUAGAUUUAUGUGUUGAAGUUAGAAUUGUGUUGUUUUUAAAUUAAAGCACCAUAUUUAAAUUUAUGUAUUGAAAUUAGAAUUGUGUUGUUUUUAAAUUAAGUCACUAUAUUUAGAUUCAUGUGUUGAAAUUAGAAUUGUGUUGUUUUUAAAUUAAAGAACCAUAUUUAGAUUUAUGUGUUGAAGUUAGAAUUGUGUUGUUUUUUAAUUUAAAGCACCAUAUUUAGAUUUAUGUGUUGAAAUUAGAAUUGUGUUGUUUUUAAAUUAAGUCACUAUAUUUAGAUUCAUGUGUUGAAAUUAGAAUUGUGUUGUUUUUAAAUUAAAGCACCAUAUUUAUUGUGUUGUUUUUAAAUUAAGUCACUAUAUUUAGAUUCAUGUGUUGAAAUUAGAAUUGUGUUGUUUUUAAAUUAAAGCACCAUAUUUAGAUUUAUGUGUUGAAAUUAGAAUUGUGUUGUUUUUAAAUUAAGUCACUAUAUUUAGAUUCAUGUGUUGAAAUUAGAAUUGUGUUGUUUUAAAAUUAAAAUACCAUAUUUAGAUUUAUGCGUUGAAGUUAGAAUUGUGUUGUUUUUCAAUUAAGUCAUUAUAUUUGGGUUCUUUGUACCUAAGUUGAAAGUGUAUUGUUUUUAGAGUUGAAAUUACAUUGACAUGUCUUGUUUUAAAUUCUUGAUCACAUUUGUUUUUUUUUUAUUAAUGAUAACAUGCUAAGAGGCAAUUUUUGGUUGAAUGUUCAUGGUGGCCCAAGUAGGUUGCCAAUUGAAACAAAAAGACAAAGUUCAAAAUACUCUAUUUGAUUAGCAUAAAUAAAAAUAUUGAGAUAAGUUUUGAAAGCUUAAAAGGUAAUUACAUAGUUAAAAUUUAAUCCAAUGGGUUACAAAUAGUCCAAAUACACAUUUGUCUCAAAAACCUAAGUAAUUACAUUUUAAUUGAGUAGAAAGUUGCUGCUCUUGGAAACAAAAUUCUAAGGACCAAAACCAGGUGACCCAGUUGAAACCUUUUUGGACUUGGGCACGUCUCAAAACAUGCUUUCUUGGAGCUUCAUGCAGCCCACCUUCCAUUCCAUCAAGGUCACUUCAAGUUGUAACCUGCAGAGAAAAACAACUUAAUUAAAAAGUAAUUUCCAAAAGCGCUUAAAGAACUGAAAAAUAACUAAAUAAAUUACUCAGUUUAAUACUUUAUCCAGAAGGCUAACUUGAACAUCCAAAAAACAUGUCAAAAUUGGUCUAAAACAAUAACAAAUCAACAGAAAUCGAAUCCCACAUAAUCUGGGAUGGGACAAAUUGAAAAAGAGUUUUCUUAAGUUCACCAGUUGGACGGAUAAAAGAUGAGAAGUUAACAGCAAAAAACACAGCAGGAUAUUUCUAAAAAAAAAACCCUAAAAACUAAACAUAGAGGAUUUUCUUGAAAUCCCAGAGAGCAAUCUAAAAUAAUUUCAUUAAGAACAUCAAACACAUCGUAUUCAAAACAACAACAAAUCUUAAAAAGGAAAAGAGAAAAACCCACCCGUGAUUCUGCACAAAUUUUGAUUGAAAUCCAAAUCACAAAACCCCCCAGUAAAAUUCCAAGAAAACUCGUUUGAAAUUUCCCGAAUCAUGUUUAUGAAGCAAAUGGGCUCAAACCUUAACAGCAUCACUUAUACGAAGAGUAGUGGAAAAACAAAGGGGAUAUAGCUUACCUCAUUGAAGAAUCGCUUGAAAGCCUUUGCUGGAAUUCGAAAGAUCUCGCCAACCCGGAGAUUUUUAGAACUUCUGAUUUGGUAAACCAUUCGCGUCUACUUUCUCCUCCGAGUUCCUUUUUAUCAUCCAUUACGCUUUGCUGCAACUUUUAUUCUUCUGUGUUGAACCAAAUCCAUGGCAUUUGAUAGAUAGGUUCUCUAAUUUUUUACAUGAUUUUGCUUUGUGCGCGUUUGAUAUUGGUUCUUCGUUUGAGCUUGGUUUUUGCAUGUUGUUUUGUUGUUGUGUGCCAUGAAUUCGUGAGAAGGAGAAAGAGAGAAUCGAUUCAUAAAACAGAGUUAGGAGAGAGAGAGAGUGAAGCGACGGAGAAGAGCGGAGGCUCCGCCGUGAGUCGUCGCCUUCGGCCGUCUUCUCCGGGAAGGAAGUUUCUUUAGGGUUUAUAGAUUUUUUUGAAACGGUUGGUUGUAUGAUGCGAAUUCAUGAGAGAGAGAGAAGGUCAUAAAGAGAGAAGGAAAGUGAAUAUUAUACUGAGAUUUGUGUAGGUUUGAUUUGCUGUAUGUGAGUUAUUAGCAUUAAACUCCCAUUUAAUUUUUUUAUUAUUAUUCCUCUUUUUGAAUUCAUAAUUAAGAAAGGGGAUUAAAUGGGGAGAGGGACAGUUGGGUCGGUAUAUUAAAUGCGUGGAUAAUAACGUUUUGGAAAACUCGUUACUUUGUGAUCAUGAGAAUUGGGAAAGUUUUUCUUUCAUUGCCCUGCAGAAACGAGAAAGAGUCGGUUGGGAUCCAACCCAGACUGUGGACCGAAAAAAAGCCAUCGUUUCACCCUUGGGCUUCCUGGGUUUAGGCCCAUUUGUUUCCUUUAAUGAGUGUGCGCCCUGAUGGGCUUCAGAGGCCUUCAGGGCCCAUUUAUUUAUUUAUUUUUUAAUUCUGUCACUUUUUUUAGCAUAAUAAAUCAAUUUGAAUUUAUGAAUUUUGUUUGUUAAUUAACACUUUUACUAUCCUCAUUAUUUAAACAUCAAUUAUAUAGUUUAUUACCAUUUAAUAAAUUAAUAUGUUGUAUUAUCACUAUAAUUUAGAUAUUUUUUCUUCUUUUAGAUAUUAUUUCGACAGUAUUGUUUAUGUUUGCAGUCAUUUGUGUGUACAGUUAAUCAAUUUUCAUGUGUAUGUUUGGUCAAAAAAUAAACCAGAUUCCAUUUCAUCAUCGACUCCAACUACAUUGGAAUACCAUAAAAUCAUCAAUUCAAUUCUCGAUUUUGAUAUCAAACCAUGCCGUUUGUAAUCGAUUGCUUCUAUAGGCAUCGCCAUCAACCUCACAUAGCUAUUACUCUGGGCAAUUUCUUACAAUGAGGCCUAUUCGGUUAUAAUUAAGCGAUUAGAUGAGCAUUCACAUAAAUAAAUUUCAAUUCAUUCACAAAAUACAAAUUUUAAACCUCGAUCCGACUCGGAUAUUCUCUAUAAAACGUUAAAUUACAAAGACGCUACAUCCACAACUAACAUCUAUUUCAUUGUUAGGAAGAAAAAAGGAGAUGUUGUUGAGUUUUUUCAAUCGCGUCUCCCGAUUAUUUGAACAUGAAUUCUUUUACUCGGUUAGUCAAAAUAGUCGUUAUUUUAACACCCACCUAAGCACAAACAAAUCGAAUCAUUUUAUAAUAAGAAACGAAAAGGGAGAUGACUUUGAGUCUUCAAUUUUUCUCCUCGAUUAUUUGAAUACAAGUUCUCUUACUUGGUUAGUCAAAUAAUUGUCGCUCCUCUACAAACUUCCAAACCUCGAUUAAAUCAAAGUAUUUCCAUAGUAAGCUAAAUGAAAAGGAAGUUGAUUUUGAGUUUUCAACUUCUCUCCUCAAUUGUUUGAAUACGAGUUUUCUUACUCGGUCAGUCGAACAAUUGUCAUUUUUCCACCAACUUACAACUUAAUCAAAUCAUUUUUACAACGAACUAUACGAAAAGGGAGAUGGUCAUGAGUCUUCAAUUCCUCUUCUCAAAUGCUUGGAUAUGAGUUCUCUUACUCAGCUAUUCGAGUACUUGUCGUUUAUUCUAAAAUACGUCAACCAUAUACAACCUUAUUUUCAUAAAUAUUCAGAUGAAACAGAAAUCGGUCUAGAGUCUUCUAUUCCUCUUCUCGAUUAUUAGGAUACGAGUUGUCUUACUCGAUUAUCCAAUUAUUCAUCAUCCGUUCAAAACACUUUAAUUAUUAUCAAAUCCUUUCUAUAAUUAAGGAUGAAAAAGAAAGUGGUCUAGAGUCUUCUAUUCCUCUUCCCGAUUAUUAGGAUACGAGUUGUCUUACUCGUCAAAACACUUUAAUUAUUAUCAAAUCCUUUCUAUAAUUAAGGAUGAAAAAGAAAGUGGUCUAGAGUCUUCUAUUCCUCUUCCCGAUUAUUAGGAUACGAGUUGUCUUACUCGAUUAUCCGAGUAUUCAUCAUCCAUUCAAAAAUACCUUAAUUAUUAUCAAAUCCUUUCUAUAAUUAAGGAUGAAAAAUAAAGUGGUCUAGAGUCUUCUAUUCCCUUUCCCGACUGUUAGGAUACGAGUCGUCUUAUUCGAAUAUCCGGGUAAUUGUCAUCCAACCAAAAACAUCUCAACCAAUCAAAACAUCCAACAUACUAAUCCAACGUGUCACCUUCGUGUGAUCAAAAUCUUUCCAAAAAGAACACCAUUUAGUCCUCUCUAAUGCGCACAACAAACUAGUGCUUAAGCCUCCGCCGAGAGUAGACAAGCCAACGUUUAGCCUUUAGGAUGCGAUCUAAACGGUUGUUCAUUAAAAAACACCAAUCAACCGUAGUUCCCCGAACGACGAAUGCUCUGACUUCCUUAUUUCACCAUAAGGAUACGUAGGCAGGAGAUUGUUGUAUCUUCGCGAGCACACUAAUAAAAAACCUCCCCUUUCUCCUUUCUGAGGUUCUUAUCCAUUUCUAUUUUCGACAUUUUAUAACCCAAAGAUAACAAACAAACAUAAAUUAACACUCGAAACGCAAAUUAGAACUAAAAGGUUCCCGCUUAGUACAGCGGACGUGAGGGGUGCUAAUACCUUCCUCUUGCGUAAUCCACUCCCGAACCCGAAUAUGGUUGCGACGACCACUAUUCUAUCAUUCAAAAGGUUUUAUUGAUAUUUUCCUAUCCCUUUAUUAGGGAUAAAUAAAAGUUCGGUGGCGACUCUGUUCGAACAUAAUUUUUUCCGCGACCAUCGCGAGGAAUCGUAUUUUUCGAGAUGCGGCACGUAUUUGCUUCAAGCUUGGGGGUGGUCAAGAAUGUUGUCGCUCGCCCCGAUAAAUGAGCGCCCAUUCAUGUUCCCGUUUGCAACCAAGUAAGUCUAACACUUUACCAUUCACCAUUUAGUUAAUUAUAUUUAUUAUUAUAAUUAACAGUAAAUAAUAUUUUUUCACUUCUUUUUAUUAUCUUAGGUGGUCAGUAAGGGGAAUGAACUACAACAGGUGUCCGAAACACGCUAUUGUAGUCUAUCGAAAUCUAUUGGACCACAUUGGACAUGACGAUGUAAUAAUCCUAUCGAACUAUAUUUUAAUUUAAAAAUACUUCUCAAAUUAUUUUUCAUCUAACCAUUUCGUAUUGUUUUACGGUUUGUUUGGAGGCCAUAUCUGGGUCUGAAUCAUGAUGUGAACCAUGACGAUGCUGCAGUUUGGACAUCGAAGACACCGAUUAUCCGAUUCACUACGGUGGAAAUGCACCCAAGUGACCGGGUCAAACUGCAGUUCAGAAUGCUACAACAGAUUCCAGAAUCUCCCACGUGUUUGGGGAAUUGGCAUAAAAAAAGGGUCGAUGCACAGUGGGAUUAUUCUGACUGGAGAGACUUUGCAAAAGACAUGUGUCAUCAAUGGAGGAAUCGACGACAACACAUCUUAAAUGAACCAGUCAUCCAAGGUGCAAGACCCACUCAAAAAUAUAUGGCAUGGUUUAGGUCGGUAACAACUCAACAAUUUGUAUAUGAGCCGCAGUAUUUGAUGGAUCCACGCUAACAUGCUUCGUCAUCGUAUGCCCCACAACAAUUCACCACCCAACACCAAUGUGAACCCACCCAAACCCAACAACCAACCACACAACAUCAACCGACCACAUACACACAACAACCAAACACCCAACAUCGCUAACAAUUCACCACCCAACACCAAUGUGAACCCACCCAAACCCAACAACCAACCACACAACAUCAACCGACCACAUACACACAACAACCAAACACCCAACAUCGCAACCCGUUCAUGCCAACCACCCAGCAACCAACCAUCCAACGUCACAAUCCAUUCAUACCAUCCACCCAAACACAAAACCAAUAAUCAAACCCCGCAACCACAACCGUCUAUAGCACAGAUGAUUCAUAUGGGUCACUUCAUCGUAGCCCCCCACCAAUGAACACCCAACCAUUGUUUAACUAUAGUACGCCCCAGGAACCAUUGCUUAGUUUCCAAAACGACUCAAUGGCCCAAUUUGGGAAACUAUACCGUCCCCAAUUCACCCAACCCCAACGCCCUAACUACGAUGACAUGAGCACUGAACUCCAUUACGGAAGCGUCGUUGGCUAGAGCCCCUCCGGAUAUUGGGAGCAAAUGAUGACACAUUUGUCAAAUACCGCUGGAACUUCCGCCGGACCUUCCAACCAGUCAUCGCUCGAUCAAGUCAGCACCCAAAGACCACCAACACCUCAAGAAAAUUGUGGGAGACCUUAGAGACAAACUAACGCACCGAAAUGUGGAACCAAGGGACGUUAUAAUCGGGCGGAUCAUUAGUUUAUUGUCAGUCCAAUCCAAUGUAACUAAUUAUUACAUAUUCAAUGAAUUUUUAUUUUUCAUUAUUAUUUCUUAUUUAUUAAAUAAUAAAAAUUAAAUAAUAAAAAUUAAAAAAACUAAAAAUAAAAAAUAAAAAAAAUUGGAGGGGUGGCUCAUACACCCACCAACCAAAACACACUAAGGUGUCACUAGCAUUGGCGCCUCCUCAUGAGGCUCAAUGCAGACGCCACUAGCAUUGGCACCUCCUCAUGAGAAGCCCAAUGCAUGCGUCAAUGCUAUUGACGCCUCCUCUUAGUAGUUUUGGGGUGUUCCAAUUCAUCUGGCGCAUCCUCUAUCAAAUUUGGUUUAUUUGGUUUUUUUUUGAAUAAUUGGUUAUUUUGAAAAAAAAAUUGAAAAAAUUAGUUAUUUUGAAAAAAAAUUCUAAAAUUGUUUUAAUAUAAGUUAAAGGAGGUGGGUUUACUUUUUAUAAAAAUAAAAUUGGCUAGUACUUUUGAAACUUGUAACUGUUUGUGAAGUUGACGCAAAAUGAAUUUAAUGAAGCAUAUUAGGAAGUUGACGCAAAAUGAAUUUAAUGAAGCAUGAUUUGUUUAAAAUAUUUGAUAUAAAUAUUAGUUACGAAAUUGUCGCAUUGAUAAUAAUUUAAAAAAAUUUAAGUGAUUGAAUGUAACUCCACAUGUUAGUUGCUUAUCAAGGUCAUAGUUACAAUAUAUAUUUGGGUUUAGGUACGUUAUAGUUUAAUUAGAAUGGACAAAUCAUUAGUUUCAACUUCUAAGAGGAUGGGUCCAUAAAGACCUAAUGAUCCACCACAAACUUUAAGAAUGCUUAUUUAUGUGGCACCUCCUAAUAAAAUAAUAUGUAGAUUACUCAAGUGAUGUUUUUAAUCAUUGCUAUAUUAUUAUUUAAUUAUUUAAUUAUUUAAUAUUAAAUAAUAUAUUUUUAAUUAAUCUAAAUAAUUGAUUAUCAUUUUAUAUUAAUCAUCUUCAUCUUCAAAUCAUCAUCAUCUUCAAACAUUCAUCUUCUUAAUCUUCAAAACUCAUAUCUGUUGGAAAUCCUCCAAAAUUUAUGGAGAAUUUCAAUCAAUCUUGAUAAACAAGAUUGUUAUCACUCACACAAUAGCAAUGAAAAGAAAGAACAAUGGAGAAAGAAAGAGUGUAAAGAACGAUGAAGGAGAAGAGUAAUAUAAUUCUGCAGAGUUUCUCUCUGUCCACAAACUGUGGAAAACUUCUUAUUCACUUUGCAACUGCAAAAUACUGUGAAUACAAUGUUAUGAAUGUUUUAUUCACUUCAUUACAAAAAUAAGGGUUACUCCCUAUAUUUAUAGAUUUAGGUUAACUUGGACCUCAAGUCCAAGCCAAAAACUAUAAAAGUCCAAAAUAGCUAACACUACUAAAAUAGGCCUAAGUCAAAAUCUUGUGUGAAGCAACAUGCUUCGACACUUUGACACACUAACACAACUCAACACACUAGGUGGUUCGACACUUCCUUACUCUGUCGAGCAACCUGCUUCGACACAAGGAAUUACAAUUCAACACACCACCUAAUUCAUUGUGUCUAAGCUAUCUACACUCAUCAUAGCUCUUAGUCUUCUGAACACUUCGACCUGCACUCCCUUCGUCAUGAUGUCUGCAAUCUGAUUCUCAAUUCUGCAGUGUUCCACAUUCAUCUUCCCAUCUGCUACCUGCUCUCGAAGAUAAUGGAACCUCAUUUCAAUGUGCUUGGCUUGACCAUGUGCUAUUGGAUUCUUCGCCAGAUUGAUAGCUGACAUUAUGUCGAUCUUCAUGGUAAUUGUUCCAUGACUCUUCCAUAUUAUCUCUUCGACCAGAUUCACCAUUCACGUUGCUUGACAUGCACAAAGAGAAGCAUCUAUGUAUUCUGCUUCGCACGACGAUAAUGCCACUACUGGCUCUUUUCUCGAACUCCAAGCAACUGGUGCACCACCUAGCAUAAACACAUAGCCCGCUGUGGAUUUUCGAUCCUCAGCAUCACUACACCAACUUGAGUCGGUGUAACCCACUAAUUUGCAUUCUUUUCCUUCAUCAACUGCAGGAAACAAAAUGUCAUAGUCGAGAUUUCCUUUCAGAUACCUUAGUAUCCUCUUCGUCGCUGCUAGAUGUGAUACCUUUGGCUUUUGCAUGAACCAACUCACCAUACCUACACUGUAUGCUAAGUCAGGCCUUGUAUGAUAAAGGUACCGAAGUGACCCAAUAAGUCUUCUAUAUUGGGUUGGGUCGACAUUAUCUUCAUUUGAAUCUUUCGUAGUUGUAAUCUGGGCUCAGCUGGAGUCGAAGUUGGGUUGCAAUCUUGCAUCUCAAAUCUCUUAAGUAUUUCGCUUGCAUACCUUCUUUGAUGCAUCAUCAAACCUCUACCACUCUUAUAGAAUUCGAUGCCAAGGAAAUAUGAAAUGUCACCCAGAUCUGACAUUUCGAAUUCCUUAUUGAGAUCACCUUUGAAGUUUUCGAUCUCCUUCUUGCAGCUACCUGUUAUCAACAGGUCAUCGACAUAGAGACAUAGUAUAAACAAUUCACUUUUUCUUCUUCUUACAUAUACUCCAUGUUCACUUGUGCACUUCAAAAAUUCCUUUUCCCUUGGAAAUCCAUCUAUCUUCUUGCUCCAAGCUCUUGGAGCUUGUUUAAGUUUGUACAGGGCUUUAUGCAGCCUGUACACUUUUCUUUCUCGCCUAGUUUAACAAACCCAACUGGUUGUGCAACAUAAACUUCUUAUUCUAAGGGGCCAUUAAGGAAUUCACAUUUCACAUCCAUCUGACACAUCUUCCAGUUGUUCAUGUUUGUUAUUGAAAUUCUGGUAUCAGAUAUGAGAUGUCGAAUGUAAUGUCACGACACUAAUAUCUGAAUUACACUAACAGAAGAAAGAUAUAGAAAGGUAAAGCAAAAGACAUAAGCAAUUGUUAACCCAGUUCGGUGCAACUCACCUACGUUUGGGGGCUACCAAGCCAGGAAGGAAAUUCACUAAAAUAGAAUCAGUUCAAAGACUCUUCGUACACUUCAACAAGUUACAGUCUUUCUCACCUAAUCUUUACCCGUGCAAUUUCUACCUAAGAACUCUUAGAUAUGAGAACCCACUCACUUCCCUAAAAUCACACCUGUGAUCUUAAACAACAAUCCCUUGAGAAAAGAGAACACUUUUCAAUAACACACUCUUGAUUUUACUUCACAGUUUCAAUCAAGAAGACACACUAUUGAUCUUGCUUCACAGCUUUGAUCAAGAAGACACACAAUUGAUCUUGCUUCACAUCUUUGAUCAAGUAGACACACACUCUUGCUUAACAGCUUUAGAGUGACAAAUUACAACCACAAAUCAGUCCAACUCAAUCAACAAAAGAUGACUUGAAUGGCUUACAAGUCUCACGACUAAACAGACACAAACCCUAGCUCUCUCACUAUAUUUCGCCUUGUACUGGUUGUGUUGUAAAACAGGUUUUCUAAGUCCCUUUUUAUAGAAGCUUUCAGCUGGGCUUGGACAUCUUGAAAACCCUAAAUCUAUUUUCUAAUUAAAUCUUUUCAUAACAACUGGAUAGAUCUCCUUGGAAAAUAAGUAAAUCAGGUUGUAAUCCAUGAUUGAAUGCGCCUGCAAAUCAGAUCUUCAAUCAUACAUAGAUUUCCAUUAAUUGUGCAAUCACAAAAUAGAUAACAUUCACUCUGAAUGUUCUGUGUACAGGAUGUCAUGACAUCGGGUCUGACAUCCUGGAAAAAUCCUGCAUAAUUCAAUAAUUCCUUUUAUAACUUCCAGCAGGUACAACCAUAUCAGAUGCCAUGACCUGUGUGUAUGAAUCUUGAAACAAUCCUGCAUGAACAUGUCUUUCAUUUAAGCUCCAGCAGGUACAUCCAUAUCAGAUGCCAUGACCUUGUGUAUGACUUUUGAAACAAUCCUGCAUGAACAUGUUCUUGAACUCCAACAGGUACAUAAGAUAUCUUAUGUUAAGACAUCACACAUAACAUUGUGAACACUCUGUUGUUACCAAAAUUGCUGCCAACACUUAGAACCAACAAACUCCCCCUUUGGCAAAUUUUGGCUAAAACAUAUAUCUGUCCUUUUUGUUCACAAGGUAAACUAUCAGCAGUUAAACAACAUAACAAUAGUUUAAUCAGCAGCGGAAGCAACACAAUUACUAGCUUAUAGUUACUAGUAAUACACACAUGCACAAGGGUACUUCUCCUCCCCCUAAAUCUGUGCAACAAAAACAGAAUUACUAGUUAUGGGUGCAACUAGUAAGACACACAAAUGCACAAGGGUACUCCUUCUCCCCCUAAAUCUGUGCACACCAUAAACAUCUUCCAUGAAUAUCACAGCUAUUGUAACCACAACACCUGUACCAGCCAGAAUGUCAUUCUGACAUCUGCUUCAACAUCAACACCUGUGCACCAUAGCAGACAUCCUCUUUGACAUCUGUAAACAGAACAACAUUUUGUUUUAACACCUGUGCACUUCCUUCAAUAAUAGCUGUCCUUCAGUUCAGCUACAUACAUCUCACAACUCCACAACUGCUUCCACAUUCCACAUUAACAUUUCUCCCCCUUUUUAGUCAAAAUUGACCAAAGGUGACCAGUUAGACAAAAUAAAUGUCAAUUAGUCUAUCAGAGAAUGUCAGGACAGAUGUUAUAACAUUAAACAUGUUAAAACAUAACAGUUAAGAAGUACAAACCAUCAUUAUACACAACUGUGAUAGCUGAGAUAAUGAACAAAUCCAAGGAACUCAUUAAGAGCCCAAAAUAUUACAAACAGGCAUCAAUAAUGAUUGCCACAAAUUACACAGUUUUAAAAAAAACAAUAAAACUUCAGCAUCCAUACAACAACAACAGAACAGCUUCCCAAAAAAAAACAGUCACAACAGUCUUCACAACACACCUCACACCAUCUUCAGUCUUCAACACACAAGGGGGAGGGGGAAAACACCAUCAAUCAGAGGAAGAAGUAUCACCUUCACCUUCAGAGCCUUCAGAGCUUUCAGAGCUGCCACUGGAUUGAGCAUUUGAUCUCUCACUUGAAGUAUUUGCAUCUGAGUCUUUGGUCUCACCAGCUUUCUCCACCUCUUCCUUCUCUAGGCCACGAAUAAGAGCCUCCAAGGCCUCUUUUCUUGCUUUGGCAACCCUAAUACCAUUCUUCAGUUCUUUGCAGGUUUCUUUCAACUGAUCAAUUAACUCCCUUGAGAUGCAGGCUCUUUUCUGGCAGAUGUCUUGACAACAUCAUUAACAUGACUUCCCUCAAACAGUUUAUGAUGAAUGGACAGUGGGGGCUUUCUUCUGCUUGGAAUGUCAUUUGCAUUGAGUAUGCCUGGUUGUUGACUCAAGAUGAUACCACAAAUAAUAGAUGGGAGGACAAUGGGCAGCUUCACAGCAUUUGUGGAGGCAUAUCUGAUAAUUUGGUCAAACAUAAACUUUCCAAAAUCAUAGUUAAUCCUGGUUCCAAUUGCAUGAAUGACUCUUCCAAGACUGAUGGAGAUGGUAGAGAUAUGAUUAGUAGGCACCCAAUUAGCUUGAACCAAUCUUGUGCAAGAUGGCAUAUUUGACAGUUAACUUGUUAGCUGAAGGUGAUUCCUACUAGGCCAUUCCUUAACUUGGCCAGCUGUAAUGAUCCUACAACCUCAUUGUCUGUAGUCUCCAGAUUCUAUUCCUCAUCAGUUCCUCUCCCUAGGAACUUGUUGAUGAUGGUUGGUGAGAAUCUCACACACCUACCUCUUACAAAAACUUUGCAAAAUUCCCUGCUGCUUCUUUCAGAAAUCUCCUCAGGGAUAUUUAUAACAAAUUCUUUCACCAACCCCUCAUAGCAUUGGGGCAGAGCAACCACAUCCUUUAUCAAUCCAGCAUUCUUGAUUAAAUCCAUGACUUCCUUUACUUCAACAACCUCUUUUCCCAGCUCUCUCUCAACCGCUACCCUCCUCUGAAUGACAAACUUCCAUUUAGCAACACCGUCUUCUAAGUGAAAAGAGAUGUUGUCUAAAUGAACAGCUGCAGCUUUUCUUGGACACUUCUUAACAGCCUGCCUUUUUGUAGGGGAGAUGUCUGGAACAUCGUCUUUGACAUCCUCAUCAGAGUCAGAACUCUUACUUUCUUUCCUCUUCUUAAUCUCAACCUUGCUCCAUGAUUUGGAGGGUCCUACACUAGCAGUCUUCUUCCUAGUCCUGGAUGCCAUCAUUUCAGCCACGGUUUUUCCUUUCCUAGUCUUCAAUUUCCUAGCAGCACUUGGUUUCACAUGGUUAACCAGGGUGUCCUCCUCUUCCUCUGAGCUUUCUUCCUCCAAAUCAAUACUAACCUCAACAGUAUCAGGAGACAUGCUAGUUGGUUUCUUGCUAGGUAAAUUUUUUCCAAGAGAACAUAAUCCCUCAGCAGCUACUUCCUUUUCUGUCUUAGAUGAGUCAUCAUCUUUCUCAGCUUGGGUUUCCACCUCAGGAGAGGGGUCCCUUCUGUCUACUUCCUUUUCUGUCUUAGAUGAGUCAUCAUCUUUCUCAGCUUGGGUUUCCACCUCAGGAGAGGGGUCCCUUCUGGACAGAGGGGUAAAAAUAUCCUUGACUCCAUGUUCUUCAUUCAGAAUCCUGGUAACUAGGUUUCUUAUGGUGCGAUCAGUAAAGUGCAUGUCCUCUUUAUCAGUAGAUUUUUCAGGAAUGUUACCUUGCUUAGUUCCAGCCAUGGAAGAGGGGCCUGGGACAUCACCUGGUAUCAUACACAGAGGAGUCACGUCCAUCAAAUCUUCAUCUAGAAACUCCAUGGAGGGAGUUCUUGUAUGAGAGGGUUUUGAGCUAGAUGAUGAUGGAUGUUGAGACAUGUUGUUGAACUUUUGAGGAAAAUUUAUUUGCCCAAGCAGAGGUUCUCUGAGUAGUUUGAUGAAGAUGGAAAGAGUUGUGUUCAGGUAGAGCGUGCAAAUGGAAUAGAUAAUAUUUCCAAUACUAGGUAAUGAUUCAUUAUUAAUGUGGCUCUUUCUUUUAAUUGGGCAGACAAUAUUUUUGUUACCUUUUCCACUCCACAUUAAUUGCCAUAUUUUCUCAAGAAUCCAAGUCCCUAAUUUCCCCCUUUCAUAUUCAAGUUGGAUAUCAUCCAAAUCCCUUGCAGCCUUGUCAGUUAUAUUUUCUCAAGAAUCCAAGUCCCUAAUUUCCCCCUUUCAUAUUCAAGUUGGAUAUCAUCCAAAUCCCUUGCAGCCUUGUCAGUUAGUUGCAUUUCAUGCUGUAGAACUAUGAAUUUGUUUUCCACAUGUUUUCUAAUUGAGUGAUGACAGCAAACAAUGUACUUGGUCCAGCUGUGCUGAAUAUGAUUUUUGGACAUAGUUGCACCAUACAUGUUGUCAUAAUACAAUGUCAUGACAUCGUGUGUGACAUUGUAUACAAUCAUCAGUAGUUUCAUCCAACCUAGUUGAGAAUUGCUGCUUUCAUCUGAUAUACUUUCAUCAUCACCAUCAUUUUUGUCUUUCACAUGUGUAGGAUCAGGAGUCCUAUCACUCUUCAUCUCAAUCUUCCCCACAUUGUUCUUGGCACACAUAGCCCCUUGUGGCUCAGUUCCAACAAAGAUCUCUCCAAUAUCAGACUGCAUAUAACUAGUCACAUGUCCACCUAUUUGAUCUAACCUCUCAGGCAUUUGGGCCAUCAUGACCUUUUCUCCCUUGAGAGUAAGGUUAAGUCUGAGCUUCUGGUGUGACAUCCUUGUUUGACAUUUCCCACAGGCUUGACUUUCAUUACUCUUAAGGGUUCUUCUAGCAGCUAUACUUAUCUUCAUCCCUUCCUUUUUGUCAUAGGUACACUUUGAGGAAUGAUCCAAUUUAGAGAUCCACAUGUAACAAUUGUCUUUGGUCCUGAUUCCUUUCAUAAUCACUUCACUAUCUUUGUUAGAAAUUAGGCAUUCAGUUUUGGUGAAGUUAACAUUCAGACCUUGAUCACAUAGUUGACUGAUGCUUAUUAGAUUUGCAGUCAAGCCCUUAACGAGUAGAACCUUGUCAAGUUCAGGAACUCCAGGACAAUCAAGCUUGCAUAUCCCCUUUAUUUCACCCUUUGCUCCAUCACCAAAAGUUACAUGGCUUAUGGUAUGAGGGUGAAGAUCAGUUAUCAGGUAUAUGUUUCCAGACAUGUGUCUAGAACAUCCACUAUCAAGAUACCACUCUUCUUUGGCUAAGAUUUUAAAGGGAAUGUGAGCUAUUAGACUUGCAACAUUAGUCUUAGGAACCCAUUGCUUCUUGUUGAUAGGCCUGUGCUGUUGAUAGUGAGUCUGUUGAUGAACAGGGAUAGGGUAACCAUAUAGCUUAUAGAAGAAAGGAUUUAGGUGACCAAAUUUCCCACAGUAAUGGCAUCUCCAUCUUUGGUGUUUCCUUUUCUGCUGUCUUCUCCUCUGAUGUUGUGACAUCUCAGGACUGCUCUUACUAUUGUUGCAUUUAGGUUUGGCUUGAGGUUUGUAACUAGUGUAACUGAUAUCAGCCUUGGAUUUUGUAUAUCCUAUUCCAAAUUUGUCUCCUGUGAUUUGUCCAGUUUGGAGAAUCUUGUCUAAGGAGUCAGAUCCAUUAUUUAACAUCCUUACAUACUUGGUUAUCUCUUCUAGUUUUGAGUUCAAGAACAAAGCUUCUGUUUUUAACUUGGAGAUGGUUUCCACAUGUUCAGCCUUUUCAUUCUCAAGCUGUACUAUCUUCUGGCUUUCAACUUGUUGACUUUCAUCUAGCUUGACCUUCAGAGCCACUGCUUCUGUUUUUAAUUUGGAGAUGGUUUCCAAUUGUUCUACCUUCUCUUUCUCAAGUUGAUUGUUGACUUUCAUCUAGCUUGACCUUCAGAGCCACUGCUUCUGUUUUUAAUUUGGAGAUGGUUUCCAAUUGUUCUACCUUCUCUUUCUCAAGUUGAGUUAUCCCCUUCUUCUGGUUUUCAACCUGUUACAUAACUCUACACUUUUGUGGCACAUCUUUCUGUAGGUAGACGCCAACUCUUCAAAGGCCACUUCUUCAUCACUUGAGUCUCCAUCAAAACCCCAUUUUCCUGUCAGUGCAGUCACCAGAUUUGCAACCUCCUCUAUAUCACUCUCAUCAGACCAAGUGGCAGCAAGACUCAUCUUCUGCUUCUUGAGAUAUGUUCCACAUUCAGUUCUAAUGUGUCCAUACCUAUCACAUUCAUAGCACUUUACUUCUUUUCCUUCUUUGGGAUUUUCAUCUGACCUUGCUCUUCUUUCAAUGAUGAUGUCAGAUGUGAUGUUCUUGACAUUUGCCUUGGAUCUUACAUCCAUCUUUUUUAACAAUCUGUUGAACUGUCUCCCUAAUAUUGUAACUUCAUUGGUCAAAUCUUCAUCAACAUCCUGACUAUUUUCCUCUUCUGUGUUUGAUAUGAAGGCAAUGCUUUUGGUUUUCUUCUCAGAACCAUCAUUUAAUCCCAUUUCAAAGGUUUGAAGGGAACCAAUUAGCUCAUCAACCCUCGUGUUGGAAAUGUCUUGAGACUCUUUUAUGGCAAUCACCUUCAUUGCAAAUCUCUUAGGGAGUGACCUAAGUAUUUUCCUUACCAGUUUUUCAUCUGUCAUCUUUUCUCCCAGGGCUCCUGAGGCAUUAGCAAUUUCAAGGAUACUCAUGUGAAAUUCAUGAAUGUUUUCAUCUUCUUUCAUCCUUAAGUUUUUAAACUUGGAGGUGAGCAACUGAAGUCUAGACAUCUUUACCCUAGAGGUGCCUUCAUGAGUGGUCUUGAGAAUGUCCCAGGCAUCUUUGGCCACUUCACAGUUAUUUACCAAACUAAAAAUGUUCUUGUCUACCCCAUUGAAUAUUGCAUUCAAUGCUUUAGAAUUUCCAAGAGCUAGAUCAUCUUCCUCCUUGGACCAUUGUUCUUCAGGCUUCUUCUCAGUGGUGGCUUCUCCUUCUUUGUUAUUGACAGGAUGCACCAGCCUGUUAACAUAGCUUUCCAAGCCUUGUUAUCAAGAGAUUUUAGAAAGGCUACCAUUCGAGGUUUCCAAUAGUCAUAGUUUCAACAUCCAAGAUGGUGUUAUGGACAGUCCUCCAUCUCUCUCCAUUGUACCAGAAAGUAUUGUCUAGAUCUCACCAGAACCAGAGCAGGAUGCCUGCUCUGAUACCAAUUGAAAUUUUGGUAUCAGAUAUGAGAUGUUGAAUGUAAUGUCACAACACUAAUAUCUUAAUUACACUAACAGAGAAAAUUAGAAAGGUAAAGCAAAAGACACAAGCAAUUGUUAACCCAGUUCGGUGCAACUCACCUACGUCUGGGGGCUACCAAGCCAGGAAGGAAAUUCACUAAAAUAGAAUCAGUUCAAAGACUCUUCGUACACCUCAACAAGUUACAGUCUUUCUCACCUAAUCUCUACCCGUGCAAUUUCUACCUAAGCACUCUUAGAUAUGAGAACCCACUCACUUCCCUAUAAUCACACCUGGGAUCUUAAACAACAAUCCCUUGAGAAAAGAAAACACUUUUCAAUAACACACUCUUGAUUUUACUUCACAGUUUCAAUCAAGAAGACAUACUCUUGAUCUUGCUUCACAACUUUGAUCAAGAAGACACAUUUGAUCUUGCUUCACAGCUUUGAUCAAGUAGACACACACUCUUGCUUAACAGCUUUAGAGUGACAAAUUACAACCACAAAUCAGUCCAAUUCAAUCAUCAAAAGAUGACUUGAAUGGAUUAUAAGUCUCACGACUAAACAGACACAAACCCUAGCUCUCUCACUAUAUUUCGCUCAGUACUGGUUGUGUUGUAAAACAAGUUUGCUAAGUCCCUUUUUAUAGAAGCUUUCAGCUGGGCUUGGACAUCUUGAAAACCCUAAAUCUAUUUUCCAAUUAAAUCUUUUCAUAACAGCUAGAUAGAUCUCCUUGGAAAAUAAGUAAAUCAGGUUGUAAUCCAUGAUUGAAUGCGCCUGCAAAUCAGAUCUUCAAUCAUACAUAGAUUGCCAUUAAUUAUUGAAAUUCUGGUAUCAGAUAUAAGAUGCCGAAGGUAAUGUUACGACACUGAUAUCUGCUAACACACAAUGGAUAAAAUAAAUAGAAUGGUAAAGCGAAUAACACAAGCAAUUGUUAACCUAGUUCGGUGCAACUCACCUACGUCUGGGGGCUACCAAGCCAGGAAGGAAAUAUCUAAAAUAGAAUUAGUUCAAAGACUAUCCGUACACUUCACCAAGUUACAGUCUUUCUCACCUAAUCUCUACCCGUGCAACUUCUACCUAAGCACUCUUAGAUAUGAGAACCCACUCACUUCCCUUACUAGUUCAAAGACUAUCCGUACACUUCACCAAGUUACAGUCUUUCUCACCUAAUCUCUACCCGUGCAACUUCUACCUAAGCACUCUUAGAUAUGAGAACCCACUCACUUCCCUUACAAUCACACACCAGAGAUUUUAAACAACAAUCCCUUGUGAAAAUAAAAUACUUUUCAAUUACAAACUCUUGAUUUUACUUCAUAGUUUCAAUCAAGAAGACACACUCUUGAUCUUGCUUCAAAGCUUUGAUCAAGAAGACACACACUUGAUCUUGCUUCACAACUUUGAUCAAGUGGACACACACUCUUGCUUAACAGCUUUAGAGUGAUAAAUUACAACCACAAAUCAGUCCAAUUCAAUCAUCAAUGGAUGACUUGAAUGACCUACAAGUCUUACGACUAAAACAGACACAAACCCUAGCUCCCUCUCUCUAUUUCGCUCAGUCUUGGUUGUAUGUUCAAACAGGUUUUCUAAGUCCCUUUUUAUAGAAGCAUUGGACAUCUUGAAAACCCUAAAUAUAUUUUCCAAUCAAAUCUUUUUAUAACAACUGUAGAGAUCUCCUUGGAAAAUAAGCAAAUCUGGUUGUAAUCCAUGAUUGAAGCCAUAUCUUCAAUUCAUACAAUGAAUUGCCUAUUGGCUGCUCACAAACACCAGACAUUCAACUGAAUGUUCUGUGUACAUGAUGUCAUGACAUCGGGUCUGACAUCCUGGAAAAAUCCUGCAUAAUCCAAUUUCCUUUUAUAGCAGGUACAGCCAUAUCAGAUACCAUGACAUUGUGUAUGUGAUCUGAAACAAUUCUGCAUGAACAUGUCUUCCAUAUAAGCUCCAGCAGGUACAACCAAUAUCAGAAGCCUUAGCAUUGUAAGUGGCAUUCUGAAACAAUCCUGUUUGCAUAUGUUCUUUAACUCCAGCAGGUACAUAGGAUAUCUUAUGUUAAGACAUCACACAUGACAUCUUGUGAACACUCUUUGUUUUACCAAAAUUGCUGCCAACACUUAGAAACAACAGAAAGGAAACGCUCGAAGUAAACCUGGGAGAAAGGAAAGGAAAAGACAAGGUCUCGCAAUCAAAUCUUGGGUUCGGGAGCCGAUUAUGCGAAGGGAAGGUAUUAGCACCCCUACGCAUCCGUAGUACUCUACGGGAUCCACUUUUGUUGUUCUUGUCUAAGCAAAACAAUUACUAGCUAUGGCUACUAGUAAUACACACAUGCACAAGGGUACUUCUCCUCCCCCUAAAUCUGUGCAACAAUCAGAAUUACUAGUUAUGGAUGCAACUAGUAAGACACACAAAUUCACAAUGCACAAGGGUACUUCUUCUCCCCCUAAAUCUGUGCAUGCAUCAAAUAUAACAGCUACUGUAACUCCAACACCUGUACCAGCCAGAAUGUCAUACUGACAUCUGCUUCAACAUCAACACCUGUGCACUUCUUUCAAUAAUAGCUGUCUUCUACUCCAUCCACACACAUCUCUCCAGCUGUCUUCCAGUCCAGCCACACACAUCUCUCCAGCUGUCUUCCAGUCCAGCCACACAUAUCUCUCCACAACUGCUUCCAUAUCAACACUUCUCCCCCUUUUUAGUCAAAAUUGACCAAAGGUGACCAAUCAGACAAAAUAAAUGUCCAUUAGUCUGUCAGAGAAUGUCAUGACAGAUGUUAUAACAUUUAAACAUGUUAAAACAUAAUAUUCAUGCAGUACAAACCAACAUUAUACACAGCUGAAAGCUGAGAUAAUGAACAAAUUCAAGGAACUUAUUAAGAGCCCUAAAUAUUACAUAACAGGCAUCAAGAGGACUGCCACAAAAUACAAAAACAAAAACCAAUCAAGACAACAACCUUCCAAACAGCAGCCCAGCUUCCACCCCACCUCUCAGUCUUCAAUUCAGGUAGGAACCAUUAAUCAAAAGAGGAAGUAUCACCUUCACCUUCAUCUUCAUCUUCUGAACACUCAGAGCUUCCAGAACAGCCACUGGAUUGUGCUUUUCCAUCUGAGUUCUUACCAUCCUUUUCUAACUCUUCUUUUUCCAGGUUACAAAUAAGAGCUUCUAAAGCUUCUUUUCUUGCUUUUUCCACCUUCAUACCCUUCUCCAAUUCCUUGCAGGUAUCUUUCAAUUGAUCAAUUAGGCUUCCUUGAGAUGUAGGCUCUCUUCUGACUGAUGUCAUAACAACAUCAUUUAUAUGACUUCCCUCAAACAGCUUAUAAUGAAUGGAUAGAGGGGUUUUUCUCCUGCUUGGCAUGUCAUUCGUAUUGAGUAUGCCUGGUUGUUGGCUAAGGAUAAUGCCACACAUAAGGGAAGGGAAUGCAAUAGGUAACUUCACAGCAUUUGUAGAAGCAUGUUUGAUGGUUUGAUCAAAUAUGAAUUUCCCAAAAUCAUAGUUUAUCUUGGUUCCAAUUGCAUGAAUGAUCCUUCCCAGGGCAAUGGAGAUGGUAGAGACAUGAUUAGUAGGUACCCAAUUUGCUGAACCAAUCUUAUGCAGAAUGGCAUAUUUCACAGUGAGCUUACUAGCUGAUAGGUGUUUCCUACUAGGCCAUUCCUUAACUUGGCCAGCUGUAAUAAUUCUACAGACCUCAUUGUCUGUGGUCUCUAGAUCUACUCCUCCAUCAGUUCCUCUCCCUAGGAACUUGUUGAUGAUAGUAGGUGAAAGUUUCACACACUUACCCCUUACAAAAACUUUGCAGCCCUCCCUGCUGCUUCUUUCAUAUAUCUCCUCAGGGAUGUUCACAAUGAAUUCUUUGACUAACCCCUCAUAGCACUGAGGCAGAGCAGUCACAGUUUUCAUAAGACCAGCUGUCUUAAUUAACUCCAUGACUUCCUUUACUUCACUUGCUUCUUUUCCCAAUUCUCUUUCAACUGCUACCCUUCUUUGAGUCACAAACUUCCAUUUGGCAGCACCACCUUCCACGUGAAACGAGAUAUUGUCAAGAUGAACAGCAACCACUUUGUUUGGAGACUUCUUUACAGGCUUCCUUUUAACAGGGGGAAUGUCUGAGACAUCAUAUUCGACAUCCUCAUCAGAUUCAGAACUCUCACUUUCCUUCAUCUUCCUGACCUCUACUUUACUCCAAGUCUUGGAGGGACCUAUACCAGCAACCCUUUUCUCUUUCCUACCUGUCCUUAUCUCAGCCAUACUCUUCCUUUUUCUCAGUCUAUUAGCUACACUUGUUUUCACAAGAUUGACCAACAUGUCAUCUUCUUCCUCAGACCCUUCUUCCUCAAUGUCCUGAGCAGUAUCAGGGGACAUACUAGGUAAGUUUUUUCCAAGAGAACAUAGUCCCUCAGCAGCUACUUCCUUUUCUGUUUUAGAUGAGUCAUCAUCUUUCUCAGCUUGGGUUUCCACCUCAGGUGAGGGGUCCCUUCUGGACAGAGGGGUAAAAAUGUCCUUAACUCCAUGCUCUUCAUUCAGUAUCCUAGUAACUAGGUUUCUUAUGAUGCGAUCAGUAGAGUGCAUGUCCUCUUUAUCAGGCGAUUUUUCAGGAGUGUUACCUUGCUUAGCUCUAGCCAUGGAAGGGGAGCUUGGAACGUUACCUGGUAUCAUACGCAGAGGAGUCACGUCCAUCAAAUCUUCAUCUAAAAAUUCCAUGGAGGAAGUUCUAGUAUGAAAGGAUUUUGAGCUAGAUGUUGACGGAUGUUGAGACAUGUUGUUGAACUUUUGAGAAAACUUUCUUUGCCCUAGCAGAGGUUCUUUGAGAAGUUUGAUGAAGAUGGAAAGAAUUGUGUUCAGGCAGAGUGUGCAAAUGAAAUAGAUGUUAUUUCCAAUACUAGGAGAUGAUUCAUUAUUAAUGUGGCUUUUUCUUUUCAUUGGGCAGACAAUAUUUUUGUUACCUUUUCCACUUCUCAUUAAUUGCCAUAUUUUCUCAAGAAACCAAUCCCCUAAUUUUCCCUUUUCAUAUUUCAGUUGAACAACAUACCAAUCCCUUGCAGUCCUGUUGGUUAGUUGCAUUUCAUGCUGUAGAACUAUGAGUUUGUUUUCAACAUAUUUUCUACAUGAGUGAUGAAAGCAAGUGAUGUACUUGGUCCAGCUGUGCUGAAUAUGUUCUUUGGACAAAGGUGUACCAUCCAGGUUGUCAUAAUAUAAUGUCAUAACAUCGUGUGUGACAUUGUAUAUAAUUAUCAGUAAUUUCAUCCAACUUGGUUGAGCAUUGUUGCUUUCAUCUGAUAUUUUCUCAAUUUCCUUUGCACUCAUAGUCCCUUGUGUCUCAGCAAAGCUCUUACUACCUUCAGACUUCAUACCACCAGUCAUGUGUUCAGGUGUUUGGGCCAUCAUGACCUUUUCUUCCUUGAGGUUAGGUCUUAGCAUCCUUAUCUGACACUUUUCCUUUCCCUUGAUGAUUCUUCUUGCAACUGUACUCAUCUUAGAGGGGUUAUCCAUUUGAGAGCUCCACAUGUAGCAGUUGUUGUUGGUCCUGAUUCCUUUCAUAAUUACUUCACUGUCUUUGUUCACAAUCAGACAUUCAGUUUUAGUGAAGAUGAUAUUCAGACCUUGAUCCCCUAGCUGACGGAUGAUUAUUAGAUUUGAAGUUAAGCCUUUGACUAGUAAAACCUUGUCAAGUCUAGGUACUCCAAGGCAAUCAAGCUUACCUGUUCCCUUGAUUUCACCUUUUGCUCCAUCUCCAAAGGUUACAUGACUUAUAGUAUGUUGGUGCAGAUCAGUUAGCAGGUCUUGGUUUCCAGUCAUGUGUCUGGAGCAUCCACUAUCAAGGUACCAUUCUUCCUUGGCUGAGAUUCUGAGGGGAAUGUGAGCUAUCAGACUUGUGACAUUAGUCUUAGGGACCCAUUGCUUGAUGAUAGGCAUGUGAUGUUUGGGUCUGAAUUGAUGGUGAUCCUGAUGAUGAGCAGACCUAGGAUAGCCAUACAGUUUAUAGCAGAAGGGCUUUAGAUGACCAAAUUUCCCACAGUAAUGGCAUCUCCUCCUUAACUUGGCCAGCUGUAAUAAUUCUACAGACCUCAUUGUCUGUGGUCUCUAGAUCUACUCCUCCAUCAGUUCCUCUCCCUAGGAACUUGUUGAUGAUAGUAGGUGAAAGUUUCACACACUUACCUCUUACAAAAACUUUGCAGCCCUCCCUGCUGCUUCUUUCAUAUAUCUCCUCAGGGAUGUUCACAAUGAAUUCUUUGACUAACCCCUCAUAGCAUUGAGGCAGAGAAGUCACAGUUUUCAUAAGACCAACUGUCUUAAUUAACUCCAUGACUUCCUUUACUUCACUUGCUUCUUUUCCCAAUUCUCUUUCAACUGCUACCCUUCUUUGAGUCACAAACUUCCAUUUGGAAGCACCACCUUCCACGUGAAACGAGAUAUUGUCAAGUUGAACAACAGCCACUUUGUUUGGAGACUUCUUUACAGGCUUCCUUUUAACAGGGGGAAUGUCAGAGACAUCAUAUUCGACAUCCUCAUCAGAUUCAGAACUCUCACUUUCCUUCAUCUUCCUGACCUCUACUUUACUCCAAGUCUUGGAGGGACCUAUACCAGCAACCCUUUUCUCUUUCCUACCUGUCCUUAUCUCAUCCAUACUCUUCCUUUUUCUCAGUCUAUUAGCUACACUUGUUUUCACAAGAUUGACCAACAUGUCAUCUUCUUCCUCAGACCCUUCUUCCUCAAUGUCCUGAGCAGUAUCAGGGGACAUACUAGGUAAGUUUUUUUCCAAGAGAACAUAGUCCCUCAGCAGCUACUUCCUUUUCUGUUUUAGAUGAGUCAUCAUCUUUCUCACCUUGGGUUUCCACCUCAGGUGAGGGGUCCCUUUUGGACAGAGGGGUAAAAAUGUCCUUAACUCCAUGCUCUUCAUUCAGUAUCCUAGUAACUAGGUUUCUUAUGAUGUGAUCAGUAGAGUGCAUGUCCUCUUUAUCAGGCGAUUUUUCAGGAGUGUUACCUUGCUUAGCUCUAGCCAUGGAAGGGGAGCUUGGAACGUUACCUGGUAUCAUACGCAGAGGAGUCGCGUCCAUCAAAUCUUCAUCUAAAAGUUCCACGGAGGAAGUUCUAGUAUGAAAGGAUUUUGAGCUAGAUGUUGACGGAUGUUGAGACAUGUUGUUGAACUUUUGAGAAAACUUUCUUUGCCCUAGCAGAGGUUCUUUGAGAAGUUUGAUGAAGAUGGAAAGAAUUGUGUUCAGGCAGAGUGUGCAAAUGAAAUAGAUGUUAUUUCCAAUACUAGGAGAUGAUUCAUUAUUAAUGUGGCUUUUUCUUUUCAUUGGGCAGACAAUAUUUUUGUUACCUUUUCCACUUCUCAUUAAUUGCCAUAUUUUCUCAAGAAACCAAUCCCCUAAUUUUCCCUUUUCAUAUUUCAGUUGAACAACAUACCAAUCCCUUGCAGUCCUGUUGGUUAGUUGCAUUUCAUGNNNNNNNNNNNNNNNNNNNNNNNNNNNNNNNNNNNNNNNNNNNNNNNNNNNNNNNNNNNNNNNNNNNNNNNNNNNNNNNNNNNNNGUUUUAUGGUACCCUAUUCCAGAUUUGACUCCUGUGAUUUGUCCAGUUUGAAGAAUCUUGUCUAAGGAGUCAGAUCCAUUGUUCAGCAUCCUUACAUACUUGGUUGUCUCUUCUAGUUUUGAGUUUAAGAGCACAACUUCAGUUUUUAGCUUGAAGAUGGUUUCCACAUGUUCUGCUUUUUCUUUCUCCAGUUGAACUAUCUUCUGGCUCUCAACUUGUUGAUCUUCAUCUAGCUUGACCUUUAGAGCCACAACUUCUGUUUUCAAUUUGGAGAUGGUUUCCAAGUAUUCUACCUUCUCAUUCUCAAGUUGAGUUAUGUCUUUCUUCUGGUUUAAAGACUGCUUGUUCAGCUCUACACUUUUCUGACACAGCUCUCUGUAGGUAGAGGCCAAUUCCUCAAAGGUUACUUCACCAUCACUUGAGUCUUCAUCAGAUCCCCAUCUUCCUGUCAAAGCAGUCACAAGAUUUGCAGCCUCCUCUGUAUCACUCUCAUCUGACCAGGUGGCAGUAAGACUCAUCUUCUGCUUCUUGAGGUAGGUACCACAUUCUGUUCUAAUGUGUCCAUACUCAUCACAUUCAUAGAACUUUACUUCUUUUCCUUCUUUGGGCUUUUCUUCUGACCUUACUCUUCUUCCAUUGAUGAUGUCAGAUGAGAUGUUUUUGACAUUUGCCUUGGAUCUGACAUCCAUUUUCUUUAACAAUCUGUUAAACUGUCUCCCCAGCAUUGUAACUUCAUUGGCCCACUCUUUAUCCACAUCUUGACUGCUUUCCUCUUUUGUGUUGGAUACAAAGGCAAUGCUCUUGGUUUUCUUUUCAGUUUCCUCAAUCAAUCCCAUCUCAAAGGUUUGGAGGGAGCCAAUUAGCUCAUCUACCCUCAUGUUGGAGAUGUCUUGAGACUCUUCUAUGGCAGUCACCUUCAUUGCAAAUCUCUUAGGAAGUGACCUGAGUAUUUUUCUUACCAACUUUUCAUCUGUCAUCUUCUCUCCCAGGGCUCCUGAAGCAUUAUCAAUCUCAAGGAUACUCAUGUGAAAUUCAUGAAUGUUUUCAUCUUCUUUCAUCCUUAAGUUUUCAAACUUGGAGGUGAGCAGCUGAAGUCUAGACAUCUUUACCCUAGAGGUGCCUUCAUGAGUGACCUUGAGAAUGUCCCAAGCAUCUCUGGCCACUUCACAGUUAUUUACCAGCCUGAAAAUAUUCUUGUCUACCCCAUUGAAUAUUGCAUUCAAGGCUUUAGAGUUUCCAAGAGCAAGAUCAUCCUCCUCCUUGGACCAUUGUUCUUCAGGCUUCUUCUCAGUGGUGGCUUCUCCUUCUUUAGUAAUGACAGGAUGCACCCAACCUGUUAGCACAACUUUCCAAGCCUUGUUAUCAAGGGAUUUCAGAAACGCUACCAUUCUAGGUUUCCAAUAGUCAUAGUUAGAACCAUCCAAAAUUGGUGGCCUAUGAACAGAUCCUCCAUCUCUCUCCAUUGUACCAGAAAGUAUUGCCCCUAGAUCUCACCCAGAACCAGAGCAGGAUGCCUGCUCUGAUACCAAUUGAAAUUCUGGUAUCAGAUAUAAGAUGUCGAAGGUAAUGUCACGACACUGAUAUCUGGUUAUAAACAAUGGAUAAACAGAAACAGAAUGGUAAAGCAAAUAACACAAGCAAUUGUUAACCCAGUUCGGUGCAACUCACCUACGUCUGGGGGCUACCAAGCCAGGAAGGAAAUUCACUAAAAUAGAAUUAGUUCAAAGACUAUCCGUACACUUCAACAAGUUACAGUCUUUCUCACCUAAUCUCUACCCGUGCAACUUCUACCUAAGCACUCUUAGAUAUGAGAACCCACUCACUUCCCUUACAAUCACACACCCGUGAUUUUAAACAACAAUCCCUUGUGAAAAGAAAAUACUUUUCAAUUACAAACUCUUGAUUUUACUUCACAGUUUCAAUCAAGAAGACACACUCUUGAUCUUGCUUCACAACUUUGAUCAAGAAGACACACACUUGAUCUUGCUUCACAGCUUUGAUCAAGUAGACACACACUCUUGCUUAACAGCUUUAGAGUGACAAAUUACAACCACAAAUCAGUCCAAUUCAAUCAUCAAUGGAUGACUUGAAUGACCUACAAGUCUUACGACUAAACAGACACAAACCCUAGCUCUCUCUCUAUAUUUCGCUCAGUCUUGGUUGUGUGUUCAAACAGGUUUUCUAAGUCCCUUUUUAUAGAAGCAUUCAGCUGGGCUUGGACAUCUUGAAAACCCUAAAUCUAUUUUCCAAUCAAAUCUUUUUAUAACAGCUGGUUAGAUCUCCUUGGAAAAUAAGUAAAUCUGGUUGUAAUCCAUGAUUGAAUGCGCCAGCUAAUCAUAUCUUCAAUCAUACAUAGAUUGCCAUUAAUUGUGCAAUCACAAAACACCAGACAUUCAUACUGAAUGUUCUGUGUACAGGAUGUCAUGACAUCGGGUCUGACAUCCUGGAAAAAUCCUGCAUAAUUCAAUAAUUCCUUUUAUAACUUCCAGCAGGUACAACCAUAUCAGAUGCCAUGACCUUGUGUAUGACAUCUUGAAACAAUCCUGCAUGAACAUGUCUUUCAUUUAAGCUCCAGCAGGUACAUCCAUAUCAGAUGCCAUGACCUUGUGUAUGACAUUCUGAAACAAUCAUGCGUGAACAUGUUCUUGAACUCCAGCAGGUACAUAGGAUAUCUUAUGUUAAGACAUCACACAUAACAUCUUGUGAACACUCUUUGUUUUACCAAAAUUGCUGCCAACACUUAGAACCAACAGUUAUACCAACAACCAACCUGAUUGUUUCGAUCCUAGCAACAGGUGCAAAAACUUCAUCGAAGUCGAUUCCUUCUUUCUGAAGAAAUCCUUUCGCCACAAGUCUCGCCUUGUGUCGAGUCACUUCUCCUAUGGGAGUUAACUUCACCUUGUAUAACCAUUUCACAUCAAUUUCCUUCUUAUGUUGGGGAAAUUCGACAAGUGACCAAGUGUUGUUGACUUCGAUUGACUUCAACUCUUCGUCCAUUGUUUUCAUCCAUUUUAAAUCUUUCGAUGCCUCGGCUGUAUUGACAGGUUCGACAUCUGCAUAGAAAGCAUAAUGUACCAGCUCACCUUCUUCAUUGACCACAUAGUUUGAUGUAAUCACACAUUCUUGCAAUCUUGCUAAAUGUGUCUUGUUCUUUGAGGUUUGCUUGGGCCUGCUUCACCUCUGACUUCUUCAUGUCGAACUUCUCUUUUGACUUCACUAGCUGGUUCAUCAUAAAAGAUUCUCAUUGAAUCUUUCUUGACAUUCUCAUCCUAAUCCCACUCCUUAAGCUCAUCUAUGAUCACGUCCCUGAUGAUCACCACUUGCUUAUUCAUUGGGUCAAACGACUUGUAUCCUCCAGUCGAAUGAUAUCCUAUCAGGAUCAUCUGACUCGACUUAUCAUCAAGUUUUCUUCUCAACUGAUCUGGAACAUGUCUAUGUGCUAUAGAUCCAAACACCCUCAGAUGACUCAAGAUAGGCUUGACACCAGACCAACAUUCUUCUAGCGUGAUUCCUUCUAGCUUCUUCGUCAGAUAUCUGUUCAGGAUAUAUGUCGCAGUCGACACAGCUUCUCCCCAUAAUUCAUUGGGUAGAUGCUUUCCUUUCAACAUACUUCUAACCAUAUUCAUGAUGGUUCUAUUCUUCCUUUCUGCGACUCCAUUCUGCUGUGGAGUGUAGGGUGGCACCACCUCAUGCACAAUCCCUUCUUUCAUAAAUAAUGCAUCGAAGUCUUUCGACACAUAUUCUCCACCAUCAUUAGUUCUCAAAAUCUUGAUCUUUCGACCGCUUUAUUUUUCGACCAUAGAUUUAAACUUGGCAAAUACCUCGAUCACUUCAUUUUUCUUCUGCAUCAGGUAAGACCACACUUUUCCACUGAAAUCAUCUAUGAAUAUAACAAAGUAUUUGUUACCUCCAAUCGAAUCCACCUGAAGAGGACCACAUACAUCCGAGUAUAUGACUUCAAGAAUUUCCUUCGACCUGCUUCCUGCAUCCUUACUUAAGUUGUUCUUAUGUUGCUUCGCCUGCACUCAUUCUUCACACACUUCGUUUGGAAUAUCUAUUUCUGGUAAUCCUGAAACCAUAUUUCUUCUCUUCAAAUCUCUGAUGUCUUUGAAAUUGAGAAGGCCAAGUCUGUAAUGCCAUAUCCAUUCAUCUAUGCUGGCUGCUAUUGUAAGGCACUUAUGCUCCAUCACAUUUAGCUCAAUCUUGAAGGUUCUAUUCUGAGAUGUUGGAGCCUUCAAGAUCAACCUUCCAUUUGAGUCGAGAACUCUCAUCAUCUUGUCUUCGAUCGGCACCUUGUAGUUCUUUUUGACUAACUUCCCUAUGCUGAGAAAAUUACUCUUCAUGUAUGGUAUGUACAACACAUUUGAAAUUACUGACCUCUUGCCAUCUUUCCUCAUAAUCAGAACAUCACCAACACCUUCAGCUGCUAGAGUGUUGUCAUUUACAAAUUUCAUCAUGUUCUUCAUUGAGGGUUUUAUGUUGACAAACCAAUCUUUUCUUCCAGACAUGUGUGAUGAGCAUCCUGAAUUUAAGUACCACUGGUCCUUGAACCUCCCUUCAUCUCUUGUUGUAACCAUCAGCAGCGUCUCUUCUUCUUCAUGUUUCGCCAACUUUGCAUAAGUUUCUUAAUUCUUCUGCUUUUCUGGAUAAUCACUAGAAUAGUGGCCAUACCUUUGACAAUUUAACACUAAAUGUGACUCUUGUCUGGCUUUUGACCACCACCUCUUUGGUUGCCUUGGUUCCAGGGUUUUCUCUUAUUUGAACAGUUUCUUUCUUGCUGACUUCGACCAGUCGAAUUGUUGUAACCUCAUCUACCUUUGUUGCCACUCCAACAUCCUUUGCCUUUUAUUUCUUUUGUUUAUUGAGCCUGCAAAUCCAUAUCACUCUUCGACUUUCCUACAAAUCUUUCAUACAUUCUUUGUUCAUGAGAUUCAAGCGUCCCUUGAAGGUCUUCCUUUGUCAAUUUUGACAAAUCUUUCGACUCUUCCAUGGCUACUACCACAUGGUCGAACUUUGGAGCCAACGACCUCAAGAUCUUUCCAACAACAAAUCUUGAUGUCAACACUUCUCAACAUACCUUGAUUUGAUUCACCAGUUUCGUAACCUUGGUGAAGAAAUCAGUUAUGCUUUCAUUAUCUUCCAUAUGAAGUAAUUCAUACAUUCUUUUGUGAGUUUGUAACCUCACCUCUUUCACCUUCUCCACACCUCCAAACGAUUUCUCCAUAAUUUCCCAUGCUUCUUUCGCUGACUCUGCAUCACUAACCUUUUCAAAGUUAUCUUCAUCAACACAUUAAUGGAUUAUAAAGAGAGGUUUAUAAUCUUUAUUCUUUAAUUCUUUAUGUGCAACCUUUUCUUGAUCCGUCGCGGCUUCUGCAAUUGUUGCUACUCCUUCCUUCACAAGAUCCCAAAGAUCUUGAUAAUAGAAUACAACCUUUAUAUGCUUGCACCAAUUCUCAUAAUUGUUGUUCUUGAGAAUCGGGAGAUUUGCUGGAAAAUGCCCGUUUAGAUAAUUCGUUACCAUGGUGAUUUUCUUCCCACGAAUUGAUUUAAUUGGAGCUCUUGAUACCAGAUGUUGGAAAUCCCCCAAAACCUAGGGAGAAUUUCAAUCAAUCUUGAUGAACAAGAUUGUUAUCGCCCAUACAAUAGCAAUGAAAAUAAAGAACAAUGGAGAAAGAAAGAGUGUAAAGAAUGAUGAAGAAGAAGAGUAAUAUAAUUAUGCAGAGUUUCUCUCUGCCCACAAAUUAUGGAAAACUUCUUAUUCACUUUGCAACUGCAAAAUACUGUGAAUACAAUGUUAUGAAUACUCUAUUCACUUCAUUACAAAAAUAAGGGUUACUCCAUCUAUUUAUAGAUUUAGGUUAACUUAGACCUCAAGCCAAAGCCCAAAACUAUAAAAGCUCAAAAUAGCUAACAUUGCUAAAAUAGGCCUAAGUCGAAAUCAUGUGUGACGCAGCAUGCUUCGACAUUUCGACACACUAACACAACUCAACACAUUAGGUGGUUCGACACUUUCUUACUAUGUCGAGCAACCUGCUUCGACAUAAGGAAUUACAAUUCAACAAUAUCUUUCUUCUUCAAACAUUCAUCUUAUUCUCAUUUUAUUUUAUUUUACUUUUAGAUACUUAAAAACUCAGAUCUAUACAUCAAAUGUUAAAUUUUAGAUUUGGAUAUUUCUCAAAAGUAAAUAAAUUUUUUAUCUAGGCUCUAUUUAAAGACUAUAAGUUAUAUGUAUCUACAUGCCCAAGUGCAACAUAACUGGUAACAUCUCAAAACGAGACGAGAUUCCUUUAAAUAUUAUGCUUGAAGUUGAACCGUUUGAUUGUUGGGGAAUCGAUUUCAUGGGUCCAUUUCCCAAUUCAAAAUCAUAUAUUUAUAUUAUCUUAUGUGUGGAUUAUGUUACUAAGUGGAUUGAGGGAAUUGCUUGCAGUGUAAUGACGCCCGUACUGCUACUGACUUUUUGAAAAAUAAUAUUUUGUUCAAGUUCAGUGUACCUAGAGUGUUGAUCAGUGAUGGAGGAAUACAUUUUUGCAAUAAAUAUUUGGAAAGAUUGCUAGAAAAUUAUAAUUUUAAACAUAAAGUGUAAAAUCAGUAUCACCCUCAGACAUGUGGCCAAGUCAAUGUGUCGAACUGACAAAUGAAACAAGUUUUGGAGAAAAUAGUUGCAGCAUCACGCAAAGAUUGGUCUAAAAAAGUAGAUGACACCUUUUGAGCGUAUAUAACAACCUUCAAGAUACAUUUAGGUUUCUAUCUGUAUCAACUUGUUUAUGGUAAGGCAUGUCAUCUCCCUGUAGAACUGAAGCAUAAAUCUUAUUCAGCGGUAAAAUUCCUGAACUUUAACAAAAAACUGGUUGGGGGAAAGAGAUUACUAAAAUUAGAUGAAUUGGAGGAGAUGCGAUUAUCUACUUAUGAGAAUGCAUUAAUUUACAAGGAAAUGACAAAAAUAUGUCAUGAUAAAAAGUUGGUGAGACAAAAUUUUCAAUUAGGACAACAAGUCUUACUAUUUAAUUUAAGACUGUGACUUUUUCCAGGAAAACUAAAAUAAAUGUGGUCAGGACCGUUUAUAGUCAUUGAAGUUUGUCAAAGCAGUGUUAUUGAAAUUCAAGAUCCAGGUGAUAUGAAGAUAUUUAAAGUAAAUGGACAAAAGUUAAAGCAUUAUUAUGGAUGGGAAUUUCCAAAUGAAAAAGUUUCCCUAAUACUCUCGGAACCUUGAAUCCAGCAGUCAAGCUAAUGACAUAAAAAGACCGCUUCAAGGGAGGCAACCCAUCUUUUCUAACAAGUUUUUUUUUGUUUUUGCAGAAUUUAAUUUAUACUGGUAGUUAGAUUCAAUAAGACACUCUCGCACGUUUCUCAAACAUUAUAUAUGUUGUCUUUAAUGAAAGCAAAGGAUGAAAAGGGAAUUAAUGUACGCAUACUCAACCUUUAGGUACCUUAACUAGUGAGGUUUGAUCCAAAUUAUUUCCAUUAUUCAUUAUUCCUUUCAUUGAGUGUAUCCAUGCAUUAUUGCUUUAUCAUGUUUGAACUAUUUUUGAUUCAAUUUGUCUGGUAUGAUUUUCUUCAACAAUUGGUCUAACAUAUCAAGGGAUACUUCAUUUCAUAUUAUCUUAUGAAUAUAUGAUCCUCCAUGAGCCCCAAAGAUCAAGAUAAAUUCAAGUUUGCAAGUUGGUUCAAGGUGGUUGACUAGAGAAAGUCAACUAGUCAAAACUGGGGUUCCCUAGACCCUAUCUCCUACAAUUUUUGUCAUAUAAAAAUGAUUCCAAGAUCAAAGUUACUAUUUAUGACAUUCUAAGCAACAUUCAUGUUGACAUCAAGAUCUAGUUUUUCUUUGAAAAUCAUUUUUUAUGGUGAAACAUUAUAGGUCAUUUUGUUUGUGGCCUAGUUAGGAGGUCAACUUCCAAGGACCAUAACUUGCUCAAUUUUAAUAAGAUUGAAAUUCUAGUAACAGACUAUUGAUGUCACAUUGGAUGUUAUGACAUCCAAUUCUGCGCAGACAGGAAUGUAUACAAGAGGUAAAUGUAAAGUACAGUAAAUAGCACAAAGAAUUGUUUACCCAGUUCGGUGACAAACACACCUACGUCUGGGGGCUACCAAGCCAGGGAGGAAAUCCACUAUUAGCAGUAUUAAUUCAGGCCUUAAACCAACUGUUUAAUCCUAUCACUUAAUUUACGUCUGGGGGCUACCAAGCCAGGGAGGAAAUCCACUAUUAGCAGUAUUAAUUCAGGCCUUAAACCAACUGUUUAAUCCUAUCACUUAAUACCUACCCAAUGCAAUUUCAAUCUAAACUAAGACCAAAGUUCCUACUCACUCCCCCGCAAUCACCACAGUGAUUACAACCUUUGAUUAGUUUAAAGUCAAUGGUGAAGUUAUACUUCAAACAACUCUUGAUUGUGCUUAAUAGCUUUAACCAAGAAACACAGCACUCACGCUUAAAAGCUUAGAGUGACACAACACUUACAACUCAAUGAACACCCUAGUCCAAUGCAAUCAUCUAGGUGAUAAUUGCUUGGAUCACAAAUAAAACCUAAUACAAGACACAAUAAAACUACAGCAGUGAAAUAUGAUGAUACAAUUAAUUCUUCACGCUUAAAAAACCUGAGUUGCUGAAAGUACGAUUGCCAUCCUUUUAUAAUGCAGCACUUGGGCCUUGUACUUGAAUUUCCUAAAAUUAAGGUUAAGCACGUUAACCUAAUUUCCACAUAUUAGGGUGCUAACAAAUAGGCUAUAUACUAGGCCUCUUAAUUGUAGCUCAGUUGUUGGUUUCCUGGAUUUUAGCUCAAUUGUUAGAUUCCUGAAAAAUAGCCUGAGAAAAAUACUGAAACAGAAAAAAUAACUAGCCUACACUUUAGCAUAUGCUGUCAGGAAUGAAUGUCAUAACAUUCAGUUUGACGUCCAGAACAUAGGCCAUAUGCUAGGUCUGUUAUUCUCCUGAAAAACAGACUGAAUUAAAUACUGAACUGUAACAGAAAACCAACCAGCCUAUAAUUCAGUAUCUGUUGUCAAGGAUGAAUGUCAUAACAUUCAGUUUGACAUUCAGACAAUAGGCUAUAUGCUAGGUCUGUUAUUCUCCUGAAAAACAGACUGAAAUAAAUACUGAGCUAUAGCAAAAAAACCAACUAUUCUAUAGUUCAGUAUCUGCUGUCAGGGAUGAAUGUCAUAACAUCCAGUUUGACAUUCAGUAAAUCCUGUAUUAGCUAAUCAUGCAGCAUACCACUCAAGCAUGUCAUGACAUCAGUCAAGACAUCAGAGUACAGUUAGUGUUUUAACACAAAAUGCAGCCAUUCAAAAACAUCUACAAACUCCCCCUUUGGCAAAUUUUUGGCUAAAACAACUUGGCAUCACAACAGAGUUCACAGCAGCGGAAAACACACAUCCAAGCAGAGAAUUAACUUAGCUAAUACAUUCAACACACAUAGAAGUUGAACAGCAACACACUCAUCACACAUAGAAGUUAAAAAAAACUUCAAACAGCAGCAACACAAGUAGAUAGCAAACAACAACACACUAAUCACACAUAGAAGUUAAACAUCAAGCUGCAGCAUAACCUCUGGAUUAGAGGACCUUCAAGCAAAUAACAAAUCUGUUGUCCUGGGGUACAGGUGUUACUCCCCCUUUUUGUCAAAAAUGUUGCCAAAGCAACACUUAAUAUUACAGACCAAAACAAAAUAAAUUACACACAAAUUUCAGACACAAGGGAAAUGCUCUAUUCAUCUGACUCAGAGUCAGCAUCAUCAUCUGUGCCAUCAUCAGGACUGGCCUCCUCUUCUCCCUCUGCACCUUGUCUUGCAGCUCCUUCUGCAGCAUCAGCAGCUUCACCAAGCACAUCACCUUCAGUCAUCUCCAACUUGAUAAUCAAAUUUUCCAAAGUGAGCUUCCUUGCCUCUAACUCCUUGCACGUUCUCUCUUGAGUAAUGGCAAUCGAACAACAACUUUUACCUGGUUGAUUGCAAGCACUUUCGAUGUGUUCUCCUGUUGCCAUAGGGCGAAGUCAGAUGAACAGUGCGUACCUAGGAGCAGGUUUAUGAUUGAAGGCCUAAUAGGGCUGUACUCUUCUCUUCGACAGAAUCAUUCUCUGUUAAUAUGUUUGGAAAUUGAUUUCAACUACGAAUACCACAUAUUGAGGGAAGGAAAAGGCUAUAGGCCCCCUUCACAUCGAUAGCUUCCUGCAUGCUUCAAGCGUUUGAUCAAAAUCAUAAUGGACCAUACGUCAAAUAUUUGGCUUUGGGUUCCACACGCAUAUAUGGACUGGGCUUCAAGCAUUUACAGCCACUGUAGAUUUUGUAUGGUGGGAACCCAGUAGCAACUCCAAUUUUGUGCAGCAUUGCAUACUUGACACUUAGUGUUGCUGCCCACGACUGUACCUUUGAGGAAGGCCACUCUCCUAGACUUGAUUAGCAGUGAUGACUUGGACUAGAUUUGGUAUCAGUCACCUCAAAGCUCAGGUUGAGCUACAUCAGACGUCGUUCCUCAAAUACAUGUGAUUAUGAGGGGAGAGAAGUGUUACACACUUGCCGUCGCGCACAUGAUACUUUGCUGGAAUUCCUUAGACUUUCCAUCAGCACAUUCUUCAGACACAUUGGAAAAAAUUCCUUUACUAACAUCUCCAUAGCCACUGUUGAGAAACUGAGUCACAGUCUUCAUUAAACCUGCUCUUUGAAUAUAGGUCCAUAAUCUCCUUACAUUCCCAGAGGACAUUCUUGAGCAGCUAUAUUCCCUUUCCAAGCGCCAAACCUCUUCUGAAUAAAUCAGGUAUUAUCCACCUGUUGUACACUUGAAGCAAAAUGGAAAGAUAUGUUUCAAUGGUACCGUACAGGGACACGUAGGCUGCAAUGCUGCUAGUGGUUGGCCUUCUUCCUUGACAGAGUGGCCAAGUUGACAUCACAUGGAACUCUGAGUCAGACUCCACAAAACAGACCUUGCGUCCUUCAUUUUGCUUGGCACCCCUUUGCUCCAAGAUUUGUGUUGAUCCAUGACCUUUCCUUCUUGAGCGAACUACCUCUUGCCCACCUUUGGGUUGGGAGAUGUUGGGCAACAAACUUCAAUCUUACUUUCUGGCGUGGAUUUUGCGCCACUUGUUGUUCUUUUCUCUCCUAUCCUAGACCCUUUUGGCUAUGCUUAAGGACAACUGAUGCGACGAUACAACUUCCAUUAUCGAGAACAAAUUCCUCCAUGGUCUAUCUGUUGCAGCUCACAGUCUAGGGUGUCACUGACGUAUCAUGAGUGUAUCACGGACUUCCAUCAAGCACCCACAUUAUCUAAGGGUUUUGUCAAUUAUUGUGACCCUCUUAUGAGUAUCAGUUUUGCUCAAACAUCAUCAGAGCGCUGUCUUUCCUAAGGAGCGUGUAUUUUCUUGACAUAGGCAAAACAUUAGAUCAGGGUACCCGAUGGCUGUUAUAGGAAUGGAAACCCCAAGAAACCUUAAUGAUUACCAGAACAGUAUUUCCAGUCACGAUAGUUGCCAAUGGCAUUGUGACAUACUGGAACGCUUCUCUGCGUUUGUUCAUCAAGCGUGAUUGCUGGAGAGAGAGCGUGAGACAGUUUUCUUAGGUCUUCUUGCAGGCGAGAAGGUAUUCGAGACGUCGAGCAAACGGAUCUCCCUAUUUAGGUUGCAUGUCAGAGCGAUUUAGAGAAUCAGACUAAUGCGUCUUAGAGGAGGAUGAGUUGGAUUUGGUGAAGACAUAUAAUAUCUAGAGGCGAAAUGAAAGAGUUAUCUUUCGAGAGAAAGCUUGCAGAAGACUGAAAGUUGAAACGCUUGGAAGAGCGCGUAACGCUUGUGUGCGCGAGGAGUAGUCUAUUAAUGUUGACCAAUCAGAGCAAACUCUCAAAUGUUUAAUAAUUUGAAUUAUUGAACAGAAAAAAAGAACUCAUAACAUCAUCUAACUUCAGUCUGCCUGUUAAUUUCCGCAGCGAGAAGGACAAAUUCCCACUUUGCCCCUUAAAUUUUCAAACUGAGUAGCAUCCAAUGUCAUGACAUUCUGAGUGACAUUGUGCUCAGUCUGCAUCUGGUUCAUCCAUACCAGUAGGGAACAACUACUACCAGAUGCUAGGUACUUAGCUUCUGCAGUGGAUAAUGAUACACAAUUCUGUUUCUCCCUUGCAACUACACCAUUUUGAUGAGGAAUAAUAGGUGAGGACAACUCAUGACUUUCAAUCUGCAUAGGUACCAUUAAGUCCAUGGGCAAAGGUUCCAGAAUUUUGGAUGUUUUUGGAAGUCCAAUCUUGGGAUGUGACAUCUUGGUUAGCUUGCCCACCUGACAUUUUCCAUAGACUUUUCUUUCACCCAUAAGCAGAUUUGGGAUUCCUCUAACUGCUUCCUUGGAUAUGAUCUUCUUCAUUCCUCUUAAAUGGAGUUGUCCAAGUCUUCUAUGCCACAACUUCACUUCCUGUUCUUCCUUGGCUACGGGGCACUUUGAGGAGUAGUUUGAGACUUUAGAUUCCCACAGAUAACAGUUAUCUUUGGAUCUAGAUCCAUAACUUCCUGAUUACCUCCAUUCAUCACCACACAUACUUCCUUAGUGAACUAUACAUUGAAGCCUUGAUCACAUAGUUGGCUUAUGCUGAUGAGACUAGCAGUUAGUCCUUUUACUAACAGCACAUUACUUAGUUCUGGAACUCCAGGACAGUCCAACUUACCAACACCUUUGAUUUCUCCUUUAGCUCCAUCACCAAAUGUCACAUACCUGGUAGUAUGAGGUUGUAUAUCCACCAAUAAGUUACUCAUCCCAGUCAUAUGUCUUGAGCAACCACUAUCAAAAUACCAGUCUUCUCUGGUAGAUGCCCUUAGAGAUGUGUGAGCUAGUCUAGCAACCCAUUGUUGUUUCUUGAUGGGGGCAUUAUGCUUAGAUGCCUUCUGCUUAGGUCUGGCUUGAGGGAUCUGGUUAGGAUAACCAUGCAACCUGUAGCAGAAGGGUUUUAUAUGACCAAAUCUACCACAGUAGUGACAUCUCCAUCUCUAAAAUUUCUUCUUACGAUGGUUACUCCUCCUGUUUCCCUGAUGUUGUGACAUUGGUUGUGACUUCUGCUUGAUUUUCUGAACUUCGGCCUUUGAGCUUUUGAGUUCAGUUGAGGAUUUCUUAACAAAGCCUAAACUAGACAUGGUUCCUGACUUCUGUCUCACCUUUAGAAUCUCUUCCAAAGUGUCAGUUCCUUUAUUCAGCAUUCUGAUGGAUUUUGUCAUUUGUUCUAGCUUAGAGGUCAGCAAGGUUAUCUCACCAUUUAGACCAUCUAUGACUGUCAGAUGCUUCUUUUUCUCAGCUUCCAGCUCCUUGAUGAGUUUCUUAUGCUUUUCUCCUUUUAUACACAUAGCUCUUUAUAUGAAGCAGCAAGUUCAUCAAAUGUAAGUUCAUCUCCACUUGAGUCAUCAUCAGAGGCACAGACACUAGUUAGUGCAGUGACAUAUUUAGAAAAUUCUCCUUCAGGUUUACUCUCAGAGUCUCCUUCAGACCAGGUGACAUAUAGACCUUUCUUUUGCAUCUUGAGGAAGGUAGGGCAUUCAUCUCUAAUGUGACCAAAACCUUCACAUCCAUGGCACUGGAUUCCCUUGCCUUGGUUGAACUUUUCUUCAGAUUUUGAUCUUCUACUGAUGUCAGAUGAAAAGUUCUUGACAUUAGGUCUGCCCUUUUGAUCAACCUUCUUUAUGAACUUGUUGAACUGUCUUCCAAGCAUGGCUAUAGCUUCUGAAAUGCUUUCAUCACCUCCAAUAUUUCCUUCUUCUGAAUCCUCUUCAGUAUUUGAUACAAAAGCUAUGCUUUUGUUUUUCUUUUCAACAUCCUCACACAAGCCCAUUUCAAAGGUUUGGAGAGAACCAAUAAGCUCAUCAACCUUCAUAUUGCAGAUAUCUUGAGCAAUGAUCUUCAUGGCAAAUCUCUUGGGCAAUGAUCUGAGAAUCUUUCUUACAAGUUUUUCUUCAGACAUUUUCUCUCCUAAGCCACCAGAAGUGUUGGCAAUUUCAAGAAUAUUCAUGUGGAAGUCAUGAAUAGUCUCAUCCUCUUUCAUCCUCAGAUUUUCAAACUUNNNNNNNNNNNNNNNNNNNNNNNNNNNNNNNNNNNNNNNNNNNNNNNNNNNNNNNNNNNNNNNNNNNNNNNNNNNNNNNNNNNNNNNNNNNNNNNNNNNNNNNNNNNNNNNNNNNNNNNNNNNNNNNNNNNNNNNNNNNNNNNNNNNNNNNNNNNNNNNNNNNNNNNNNNNNNNNNNNNNNNNNNNNNNNNNNNNNNNNNNNNNNNNNNNNNNNNNNNNNNNNNNNNNNNNNNNNNNNNNNNNNNNNNNNNNNNNNNNNNNNNNNNNNNNNNNNNNNNNNNNNNNNNNNNNNNNNNNNNNNNNNNNNNNNNNNNNNNNNNNNNNNNNNNNNNNNNNNNNNNNNNNNNNNNNNNNNNNNNNNNNNNNNNNNNNNNNNNNNNNNNNNNNNNNNNNNNNNNNNNNNNNNNNNNNNNNNNNNNNNNNNNNNNNNNNNNNNNNNNNNNNNNNNNNNNNNNNNNNNNNNNNNNNNNNNNNNNNNNNNNNNNNNNNNNNNNNNNNNNNNNNNNNNNNNNNNNNNNNNNNNNNNNNNNNNNNNNNNNNNNNNNNNNNNNNNNNNNNNNNNNNNNNNNNNNNNNNNNNNNNNNNNNNNNNNNNNNNNNNNNNNNNNNNNNNNNNNNNNNNNNNNNNNNNNNNNNNNNNNNNNNNNNNNNNNNNNNNNNNNNNNNNNNNNNNNNNNNNNNNNNNNNNNNNNNNNNNNNNNNNNNNNNNNNNNNNNNNNNNNNNNNNNNNNNNNNNNNNNNNNNNNNNNNNNNNNNNNNNNNNNNNNNNNNNNNNNNNNNNNNNNNNNNNNNNNNNNNNNNNNNNNNNNNNNNNNNNNNNNNNNNNNNNNNNNNNNNNNNNNNNNNNNNNNNNNNNNNNNNNNNNNNNNNNNNNNNNNNNNNNNNNNNNNNNNNNNNNNNNNNNNNNNNNNNNNNNNNNNNNNNNNNNNNNNNNNNNNNNNNNNNNNNNNNNNNNNNNNNNNNNNNNNNNNNNNNNNNNNNNNNNNNNNNNNNNNNNNNNNNNNNNNNNNNNNNNNNNNNNNNNNNNNNNNNNNNNNNNNNNNNNNNNNNNNNNNNNNNNNNNNNNNNNNNNNNNNNNNNNNNNNNNNNNNNNNNNNNNNNNNNNNNNNNNNNNNNNNNNNNNNNNNNNNNNNNNNNNNNNNNNNNNNNNNNNNNNNNNNNNNNNNNNNNNNNNNNNNNNNNNNNNNNNNNNNNNNNNNNNNNNNNNNNNNNNNNNNNNNNNNNNNNNNNNNNNNNNNNNNNNNNNNNNNNNNNNNNNNNNNNNNNNNNNNNNNNNNNNNNNNNNNNNNNNNNNNNNNNNNNNNNNNNNNNNNNNNNNNNNNNNNNNNNNNNNNNNNNNNNNNNNNNNNNNNNNNNNNNNNNNNNNNNNNNNNNNNNNNNNNNNNNNNNNNNNNNNNNNNNNNNNNNNNNNNNNNNNNNNNNNNNNNNNNNNNNNNNNNNNNNNNNNNNNNNNNNNNNNNNNNNNNNNNNNNNNNNNNNNNNNNNNNNNNNNNNNNNNNNNNNNNNNNNNNNNNNNNNNNNNNNNNNNNNNNNNNNNNNNNNNNNNNNNNNNNNNNNNNNNNNNNNNNNNNNNNNNNNNNNNNNNNNNNNNNNNNNNNNNNNNNNNNNNNNNNNNNNNNNNNNNNNNNNNNNNNNNNNNNNNNNNNNNNNNNNNNNNNNNNNNNNNNNNNNNNNNNNNNNNNNNNNNNNNNNNUUUUUGGAUGAACGACGUUACUACGCAAUCUACCGGAUGCUCGACCUUUGGAGACUUACUCGCCUGUAGUAGAAGGAGUUAACGUGUUCUUAGGAGAAGAAAAAUCAAUGAGUUUGUUUGGGUUUUAGGAAUGCUCAUGCAAAAAAGGAAGUCCUAGACGAAGGAACAGUGCUACCUUAAUUGACAUGCAAACGAGAGACUAUACGAAGCCUAGCAAUCCUAUGGGGAGACGAUCACACCAUACAAAACAAACAUGCAUAAAGUAAAAUGCCACCAAGGGGGCUCAAACCUACAUGGGUAGGGCUUUAGUCAAGAGGGGUCAUAUCAACCUCGACAAACAAGCCAUGGAAUAGGUAAUCAAAUGGGCUCUUAACCACUGACAUUGAACGUCAGGGUGAGCAGAUCAAAAGGGUAAUGAGGAUAAGACCUCAUAGCUCUUAACCCUGGACAGGGUGAGCUCAUGACAAAAAGUGGGGAUUCAGAAAGGUGGAACCCUCUCCACUGACUGACCGGACAAAAGAUCUUGGGCUUUUGUUCUGAAGCAUCAGCACGUAGUGCGAGCAUAAAGAACGACACACUGAAUAACGGGGGAUUGAUUACUAAUCCCUUUUAUCCGUCAAUUGCCUCUUCGUGGAGGUCUUUAGCACUGGUGCCUCCUUUUGGAGGUCUUUGGGCACAAAAGUAAACAAACAAAAGAAAACAUUGCCUCCUAUCGAGGUCUUCCAGCUAAGAAAGCGGUAAAAUGCGGGAAAGAUAAAGGGAUCAAGAGGUCUACCACACGGAUAAAGAUCCGAAGUAAUAACAACUAAAGAAAUAAGAAACCCAGAGAUCUCUCGAGCUGGCACCAUCAAAGAAAGCAAGUCAAUACAGGUAAUCGGAAUAAAUCUCCAAAUGGUAUCCCACAAAUAAAGUGGAAUGCCAAGCAAGCUAUCCUUUCAGGAGUCAUGUGAGCCCUCACAAAAAACUCAACAAACAGGUUAGAGUGACAAGAUGGGGUGCAAUCAAGAGUUGCCCCAAAUCAAAAUGUAACCACAUGAAUCAUGCCAUUAAAAUUCACAAAAAGAGCUCACAAAAAGCAACCAAGUGUAGGAGGCUUAAACCUCUUGUCAAACACAUGCAUCAAAAGGGUAUCAAAAUUCAAAGUCAGGGGGCAAGGAUCCACACAUCAAGAAAUGACAUACAUACUAAAACAUGUGCCCCAAUGCAAAACCUAACGAUACCCACUCUUCCAAAUUCACCCAUAAUACCUCAUACAUUCAGAAAUUUCAGGUUGAAAGUAUAAAGUAGUGGAAAUAGGGCAUACCUGAUUGGGGAGGAUCGAUUGAAGUUGAAUUGCACCGUUGGCUUUGCAGAACAAUCUUAGGGUUUAUAUGAGAGGGAAUUGGUUCUUUGUAUAUGAGUUCCCUUCAGUCUCUGGAGGUUGCUCUGAAUUAGUUAGAAUCUCUCUAGGGUUUUGUUCCAAGGAAACUUCAGAGUGUUUUCAACUUUCACCAAUUCUCCCUCUCUCUCUCUUUCUUUUUCCUUUACUGAAAUUUCAGAAUUUAUAACCUGAUUUUCGUGGCUUUGUGGGCUCAAAUGAGAGAGGUCCAAGUCCAAGAUUUUUCUGUUACAUAUAAAUCUUUUUUUUUUCGUUUUUUUUUUCAAAACGCGUGGGCUUCGCCUAGCGAGCAUGACAGUUCAGGAAAUUCCUCUGAGCGCAGGUGAUUCUGGUGGCUUUUCUUGGGACUCGCUAGGCGACCCAUUCUGCUCGCCUAGCGAGCAUGACAGCUCAUGAACAAACUUUUGCUCCUUCAAGAUUAACGUUUUGACUGAUGAAUAGACCCCAUUUGAACAUGUUGGAAGUAUCUCAAGCCAUUCCCUUGUGUUGACUGAUCACCCAGAUAGGACCCACAAAGUGUCUUGGAUGAUAUUCAAGCUUCUUGGAUCUAAUUCCGAUUGACAUGAUGAAAUGCAAUAUGAAAUGUUAAAUGACCUAAAAAUGAAUGCAUGAAUGAGGGGGGCAAAUUUUGAGGUAUUACAGNNNNNNNNNNNNNNNNNNNNNNNNNNNNNNNNNNNNNNNNNNNNNNNNNNNNNNNNNNNNNNNNNNNNNNNNNNNNNNNNNNNNNNNNNNNNNNNNNNNNNNNNNNNNNNNNNNNNNNNNNNNNNNNNNNNNNNNNNNNNNNNNNNNNNNNNNNNNNNNNNNNNNNNNNNNNNNNNNNNNNNNNNNNNNNNNNNNNNNNNNNNNNNNNNNNNNNNNNNNNNNNNNNNNNNNNNNNNNNNNNNNNNNNNNNNNNNNNNNNNNNNNNNNNNNNNNNNNNNNNNNNNNNNNNNNNNNNNNNNNNNNNNNNNNNNNNNNNNNNNNNNNNNNNNNNNNNNNNNNNNNNNNNNNNNNNNNNNNNNNNNNNNNNNNNNNNNNNNNNNNNNNNNNNNNNNNNNNNNNNNNNNNNNNNNNNNNNNNNNNNNNNNNNNNNNNNNNNNNNNNNNNNNNNNNNNNNNNNNNNNNNNNNNNNNNNNNNNNNNNNNNNNNNNNNNNNNNNNNNNNNNNNNNNNNNNNNNNNNNNNNNNNNNNNNNNNNNNNNNNNNNNNNNNNNNNNNNNNNNNNNNNNNNNNNNNNNNNNNNNNNNNNNNNNNNNNNNNNNNNNNNNNNNNNNNNNNNNNNNNNNNNNNNNNNNNNNNNNNNNNNNNNNNNNNNNNNNNNNNNNNNNNNNNNNNNNNNNNNNNNNNNNNNNNNNNNNNNNNNNNNNNNNNNNNNNNNNNNNNNNNNNNNNNNNNNNNNNNNNNNNNNNNNNNNNNNNNNNNNNNNNNNNNNNNNNNNNNNNNNNNNNNNNNNNNNNNNNNNNNNNNNNNNNNNNNNNNNNNNNNNNNNNNNNNNNNNNNNNNNNNNNNNNNNNNNNNNNNNNNNNNNNNNNNNNNNNNNNNNNNNNNNNNNNNNNNNNNNNNNNNNNNNNNNNNNNNNNNNNNNNNNNNNNNNNNNNNNNNNNNNNNNNNNNNNNNNNNNNNNNNNNNNNNNNNNNNNNNNNNNNNNNNNNNNNNNNNNNNNNNNNNNNNNNNNNNNNNNNNNNNNNNNNNNNNNNNNNNNNNNNNNNNNNNNNNNNNNNNNNNNNNNNNNNNNNNNNNNNNNNNNNNNNNNNNNNNNNNNNNNNNNNNNNNNNNNNNNNGAAACAACUUCUGGCUUAUCACUUGGGAUACCGAGAAUGUUUUAUGCUUACAUGCGUAUGUUUGAAUUUUUCAAUGGCGUAAUGCUCCAUGAAAAUGGAAAUGCUACGCGAUUUGGGAGGAUGCAAUGCAAUAUGAUUCUACAUGCAGGGAUGCAAAAUGUUGGGUAGAAUGCCAAGCCGAGGCAAGGGAAUCUGCUGGGGAAAUGAUCACCAUCUUCUGGACCCUGGCAAGGGUGUUGGAGAUGCACAGCGCAAAGAACUCUGUGGGGAAAUGACCCGCCACACGGUGUUCUAACAAUGACGAAAUAUCGAGACUCUGACUGGGGGGAGAACGACACUGAAAACCUGCUGUUGGGGAAAGCGAUAGUGGUUCUGGCAACCAUAAUCUGCGAGAGAGACGACUUAGCAGGGGAAGAAAACACUGAUACGGUACCGAGAUUCUGCUUCAAGGAAAAAGACCAUGGAUCUGGCGUCGAGAUCAUCGAUCUGACAUCGAACCCUGAGGAGCAGCCGCUUCUGCUGGGAAGAUACAGUCUGGCACUGUCAACUCCGCUGGGGAUAUAUAGUCUGACACUGUCAACUCUACUGGGGAGUGUAUAUUCUGAAACAACCGCUUGGGGGAGGUACAACAGUGAGAGCCUGCUGGGGAUCGAAGAAUCCAAUGCUCUGAUCAGCUCUGCAGGGAUAAGAUACCAACUUCGACUGUUGGGGGAAAACAUUCGCGAUCAUCGGCUGGGAACCUUAAGGAAAUGCCCCGAGGGUACCUGUUCUGAAUAGACGAUCUAAAGCACUUAACAUUUACAGCAAUUUUAAAUGUUUAUUAAGCAUGUACCUGUAAAGCUCUUAUGUUUCAUGAUGCAAUGUUUAUCAAAAAUUCGGACGUCAUUUUUGCAAACAAAACAGUAAAAUGAAAAUGAAAACAGAGAUNNNNNNNNNNNNNNNNNNNNNNNNNNNNNNNNNNNNNNNNNNNNNNNNNNNNNNNNNNNNNNNNNNNNNNNNNNNNNNNNNNNNNNNNNNNNNNNNNNNNNNNNNNNNNNNNNNNNNNNNNNNNNNNNNNNNNNNNNNNNNNNNNNNNNNNNNNNNNNNNNNNNNNNNNNNNNNNNNNNNNNNNNNNNNNNNNNNNNNNNNNNNNNNNNNNNNNNNNNNNNNNNNNNNNNNNNNNNNNNNNNNNNNNNNNNNNNNNNNNNNNNNNNNNNNNNNNNNNNNNNNNNNNNNNNNNNNNNNNNNNNNNNNNNNNNNNNNNNNNNNNNNNNNNNNNNNNNNNNNNNNNNNNNNNNNNNNNNNNNNNNNNNNNNNNNNNNNNNNNNNNNNNNNNNNNNNNNNNNNNNNNNNNNNNNNNNNNNNNNNNNNNNNNNNNNNNNNNNNNNNNNNNNNNNNNNNNNNNNNNNNNNNCCCGCUCUCAACAAUUUCUUAGCCAUUGCAUGUCCGCCGGCAUGAGUACCGAAGGAGCCUUCAUGAACUUCCUGCAUUAACAUGUCUGCUUCGUGUCUAUCCACGCAUCUGAGCAAAACCAUGUCGAAGUUCCUCUUAUACAACACAUCGUCUUUGUUCAAGAAGAAACUGCCUGCCAAUCUUCUCAAAGUCUUUCUAUCAUUGUUGGAUGCCCCUGCAGGGUACUCUUGAUUCUUCAGAAAGCGCUUGAUGUCGUGAUACAAGGGCUUGUCGUCAACUACCAGUUCAGCAACAAACACAUACGCGGCCCUGUCGAGGCGCAUCACAUCGAUCCUAGGAGCGUGGUUCCACCGAAUCACGUUGAUCAUGGAGGAUAGGAUGGAAAGAGCAUCUGCCAUCUGGUUCUCAUCACGAGGUAUGUGAUACAUCUUUACUAUUGUAAAGAAAGUCAAUAGUCUUCUCGUGUAAUCUCUGUAAGGGACCAGAUUGGGCUGGAGGAUGUUCCAAUCACCAUUCACUUGAUUGAUCACUAGAGCUGAAUCUCCGAAGAUGUCCAGAGUCUUGAUUCUCAAAUUUAUGGCUUGCUCAAUACCCAAGAUACAGGCUUCAUACUCAGCUUCAUUAUUUGUGCACUCAAAAGUCAGACGAGCGGUGAAAGGCACGUGGGCACCUUUCGGAGUAGUAAUGACAGCGCCAAUUCCACUUCAUCUGGCAUUGACAGCCCCAUCAAUCAACAAAGUACAUUUUUCGUCUGGAUCAGGUCCCUCCUCAACAACUGGCUCUUCACAGUCUUUCAUCUUGAGGAACAUGAUGUCUUCAUCUGGAAAAUCAAACUUCAUCGGCUCAUAAUCAUCAAUCGGCUGCUGAGUUUGAGGAACAUGAUGUCUUCAUCUGGAAAAUCAAACUUCAUCGGCUCAUAAUCAUCAAUCGGCUGCUGAGCAAGAUAGUCUGACAGAAUACUCCCUUUGAUGGAUUUCUGGGAUGUAUACUGGAUAUCGUACUCUAUCAGUACCAUUUUCCAACGAGCAACCCUUCUGGUGAGAGCUGGCUUCUCGAAUAUGUACUUGACUGGAUCCAUCUUGGAGAUCAAUAAGGUUGUGUGAGUCAGCAUGUAUUGUCUCAAUCGUUUAGCAGCCCAUGCAAGUGCACAACAUGUCUUUUCAAGCAUUGAGUAUCUCGACUCGCAUUCUGUGAAUUUUUUACUCAGGUAGUAGAUGGCAUGCUCUUUCCUACCUGUCUCGUUGUGUUGACCGAGAACACAACCCAUGGAAUUGUCUAGUACUGUCAAGUACAUAAUCAGCGGUCUCCCUGGGACUGGAGGCAUAAGGAUAGGAGGAUUCUGCAAAUACUCUUUUAUCUUCUCGAAAGCCCUUUGACAAUCUUCAUUCCACCUGAUAGCCUGAUCUUUCCUCAGCAAUUUGAAAAUUGGCUCACACGUGGUUGUUAGGUGAGAGAUGAACCUUGCAAUGUAGUUCAACCUCCCUAAGAAACUACGGACUUGCUUCUCUGUUCUUGGCUCAGGCAUUUCCUGUAUUGCUUUCACUUUGUCAGGAUCCACCUCAAUCCCUUUUUCACUAACAAUAAAACCCAACAGUUUUCCAGAUCUCACCCCGAAAGUACACUUGUUCGGAUUAAGCCUCAGCUUGAAUUUCCUCAAACGCUCAAACAGUUUCUGCAAAUUCAACAAAUGUUCUUCUUCUGUCUGAGAUUUGGCAAUCAUAUCAUCCACAUAAACCUCGAUUUCAUGAUGAAUCAUAUCAUGGAACAGAGUCACCAUAGCUCGUUGAUAUGUUGCUCCGGCAUUUUUCAGACCAAACGGCAUCACCUUGUAGCAGAAGGUGCCCCAUGGGGUUAUGAAAGUUGUCUUUUCCAUGUCUUCUGGUGCCAUCUUGAUUUGGUUAUAGCCAGAAAAGCCAUCCAUGAAGGAGAAUACCGAGAACUGAGCUGUGUUAUCCACCAAAACGUCGAUGUGAGGUAAUGGGAAAUCAUCUUUAGGACUAGCUCUGUUCAGAUCCCGGUAGUCAACACACAUCCGUACCUUUCCAUCCUUCUUAGGUACCGGAACGAUAUUUGCAACCCAUGGCGGAUAAUUUGUGACUGCUAGAAACCCUGCAUCCAACUGUUUUUGCACUUCUUCCUUUAUCUUGACAGCCAUCUCUGGUCUUGUUCUUCUGAGCUUCUGCUUGACCGGAGGACAACCUUCUUUGAGAGGCAAGCGGUGUACCACGAUGUCUGUGUCCAGCCCAGGCAUGUCCUGAUAAGACCAGGCGAAGAUGUCAACGUAUUCUUGCAGCAAUUCAAUCAGCCCCUUCUUCACAUUGUCUUCUAAAGCAGCCCCUAUCUUGAUUUCUCUCUUGGCGUCCUCGGUGCCGAGAUUAAUCACUUCAACAGACUCUUGAUGCGGUUGAAUGACCCUUUCCUCUUGUUUUAAUAACCUGGCAAGUUCUUCAGGGAGUUCACAGUCUUCAUCACCCUCUUCUUCAGCUUGAAAGAUUGGAUUUUCAAAGUCGAAGCGAGCCAUAGCAGAACCGUUAUCAAUAGGAUCCGGUGAUGUGCAUCUGCAUGAGUGAUGGUAUGUGCUUAUGAGUGUGAACAAGGAGUGAAAACUAAACAAAACAUUGCCAAAUUUUUUUUGAUUUUUGAAAACUGCAAAAAUAGAAAGACAGUGAACAAAAUAUUUGAAUGCAAAAAGACGUCCUUUAUUUAUGAUAAAAAAUGCAGGUAUUCACAUAGAUGAGCCCUACAAUGAGUCAUUACGCCCUGGGCGGAACGUAAGACUUAGACAUGCAUGAAUAAACAAGAAAAAUUACUCCUCCAGAAAAGUGACUUGGACAAUCUCCUCAGAAGACCAAUUGUUGAUGACUUCACCCGGGAUCCUCGGACGCACCCAGUUAUCGAUGUCGCAAUCACUAUCCCCAUCUUCAUCGUUGACCGCAGAGACCUGGCCAUAUUGGAUGACGCCAGCGCUGGAGAAAGUAAUCGGCCCCUGACGAGUCUGAAGUGUUGAAGUUGUAGAAGUCAGAGCUGGCUGAUACCCAAUCCCGAACUUGUCUUCUUUCAUUGGUAACUCCAACAGACGUCCCCAACCGGGGGCAACGCCCGAAUCUACCAAGGCCUGUGCCUGCUUGAAGGAUGAGAUAGAGGCACCCGCUUUAACUUCUUCCACCGGAGCUGCGUCCUUGAUCUGAACUGCCUCAAAGGCCUGACAUAGGGUCUCAUGAAUUUCACCUUCUACCUCUACAUACUUGAAUGUAGACAGGUUACUGACCAGAAUGUCCUCCUCACCACAGACGGUGAUAAUCCUUCCAUUGACUGGGAAUUUAAUCUUCUGAUGUAGAGUUGAAGAGACUGCCCCAGCAUUGUGGAUCCAAGGACGACCCAGCAGGCAACUAUAGGAAGGACUGAUAUCCAUCACAUAGAAGACGGUGUUGAAGGUUUGUGAUCCAAUCUGAAUUGGCAAUUCUACCUCUCCGAACACCGACCUCUUAGAACCAUCAAAGGCUCUCACAAUAAGAUCUGAAGGCUUCAGGACCAAACCCUCUACUUCUAACCUUGACAGGGCUCUCUUGGGUAGCACAUUGAGAGAGGAACCUGUAUCCACCAGAACAUGAGAUAACACGGUGUCUUUGCAUUCCAUCGAGAUGUGCAAAGCCUUGUUAUGGUUGCGUCCAGCUGGUGUUAAGUCAGAAUCAGUAAAACCUAACCCGUUGCUUGCAUGAACAUUUGCAACGAUUCCUUCCAGUUGGUUCACUGAGAUCUCCUGAGGCACAUAUGCAGCAUUUAGGACUUUCAGCAGUGCCUCCCUGUGCGCCUCCGAACACAAUAGGAGUGAGAGAAUGGAUAUCUUGGACGGAGUCUGAAUCAACUGAUCGACUACCUUGUAGUCACUUUUCUUUAUGAUCCUCAAGAGCUCGUCCACAUCCUUCGCAAAAGUGGGCUCAGAACCAGCCUGGGGUGUAGAGGCACCCUCAUUCACGACUUGCUUGCCUUUGGCUUUCGCCGCAGCAUCCGCACUAUCAGUUUGGGUAACGGGUGGUGAGAACAGUCUACCACUCCUGGUGAAUCGCCCGAUUCCACCAACAUUGUCCACUGCGGGACCUUCAACUUCAAGUUCAGUCUUCUGACCCUCUUCUACCUUUAGUGGCCGUUCUACCCCAUGAUCGUGCGUGUACACACUCCCCCCAUAAUGCCAAGGAAUGGCCCUUUCGCUGGUGAAAGGUAAAGGACCAGGGGUCGUGAUGGUCAUAGUGGAUGGUCGCGCUGGUGGCACCGGUUGCGCUUCUGGUACAUUGAUCUGAUUAGUUGGGUAGAAAAUGGUGAUAGUAGCAACAUCAUAGUCAUACUCUGAAAUCUCAUUCAUUGAAAUGCAAGCAUCCGAAACAUCGGAAUCAAGUUCAAUUACAUCAGAAUCAACCACAUUGGAAAAAGUAAAUACACCAUCAUGGAUUACAGAAUCAGUAGGAACAACAUCUGCGAAUUCAUCAGUAGCAUCUUCAAACACUUCUUCCUCAACCCCUUCCGCAGACUCUUGGACAGACAAAUCUUCAACCUGGAGGAUACCUUUGUCGAGCAAGACCUGGAUACCCUGUUGUAGCUUCAAACAACCUCCACUCUGAGUAGCACAAUCCAAACAACCCUUCCCACAACCGGGGAAAACAUCGGCCUUCAACAAGUAUCCCUUGAUAUCCGACAACGGAGUCUUCAGCUUCAACGUAUCUUUGACGGAUCUGGCUUCCCCUUCCAUCAUAUUAACAUUUACACCACCAUGCUGGGGCAUGGGAUUGUUGACGACAUUCGGAGCCGGUGCAAGGUCGAUGACCUUUGAAUCUAUGAGGUCCUGAACUACGUGCUUAAAAGCUUUGCAGUUCUCAAUAUUGUGGCCAGGUGCCCCAGAGUAGAAGCUACACCUAGCAUUGGCGUCGUAACCCAUCGGAAGUCUACCAACGGGAGGAGCCAGAGUGCGUAACUGCAUAAGUUGUAAUUGUUGAAGACUAGAAAGUAGCUGAGUGUACGACAUUGGAAGAGUGUCGAAACGCCGAUCCAUCAUCCUUUGCCUCUGUUGAUAAGCGGGUUUGUUACCCGGUUGUUGUGGUUGGUACUGAGCUGGUUGACGUCGGGGUUGUUGUUGUUGUAAUGGUGUUGCAGCUGGAAUGGUCACAUCCGCAACAUACGGUUGCUGAUGAUAAUUCUGAAAGUUAUUCCUCCGGUUACCCCUGUUGUGAUAAGAAGAUAUGGAACUUGCAUCCCCUUCUCUCCUCUUCUGUCCCUGAAUGAACGGCUUUUUCACCCCUGAUGAAGAUCCACCUCCACUCUGGGUCUUGUAUGUCUUCAGGUAAUUCUCCACCCUCUCUCCGGUAGAGACUACAUCAGCAAAGUUGGAGGCAUUACAACCCAUCAGGCGCUCCAAAUAAGGUCCGGGCAGAGUGUUCAUGAGCAUGUUAGCCAUUUCCUUCUCCAACAUAAGAGGUUGAACACGGGAAGCUGUCUCCCUCCAGCGUUGAGCGUAUUCCCUGAAGCACUCAUUGCCUUUAAGAGACAGAUUCUGAAGUUGAGUUCUGUCCGGAGCCAUGUCUGUAUUAUACUGAUACUGCUUCACGAAAGCCUCAACCAAAUCCCUCCAGCAGCGGAUGUGGGCUCUGUCCAGCCUCAUAUACCAUUCCAGGGAUGCUCCAGCUAGGCUAUCCUGGAAAAAGUACAUAAGCAACUUUUCAUCGUCAGAGUAUGCAACCAUUUUACGGAAGUAGGCUUGCACAUGGGUCUUCAGGCAAGAGUUGCCACUGUAUUUGUCGAAUAUCGGGACCUUGAAUUUCGGUGGCACCCUCACGCUUGGGACCAAUCCCAAGUCAGCAACGUCUACUCCCAGAGGACUCUGUCCUUCCAUUGCCUUCAACCUCUCUUCCAGUCUUCGAAACAUAGGGUCCAUACCAUGACCCAUACCAAAGUCUUCCUGAAGCAAGGGGAACUGAUCCUCCUGGUCAUCAUGGACAGGUUGUUGACCGGAGGUGACAUGUAGGAUCGGGGUAGGCCCCGGUCCACUGGGUCCGUUAACCUCUCCAGCUGGAGGAUCUGUCAACGUCUCUGGUUGAGUAGUGGCGGGAUUCCUCUGCAUCAUCUGCCUGAGCUCUUGCUGUCCCUGAGCCACCCCUUGAACCACAUUGAGUAGUGGCGGGAUUCCUCUGCAUCAUCUGCCUGAGCUCUUGCUGUCCCUGAGCCACCCCUUGAACCACAUCCAUGAAUUGGUUCAUGCGGAUCUUCAUCUCGGCGAGCUCUGCUUGUAGGCUUUUCAUUGCUCUCUGGUGGCUUUUGCGGGUACCGUACCGGUGAAUGCCUGAGUCAGCUAUCCUGCUAGUGGAACACCAAAUAAUAUGAGAACACUGCAGCGGUACUUGUUAUGCAAGACAUGCUGAUGGAUAUGCAAAUGCAAUGACUUGUUUAUAAAUUCCAAAGGGCAUUCUACCCCCUUGAUUCCAGUCUCAUAAUAGAUAAACAGUGUAAGAAGAUCGAGCCGUUAGGAGAACCAGAAAACUCCGACUAGAAUCAAGAAGAAGAUAUAAACCCCCAGGAAUAGAUAAACAUGUGUUAAGUGAUAUGAAUGCGACAUGAUGUGAUGCAAUAUAGUGACAUGGGAAUCAGGAUUGCUGUAUCCGCUUGAAUAUCUGUCAGGUUGCACUGUCUGAAGAGAAACCCACUGAAGAAUAUAAUACAAGAUCAAAGCUCUGCUCCAGAAAACUGGGUUGGUUGGAGGUUAAGGUUUCCUGAAUUUAGCCCGCCCCUCACUGGUAGGUUCUAAGAACAGAAGUUUGUCAACUUCGGCCCUUCGGUCGAGAAUAAUACGUUUACCACUGAAGGUUUGGCAUUAUUACGGGAUAAAAGACCUCCACUGACUCCCCUCAACAGGACAUCCUAAUAGCAAGUUCCCAGUUUCGGGGUCCUCGGAUUGAUCAGCGAGAAUGCGCCCACCAGAGCUAACAUAAUCACGUCUCGAAGGAGAAGCCUCGACUGAGUUCUCGGGAAAUGGUCACCAGAGUCGACGAUUUCUAGAGGAACAUUUGCCGUUAUGGAACACCCAUAGGACAAAAUAUAUCCAAAAGAAACCUCGUCUGGAUGUGGGUCUUCAUGAACGACUUAACAUAGCAACACGCCACGCAAGCCUAAUGACUAUCCACUCUAAAACAUGUGUGUACACUCAAGCCUGGGUAAUGGGCUUAUCUCUCAUAGAACAUCCCAUCCCAACAAACAAACAAACCAACAGCAAAGCCAACAGAUACAAGCAAUGCUAUAUACACAAUGCAAUAAGAUAAAGCAGAAAAAUAAAUAACUGUACAAAAGAAUGAACACCAAAUAAACAAACAACCUACAAAAGCUAGGAGGGACUCGCUCAGGGAAACCAGGGUCCCCAGCAGAGUCGCCAGCUGUCGUAACCUGAAAAAGGAGAUGUGAAAAAACAACCGGCGAGAAAGAAAAGACAGAAGAGUCGCCACCGUGCGUUAUUUAUCCCAAAGGAGGGAAAGGAAACGCUCGAAGUAAACCAGGAAAAAAAGGAAAGGAAAAGACAAGGUCUCGCAACCAAAUCUUGGGUUCGGGAGUCGAUUAUGCGAAGGGAAGGUAUUAGCACCCCUACGCAUCCGUAGUACUCUACGGGAUCCACUCUUGUUGUUUAGGAAAAGACAAGGUCUCGCAACCAAAUCUUGGGUUCGGGAGUCGAUUAUGCGAAGGGAAGGUAUUAGCACCCCUACGCAUCCGUAGUACUCUACGGGAUCCACUCUUGUUGUUCUUGUCUAAAUGGCGUGGGUUUAUCUAAUGUACUAUCUACUAAAAGAAGGGUCAAAAGAAAAUGACUCGCACGGAUGUCGCAUCCACUGCAUACGUAUCUCAUAUGGAUAUGAGAAUCAGAGUCUUCAUAGCUCGGCUACCUAUGGGUUAAAGAGGAGUGUGCUCGCUAAGACAUCGCGUCUUAUGCCUACGUAUCUCAUCUGGAAUGAGAAUCAGAGCAAUCCGUAGUUCGACUAACUACGGGUUAAGGGUUGUGUUUUGGAUGAACGACGUUACUACGCAAUCUACCGGAUGCUCGACCUUUGGAGACUUACUCGCCUGUAGUAGAAGGAGUUAACGUGUUCUUAGGAGAAGAAAAAUCAACGAGUUUGUUUGGGUUUUAGGAAUGCUCAUGCAAAAAAGGAAGUCCUAGACGAAGGAACAGUGCUACCUUAAUUGACAUGCAAACGAGAGACUAUACGAAGCCUAGCAAUCCUAUGGGGAGACGAUCACACCAUACAAAACAAACAUGCAUAAAGUAAAAUGCCACAAGGGGCUCAAACCUACAUGGGUAGGGCUUUAGUCAAGAGGGGUCAUAUCAACCUCGACAAACAAGCAUGGAAUAGGUAAUCAAAUGGGCUCUUAACCACUGACAUUGAACGUCAGGGUGAGCAGAUCAAAAGGGUAAUGAGGAUAAGACCCCAUAGCUCUUAACCCUGGACAGGGUGAGCUCAUGACAAAAAAUGGGGAUUCAGAAAGGUGGAACCCUCUCCACUGAUUUAUCGGACAAAAGAUCUUGGGCUUUUGUUCUGAAGCAUCGACACGUAGUUCGAGCAUAAAGAACGACACACUGAAUAACGGGGGAAUGAUUACUAAUCCCUUUUAUCCAUCAAUUGCCUCUUCAGGGAGGUCUUUAGCACUGAUGCCUCUUCUUGGAGGUCUUUGGGCACAAAAGUAAACAAACAAAAGAAAACAUUGCCUCUUAUUGAGGUCUUCCAGCUAAGAAAGCGGUAAAAUGCGGGAAAGAUAAAGGAUCAAGAGAUCUACCACACAGAUAAAGAUACAAAGUAAUAACAGCUAAAGAAAUAAGAAACCCAGAGAUCUCUCGAGCUGGCACCAUCAAAGAAAGAAAGUCAAUACAGGUAAUUGGAAUAAAUCUCCAAAUGGUAUCCCACAAAUAAAGUGUAAUGCCAAGCAAGCUAUCCUUUCAUAAGUCAUGUGAGCCCUAAAAAAAACUCAACAAACAGGUUAGAGUUACAAGAUGGGGUGCAAUCAAGAGUUGCCCCAAAAUUAAAAUGUAACCACAUGAAUCAUGACAUUAAAAUUCACAAAAAGAGCUCACAAAAAGCAACCAAGUGUAGGAGGCCUAAACCUCUUGUCAAACACAUGCAUCAAAAGGGUAUCAAAAUUCAAAGUCAGGGGGCAAGGAUCCACACAUCAAGAUAAAGCAACCAAGUGUAGGAGGCCUAAACCUCUUGUCAAACACAUGCAUCAAAAGGGUAUCAAAAUUCAAAGUCAGGGGGCAAGGAUCCACACAUCAAGACAUGACAUACAUACUAAAACAUGUGCCCCAUGCAAAACCUAACGAUACCCACUCUUCCGAAUUCACCCAUAAUACCUCAUACAUUCAGAAAUUUCAGGUAGAAAGUAUAAAGUAGUGGAAAUAGGGCAUACCUGAUUGGGGAGGAUCGGUUGAAAUUGAAUUGCACCGUUGGCUUUGCAGAACAAUCUUAGGGUUUAUAUGAGAGGGAAUUGAUUCUUUGCAGAUGAGUUCCCUUCAGUCUCUGGAGGUUGCUCUGAAUUCGUUAGAAUCUCUCUAGGGUUUUGUUCCAAGGAAACUUCAGAGUGUUUUCAGCUUUCACCAAUUCUCCCUCUCUCUUUCUUUUUCCUUUACUGAAAUUUCAGAAUUUAUAACCUGAUUUUCGUGGUUUUGUGGGCUCAAAUGAGAGAGGUCCAAGUCCAAGAUUUUUCUGUUACAUAUAAAUCUUUUUUUUUUCGUUUUUUUUUUCAAAACGCGUGGGCUUCGCCUAGCGAGCAUGACAGUUCUCUGAGCGCAGGUGAUCUGGUGGCUUUUCUUGGGACUCGCUAGGCGCGACCCAUUCUGCUCGCCUAGCGAGCAUGACAUGAACAAACUUUUGCUCCUUCAAGAUUAACGUUUUGACUGAUGAAUAGACCCCAUUUGAACAUGUUGGAAGUAUCUCAAGCCAUUCCCUUGUGUUGACUGAUCACCCAGAUAGGACCCACAAAGUCUCUUGGAUGAUAUUCAAGCUUCUUGGAUCUAAUUCCGAUUGACAUGAUGAAAUGCAAUAUGAAAUGUUAAAUGACCUAAAAAUGAAUGCAUGAAUGAGGGGGGCAAAUUUUGAGGUAUUACACCCCUCAAUCACCACAGUGAUUACAACCUUUGAUUAGUUUAAAGUUAAUGGCGAAGUUAUACUUCAAACAACUCUUGAUUGUGCUUAACAACUUUAAUCAAGAAACACAACACUCACGCUCAAAAGCUUAGAGUGACACAACACUUACAAUUCAAUGAACACCCUAGUCCAAUGCAAUCAUCUAGGUGAUAAUUGCUUGGCUCACAAAUAAAACCUAAUACAAGAUACAAUAAAACUACAGCAGUGAAAUAUGAUGAUACAAUUAAUUCUUCACGCUUCAAAAACCUGAGUUGCUGAAAGUAGGAUUGCCAUCCUUUUAUAAUGCAGCACUUGGGCCUUGUACUUGAAUUUCCUAAAAUUAAGGUUAAGCACGUUAACCUAAUUUCCACAUAUUAGGGUGCUAACAAAUAGGCUAUAUACUAGGCCUCUUAAUUGUAGCUCAGUUGUUAGUUUCCUAGAUUUUAGCUCAGCUGUUAGAUUCCUGAAAAAUAGCUUUAGAAAAAUACUGAAACAGAAAAACUAACUAGCCUACACUUUAGCAUAUGCUGUCAGGAAUGAAUGUCAUAACAUUCAGUUUGACGUCCAGAACAUAGGCCAUAUGCUAGGUCUGUAAUUCUCCUGAAAAACAGACUGAAUUAAAUACUGAACUGUAACAGAAAACCAACCAGCCUAUAAUUCAGUAUCUUCUGUCAAGGAUGAAUUUCAUAAUAUUCAGUUUGACAUUCAGACAAUAGGCUAUAUGCUAGGUCUGUUAUUCUCCUGACAAACAAACUGAAAUAAAUACUGAGGUAUAGCAGAAAAACCAACUAUUCUAUAGUUCAGUAUCUGCUGUCAGGGAUGAAUGUCAUAACAUCCAGUUUGAUAUUCAGUAAAUCCUGUAUUAGCUAAUCCUGCAGCAUACCACUCAAGCUUGUCAUGACAUCAGUCAAGACAUCAGAGUACAAUUAGUGUUUUAACACAAAAUGCAGCCAAUCAAAAACAUCUACAAAGAUGAAGUCCAUACAAGUUUAAUUAUCAAAAUCAAUAUGUCUUAUCCAACUUUUAUUCUUUGAGAAACUUAAAAUUCAACUUGCAAGGGCAUGUGCCAAGAGGAAACAUUAUAGGCCAUUUUGGGCCAUUACGAUUGAAUAAACAAUUUUCCUCAACUUCUAAAAUGCAUAAAUCCUUCAUGCCAAAUCUAAAUGAUGUCAAAUUUGUGACCAAAUUGAAUAGGGUUGAAAUAUAUACAAUUUUUAUGAAGGAAAGUUUUCCAUUUGAAUCUCAUAGAAAAAUUUAUUCAAGGUGGAAGAAUUGGAUAUUUGACUUGGUAGUUAGAAAAUUUUCAAUUAUCUUUGAUUUCUCAAACUUCCACCUCAAAAUUUAUCAUGAUCCAAGCUUCAACUAAAAAAGUGUUCAACAUAAAAGUUGUUCCCCUUGAUGCCACCUUUCAAAAAAGUCCAAAAUCAUUUCAUUUGGACAAAGUUUGAAUGACUUGCACAUGUUUACUCCUCAUGGUUCUAUUUGGAUGAAUCUCAUGAUCACUUCUCAAAUACAAAUGUAUGGCCUCAUGUUAGACUUUCAGCAUUACUCAUGAUUAUUUUUGGACCUUAUUACACCAUCUUAUGGGCCUAUAACAUUCCCAUGCAAGCAUGCACUUCAAUUUCUAUUUUUUGGCCAAAAUUCAAAAGGUGUGAAAAGCAAUGAACAUAACUAUAAAUACAUGCCCUUGGUGAUCAGAAUAAGGAUCCUUUUUCCCAAGCUUCAUCCCCUUCUCUCCCAAAACCCAUUGAAAGGAUAAUCUUGAAGAUUUCUUGAGAAAUCGAGUUUUAAUUUUCAUUCUAUUUUGGAAUUGAAACUCCAAGAGUCCAAGCUUUUUAAUCAUCAAUAUCAUCUUCUACAAGCUUCUAGAGUCAAGCCAACCCAAAUUGGAAGCAAGAUCAAGCUAAUCUGAAGCUACUCGAAGGUGAGAUUUUAGAAACUUUUCUUCUUCAAUUCUCCCUCAUUUUUUAUCCAUUUUGAUUGAUUGUUGGUUUGCUAAAGUCCUACCAAUGUAGGCAACAAGAUUGAGUUGCUUUGAGGUCAAAUCGAAACAACUUAUAUCAUGAUCCUUAAAAUUCAAAUCAUUGUAUCUUUCAAUAUACUUGGAAUUGGAGAGAGUUGAGGCCAGAUUCGAUCUCCUGAGCAUUUUUUCUUUAGAAUCAUGUCCUUGUUUUUUAUUUUGGUAAUGGUUGGUGGUCAUCCAGUCUGGUGAGGCUCACAAGAGAAGAUGACCGGAGCCCUAGCUCCGGUGGUGUGUUGGCGUGUUACCAAACCUUUGAUCCAUUCAAAAUAUUUUAAUCUUGGCCCUUGGUUCUGAUUACCAUUGGCAUGACGCGUUUGACUUGGUCUAUCGUGGAUAACGCGCACGUGGUCAUCAGAUCUGCCACCUCAACUAAUGAGGGAGAUCUGAUGGCCCUUGUUUUAUUAAUUUUAUUAUAUUUUCAUUUAAUCCCUUUAUUUUGUUUAAUUCAUAUUAAUUUAAUUUUUAAUCCAAAAGAUCUAAGACUUUCACCAAAAAUCUUUAAAUAUUUACCUCUUCUAUAUUUUGAACUAAAAUUAUUUUUUGGAUUAAUUUUGGUAUUUUUCAUGAAUUAAAUGUUUUUGUGCAUAUUUUUAAUUGUUUAAAAAUACUUCUGACUUUUAAAAAAUAGUGAAAUUUUUUGUCUAAUGUCCUUUGACCUUGUUUGACCUAGGAUAAAUCCCUUGGUCAUUUAUUUGGUGUUUUGAAGGGAUUUUAGGUUUUGAUCAAAUUUAAAUGCAUUUUAAUCCAUUUUUAAAUUGAUUUUUAAUUGAUAAAAUGUGUAAAAGUGUUGUUGGGCCAUUUUUAUGGUCUUGUGAUGUUUGAAUUUCUGUUUGGACCUUGGUCAAGGUUGAUUUGACUUUUGUUGGAUCAAAACCAUUGGAUUUAGGGGAUUGAUGAAAGGUAUAUUUCAUCUCCCAAAAUAAAUGGAUGGUUUUGAUUUGAUGAAAUUCCUCCCAUGAUCAAUUUGUGUUUCUAUUUCCCCCUCCCUCUUCAUCUUCAUCCCUAUUCUUCCCCAUUCCCUCAUUUGAUCAAUGAAAUCUCUAAUGUCUAAAUGUUAAUUGAUUCAUCAAUGACCUUGUGCCAGAUGAAUCAAUACAAGUAUGACUGAGAUAGAUCCCUCCCAUUUUCUUUUAGUGUGUGGUAUAUUUUGUGAGGGCAAAGGUUCCUAGUCCUUAUUUUAAUGAUGUCAAACCUUUAUAGUUUCUCAUAACAUGUGCUUUGGACGGUGUCAUCAUAUAAUAAAACGCUCAAAGUAUAAGUGAAAUGUGUCCAUGCAUAUAUGAGCAUCUCAUUGACUUGAAUAAUGCACUGUAUCAUUGUUAGUACCAUAGUGUAAGACCCCAAUUUUGUCCCUAAGAUCCCUCAUGGCAUCAUAUCAUAUCAUAUCAUUGCCUCAAGGAUCAUGGUGCAUUGUGCCUCUUUCCCUAGUGGGUGGGUUAUCUUUUGAGUGUGGUUCUUGAUCACCAAGCAUGUUUUGCAUUUGUAUAUCAUUGCUUUUCAUUUGCCUACUAACCAAAAGUACAAAAAUAUUGUCAUCUAACCUUGUUACUUGCAGAUGAAGCAACAGUAGGUCAAACCAGUCAAAGGCAUUCAUUGAGCCAUAGAUGGUGUCCAUUCUGAAGAAUUUGGGCACCAUUGAUCAUUCACAAGAGUUCAUAUAAGCUGUGACUUCAUUUUGAAUCAAGAUCUCAAGUGGUAGAGGCUUGAAUUUCAUCAGAGCAUAGCUAGGUCAACUGAAACCCUAGAAAAGUCAACACAAGUCAACUGUGCAUUUAAUCAGGGAUUUGAAGGUGGGAGAUGGUUUGAGAGACCUUAUUCAUGUCCAUACAAGUCUCAUUUGACAUGUCAAACAUCAACAUGGAAGAAUUUGAGGUCAGACAAAAAGGUUCCAAAAAUAGUAAGUGACCUGUAAUUUCAAACUGCCAAAAAUGGAAAGGUCUUCUCCUCAAAUUUACAUCAUCAAGCAAGCUUCAAGUCAAAUUUUGUCCAACAUGAAAGUUGAAUAUCUUGCUCUCACCUUUCCAAAAAGUCCAAGAACAUGAAUUUCUCAUUUGUGGUUGGAGAGUUAUGAUCAAAUCAUUAUCAAGGAAUUUUGAACUUCAAGCUUGCAUAACUUUUGCACCAAAUGGCCAAUUGGAAUGGUUCUUUUUGCAACAUUUCACUCUUGAUAUGCUCUAUCAUAAUCAUGCAUCACAUUUAAUCAUUUCUCAUUACAAAAAGAUUUCAUUUUUCACUUGAAUUAAUUUGAUUUUUGGAGGGAAAAUAUCCAUUUGAAAAAUAUGCAUCAUUUUCAAUUCCAACCAAUCCCAUUUGCAUCAAAACAGAUUUUGCAACUUGCUCCAAGUGAAAUUCGAGCACUGUAGCAUGCCAUGCACAUGUGAGGGUAUUUUGGCCAAGUUGCAUAACACUUCAUUUCACUUAAUCCAUUUUGCAUUAGCUUAAUCAUGAUUAACUAGUGUGAUUAGCAGAGGGUAUAUAAUGAUGAUCCUAACAGAAUUCAUCAACAACAACUUCACAAUUUCAGAUCUGAAAAAUUUCACUUCAUUGUUCUCUCAACUUUUUUUCGAAUUUCUUCAUAAGCAUUGGCUGGUUCUUGGUUUAUUCAUCAUCUCCAAGCACAAUUGAAGAUUGUUGAAGCAAGAUCUUGAAGAAUUCAAGCUGAAUCGUGGACUGUUGAAGCACAUGAACAUCCAUGGCAGUUGAGAUUUCUGGACCAAUCGAGCACUGCUGAGCUGUUCUUCAUCAUCCUUUCAUCUCUCUAAACAUUGUGGAGCAUCUGUUUUAACUUGCCAGGACCUAAGAAGCACGAUUUCACUUCUGCAUCUUCAUUGAGCUUUGUUUCAGGUUACACAUUCAAGUUACACAAUUGAUGAUGCCUCANAGUUGACUUGCGAGUCCAUUCACUUGGUGGAGGUCAUGUUGGAUUAAUAAUGUCACACAAGUUAUUUGUGGUUAGGCAUUAUUCUUUCAAUCAUGUGCCUUAGAAGCCAAGGACCUUAGUUUACCAAGCCCAUCUUGGCCUAUUUUUAGGACGUAGUGCGGAGGUCGUUCAGAUGUAAGUUCUGAUGCGAUUGUUACACGACACUACACUCAUAAGAGUCUCUCUUGAGAAUAUUUUUGGAAUACGAGUAUUCGUUCCUCCGAUAAUAUCCGAAAGAUGGGACGAUGAUUAUGGGAACCUCUGGUAGAACAUGUCGGCAGGUUUAAACCUUAGUACACUCCUUUUGGGUGGUUCUUAACCGAGACUCCAUGCUCGUGACUCUCAGCAAACCCGUGAUUCAUGGUUGAGUCGUUCAGACAACCCUAAUAUCAAUGGAACCUGGGUGUCGAUCAGGUGUAAAACCAAAAUCCACCAAAAUGGAUGAUUGAUAUUAAGGAUGUUCGAGCCGGUUCAUGUACCGUUAAUAUCAAUGGAACUUGGGUGUUGAUAAGGUGAAAACCUAAAUCCACCAAAAUGGAUGAUUGAUAUUAGUUGAUUGAUAUUAGGGAUACAAUGAGCUUUCCCAUGACCUUUGUUUGGUGUGACUUGCUUGAUCCUUGAGUGUGAUUGUUGCAUUCAUGCAUUCAUGCAUUCAUCUGCACUUCAUGUCAUCAGAAAAAUGAGAAAAUUUUCAAGGAACUUAAAGGGUUUAUUUUCAAAAUUUUCAGACAUGGAAAGACCAAAAAGGCAUACAAAGAGUUAAGGAAUCUGACAUCCUAUGUAUUAGAUCCCUUGGGUUUCAAAGCUCGCUAUGGGAAGCUCCUGCCUCUGUUGACUACUCAGGUUGAUGAGGGUUUGAUGAGUACUCUGGCUCAGUUUUAUGAUCCUCUAUAUCACUGCUUCUCUUUCCCGGACUUCCAGUUGUUGCCUACCUUGGAGGAGUAUUCUCAUCUGUUGGGUAUUCCGAUUCUGGAUCAGGUGCCGUUCAGUGGCUUAGAGAGUAUUCCGACUGCUCGAGAGAUCGCAGACUUGUUGCACAUAGAUGAAUCUUUGAUUAAAGCUAAUCUGACUACCAAAGGUGGAAUUCAGGGUCUUGUUCAGUGGCUUAGAGAGUAUUCCGACUGCUCGAGAGAUCGCAGACUUGUUGCACAUAGAUGAAUCUUUGAUUAAAGCUAAUCUGACUACCAAAGGUGGAAUUCAGGGUCUUCCUUCUGAUUUCCUCGUUGCUCAAGCUACCGUUUACGGGAAGGCCAUGAGUGAGGAUACCUUUGAGGCUUUAUUUGUGUUGCUCAUCUAUGGUUUGGUAUUAUUUCCCAACUUCGACAAAUUUGUGGAUGUGAACGCCAUUAGGAUCUUCUCAGUUCUUAAUCUCGUUCCGACUCUGUUGGGUGAUGCAUAUGUCUCUUUGCAUCUGAGGAAUGCAAAGGGUGGAGGAGUUAUUGUGUGCUGUCUACCUCUGCUGUACAAGUGGUUUAUUUCGCACUUGCCGCAGACUGUUGCUUUCAAGGAGAACAAGAGUUGUCUACGGUGGUCUCAGAGACUCAUGUCUCUCACUAAUGAUGAUAUCUCUUGGUAUGAUCGCGUGUAUGAUACUGUUCAGAUUAUCGAUUAUUGUGGUGAAUUCCCUAAUGUGCCUCUUCUUGGUACAUGUGGUGGGAUCAGCUACAAUCCCAUUCUAGCACGUCGUCAGCUUGGGUUCCCCCUAAAGGAUAAACCCCAUAACAUUCUGUUAGUGUGGUGAAUUCCCUAAUGUGCCUCUUCUUGGUACAUGUGGUGGGAUCAGCUACAAUCCCAUUCUAGCACGUCGUCAGCUUGGGUUCCCCCUAAAGGAUAAACCCCAUAACAUUCUGUUAGAAGGUGUGUUCUUUCUGGAGGGUAAAGAUCCCCAAGGCCUGAAAGCCAGAUUUGUCCACGCUUGGCGCAAGAUCUGCAAGAAGAGUAGGAAUGAGUUGGGUCCGAAGAAUUGCAUUGCUUUGGAGCCAUAUACCUCUUGGGUCAGACAGAGAGCUGUCGUAUACCUUAUGCCUUAUGAUCAUUCGAGACCUACACCGUUGGAUGUGGCUGGGCCUUCAACACUCCCUAACCAACAUGUAGAGGAGUUGAGAAAAGAAGACCUUUCACGUGCUUGGAUCCGUGAAAGAGAGGAAUUGCUGCAGCAGAUCAAAGAGAAGGACGCUCUGAUUGAGUUUCUCGAGCAUCGAGUGAUCGACGAUCCGAAUGAUACUUGGACUUCUCUGCUUCCUCAGUCUUCCAAAUUCUGGAAGAGGAAGUAUGUAGCAGAUCAAAGAGAAGGACGCUCUGAUUGAGUUUCUCGAGCAUCGAGUGAUCGACGAUCCGAAUGAUACUUGGACUUCUCUGCUUCCUCAGUCUUCCAAAUUCUGGAAGAGGAAGUAUGAUCGACUCGCAAAAGAGAAAGCGGAUAUGGAAGCUGCCUAUGAGAGAGAGAUCAAGAAGCUUUGUGCCUCUCGUCUUCCAGCAUCCCGAGCUUCUAGGGAUCCAUAGGAUGUUAUUUUACUUUUCUCUUUGUAAUAUGAUCAAAAAUGUUGUACUUCUUUGUCUUGGAUAUAUUUGAUGAGAUAUUUUCCAUAUGAUAAUAAAUGCUUAAAAAAUUAAAAUUUGCAAAUAAUGCCCUAAGGGUUCCUUGAAAAUAAACAAAGCAUCUGCACAAGCAUUUCAUUCAUCAUUUUGCAUAAGCAGGUAUCUUGUUCUGGUCUUCUCGUCUGUGGUCUAACCCUGUGCUCUUCAUUUAUUUUGAAGACAAGCUGACUCACCGGUACUAUACAAGAGCCAAUUCUGCCAGAGUAAUGGAUCAGUUGGAACAAGAGAACCGUGAAUUGAAGGAAGAGGUCGCCAGACUUGGUAGCUGACUCACCGGUACUAUACAAGAGCCAAUUCUGCCAGAGUAAUGGAUCAGUUGGAACAAGAGAACCGUGAAUUGAAGGAAGAGGUCGCCAGACUUGGCGCUUUGAUGGAGCAACUCCUUGCUGCUCAGAAUCAACCUUCUCCGCCUCCUGCAACUCCUCCCCAGAGGACGGUUAUAUCUGAAGUCGUUGCUUCGACUGUGCCAGCCGCCAGUGCUCACUUUGUGCCCAAUGCCAUGCCAGCCGGGUUUCCUUGGGGUAUGCCUCCGGGUUUCAUGCCUGACAUUCCUGCUCCAACUUUUGCUCACAUGCCGGCAUCUAGCCCGGUCCCUGUUGCUGCUCCUCCUGUCGUGCAUACCAUGCCUAGGGUAGACGACACCAUCUAUCAUUCUGAGCCGUCUGAAGGCCCAGAUGUUAAUGAGAAGAUGGAGGCUAUGAAUGACCAAUUCCUCGAGCUGCGAAAGGAAUUGAAGACUCUCAGAGGGAAAGAUCUUUUUGGCAAGUCUGCUGCUGAACUUUGCCUUGUUCCCGGUGUUAAAAUUUCGAUCAAAUUCAAAGUUCCUGACUUUGAAAAGUAUAAAGGGAACACCUGCCCCCUUGCUCAUCUGGUCAUGUACACCAGAAAGAUGUCUACUCAAACAGAUAAUGAUCAGCUUCUGAUCCAUUAUUUUCAGGAUAGUUUGUCAGGUGCGGCUCUUCGUUGGUAUAUGAGCUUGGAUAGCGCAAACAUCUGAUCCUUCAAUGAUCUUGGCGAAGCCUUCGUCAAGCAGUACAAAUACAAUGUUGAUAUGGCGCCUGAACGUGAUCAACUCAGGGCCAUGUCUCAAAAGGAUAAGGAGACAUUCAAGGAGUACGCCCAGAGGUGGCGAGAACUGGCUGCUCAGAUCACUCCUCCAUUGGAAGAGAAAGAAAUGACUAAGAUCUUUUUGAAGACUCUUAGCUCAUUCUAUUAUGAGCGGAUGGUAGCAAGUGCUCCCUCUGAUUUCACCGAGAUGGUGAACAUGGGGAUGCGUCUGGAGGAAGGAGUCCGUGAAGGACGAUUGGCUAAAGAUGAGAGCUCUUCUAAACGGUAUGGGGCGUUUAAGAAGAAGGAUGGGGAGGCACAUGAUGUGCAAUCCCAUGCUAAAUCCAAAAGACCCUCUGUUCAGAGGAAGCCUGCACGUCGUGCAAAUAAUCAGCACCAGGCGGCUCAUAUAGCACCUGUUUUCAGGGAUAGUGCUCAGUAUCAGCAACCUCAGCAACAUCAGCAUCAACAACCUCAGUAUCAGCAGCAACACCGUCCACAGCAACAGGCCUACCAGCCUCGUGGCAGCACAACCAACCAGGCUAAUUUGAGUUAUGAUAGGAAGAAGAUCAGCUUCGAUCUGAUUCCUAUGUCAUACGCUGAGCUAUAUACUUCCUUGUUGGAAAGGAAGUUGGUUACUCCCAGGGAUCCUCCUGCUGUGCCUGCAAAUCCUCAGUGGUGGUAUAAGCCAGACCAACAUUGUGUGUAUCAUUCCGGUGCUCCGGGUCAUAACAUAGAGAACUGCUUUCCGUUGAAGACCAAAGUGCAAGACUUAAUGAGAUGUGGCAUACUGAACUUUGAGGACUCAGGCCCCAACGUUACAAAGAACCCAUUGCCCGAGCAUGGGAAAUCUGUGAAUAUGGUCCAGGGGUGCCCUGGGAAGUACAAAGUCAAAUAUGUCAGUCAUAUUAGACAGUCAUUGGUCGAAUUACAUCGUCUCCUGUGUGAGUAUAGCCAUAUGGAGCAUGACCAUGACAGGUGCCGCAUCUGUUCUGUUAACCGUUUGGGGUGUCGCCAGGUGCGAAGAGAACUUCAAGAACUGUUGGACGAAGGUACCAUUGAGAUUCUGCAGAAUCGCAAUGUUGAUGAAGAUGAACCCGAGGUUAAUGUUAUAUCUCCUGUGUUCAAGCUGCCUGAGCUUGUUGUCAUUCGUUAUGAUGGCAGCAUGCCGAAGGUCUCUCCUUCAUUGGUAAUUAAGCCUGCAGGCCCUGUGCCUUAUGCUUCUGAUAGAGCUGUUCCGUUCAGAUACAAUCCCGUUGCUGUGGAAGAUGGGAGAGAAGUGCCUUUGCCUUCAACUUCUGUGACUAAUAUUGCAGAUGUAAGUGGGUUGACCCGUAGUGGUCGUGUAUUUUCUGCACCUCCAAAGGCUCAUGUUGCUUCUGAUACUGUUGAGCGUCCGGUUGGGACGGCUGUGAAUGUUCAGAACCCGGCACUUGCUGUUGCCAAACCCUCCUCUGUACAAAAGAGUCCUGAUUCUUCUGUUGGCCCGAGUGGCGUUGUGAAUGAAGAAUGUGAUGAGAUGCUGAGGCUCAUCAAGAAGAGUGGGUACAAUGUUGUAGACCAGCUACUACAAACGCCGUCCAAAAUCUCCGUAUUAUCUCUGCUGCUGAAUUCAGAACCUCAUAGGGAGGCUCUGCAGAAAGUCUUGGAUCUGGCAUAUGUUGAUCACGACGUCACCAUUGAACAAUUUGAUAGUAUUGUUGCAAACAUCACUGCUUGCAACACGUUGAGUUUCUGUGACGCUGAUCUCCCUGAGGAGGGAAGAGACCACAACAUGGCUUUACAUAUUUCCAUGAACUGCAAGUCUGAUGCCAUGUCCAACGUGCUGGUGGAUACUGGAUCGUCUCUUAAUGUAUUGCCAAAGACCACACUCUCUCGAUUGUCAUAUCAGGGGCCUCCUAUGAGGCAGAGUGGUGUUGUUGUGAAGGCUUUCGAUGGGUCGCAUAAGAUUGUGAUUGGGGAAGUUGAUCUCCCAAUCAAGAUUGGACCAAGUGAUUUCCAAGUUACCUUCCAGGUAAUGGACAUCCACCCAUCUUAUAGCUGUCUCCUUGGCAGACCAUGGAUUCACGAGGCUGGCGCCGUGACAUCCACCCUACACCAGAAGCUGAAAUUUGUUAAGAAUAAGAAACUGGUUGUGGUAGGGGGAGAAAUCCCUACACCAGAAGCUGAAAUUUGUUAAGAAUAAGAAACUGGUUGUGGUAGGGGGAGAAAAGGCUCUCCUGGUUAGCCACUUGUCUUCUUUCUCGUAUAUUGACGCUGAGGAUGAAGUUGGAACUCCGUUCCAAGCCUUAUCUAUUGAUGAACCGAUCGAGAAAAAGUCUCUUUCAUUUGCUUCCUACAAAGAUGCGAAACUGGCCAUUGAAUGUGGUGCAGUUGCUGGUUUAGGAAAGAUGAUUGAGCUUGAAGACAAUAAAUCCCGGGCUGGCAUUGGCUAUUCCUUUGGGGCAUUCAACGAGCAAGGUUUGUUCACAAGUGGAGGAUUCAUCCAUGCUGAUCAACCUGAAGAAGCUGCUGCUAUCUUGGAAGAGGAUGCAGAGGAAAUGAGCAACUUCAUCAUACCUGGUGGGGUCUGCCACAAUUGGGUUGCUGUAGAUGUUCCUACAGUCAUCCAUAGAUCAGAGUAAUUGUUCACUUUGUUUAAAACCCUUCUCCCAUGCCAAAAGGAGAAGUGAUGACAUUGUUGGCAACAUUUAAUACAAUGAUAUUUUCAUUCAGUUAAUGCAUUGUUAAACAUUUGUUUUUCCAUUUGUUUUCACUUUUUGCUUUUGCAUGAAAUCAGUGAUCACAAAAAAAAAACCAUAAAAACAGGAAUAAAAGCAACAUUUUUCAUCUGCAUAAUGAUUUGCUUGCUUAAAUUCUGAAGUUUUUAUUAACCAAAAUCAUUAUGCAGGUUGAUUCUAAAACCCAUUGAACAUAAUGAUCCAACGCCAUCUCCCAAUUUUGAAUUCCCUGUAUUCGAGGCAGAGGAACAGAGUUGAAGGGAUCCUGAUGACGAUUCCUCGUCUUCUUCGAGCACGAGAGAAGACAGUCACGCACUUGAAGAUCUGGAAACAUCAACUUGGGGCGGAUUGUGUUCGUAGAUGGUGAAGAAUUGGGGCACUUCUUGAGAGUCUGUCAGAGAGUAUUGAUUGAGUCUAUCGAGAAUAUCGAUAUCUUUGCUGUCGUAUGAAGAAUUGCCGGGUUUAGAUACAGAUAUUGCCACAUUUCGCUUUCGAGGCCUGAGGUGCGUGCCCGUGAGCAGAUGUCAGAAGAACUCAUCCAAUAUGGCACGUGAAAGAUCAAGAGUAAGUUCAGAAGCAAAUUGAUGCGGGGUUUCUGGUGACUUCUACAUAUCCUCAAUGGGUGGCCAAUAUUGUGCCUGUGCCUAAGAAGGACGGAAAGGUCCGUAUGUGUGUUGAUUACAGAGAUUUGAAUAAAGUUAGUCCGAAAGAUGAUUUUCCUCUACCGCAUAUUGAUAUGUUGGUAGAUAAUACAGCUAAAUUCAAAGUCUUUUCGUUUAUGGACGGAUUUUCCGGAUAUAAUCAAAUCAAGAUGGCACCCGAAGAUAUGGAGAAGACAACAUUCAUCAGACCUUGGGGAACAUUCUGUUAUCGAGUGAUGCCCUUCGGUUUGAAGAACGUCGGAGCCACGUAUCAGCGAGCUAUGACUACCUUGUUUCAUGAUAUGAUGCACAAGGAGAUAGAGGUCUAUGUUGAUGAUAUGAUUGCUAAGUCCCGAACGGAAGUUAAACAUGUUGAGCAUUUGUUGAAGCUUUUUCAGCGUCUGAGGAAGUUCAGACUUCGUCUGAAUCCGAACAAAUGUACAUUUGGAGUCCGUUCCGGCAAGUUGUUGGGUUUCGUUGUCAGCGAGAGAGGUAUUGAGGUUGAUCCUGCAAAGGUCAAAGCAAUACAAGAGAUGCCUGCACCCAAAACUGAGAAGCAAGUCCGAGGUUUUCUUGGCCGCUUGAACUAUAUUUCCAGAUUUAUAUCCCACAUGACUGCCACAUGUGCGCCGAUAUUCAAGCUCCUCCGGAAAGAUCAGUCUCAUGAUUGGACCGAGGAUUGCCAGAAAGCUUUCGACAGUAUUAAAGAGUAUCUGUCUGAACCUCCGAUAUUGUCUCCGCCUGUAGAAGGAAGACCUCUGAUCAUGUAUCUGACUGUUCUUGAAGACUCGAUGGGUUGUGUACUCGGUCAACAAGAUGAAUCAGGGAAGAAAGAAUCUGCUAUCUACUACCUCAGUAAGAAGUUUACUGAUUGUGAGUCUCGGUACUCUAUGCUUGAGAAGACGUGUUGUGCUUUGGCUUGGGCUGCUAAGCGUUUGCGCCAGUACAUGAUAAAUCAUACAACUUGGUUGAUAUCCAUAAUGGAUCCAAUCAAGUAUAUUUUUGAGAAGCCUACUUUAACUGGGAGGAUUGCCCGUUGGCAGAUGUUGUUGUCUGAGUAUGAUAUCGAGUAUCGAGCUCAGAAAGCUAUCAAAGGUAGUAUCUUGGCUGACCACCUAGCGCACCAGCCGAUUGAAGAUCAUCAGUCUGUUCAGUACGACUUCCCUGAUGAGGAGAUUCUGUAUUUGAAAAUGAAAGAUUGUGAUGAGCCUACACUUCAUGAAGGUCCGGAACCUGGUUCCAGAUGGACGAUGGUGUUUGAUGGCGCUGUGAAUCAGUAUGGAAAUGGAAUUGGGGCAGUAAUCAUUACUCCUCAUGGCACUCAUAUUCCGCUUAAAGCAAGGCUAACUUUCAAAUGCACAAAUAAUAUAGCGGAGUACGAGGCCUGUAUCAUGGGAUUGGAAGAAUGCAUUGAUUUGAGAAUCAAGCAUCUUGAUGUGUAUGGUGAUUCGGCCCUAGUUGUUAAUCAGAUUAAGGGUGAAUGGGAGACGAAUCAGCCAGGUCUCAUUCCGUACAAAGAUUAUGCGAGAAGGAUUUCAACUUUCUUUACAGAAGAUGAUUUUCAUCAUAUUCCUCGAGAAGAUAAUCGGAUGGCAGAUGCUCUUGCUACGCUUGCUUCAAUGAUUGUGGUAAAGUAUUGGAAUGAAGUUCCCAAUAUUGCCGUGAUGCGCUUGGAUAGACCAGCUCACGUAUUUGCAGUAGAAGAAGUGAAUGAUGACAAGCCUUGGUAUUUUGAUAUCAAGAAUUUCCUCCAGAACCAGGUCUACCCGCCCGGGGCAUCUGUGAAAGAUAGGAAAACUUUGAGAAGGUUGUCAGGCAGUUUCUACCUCAGUGGUGAAGUGCUGUAUAAGAGAAAUUUUGACAUGGUUUUGCUCAGAUGCGUGGAUAGACACGAAGCAAACCUAUUGAUGACUGAGGUCCAUGAGGGUUCAUUUGGUACUCAUUCCAAUGGACAUGCCAUGGCUAGAAAGAUGUUGAGAGCAGGCUACUAUUGGCUGACAAUGGAGUCUGACUGCUGCAAGUAUGUGAAGAAAUGCCACAAGUGUCAGAUUUAUGCGGAUAAGAUUCAUAUUCCUCCGACACUUCUGAAUGUGAUUUCAUCACCAUGGCCUUUCUCUAUGUGGGGAAUUGACAUGAUUGGCAUGAUUGAGCCGAAAGCGUCCAACGGACACAGGUUUAUUCUCGUAGCAAUUGAUUACUUCACCAAAUGGGUUGAAGCCGCUUCGUANNNNNNNNNNNNNNNNNNNNNNNNNNNNNNNNNNNNNNNNNNNNNNNNNNNNNNNNNNNNNNNNNNNNNNNNNNNNNNNNNNNNNNNNNNNNNNNNNNNNNNNNNNNNNNNNNNNNNNNNNNNNNNNNNNNNNNNNNNNNNNNNNNNNNNNNNNNNNNNNNNNNNNNNNNNNNNNNNNNNNNNNNNNNNNNNNNNNNNNNNNNNNNNNNNNNNNNNNNNNNNNNNNNNNNNNNNNNNNNNNNNNNNNNNNNNNNNNNNNNNNNNNNNNNNNNNNNNNNNNNNNNNNNNNNNNNNNNNNNNNNNNNNNNNNNNNNNNNNNNNNNNNNNNNNNNNNNNNNNNNNNNNNNNNNNNNNNNNNNNNNNNNNNNNNNNNNNNNNNNNNNNNNNNNNNNNNNNNNNNNNNNNNNNNNNNNNNNNNNNNNNNNNNNNNNNNNNNNNNNNNNNNNNNNNNNNNNNNNNNNNNNNNNNNNNNNNNNNNNNNNNNNNNNNNNNNNNNNNNNNNNNNNNNNNNNNNNNNNNNNNNNNNNNNNNNNNNNNNNNNNNNNNNNNNNNNNNNNNNNNNNNNNNNNNNNNNNNNNNNNNNNNNNNNNNNNNNNNNNNNNNNNNNNNNNNNNNNNNNNNNNNNNNNNNNNNNNNNNNNNNNNNNNNNNNNNNNNNNNNNNNNNNNNNNNNNNNNNNNNNNNNNNNNNNNNNNNNNNNNNNNNNNNNNNNNNNNNNNNNNNNNNNNNNNNNNNNNNNNNNNNNNNNNNNNNNNNNNNNNNNNNNNNNNNNNNNNNNNNNNNNNNNNNNNNNNNNNNNNNNNNNNNNNNNNNNNNNNNNNNNNNNNNNNNNNNNNNNNNNNNNNNNNNNNNNNNNNNNNNNNNNNNNNNNNNNNNNNNNNNNNNNNNNNNNNNNNNNNNNNNNNNNNNNNNNNNNNNNNNNNNNNNNNNNNNNNNNNNNNNNNNNNNNNNNNNNNNNNNNNNNNNNNNNNNNNNNNNNNNNNNNNNNNNNNNNNNNNNNNNNNNNNNNNNNNNNNNNNNNNNNNNNNNNNNNNNNNNNNNNNNNNNNNNNNNNNNNNNNNNNNNNNNNNNNNNNNNNNNNNNNNNNNNNNNNNNNNNNNNNNNNNNNNNNNNNNNNNNNNNNNNNNNNNNNNNNNNNNNNNNNNNNNNNNNNNNNNNNNNNNNNNNNNNNNNNNNNNNNNNNNNNNNNNNNNNNNNNNNNNNNNNNNNNNNNNNNNNNNNNNNNNNNNNNNNNNNNNNNNNNNNNNNNNNNNNNNNNNNNNNNNNNNNNNNNNNNNNNNNNNNNNNNNNNNNNNNNNNNNNNNNNNNNNNNNNNNNNNNNNNNNNNNNNNNNNNNNNNNNNNNNNNNNNNNNNNNNNNNNNNNNNNNNNNNNNNNNNNNNNNNNNNNNNNNNNNNNNNNNNNNNNNNNNNNNNNNNNNNNNNNNNNNNNNNNNNNNNNNNNNNNNNNNNNNNNNNNNNNNNNNNNNNNNNNNNNNNNNNNNNNNNNNNNNNNNNNNNNNNNNNNNNNNNNNNNNNNNNNNNNNNNNNNNNNNNNNNNNNNNNNNNNNNNNNNNNNNNNNNNNNNNNNNNNNNNNNNNNNNNNNNNNNNNNNNNNNNNNNNNNNNNNNNNNNNNNNNNNNNNNNNNNNNNNNNNNNNNNNNNNNNNNNNNNNNNNNNNNNNNNNNNNNCAACUGAAGCUUCGAAUACAUCGAGAUUCAAAUUGGUAGAGAAAGGAUCAUUAUGUUCAAUGUAGCCCUCUUCCAAUAUAUAUCACUGAUUUCAAAUUUGUACAGAUCUAUGGAGUCUUGCCAUUUGCAGGCUACCAUUCCAUCAAAUCAAUUUGAGCUUUCAUCCAAUUAUUUGCACUCUUAUUUGUUUCAAUUCAACAAAUGUUUUGCAUGUUUUAAUUGAUAAAAUGUCAUUGUUUUAAACAAAUAAAAUUUUUCAAAAUUUGUUGUUUUAAAUAAAGUGAACAUUCACAAAGAUGAAAGGAUACUUAAGAAUUUCUCAGUGCUCUCCCAAGGGUGGCAUGAUUUCCAACAGGUAAGACAUUUGUUCAUAUUCCUGGCAUUGGUUAUAUCCUCUUUCUCCAGUUUUGUUGUAGGGGUUGUUCCCCAAGCAGAGCUUUUGUAGGGAUUGUUCCCCAAGCAGAGAUGUUGCUGAAGACUUCGUUUUCUUCUCCAGCAGUUUUUUCUUCCUAGCAUGGGUGUUUUCCUUUUGGAAGAUUCAGUAAUUGGUGGUUGGAGACCCUGGUACCCCGUCACUCUCCCUAGUGCAGUCACCGGAUGAGUUGUUGCUUCUUUCCUCAGCACAGUCGCUAGUGGAAUCUGUGAUAUAUCCCCAAAGUAGAGCGCUUGUGGAAGACUUCGUUUGCUCCAGCAGUACCCUCUUCCCCGGCCAAGUCGCCAGUAGAGUUGCUAUAUCUCCCCAUCAGUGCGCUUAUCCCUUCAGCAGGGUAGUGAUUGUGUUCCUCCUCAACAGUUGUGGAUGUUCUCCUCAGAAGGUGUAGCAUUCGGUGGUUGAUCCCCAGCUCUCUUCCAUAUCCCCAGUGGAUUCCUCAGUGGAUUCCCCAGCCGUCAGUAGAUUUGUGGUUUGGUGGAUUGUAUUUGUGCAAAAUCCCCAAUGGAGUUGGUAUUCCCCAACAGAGUCAGGAUUGUAUCUGCAAUAAUCCCCUCAGAGUCUCCGUCAGAGCUGGUAUCCUCGACAGAUUUGCUUUUGUGGCAGUUUCCGCUUGUUGAAACCUCUGUUUCCCUAGUAGGUUCGGUUGGUGGUCUAUCAUCCAGAGAUUUGGUUGAUUUCCUGAUCGCUUUUGAUCCUCAGUAGAGUGGCUUGUUGCAGAAUCUACUUGUGUGAUCUAUUCUUCCUCCUCAGUGGGUGUGUUCCCCGAUGGAGUGGCUACGUGUGUUCUCCCCAGGUAGAGUUGCUUGUGCAGUGGAUUCUACGUGGAUGAUCUGUUCUCCCUCAGUGGGUUAUUCCCCAGUGGAGUUGUUGUGGAGUUGCUUUCAUAGCAGUUCUCGCUUGUGCAGUGAGCUCUUGUUCCCCUGCAGAUGUUUUGGGAUUUCUCCCGCCUCCCCAACAGAUUUGUCUUUGUGGCCGUUGUUGCCUGUUGUGACUUUCUGUGCCAGUUGGGUUGAUUGUCGAUCCAUCACUUAGAGAUUUGGUGAUAUCUCUGAUCUUUUGCCUCCCCGCAGAUCUUUGCUUUUCAGCAUAUAGAUCUCCAGCAGAUUGGCUUUCCAGUGGGUUUUCCUCUGGAAGUAUAGUACCGGGCGUUUGAUUCCUGGACCUGUUGUGUUGGAUAUGUCUGUUUUGUCAGCAUUCAUCAAACAUAAAACACGCAUAUUCAUGCAUGUUCAUAAACAUUCAGAUAUUCAUGUUGCACUUUUUGCCAUAUAUCUUCUAUUUGUUGUUUUCCUGCUUUGGGUGAUAUAGAUCUCUCUAUAGAUCUUCCCAAGCAGAUGUCGGGUGUUUAAAUCUCUCCAUAUAGAGUCAGCCCCAUAAGCAGAAAGCGUCUGUCUUUCCUUCUGCAGUUCCCCACUGAGAUAUACCCUCGUGGAUGACAGUUUCUUCCGUUUCCUCCCAACACAUAUAUUGGGAUGGAUGUUCCUAUUGGGUUAUAUCCUCAUAGGACGUGUUUUGUUUCAGUUUGUCUUUUCGGAUUGAUCCCGAAUUGGCUAUUCGUCAACUGUUUCUUGUGCUUCCCUGCAGAAUAAAUGAAUGAACUGCCCAGUAACCGACAAUAAUUCUUUUAUCCCCAGCGGAAUCUUUUUGGGCCUCUACCCAGUAACCGGUAGUUGUAAGUCCUAUGUUCUUGCUUUUUGGCGGAAUUUGUGGUUAUAUACCUUUUAUUCCUCGGCAAGAGUUGGUUGGUUUUCUACCCAGUAGUCGGUAGUCGUAAAUCCUCUUUUCUUACUCUCCAGUAGAGUUUGUGGUUUGUUAUAAACCCUAUUUUUGUUUCCCGUGCGGAUUUGUGAUCCUUUCAUUCCCACGUGGAGUUGUUGGUUUUCUGCCCAGUAUUCGGUAGAUGUAAACCCUAAUUCGUGUUUAUCCCCACCAGAGUUUUUUUGGCUACUACCUUGUAUUCGGUAGUUGUAAGUCCUAUCUCUUUUCCCCUAGCAGUGGUAACCUUUGUGGUUCGUUCUGCUUAUUGGUGGAUUUUUGUGCUGUUGUGGUUUUGUCCCCAAUGGAGUUGGUGUCUCUCUGUGGAAUAAGUUGAAUAAUUGCUCAAUAUUUGGCAUUCAUUCAUCCUAUCCCCAGUUGAGUCUGUGGUCUUCUACCCCGUAUUCGGUAUUUGUAAAUCCCAUGUUGUAAUUUUUCUCCCCAGCGGAGUUUGUGCCUUGUGGUACAGGUGGAUAAUUGCCGGUUGCUAGCAAUUUUAUCCCCAGCUGAGUCUUUGGUUCUACCCAGUAGUCGGUAGUGUUAAACCUCUUGUUUCCUCAGCCAGAGUUUUUGGUAUUCUACCCCGUAUUCGGUAGUUGUAAACCCUAAUUUCUCAUCUUUGCAGAGUUAACCCUGUUGUUCAUCCUAACCGAUGAUGGUUACUCUUUGUGGUUAUCUUCAUUCGUUGUUCGAUGUUGAUAUUCUUCCUUGCUUCUGGACAAUUGCCGAUUGCUAGCAAUUGUAUCCCCAGCAAGUCUUCUGGAUCAUUGUCGUAUGCUUGCAAUGUUAUCCCCUUUUGAAGUCGCCAGUGGGUCCUUUCACCGUUUGCUAGUGAUUUGUUCCCCGGAUCAUUGAUUGUUUAUCAAUGCAUUCCCAGCUAGUCCUUGUGGGUAAUUGCCGGAUGCUUGCAAUUCAUCCCCAACGGAUCGCCUUUCGUUUACCCGUAUGCUUGGUAUCGAUUGUCUCUCUUUUUGGUUAGUCACCUAUUAUAUGCCCUAACCCGGUAUCUUUGGUGUCUUUUCCUUUCGAGUAUAUUAUUCACGUUCUGACGGUAAUGAAUAAUAUAUCUCAUGCGCUCUUUGGUUGGAAUCCUUUGUUGAUCUUCCCCAGUAGAGUAAGAUUCGUAUUCUUUGUAGAAUCGAAUAUCCAUCCUUUAACCAGUUUGUGUUUUGGAUGAUGAGUGUUGAGUUUAAAAACCCAAUCCACGUCUUCGGUAGAUCACCUAUUAUAUACCCAGUAACCGUAUCCCUGGUGUUUCUACAUGCGAAGUAUAUUAUCUACGUUCUGACGUAAUAGAUAAUAUAUCUCAUGCGAGUAUUCUAUCCAUGUUCUGACGGUAAUGGAUAUUAUAUCUCAUGCACUCUUUGGGUUUGUGUCCCCAGUUGAGUAAGAUUCGUUUUCCCGUUGUGGAUUUGAAUGUCCAUCCUGUAAGUCGAUUUUCUUUUUCAAGCCCUCCUUUCGGAUGACGAGUGUUUUGGCAGUAAAAACCAAUUCACGCUUUGGUCGGUCACCUAUUAUAUACUUCGGUAUCCCUGGUGUUCCCUCCUUUCUGCUCCCUAUUAUGACCUUGGUCCCUGAUGGAGUCAGAUUCUCCUGAGUUGAUGUACCUUUUUCAGGUCUUUCUAAGAUGUUUGGUUGAUUGAUAUCUCUCACCCUUAUACCGGUCUUAGAUAUUAAUUCUUCCUGAGUUUGUUGCCCUUAUACCGGUAACAUCUCAUUUCCUUGUUGCUUUUCCCCAGGAGAGUUUCUUUGUUAGAUACUUUUCCAGUGGAGUUUCUUGUGGUGAUUUUUACCCUUUGUUGUAUUGGCGUUUUCCCCAAUAUAUGCGUUUUUCCCCGGCAGGAAGGUUCUUUGUGAAUUUUUUCCUGGUCCGAGUCCGAAUUUUUAUCCGAAGUAUCCUUUGUGGAUAGUUUGAGUCAGCUUGUGCCUUUCCAAUGGAUGUGUUGUCCUUUGGAAUUCUUUCUUUUCCCCAGUGUGAGUCCUUUACUCCCCAGUGAGGUCUCCGGUACAGUCGUGUCUUGUUCACGCUGUGUCAGUAUUAUUUUCCCCAAUUCAGAGUCGUGUCCUGCUCACGCAUUCUUUUUCUUUUUUAUCCCCAACAAAAGUCUUGUUAGAGUCUUUGUUCCUGGUAAGUGUAUUACUCCGACGGAUCGUCUUUUUCUUCUGUGUGAAUCAUAUCCCCACAGAGUCUGUGUCUUUUGCAUGCAUACAUCUGCAUCACGAGGUCUCUUAGGGACCAAAAUUUGUCUCAUUACUAUUAUUUAAGCCCAUUCUACCGCGUCGAGAUGAAGAUUUCUAAACUUCACUUCUCCGGCUAGAAUGACCUUAAAUAGGGGCAUCUGUAAGACCACAAUUUUGGCCCUAAGAUCCCUCAUGGCCCAUAUUUUUCUAAACUUCACUUCUCCGGCUAGAAUGACCUUAAAUAGGGGCAUCUGUAAGACCCCAAUUUUGUCCCUAAGAUCCCUCAUGGCAUCAUAUCAUAUCAUAUCAUUGCCUCAAGGAUCAUGGUGCAUUGUGCCUCUUUCCCUAGUGGGUGGGUUAUCUUUUGAGUGUGGUUCUUGAUCACCAAGCAUGUUUUGCAUUUGUAUAUCAUUGCUUUUAAUUUUCCUACUAACCAAAAGUACAAAAAUAUUGUCAUCUAACCUUGUUACUUGCAGAUGAAGCAACAGUAGGUCAAACCAGUCAAAGGCAUUCAUUGAGCCAUAGAUGGUGGCCGUUCUGAAGAAUUUGGGCACCAUUGAUCAUUCACAAGAGUUCAUAUGAGCUGUGACUUCAUUUUGAAUCAAGAUCUCAAGUGGUAGAGGCUUGAAUUUCAUCAGAGCAUAGCUAGGUCAACUGAAACACUAGAAAAGUCAACACAAGUCAACUGUGCAUUUAAUCAUGGAUUUGAAGGUGGGAGAUGGUUUGAGAGACCUUAUUCAUGUCCAUACAAGUCUCAUUUGACAUAUCAAACAUCAACAUGGAAGAAUUUGAGGUCAGACAAAAAGUUUCCAAAAAUAGUAAGUGACAUGUAAUUUCAAACUGCCAAAAAUGGAAAGGUCUUCUCCUCAAAUUUACAUCAUCAAGCAAGCUUCAAGCCAAAUUUUGUCCAACAUGAAAGUUUAAGAUCUUGCUCUCACCUUUCCAAAAAGUCCAAGAACAUGAAUUUCUCAUUUGUGGUUGGAGAGUUAUGAUCAAAUCAUUGUCAAGGAAUUUUGAACUUCAAGCUUGCAUAACUUUUGCACCAAAUGGCCAAUUGGAAUGGUUCUUUUUGCAACAUUUCACUCUUGAUAUUCUCUAUCAUAAUCAUGCAUCACAUUUCAUCAUUUCUCAUUACAAAAAUAUUUCAUUUUUCACUUGAAUUAAUUUGAUUUUUGGAGGGAAAAUAUCCAUUUGAAAAAUAUGCAUCAUUUUCAAUUCCAACCAAUCCCAUUUGCAUCAAAACAGAUUUUGCAACUUGCUCCAAGUGAAAUUCGAGCACUGUAGCAUGCCAUGCACAUGUGAGGGUAUUUUGGCCAAGUUGCAUAACACUUCAUUUCACUUAAUCCAUUUUGCAUUAGCUUAAUCAUGAUUAACUAGUGUGAUUAGCAGAGGGUAUAUAAUGAUGAUCCUAACAUAAUUCAUCAACAACAACUUCACAAUUUCAGAUCUGAAAAAUUUCACUUCAUUGAUCUCUGAAGUUUUUUUCGAAUUUCUUCAUAAGCAUUGGCUGGUUCUUGGUUUAUUCAUCAUCUCCAAGCACAAUUGAAGAUUGUUGAAGCAAAAUCUUGAAGAAUUCAAGCUAAAUCGUGGACUGUUGAAGCACAUGAACAUCCAUGGCAGUUGAGAUUUUUGGAUCAAUCGAGCACUGCUGAGCUGUUCUUCAUCAUCCUUUCAUCUCUCUAAACAUUGUGGAGCAUCUGUUUUAACUUGCCAGGACCUAAGAAGCACGAUUUCACUUCUGCAUCUUCAUUGAGCUUUGUUUCAGGUUACACAUUCAAGUUACACAAUUGAUGAUGCCUCAUCUUGGGAACAUUUGAUAUUUGCUUUUGCUUACUAAUGUGUGUUUUGUAGGUUGAAGUUGAUUCAAUUGGGAUUGACUUGUGGCUUAUGCCUUUGCUUAUUGGUUGACUGUUGAUAUUAACUGUUGGUUUGGUUAUCUGUAUAGCAUACUGAUCUGUUUGAUGUUUUCAGGUACAGUAGUUGCUUAAGUUCAUAUUGAACUUGCUUUUUCUUGUUUGUUUAACCAAUUAGGUAUACUUUCUCUUCUUCAUGUAGUCUGGAAGACCUGGCUUGUUAUGUGGUCAGGCACCUGUCUGAAGUCCUCCUUAAGAGGCAAUGUUUGUGAUUGUUUAUCUUUGUCCCCAAGCAGGAAAAGUCCUUGGAUAAGGCAAUUGGUAGAUAAAAGAGAUGUGUAGUCCAUCUCCUACUAUUCUGUGUGUCUUCCCUUUGCUCACAUUACAUGUUGUAGCAUUGUGGAUCUUAACCCAAGAUCUAUAGAGUCAUUAACUUGUGGAGAGAGUUCCAACUUUCUGAACUCCCACACCUUCUAUCAUUUGAAGCUCUCCCUGACCAGGGAUAAGAGCAAUGAGGCACACCCCUCAUAUCCUUUCAUCUGCUUCACCUUAACUCUCAAUGUUAAGGUUAAGAGCACCACUUACCCCAUUCCAGUUGACUUUAAAGUCUAACCCUUGCUUGAGCCUAAUUGCUUGUAUAUAGUGUGUGCUAACUGAAUCAUUGAUUGCUUAUUGGUUCAUCUGUAUAUGUUUGCUUGUUUGCCUUUGUGCAUUUGUCAUCAUUAAUUGUUCAUUAUUGCAUGGUCAUCAUUGCAUAUCUUUGUGACACAUCUGUGUUUGUCCAUUGAGGAAUCAACAGUAAGACCAUUCAUUGGCCAUUGUUCCUAUGAUUUGGAAGGGAUUGAGUGUAAGACCAUUUCAUUGGCCACUUAUGUCCUCUUUGCCUAGUGCUUUGUUUGUUUGUUGUAUGUGAGGAUGCAAUUGUAAGUCCAUGUUGUUGGCAUUUGUAUUCCUAUGAUCAUCCUGUGGAGGUUAGAGUAAGCCCAGAUAGAUUGGCAUCUGACAUCCAUGUUUUGUUUUGCUUUAGGAGAUUGGAAUAAGUCCAUUUAUUGGCAUCUGAUAUCCCUGUUUGUUUUAGGAGACUGGUGUAAAUCCAUUUAUUGGUAUCCGAUAUCCACCUUUGUUUGUGAGAUUGGUAUAAGUCCAGCAAUUGGCAUCCGGUAUCACUUGUUUCGCUUAUUUGUUAUUGCUCAUUUGCAUAUUCCUAAGGACACACUUGAAUCAUCUUCUAUAUGAUCUCAAGAGGUGAACCUUUCUGAGAAGUUUUACACUCCAUUAUCCAUACCCUUUUUGUCCUAAACCUUUUCACAUGCUGCUUUCAAACUUGAAAUAAUUGUUGUGCAAACAUCUUCAUGUCUUUUCAAAUUAGAAACCUGGACCUUAAGUCCUUGAUUUUCCAAACUCCACUUUUGAUAACACUUCUUUCUGAAUUGAAUCUUAAUCAUACCUUGACCAUAUUUUGUGAAUAUUCAUAAUCAAUUAACUUCACCCAUUCAAUUGUUUUGAUGGCUUUGUCCAUUCUUGUUAAGUUUUUCACACAUUAGCCAUAGGUUUCAAUUACCAUAGUGGUUGAUGUAAAUCUUACCUUAUCCUUAGUUGAGUUGAUUGUAAGUCUUCCAUACUUAUUAUAGGGUUAACCCCUCACUAGUAUGUUGAAGCCGUCCUCGCAUGGUGGAUUGUUGAUUCAGGUUGAGUUUUCUCCCAUUGGUAAUAAAAAACCUUAGGGCUUGUGUUUUAAAAUGAAUUCACUAAUUUUUGGAAAUCUUUUAGCCGAACUACGGCGUUUUGAUCCUUACCUUUCAUGGAAGGUACGUAGGCAACGGGUUCAUCCGUUCAAACACAAAAANNNNNNNNNNNNNNNNNNNNNNNNNNNNNNNNNNNNNNNNNNNNNNNNNNNNNNNNNNNNNNNNNNNNNNNNNNNNNNNNNNNNNNNNNNNNNNNNNNNNNNNNNNNNNNNNNNNNNNNNNNNNNNNNNNNNNNNNNNNNNNNNNNNNNNNNNNNNNNNNNNNNNNNNNNNNNNNNNNNNNNNNNNNNNNNNNNNNNNNNNNNNNNNNNNNNNNNNNNNNNNNNNNNNNNNNNNNNNNNNNNNNNNNNNNNNNNNNNNNNNNNNNNNNNNNNNNNNNNNNNNNNNNNNNNNNNNNNNNNNNNNNNNNNNNNNNNNNNNNNNNNNNNNNNNNNNNNNNNNNNNNNNNNNNNNNNNNNNNNNNNNNNNNNNNNNNNNNNNNNNNNNNNNNNNNNNNNNNNNNNNNNNNNNNNNNNNNNNNNNNNNNNNNNNNNNNNNNNNNNNNNNNNNNNNNNNNNNNNNNNNNNNNNNNNNNNNNNNNNNNNNNNNNNNNNNNNNNNNNNNNNNNNNNNNNNNNNNNNNNNNNNNNNNNNNNNNNNNNNNNNNNNNNNNNNNNNNNNNNNNNNNNNNNNNNNNNNNNNNNNAUAUGUUUUCAUACAUUAGCCAUAGGUUUCAAUUACCAUAGUGGUUGAUGUAAAUCUUACCUUAUCCUUAGUGAGUUGAUUGUAAGUCUUCCAUACUUAUUAUAGGGUUAACCCCUCACUAGUAUGUUGAAGCCGUCCUCGCAUGGUGGAUUGUUGAUUCAGGUUGAGUUUUCUCCCAUUGGUAAUAAAAAACCUUAGGGCUUGUGUUUUAAAAUGAAUUCACUAAUUUUUGGAAAUCUUUUAGCCGAACUACGGCGUUUUGAUCCUUACCUUUCAUGGAAGGUACGUAGGCAACGGGUUCAUCCGUUCAAACACAAAAACAAUAAAAAUUGUAUAUUCUUUUCUCAUCUUCCCAUUCAUGUUUGCACAAUAAUAUUUUCAUAACAAAUAACAUUUUUAUACAACAAUUGUGAAAAGGGUUCCCUAGGAGUACCUAGGACGUUUUGGGUGCCUAACACCUUCCCAUUGCGUAAUUUACCCCUUACCCAGAUUCUCUGAUCUUUUUCAUUAGUUUUCUAUGUGUAAAACUUCUUAGGCUUUUGUUCGCUUUUUAGCCAUUCCUUAGGAUAAAUAAAAGUGCGGUGGCGACUCAAUUUCUUUGUAUGCUUUGCUUUUGAUUUAGUCAAUAAAUCAUAAAGUGACGAAUGCACCGCUACACAUAGGUUCAUAAAAGAAUGGUUUCAAAUGAUCAAAAUAUGUCUCAAAAAAAUUUGUCAGUCUAAGAACUUUGAGUCGACUCACAUCCUGGAGCGGUCGAUUCAUUCAUACAUAUCCCAGUCUGUGAAACUCUCAGGUCUGAACAGGUCGAGUCAUAGGUUGACUCAAUCAUGGGAAAACCAAAUAAGUCGACUCGUCCACAUAAUUAUGUUGACUCAUUGCCUGUUUCAUUUAAACCAUGAUUGCCACGGGUCUAAACAGGUCAAGUCAUAGGUCGAUUCAACUCUGGAAAAACCCUGUUUGAGUCGACUCAUCCCCUGUUUGAGUCGACUCAUCGUCUGCUUCAUUUGAGUAGUUUUUGCCUCGGGUCUGCAUCAUAUAAAUAUUCUAGAGUCUCUUCUUCAACAAACAAAAAAGAAAAGUGAAAGACAUAUACUAACGUGCUCUUCAUCUUCAUUCUUCAUUGCAUUUCUCAACAACUACACAUAACAAUUUUUGUUGAUCAUUGUGCAUGGUUGUGGUGAUAAUGUCCAAAUAGGAUUGUGUAAUCUUAGUUUGGGUAGAGGCUUUGAGUGGGUUUUUCUUGAAUAAAACCAUUGGGGUUUUGUCCUCCAAGAAUUGGGUUUUUUUGCACUAAUAUUUGCUUCAUAGAUUCAGUCGAGUGAAAGGUUUGAAGAACGGUGGGUUCGUUGAAACAAGUAACGGUAACCGGAGGAUUGUGAAGGAAGGUUAGGGUUCAAGCGUCUUGCGACUGAAGUUAGCCGAGCUAGAAUUUUGGAAAAUGUGGAAUUCUUGCAAUAAGGUAGCUACAACCGGAGCUUUCAUGCAUAUCUGAUUGAAAUCAGUUGAGCUAGAGUUUUGGAGAACGUGGAGUUCUUGCAAUAAGGUAGCUACAACCGGAGGUUUGUUCGGAAUGCUUGAAGGAUUUGGUUCAACUCAAACCAAGAGGGGAGAAGUGAAUAGGAUCUGCAACAACAUUUGGGGUUGGUUUGUGGUGAUCAUUUUUCUCUUGUAUUAACUUUGCAAUUUGAUAAUAAAUAUCUCAGUUCUAGUUUUAGAAUUGGGGGCAGACGUACCCUAAGCGAGGACAAAAGGGGAACUGCCUAAACAAAUCUGAUGUUGUUCUCUCUUUCUCUUAACUCUUUAAAUUUUGCAUUACUUGAGUCUUGUGUGAAUUUAAUAGUAAAAUUAAUCUCUCUUAAUUGUUGUGCAUAGAAUUUGUUCGAUAAAUUGGUGCAAUCACUUUGAUUGCAACUAAGUAAAAUUCUGCACAUUCAAUUUGAGUGAAAUUGAGACUUGGUAUGAAAUGCACACCAAGUGUUUGAUAAAAUUAACCUCACACAAGUCUAUCAAUAUUUUACUUGUUCUCUUAUUGUGUUAACUCGUCGUUAGUGGUAACUAUAUCAAGGAUUGGGGUAAUUAAUCGAUUGGUUAAGAUAGUAGUUGAUUAUCUCUAUCUUAGUUAUUCUAUUUGGUUUCACGCAUAUCUAAUCUUUCCAUUAAUGGAUCGUUUAGACGAUUAUGUUCUUGGGAGCUUUCGCAACCUUUGAAAAAAAUUAAAAAGCACUAAAUUUAAAUAUUGAUCUAUUCAACCCCCCCCCCCCAUUCUAGAUCGUUACUAUCGUCUAAUAAGUGGUAUCACGAGCUCCAAUUCAUCUAGUGCUUUGCAUAUAACUUUUUAGAAAAUGAGUAACGAUCCUAAAGGGUCGUACAAUAGAGCGCCUAUUUUUACUGGUGAAAACUAUAGUUAUUGGAAAGAUCGUAUGCGUAUCCAUAUCAACUCUAUUGAUAGGAAGGUAUGGAAAGUCAUCCAAGAUGGUCCUAUGGAAAUAACCAUGACCAAUGCGGAUGGUGUUGUUAUACCUAAACCUGAAGCACAAUGGAAUGCAAAAGAUGAGGAAAAGUAUAGUUAUGAUUGGAAAACCAGAAAUAUGAUCAUCGCCGCCUUAGGUAUUGGUGAGUAUUAUAGGGUUUCCCAUUGUACUAGUGAUAAAGCUACGUGGGACUCAUUGCAAAUUACCCAUGAGGGAACCAAUGAUGUCAAACUAGCUAGAAUCAACACUUUAACUCAAGAAUUUGACCUUUUUCAUAUGAAGUAUGGUGAAACCAUUACCGAUAUGCAAAAGCGAUUUUCUCAUCUAAUCAAUAGGUCAAAUGCUCUUGAUAGAACUACCCCUAAUGAUGUUUUUACUAACAAAAUCUUAAGAUCUCUUAAUAGGGAUUGGCAGCCAAAGGUCACCGUGAUUAAGGAAGCCAAUGAUCUAAGAACAUUGGACAUGACAACAUUGUUUGGUAAGCUUCAAGAGCAUGAGCAAGAGCUCAUGAACCUUGAGAAACAUGAGAAGAGUCAAAAGAAGGAAAAAAAGGAGCAAGCUAAGGACACUGAAAGGAAGUUUAUCGCUUUAAAAGCUUCAAGAUCUAAGUCAUCCACCAAUGAUGCGUGUGAGAGUGAAUCAAGUGAUGAUGAUAAAGAUUUGAAUAAAGACAUGGGGUUGUUCGUAAGGAGGUAUAACUGAUACCUUAGAAAGAAUGAAAUUCAACAUUCGGAUAAAAAUAUUGUCAACUAUAGAAGACAAUCAAAAUUCCCAAAUCGAGAGGAAGGUAAGAUAACUAAGUCAAAAGGAUCAUGCUUUAAUUGCAGAAAGGUCGGUCACUAUAAGUCGGACUGUCCCUUGUUGAAGAAAGACAGAGGAAGAGACAAACGUCACAAUAAAUCUAGCAAAGCUAGAAGAGCAUACAUUGCAAGGGAGAGCGAUAGUGAGUCCUUAAGCGAUGAUAACUCAAGUGAUGAAGAAUAAAAUGUCAAUCUCUGUCUUAUGGCUCAUCAAAGGAAGAAAAAGAAUGUAAGUCAUUCUAAAUAUGACCAUGUUGAUAAAAUGUCUUAUUUUGACCUGUAAAAAGCCUUUAGUACUCUACACAAUAAGGCCAAGGAAGCUUUGAAACGCUUGGCCUCAAAUAAGAAAAUUUUCUGUUAUUUAGAAAAGAAUAUUUCUGAUUCCGAAAAGGAAUUAGAAACUCUUAAGGAAUCUAUGAUAGAGUCUACUAAAGGCAAAACUGAAAAUGAGAAGGGAUUUUGGUUUAGAUGGUCGGGAUGUGAAACUUGUCACAUUUGGAAAAGAGAGGUUAGGACUCUUCAAGCUAAGUUAGAUAAGGAUUUACAACCUAAAUUUACCUUUGAUAUUGAUCAAUCACAUUUUAGAAGUGACAUGAGUAAUCCUUAUUAAAAUUACACUUGUGUGGUAAAGGAUCAAGUUAGCAAAAGCAACUUUCAUCCGAACUUAAAUUGUCUAUAUUGUUGCAAGAGGGUGUCGCAACGCGAAAAACAACCGGCGGGGAAUAAACAGAGCUGCCACCGACGCUAUUCAUCCUAUGACGGAAAGGGAGCGCAGGACUAACCUAAGAGAGGGAAAGGAACGGUCUUACGACCAGAGAUUACAAGGUACGGGAGUCGGUUACGCAAGGGGAAGGUGUUAGCACCCCUCACGUCCGCCGUACUCGACGAGAUCCACGCUCAAAAGAUAGCUCAAAGGUACGGGAGUCGGUUACGCAAGGGGAAGGUGUUAGCACCCCUCACGUCCGCCGUACUCGACGAGAUCCACGCUCAAAAGAUAGCUCAAAGGAAAGGAAAAGGUUGCUGCUAAUAAACUGCUCAAAGAAACUGCACAAACUGGAACAGUAAACAGGUGGGGAAGAGAAAGAAAACGGAGGAAGUGGACUCGACAGGAUGUCGCAUCCUAGGCCUACGUAGUUUGUCAGAAACAAACAUCAGAGUCGACGUAGUUCGGAAAAAGGGGAUAUGCUCGCUAGGACAUCGCAUCCUAUGCCUACGUAUCUUCUCUAUCCAGAGGAGAAUCAGAGCACUCGUAGCUCGGCUAAUGCAUGCUGAAACAAGAUACCAAAAAGGGACGCUGAGACGUCGAAAGAAACACCCAAAAGGAAACAGAAUGCCAAUACAUGGACUUACACCCGACUCCUAACAAUAACAAAAAAGGAAACAAAAUGCCAAUACAUGGACUUACACCCGACUCCUAACAAUAACAAACGCUAACCAGCGAACACAAAAGAAAAGGUUAUCAGAACUAACCCCAACAAAGUAACCAAAUAUCUGGGGAAUAAGCUCCCGAUAUGUACAACCAAUCACCACAAAUGAACCCCGAAAGAUGAACUCCAAUAUGAACCCCAAAGAUGAACCUCAUGUGAAUAACAAUCAUCGCAAAUGAACCCCAAUAUGAAGAACAGUCAUCACAAAUGAACCCCGAGAUGAACCCCAAAUGAAUAACACUCAUCACAAAUGAACCCCCGAAGAUGAACCCCAAUAUGAACCCCAAGUAACAACAGAAGAAAUCCCGAAGAUGAACCCCAAUAUGAACCCCAAGUGAAUAUCAAUCGUCACAAAUGAACCCCAAGAUGAACCCCAAUAUGAAGAACAGUCAUCAUGAAUGAACCCCAAGAUGAACCCCAAAUGAAUAACAAUCCUCACGAAUGAACCCCAAUAUGAACCCCAAAGACAACAAAAGAAAUCCCCCAAGGUAUGAACAUGCAACACACACACGCCGAACAAACGGGUACUCACACCAAAGAAUCUAAAUAAAGGGUGAACACACGCGAAAACAAAGAAAAGGGUGCCCGGAGAUAUUGCUCUCAACCUCCUGCCUACGUAUCUCAUCUGGUAUGAGAAUCAGGGCGACGUAGUUCCCCUUACCAAGGGUAAAACACUCUCCUAACCAGAGACCAGGGAAACAACAAACUAAUAGGGAGACUAAGACUCGAGCCUAAUAGUUUUCAUGCAAUCAAAUAUCCCUAAGCUGAGGUCUCUAACAAGAAUUUGACUCAACCUGGACGCGAGUCAACUCAAGUCUAAACUCUUCAUACGUUCAACUUCCUCAGAAGUUAAUCGUACGAUUCCUAAAGAAAAGGAGAUGAGAAGAGGAAAGCAAAUAAACACACCAACACAAGUGAACAAGCAUCACACACUAUAUCCAUACAAGAGUCUCAGACAAUGGGUGGGCUUUAGUCAAGAGGGGUCAUAUCAACCUCGACAAACAAGUCAAACAUUAAUGGGUAAUCUGUAGCUCUUAACCACUGACAUUGAGCGUCAGGGUGAGCAGAUCAAAAUGGUAAUGAGGAUGAGACCCCAUAGCUCUUAACCCUGGCCAAGGUGAGCUUAUGACACGGAAAUCGUGGGGAUCCAGAAAGUGGGAUCCUUUUCCGCUUGACAGACUCUGGACAAAAGAUCUGGGGCACAUGUUCAGAAGCAUCAGCACGUAGUGCGAGCAUAAAGAACGACACACUGAAUAACAGGGGAUUAGCUACUAAUCCCUUUUAUCCGUCAAUUGCCUCUUCUCUUGGAGGUCUUAUCAAAUAUAACACAUGCCUCUUCUUGGAGGUCUUUGGGCACAAUUUUAAAUAAACACAAACAGAGCCUCUGAAGGAGGACUUGCCAGCAAAAUUCCUGCCAAAAAGGUGACAGGACUCCAGACUACAUGAAGUAAGAAGCUAACUACCUGAGUGGUGUGUCAACCACAAUCCAAUGCACAAGCAAGAGCUAAAGCAAGUAAGCAACUAAGGUACCUGUACAAAGACUAAACAGUUAGUACUUCAGUCAUAAAACCAGAAGACAAGCAGUGAAACCCUCUAACAGUUACACAAUUCAAUGCAUAAGGCCCCAGCACUCAACAAGCUCAUGAGCUCACCACAUCAAUUAAAACCUCAAAACAAAAAUAGGUCAGAACUCAAUGCAUUAUAUCUCAUAGGAACCCAAUCAUCAAUGAUGAGUAUCCACCUGAAACAAGCGACAAAGUUAGUUUAUGUAUAUCCAAUCAAACACAACAAAGCAUAAACAAACAAUGGCAUGAGAUGAAUUGAAUCACAAAUCAGGGAUACAACCAAUGUAAAAGAGGCAAAGUCUCAAACCACAAAGAAAACCCCAAACCAAGUCAAAGAAUGGACCAAGAACAAACCCUAAAACUAGGUCAAAACUCUAGUAUAAAGACAAGACUCAAAACCUAACCAAAUGACCAAUCCAGGACCCAUCCUUUUGCAUAUCACACAUUAAAACACUCCCUCAAAUGUCCUCAAAAUAACCAUCAUCAAAUCAAGGAUCAAGUAUCUCAACUUGCUUAUGUAAUGUAAUGACCAAAAAUAUGCACAAAAUGAACUUCCAAUUUAGAAAAUUCAUAUCAAAUCAGAAAUGCACGCAAUGACUUUGGGAUUUUUUGUAUAAGUUCCUUAUGCCAUGAAAGUUCAAUAUGCAAAAGAUCAAGUCCAGAAUGAUGCAAAUUCUAUGUGAACAAAAAUGCACCAAUUCAAUGUCAAAAAUGUGACACAAAUUGUCACAUUUUUCUCUAUGUGUCAAAAAUGAUGAUAACAAGUGAGAAAAAAUCCAAACCAGUGACCAAUAAUUCAUGUCAUGAAAAUUGGGACUCAAUUGGACAAUUUUUGGAUUUUUUAUGAAUUAAACAAAAUGACCAAAAUAAUUGAAUUAUAAAAUAGAAAAUGGAGGGAAACGAAAUAUUUGAAUAAAUCAGGAAAAACACAAGUCGUUGGAUCUGGCGCGCUCCAGAGAUCAACGCUCCUCAGUCAAACAAUGAAACGCACCGUUUCAUUAAUCCCAGUCACACACACAGUCAUCAUUCAACGCAUGCGUGGCCUCAAUCAAACGCAUCGCAUCCAAUCAUUCUACCACACCUUGCUCCACAUGGCACACACUCAGCAAAACCUAGCCAUUAACACAGACGUCGGAGCUCCUCUCCGGUCGUCUUCUCCGACGAGCCCCCGGUGGCUCCCACGGCGGCGCCACCUUAAAAAUUUCCAGAAUUUCCCCAGGCCUAUAUCAUUCCACUCAAUUUUCCACGUUGAUUCCAAAUAUCACCUUAGUUUCUCCUAAUUCUCCCUAGGUUUGGCAAAUCGAAGAGAAUAAGUUUCUAGAUCCAAACUUCCAGUCGCCACUAUGUCCUUAAUUCUCACUCAGUCUCAAUUCUAAACAUAUAUUCAUGAUCUACACAUCAAGAUCUACAAUCCUAUAACCAAAAAUCAGCAAAAGGAGAGAGUGAAAUUGAAGUCACCUGGAAAUGGAGACCUCAGAAAUCACGAUCUCACGAGCUCAGCUGCUCCAGAUCAAUGCCUAUGGACUUCCUUUGAAGCUUUAUGCAAAAAUGAAUGGAUGAAACCUCUUGAAUGUGCCUCAAUUUCCAAAUCCGUUCAUCAUGAUAGUGCACUUGAACUGCUUGAUUUCUUGACGAAUUGCACCAAACGAUGGAUGAUUCUUGAUCAGUGAAGCAUGAGGAUCAAGAAUAUGCAAUGAUCUUUGAGGUUUGUGUGCAGAAAAUGCAAAUUCGAAGAGAGAGAGUUUUGGAGAGUUUCUUGAAUUCUAGAUCUGAAAAUAGUUGUUAUGGCAGUUAUGAUUAGGGUUUCUCUAUUUAUACUCCUUGCUAAUGACACUGGUAAUCAUUUUAGCCUCUUACUAAUCAUGAUUAGUGAGUUAUUAUGCAACUUGCAAAAAUGCAAAAUGAGCUCCCAUGGCCAUAAUGCACGUGUUCAGCCCCAUGCUAGUGUUUUAAUCCACUCAAGAACAACCAAGGGUCAAUAUUUGAAGAUUCUUUUGCUUGCAUCUUAAGCCAAGAAUGAAUGGUGAAGAUUUGCUUCAUUUUUGACAUGUGUGAACCAAUGAAUAUACACGCCUCCUUCAUGCAUGGCAAGGGUUCAUUUUUACUCCAAUAUGAUCUAUGAAGAAACCUGAAAUGAAGCCUUGCCUUGGUUCUUUGUGAAUUUUGAUUUGUAGCAUGAUAUCAUCCUAAGGACAAAUGUGAAAUAAUGUGACUUCUGACCAUGAUUCCUCUUGCACAAUCGAGCCAAAUGAUGUCAUUUUGAGAUGCCUUGAACAUGAGAAGAACUUUGCAAAAAGAAUGAACCAAUUUGAAGCAUUAUAUCAAAAGUUAUUCCAUUUUGAAUUUCCAUGCACACUUUGUGAUCAAAUGACCAUAACUCCUUAACCAUUCAUCAUAUGAACAUGAAUUAGGACUGUUUAGAAAGGGGAGACAAAGAUCUACAACUUUCAUGCUCACCAAAAAUCCAUUUGAUACUUCUUUGAUAUUGAAAAGUCAAGUUGAAAGUGGACCAAAAACUUGCCAAAUUUGAAAACUUUGAAUUAUAGGUCAUUUUCCAUUUUUAGUAACUUUUCCCAUGACCUUUGAAUCUUCAAGAUGGAUGUUUAGAAUGAUUAAUAGACCCCAUUUGAACAUGGUUGAGGUGUCUCAACUCAUUUCCCCCCUCAUAUCCCUCAGUUGUCUGCACAGUUGACUUUUGGUCCUCAAAUGACCUUGAAAUGUCCUGAUCAACCUGAGCCUCUACCACUUGGUUAAAUUGCUUCAAAAUGAAACCCUAGCUCAUGUAAGCUCCUUAUAAUAAUCAUGUGAUCCUCAUACCAAGAAAAUACCUCAUCUCUUUGAGAAACCCUAGCUGGAAGAACUGCAUUGAUUAGGGUUGACCAGAGGUCACAGACCCUAACCCGGGAACUUGAGGAUGAACUCUGAAACCCUUGAUGAUGAUAGAACCAUGAGAUGGUGAUAGUCUCUUGCGCAGAUAAAUAACAAUGGCUCAAAACCCUUGAAGAAUCAAGAAACCGCUAAUUGGAACCUCCAUACCUCAGAUGGUGAUGACCAAUUCAUAGAGACCCUCAGGCUUGAAUCACCUAACUUCUCCAUCUUUUGAAAAGACUUUGGAGGAUGAUCUUCUUAUUUUCAUAUGAGAUGCAAAAUGCAAUGCCUAAUGCCCUAAAACAUGAAAUUCAAUGCCCCAAACUAGUCUCAAGAAGAGGAGGGAAAAUUUUGAGGUGUUACAACUGCCCCUAUUCAAUCCACUAUGAACCUGUCGAUUUGAACAACCUCGGCUUUCAAAUGAUCAGGGUGAAGAGUGAUUGAAUACCAAGAACAAACGAACAAUUUGCGCUCCACUGGAAAAAUCUUUAUGUUAUUAUUUUUUGCUUUUCUUGAACCCCAAAAACUUCUUUGAUUUUUUUCUUGGACCCCUACACAAAUAUUUUUCUUUCGCGCGGAUGAUCCCGGAUCACCGCAUUUGAACCCCGACAACUUCAUGUCACUCGUGCUGCCAAACAAUGAACCCCGUUCUCCAUUUGAACCCCAGUCUCCUGACGAUAACUAUAGAUCGUCAUUGUGAACCCCAUUCUCCAGAAGACACCUUGCGUCUCCUUUUCUCCAUUUGAACCCUGUUCUCCAUUUUACUGUGAUAAUUCCGUUGGCAACAUCGGAAAUAACACCAACCACCACUCUGAUGGCGACAUACCAGAGGGUAGACCUUCACAAAAGGAAGGUAACAUGUGCAUUUCUUCCCUUGAAGACACCCAUAACGACUUCUGUUGGCCUCGCCAAAGCCUAAGGUGACACAUGAUCAGAAGACAAUCCUGAGGACCUCAUCCCAGAUACAAUCUUCAAUUCCAAUCUCCAUCUCCAGUUGAACCCCGUUCUCCAAAAAAUGCCCAGCACUUCCUUUUCUCCUAGUGGACCCUAAUCUCCGCGCUGAUCGCGUAACAUUCUCCAAUCUUUAUUUCCAUCUCCGCACGACGGAAUCGCUUCCUCCAAUAUCGCACUACUGGGGAAUACCGUUGAUUCAAAAUCAUGAUGCCAAACUCCUCAGAGUAACAUCUUCACCAACCAGCUAAACCAGCUCUCAAACGGUAACCACAACUCGAGACUAGCUUAUGCUUGUAAUGCAGAUGCAUGAGUUUUACAGCGUAAUGCUCCAUAACCAUGGAAAUGCUACGCCAUUAGUUAUGUAAUAUGCUAUGCUUCUCUAAAUGAUGAAUGCAUAAAAAGUUUCUCCCUCAGGGGACGGCAUGAGCAACUCUGUUAAGGAACUCGAUAUCGCUUCAACCUCCGACUCUGCUUGGGAUAUCACUGAUGUCGAGGAAAGAGUAACCCUUACUGGGGAUGACCUCUACUGAACUCGAUCUGCUUGGCGACUUUACUGGGAAAAACUACUAACGCACCCCCCUGCCGGGGAAACAUCAACCUUCAGGCCUGGCUGUUGAGGAAACACCGACCUCGAACCCGCUGGGGAGAUACAGAAUACUUGACAUGGAACACCCGUCAACUCGUCGAACACCGGUAUUCACCAUCUAACCACAGUGUCAACUUUCCACUUUUGAGAGCUCCCAGACUCAUCCGGUGUUUUUUGAUUCAUCACCUUGUAUUCUCGACUUCUCCAUACUUCAAGAAAAUCGACCUCCUUAGAUUCGCGCCAACUCUCCAGUCUUCGGACUUUGAAGAGUCUUCUUGAUUAACCCCCUAGGAUCGUCGCAAUUCUUUUGCCUUCUCUACACCAUUCUUCAAUUCCUCAUCCCUGAUUGGACCUCAAAGGAAUCUUUUCUCAAAAAGAAACGCUUCGCACCACCACCUGCAAGUGAGUGAAAAUAACCAACAGCACCUGCAAAAAAGAUCGUCAUAUAAAACGUUCCCCAGGCGCGCCAAAAUUUCAACACCCAGGUCACUCUACCUUCCGAAUAAGAUUUCAAGUUUCAAUCCUCUAAACAUGGUAACCUUCUCUGGGGAUGUAGAGUUUUACGUUUCUAAGAAUAGUUUUUAAACGGAUGUUUUUGCAAUCAAAGCGGUAAUGAAAACAAAAACAAAAUUAUUUGACUGAAUAUGCAUUUUAUUGAUUGGAAAAGGUGGCUCGUAACUGAGCAGUACACAGGAAGCAAUCCCUGAAAAGAGGUAAUUACGCACAAAAGGAAAAUCUAUCCUAAUGGCAAUGAGAACCCGUGAUCUCAUCGAGUUCCAACCCGGUUACAACCCAUAUGUCCUCAAGACUCUCCGCGCUUUCUGCCUUCCGAAACGAGACGCUUCCGACCGAUCUCCGCUUUCAUAUUAUCCAGGUAUCAAAUCCAAAGUACAAACGACCAUGCUAGACGCAGUUGCUCGUUUCACUCCCUCUUUUGCCUGGACCGCCCUUCCGGGUUUUCAGUCCACCGGGAUACCCUUUUUUGCCCAAGCCGCCCUUGUGGGGUUUUCGACUUGCCGGGUGUACAAUUUUUUUUCCUUUUUAUCCCUAAUUUUUGCCCGAACCUUUUUCAUUCUCAUUCAUUUUUUUUGGUUCGUCGGGAUGCCCAUUUUUUCCUGGACUAUUUUAUUCUUUCCGUCCAGCGGGUCUCUUAUACGAAGUAUUUUUUAAUUGCGUCCGCAUUCAAAGGGGAUGGAAAAUCCUCACCAUCCAUGGUCGUCAACAACAAGGCUCCGCCAGAGAAAACCUUCUUGACCACGAAUGGACCUUCAUAAUUGGGUGUCCACUUGCCCUGACGAUCGUUCUGAGGAGGAUAUCCUCACCAUCCAUGGUCGUCAACAACAAGGCUCCGCCAGAGAAAACCUUCUUGACCACGAAUGGACCUUCAUAAUUGGGUGUCCACUUGCCCUGACGAUCGUUCUGAGGAGGAAGGAUCCUUUUCCACACCAUAUCUCCCACAUGGUACACACGAGGUCGCACCUUUCGGUCAAAAGCACGCUUCAUACGCUGCUGGUACAACUGCCCCUAACAAAUGGCCGUCAGCCUCUUUUCCUCAAUCAGGCUCAACUCUUCAUACCGAGUCCUUACAAAUUCAGCCUCUUCCAAUUUCACAUCCAUCAGGACUCUUAAUGACGGAAUCUGGACCUCCACUGGUAGCACAGCUUCCAUCCCAUACACAAGCGAGAAAGGUGUUGCCCCAGUAGAUGUACGCACUGAGGUUCGAUACCCAUGCAAAGCAAACGACAACAUCUCGUGCCAAUCUUUAUAGGUCACGACCAUUUUUUGCACAAUCUUCUUAAUAUUCUUAUUAGCCGCCUCGACCGCCCCAUUCAUCUUUGGACGAUAAGGAGAAGAAUUGUGAUGCUCGAUCUUGAACUCCCGGCACAGUUCUACCAUCAUCUUGUUGUUUAGAUUAGAACCAUUAUUAGUGAUGAUUCUUUCGGGAACCCCAUAUCUGCAAAUGAUGUCUCUCUUCAGGAACCUGGCCACGACCUGUUUCGUCACGUUUGCAUAAGACGCCGCUUCCACCCACUUGGUGAAGUAAUCAAUAGCCACUAAUAUGAACCGGUGCCCAUUCGAAGCCGUAGGCUCGAUCUUUCCGAUCAUAUCAAUGCCCCACAUAGAAAACGGCCACAGAGACGACAUCAAACUCAACGGAUUUGGAGGCAUGUGCACCUUGUCAGCAUAAAUCUGGCAUUUAUGACAUUUCCGCACGAAGUUGAAACAUUGAGCCUCCAUUGUCAUCCAGUAAUAUCCAGCCCUUAGCAACUUUUUUACCACCGCAUUCCCGCCGACGUGGGUACCAAACGAUCCUUCGUGCACCUCUUUCAUCAAUUGGCUUGCCUCUUUUUCAUCGACAAAUCUGAGCAAAACCCAAUCAAAGUUCCUCUUGUACAAAACCCCAUCUUUAUUCAGAUAGAAUGCCAUAGCCAACCUCCUCAGAGUCUUUUGGUCCUUCUUAGACGCUCCCUCGGGAUACUCUUGGGUCUCCAGAUAACGCUUGAUGUCAUAAUACCACGGCUUUUCAUCAUCAGGCACUGUUUCGACAACAAACACAUAAGCUGGUCUAUCCAGCCGUCCCACCUCAACAUUAAGAGCUUGAUUCCACCACUACACUUUAAUCAAAGCGGCCAGAGUAGCCAAGGCAUCUACUAAAGGAUUUUCUUCCCUCGGCACAUGGUGUAAUUCCACCUUGGUGAAGAACGUCAACAAUCUCCUCGUAUAAUCCCGGUAUGGAAUUAAGUGGGAUUGAUGCGUAUACCAUUUCCCAUUAACCUGGUUCACAACCAAAGCUGAAUCUCCAUAAAUAACAAGGUUCUUGAUUCGCAAAUCAAUCGCCUCCUCGACACCCAAGAUACAAGCUUCGUAUUCAGCCACAUUGUUGGUGCAUUCAAAUGUUAGUCGGGCAGCAAAAGGAAUGUGGGAUCCCUUCGGCGUAACCAAAACAGCACCAACUCCGCUACCAUUCACGUUAACGGCCCCAUCAAACAUCAGAAUCCAUUCGGAUUCAGGGUCAGGCCCCUCCUCCGGGAUAGGUUCCUCACAAUCUUUCGAUUUGAGAAACAUGAUGUCCUCAUCAGGGAACUCAAACUUCAUCGGUUGAUAAUCCUCAAUGGGUUGCUGGGCGAGGUAAUCAGACAAUACACUCCCCUUUAUUGCUUUUUGAGAAGUGUACUGGAUAUCGUAUUCAGUCAAAAUCAUUUGCCAUCUCGCAACCCGUCCGGUCAAUGCUGGCUUCUCAAAUAUAUACUUGAUCGGAUCCAUCUUGGAAAUCAACAAAGUGGUAUGAACCAACAUAUACUGUCUCAGUCGGCGAGCAGCCCAUGCCAAAGCGUAGCAAGUUUUCUCGAGCAGUGAAUAUCUUGUUUCACAGUCGGUAAACUUUUUGCUAAGGUAAUAAAUUGCAUGCUCUUUUCGACCAGACUUGUCAUGCUGCCCCAGUACACACCCUAUAGACCCCUCAAGGACUGUCAAGUACAGGAUUAACGGUCGCCCCUCCACAGGAGGCAUCAGAAUCGGAGGCUCCUGUAAAUAUUCUUUUAUUUUUUCAAAUGCCACUUGACAAUCAUCAUUCCACCUGACCGUUUGAUCUUUUCUUAACAACUUGAAUAUGGGUUCACACGUGGCUGUUAGAUGAGAUAUGAACCGUGAAAUGUAGUUCAAUCUUCCUAAGAAACCACGAACCUCUUUUUCUGUCCUCGGUUCAGGCAUUUCUUGUAUCACUUUUACUUUAGCAGGAUCAACCUCGAUUCCUCUUUCACUUACAAUAAACCCCAGCAACUUGCUGGACCGCACUCCAAAAGUGCACUUAUUCGGAUUCAACCUCAAUUUGAAUUAUCUCAACCGGUCAAACAACUUGGCCAAGUCUACCAAAUGCCCUUCUUCUGUUUGUGACUUUGCUAUCAUGUCAUCAACAUAGCAUUCGAUCUCAUGAUGAAUCAUAUCAUGAAACAAGGUCACCAUAGCUCUUUGAUACGUGGCACCGGCGUUCUUGAGACCGAAUGGCAUCACCUUAUAACAAAAAGUGCCCCAUGGUGUGAUGAACGUUGUUUUCUCCAUAUCAUCUGGCGACAUUUUAAUUUGAUUAUAGCCAGAAAAGCCAUCCAUGAAGGAAAACACCGAGAAUUGAGUUGUAUUAUCUACCAACACAUCGAUGUGAGGUAAUGGGAAAUCAUCUUUCGGGCUAGCUCUGUUCAAAUCCCGGUAGUCCACACACAUCCUCACCUUUCCAUCCUUCUUCGGUACCGGCACAAUAUUCGCGACCCAAGGCGGAGAAUUAGUGACAGCUAGGAAACCAGCAUCCAACUGCUUUUGUACCUCCUCUUUGAUUUUCAUGGCCAUCUCAGGUCGAGUUCUGCGCAACUUCUGCUUUACUGGAGGACAAUCUUCUCUUAAUGGCAACUUGUGUACAACAACAUUGGUAUCCAACCCUGGCAUAUCUUGAUAAGUCCAGGCGAAGAUAUCAACAUACUCUUUCAACAGUGCUACCAUUCUGCUCUUGACAUUCAUCUCCAAAGCCGCCCCAAUUUUUACUUCCUUUCUGACCUCCUCGGUGCCCAGAUUAACAAUCUCAAUUUUCUCCUCGUGCGGUUGAAUCACCUUCUCCUCUUGUUUCAACAACCUGGCUAACUCUUCCUGCAGUUCACAAUCUUCUUCGCCUUCUUCUUCGGCAUGAUAGAUCGGGUUGUUGAAGUCAUAUAGGGGCGUAACAGGAUUGUCAUCAAUGAGAUCCGGAGAAUAAUCGCAUCUGCAUGAAUGCUGAUUCAUGCAUUGCUUUAGGGUCGGAACGAGACAAAUUAAAAGGAAGGAAAAUGAAAACAAACAUUGCCAUUUUAUUAUAUUAUUUUUUUAAACUCCAAAAAUAAAUGAAAAACAGAGAACACCGCUUUUAAUGCGAAAAACAAUCCGUUUAUUAAUGAUGCAAAUAAUGCAAAAUGAAACACAUGAGGUGGCCCUUACAAUGGACCAUUACGUUUUGGGCGAAACGUAUGGCUUUCAUGCAAACAGAAUUGACAAACAGAAAUAUUACUCUUCACGCAGAGUGACAGUGAUGAUCUUUUCGGCUUUCCAGUUCUAGAUCUCCAUUCCUGGUACGCACGGUUUUAUCCACGAGUCGAGCUCGCAGUCACCGUCAGUCUCUUCACCCACAACAUAGAUGCGACCUGGAUCUAGCAUUCCAGCACUGGUGAAUGUGAACGGUUGGCGACGACCUUUAUCCUGUCCAGACGAGCCUCGGCGUGACUGAUAACCAAUCCCAAACUUAUCCUCCUUCACUGCAACAUCUAACACUCUUCCCCAAUCUGGGGCCUCUCCACUCUUCACCACCUCCACAGCCUGUUUAUAAGAAGCAAUGGACGGCUUCUUCUCUCUUUCAGCAAAAACGACAUUCUCCACCUUGACGGUUUCAAACGCCUGGCUUGGUGUUUCGAAUAUUUCACCGUCCAUUUCCACAUACUUAAAUGAAGACAACUGGCUGACAAAAAUAUCUUCCUCACCGCAGACUGUCACGACUUGCCCGUCCAAGACAUACUUUAACUUCUAAUGUAGAGUCGAUGUUACUGCCCCCGCAGCAUGUAUCCAUGGACGACCCAACAAACAACUGUACGCCGGUUGAAUGUCCAUGACAUAAAACACAGAUUUGAACACCUCAGGACCAAUCUUUACGGGGAGCUCAACUUCCCCGAACACAGCCCUUUUAGAGCCAUCAAACGCUCUACCCACCAGAUCAGUAGGCCUCAAAAUCAAUCCCUCGCAGUCCAAUUUAGCCAAGGCCUUCUUAGGCAACACAUUGAGUGACGAGCCUGUAUCGACCAAAACAUGUGAAAGCACAGCUCCUUUACACUCCAUCGAAAUGUGUAGUGCCUUAUUGUGAUUGCGCCCAUCCAUAGUAAGAUCGAGAUCAGUGAAACCCAACCCAUGGCUGGCAUUAACACUAGAUACCACUGUCUCUAAUUGAUUGACUGUAAUCUUUUGCGAGCGUAGGCCUUCUUCAAGAUCUUCAACAAAGCAUCUCUAUGACCUUCUGAACUUAACAACAGAGAUAAGAUCGAAAUUUUGGACGGAGUCUGCUGCAAAUGAUCAACAAGCUUGUACUCAGACUUCUUAAUAAUUUUCAAAAACUCCUCGGCUUCGGCGUCAAACUCAUUUUCCGGCUCAACAGGCGCCUGUGCCGCUCUAGGAGUAUCCUCACUUACCACCUGCUUUCCUUUUGCCCUGGAUAAAGCCUCGGCCUUAUCUCUCUGUUCUUUUUCUACAUCUCCACCUCUCAACGUGUUAGGUGCAAACAACCUCCCGCUGCGAGUGAAACCACUAAGUCCGACAUUGUCCACCUUUGAAACGGUGGUAUCAACUGCAUCCUGAUCUUCCUUCUUUUUCCCAUUACAAUACACCUCACCACCAUAGUCCCAUGGCACAGCACCAUCAUUUUCAUACGGAAUAGGUCCAGGUACCGUGAUGGUAAUUGGAACCACAUCUGUCGGCACUGACAAGUGGACAGGAUCGAAAUAGAUGGUUAUCGUUGAAAUAUCCUCCUUCUCCAAGGAAACUUUCUCAAAUCGGAGACUUCCCUCAUCCAUCAUUUUCUGAACCGUCUCCCUCAACAUUACACACCCAUUUGCAGUUAUAGUACAAGCAGCACAGUAAUUAUCACAACCAGGAAAAACUCCGUUCUUUAACAACUGUCUCUUGACCAUAGACAUUGGGGUCCUCAACUGAUCCACAUCUGUCACCCAGAUUUUACUUUUAUCCUCAGAAAUUACAUUCACCGCCAUCUGACCAUGCGUCGGCAUGGGAUUAGCAUUAACAUUCGGCGAUGGUGCAAAAUUGAUGGCCUUGGAAUCCACCAAGUCUUGAACAACAUGCUUGAAGGCUUUACAACCCUCAAUAUUGUGCCCGGGAGCACCAGAAUGGAACUCACACUUGACGUUCUCAUCAUAACUUGCAGGCCUCUGAUCUGGUCUCAACGGAGCUAACAUCCUCAAUUGUACCAACCUGAGAUCCUUCAACUUCUUCAACAGAAGAGCAUAUGUCAUGGGUGGCCUAUCGAACUGGCGAUCUGCCAUCCUUCCCCUAACUUGGUACCCAACCCUCUGUGUUCUCUACUGAGGUGGCUGCUGUUGCUGUUGCUGUUGUGCGGGUUGAUUAUCAACAGGAAUCGUUACCGCAGCAGUAUGCUGGUAGUAAUGAUUCCUACUGGGUCCUCUUUGGGCAUACACAGCACUCGAGUCACCCUCUUUCUUGCGCUGACCAUUUCCGAAGGGCUUCUUCAAUCCAGACGACGGAGCAUUUCCUUGUAUUUUUCCCAUUUUCAACCAGCUUUCAAUCCUCUCACCAGCAUUACUAUCCGCAACAGUAACUGACAUCCAACCACUCUCAGCAAAAGUCCCCUGAAGGUACAUGAGAAAAUAUGACAUCUCCCGAUGCCCUAAAUGGGGGUGAACCCUUAGGCAGCCAACUCUCUCCACCUGUGCGUACUCUUUAAACCCCUCGUUCGGCGUUUUGAGACAUACCUGCAACUGGGUACGACUUCGGUGCAUGUCAGCAUUAAUUGUAUUGUUUUGAAGAAAGCAUUCCCCAAAUGCUGCCAGCUCUUUAUAUCUGACGAUCUCAGUUGGUUGUACCCACUCGAGAGACCCGCCAGAUAAAGCUAUCUGGAAAAAGAAUCAGGCUUUGAUCCAUGGUGUAGGCAAUAUCUUCGAACAAAGGCCUGAGAAAGGAGUUUCUGGCAAGAAACUUCCAUUGUACUUAUCAAACGUGGGCACCUUGAACUUCUGUGGGAUCACAAUCCCCUCAACCAGCCCCAUAUUUGUCAUGUUAAUAGCCCCAGGAGUGGCAUGGCUUUCCAGAGCCCUGAUCUUUUCUGCCAGUACCUGAAUCUCUUUGUUCGGCGGUUGAACACCAUACUGACCGAAUUGCCCAUUCAACAUAGAGAAUUGAUCCUCUUCUUUAUCCUCCACAGCCCCAAAGAAAGGAGAAAACUGAGUUUCCUUCAGAAUGUUGCCAACAUGACCCGGGCCAUUGCCUGAAGCAAAACCAAGACCACCACCAUUGUUGAUGAAUACACCACCAUUAGUUGUCUUUCUUCUGGGAUCACCACCACCCCUAGAACCACCAGGACCAUGGUUGGAGUUAUCCUCUUGACUAUUGCCAUCAUUGGCAAUCGAAGCCAGCUCAAGCUUCUCCACCUUCUCGGCGAUUGCUUUCUGCUCCAGGGCGAACCCUUGCAUGGCGUUGAUCAACUCACUCAUCUUCUCUUUCAGCUCGAGAAUGUCAGCGUUGGAUGGAUCCAUCAGUCUAGGCUUGUUGCGUCUGGUAAAGUAUCUGUGCGGACGAGUUACGUGCAGAGGGAUGAUUCUGCAUGCGCGAGCAAUGGUUCCUGUAACAAUCAAACACGUUAGAAACUGACACCUGCAAAAUAGAGGACAAGUUAUUAUGAUUCAUGCAUGAAUGCAAUGUUUAUCCGUAUGAGGAACAUUCUGUCCUUCGAUCCUGGCUUCAUUGAGACUGAAUAAUAAUUCGACAACAACAUUCUGACAUAAAUCAUCUGGCUUUGCCAUUCAUAACAGAAAGUUGUGCUUUAGCAAAGAUAUCACCCGACCAUGUGUGUGUUAAGUGAGUGUAACACGGAAAAGCAAAUAAAGCUUUGAGAUCAAUCAUUGAACGAUAAUAACCACUGUAUAGCAAAAGUGCGCAACACGUGCGAGAGUCAUAUAUCAUAUCUGAUACAAAUCAACUUUACAAUCCUCCAGAAUCGGAAAGAAAUACAAGCAAGUGAAUUCCGUCAACAUGCCUGACGGUAAUCCAGCACAUGAUAACAACUGCAAUAACAGUUUAAUCUGAAGAAGGUCCCACCGAAGGCUCUGCAUCAUGAACCAUCCUGGUAAACUUCAUAAUGAACUUGAGCUCAGUGUUCUCCUGCUGAAGUCUUCCCACCUCUUUCUGAUGAAUCUUCAUCUGACAGAAAUAAUGGUCCCUCUCAGCAAGAUAAUGAUCUCUCUCGGCCAUAAUCUUAGCUUUCUCUUCUUCCUUAACCCUCAGCUUCGCUUCCCACUCUAUGGUAAGGGCUUUGGCUCUAGCUUCCCUCUGAGUCUUCACAAGGACUUGUCUCUUUUUUUCAUCUUCAAUGACCCUCAAAGCUCUAGCCAACUGCUCUUUGGUAAGGCCGUGCUCCUUCGCAGAUGACUCUAAAGCUUAGCUGAUCUUACAGUAAUAGGUGGUGUCUUUCUCAAAACGCUUCAUCUCCUGAGCAUGUCUCUUAGCCUGGUCUUCUGCUUUCCCCUUGAUCUCCUGAUUAGCCAGUUGAAUUCCAGCAACACUCAUUUCUAUCUCAGUCUUCUCUGCUUGCAGUUGAUCCCUUGCCCUCCUCAUCUCAAGAAAUUCUUCCAUACUGACAGAAGAGCGUGGCUCCUCAAUCAACGGAUACCAAAGAUCACCCACAGGAAAACCGUCUGCUCACUCGAGUUGGGAGAAAGACUCGGUUACAUCAAAUGGAGGAAAAGACCUGUUAUUAGCUCUACCAAAAGGAAUCUUGCCUUUCCUUUGAAUGUUGCGCCAUGCAUCAGACACUUGCUCCAACAAUGACUAAUUACCCUCAACCGGGAAGUAGAAAGACUCCUGAAUCUCACACUCGAGGGGAGGAACCUCCAUAGCAAAUGCCAUUUGUCUCUUAAGAAGCGUCGAGUUAUAAUUAAUACACCCUUGAACUCCUAUAAGAGGCACAUUGGGAAAACUCCCGCAGCUGUAAAUAAAAUCUCGUCCAGCCACAUAAAUGUGAGUCCAAGCUAUGUCCUUGGCUCGCAAACCCAUCAACUUGGUUGCCCAAUUUACCGUAUGGUCAAGAAAGACAAAGGCACCCUUGGAAGGCAAAUAUCCCAUGAACCACUUAUAUAACAAUUGAGCACAACAUCUAACCAAUCCUCCACGCCGCUUCUCGUUCCGAUUAUGGACCGAAUAAUUGCAAAUAUCCCAUGAACCACUUAUAUAACAAUUGAGCACAACAUCUAACCAAUCCUCCACGCCGCUUCUCGUUCCGAUUAUGGACCGAAUAAUAAACAUCCCCAAUCAAGGUAGGAAUGGGAUUUUUCUGAGCAAACACCCGGAUGGCAUUAAUAUCCACAAAAUUCGUCUGAUUAGGGAACAAAAUAAUUCCAUAAAUGCUUACGGCAAGCAAAGCACAAACAGUUUUCCAAUUACCCAAAACAACAUGUUCCUUGGCUUUGGCCUCCAAGAAACUCAGAUGAAAAUCGGGCAACUUUCCUUUCUCCUUCAAACCUUUCUUAGUCACUUCCGGGCUCAAAUAAAUAGCACGAGAAGUCUCAACAAUGUCAGGCUCUUCCUUAGUAACAUAGAAAGGAAUCUAGUUUCUGACCCGAAUGCCCAGAAUACCGGCAUAAUCCUCCAUCAAAGGUCCCAACAAAUAGUUUGAAAAGACAAAACAUCUCAAACCCGGAUCAUAAAACUGGAGAAGAGUAUGGAUGGCACUCCGAUCCCCAUCUGUGAGCCUGAAAACCAUCUUCGUAAUGCUGCCAUAAGCCUCACGGAACAACCCCACAUGGUCAGGUGUAAUCAAUGCUAUCAUACCCUUCAACACACUAAUCUCUGGAUCAAAGAGACUAUAGACAACAUCAUAUUUUAAGUCGGUCCUCAUACCUGGAACAAGAAUGUCUCUCAGCCAGAAUCUCAAUCAAGAAUGACCCUGCAUAUGGAUAAACAUGAGUUAGAUGCGGAUGAAUGCAAAAUGGGAAUGAUGCAGAUGCAUGAAUGCAAUUCAUAGUGCCAUCCUCCAAGACAUCUGAACAUCAACUGUACUGGAUUCCGGGCUCAGAACUGAUCACAACCAUCCAAGGGACUAAGUAACCACAAAUCCAACUCGGGGGAUCCGAAAUAAACGGAACCGGAGAAUACAUCACCAUCACCACAGGAAAAUCACUGAACAGAUAGCAACAAGAUCAUCUGGGCAAGUACCACAAAUCUAACCCGGGGAAUCCGAAAUAAACGGAACCCGCUAAUAAAUACCAUGGACAGAACUCCGGCGUGUCAAAAAUGAAUAUCCAUAAAUCCAACUUAUAAAUAAAAACCCAGAUAACGAACCGAACCAAAGUCACCAUCAAAGAGUCACCAAAAGAACCUGUACCUGUAGGAACCAAACCCCUCCCCUCACUGGUGAAUUCUAAUAAGGUCAUCCUAAGGUGGAUAAUCGGUCUCGACAAUCGGACGAGAUACUCAACGGGUUUUCCCUUUCAGGUGUGUCGUGCAGCUCUCAUAAGAUCAUCUAUACCAAAUAUUCGGGAAUGAACGGUCACCGAAGUCAACAGCUCAAAAGAGAUAACCCAACCAUAGUGGAAACUCCACAAGGAAGGGCUCUCUCAAAAGAACCUCGUCCGGCUGUGGUAUGUCACGUCGCAACAACAUGUCGAUCUAACAUGUGAGGAAACAUGAGACCACGCUAAUCCUAGGUGUAUACUCGGGUUUGGGUUUUAGCCCCACUCAGAACACCCAUCCCCAAAUCAGAGGAACCACACCUGUCCAGAAUCCAGCACAGUGAUAACAUGAUGCAUGCAAACAUAUAUGCAAAUAUACAUAUAAUCACAGUAUAAUAAUCACACAUGCAAUAAAUAAAGCAGUAAUCACACCUGUCCAGAAUCCAGCACAGUGAUAACAUGAUGCAUGCAAACAUAUAUGCAAAUAUACAUAUAAUCACAGUAUAAUAAUCACACAUGCAAUAAAUAAAGCAGUAAAAGCAACCCAAACUACCAUAAAAACCACGCUAGAGAGCGCUAGUAUUGACUCGCUUAGGAAAGAUGGACCAGCAAGAGGUCAACUUCAGUCCCCAGCAGAGACGCCAGCUGUCGCAACGCGAAAAACAACCGGCGAGGAAUAAAUAGAGCCGCCACCGACGUUAUUCAUCCUAUGACGGAAAGGGAGCGUAAGACUAACCUAAGAGAGAGAAAGGAACGGUCUUACGACCAGAGAUUACAAGGUAUGGGAGUCGGUUACGCAAGGGGAAGGUGUUAGCACCCCUCACGUCCGUCGUACUCGACGGGAUCCACGCUCAAAAGAUAGCUCAAAGGAAAGGAAAGGGUUGCUGGUAAUAAACUGCUCAAAGAAACUGCACAAACUGGAACAGUAAACAGGUGGGGAAGAGAAAGAAAACGGAGGAAGUGGACUCGACAGGAUGUCGCAUCCUCGGCCUACGUAGUUUGUCAGAAACAAACAUCAGAGUCGACGUAGUUCGGGAAAAGGGGACAUGCUCGCUAGGACAUCGCAUCCUAUGCUUAUGUAUCUUCUCUAUCCAUAGGAGAAUCAGAGCACUCGUAGCUCGGCUAACGCACGCUGAAACAAGACACCAAAAAGGGUGAGCUUAUGACACAGAAAGUGUGGGGAUCCAGAAAGUGGGAUCCUUUUCCACUUGACAGACUCUGGACAAAAGAUCUGGGACACAUGUUCAGAAGCAUCAGCACGUAGUGCGAGCAUAAAGAACGACACACUGAAUAACGGGGGAUUGGCUACUAAUCCCUUUUAUCCGUCAAUUGCCUCUUCUCUUGGAGGUCUUAUCAAAUAUAACACAUGUCAUGCCUCUUCUUGGAGGUCUUUGGGCACAAUUUUAAACAAACACAAACAGAGCCUCUGAAGGAGGACUUGCCAGCAAAAUGCCUGCCAAAAAGGUGACAGGACUCCAGACUACAUGAAGUAAGAAGUUAACUACCUGAGUGGUGUGUCAACCACAAUCCAAUGCUCAAGCAAGAGCUAAAGCAAGUAAGCAACUAAGGUACCUGUACAAAGACUAAAUAGUUAGUACUUCAGUCAUAAAACCAGAAGACAAGCAGCGAAACCCUCUAAUAGUUACACAAUUCAAUUCAUAAGUUCCCCAGCACUCAAACAAGCUCAUGAGCUCACCAUAUCAAUUAAAACCCUACAAAACAAAAAUAGGUCAGAACUCAAUGCAUUUGUAUCUCACAGGGUGAGAACAAACCCAAUCAUCAAUGAUGAGUAUCCACCUGAAACAAGCGACAAAGUUAGUUUAUGUAUAUCCAAUCAAACACAACAAAGCAUAAACAAACAAUGGCAUGAGAUGAAUUGAAUCAUUGAAACAAGCGACAAAGUUAGUUUAUGUAUAUCCAAUCAAACACAACAAAGCAUAAACAAACAAUGGCAUGAGAUGAAUUGAAUCACAAAUCAGGGAUCAAACCAAUGUAAAAGAGGCAAAGGCUCAAACCACAAAGAAAACCCUAAACCAAGUCAAAGAAUGGACCAAGAACAAACCCUAAAACUAGGUCAAAACUCUAGUAUAAAGACAAGACUCAAAACCUAACCAAAUGACCAAUCCAGGACCCAUCCUUUUGCAUAUCACACAUUAAAACACUCCCUCCAAUUUCCUCAAAAGGACCAGCAUCAAAUCAACGAUCAAGUAUCUCAACUUGCUUAUGUAAUGUAAUGACCAAAAAUAUGCACAAAAUGAACUUCCAAUUUAGAAAAUUCAUAUCAAAUCAGAAAUGCAUGAAAUGACUUUGGGAUUUUUUGUAUAAGUUCCUUAUGCCAUGAAUGUUCAAUAUGCAAAAGAUCACGUCGAGAAUGAUGCAAAUGCUAUAUGAACAAAAAUGCACCAAUUCAAUGUCAAAAAUGUGACACAAAUUGUCACAUUUCUCUCUAUGUGUCAAAAAUGAUGAUAACAGGUGAGAAAAAAAUCCAAACCAAUGACCAAUAAUUCAUGUCAUGUAUGAAUUUCUUGUAUGCAAAAAAUUGGAUCAAGAAGCUCAAAAUUGAGGAUUUCACAAUGCAUUGAAUGUACUAGGUCAAUUUGGCACAAUAUUGAUUCAAAAAUUUCCACAUAAAAAUCCAGACAUCAAAAAUUCUUGAAUUCAACACCAUAAAAAAGUAGACACAAAUACAAAACUAUGAAAAAAAAUUAGGACUCAAUUGGACAAUUUUAGGAUUUUUUAUGAAUUAAACAAAAUGACCAAAAUAAUUGAAUUAUAAAAUAGAAAAUGGAGGGAAACGAAAUAUUUGAAUAAAUCAGGAAAAACACAAGCCGUUGGAUCUGGCGCGCUCCUGAGAUCAACACUCCUCAUUAAAAUAAUGAAACACACCGUUUCAUUAAUCCCAGUCACACACACAGUCAUCAUUCAACGCAUGCGUGGCCUCACCCAAACGCAUCGCAUCAAAUCACUCUGCCACGCCUUGCUCCACAUGGCACACACUCAGCAAACCCUAGCCAUUAACACAGACGCCGGAGCUCCGCUCCGAUCGUCUUCUCCGACGAGCCCCCGGUGGCUCCCACGGCGGCGCCACCUCAAAAAUUUCCAGAAUAUCCCCAGGCCUAUAUCAUUCCACUCAAUUUUCCACGCUGAUUCCAAAUAUCACCUUAGUUUCUCCUAAUUCUCCCUAGGUUUGGAAAAUCGAAGAGAAUAAGUUUCUAGAUCCAAACUUUCAGUCGCCACUAUGUCCUCAAUUCUCACUCACUCUCAAUUCUAAACAUAUAUUCAUGAUCUACACCUCAAGAUCUACAAUCCUAUAACCAAAAAUCAGCAAAAGGAGAGAGUGAAAUUGAAGUCACCUGGAAAUGGAGACCUCUGAAAUCACGAUCUCACGAGCUCAGCUGCUCCAGAUCAACUCCUAUGGACUUCCUUUGAAGCUUUAUGCAAAAAUGAAUGGAUGAAACCUCUUGAAUGUGCCUCAAUUUCCAAAUCCGUUCAUCAUGAUAGUGCACUUGAACUGCUUGAUUUCUUGACGAAUUGCACCAAACGAUGGAUGAUUCUUGAUCAGUGAAGCAUGAGGAUCAAGAAUAUGCAAUGAUCUUUGAGGUUUGUGUGCAGAAAAUGCAAAUUCGAAGAGAGAGAGUUUUGGAGAGUUUCUUGAAUUCUAGAUCUGAAAAUGGUUGUUAUGGCAGUUAUGAUUAGGGUUUCUCUAUUUAUACUCCUUGCUAAUGACACUGGUAAUCAUUUUAGCCUCUUACUAAUCAUGAUUAGUGAGUUAUUAUGCAACUUGAAAAAAUUAAAAAUGAGCUCCCAUGGCCAUAAUGCACGUGUUCAUCCCCAUGCUAGUGUUUUAAUCCACUCAAGAACAACCAAGGGUCAAUAUUUGAAGAUUGUUUUGCUUGCAUCUUAAGCCAAGAAUGAAUGGUGAAGAUUUGCUUCAUUUUUGACAUGUGUGAAACAAUGAAUAUACACGCCUCCUUCAUGCAUGGCAAGGGUUCAUUUUUACUCCAAUAUGAUCUAUGAAGAAACCUGAAAUGAAGCCUUGCCUUAAUUCUUUGUGAAUUUUGAUUUGUAGCAUGAUAUCAUCCUAAGGACAAAUGUGAAAUAAUGUGACUUUUGACCAUGAUUCCUCUUGCACAAUCGAGCCAAAUGAUGUCAUUUUGAGAUGCCUUGAACAUGAGAAGCACUUUGCAAAAAGAAUGAACCAAUUUGAAGCAUUAUAUCAAAAGUUAUGCCAUUUUGAAUAUCCAUGCACACUUUGUGAUCAAAUGACUAUAACUCCUUAACUAUUUAUCAUAUGAACAUGAAUUAGGACUUUUUGGAAAGAGGAGACAAAGAUAUACAACUUUCAUUCUCACCAAAAAUCCAUUUGAGACUUCUUUGAUAUUGAAAAGUCAAGUUGAAAGUGGACCAAAAACUUGCCAAAUUUGGAAACUUUGAAUUAUAGGUCAUUUUCCAUUUUUAGUAACUUUUGACAUGACCUUUGAAUCUUCAAGAUGGAUGUUUAGAAUGAUUAAUAGACCCCAUUUGAACAUGAUUGAGGUGUCUCAACUCAUUUCCCCCCCUCAUAGCCCUCAGUUGGCUACACAGUUGACUUUUGGUCCUCAAAUGACCUUGAAAUGUCCUGAUCAACCUGAGCCUCUACCACUUGGUUAAAUUGCUUCAAAAUGAAACCCUAGUCAUGUAAGAUCCUUAUAAUAAUCAUGUGAUCCUCAUCCCAAGAAAAUACCUCAUCUCUUUGAGAAACCCUAGCUGGUAGAAAUGCAUUGAUUAGGGUUGACCAGAGGUCACAACCCUAAUCCAGAGGAACUUGAGGAUGAACUCUGAAACCCUUGAUGAUGAUAGAACCAUGAUGAUGGUGAUAUGUCCUUGCAGAUAAGAUGAUGCUCUCAUUGAUUAGGGUUGACCAGAGGUCACAACCCUAAUCCAGAGGAACUUGAGGAUGAACUCUGAAACCCUUGAUGAUGAUAGAACCAUGAUGAUGGUGAUAUGUCCUUGCAGAUAAGAUGAUGCUCAAAACCUUUGAAGAAUCAAGAAACCCUAAUUGGAACCCAUACCCUCAGAUGGUUGAUGACCAAUUCAUAGAGACCCUCAGGCUUGAAUCACCUAACUUCUCCAUCUUUUGAAAAGACGUUGGAGGAUGAUCUUCUUAUUUUCAUAUGAGAUGCAAAAUGCAAUUCCUAAUGCCCUAAAACAUGAAAUGCAAUGCCCCAAACUAGUCUCAAGAAGAGGAGGGCAAAUUUUGAGGUGUUACAGAGGGGACAUACUAUUGCUAAAUGUCGAUUUAGGAGAUUUUUGGAUCCCAAAGGCAUUUCUCAAUGGUUGCCCAAAUGCAACCCAAGUUGCACCCACACACUAGGACCCAAUGAAAAUUGGGUACCUCUUUCCCUUGUUUAAUUUGUAGGUGGAAUGUCUUGAGGAUACGGAGAGAACAUGGUUUCUCGAUAGUGGAUGCUCAAGAUGCAUGACGGGUGAGAUAUCCUUAUUCUUUGACUUUAUGGCUAAGAAGAAAGGUUUUGUAACCUACGGUGAUAAUAACAAAGGAUUUAUACUCGAAAAAGGUAGUGUAGGUAAUCCCUCCUCUACUGCUAUCUCAGACGUCCUUUUAGUUGAAGGCCUUAAGCACAAUCUCAUUAGUAUUAGCCAAUUAUGUGACAAAGGAUAUAAAGUAUCAUUUUCAAAAGAUUGUUGCAUGAUUGAACAUAAUGAUAAAAAUUAGUUGAAGGCCUUAAGCACAAUCUCAUUAGUAUUAGCCAAUUAUGUGACAAAGGAUAUAAAGUAUCAUUUUCAAAAGAUUGUUGCAUGAUUGAACAUAAUGAUAAAAAGAAUGAUGUGCUUAAGGGUUGUAGGGUAAAUAAUGUAUACAUGCUUAACUUGAAUGAAAUAUCUUUGACUAGCGCUAAAUGUCUCGUCUCCAUGAGUGAAGACUCUUGGCUUUGGCAUAGGCGAUUAGGGCAAGUCAACUUUGACUUGCUAAAUAAAGUUAUUGUAAAAGAUCUAGUAGUUGGUCUUCCCAAAAUCAAAAUUUCAAAAGAUCACUUAUGUGAUGCGUGCCAAAUGGGAAAGCAUACAAGGAUCUCUUUUAAAUAUAAAAAUAUUGUUUCCACAACGAGACCCUUUGAACUUCUCCAUAUGGACCUUUUUGGGCCAUCUAGAAUUAAAAGUCUAGGUGGAAACUACUAUGGUUUUGUUAUAGUAGAUGACUACUCUAGAUUUUGUUGGACCAUCUUCUUAGUAAGUAAAAGUGACAUUUUUUCAGCUUUUGAAAAGUUUGUCAAGAUUUCUCAAACAAAUUGAACAUUAGCAUAGUUACUAUCCGAAGUGAUCACGGAUGUGAGAUUGAAAACCACCUCUUUGAGGAAUUUUGUGAAACAAAUGGCAUUGAUCAUAAUUUUUCUGCUCCAAGAACUCCACAACAAAAUGGAGUAGUGGAACAUAAAAACCUAGAUUUAGAAGAGCUUGGAAGGACUAUGAUCAAUGAAAAUGACCUUCCUAAAUAUUUUUGGGCUGAUGCCAUAAAUACGGCCUGUUAUGUAUUGAAUAGGAUACUCAUUUGUCAUAUUCUAAACAAAACUCCUUAUGAAUUGCUAAAUGGAAGGAAGCCUAAUGUUUCACAUCUUCAUGUCUUCGGAUGUAAAUGCUUUGUAUUAAAUAGUGGUAAAGAAAACCUUGGUAAAUUUGACUCAAAAGCCGAUGAAGGUAUCUUUCUCGGAUACUCUCAAUCUAGUAAAGCAUAUAGAGUAUACAAGAAAAGGUUACUUAUCAUUGAAGAACCCGUGCAUGUUUCCUUUGAUGAAUCUUAUCCAAAAAUUGUUGGAGAAGGUACUAUUGUUGAUGGUGCAGGUGUUCCUUCGGAAGACAUAAUAAAAGAUCAAGAAGAAAAGAGUGUUGAACCCCAUCCGGAAAAAUAUGAGUAGGAGCCAGAUCACAUAUAUGAAAAGAAAGAGGAGGAUCAUUCGAUUAAUAACUAUGAUCUUCCUUUGAAAUGGAAAUCUUCUAAGGAUCAUCCCAUUGAUAAUAUUCUAGGAGAUAUCUCAAAGGGAGUUACCACACGGUCAAAGAUAAGUAACUUUUGUUAUCAUUUCACUUUCAUCUCUCAAAUUGAGCCUAAAAACUCCAAAGACGCAUUAUUCGAUGAACAUUGGUUUUUAGCAAUGCAAGAGGAACUUAAUCAGUUCAAAAGAAAUGACGUGUGGGAUCUUGUUCCCCCUCCGCGAGACCAUCGAGUAAUCGAUACUAAAUGGGUGUUUAGGAACAAGUUAGACGAAAACGGAGUUAUAACUCGCAACAAGGCUCGCCUUGUUGCUCAAGGGUAUAACCAAGAGGAAGGUAUCGAAUAUGAGGAAACUUAUGCUUUGGUCGCCCGACUUGAGGCUAUACGCCUUUUGCUUUCCUAUGCUUGUUCUCAAAAUUUCAAAUUAUUUCAAAUAGAUGUUAAGAGCGCUUUCCUAAACGGUUACAUUAAUGAAGAGGUCUAUGUAUCUCAACCUCCCGGCUUUGAAAACUAUGAGCAUCCUAACUAUGUUUAUAAGCUUAAGUGUGCUUUGUACGGUCUCAAACAAGCCCCUAGGGCAUGGUAUGCGUGUCUUAGCAAAUUUCUACUAGAACAAGGAUUCUCAAGAGGGAAGGUUGAUAGAACCCUUUUUAUUAAGCAUCAAGGAAAACACUCUAUUUUAGUUCAAGUCUAUGUAGAUGACAUUAUUUUUAGAUCUACUAACAUAAAUUUGGUCAAGGAAUUCUCUAAGUUUAUGCAGGGAGAAUUUUAAAUGAGCAUGAUAGGGGAGCUAAAUUACUUCCUCGAACUUCAAAUCAAGCAACUUGGAGAAGGAACUUUUGUGAGCCAAACGAAGUAUUUCAAUGAGUUACUCAAGCGCUUCGAUAUGGAAAACUCCAAAGUAAUCGACACUCCAAUGCCUAUUGCGGUUAAUAUGGAUCAGGAUGAAAAUGGUAAGGCCGUAGAUAUAAAAAGGUAUAGAGGUAUGAUUGGUUCCCUCCUCUAUCUUACCGCAUCUCGACCAGACAUUAUGUUUAGUGUAUGUAUGUGUGCUAGGUAUCAAUCAUGUCCCAAAGAGUCACAUUUAAAGGCCGUCAAGCGCAUACUUAGAUACCUCUGUGGUACUUCAAAGUAUAGGCUUUGGUUUUCUAAGGGAAGUGAUUGCUCUUUAGUUGGCUACUCCGAUUCCGACUUUGUCGGUUGUAAAUCGGAUAGGAAAAGCACUAGUGGCACCUGUCAUUUUUAUUCAAAUUCCUUAGUGAUUUGGCACAACAAAAAUAAAGUUUCAGUUGCUCUGUCAACUGCCAAGGCGGAAUACGUUGCAACGGGUAAUUGUUGUGCUCAAAUUUUGUGGCUCAAACAACAAUUACUCAACUUCAAUGUUCAACUUGAACGUAUUCCCAUUUUUUGUGACAACACAAGCACCAUCAAUUUAACCAAAAAUACUACGCACUAAACAUAUUGAAAUUCGGUAUCACUUCCUUAGGGAUCAUGUUGAGAAAGGUGAUGUUGUCUUCGAGCACAUUGAUAGCAAAAAUCAACUUGCCGAUAUUUUCACAAAACCACUUGCGACAGAGCCUUUCUUCCACAUCCGUAGGGAACUUGGUGUUCUCGAUAUCUCGGAUCGCUUUUAAAUCUAUAUAUGAUACUUGCUUUAUAUCUAUGCAUGUUUAUUCCUUGAUUUGCAAGUGCGGGCUAUGUGAGGGCACUCGUCGUCUAUCAUCAUUGGAGGUAAUGUCGUUCAUAUCCAUUUGAACUAUAUUGAUCAACUAUGUAUGUAUAUACAUGUUCUAUGUAAUUCUUGAUGUUCAUUUUCUGGUUUGAUCUAAAUUUGAUCCAUUUAUAUGCUUGAACUUGCUUAGUAUCAUAUUUAACAUGCAGUCAUCGUUAGGAGCAUUUUUGAAUCUCAUGUCUUCUAAUCAUUAACACGAGUCCCAAUUGGUCGACCCAUGAGUCGACUCAUCACUGUGAACUUAAUCCUUGUAUUUCCUUCGGGUCCCAACAGGUCGACCCAUGUGUAGACUCUUUGCUGUGAAUUCCAUCCUUGUAUUACCUUCGGGUCCCAACAGGUCGACCCAUGCGUCGACUCGUCGCUACCCAAAGUCUAUUCAAUUGGGGUUUCAAACAUGAAUGUGUCGACUCAUUACACGUAUGAGUCGACUCUUCUCUGCCCAUUGCAGAGGUUGCAUUAAUUUCGGGUCCCAAUAGGUCAACCCAUGCAUCGACUCUUCGAUGCCCCGAGAUAACUCAUUUGAGUCUUAAAUGGGUCAACUCACUUUUCAAGGCAUUUUUUUAACUACAUAAUCAAUUCAUUUUGUCUUCUCCCUCUCUCACUCUCUUCCUCACACAAACCCUAAAAUCUCCUUACAAACAACAUUCAAAUGGCUUCAAAAGCAUCUGGAAAAAGAACUGCAAGAGGAUCCCCCUCUCACACUGGGACUGCACCACCUCGAUUGAAUAUUCUGGUAACUGCUUUAUCCUUACUCUCUGAUGAUCUUGCUUAAACCUUUGAAAAGAAGUUCAAAAGUAGAACAGUUGUAAAGCAGUACAUAUACUCACUGUUAGUGGUUGGACGCAUGCGCAUUCCAGAAAUUGUUGAGCGGAUAAAUUUUCAAGCAAUUGAUUUGUUCUUAGACUAUACCACUGAGUAUAAUGAAUAUUUAGUCAAACUGUUUUAUACUGCCGUUGAUGGAAAACUCGAGGGUUAUAAGUUUGCAUGCAAUAUUGAUAAUAGGGUUAUUGAAGUGAAUUAUGAUGUUUGGAAGUCUCUGUUUGAGAUUUCUCCACUAUCAUCUCCUAAUGAUCUUAAGAUUAUCGACACUGUGUUUGCUCCAGACAAUGAGUUUAGGAAUGCCUUAAACUCAAUGCUGAAGAGACCAUUUUCUGCAAAUGUUGUUGAGAGCAAUUUGUUCCCUACCAAUGUGACUACGGGUCUUUUGAAGCCUGUUGAUAGGAUUUUACACUGGGUUGUAACGCAUAUUCUCCUUCCUAAACAAGAAGCUUACUCCAGAGUGGACAAGGCCGAAGUACACCUGGUUUAUGUGUUAAAACAAAAUUUGAAAGUAAAUUAGCUGCACUAUGUUGAAAGUAGGAUCUUUGCUCUAAAGGAGUUAGGUCGAGGCAUUGCUCUCUGCUAUCCUUCAUUUAUUCAAAGUAUCCUAAAUAGAGCUAAAGUUUCAGUUCAAGGAAUUCAAUAUAACUCUGUGACUACAAAUCAAGAGUUUUGUCAGAAAACAUUAAGUUUGAUGGGAUACACUUGGGAUCCUACAACGCGAAUAUACAAGACUCGUAAACCAGUUCCAAGUUCUAAUACUCAGCAUUUAGAAGAAGAUGAUGAUGAUGAUGAUAAAGACGAUGAUGAAGACGAGAAAGAGAAUAAUGAUGAUGACUCUCAACUUAUGGAGCAUGAUCAAUAAGUCACUGACCAUGGUGAUUGGAUAGGUGUUACUCCGGACAAAAUCCAUAUGAUAACCAAGGUUGGAGAGAAUAGCAACACACCGGCUGGACCAGCAACCGAUCAUCCUAUAUGACUACACCUCCUUCUUAAUCUGAAAACUCUGAAGUGAUGGAAAUGUUAAGAAACAUGUAAAUAUAUCAGCAAAAUUUUUAUACACUUCAAGAGGAGAGAUUUACGGCCUUGUAGGAUCAACUUCAGAUUCAAAGUGAUAACUUUGCAUCUUUUGCUUCUAUCCAAGAGGAACAGUACUCGGACUUAAGGAAUCAGAUCCAAACCCACAGUGACAACUUCAAUUCAUUUACCUCCACAAUCAUGCAACGGGUUGAUGCCACCCAUCGCUCUGAGAGAGAGAGAGAGAGAGAGAGAGAGAGAGAGAGAGAGAGAGAGAGAGAAGAUCAACUUCAAUACGCUUAAUCGGAACGUCAUUGAAUUCACUGGCUUCUAUGAAGAAGACAGACCUUCGCGUCAACCUUCUGGUUAUAGAGACAAAAAUGACCCGUCACGAGGGAUACUACCUUAGAUGAUUGAUUCAUUCAGUUCAUUUCCAUUUCUCUGUGUUUGCAUGUUAUUGUCUUACUUAUUUGUCUUAAAGUUUAUGUUAAACAAUUAUGGAAAUGUUAUUUACUUAUUUUCUUUUGCUCCGUGUAAUAUUUAUGCCUAUAAUACUUACAUUUACUUCAUGUUAUGUGCAUGGUUGUUAAUGCCUAUCUUUUGCAAAGUAGUUGACUAAGUGCUUAUGAAUAUCUUUGUUUCCCGUUGACCGUAUCAUUGUUUCUUUUUGAUGUUGUCAAAGGGGGAGAAGCAAUGGAAACACAAUAGAAAAUUUAUAAUAGCAGAAUGUUUGAAGGCAUAGCAGAUUUAUAAUAGCAGAAUGUUUGAAGGCAUUCAUAAAAUCAAGGGGAGGAUGUCUAUCAAAGUACGCGAUUGUGCCAAAGUUUUCCAUCAUUAAAAAGGGGGAGUAUAUGAGGGCAAAGAUUCCUAGUCCUUAUUUUAAUGUUGUCAAACCUUUCUAGUUGCUCAUAAUAUGUGCUUUGGACGGUGUCAUCAUAUCAUAAAAUGCAUUCAUCCUCCAACAUGCUCAAAGUAUAAGUGAAAUGUGUCCAUGCAUAUAAGAGCAUCUCAUUUACUUGAAUAAUGCACUUGAUCAUCGUUAAUACCUUAGGUUUAUAAAAUAAUGAUUUCAAAUUAUCCAAAUAUGUCUUAAAAUUCAUUUUUUUACAGUCUAAGAACUUUGAGUCGACUCACAUCCUGGAGCGAUCGACUCAUUCAUACAUAUCCCAAUAUGUGAAACUCUCGGGUCUGAACAGGUCGAGUCAGAGGUCGACUCAAUUCUGGGAAAACCAAAUGAGUCGACUCAUCCACAUGAUUGCGUCGACUCAUUGCCUAUUUCAUUUAAACCAUGAUUUUCACAGGUCUGAACAGGUCAAGUCAUAGGUUGACUCAACUCUGGAAAAACCCUGUUUGAGUUGACUCAUCCCCUGUUUGAGUCGACUCAUCGCCUGCUUCAUUUGAGUGGUUUUUCCUCGGGUCUGAACAGGUCGAGUGAUUGCGAUUGGCACUCAAUUUAUACUCUGCAUUUUUGCAAACUCAUUUUGUUAUGUAUGUUACUUUGUCCAUGCAUCAUAUAAAUAUUCUAGAGUCUCUUCUUCAACAAAAAACAAGAAAAGUGAAAGAUAUACACUAAAGUGCUUUUCAUCUUCAUUCUUCAUUGCAUUUCUUAACAACUACACAUAACAAUUUUUGUUGAUCAUUGUGCAUUGUUGUGGUGAUAACGUCCAAAUAGGAUUGUGUAAUCUUAGUUUGGGUAGAGGCUUUGAGUGGGUUUUUCUUGAAUAAAACCAUUGGGGUUUUUCCUCCAAGAAUUGAGGGUUUUUACACUAAUAUUUGCUUCAUAGAUUCAGCCGAGUCAAAGGUUUGAAGAAUGAUGGGUUCGUUCAAACAAGUAACGGUAACUGGAGGAUUGUGAAGGAAGGUUAGGGUUCAAGCGUCUUGUGACUGAAGUCAGCCGAGCUAGAAUUUUGGAGAACGUGGAGUUCUUGCAAUAAAGUAGCUACAACCGGAGGUUUCACACAGAUCCGAUCGAAAUCAGUCGAGCUAGAGUUUUAGAGAACGUGGAGGUCUUGCAAUAAGGUAGCUACAACCAAAGGUUUGUUCGGAACACUUGAAGGACUUGGUUCAACUCGAAUCAAGGGGAUAAAAGUGAAUAGGAUCUGCAACAACACUUGGGGUUGGUUGGUGGUGAUCAUUUCUUCUCUUGUAUUAACUUUGUAAUUUGAUAAUAAAUAUCUCAAUUCUAGUUUAAGAAUUGGGGGCAAUGUACCCUAAGCGAGGACGAAAGGGGAACUGCCUAAACAAAUCUGGUGUUGUUCUCUCUUUCUCUUAACUCUUUAAAUUCUACAUUAAUUGAGUCUUGUGUGAAUUUAACAGUAAAAUUAAUCUCGCUUAAUUAUUAUGCAUAGAAGUUGUUCGAUAAAUUGGUGCAAUCACUUUGAUUGCAACUAAGUAAAAUUAUGCACAUUCAAUUUGAGUGAAAUUGAGACUUGGUGUGAAGUGCACACCAAGUGUUUGAUAAAAUUAACCUCACACAAGUCUAUCAAUAUUUUACUAGUUCUCUUAUUGUGUUAACUCAUCGUUAGUGGUAACUAUAUCAAGGAUUGGGGUAGUUAAUCGAUUGGUUAAGAUAGUAGUUGAUUAUCUCUAUCAUAGUUAUUCGAUUUGGUUUCAUGCAUAUCUGAUCUUUCCAUUAAUGGAUUGUUUAGACGAUUAUGGUCUAGGGAGCUUUCGCAACCUUUGAAAACAUUUUUGAAAAGCGUUAAAUUUAAAUACUAAUAUAUUCAACCCCCCCCCCCCUUCUAGAUCGGUACUAUCGUCUAACAAGUUUUAGGAGUUUGGUUUUUUGUACCAAAUCUCUAACAUCCCCCUUCUAGAUCGGUACUAUCGUCUAACAAGUUUUAGGAGUUUGGUUUUUUGUACCAAAUCUCUAACAUGCAUUAACACCUAUAAUUUUAUUGUCCGACCUCAAAUAGUUUUGACUUCUACAUAAGUCCAAUUACGAUUUCUUAACAUAGAGCUAAAUUUGACCCUCAAGUCAUAUCAUUCUAGUAAGUGAGAUUAUAAGUCUCCCAUUCUUCAUCGCAUUGUGUGGAGACUUGACCUUUUUUCUUUUCAUGAGAGCUAGUGGCAUACUUGUUAAAUUAUCCAAGUUGGAGCCCUUAUCAUGGAAGAUGUAUUGGUUUAAGGAUCCAUACUUGUGAAUGAAUGGUUGAGUGUUCUCCAAAGAAUGACUUGAUUAAUUAAGACUCACCACUAACACUUAACACUAACCAUUGACUAACUCUUAUUUAUAUUGCUUCACUUUCAAGUCAUUUACUAUUAUGCAAUUUAAAUUUCAGUCAUUUAUCAUUCAUUGCCAUUUACAUUUCAUACAACUUGUUUAUGUUUAAGUCCAUUUUCAUUUUUGCUCAUUUGAGCCAUUUUUUGUGAUUGUAUCGAAUUAUUUAUUAAUAAUAAAAGGCUUUUUCUUUAUUAUGUUUGUUUAAUAAAGUCCCUAGAAUAGCUAGUCCGUUUAAUGUAUCAAGUGUGACUUAAUCAUGAGAUCACAUUAAACAUAUUGUAUCGAAUUAUUUAUUAAUAAUAAAAGGCUUUUUCUUUAUUAUGUUUGUUUAAUAAAGUCCCUAGAAUAGCUAGUCCGUUUAAUGUAUCAAGUGUGACUUAAUCAUGAGAUCACAUUAAACAUAACGACAUUAUUCUUAAAGUAUCCAUAGCCGAGCUUUAUUAUGAAGUGGGAUAACAUUAAAGCAUUAAAACUAUUAUGUAUAUAUACUGAUGAUCACAUCUCGUGGAUCAUGGAUAAGGAGUUAUCAAGUCUUAAACAUAGGUAUGAAUAUUAAGAGUAAUAUUUAUACUGGAUUGACCUGCUAUGAGAAUACUAUAUAGAAUUUUAUGCAAAGUGUCAUAAGUUAUUCUCAUGGUGAUAAUGAUGUAUACCACCCUUCGACCUUAAACCACUAUGGACCCUAGAUGUAGAGUCGAGUGCCUUAUUAUUGAUCAAACAUUGUCCGUAACUGGAUGACCAUAAAGACAAAUGAUGGGUACUCCAGGAAGCAUGCUUAGGGACAUGAGUGACCUAGAUGGAAUUUUCCCAUCCUGCGUAACAGGAUAAAUGUCUAUGGGCCCAAUAUUAAACUGGACAAGGAUGACACGGUUUAUGCCUUGUGUUCAAUAUAGACAUAAGGGCAAAAGAGUAAUUGCACACAUAAGUAUUAUCAGAAAAGGAUUUGUCAAAUCACAUGACAAUUUCGUGUCUUGGGUAGCAGUGAUGUGUUGCUAGAUACCGCUCACUGUUUAUUAUGUUAAAUACGUGAUUUAAUAUAAUUGCCAAUGCCGCGAAAACCUACAGGGUCACAUACAAAAGGACGGAUUGAUGAGAGAUAGAGUAACUAAGGAACACCGUAAGGUACAGUGCACAUAAGUGAAUUGUAGAACAUCAUAAGGUACGGUGUACUUAAGUAGAAUACGAAAUAUGGUAAGGUACCACGCGCUUAAGUGAUUUUGAUAUAUUAUAAGAUAUGGGCCACAUACACUUAAGUGGGUUUUUAGCUUGCAGCCCAGAUAAGUGGUUCUAUAAAUAGAACCCUUGUGCAGAAGUAUUUGUGCAGUUGCAAUUUUGUUUCUCUCUCUCUCUCUCUCUCUCUCUCAAAGCCUUCAUUCAUAGCAGCUAGCACUGAGAUUGAAGGAAUCCGUUCUGGUGGACUGAGUAGAGGCGUUGUCACCAUUCAACGUUUGUGAUCGCUCCGUAGAUCUGCAUCAAAGGUUUCAAUCUCCACAAGAGGUAACGAUUUUAUCACUGAUCAUGUCCAUUUGUAAGGAUCACUAAAGGAGAAUUUUUGUAAAAUUUCUCUGCAUUUUGGAUCGCUCUUCUCCUUAAGUCUUGGUUUAAGGAUCCAUACUUGUGAAUGAAUGGUUGAGUGUUCUCCAAAGAAUGACUUGAUCAAUUAAGACUCACCACUAACACUUAACACUAACCAUUAACUAACUCUUAUUCAUAUUGCUUCACUUUCAAGUCAUUUACUAUUAUGCAAUUUAAAUUUCAGUCAUUUAUCAUUCAUUGUCAUUUAUAUUUCAUACAACUUGUUUAUGUUUAAGUCCAUUUUCAUUUUUGCUCAUUUGAGCCAUUUUUUGUGAUUGUAUAUAUAUUGUUUGUGUAUUUUGAUUUUGUUUGUGGUCUUAGGACCUUAAAACACAUAAUAACAACAAAAACCCUAAAAAAACAUUUGGUGGACUGUUGGGACUUGAUCUGCACUUUUGGACUUAGAAUUAGGCAACUUUCCCUAUGCUAGAGGAAUUGGCCAAUGCCAAUAUUUUGAGACUGAGCUAUCUUGAAUUGAGUCUUCAUCUGAUGCAAGACCUUGAGGAUUUCUUUGAUUCAUUUGUUACUCUGUCUUGGUGCUUAAUUUCUUAUUUUAUUAUUGCCUUUGUCUGAUGUUUUGUUCUGAGUUGAUAAAGGAAUAUUUCAUCUGGUACAUUGGAAGAUAAUAAAGACUGCUAGCUAUUGGAGUGCUUGCUUGGAUGUGGCUAUCUUUAUUUGAUGCCUUGAUCUUCAUGAUGUCUGGAUAUUGCUCAUUGCUUAUUGAUUAUUGCUUGAUCAAAGUCCAACGGAAAAUGGGUUUCUAUAUGGCAUUCUUGUCUGUUGGAUUGCAUCCCAUUGGUCAGACCUUUUCAACUCUUAACUUUUAAUUGUACUUAGGAUAGUCUCUUCAUCUCCUCCCACUUCUUAAAUUUAAAAAUCUCUCCCUCUUUUCAAAAACCUUUCUUUUCUUGUGAGUUUAAACUUAGACAUGUUUUAACAAUUAGAAACUUUGGCCUUAUGCCAAUGAAUUCUUAAAAAUAUUUCCUUAAUCAAACUUGUAAAUAAACUUAACCAUAUUGACUUAAAUUUCAAAAGACAAAAAUAAUUAAUAACCCCAUUCAAACCUUUGGCCUUUUGUGCCCUCUUCUUAAAUUUUUGUUAAAAUCAAUUCACCAACUCUUCUUUGAAAUUUCUACCCCGAACUACGAGGUUUUGAUCCCUCAUUUUUAUAUUGGUACGUAGGCACGAGACCGAAGAUCUUAUGAAACACAAAAAUAUAAUCAAUGAAUUAUUUUCUCAUCCCCACGCUUUAUUUUUUUCAAAUAUCUUUUAUACCAAAACACAUGCACACAUAAAAAGGGCUCCCUAGAAGUACCUAGGACACUUUGGGUGCUAACACCUUCCCUCUAUGUAACCAACCCCCUUACCUGUGAUCUCUGGCAUUUUAUUAUAUUUGAUUUGAAAACUUCUUAUCCUUGGGUUUCGUUCGUGCUUUUCCCUUUUCCUUUGGAAACGAUAAAAGUGCGGUGGCGACUCUAGUUUUAUUGACGUCAAGUUUAUCCAUAGCUUGAUGGUCAUGAAUUUACCAAUACAACGGCUACCUGCAAACCAAUAUUCAAACUAUUGAGGAAGAAUCAAUCGAUUGUGUCAUAUGACGAUUGCCAAAUGGAAUUCGAUAAAAUAAAAAAGUACUUGCAAGAACCAUCAAUCCUCAUACCACCGGUUCCUGGUAGACCAUAUAUUAUGUACCUCACGCUACUUAAUGAAUCCAUGGGCUGCAUUCUGGGUCAACAUGACGAUACAGGCAAGAAAGAACAUGCAAUAUAUUACCUCAGCAAGAAAUUCACUGAAUGUGAGACAACAUACUCACUUUUAGAGAAGACGUGUUACACUUUAGCUUGGGUUGCUCGACGCAUGAGACAAUACAUGGUAUGCCAUACUACUUUGUUGAUAUCCAAAAUGGAUCUGAUAAAGUAUAUAUUAGAAAAUCCUAUUGUUACUGGUAGAAUUGCUCGGUGGCAAAUGUUGUUAACUGAAUAUGAUAUCCAGUAUGUGACUCCGAAAGCAAUAAAGGGGAGUGUUCUAUCUGACUACCUUGAUCAUUUACCCGUGGAAGGUUAUCAAUCAUUGAGGUUUGACUUUCCAGACGAAUACAUCAUGUUCAUCAGAGACUUCAUUGUGCUAGGAUCCGAGAUAAACCCUGAGGAAGGCCCCGAACCAGGAUCGCGAUGGACGCUUGUGUUCUAUGGUGCUUCCAAUGCUCGUGUCCAUGGCAUAGGUAUAGUUAUCACUUCUCCAAAUGGUUUCCACCUUCCAUUCACCGCCAGAUUAUGCUUUGAAUGCACCAACAAAAUGGUAGAAUACGAAGCAUGUAUCUACGGUAUGGAGGCGUCCAUCGACUUAAGGAUCAAGAUUCUUGAGGUAUACGGAGAUUCAACUCUGGUGACAAGUCAGGUAAAAGGUGAUUGGGAAACUUAGGAUUGUAAGUUGAUACCUUAUAAAGAGCAUAUCAGAAAGCUGGUACCCUAUUUAAAUGAAGUCUCUUUUCAUCAUAUUCCUAGGGAAGAAAAUCAGUUAGUAGACGCUCUAGCUAAGUUGACAUCUAUGUUCAAAGUCAAAUGGAAGAAUAAAGCACCAACUAUCCAUAUUGACCACUUAGAUGAACCAGCACAUUGUCUAGCAGUCGAGGCAGAUCCUGAUGAUAAGCCCAGGUUCUACGACAUAAAGACAUUUCUGGAGAAAUAGCAAUAUCCCGAGGGUAUAUCUAUUAUUGAUAAGAAGGCUCUGAAAAGAGUCUCUUCCAAGUUUUUUCUUAAACGGUGAUGUGUUAUACAGGCGAAAUUAUGAUUCUGUAUUUCUCAGAUGCGUCGAUAGACACGAAGCUAGUACAAUCAUAAAAUCUAUACAUAAAGGUUGCGAGGGGGUACAUGCGAAAGGUUCUGUUAUGGCUAAGAAGAUCCUCCGGGAUGGGUAUUAUUGGACGACAAUGGAGGUUGACUGUUACAACUUCGUCAGAAGAUGCCACAAAUGUCAAAUAUAUGGUGACAAAAUCUUUGUGACACCAACUCCGUUGAACGUUUUGACGUCUCCGUGGCCCUUUUCUAUGUGGGGUAUCGAUAUGAUCGGGAUGAUAGAGCCUAAAGCUUCCAAUGGUCAUCAAUUCAUCAUAGUUGCCAUCGACUACUUUACAAAAUGGAUUGAAGAUGCUUCAUAUGCCAAUGUCACUCGACGGGUGGUUACUCGGUUUAUCAAGAAAUAGAUAAUAUAUCGCUAUGGAAUUCCUAGAAAGAUCAUCACUGACAAUGUCAGUAAUCUUAACAACAAUAUGAUGAAGGAGUUGUGCGAAGAGUUUAAGAUCGAGCACCACAAUUCUUCACCAUACCGGCCCAAGAUGAACGAAACUAUAGAAGCAAAUAAUAAGAACAUCAAGAAAAUCUUACAGAAGAUGGUCAAGACAUAUAAGGACUGACAUGAUAUGCUACCCUUUGCUCUGCAUGGUUACAGAACCCCGGUUCGCACAUCUAGUGGGGCAACUCCAUACUCAUUGGUGUAUGAGAUGGAGGUCGUUCUGUCAAUUGAAGUCGAGAUUCCUUCACUCAGGGUCAUCAUAGAGGUUGAUCUCGAAGAAGCUGGAUGGGUUCAAUCACGGUAUUACCAGCUGAAUCUGAUCGAAGAAAAAUGUUUGAUGGCCGUUUGCCAUGGUCAACUGUCCCAAAGACGCCUCAAACGAGCUUUUGAUAAGAAAGUUCUUCCUCGUGAGUAUCACACAGGAGAACUCAUUCUCAAAAGUUACUCUGCUAUUCACUCAUAUCCUUGAGGCAAAUGGACUCCCAACUACGAAGGACCUUUUGUCAUUAAGAAGGCGUUCUCAGGUGGAGCUCUAAUCCUCAUAACAAUGAAUGGGGAAGAGUUGUCAUCGCUGGUGAAUGAAGGCAUAGUCAAAAAAUAUUAUGCCUAAAAAGAAAUGAUGAUAAAAUCCUGCUAGAUUAAUCCUCACAAAGUUAAUCUAGGCAAAAAUGGCUAUCCCGAUGGACCAAAAAAUGAAUUGUCCAUGCAAAAGUUAGGGAUCGGAUAAAAAUAUAAAGCUCGCUAAGUCGAAAACCCGAAAGGGCGGCUUAGGCAAAAAGGAGCAUCCCGGCGGACGAAAAGAAUAGGAAAUGUCCUGACAAAAGUUAGGGAUAAAGGAAUUGACUAUGAUCCUCAAGCCUAUUACGCUACAAGCUAGAUCUCAUAAAGUCAAAGAUCGAUCAAAUCAUCGUCAAUCAAAUAAAAUUCAUGGGAUUCAGACCCUAUAGUGGAUAACGACCAAUGUUGUAAUCAAUGGAAAAAUACAAAAAUAUUUCCCAUUGCCAUUUCUUUUAUUUUUCAAUUUUUGUGAUGCCCUCUUAAAGGAUGUUUGCAUCUCUGUACACGCCAUAUGUACCUUUUUGGUCAUAAUCAAUAAAAUUCAAUUUUCUUUGAUCAUUUGUUUUUGCUUCUCCUGCAUUUUGUUUGCAAAAUAAUUGAUUUAUUUAUAAUCAUAUAAUGCUUUAAAAUUUUGAAUAAUAAAAGCUACAUUAAAAGAUAACUUUAUACAUUACUGUAAACUCCCGAUGAACUUAAAAAGAUGACUGGUAGUUUGAAAGUUUUGCUUGAAUAUUUAUGGCAUCUAGUUGAUUGCCCGGUGGGAUCAUGAAUCACGGUGUUCCUCAACAUGUUUAGAUAAACCCGUGACAGUAGUUUUGACACCUGGAUUUCAAUAUCAGGCUCUUUGGUAUAAUUGAUGACGAGUCGGAGUUCCUUCCAUACCAAAGAACCUUACCCUACAAAUAACAUUUGCCUAACCAUAUAAACACUCAUGCAUCAUGAAAAUAAAGCAUACAUCACACAACAUGCAUAUCAUGCUCUCCAACAUAAUUUCCCUGUAGAAUAUCAAAAACAUAUGUGUACCUCCGCAGUAUGUCCGUUCGGGCAAAUUUGUAGAUACAUUAGUAUUUAAUCCUCUUCUACCUCUAAUACUUGAAAAGCUUCUGUAAUUCUUGUAUUCAAAUUCAAGAAGAUUAAAUAGGGGCAGCUGUUGUACCCCAAAAUUUUCCCUCCACUUUUUCAUCUUUUCAUCCAACCACUUGACUUGGGGGUCAAUUGCAUACAUUUACAAUUCAUUCAUAUGCAUCAUUCAUCCAUUAGUGGAUCACCAUAGAUUCAAAACUCUUGGCUUGUGAAGUUGGGGUUUAUGUGUGGAACAACUUCAAAAGCAUGGUUUGGUUAUUCAUCAAAGCAUAGGGGAUAUGAAACCCUAAUCAUUUGAUGGUAGAGGUAUGGAUCAACAAGGUGUCAUCUAGGCAAUCCUCAGGGGUCUUCAAAACCCUAAUUAUUGAUAUUAUGAUGGUGGGAUCCUAUAGAAUUUCUCUGGGCCUUGUCUUGUCUAUCAAAACCCUAAUGAUGCCUCAUACAUUGGAAGACUUGUUGUUGAAGCAUCUGGUUUGAUUCAAAAGGCUUGUUGGAGGGGUAGGCCUCAUGGAAACCCUAACCAAGGAUGGAUUGGUCUUGAUGGGAUUUGUGGCUUGACUUUCCAUCUUAUAGUCCAAACCCUAGUUUCAUCCAUUGCUUUAUCCUUGGCAUACUGGGUGCCUUUGCUUGAUCCUUGUCCCCCAUAACCUUUUGUCUUGGCUCAAGCCUAUGGUCCCAUAACUUCCAUUCUUUGCUGCAUCCAUGCCAUUUCAUCUGAUCAUCUCAAGUACAUGCUCCACUCUUGGUUUGUUUUCAUCUGAUCAUUGGUCUUGAAUCUAAUUCAUCUUAGUCUCAAUGCCUCGUUGUUUUGUCCAUAAAUUAUUGAUGCAUUCAUGACAUUGUCUAUCCAAACCACUAAAACCUAUUGUAUUACAAUCCAGGUGGUGGUUAUGUCCAUUGAUUCAUGAUUAGUACUUCAUUCAAGUCUUUGCCUUAUUCAUCAAGUCACGACUUUGUUCAUCAACCAUGUUAAUAUGAUCAAUCCAUUUACAAGUCAUGUCCAUGUUCAUUUCAUUCCAAAUUCAAGCAUAUACACGUACAAAAAACCAAUUUGCAAAACCAAUUUGAAAACCAUUACAAACCACUUACAAUCCAUUACAUUGAUCAUUACAUGAAAAAUUUCAAAUUUUAGUAACUUUGACCAAGUGUUGACUUUUGUCAACAAUUGACUUUUUGGUCAAUUUUGACCAAAGCCAACUCAUCCCCUUUUUUGGCCACCUAAGAUCUAAUCUAAUCCACCUUGCCUUGAUUCAUCAUCUAAGGGCCAUAAUUGGUUUGCUUGUACCAUGUUUCUUCAUUUACAAGUAUCCAUGUUCAAAAUCAUGUCCACCAAGCCUACAAAGCCAAUCAAUAUCAUAACCAUGCAAAUUAGCACAUUGUCAUGGACUUCAAACAGAAACAGGCCAAUGAUGCAUCACAUAAUACUCCAUCAUCCAAAAAACAUGAGCUAAUGGUUAAGUUGAGAUGGCCUAGUUAUUACCUGUCCAAGUCAGAAUGUGAUUUCCUGCAGCACAUCAUAACAACCUGCCAUAAAAUAUGCCAACAUACAUUCAAGCAUGCAAUGUAACAGAACCUAAAGCAUUAAUAUGAACAACUUUGCAAACCAAGUCAUAUGGCCUGCCAAUACUUAUCCUGCAUCAACACACAUAAACCUUCCAGGCAAUGCACCAUAACCAAAUGCAUCAGAAUCACAAACUGACCUGCCAUAAUGAGACUGCAAUCAUCAGCAAGCCAGAGUCCGAACACAACAAAUCCAUGGCAAGGCAAUGGCAAUUAAGCAGCAAUGUUUCAAAACCUGCAAUGCAAAAAGACUGCCAAUCCAAACAUAAUCAUGAAGCAACCCACACCUUCAAAGCUAGAACUGUAGCAAAUGGGAAAAAGCAAUGACCAAGGAAUUUAAACAAUUCAGCAAGGCCAACCAAUUCAAAUACAACUUGUCCAAGUCAGAAUGUGACUUCAUGCUGCAGCCUCAUGACCCCUUGUUGGUAGUCCAAAGAAUGGCCAUUGAAAAGUCUGUUGCAAUCCUGGUUCAUCACCAUCAAUCCAUGACCAGGCCACAAUCAUCAUGCAGUGGCAGCAACUACCAAACAACAUGGAACUCCCAACUCCACAACUAAACUGCAUCAUGUCAGCAUACCAUCAAACCUGACCACAAACAAAACAAAGGCAACAAAACAAUGACUUAUCAAUAUUUAAGCAUGGUUAUGGCCAAACAUCAUGAGUAAGGCAAACCUGCAAUUAGCCUUUAAGCACAAAUCCUGCAAAGCAGACCAAGCCACCAAAACCUGUCAACAAAACCAAUGACAUGCUCAAACCUGCAUAAACAUAAACAGGAACAGAUCAAGUGCAAACACACAUAUCAUCAUGCCAACCCUGGUAUCAGGUCACAUCAGGAAUGCACAUGAUAAUACAAUGAACAACAUGUGCAUAUGUAGUUUAAUAACUCAAUGUAGACAGGUUGUGCACAAUUCCACUUGUUACCCUACAUCUGACCUAACUGAAUAACAAACCAACCAUCAAUCUAAACCUACAAAUUUCCAUAUUGGGCACAUUAAAAUGCAACCUACAACAUGUUCAGCAGGUCACCAACCCCAUUCCACAUGACUUCAAUUCAAUUACAACCUGCCAGGGCCAGUCAGAAACAUAAUCACUUAACACUUGCUCAACUAACGAACAAACUGAGUUCUAACUCCUUAACUAACUGAGUUAUCAGUUAACUCAGUGAGUUGAUCCUAACUAUCUCCCAAACUUGGACAUAACUAACUCCAAGCCUACUUUAAUCCAAACCUAAUGCCUAUUUAAUCAUGUUCAUCAUCAUCAUCUCAACAUCCUUGGAAUCAUUACUCUUAAGCUCCUAAUUUCUCUUUAAAUCCUCUCCCUCUCACACUCAAAGCUCAAUUUCUAAACUCCAUUGAAGUUUCACAUUGAAGCUCCAAGAAGAAAGAGCUCAACCUCAUCAAUCUGAAUUCAUCACACUAAAGAAUUUUGGAAGAAGAAGAAUUGGAAGAAGAGUGAAUCAGAAGAAGAUGAAGACAAUAUCAUACCUAUUGAACAAGUGAUUUUAUGUCUUCAUCUUCUCCAAUUAACACUCGCCGGAGCAAGUGUCAGCUUCGGGGGUAGGUCCAUUUUCUUUAUUUCUUCACAUUUUGAUUGUCAUACUACACGUUACAGCAAUCUAAUGCAAAACCCUAACACCAUGAGCUUCGAAUUUCACUUGUGGAUGCCGAAUCUAGGUUUGAGCUUCUUAGGGUUCUUGAGAACAUGGUUUCGGUUAGGGCUUUAGGCCAAAAAUUAGGGGAUUGAGAGGUUAGAUUCAUGAUCAGGAGGUGGAGACGGAGCUGAAGGUGGGUCAACUGUCCAUUUCUGGUGGCCGCCGCCGCCGAAAAUGAUUUUGUGCGGGAUGGCCCAUGGUGGAAAUCCGGCAAGGUGAGAUGAAUUGGUCUUGAUGUGAGCGCGCGUAGAUAGCAUUCAAAACUUGUUGACUUUUGGCCAAGUCAAUGCCUUCCAUUGGAUUUGCUUAUGAUUGGGCUUGACUCACUCAAGCCCAAUGGGAAUUCCAUUCUCACACCAUUUUGACACUACACCCCCUGGCCAGAAGCAAAAUGUAUUGGGCUUUUCAGCCAAGGCCCAUGCGCCUGAAUUCCACUUUGCACACCUUGUACAGGGCCUGCACCCCCAUUGGCCCAACAAUUUUUAAUUACCAUUAAUUCCAUUUUUUAUUUUGUUUUGAUGUUUUGUUAAUUGGUUUUUUAACAUUUUUUAAUUAGGUUAAUUAGUUUUUUUUGCAAUUAGAUUUUAAUUUGGUUAGAAUUUAGAAACAAAUAGAAAUUAAUUGUCGUUUUAACAUGAUUAAACAUUAGGAUAAAAAAAUUGAUUAAUUGGAUUAUUUUAUCUUGAUUAGAAAUAAUUAGGAUGAUUUAACCUUUAAUUAGAUUUAAUCCUAGUUUAAUUCCCAAAUUAGAAAUAUUUUAUGAAAAGACAUUUUUACCCUUAAGGGUCAUUUUGUCAUUUUAACCAUGGCUAAAUACAUGCUCCUUUAGGUUUAGAUCUUGACAUAAAAUUUUAAUCAAUCCUUGACUAACUAUAUCAUGAUCCCUUAGGUUAGUUUGAUUAAUUCUAACCAUUAGAUUAGUUUUUAACUUAGUUUUCAAACUAAUUAUAACCCUCGAUUCAAGUUGAUCAAAAGAAAUUUUGAUCAACUAAAUCCUUUGAUAUUGUAUAAUCCCACAAUCUAAUUCGAGUUACCAAAAGACCCUUGGUCACUUAAUAAGACUUUUCAUGUAAGUUGUGGAGCUCGAGGCCUCAAGUCAGAUUCUCAAUUAAGGCAUCCUCAGUCAUACCAAGCAGUGGAUAAUACAAACUACAUCAAAGGUGGCAUUUUCAAGAGCUUGUCAAAUCAAAGUUAGGAUUGCGUGGCAUGAGCCUUAAGUAAUAGAGAAUGAAUGUGACUGGAGAAUUCCUACCCCCAUUCUGAAUAUCUUUGGGUAUGAGACGAAUGACCCAGUGCUCAUCGUAUUCACCUUUAUUCAUAGACUUUAGCACAUUUCAAAUCAUAUGAUUGACAAGUCUCUCUCUUUCUCUCUCUCUCUCUCUCUCUCUCUCUCUCUCCAUAAAGAAUCAUGCAAUAAGCAAGGACUACAUCAACAAAUUAUCAAUCAUGAUUCAAGUUGUACGACAUGAGCCUUAAGCAAUGGAGGAGGAAUGGGACUGGAGAAUUCCUACCCCCAUUCUGAAUAUCUUUGGGUACGGGAUGCUUGACCCAAUUUCUCAUUGUAUUUGCCUCCAUUCAUAGACUUUAGUGCAAUUUGAAUCAAACAAUUGAUAAAGUAUUCAUCACUAUGCAACAACAGCAAAGAUUCUCCUCUAGUAACUUGUAAGUUAAGAUGAGAAUUACAUGCCACGAGCCUUAAGUAGUAAAGAAGGAAUGAGACUGGAGCUUUCCUACACUCAUUCUGGAUAUCUUUGGAUGCGGUACAUUUGGCCCGUUGCUUAUUGUAUCCACCUUUACUCAUAGACUUUAGUUUGGUUCUUACCAGAUAACUAUCAAGCCUCUUCAUUUCAAUCAAUCACUUCUUUUGCCUCCAUCAUCUUGGUUUCAGCCCUAGUGGGUUGAACUACGAUUGCUUUGAUUUCCUUAUUGCAUUAUAAGGAUACAUAGGCAGAAGAACUCAGUUUCUUCACGAGCUACCUUAUUUAUUAAUCCAUCAUUCAUUCAUCAAUCAAUACCAUCUUUUUGAGAUCCAAUACUACUUAUCCUUGGUUUCCAUGUUCAUCCUUUUAGGACGCCUAAUGAAUAGUCUGCCUCGUGAACCAAGAGUUGUUUGGCUUAUUGCUAGACAUUUAACUCCUUUGUUUUUUGUUCUUUCACUACAGUGAUACCAUGCCUCAGGCCCCUCACUUGUUGGUUUACCUUUACUCUUUGGUUCAGAGUUUAUUCCUUCAUCGAUCCAAGACACAUUUUUCUCCUUAACCUCGAACUGUGUGUUCCCUAGCAGGUGAUAUAUUAUUUCCUUGUCCCAAUCAAUGCUUCCUUUUGGGCUCCAUACUCGCCCUUUUAGGACGACCUAAUCAAUGUUCAUCUUUGUGUUAAGAGCUGUUUGGCUUAUUUCCAUAUAUUUAUUUCUCUUUGUUUCGAGUCGUUCCACUACAGUGAUACCAUGCCUCGGGCCCCUCACUUUUUGGUAUGUCUGUUUACUCUUUGAUUCAAAACCAAUUUGUCUUUAUGGGUUCCCAUGUUACCAUUCUGUUAGUACAGGUAAUACUACUUAUCACUUCAAUCAUACAUUUUCAGUUGUUUAUCUUGUCAGUCCUUGUUGCUUAGACAAACAUUGUUUUGUUCUCUUUUCCUUUCUUUUCAUGGUUCCACAAACUACGAUUGCUCUGAUUUUCUCAUUCCACAAUGAGAAUACGUAGGCAUGAGGAUGUGAAUCCUUGGCGAGCAUAAUCCUAUUUAUUCCCUCUUUCGCCUUAGGGCGCGAUCCAUAUCUUUCAUGGCAUGUUACCCACCUUCGAUCAUUGAACCCUUCACCCUAGUGACAUACUGUUUCUUUGAAACUAAAAUACAGUUUUUUGUGGAAUUCCAUAUAUACCCUUUUAGGACGCCUAAUGAAAAGUCUGUGUUUGCACCAAGAGUUGUUUGGCUUGUACUCAGACAUUUAAUUCCUUCUUUUUUGGCCCAACCACUACAGUGAUAUCAUGUCUUAGACCCCUCACUUGUGAGCCAUGCCACCUUUUCCUCUAUGGUAAAAAUCCCAUUUAUCAUAUGGAUUCUAAUGCCCCUUUACUUUUGGUUUCAAACUAUACCUUUUCAAUCAUUUAUUACCAAACAUUUUCAAUUUUGUGACUUUGGUCACUUCAUUCUGUUCAUCUCCAUGACACAUUCAUAUUCUACCUUCAUUCAUUUUAUGUGGUAUACCCUUGUUUUUUAUCCAAAUACAGUAUAUUUAUGAUCUCUAUUUUGUUCCCUUUGUUAACCUAGAGCAGUUUUGUUUGUCUUGUCAAACCUUGUAGCUUAGACAAACACCUCCUUACUUACUUUGCAACUGUAUUUAGGAAACCCUUCUGUCGCAACCUGAAAAAUCAGUGCGCGAAAAAAACAACCGGCGAAGAAGAAAUGACAGAAGAGUCGCCACCGUGCGUUAUUUAUCCCAAAGGAGGGAAAGGAAACGCUCGAAGUAAACCUGGAAAAAGGAAAGGAAAAGACAAGGUCUCGCAACCAAAUCUUGGGUUCGGGAGUCGAUUAUGCGAAGGGAAGGUAUUAGCACCCCUACGCAUCCGUAGUACUCUACGGGAUCCACUCUUGUUGUUCUUGUCUAAAGGGUGUGGGUUUAUCUAAUGUACUAUUUACUAAAAGAGGGGUUAAAAGAAAAUGACUCGCACGGAUGUCGCAUCCACUGCAUACGUAUCUCAUCUGAAUAUGAGAAUCAGAGUCUUCGUAGCUCGGCUACCUAUGGGUUAAAGAGAAGUGUGCUCGCUAAGACAUCGCGUCUUAUGCCUACGUAUCUCAUCUGGAAUGAGAAUCAGAGAAAAACGUAGUUCAGCUAACUACGGGAAAAAGGGUCUCGAUUGCAACUAGGGCAAGAGAAAGGGAAGGUCUCGAUCGCAACGAGGGCGAGAGAAAGGAUCGCAACGAGGGCGAAAGCAAACAAGGAUUAGUUGUUAGUCGUUAGUCAAACUCGGCAAGACAUCGCAUCUUGUGCCUACGUAUCUCAUCUGAACAUGAGAAUCAGAGUUGCCGUAGUUCGGCUACAUAGGGAUUGCCAUCUGAACAUGGACUUACAAAGGAGGACACCAGUUGUGUCAAAGGAGAGUGGGCAAUGUGUUCACGUCCUAGCAGUAGGUGUCGCAGCUCGCUGAAUCGAGUCUUAGGCAGUUACCUCUUUGCAAUAGAACGGACUACAUGCCACAAGAUCGGAGACGCUCGGAAAGGUCUAGAAGUGGGGGAAGCUCUGCCCUAGAGUUGUCAUGCAAUAUGUACUUAAGUGUUAGGAUUUACAAAUGGGAAUAUCUACCUAAUGUUAGCAUGCAAAGAAUAUGGGAAUUCUACCUAUGUUAUCAUACAAAAGAAAAAGGGAAUCCUACCUAUGUUAUCAUACAAAAAGAUAUGGGAAUCCUACCUAUGCUAUCAUACAAAAGGAUAUGGGAAUCCUACCUAUGCUAUCAUACAAAAGGAUAUGGGAAUGCUACCUAUGUUAUCAUACAAAAGGUUCUAUCUAAUGGGUGCUACCUAAUCGGAACAAGAAUUGACGAGUGGAGCAAGGAGAGGUGCUAGGAAUAAGGGUAGAUGGCGAUGCAUGAAGCAAUCGACUUACAAGGUUGAUGGCGAUGCAUAAAGCAAUCGACUUACAAGGUUGAUGGCGAUGCAUAAAGCAAUCGAUUUACAAAAGGGUGGAUGAAUACGUGCUGGUUCUGUUAGGUUUUGAAAAAUGAUUACUCGACGUUGGAUCGAGGUUUUGAUCUUGUUUUGAAAUGGUUAUCGAAUGUUCAUUUUGAUUCUUGUAUUAACAGAUGAAUAAAGAAUGAAAGAAUAAAUAUUAUACAUUUCAUGGGAGAGGGAUACAUUUGUUAUGAAUGGGGAUUGUACAUGGUAAUUAAACAAUAAUAAUAUAUGCCUCAUACACCAUACAAGUAGGCCACAGUUAAUCAAACAAGUAAGAUAUAAACAAGUAUAUAAUCAAAUCAAAUAAUCAAAGAAUGAAAUAAUGAAGCGUUAAACAAUGUAUGUGAAGUAUAAACAUAUUAAACAAUCAAACAAUAAAGACAUGGAUGAAAGAAACAAGUAUAAAAAAUGUCAGAUGAAUAAGACAAGUGAAAUUAUGCACACAAAGAAUCAAUGAAUAAUUUAAUCGAGAAAUGAUGCAAGGAUCAAAUAAAAUCAAGAUUAAAGGCCUCUAAUAUGUGGCACAUGAGAUGAACAAGGGAGGAUCAAAAGAUCUCUUCAAUUGCCCUAAGCAGUCCCUAUGUCAACAUCAAUCAUAGAAAAGUCAACCGAAAGGUCAAGUCAACUUAAAAAAUGUCAAAUAAAUAGUAAAUUAAUCACAAAAAUUAUGAAAAAUUAAAUUAAGUUAGGUGGGGUCAGGACAUCAUCAUCCCCCAAAAAUAUUUUAAAAAAUAAUGAAAAUUGGUUAUUGAAUUAAUUGAAUCAAAACAAAGGUCAAACCAAAAGUCCAACAACAAGACUAGGUUAGAAAUAAAUCAAGAAUAAAUUAGAAAAUGGGAAAUAAAAUUCCAAUAAAGGGUCAGGUUGACCAUGAGACAUUGGUCAACUCUCAUCCCAAAAAUCAGAAUCUAAAAAUAAUUUUAAGUUAUGAAAAUAAAAUAAAUGAAAAAAAGUGUGUUAAAAUGGCCUAUUUGAAAUAAAUAAUUAAAAUAAAAUACUAACAUUAAAUAAAAAUGAAAAUUAAAAUUAAAAUAAAUUAAAUAAAUCAUUAAAGAAGUUAAAAAAUAUUUUUUUUUGAAUUUUUAUCAAUAAUUGAAAUAUUUUUAUUAGUUAAAUUAAAACAACAUUAAAAAAAGAAUGAAUUACAAAAAAUGAGGAAGAUAAAAUGAAGUGAAAAUCAUGCAUGGGCCUGGUGUGGGGGUGCUGAUAUCAGCGGCGCAUGGAAGCCCAUGAUCCAACUAAAUUUAUUUAAAUGUGACAGCAAUAUUAAAAUGUUCAUUUAAAACAGCCAUGUAACAAGUAUCGAUCGGUCAACUCCAUUGUUAGUCACAAGAAGACAAAAAUGAGAACGGACGGAUGGGAUAGAAUCUGGACACGCGAUCUAGCGGUCCAGAUCGCGCCAACAGCAGCUCCCAUGCAAUAACAGAAAGAACCCUAAAUUUCAUGCACAACCCAGCGAACAAACCCGUGGAAACGCAAGCCAAACAUUCCUAACUUCCAAAUAAAAUUUCUCAUUCCAUAGUACAUGAAAUUAGAUGGUGUAAAAACCAAAACUCAAGUUCAAAGUGAGAGGAACACCAUGGUGUUUUACUUCAUUAAAAAUGGUGACUUAAAUAUGGAGUAAAAUGGACAGUAAGGUAGCUACACACACACGGAUGCCAACAGAAAAUAGUAACUCAAUUUCAAGUUCAACAAACAAUGCUUCAUGAGGAUGAUUUCAUGGACAAAUAUGGCACAAUAAUAGCACGGUGAUAAACGUGGUAUGAUGGCAAAUAAGCAAUGGUAAUGGCAUGAGGAAAAAAAGUAGCAAGCAUCAUAUAAUGGUGAUCUUAAGAAACUUCAUUAUGUCUAUGGAAGAAGAAGCAAGAAGCUUACCUAGUGGAGAAGAUGGAAGAGGAAUAAUACUGCUGUUUGUGCUUUGCAAACUUGCAGAAUGGAAAUGGAAGGAAAUGGACUUCUCACUCCUUGCCUUGCUUACUCUUGCUCAAUUUCGAAAAUGACAACCACCCCCUUCAGAUUAGGGUUUCAAGGUUUAUAUAUGUUGGUCCCAAGUGUUCUUAAUGGGCUUAGGUCCAAUUGGAUUUGAUUGUGUGCACUUGAAACAAGGUUGGCAAAGUGAGGUGGUAUUAGGAAAUGACUUAUUUGGCAUGGUUUAAGUGAGCUGCACCAGAAGUACAUGAACAAAUGAGGAAAGAAAGUGGGUUGGUCGUUUGUGGAGCAUAUUGGUCUGGUUUGGGGUAGGCAAGAAAAUAAGUUCAAGUGAGUGACUUUUGGACCAUGUAUCUUGAUGAUUGUGUGACCAAAUGGCAAGGUAAUGAAAGCAAUAGCAAGNGUCGGAAACUUCUUCGAUCUGAACAUCGGAAAAUUGGCCUGAAUGCCACUUCGGUCUGAAUACCGGAAACUGGCCUGAAUGCCAUAAGUUGCGUCGACCUGAAUGUCGGAAACUUCUUCGAUCUGAACAUCGGAAGAUUGGCCUGAAUGCCACUUCGGUUUGAAUACCGGAAAUUUUUCAUGCCUGUCAGCAUCGGCAAAAAUAAGGAAAAUGAUAAUUGAGGCGGCACGUGGGCCAACAAUCUAUGCUGGGGACAAUAAGUCAUGAACAACCUUCAGUCUGAGUACUGGAAACAAGCUUCUGGUUUAUCACUCGGGAUACCGAGAAUGUUUUAUGCUUCACAUACGUAUGUUUGAAUUUUUCAAUGGCGUAAUGCUCCAUGAAAAUGAAAAUGCUACGCGAUUUGGGAGGAUGCAAUGCAAUAUGAUUCUAUAUGCAGGGAUGCGAAAUGCUGGGUAGAAUGCCAAGUCGAGGCAAGGGAAUCUGCUGGGGAAAUGAUCACCAUCUUCUGGACCCUGACAAGGUUGUUGGAGAUGCACAGCGCAAAGAACUCUGUGGGGAAAUGACCCGCCACACGGUGUUCUAGCAAUGAUGAAAUACUGAGACUCUGACUGGGGAGAGAACGACACUAAAAACCUGUUGUUGGGGAAAGCGAUAGUGGUUCUGGCAACCAUAAUCUGCGAGAGAGACGACUUAGCAGGGGAAGCAAACACCGAUACGGUACCGAGGUUAUGCUUCCAGGAAAGAGAUCAUCGAUCUGGGAUUGAAAACAUCGAUAUGGCAUCGAACUCUGAGGAGCAGCUGCUUCUGCUGGGAAGAUACGGUCUGGCACUGUCAACUCCGCUGGGGAUGUACAGCCUGGCACUGUCAACUCUACUGGGGAGUGUAUAGUCUGAAACACCUGCUCGGGGAAGUACAUCAGUGAGAACCUGCUGGGGAUUGAAGAAUCCGAUGCUUGGACCAACUCUGCAUGGAUAAGAUACCAAACUCCAACUGUUGAAGCAAAACAUCCGCAAUCGUCUGCUGGGAACUUUAGGGAAAUGCCCCGAGUGUACCUGUAAAGCUCUUAUGUUUCAUGAUGCAAUGUUUUAUCAAAAAUUCGGACGUCAUUUUUGCAAACAAAACGAUAAAAUGAAAAUGAACACAGAGAUGUACUGAAUAACAUGAUUUUAUUGAUUGAAUGGCCUCUGAAUAGGCAUUUACAUCAGGAAGCAAUCCCUGGAAAGAGGUAAUCGCACAAAAGAUAAAAACAGAAAUUAAUCUAAUGGCAAUGUGAAAUGGAUUUCUAUUGGGUUCCAAUUCUGCUAUGACUUGCCCGUCUUCAAGAUCCUCCAGAUGAUCAGCCUUCUGAAAAGGUGAUUGGACUGUUUCCUACCUUUCGAAAAUUUCCAGUCAUCGACAUGAGAUGAGAUUCAGAACUAACUCAGAACGCAGUCAUUCGCUUAAUCCCUAACUUUUGCCUGGAUCGCCCUUUUCGGGUUUUCAAUCCACCGGGAUACCCAUUUUUGCCUAAGUUGCCUUUUCAGGUUUUCAACUUACCGGGUGUACGAUCUUUUCAUUUUUAAUCCCUAAUUUUUGCCCGAACCUUUUCAUUUUCUUGGUUCGUCGGGAUGCCCUUUUUUGCCUGGACUAUUCUUUUUACUGUCCAGCGGGUCUAUUUUAUGCGAAGUAUUUUUUAACUGCGUCUGAGUUCACAGGGGAAGUGAAGUUUUCACCAUCCAUAGUUGCAAGCAUUAAGGCCCCACCAUCAAAAACCUUGGUGACAAUAUACGGUCCAUCAUAGUUAGGAGUCCACUUGCCCCUGUGAUCUGUCUGAGGAGGAAGGAUCCUUUUCAACACUAAAUCUCCGACUUGGAAACAACGAGGACGCACUUUCUGAUCAAAGGCUCUCUUCAUCCGACUCUGAUACAACUGCCCAUGACAAAUGGCUGCCAUUCGCUUCUCUUCGAUAAGACUCAACUCAUUGAACCUUGUCCGAAUCCAUUCAGCUUCGUCUAACUUGACAUCCAACAAGACUCUUAGAGAAGGAAUCUCCACUUCAACAGGUAGGACUGCUUCCAUACCAUACACAAGGGAGUAAGGGGUUGCCCCGGUCGAUGUACGUACUGAAGUACGGUACCCAUGCAAGGCGAAAGGUAGCAUCUCAUGCCAAUCUCUGUACGUGACGACCAUCUUCUGCACAAUCUUCUUUAUGUUCUUAUUUGCCGCCUCAACAGCACCGUUCAUCUUAGGGCGGUAAGGGGAAGAAUUGUGAUGCUGAAUGUUGAAGUUCUGGCACAACUCCUUCAUCAUUUUGUUGUUGAGAUUAGAAUCAUUAUCAGUAAUGAUUCUUUCGGGAAUCCCAUAGCGAUAAAUGAUUUCUUUCUUGAUGAAACGGGCAACCACAUGUCUGGUGACAUUCGCGAACGAUGUUGCUUCGACCCACUUGGUGAAAUAGUCGAUGGCAACAAGGAUGAAGCGAUGCCCAUUGGAGGCGGUCGGCUCAACCUUUCCAAUCAUAUCGAUGCCCCACAUAUCAAAAGGCCACGGCGAAGACAUCACAUUCAAAGGAUUUGGCGGCACAUGCACCUUAUUAGCAUAAAUCUGGCAUUUAUGACACUUCCGAGCAUAUUUGAAACAAUCAGAUUCCAUGGUCAUCCAGUAAUAACCCUCCCUUAACAAUUUCUUAGCCAUUGCAUGCCCGCCAGCGUGAGUACCGAAGGAGCCUUCAUGAACUUCUUGCAUUAACAUGUCCGCCUCGUGUCUGUCCACGCAUCUGAGCAAAACCAUGUUGAAGUUCCUCUUAUACAGCACAUCGUCUUUGUUCAAAAAGAAACUGCCUGCCAAUCUUCUCAAAGUCUUUCUGUCAUUGUUGGAUGCCCCUGCAGGGUACUCUUGAUUCUUCAGAAAGCACUUGAUGUCGUGAUACCAGGGCUUGUCAUCGACUACCAGUUCAGUCGAUGUGAGGUAAUGGGAAAUCAUCUUUAGGACUGGCUCUGUUCAGAUCCCGGUAGUCGACACACAUCCGUACCUUUCCAUCCUUCUUAGGUACUGGAACGAUGUUUGCAACCCAUGGCGGAUAAUUUGUGGCUGCUAGAAACCCUGCAUCCAACUGUUUUUGCACUUCUUCCUUUAUCUUGACAGCCAUCUCUGGUCUUGUUCAUCUGAGCUUCUGCUUGACCGGAGGACAACCCUCUUUGAGAGGUAAACGGUGUACCACAAUGUCUGUGUCAAGUCCUGGCAUAUCCUGAUAAGACCAAGCGAAAACGUCAACAUACUCUUGCAACAGUUCAAUCAACCCCUUCUUCACAUCGUCUUCCAAAGCAGCCCCUAUCUUGAUUUCUCUCUUGGCGUCCUCGGUGCUGAGAUUAAUCACUUCAGUAGCCUCUUGAUGUGGUUGAAUGACCCUUUCCUCUUGUUUUAACAGCCUGACAAGUUCUUCAGGGAGUUCACAGUCUUCAUCACCCUCUUCUUCAGCUUGGAAGAUUGGAUUUUCGAAGUCGAAGCGAGCCAUAGCAGAACUGUUAUCAAUAGGAUCCGGUGAUGUGCAUCUGCAUGAGUGAUGGUAUGUGCUUAUGAGUGUGAACAGUGAGUGAAAACUAAUCAAAACAUUGCCAACUAUUUUUAUUCUUUUGAAAUUUUGAAAACUGCAAAAAUAGAAAGACAGUGAACAAGAUUUUGAAUGCAAAAGACGUCCUUCAUUUAUGAUAAACAAUGCAGGUAUUCACAUAGAUGAGCCCUACAAUGAGUCAUUACGCCCUGGGCGGAACGUAAGACUUGGAUAUGCAUGAAUAAACAAAGAAAAUUACUCUUCAAGAAGAGUGACUUGGAUAAUCUCUUCAGAAGACCAAUUGUUGAUGACUUCACCCGGGAUCNNNNNNNNNNNNNNNNNNNNNNNNNNNNNNNNNNNNNNNNNNNNNNNNNNNNNNNNNNNNNNNNNNNNNNNNNNNNNNNNNNNNNNNNNNNNNNNNNNNNNNNNNNNNNNNNNNNNNNNNNNNNNNNNNNNNNNNNNNNNNNNNNNNNNNNNNNNNNNNNNNNNNNNNNNNNNNNNNNNNNNNNNNNNNNNNNNNNNNNNNNNNNNNNNNNNNNNNNNNNNNNNNNNNNNNNNNNNNNNNNNNNNNNNNNNNNNNNNNNNNNNNNNNNNNNNNNNNNNNNNNNNNNNNNNNNNNNNNNNNNNNNNNNNNNNNNNNNNNNNNNNNNNNNNNNNNNNNNNNNNNNNNNNNNNNNNNNNNNNNNNNNNNNNNNNNNNNNNNNNNNNNNNNNNNNNNNNNNNNNNNNNNNNNNNNNNNNNNNNNNNNNNNNNNNNNNNNNNNNNNNNNNNNNNNNNNNNNNNNNNNNNNNNNNNNNNNNNNNNNNNNNNNNNNNNNNNNNNNNNNNNNNNNNNNNNNNNNNNNNNNNNNNNNNNNNNNNNNNNNNNNNNNNNNNNNNNNNNNNNNNNNNNNNNNNNNNNNNNNNNNNNNNNNNNNNNNNNNNNNNNNNNNNNNNNNNNNNNNNNNNNNNNNNNNNNNNNNNNNNNNNNNNNNNNNNNNNNNNNNNNNNNNNNNNNNNNNNNNNNNNNNNNNNNNNNNNNNNNNNNNNNNNNNNNNNNNNNNNNNNNNNNNNNNNNNNNNNNNNNNNNNNNNNNNNNNNNNNNNNNNNNNNNNNNNNNNNNNNNNNNNNNNNNNNNNNNNNNNNNNNNNNNNNNNNNNNNNNNNNNNNNNNNNNNNNNNNNNNNNNNNNNNNNNNNNNNNNNNNNNNNNNNNNNNNNNNNNNNNNNNNNNNNNNNNNNNNNNNNNNNNNNNNNNNNNNNNNNNNNNNNNNNNNNNNNNNNNNNNNNNNNNNNNNNNNNNNNNNNNNNNNNNNNNNNNNNNNNNNNNNNNNNNNNNNNNNNNNNNNNNNNNNNNNNNNNNNNNNNNNNNNNNNNNNNNNNNNNNNNNNNNNNNNNNNNNNNNNNNNNNNNNNNNNNNNNNNNNNNNNNNNNNNNNNNNNNNNNNNNNNNNNNNNNNNNNNNNNNNNNNNNNNNNNNNNNNNNNNNNNNNNNNNNNNNNNNNNNNNNNNNNNNNNNNNNNNNNNNNNNNNNNNNNNNNNNNNNNNNNNNNNNNNNNNNNNNNNNNNNNNNNNNNNNNNNNNNNNNNNNNNNNNNNNNNNNNNNNNNNNNNNNNNNNNNNNNNNNNNNNNNNNNNNNNNNNNNNNNNNNNNNNNNNNNNNNNNNNNNNNNNNNNNNNNNNNNNNNNNNNNNNNNNNNNNNNNNNNNNNNNNNNNNNNNNNNNNNNNNNNNNNNNNNNNNNNNNNNNNNNNNNNNNNNNNNNNNNNNNNNNNNNNNNNNNNNNNNNNNNNNNNNNNNNNNNNNNNNNNNNNNNNNNNNNNNNNNNNNNNNNNNNNNNNNNNNNNNNNNNNNNNNNNNNNNNNNNNNNNNNNNNNNNNNNNNNNNNNNNNNNNNNNNNNNNNNNNNNNNNNNNNNNNNNNNNNNNNNNNNNNNNNNNNNNNNNNNNNNNNNNNNNNNNNNNNNNNNNNNNNNNNNNNNNNNNNNNNNNNNNNNNNNNNNNNNNNNNNNNNNNNNNNNNNNNNNNNNNNNNNNNNNNNNNNNNNNNNNNNNNNNNNNNNNNNNNNNNNNNNNNNNNNNNNNNNNNNNNNNNNNNNNNNNNNNNNNNNNNNNNNNNNNNNNNNNNNNNNNNNNNNNNNNNNNNNNNNNNNNNNNNNNNNNNNNNNNNNNNNNNNNNNNNNNNNNNNNNNNNNNNNNNNNNNNNNNNNNNNNNNNNNNNNNNNNNNNNNNNNNNNNNNNNNNNNNNNNNNNNNNNNNNNNNNNNNNNNNNNNNNNNNNNNNNNNNNNNNNNNNNNNNNNNNNNNNNNNNNNNNNNNNNNNNNNNNNNNNNNNNNNNNNNNNNNNNNNNNNNNNNNNNNNNNNNNNNNNNNNNNNNNNNNNNNNNNNNNNNNNNNNNNNNNNNNNNNNNNNNNNNNNNNNNNNNNNNNNNNNNNNNNNNNNNNNNNNNNNNNUAGUUGGCUUUAUUUUUUUUUUUUUUUUUUUUUUAUUUGUUUUUUUUUUGUUUGAGAAUCCCUGAGCACAUACAUGCAGCAUUAAGGACCUUUAGAAGUGCCUCCCUGUGUGCCUCUGAACACAACAGGAGUGAGAGAAUGGAUAUCUUAGACGGCGUCUGAAUCAACUGAUCGACUACUUUGUAGUCGCUUUUCUUUAUAAUUCUUAAAAGCUCGUCUACAUCAUUCGAGAAAGUAGGCUCUGAGCCAGUCUGGGGUGCAAAAGUGCCCUCAUUUACAACUUGUUUGCCUUUGGCCUUAACCGCGGCAUCAGUGCUCUCAGUUUGGGUAACAGGUGGCGAGAAUAGUCUGCCACUCCUAGUGAAUCGCCCGAUUCCACCAACAUUGUCCACUGCGGGACCUUCAGCUUCGAGUUCAGACUUUUGACCCUCUUCUACCUUCAAAGGUCGUUCCACCCCAUGAUCGUGUGUGUAUACACCCCCCCUCCAUAGUGCCAAGGAAUGGCCCUAUCGCUUUUGAAAGGUAAAGGACCAGGGGUUGUGAUUGUCAUAGCGGCCGGUCGCACUGGUGGCACUGGUUAUGCUUCUGGCACACUGAUCUGAUUAGUCAGGUAAAAGAUGGUGAUAGUAGCGACAUCAUAGUCAUACUCAGGAAUCUCAUUCAUUGAAACAAAAACAUCCAGAACAUCGGAAUCAAGUUCAGUUACAUCAAAAUCAGACACAUUUUUUGGUAUAUCAGCAACAACAUUUGAAAAAUUAAAUACAUCAAUGGGAAAUACACAAUCAGCAGGAACAACAUCUGUGAAUUCUUCAACAGCAUCUUCAAACACCUCUUCAACUACCCCUUCAGCAAACUCUUUGACAGACAAGUCUUCAACUUGGAGGGUACCAUUGUCAAGCAAGACCUGGAUACCCUGCUGCAGCUUUAAGCAAUCCUUACCCUGUGUAGCGCAAUCCAAACAACCCUUCCCACAACCGGGGAAAACAUCAGCCUUCAGCAAGCAUUCCUUAAUUUCCAACAACGGAGUCUUCAACUUCCACACAUCCUUAACGGACUUGGCUUCUUCUUCCAGCAUAUUCACGUUUGCACCACCAUGUUGUGGCAUGGGAUUGUUGACGACAUUAGGAGCCAGUGCAAGGUUGAUAGCCUUUGAAUCUAUGAGGUCCUGAACUACGUGCUUAAAAGCUUUGCAGUUCUCAAUAUUGUGGCCAGGUGCCCCAAAGUGGAAACUACACCUAGCAUUGGCAUUGUAACCCACCGGAAGUCUACCAACCGGAGGAGCCAGAGUGCGUAAUUGCACAAGUUGUAGUUGUUGAAGACUUGUAAGCAGCUGAGCGUACGACAUUCGAAGAGUGUCGAAACGCCGACCCAUCAUCCUCUGCCUCUGUUGAUAGGCAGGUCUGUUACCUGGCUGUUGUUGUUGUUGAUACUGAGUUUGCUGACGUUGUGGUUGUUGUUGUUGUAGUGGUGCUGCAGCCGGGAUAGUCACAGCUGCAACAAACGGUCGCUGAUGAUAGUUUUGAAAAUUAUUCCUCCUGUUUUGAUAUGAAGACACAGAAUUCACACCCCCCUCCCUCUGCUUCUGUCCUCCCAUAAAUGGCUUCUUUACUCCUGAUGAAGAUCCACCUCCAUUGUGGCUCUUGNUCUUAUCAUUGUAAACAAAAAACAUCCCGAAUCAAGCUUCAGUUAUCAUCAAAAUCAGACACAUUGUUUGGUUUAUCAGCCAAACAUUUGAAAAAUUAAAUACAUCAAUGUGGAAUCAUAACAGAAAACAAUCUAUGCAAUUCUUCAACAGGUCCGUCUUCAAACACCUUUCAACUACCCCUUCAGCAAACUCUUGGCAGACAAGUCUUCAACUUGUGAGCGUCACAUGUCAAGCAAGACCUGGCGAUACCCUGCUGCACAGCUUUCAAACAAUCAUACCCCUGUGUAGCGCAAUCCAACAACCUUUCACAACGGGGAAACAUCGACCUUCAACAAGUUUCCUUAAAUUUCCACAACGGGGUCUUCAACUUCAACACAUCGCUUAACAAGACUUGGCUUCUCCCUCAGGCUAUUAACGUUCCAGUGCCACAUGCUGUUGGAAUGGAUUGUUGACGACAUUAGGAGACCGGGCAAAGGCUGGAUAGCUUGAGCAUAUGAGCGUUGAACGUACGUGGGCUUAAAAGCUUUGCUAGUUCUCAAUAUUGUGGCCAGGUGCGUGGCCCAAAGGUGGAAGCAACUAUGACAUCUGCGACGGCAUGCGAUAACUCCCACCGGAUAGUCUACCAAUCCAGGAGAGUGAGGCCAGAGUCGUGUAGACUGACACAGAGGUUUGUGUAGCUGUGAGAUUUGGCCAUAGCCAGACAUGAGGCUAGCGUAGCGACGAUAUUGGAAGAUGGAGUGUAGGAACGAGCCGGCGUCCAUCAUCCUCUGCUCUGUCAUGUGAUAGUGGGCUUGUUACCUGCUGGUGUUGUGUGGGGUCGCUGUUGUUUCGCGAUACUAAGGGUUUCUGCGACGUGGUUGGGGUGCGGUGAUGGUGUGUUGGGGCGGGGUUGAUGGGGUUGUUGUGGUGUGUGGUUAUAUGUUCGUAGUCUCGUGCUGCCAGUGGAAUAUCAGCGUCUGCAGACCAAUGACGGUCCUUGAUGAUAGUGUUUGAAGUUAUUCCUUGGUGAUUCCUAUUUUGAUAUGAGGACACGGAAUCACCCCCCUAUCCUCUGGCUUCUGUCCCUCCCAUAAAGAGGUCUUUACUACUGAUGAAGAUCCACCUCCAUUGUGGCUGUAGGUCUUCAGUAAUUCUUACCCUCUCUCCGGUUAGAGACCAAUCAGCAAAGUUGCGAGGCAUUUGACCCACCAGACGCUUUACAGUGUAAUAAAGUCCAAAAAAAGGCACGAUAUGCAUGUUGGACCAAAUUAAAUCCAAUAUAUAACACAAACAUGGGGAGGUUGGACACGGAGCUGUCUCCAAUCCAGGAUGAGCGUAUUACCUGAAGCACUCAUUGCUUUUAAGGACAGGUUUCUGGAGUUUGAGUUCUGUCUGGGGCCAUGUUCUAUGCAGUAUACUGGUAUUGCCUUCAAAAAGCUUCCGCCAAAUCCCUCAGCAACGGAUAUGGCUCUUCCACCUCAAUGUACCAUUUCCAGGGAGGGAUGCCCCAGCUAGCGCGUCUCUAGUAAGAAGAUACCAUAAGUAGCAUCUCAUCAUCAGACGUAUUGAAGCCAUCUUCGGAAGUAGUAGGCUUGCACAUGGGUCCUCGGGCAAGAGCCUACAUGUAUUGUCAAGAUUGGGACGUUUGAACUUUGGUGGACCCUCACGCAAUUGGACCAAAUCCAAGUCAGAACAUCUACCCCCAGGGUUUUGUCCUGUCUUCCACCGCCUUCAGCCUCUCCUCUAAUCUCCUGAACAUGGGAUCCAUGCCAUGGCCCAUGCCAAAGUCUUCUGGCAGCAAGAACUGAUCAUCUUGAUCAUCGUGAAUGGGUUGUUGAUCGUGGUUGUCAUGUGAGAUCGGGACAGGCCCCGGUCCAUUAACCUCUGCAAUUGGAGGAUCAGUCACGACCUCUGGUUGAGUAGUUGCGGGAUUCCUUUGUAUCAUUUGUCUAAUCUCUUGCUGCCCUUGAGCUACUCCCUGAACCACAUCCAUGAAUUGGUUCAUGCGGACCCUCAUCUCAGCAAGUUCUGCUUGUAGACUUUCCAUUGCUUUCUGCUGGUUUCUGCGGGUUCCGUACCAGUGAAUUCCUGAAUCAGCUAUCCUGCUAGUGGAACACCAAAUAAUAUGAGAACACCGCAGCGGUACCUGUUAUGCAAGAUAUGCAAAUGAAUAUGUUAAUGCAAUGACAUGUUUAUUGAUUCCAAAGGGUAUUCUAACCCCUUGAUUCCGGUCUCACAUCAGAUGAAAGCGCAAGAAGACCGAGCCAUGGAUAAGCUUCUAAGAUCAAGAUGCAAUAAAAGGAAACCAUCAUACAAAUGAGUUCAAGGAAAAGAGCCUUAGUCAACAGUACAUCAAAAGAGGAUCUCCACAACAAGUUUGUGGAUUAUCACUACAUAGCAACAAGACAAUAAGUAAAGAGAGGAGCAAAAAUCAGGACUCAGCCUCCUGUGCACAACCCAUAAGGAAUGCUCCUCACUUCAGCCAGCAAUGCCACCGUGUCAGGAUGAUCUGGGAAUUCUAUCAAACGCCGGAUAAGCAGAUUCCUCUGGUGAAUGGCUUCAUCCAACUCGUUGAUGUGCUCUCUGUAGUAAUUCCCAUUAUCUUCUUCGAAUACCUCUUCAAGUCUGGAUUUCUUCAAACCUGCCAACACCUUAAGUUCUUUAAUCUGUCCUCGAGCCUCAUUGAGUUGAUCGGUGAUGUAAUCAUUAGUAGAACGGGCGCACAGAAGCUCAUUGUUCUUCUCCUUUAUCGAAGUCUUCAAUUUCUCCAUCUGACCAGUCAUUUCGGCCACCAUCUCCUCCUCCUUUGCCUUCCGAGAAGUUGAGAAUGCAUCCCAUUGCUCUUGCCACCCAACUAAUUUACCAUGAGCAUCCAUUAACUGUUGCUUGACUCGCCUCAACUCAGACCUGGAUGAUCCCAAGGCCUUGUCUGUCUUCCUGAAGAAGUCCACCUCCACAGCUGAUUUCCUUUCUGCUUCCCCUUGCAAUCUGACGGCUUCCCCCUUCUGAUAUUCUGCCUCAUGGAAUCGAUGUGUAUAGUCUUGCAACUUCACACUUAACUCCGAGUUUUCAAUUUGAAGCUCCUCCAUGGCUUUCUUCAAUUUGUCAUACUCCUCUUGGCUCACCAUUGUUGUCUGCGCAGGAGUAGGUGGAUACAAAGGUUCUUCAAUAGGAAACGGCAGACCAAACUCUUCGAUUCUUCCUUGAAGCCACUCUUCAUACUGAGGGUAAGUUCUACAAUCUCCUUUUCCAAGCACAGUUCUUCCUCUCUUGAUCACCUUGAGCCAGGCCUCUGCUGCCUUGCGGGAUACAGUCAAAUCAGGCGAAGAAUGGAAAAACAGUGAUUCUUCCACAUCCUUUUCCAAAGGCGGAGUUCUUAAAGCAUAUCCAAACUGUCUAACUGCUAGAGAAGGAUUAUAGUUGAUUCCUCCUCUUCUUCCUACCAGCGGUACAUUUGGGAAGUUCCCACAACUGUGAAUAAUAUCCGCCCGAAGCAAGCUCCGGUCAGACCACCAAGAAAUAUCUUCACCUCUCAACCCCAUCAAUCUCUUCGACCAACUCAACGAGUCCUUGACAUCUACGAACGCUCCUGAUUUGGGUAGGUGAGAACUGAACCACUUAUAAAACAAAGGCGCACAAUAAUUCAACAAUCCUCCUUUUCUAUUCUCAUUCCUGUGAUGCACCGAAUGAAAGAAAUCUCCCAACAAGGUCGUCACUGGAUUACCCAACACAAAAAGGCGUAUUGCGUCUACGUCCACAAAUUUUGCCACAUUAGGGAACAGGACAACCCCAUACACACAAAGAGCCAACACAGCAUUGAAACCCCUCUGGUCACCAUCUUCAAGUUUCUUCUUUGCUUCUCCCAGUAAGAAACUCAAAUGAAAACCACUGACUCCUCCCUUCUGACACAUAUUAGCCUUCAAGACUGAUUUCCCCAAAUAUGUGGCCGAAGCAACCAUGCUGAGAUCGGGCAGAAACUCAGAACUGUAGAACAACAACUGUGACUUGAUAGGAACUCUGAGAAAACUGGCAAUCUCCUCCAAAGUAGGGACCAAAAUAUAAUCCGGGAAUGUGAAACACCUCAAUGGAGGGUCAUAGAACUGUAGCAGUGUGAAUAGGGCGUCAUGUUGAUCUUUGGAAAGAACCGUGACGAAACUUAGAAUCAGACCGUAAUCCUCUCGGAAUCCUUCUAGAGAACCAGGAUCCAUUAACUGCAUCAACUGUUGGAUGGGCUCCAGACAGACCACCGGAAACUUGUAGGCGACAAGUCUCUUUCUGCCAAUAUCCAUCUUAAGAGAACCAGAAAAACCCCGACCGGAAUCAAGAAGAAGAUGUAAACCCCCUUGAAAUGGAUAAACAUGUGUUAAAUGAUAUGAAUGCAAAAUGAUGUGAUGCAAUGCAGUGACAUGGAAAUCAAGAUUGCUGUAUCUGCUUGAACAUCUGUCGGGUUGCACUGUCUGAAGAGAAACCCACUGAGGAAUAUAAUACAAGAUCAAAACUCUGCUCCAGAAAACCGGGUUGGUUGGAGGUUAAGGUUUCCUGAAUUUAGCCCGCCCCUCACUGGUAGGUUCUAAGAACAGAAGUUUGUCAGCUUCAGCCCUUCAGUCGAGAAUAAUACGUUUACCACUGAAGGUUUGGCAUUAUUACGGGAUAAAAGACCUCUGCUGACUCCCCUCAACAGGAUAUCCUAAAGCAAGUUCCCAGUCUCGGGGUCCUCGGAUUGAGCAGCGAGAAUGCGCCCACCAGAGCUAACAUAAUCACGUCUCGGAGGAGAGGCCUCGACUGAGUUCUCGGGAAAUGGUCACCAGAGUCGACGAUUUCUAAAGGAAUAUCUGUCGUUAUGGAACACCCAUAGGACAAAAUAUAUCCAACAGAAACCUCGUCUGGAGUGUGGGUCUCAUGAACGACUUAACGUAGCAACAUGCCACACAAGCCUCAUGACUAUCCACUCUAAAACCUGUGUGUACGCUCAAGCCUGGGUAGUGGGCUUAUCUCUCAUAGAACAUCCCACCCCAACAAACAGUCAACCCCCACAGAGCCAACAGACACAGUAAUGAUAUGUACACAAUGCAAUAAGGUAAAGCAAGUAAAUGCUGAAAAAUAAAUAACUGUACAAAAGAAUAAACACCCAACAAAUAAGAAACCUACAAAACCUAGGAGGGACUCGCUUAGGGAAACCGGAUCCCCAGUAGAGUCGCCAGCUGUCGCAACCUGAAAAAUCAGUGCGCGAAAAAAACAACCGGCGAAGAAGAAAUGACAGAAGAGUCGCCACCGUGCGUUAUUUAUCCCAAAGGAGGGAAAGGAAACGCUCGAAGUAAACCUGGAGAAAGGAAAGGAAAAGACAAGGUCUCGCAACCAAAUCUUGGGUUCGGGAGUCGAUUAUGCGAAGGGAAGGUAUUAGCACCCCUACGCAUCCGUAGUACUCUACGGGAUCCACUCUUGUUGUUCUUGUCUAAAGGGUGUGGGUUUAUCUAAUGUACUAUUUACUAAAAAAGGGGUUAAAAGAAAAUGACUCGCACGGAUGUCGCAUCCACUGCAUACGUAUCUCAUCUGAAUAUGAGAAUCAGAGUCUUCGUAGCUCGGCUACCUAUGGGUUAAGGAUAAGUGUGCUCGCUAAGACAUCGCGUCUUAUGCCUACGUAUCUCAUCGGGAAUGAGAAUCAGAGCAAAACGUAGUUCAGCUAACUACGGGAAUAAGGGUCUCGAUUGCAACUAGGGCAAGAGAAAGGGAAAGUCUCGAUCGCAACGAGGGCGAGAGAAAGGAUCGCAACGAGGGCGAAAGCAAACAAGGAUUAGUUGUUAGUUGUUAGUCAAACUCGGCAAGACAUCGCAUCUUGUGCCUACGUAUCUCAUCUGAACAUGAGAAUCAGAGUUGCCGUAGUUCGGCUACAUAGGGGUUGCCAUCUGAACAUGGACUUACAAAGGAGGACACCAGUUGUGUCAAAGGAGAGUGGGCAAUGUGUUCACGUCCUAGCAGUAGGUGUCGCAGCUCGCUGAAUCGAGUCUUAGGCAGUUACCUCUUUGCAAUAGAACGGACUACAUGCCACAAGAUCGGAGACGCUCGGAAAGGUCUAGAAGUGGGGGAAGCUCUGCCCUAGAGUUGUCAUGCAAUAUGUACUUAAGUGUUAGGAUUUACAAAUGGGAAUAUCUACCUAAUGUUAGCAUGCAAAGAAUAUGGGAAUUCUACCUAUGUUAUCAUACAAAAGAAAAAGGGAAUCCUACCUAUGUUAUCAUACAAAAAGAUAUGGGAAUCCUACCUAUGCUAUCAUACAAAAGGAUAUGGGAAUCCUACCUAUGCUAUCAUACAAAAGGAUAUGGGAAUGCUACCUAUGUUAUCAUACAAAAGGUUCUAUCUAAUGGGUGCUACCUAAUCGGAACAAGAAUUGACGAGUGGAGCAAGGAGAGGUGCUAGGAAUAAGGGUAGAUGGCGAUGCAUGAAGCAAUCGACUUACAAGGUUGAUGGCGAUGCAUAAAGCAAUCGACUUACAAGGUUGAUGGCGAUGCAUAAAGCAAUCGAUUUACAAAAGGGUGGAUGAAUACGUGCUGGUUCUGUUAGGUUUUGAAAAAUGAUUACUCGACGUUGGAUCGAGGUUUUGAUCUUGUUUUGAAAUGGUUAUCGAAUGUUCAUUUUGAUUCUUGUAUUAACAGAUGAAUAAAGAAUGAAAGAAUAAAUAUUAUACAUUUCAUGGGAGAGGGAUACAUUUGUUAUGAAUGGGGAUUGUACAUGGUAAUUAAACAAUAAUAAUAUAUGCCUCAUACACCAUACAAGUAGGACACAGUUAAUCAAACAAGUAAGAUAUAAACAAGUAUAUAAUCAAAUCAAAUAAUCAAAGAAUGAAAUAAUGAAGCGUUAAACAAUGUAUGUGAAGUAUAAACAUAUUAAACAAUCAAACAAUAAAGACAUGGAUGAAAGAAACAAGUAUAAAAAAUGUCAGAUGAAUAAGACAAGUGAAAUUAUGCACACAAAGAAUCAAUGAAUAAUUUAAUCGAGAAAUGAUGCAAGGAUCAAAUAAAAUCAAGAUUAAAGGCCUCUAAUAUGUGGCACAUGAGAUGAACAAGGGAGGAUCAAAAGAUCUCUUCAAUUGCCCUAAGCAGUCCCUAUGUCAACAUCAAUCAUAGAAAAGUCAACCGAAAGGUCAAGUCAACUUAAAAAAUGUCAAAUAAAUAGUAAAUUAAUCACAAAAAUUAUGAAAAAUUAAAUUAAGUUAGGUGGGGUCAGGACAUCAUCAUCCCCCAAAAAUAUUUUAAAAAAUAAUGAAAAUUGGUUAUUGAAUUAAUUGAAUCAAAACAAAGGUCAAACCAAAAGUCCAACAACAAGACUAGGUUAGAAAUAAAUCAAGAAUAAAUUAGAAAACGGGAAAUAAAAUUCCAAUAAAGGGUCAGGUUGACCAUGAGACAUUGGUCAACUUUCAUCCCAAAAAUCAGAAUCUAAAAAUAAUUUUAAGUUAUGAAAAUAAAAUAAAUGAAAAAAAAUGUGUUAAAAUGGCCUAUUUGAAACAAAUAAUUAAAAUAAAAUACUAACAUUAAAUAAAAAUAAAAAUUAAAAUUAAAAUAAAUUAAAUAAAUCAUUAAAGAAGUUAAAAAAUAUUUUUUUUGAAUUAUUAUGAAUAAUUGAAAUAUUUUUAUUAGUUAAAUUAAAACAACAUUAAAAAAAGAAUGAAUUACAAAAAAUGAGGAAGAUAAUGAAGUGAAAAUCAUGCAUGGGCCUGGUGUGGGGGUGCUGAUAUCAGCGACGCAUGGAAGCCCAAGAUCCAACUAAAUUUCUUUAAAUGUGACAGCAAUAUUAAAAUGUUCAUUUAAAACAGCCAUGUAAUAAGUAUCGAUCGGUCAACUCCAUUGUUAGUCACAAGAAGACAAAAAUGAGAACGGACGGAUGGGAUAGAAUCUGGGCACGCGAUCUAGCGGUCCAGAUCGCGCCAACAGCAGCUCCCAUGCAAUAACAGAAAGAACCCUAAAUUUCAUGCACAGCCCAGCGAACAAACCCGUGGAAACGCAAGCCAAACAUUCCUAACUUCCAAAUAAAAUUUCUCAUUCCGUAGUACAUGAAAUUAGAUGGUGUAAAAACCAAAACUCAAGUUCAAAGUGAGAGGAACACCAUGGUGUUUUACUUCAUUAAAAAUGGUGACUUAAAUAUGGAGUAAAAUGGACAGUAAGGUAGCUACACACACACGGAUGCCAACAGAAAAUAGUAACUCAAUUUCAAGUUCAACAAACAAUGCUUCAUGAGGAUGAUUUCAUGGACAAAUAUGGCACAAUAAUAGCACGGUGAUAAACGUGGUAUGAUGGCAAAUAAGCAAUGGUAAUGGCAUGAGGAAAAAAAGUAGCAAGCAUCAUAUAAUGGUGAUCUUAAGAAACUUCAUUAUGUCUAUGGAAGAAGAAGCAAGAAGCUUACCUAGUGGAGAAGAUGGAAGAGGAAUAAUACUGCUGUUUGUGCUUUGCAAACUUGCAGAAUGGAAAUGGAAGGAAAUGGACUUCUCACUCCUUGCCUUGCUUACUCUUGCUCAAUUUCGAAAAUGACAACCACCCCCUUCAGAUUAGGGUUUCAAGGUUUAUAUAUGUUGGUCCCAAGUGUUCUUAAUGGGCUUAGGUCCAAUUGGAUUUGAUUGUGUGCACUUGAAACAAGGUUGGCAAAGUGAGGUGGUAUUAGGAAAUGACUUAUUUGGCAUGGUUUAAGUGAGCUGCACCAGAAGUACAUGAACAAAUGAGGAAAGAAAGUGGGUUGGUCGUUUGUGGAGCAUAUUGGUCUGGUUUGGGGUAGGCAAGAAAAUAAGUUCAAGUGAGUGACUUUUGGACCAUGUAUCUUGAUGAUUGUGUGACCAAAUGGCAAGGUAAUGAAAGCAAUAGCAAGAGGGUACGGAACUUAGCAUUUUCCAUGUUGAACAUAUCUUGAAAUGAUGAAUGGAAAGGGAUGGAAAAUAGCCAUGAAGUUCAAGUUUCCAGGCUGCCAAAACAGUUGGGCCAGUCUGGCCUAGGUGCUGUCCAAAAGUUUAGUUCAUGGUGCCAACUUUAGAUGAAUGCAUCUCUCCAACCAAAAAUCCAAAUGAGGUGAUUCCAAAAGGAUGUGGAAGAGGGUAUAACAAGGUACAAUUGUCAUGAAGGAAGUGUUUCCAUAAGGUGCCUUGAAGUGCAAGAAAUCUGGCCCAUAAGUCUUGACAAAUUUUACAAUUUUUGGACUUGAAAAUUUUUCUAAGUGUCUUAAAAUAAAGUCCUACUUUGACCAAGCAUAACUUUCUCGAUUUUAAUCCAAAUGAAGCAAACUAUAUACCUCUAGAAAGCUUGGAACAAGAGGAACAACUUUCAUGUUGGAGAAAUUUUCAAAUGGAGAUUGCAUCUUGGUGGAAAAUUGGCUUAAAGUGGAUGCAAAAACCAUGAAAACUUGCCUUAAAUGGAAAGUCAAACAUUUCCAUAUUUAGUAACUUUUCCAACUCUUGAUUAAAUGGUGAAUCCAUGAUCCAAUCUUGGUCAAGUUUCACAUGUGGGCUUCCUUGGGCAUGAAUUUUGAGAUCCCACCUUCAAAAUGUCAGGAGUUGACUUUUUUGACCCCACAGUUGACUUUUCCCAAACUGUCUAAUUCCCGAUUCCAUUGAUCAAUUGAGGCACCUCUGGCUCAAAUAAAGAGCUGAUUUUUUGCAUGUAGACCCUUGUGGACAUGUGGAGGGCCAUGGAAAUAAGUUUCAUUCAAGGAAUCAGAAAUAAACCGAUUUUAUGCCAAACCCUAAUUUUAGGGCAAAAGUGACUAUGAUCUGACUGCACAAGUUGCCAAAGGACAUUUUUGUGAUAAUUGUGGAUCUUCCUAGGCCAAGAUGCCCCUCUAAUCAUGACAUGAAUGAACCCCUUCACUUCCAACCAAACCUUGCCUGUUGCAGGUAGCCAUGAAACCCUGAUUUUUUGAUUAAAUCCAUAUGCACACUCUGAGAGCUCUGAAUCUUCCACUGAUGAACUGAGGACCAUAAUAAGACAUAUGGAACCCCUUGAGACCCUUGAGACUUGUAUAUUUGGAGAAUGAAAUUCAAUUCUCAGUCUUUCUCUCUGUAGGCUCCUUCUGUUAAGGAGUGAUCAAUAAAACCCUGAUUUCCCAAGUCGCUGAUGCAAUAUGUAAUGAGUAUGACCUAGUAUGAUGCUAAUGCAAUGUGAAACACAAUCUCAUGCUUCCAAGAAAAAUGAAGGGUAAAUUUUGGGGUAUUACACCUUCCUUUUCAGUUAUUUCAAUACAGUGAUACCAUGCCUCGGGCCCCUCACUUGUUGGUUCAUACCAGUUUUACUCUUGGGCUCAUAUUCUCACCCCCCAUUGGAAUUCAAAAUAACAUUAUCCUUUAGUUUAGACCAUACCUUGAUCAUAAUUCUUUUCAUCUCUUACCACUAGUUCUUUAAACUACGGAGCUCUGAAUUCCUCAUUGCACUAUGAGGAUACGUAGGCAUGAGGCCCCCAAUCCUCACCGAGCACGUUAUCUAUUUCUUUCCUUUUCCCCAGUCUUUGCAAGUAAUCUUUAUAUCUAACACCUAUUCGAACGAGAACAAUCAAAACGAUUCUCAUGGAGUACCAUGGAUGUUUGGGGUGCUAAUACCUUCCCCUUGCAUAACCGAAUUCCUUACCCAGCAUAUCUCUUUCCCCCGGGUUUUAUCAAUGUUUCCCAUUUCCUUCGGGAAUAAAUAAACUUCGAUAGCGACUCUGUUGUAUGUUCGAGCGUGCGAUACAUUCGGGUAUAUUUCCACUAGCUUCAGUGGUCUAUAUCUUAUGGUAUACCGAAAAUCACUUAAGUGUGUGGUACCUUACCAUAAUUUGUAUUCUACUUAAGUGCAUCAUACCUUAUGAUGUUCUACAAUUCAUUUAAGUGCAUCGUACCUUAAGGUGUUCCUUAUUUACUCUAUCUCUCAUCAAUUUGUCCUUUUAUGUGUGACCCUGUAGGUUUUCGCGACAUUGGCAAUUAUAUUAAAUCACGUAUUUAACAUAAUAAAUAGUGAGCGGUAUCUAGCAACACAUCACUGCUACCCAAGAUACGAAAAUGUCAUGUGAUUUAACAGAUCAUUUUUUUGUGAUAAUACUUGUGUGUACAUUUACCCUUUUUGCCCUUAUGUCUAUAUUGGAUACAAUUCAUAGACCGUGUGAUCCUUGUCCAGUUCAAUAUUGGGCCCUUAGACAUUUAUCCUGUUACGCAGGAUGGGCAAAUUCCAUCUAGGGCACUCAUGUCCAUCAGCAUGCUUCAUGGAGUACCCAUCAAUUGUCUUUAUGGUCAUCCAAUUACGGACAAAGUUUGAUCAACAAUAAAGCACUCGAGUCUACAUCUAGGGUCCAUAGUGGUUUCAGGUCGAAGGGUGAUAUACACCAUUAUCACCAUGAGAAUAACUUAUGACACUUUGCAUAACAUUCCAUGUAGUAUUCUCAUAGUGGGUCAUUCCAGUAUAAAUAUUACUCCAAAUAUUCAUACCUAUGUUUAAGACUUGAUAACUCCUUAUCUAUAAUCCAUGAUAUUUGAUCAUCAGUCUAUAUACAUAAUAGUCUUAAUGCUUUAACGUUAUCCCACUUCACAACAAAGCUCGACUGCAGAUACUUUAAGAAUAAUGUUCUUAUAUUUAAUGGAAUCUCAUGAUUAAUUCACACUUGAUACAUUAAACAGACUAGCUAUUCUAGGGACUUUAUUAAACAAACAUAAUAAAGAAAAAGCCUUGUAUUAUUAAUAAAUAAUUUGAUACAAGUACCAAAAGUAUUGACCUCUAGGGCUUACACCAACGGUAUUAACUUUUACUUCAAUGUCAUUUACUUUAUGCUCUUUUAUUUUAUGCCAUUUACUUUAUACUUUAUGUUUAGCAUCCCAUAUCAUAUUAAUUAUGAUUAUGUCAUUUGUUCUUUGUCCAUUUGGACUUUUCUUUCAUAUCCUUGUAAAGAAAACAUUAAUAAAGAAACACCUAAAAAGAGACUUGGUUCUCCUGAUUCAUGGACUUAUGGUUACUAUCCUUGGAAUCAUUGUGGAGUUACGAACUUAGAAUUAGGAUCUUGACCUUUCCUUUUGGACUUGUGAUUUGAGACCUUGGGAUUCAUCUGGUACCUUUGGCUUGGGAUUUAUUUUGGAGAUUUGGUUGAGUUACUUUGGUUUCAUCUGAUGCAUGAUUAUUCUUUGCUUAUUCUGGCUUGCUUGAGGCUUAAUCUAAAGGAGGGAACUCUUGCUUGACUUGUGUCAUAAAGCUUGAUAUCGCUUGGUUAGAUCUUUCCUCCCUAGCUUUUACUUUAUUCUUUAGGAUAGUCUGUUAUUCUCCUCUUCUUCUUUAAUUUUCAAAAUCUCCUCUCUCCUUUUUUUUCAAAACAUUCUUGUUUUUUAACUUGAAUCAUUUUCUUAAUAAACCUUGACUUUUAUCAUGUGAUUUUCAAAACCUUUUCCUAAUAAAUGCUAAUUCAUCUUAAGCAUAUCUAGACCAAUUUCAAAAGACUUAAAAAUGCAUAACUAAUUCAAAUUGUUUUUAUGCCAUUUGUACACUUUUCCUUUUAAAAAAUUUCUAAAAGUUUAGACAUGAGUCAUUUCCAUAGUUGAGAUAUAAUUCUCCUAUCUCCAUAGUAUUGAUGAUAAUUAUUUUCCAUCCAAGAGAGCUAGUGGCAUACUUGUUGAUCCUUAUCCAAGUUGGAGCCCUUCUCAUGAUGAUGCAAAGUUCUCAUACUUGUGGGUGAUUAGUUAUGUAUUCUCCUUAAAAUGACAAAAUGUCUUUUCAUUAAAAAUAAUUCAAAACAAAUACCUUUGUUAUUUUUACCACGAACUACGAGGUUUUGAUCCUCCAUUGCACUUUGUUGGUACGUAGGCAUGAGACUUCAAAAGAUCUUGGCAAACACCAAAAAUCAUAAUAAAAAAAACAUUUCUUUUCCUGUAACUCCAAUCUUUUGCAAAGAACACCUUUUUCAAAAUAAAAUUUAAAUAUUUUCAAAGAGGUUUCCAUGGAGUACCAUGGAUAUUUAGGGUGCUAAUACCUUCCUUUUACAUAACUAACCCCCGUACCCUUAUUCUCUUUUUAUUAGUUUUGUUUUAAAACUUCUUCGGGUUUUGUUCGUAUUUUUUCCCCUUUUCCUUUGAAAACAAUAAAAGCGCAGUGACAACUCUUGCUUUAUGAGUUAAGUUAAUCAAUAGCUUAAUCUCAAAAAAAUUACCGUUACAACCAUGAUUUUAUUUUACGGGCACGAAUGAAUCUUCAUGGUUAGCACUCUAAUAUCCAAGUUAGUUCAAGAUUCAAGAUGAGUGUAAUGAAAAUGGAGAUUAGAUAAUGUACCUUGCUCUUUACAUGUGAACUAAUUUAUAAUUUGGGUCAAAUGGAGUGGAUUUGAGAUGGAUUGGACCUUAGUUAUUAGGGUCUUUGGUUGGUCAAGAACAGUUGCCCACAAGCCUUAAGUGAUGUUGAUUGGCCUCCUAGACGUGGUUCAAUGUGAAAUAGGAUUAAACGCCUAGAAUUUAUUGAAAAACUAGUGAGGAACAUGAGAAUUAAAUGCUUACUUACCAUUGUAACUUUUCAUUACCUAUUCCCAUCGCGUCACCCUAGGGAAGCAACCUAGGGAAUAAUUCCCUUACUUAGGGUACUUAAGUAUUUCUGUCACAUCGUUUUGAUAGAUGGAGCGGUGUAAUGACUACCCUUGGAUGGUAUCUCGCCUUUGAUCUAGACUAUUUAUAUUUGAAUAGUUUUUAUAUAAGAAAUACCCCCCCCCAAAAGGUUUCAUUUUACUCUCUUGUUGCUUCUCGGUAGUCAUUUUUUCUAAGCUUUAAACUUUGUCUUCCUCGCUCUAGUUUUAAAUAUAUUUCGUGGUCCAUUUCCUCCUUACCCAUGUAUGUUGUUGCCCCUUACUUCAAGAGAAUAAGGCUUUCCUCCUUUUGAUUUUUAGGGGCCAUUCUUUUAUUACAGACACGUCGUCCCUAACUCGCUAGAUCUGUUUGUAGUGCUGGUUUAGUAUUCGAUCAUUCUGAUGGCAAUAAUUAUCGAGGUUUAUUCCUCUGUAGACCCAAGGUAUUUGGGGAUGCCCUCUAAAUAUACCUAGAGGAACAACAAAAUAGAGGAUUCCUUGGAAGUGGCGUCUCCUUCGAAUUGAGCAGUAUCAAUGAUCUCUACAAACAAAAGAAUAUGUCAUAAGUUCUGAGGGUGUUUUAACCCCUUAUAAUUUUGUAUUUUUGAGAAGUUGGGUGUACGACUUUCUUUGACUCCUUUUGAAAAUAAAGUGUUAAAUCAUCUUCGCGUUCCUCCAUCAUAACUCCAUCCCCGUGCCUGGAGUUUCGUGAGAGUCUUUCAAUAUUGGUACGAAUAUCAUGGAAACAUGGAUUUUGCUUCCUUGAAUCUCUUCUUUCACCUUUUUGAAGUUAAUACUCCCUCAAGGAGUCAAGGUUGAGGGUUUGUCUCUCUAUGUCCGUUUAGAAAUGUGAUCUUGUCUAUUUAUAUUAACCUCUAGAAAGAUUUCAAGGAGCACUAUUUCUUAGUUUCCCCAUUUUCUCUUUGAAGUCCUCUUUUAGAUAUGUAAACAAGUAUACCGAAUUUAAAAAAAAAUGGUAGUGGACACUUCAUUAUGGUUAAGCGGAUAUUUCAAAAAAUCAAGGAAAACCAUGAUUAUUUCCAUAUUCGUAAAAAAUUGAUAGUUCAUAUUUCAACUUUUUUUUUGCAAAGAGGAUUCGAUGAUUAGACGAGAUGAUUGUUUUUAUGCAGCAUGACAGAUCUGUAGAAAGGCCUCGUGUGAGGGAAGAUGAGGUCAGGGAAUCUCAUCUACGGGCAGGGAGAGUAACCCCAACCGAUUCUCACUAGAAGUGAAUGACUGACCAGGCUAGCGCACCUCACAAUAUCCAACAUAAACUAUCUACCAUUGAUAGAUGGACCUGAUAUCCUGAUGAUGAGCCCGUUAGUGCGGUUGUUGAAGAUGUUCAGGCAGCAGCUAAUGAUGUAGAGAGUUAGGACAACAAGAACAUGGUGGCCGGGACAGAGGUGCCUCGUCAUUCUAAGACAAAGACUCUGAAUGAUAUGGAGGUGACUCCUCAGGAUGAUACAGAGGUUACUCAUCAGCCUGAUAUAGAGGCGCUUGUUACGGGUGAUAUGGAGGUUACUUCUCCAAAUGAUACAGAGGUUAUCGCUCCGACUUUGACGAAGCUGUUUAUACACACGGAUGGAGGGUUUCCUGGAGGGCCUAGUGAUUGUUCAAUGCUCACUACAUAUGUUGAUCAUGUGGCAUUCAAAUUAUGGCAGCGAGAGGCAUGUAUAUAUGUUAUGUUGAACUUGUUUUGAUUUAUUAUUGAUACGUUCAAAAUAAUUGAUGCUUUUUACGGUUUUUGUUAUAUGACCGACUACCGUUGAAGCUACCCACCCACAUGGAAAAUCUGAAGAAGUUCUUAGAUACCCCGGUGACACGAGAGUUCAUGGAGAUAGUAGAUGAUUGUGGUCUCCUUUCAUUGUUAGAUUGUUCGCAGACCAUGAUUCACGUUGCUCUAUUGUCAGCAUUUGUAAAGUGAUGGUAUAAUGAGACAUCUUUCUUCCAUCUUCCGUUUGGAGAGAUGAAGAUUACCUUGGAUGAUGUCUCGUCUAUGUUCCAUCUUCUCCUGCCAAGUAGUUUCUUUAUGGCUCCUCUCAUUAGCUAGCAUCUAGCAUGUAUUACUGCUAUACAAGACUUAGGGGUUACUGAGGUGUGGGUGUUAGAAUAAUUUAAUGCUAACAUGGUACUCACUUUCUCUUAUCUUGGCUAUGGGAUGGGCAUGUCGAGAUGGUGCAUCAGUCUAUGUAUGAGGCAACCAUUAUGGUAUAUAUGCUACAUUUUGUAGGAUGUACAAUUUUAGCGGAUAAUUCUCAUGUAUAUAUUGAUAUAAAGUACAUUUGGUUGCUUAGUAUCCUUGACGAUGUCAGCUGGGCAUGCGGGGUGUUGCACUGAUUGUUCUAUAUUCUGCACUUGGAGAGGCAAAUGUCUUUGUGACUAGGAAGCUUUCUGGUUAUAUGAGUUUAUUUCAGUUAUACAAAUUUAAUAUUUCUUAUUAAUUUAGUUUUAAUUUAUGAGGUAUUUUUAUUUGCCUAUGUUCUUAUGCAGUGUUGGAUAUACAAGUAUUUCCCCUCCAUUUGUGAGAUGUGGGUUAUUCCUACCACUGCUAGCUCCACACUGGCCAAGAGAUAGAAGUCCAGGCAUGCUCACCCAUGAGGUGUUCUGGAGUACGUAAGGAGGAUUGAUGUGUUGACUAUAGAUGAUGUCAUCUAAACACUGUACACAGACCAUAGAGUGCAUCAGGAGUUUGAUGAGCAUUCCCUUUUUUUUGUUAUCUGUGAUGGAAGACCUUAAUGGCUAGACACUUACCUGUGAGGUGUUUGCGCUAUUUUUGGCAUGUCCAAUACAUCCCAUAACUAAUCCAUAUUGUUCCAUCUAACGUUAUCAGCUCUGUCUGUGCCAUUAGAGAUCAUGUAGUGGAGGUUCAGUUCUCUGUGCAGUGUGUGGAUGGUUACUUAGAGUGGUACCUUACUGUAUCACACCUCACAUUAUUUCACCUGUUGAGCAUGUAGAUGAUGUUAGACCUUUCGAUGUUGUGGGGCCUUCUGAUGACGUGCCACCACAUCCACUUGGUGUGGUUGAAUAACAUCAUCUGUAGAUGAUAGCAGUCAUUAUGGAUAACCUCAUGGGUUUGGUAAACCUAGAUCGUAAGGGUUUUACUUUGGCAUCACAGACAUUACACAUAGCCUGUGGGGGACAUAUGUAUACAUUAUUUAUUUAUUUUGUAUUAUUUGUAUAUUAUGUGUAUUAUUACUCAAACAUUUGCACCAUAUAGUUUAUUAGAUGAUAUUUUGUCGCAUUCAUGAUUGUAAUGAACAUCAAUUAACACGUUACAAUUAACAUAACUUAACAAUAAUAAAUAAUAAAAACCUAGACACUACUAGAUGAUUAUGGACAUUCAACAUCAUGAUUAUGUCAUCGACAAAUCUAGAAAUUGUCGCAUCAAAUUCGAUCGGUCUCUUUAUUAGCAUAUGAUGGUAUAUUCUCCAUAAAAUCUUCAAAUCUUCAUCAGUUUUCAGCUCAAUAUGGUUGUAUUUCACCUUUUCAUCAGUAUCAAUCCAUGGUGCACAAAACUCAAUCUUACUCACCUUUCCGUUCUCGAUUUUGGAUAACAUAUUAUUCAAUUUGAAUCUUAGAAGAGCGACACAAGUGGUGUCCUUCGGAAGCCCAAAAUCAACAGGAGAUUUCACCCUGUUGAAGUACACAUGUGCCAUAAACAAAUAGUGAGACAUUUUAAGAAGUUCUUUUUAACAAAACAUGAUCUCUAUUUAUACAAGUUUGAAUUCAUUCUGGAUCACACACAAUUUUCGAUAUAAUCACAGUCGUACAAAAUUAUCGGCAAAAUCUCAACCAUUCAAAAUUACACUACUAAAUUUUUUGAAGCCCCUUUAAAAGUCCAGCAAAUACAUGGACUUUUUAAAAACCAAUGAUCUUACACUAGAUGAGUGUUCAAAGUUUCGCAAAAACUCUAGUACAAAAUAGUAUUUUUUUCAAAACGGUAAAUUUUUCCACACGCCGUUUUUUUUAAAUGAUAUAAAUACAUAUCGAUGUUUUUACCUACACUAUCAACUUUUUUAAUUUAUACCGGAUAUUUCAUUUGUUCUUAGCAGAUUUUUUAUACAUAUUUUUUUGAUAAACUUUUUACAAAGAUAGUAUAGGUAUUAUGGAAAAUUAGUGUGUGGUGGCGGCAUAUAAAAUUAAGAAAGCUUAUAGAUUUCUGCAUCAUGGCAAUUCAAUUGCAAAUUAACUUCAUUUUCAUUUUCACAAAGUAUUAAAUUAAAUAUUCAGAAAGAUAAAUUGAUCAUUUCUCCAGUUUCUUCAACAUAAACAACUUAAUGCAUAACCUGAUACUACAUCUCCUAAACCAUAAUCAUUGAUCUUAGGCCUUUUAUUAUUUUCUCAACUUUUCAUAACUAAAACAUAUUACAUCAUGAACUUCCAAACACAAUACUUAGAGAUAUCCUUUUUCCUUGCAACACUGAAUCGCAUCUUCAAACAUAUCAUCAACACUGUACUUAAACUCGAAACCAGCAGCCACGAGUUUCUUCGAGUUCAAUUCAGCUAACCUUGCACCUUUAAUUUCCUUCAACUCACUAAUACAACAAAACAAAAACAGAUAUAAAACAUUAGUUAUACAAUAAUCAAAAACAUGUCAGAUUUGUAUUGAAACAUUUUAAAUAAUAGAACUCACUCUACUGAUAGAAUUUGAAAUUCUGGAUAUUUGGCUGAAAAAAGUUGAGACAUUUCUUCAAUAGUUACGAUGAAUGGUGCACAAUUGUAUCUCCCUCCAGGAACAGAAUUCUCAAGUAGAUAUAUAUGUGCUCUAGCUAC
This 367439-nucleotide long non-coding RNA is filed under the name Lathyrus oleraceus (garden pea). Its description in RNAcentral is "Pisum sativum (pea) long non-coding RNA (PSAT_LNC010482)". Lineage: Eukaryota; Viridiplantae; Streptophyta; Magnoliopsida; Fabales; Fabaceae. The record is from RNAcentral.